GAGUAUUUGCUAGGACCAAACACAUACCAGUGAGAAGAGUAUUGCGUAGUGUUUUCUAUUGCUCUCUGUGAACUUAGGCGAUGGCAAAUAAUAGCAUCCUCCAGGUCUUCGUUGUUUUUCUCAUUGCACAAGUAUGCUUACUGAUGAUGAUGGCAGCACCAGUAGCGCAGGCAGCUGGCAGGCUUAUGGGAUACAAUCCCGUUUGCUGCCCUAGGGACAUCUACUGUUGUGGGUUUGGUGGUGUGAUGGCCAAUGGAACUGCAUCCUCCACCAAUCCUUGAUAUGUCGUCUCACUCUCCUCCGAGCUAUAAGCUAGGGCAUAUAAAAUGUGCUUCAAGUUGGUCGUUUCGUUUCUUAUAUGCAAUUUGUGCUACUAGUUUCAAGAAAUAUUAUGUGUAAGCUAUUUUGCUAAUAAAAGUGGGAGGAGAUUGUUAUCUAUGUUGUUUGCAAUGUGCCGCAAAGAGAUUUAAAAUUAUGUUUACUGUGUUUUUUGAGGAUCAUAUCACCCUAUAUUUUCAUGGUUAAACACAUGUUAUGAUAAUAAAGGUACCAUCCUUAGUUGAUUCCAGUUUAUUACUAAUCAUACCAGUUAACCCAUCACAUAGAGUGUCAAUUUUCUGCAGACAUCAAGCAACUUAACCCUCGCCAAAUCUUACUGAAUCAAGCUUCUAAAAACUUCUAAAACCCCCCGCAAAAAAAGCUUCUAAAAACUAGACGAGAACUAAUUUGUUUCCUUUUUCUAGCCCUUUUUUGCUUCAUCUUUUUUUCAGCGUUCUUCCCAAUGCCUAAAACCCCGACCAUGCAUGUGUACCAACCCAAUUUAGGUGAGGCACAGUGGCCAAGGCGUCAUGCCUGCUGAUGUAUUUGAACGCUCCGUCCGGCCGAUUGUUUCCUGGCACUCAGGAGGAGGACCUUCUUGGGCGCGACAGUUCUAUCACUCUAUCAGGAUGUCCUCGUGACAUGUGACACCUUGGGGUGUUGAGAAUGAGCAGAUCGAGCAUGCACAUCAGACGUUCGAGAAAUUGCUCGGCAUCUUGGGCGCUCUUGUCGUCUGCCAAACCGUGGACAGGGGCGUGUCCUCGUGGUGUGCUCAUCGAGGUUCCUGGUCGUGGUCGAGCUCUGGUUUAAUUUCCUCGUGUAUGGUCCCCAGUGUUAGUUCGACCUGGCGUGGUGUGGUACGGUGUACAUGAAGGUCUGGAUGUGCCUCGGUUAAGAUUAACGAUGUCAACGGUGGACCCUUCAAAUCGACACAAUAUUUGUCUGCGGACGAUCCAGACUUGUCAUGGAUCCGCAUAUAGGAACCGGCCAUCCAACUCUUUUCCCAAAACGUCCUCUUCUAUUAUUACUUUUAUAUAUAUAAAAAAUACUAGUAACCUUACACCAAAUAGCUAAAUUUCAACCUUCCACCAAAAGGCAUACCGCACAAAAGCAAAUUGAUGUGUGUUGCCAAUGACCUCCCACCAAACAAUGGGCCAGGAGUACAUGUGAGCAUCUACAUUCCGGUGUCUCAAACCCCCUCAUAUGCCCGGGCGAACAGCCGGUUAGUGACCGGUCAAAAAAACCCGACCUAGACGGACGCCUCAAACGGCCUCAAACGCCUGGGCUGAUCAACACCCCUCAUAUAUCCAACCUAAAUAUGGGGCGGAUAUGGGGAGGCCCGGGCAUGACCGUGCACGUCCGCCACGUAGGACCAGGCCCACACUAGCCAACUCGAGCCCACAUAAAUUCGUCCACAUCCCCUCCUCGAACCAAACCCUAUCCACUCCACCCCGUCACCCAAGCUCCCCUCCGGCGUUCUCCAGCCUUUUCCGGCAAGGCGGGUUGUGGAUCCGAGUCCUACACCUCCAAAUCGGUCGUCCUUGAGCUAAUCCCACAUGGCUCCGAGGAGGAGAUGACCAUCCGGCUUGCGCUCCGAAGCACAGUAAUAAUAUCGAGUAGCAUUCAGAGCUCGCUGGUAAUCCGCAUCUACCACCAACCAUCAACAAUGUAGCUUCAGAAGCCACUCCCGAAGGCCGUCCAACGGCAGCGCUCCAACUCCUUCCAUCGGGAAUCCACCGUGCCAUCCCAAACGGCGGCAUGGAUCUGCCGCUAGGUGUGUCAUCGCUACCUGACUAGAGGCGGUGCAGUCCAUCUGGCAUCCGAACGCGGUGACGGACGCGCAAUCGCUCCGCUGGAGCGCCAAGGUGGAGGACGCACCAUGGGCGUCAUCCCAUGCAAACAUGGCGCGUUGUGCACGCCAUGCGAGGCAGUGAGCACGGCAGGCGGCGGCAGCCCUCGCCGGCAGUGGACGUUGGCGAGGUGGAGUUGCAUUCUCUGGCGCGUUGGAUGUUGCACCAGUCCGGGCGCCACAACCGUGUCGUGGUGGAUGCCGCCGGCUCGUCCAGGACGGACCCAUUAUCGAUCUGACAUCCACCGCCACCGUCUGGGUUCCAAGCUCCGAUGAGGAAGAGCAGGACAUGGGAGAUGACGACGCCUUACGUCCCGUGAUCCAUCCCAUAAUUAUUUUUACAACUUCUAUCAGAGGUUUUGUAAAGAUUCUAGAAGCAUGUGAUCGUCUUUGUCAAGUUUAUGGUCAUUUUUUUCAUUUGGGCUUCGAUGUGUUUCUACUAUAGUUUUCUUUGCUUUUCUUAUUUUGUAUUUUUCUUUCAUUUUUUCCUUGUGUCAUUUAAAGUAAAUUCAAACAUCGCGCACUUUUCAAAAAAUUGCAUGCAUGUUUUUCAAAUUCAACAGUUUUUUUAAUUCUAUGAACAUUCUUCUCAAAUAUGUCAUCUAUUUUCCAACCUGUGAACUUUUUCAAUUUCAUGAAUUUGUUCAAAUCUGUGAAUAUAUUAUUCAGAAUCAUCACCAUUUUUCAGAACCACGAACAUUUUUAGAAAUCUGUAGAAAAACUCAAAUGUACAACCAUUUAUUUCUAGUUUGUGAUCCUUUUUUCCAAAUUUAUGAACUUUAAAGAAAAUCAUGGACAUUUUUGGAACGUGUGGUUAUUCUUUUAAUGUGCAAAUUUGUUUAGCUAUAAAAAUGAAAAUCAUUUUUCUCUUUCUAAAUCAACUAGGUAUGUGCCCGUGCGUUGUCACGGGAGCCAAAUCUUAUAAUGCACAAUAAGAGCAUAAUAUACGGUGACAAAUCCUGUUGUUUUUGAAGAUGGUUUUUAUAAUAAAAAUCGACGAGGAGGCUCGUUGUUUACGGAAAAAUACUGCCAAAUUCUUCAAUUGGUAGUAAUUUGGAAUGCUACAUCAAUAGAACUAAAUUUUAUUAGUUGGGGAAAUAAAUAAUGACCUAGUACACAUUAUCAGUCUAAUGAGAUGCAUACAGAUUAUGCAAAAUUGGAUUCUAAAAAAAUAGCACACUCCAACGUCAAUAGAUAGGAACUGCUAAAAUUCGGGUCACAUUGUACAUUCACUGUACCAUGUGACUUGCUAUACCUUUGUGUUUACCUACUGAUCUGAUGUACAAUCCUCGAUGCAAAUGAAUCAUAAAGAUUAACUUCCUUCUUAAAUUAAACAUGACCCAGUUUCGUCCUCUCUGCUGAUUGUGCAGAUGGUAAGUUCCGUCAUGCCAUAGCGUUUGAUAUGGUGAUUGUUCUUUCUGGUGAACUUAGUGGAUGAUAAUGCUUUGACAGUAGAUAGGAUGCAAGAGGAUCAGCAUGUAUAACUGAUUAGAAUUUUUGUAGAGAGAAAACAUAUUAGAAUUGGCUAAGUUGGUGCAACUAAAUAGCAAUUCACAUCCCAAUGCCCACGGGGCAAUGACUGCCACGUAGCAGUACUGCCUUGAAGAGUGACAUCGGUUGGUACAUCGGCUUCUUAGCGAAGCUAGGACCUGUCCAUCCUUCGUGUUCUUGAUCUUGGCGCAGAGUACGUUGGGGAUGUGGCUGAACAGAUAGACCGCACAGAUGCUGCGGAGAACAAGCAACGACCUCACCAAGGUUAGCCAGCAGCACGUUGACGAUGACCCAGUUUGGAAGCAAAGAUUGAGCGAAUCCAUUUACGUCAUGACAUGCAUACACGGGGAGAGAAGAUCAAUCAAGCGAGCUACAUGAAGGAGCGGUGAAAAAUCCGAUCAAAUGAAGGAAACAACACUUGCAAAGAUUCGCCAUGCCGUCCAGGUGUGCGGUCGAGGCGUGUGGAGGCGACAACGGCUACUCCCUCCGUCCAAAAAUACUUGUCAUUUAAAUUGAUGUAUCUAGACGUAUUUUAGUUCUAGAUACAUCCAUUUUUCAUCCAUUUUGAUGACAAGUAUUUCCGGACGGAGGGAGUACAUCGGUGGCAGCAUCCAGGUCGUGCUAUUCCGGCGCGUAAGGCUUCAUUUCCGUAGCAUCGGAUGUAGCAGAUAAAUGGCGACGGUUUGCGACGUGGUUUUCGGGCAGGUGAUUUCUGAUGCGAUUUUAAGGGAAGGUGUGACGCCCAUUGACACAUGUAAUUAUGGUGAUUGCGAUUCUUUAAGGGAAGAUAUGACUCCCAUUGGCGCAUAUAAUUAUGGUGAUUGUGAUUUUUAAGGGAAGGUGUGACGCCCGUGCUUCAUUGGGUCAUGUAAUUAUGAUGAUUGAAUCGAAUCGUCACUUGCCAAUCGAGAAAAAAGGUAGAGUGGAUGGACGAAGGUGGGCAGAACGCGGUAUGUCUGGCAGGAAAACGAACCUUAGGUUCUUUUUAGAUAGUAGAGAGUGCCAUCGGUAGGUACAUCGGCUGCUUAGCAAAGCUAGGACCUGUCCAUCCUUCAUGUUCCUAUCUUGGCGCAGAGUACGUUGAUGAUGUGGCCGAACAGAUGGACUGCACGGAUGCUGUGAAGAACGAGCAACGACCUCACCAAGGCUAGCCAGCAGCAUGUUGACACAUGACCUAGUCUAGAAGGAAAGAUCGAGCAGAUGCAUUUACGUCAUGGCAUGCAUAAACAGGGAGGGAAGAUCAAUCAAGUGAGCUACAUGAAGCAACAAUGAAAAAUCCGAUCAAAUAAAGGAAACAACACUUCUAGAGAUUCGCCAUGCCGUCCAAGUGUGCAGUCGAGGCGUGAGGCGGCGACAACGGCUACAUCGGUGGCAGCAUCCAGGCCGUGUCGUUCUGGCGCGUAAGGCUUCGUUUCUGCAGCAUCGGAGGUGGCGGAUCAAUUGCGACGUGAUUUUCGGACAUGUGAUUUCUGAUGAGAUUUUAAGGGAAGGUUUGGGGCCCAUUGACGCAUGUAAUUAUGGAGAUUGCGAUUCUUUAAGGGAAGGUGUGACUCCCAUUGGCGCAUGUAAUUAUAGUGAUUGCGAUUUUUAAGGGAAGGUAUGACGCCCGUGCUCCAUUGGGUCAUGUAAUUAUGAUGAUUGAAUCAAAUCGUCAUUUGCCAAUCAGGAAAAAAAGGUGGAGUGGAUGGACGAAGAUGGACAGUCAGAACGCGGUCCGUCUGGCAGGAAAUGGAACGUUACGUUCUUUUUAGAUAGCAGAGAUGGAAGCAGUGGCGGAGCUUCAUUGGGGCUAAUGGGGGACCCUCAAGUCUGAUUAGCCCCCUAAACAAUCUUUAUCAAGCUCUGGCAGUGGGUGGAGGCCCCAAGAGGCCAAACAAACGAGGCAACCACCUAGCAAUUACCGGAGUGAGGCGGGAGACCGUCCGACCGCGGCGACAGAGUCGAAUGCUACUGGGUUGUGACCAACCUAGCGCGGCAUGAGUGAAAGCCAUCGUGACCGCCUGAAGGAGAGCUCCUGUUCGGCGCCUUAUGCGCCCAAACAGCUCCCUAGCGCCUGAAGGAGAUGUCUACUGGGCCGGCCCAGAAACCUUCGCUUGAUAAAAGUUCAUUGAUUUUUUAAGUUCAUCAAAAUUGAAAAAAGCUCAUCGAACCUGAAAAAAAGGUUCAUCGAAUUUUAGCAAAGUUCAUCAUAAUUGAAAAAAGUUCAUCAAAAUAUAAUAAAAGUUCAUCGAAUUUGAGAAAUGUGCAUCAUAAUUCGAAAAAGUUCACCGAAUCUGGAAAAUAGUUCAUCGAUUUGUUGAAAAAAGUUCAUCGAUUUCUAAAAAAAGCUAAUCGAAUUAAAAAAAAUCAUCGAAUUUAGAAAAAGUUCAUUGACUUAAAAUGAGUUCAUCGAAUUUGGAAAAACUUCAUUGCGUUUGCAAAAAAGUUCACCGAAUUAGAAAAAAGUUCAUCCAAUUUGAAGAAAAGUUCACUACAUUUGAAAAAAGUUCAUCGAACUUGAUAAAUAGUUCAUCAAAUUUUGGAAAAAAGUUCAUCGAAGUUAAAAAAAAGUUCAUUAAAUCCGGUGAACAUUACGAAUUAGAAAAAAGGAAAAAAUAAAAAUAAAAAAUAAAAAGAAAAUAAGCAAGAAAAAGAAAAGAAAGAACAAAAAAGUUAAGAAAAUGUACUUGAUCAUAAAUCGUUGAGUGGCAGGGUGGUUAUCACGUGGCACGCUGAACCGCUACGGCGCGGGUUCGAGUCCUCCCAGUAUGUGUUUUUUGCAUCAGUUUAGAAAGAAAGAAGGGAAUUUGGGCCGGCCGGCGUCGCGAGCGGGGGUAUGCGCCCUGUACGAUUAACAUUGUAUUCGGCGCUGAGGCCGCCAAAUAGUAUUUGGGCGCCUGAAGCGCUGAACAGGCGCUCCCCAUUUCAAACAAGAACGAUAAGGGCUCCUCGUCAACGCCUUCAUGGGCCGGCCGAAAACAGCGCGUAGUUUGGUAGUCAAAAGUCGCGGUUGACCAGUCUGCCCAUUGAUUUUUAAAAUACGCAAAAAAAAUCCAAAAAUUCCAUGAAUUGAAAUUUUUCAUGGUUUAAGAUACUCAAAUUCAAAAAUAGUUAGAAAAACAAGGUUUUGAAAAGAAGUUCAAUGAUUUGAGAACAAGAUCAUUGAUAUUUUAAAAAGUUCACGAAUUUUGCAAAUUUGGAAAAAGUUCAUCAAUUUUUCUAAAGUGAUGGAUCUAAAAAAAGUCUAUUGGUUUUGGAAAAGAAGUUCACGAAUUAUGAGAAAAUCAUAUGCAUGGAUUUGAAAAUAUAAGAUUGAUUUCAUUAAAAAGUGCAUGCUGUUUGAGAAAAAAGUUUGUAGAUUUCGAAAAAAUUCAUCGAUUUUGAAAAAGUCCACAAACUUAAAAAAGUCUCAUCAAACAUAAAUUUUUUAAAAAGUUCAUCAACUUUGAAAAAAAUUAGGAAUUUGGAAAAUACUUUAUGGAUUUAUGUUCGUCAAUAAUGAAGAAAAUUUCACGAAUUAAAACUUUCUUCGAUUUUAAACAUAAGUUCACGAAUUUGGAAAAUGUUUGCGCAUUUAUGAAUACAAAAUAUACAAAUAAAAAAUAAAAAUAAAUUAAAAGGAACAAGAAAAAUGAAAAAAAGAAGGACCGAAUAAGGGUGGUUCGAAAACUGACCACUGAACCUAAAAAACGGUUUGCGAAGCUUAUGGAAGCUUGGCAAACUGAGGGCUUGUGCGAACUCAAGAAUGAAGAAAAGAAAAGGAAAGUAAAUAGGCAUAAGUGUUACUAUAUCCUAGCCUCCUAGGUCUCAAAAUCAAAUCCCGUCGCCUGCACCCUUAUUUUGAAGUUGAACAGAAAAUAGAAAGGUAAAUGGGUAGGCCCAGCGAGGAGGGGGGGGGGGUGCGCCGGUUGGCGAAAUAACCUUUAACUGAAGCUGCAAUCACCAAAUAGGGUUUGCAAUGAAUGAUAUGUAUUGCUAAUUUUGCGGUAUGUAUCAUCGACAAUGCUCCGUAGUGAGACACAUGGUUUUGCACCAGUUUUGGAGGCAUCUAUCCGGUUUUUGGAAUCCUCCAGCAUUUUUUCCUAUUUCCUUGUUGCUUUUAUGGUUUAUUUUUUAAUUUAGUUUUUCUAUUAUUCUCGUUUUUUACUUUCACUUUUUCUGUUCUUUCUCACUUUUCUGAAUUUUUAAAUAUCCAUUCAAAUUCGCGAACAUUUUUCAAAUUGGCCAAAAUUUUUGAGUUUACGAUAAUUUGCCGAAUUCCUGAAUAAUUGUUAACAUUUCGAAAUUUUUAUUGUAUUAGCGAAGAUUGUCAAAUUCAUAAACCAUUUUAAUCCAUUUUAUAAAAUUUAUUGAUAUUACUGAAAAUAAUGAGAAUUUUUUAUUUUAUGAACUUUGUUGAAAUUUGUGAUCAUUUUUCCAAUUUGGGAACAUAUUUUAAAUUGAUAAACAAUUUUUCAAUCUUUCAACAUUUUCUGAGUUUGUGAUUCUAUUUUGAAUGAUGAACAAAUUUUCAAUCUGUGAAUAUUUUCUGAAUUUGUGAAUCUAUUUUCAAUGACAAACAAUUUUUCAAUCUGUGAACGUUUCAUGAAUUUGUAAAAAAAAUGCAAUUACAGACAUUAUUGCAAAUUCAAAGAGACAUUUCAAAAUUGUGAAGUUUCUUCAAACUGAAGAAGAUUUUUUUCAAUGUCAUGAAUAGUUUUUUAGUUCACUAACUUCUUUUUAUUGACAAAAAAGUUCUAACUGGGACAUUUUUUGAAUGUGUGAAUUGUUUUAAUUUAUGAACAUAUUUCCAGUCAAUGAGAUAAUUUAUUUCUUUAAAACCCUUUUGAAUUCUUUCUUUUUCAAUUUUGUGAACAUUUAUGGAAACUCAUUAAUAUUUUUGAGUCCGUGAGAAUUUUUUGUAGCCACGAAUAUUUUCAAAUUCGUAGACACUUUCUAACUUCAUUGACAUUUUUUUAAUUCACAAACAUCAUUUAAAAAGUCAAUGAUUUUUGAACUCAAGUAAAUGUUUUAAAGUCGUGAACAUAUUUCAAAUUGGGAUUUUUUUUGGAAUUUGGAAGAUUUUUUAAUUCACAAAAAAAUGAUUUAAGAACAUAUUUUUUGGAAUCACAAAAAAAUAUUGUCCUGAACAUUUUUGUAUUCCAAAAUUUUUUGUCACCCUAUAAAUUUCUUUAAAAUACGUGAACAUUUUCUUGAAAUUAGAACAAAAUCUCAUUUUUAUCAUUUUGAAUUCACUGAUAAUUUUCGAAUUAGCUAUUUUUAUUCUCAUUUUUUAUAAAAUCUCAAAUUUUUGAAAUUGAUUAAAGCAUUAAAUUUAUGAACAUGUUUUUAAAUAAAAUAAAAAUGAAGUGAAUAAAAUUAAAAAUUAAGAAUUAGUGAAUUAAAAUUAUAUUUUGGGAAAAAAAGAAAAGAGCAACAAAUUGCAUUUAGGCUCUAGUAGCUAGCUUCCUACCUAGUUGUGCACUGAUGGGCUGCUGCAUCGAGUACUGUUGAUCUAUAAGAUCAGUCUAGAGCCUUCUAUACUACAUAGCCAUGUGAUGCCUAUUUCAAACACAUGAGCUCGUGGGCCUUCCCAAGACCUGGGCCCUAGGCGGUGGUCCCUUCCCGCCUAGACCUAGAACCGGCUCUAUGCCGAUGAUGGCGUGCCGGUAUCGACAUGGUCCCCUCGUGCAUGGCUACGCUUUAGUUCUCGGCCAAGUGUGGUCCGGGUGUUGUGCCCGACCAUUUGGAUGGCAAAGUGUGCAUCGACAAUGACUCAUCGAUGUAUUGUCUGUGCUGGGUUGAGUAGGCAGGGUCAACACAACACAUGGUGGCGAGCGAGGUCAGAAGUGGCUACGUACGGGUCACAAUGAUCGCGUUAUUAUAGGAAAGCUCCUAAUAGUUGGGGUGAAGACCUUAGGUAUGAAUCGAGAUGGUUUUACCUAGCAAUGAUGGUUUUACCUUAUUGAAGACAUUGCUCGAAUAUGCACAGACUUGUUCUUUAGCGUGAAAACUUAGAACCUAGCAUUUGGUAAUUGGACCUGGUGAUAGCAACCGUUUAAGCGUCGUUUUCUUUCUGAAGGUGUUGUUUCUGAAGAGCAUUUCUCAUUGUCCUUGUGGUGUCAAGAACUCAAGAUAUGGUUGGUUUGGAUUUGGUCGUUGUUUGUCGAUAGAUGUUUUGGCUGCUUCGUUUUUCUUUCUUUUCCUGCUUAGGUUUAGCGUUGUUGAUCUUAUAUGACUUUGCUAUUUGUUGGUGUCUUUAUUUAUGUAUGUGCAUUGAUAUUGACUUGUGCAUCCUAUAACUAUACAGAGGUCUAGUAUGUGUGCUCCUUAUGCUUGUAUCCCUUAUACUUCAUUUUGAGUCAUAGAAAUCCACUCUUUAUCGAACAAUGGUAAUCUCCCAAUGUGCAUAGAUAUGUCUAGCUUACGAUUUAUCCUCUGAGCGCAGAAUGUCAAGGAGGGUUGCUUAGUGGCAUCCACUCACCUCGAACUGAAUAGGAGAAGGGGGUGGCGGAGAUGAGAUGAGAGAAAUACUCCAUCCGUCCCAUAAUACAGGAGAGGAUCGCUAGUGUAAAAAAUGUUGUUAUAUUAUGGGACAUAGGGACUAGUAUUUGUUCCUUUUCCUGAUCAAUUGAUUGCCACUUCAAGUCAAAUGGUAUGGGAGAAAUGAGUGGAGACCCCUCACGCGAAAGAAUCGAAUUGCAGAUUUGGGGGGACUGGAGAAGAAACAAUCGAGGGUUUGCUUUCCGUACGAGAAACCUCGACUAUACGGUAGAUGCGAGUGCACCGGGUUGCUAGCCUAGAAAUUCUUUUUCCUGAGUAAAUUCAGAUUGUUUUUCGCUGAGUGAAUUCAGAAUGCCAGCCGGCAUUGUGUGGAACUGUUAAAAAUCACUAAUUAAGACAUACUCCUUGCAAAGCUCACUCCCACAUUUUCAGUUUGUGAUGUACGCCACUUGUCGUGCGUCCAAAUUUCGAAUCAUUUUCACUAUUAGAUUUCUUGCCUCGAGAUCUUCAAAACUAGAUCGCAUGUUGAUAAGUUUUGACGAACUUUUUUUCACGAAAAAAACCGGAUGAAAAAACCGAACCGGGAGCAUGGCUUUUUCCCCUUUCCCAAAGAGACAAGGCAGUGCCUUUCACGAAAUCACAACCGUGCCUCUCCGUAAGAAAAAAAAACAGAAAACACAUUCUCCUUUCCGUUUCCGAAAAGCACGGCCGUGCCUCUCGCGAAAGCACAAUCGUGCCUCUCGCGGAAGCAAAACCGUGUAUCUCGCGAAAGGAAAAAAAAUAGUAAACAUGUUUUUUUUCAUUUUCGAGAGGCACGGUCGUGCUUCUCGCGAAAGCAAAACUGUGUCCUCGCGGAAGCAAAACCAUGCCUCUGGCGGAAGAAAAAAAAACAGAAAACACGUAUUUUUUCAUUUCCGAGAGGCAUGGUUGUGCCUCUCACAAAAGCAAAAACCGUGCCUCUCGCAGAAGUAAAACCGUGACUCUCACGUAAGCAAAAAAACCGCAUAUUUUCGCACAAAUUUUUUUCGGCGUCCAAAAACUAAGGAAGACUUGUGAAAAACUAGUUUAAAAAGCCGAAAACACGUGCAAAAAAAAAAUAAAGAAUCUGAAAAGAGUGCCCAAAGCGCGACACGUGACGGUGGCUNNNNNNNNNNNNNNNNNNNNNNNNNNNNNNNNNNNNNNNNNNNNNNNNNNNNNNNNNNNNNNNNNNNNNNNNNNNNNNNNNNNNNNNNNNNNNNNNNNNNNNNNNNNNNNNNNNNNNNNNNNNNNNNNNNNNNNNNNNNNNNNNNNNNNNNNNNNNNNNNNNNNNNNNNNNNNNNNNNNNNNNNNNNNNNNNNNNNNNNNNNNNNNNNNNNNNNNNNNNNNNNNNNNNNNNNNNNNNNNNNNNNNNNNNNNNNNNNNNNNNNNNNNNNNNNNNNNNNNNNNNNNNNNNNNNNNNNNNNNNNNNNNNNNNNNNNNNNNNNNNNNNNNNNNNNNNNNNNNNNNNNNNNNNNNNNNNNNNNNNNNNNNNNNNNNNNNNNNNNNNNCAAUGGUUAAUCCCUAAAUAGGAGAGGAUUUCCUGCCAAGAAAAGGAGAGGAUUUGCCUUGUUGAUUCUUCCCAUUAAUUAUCAUAUUUGUAGACUUGUUUUUAUGUCACUAGAUGCAGUGAACGCGUCUAGGUUCAUCCUCCUGAUACAAUUUCAUAUAUUUUUAAGAGGCAUUUAUUAUUUAAAUAAUAUAUUAUCUUUCCUAUUCUUUUUUACCACAAGUGCUAUCCUCAAUACUCAGCUAUUUUGUUUUAAUGGAAUUUAUUAGGAUAAGCACGGGCUUCAUGCCAUGUAUCCAUAUAAAUUGACUAUUUGCUAGGAUCAAACACAAACAGACAAGUGAAAAGAGUAUUGCAUAGUGUUUUCUACUGCUCUAUGUGAACUUAGGCGAUGGCAAAUAAUAGCAUCCUCCAAGUCUUCAUUGUUUUUCUCAUUGCGCAAGUUUGCUUACUCAUGAUGAUUGAAGCACCGGUAGCGCGGGCAGCUGGCAGGCUUAAGCGACUCAAUCCAGUUUGCUGCCCUAAGGAAAUCUUUUGUUGUGCGUUCGGUGGCAUGAUGUCCAAUGGAACUGCGUCCUCCACCAAUCCUUGAUAUUUUUUUUCAUUCUCCUCCGAGCUAUAAGCUAGGGCCUAUAAAAUAUGCUUCAACGUGGUCGUGUUGUUUCUUAUAUAUAAUUUUUGUUAUUAGUUUCAAGAAAUAUUAUGUGUAAGCUAUUUUGCUAAUAAAAGUGGAGGAGAUUGUUAUCUAUGCUAUUUGCAAUGUGCCGCAAAGAGAUUUGAAAUUAUGUUUAAUUUAGUGUUUUUAGAGGAUCAUAUCAUCCUAUAUUUUCAUGGUUAAACACAUGUUACGAUAAUAAAGGUACCAUCCGUAGUUGAUUUCAGUUUACUACUUAUCAUAGCAGUUGACCCAUCACAUGAACUCACAGUUUCACUUUUUCUUAAGGUGCCUUUGUUCUGUUGGUAAUUUUCAAAUUUUACAUUUUCAUUGGUGUUUCUUUUUUCUAGCCCAUUUUUGCUUCAUCUCUUUUUUAGCAUUCCUCCCAACGCCUUGACACCCCAACCAUGCAUGUGUACUGACCCAAUUUAGGUGAGGCACGGUGGCCAAGGCAUCAUGCCUGCUCAUGUAUUUGAACACUCAGUUGUUUCGUGGUACAGAGGAGGACCUUCUUGCUCAUGUGCCACCAUUUGAAGGAUCUCGGUGCGGCAGUUCCACCAGGAUGUCCUCCUGAGAACAUAGUCGGACUCCUCAAAUUGAUCGGGUAGGUGCGGGGACAACUGAGCAGAUAUGAGAGAGAAACAAAAAGUAGCAAAAGGUUGACCCAACCGGAUCCCUCAUAUCAUCCAUAUACGCCCGGGCUGUCCAUGAACUCUCAUAUCCAUCUCAAAUAUGGGGAGGAUAUGAGGCCUCGCGGACGCGCCCGGGCGUGCUCGGUCAGUCCGCCACAUAGGACGAGUCCCCACCCCGGACCACAUUUUCUCUUUCUUUAUUCAUUCUUUUCUUUCUCUUUCUUCAUCUUCACCAAUCACAUGCACGUGACCGAACAUAUGGGGAAGAAUAGCAUACCCCAUAAAAGCCACAUAAACCCAAUUUAGUUUGAUUUAUGCCAAAUUAGUGUUUGUUUCCUAUGACCUCCCGCCAAGCAAUGGGCUAGGAGUACAUGAUUUCUGUCAAAUAUGUCAUGUUGGUUGGUUGUUUCCCUUCCUUCAAAUAGCACCAGCCUUCUGCCAUCCUACACGGAUGAGGGUACAUGAGGACUUCUGAUUGGCCAGGCGGAUGUCCGGACAGCCGCAAAGUUCCCGCAACUUCUUGUCCUAUUUGUGGGAUUCUAGACAGUCACACGAGUCCACGGACAUACGCAAGAUGGGUUGGACGGCAAACUGCGUCCAGACAGUUCGGUCCUGGUGUUUGCGAGGCAUUUGAGGGUCGUCUUUGGAGUUGCCCACAAGGGCCUCUUCGAUUCGUAGGAAUUUCCAAAUGCAAGAACAAGAAAAAUACAUGAUUGAAGUGGACAAUCCUAUAAGAUACAAAAGGGAGCGUUUGAUGCCAAAGAAAAAAAAUUAGUAAAAGAGGUUGGAGUGUAUGAACUGUAGUACAUAUAAUUUCUUAAGAAAAAUCCCUAUAGGAUAUAAUCCUACAAAUCAAACAACCAACCUAGAAAUACUUCAUAAGGAAUCUACUCCUCCAAAUCCUAUGAAAUUUGUUCUUUUUGUGUGUGGGGAAAACCUCUAAUCAAUUCGUGAAACAUCAUGGCAGUACAAAGAACACCCAAAGUAAAAGAAAUCACAUCCAUGUCCGUAGAGCACCUAGCCAUGACUACAAGCACUGGAGCGAGCCGAAGGCGCGUCGCUGUCAUCGCUCCUCCCUCGUCGAAGCCAGGUAAACCAUGUUGAAGUAGAGAGUCAGGAAAUUGACGAGCUAAGGCCUCAAUGGUCCAGCGCCAGAAAGGAAAACUGCCGCCGAUGAAUAGAAGCGUAGAUCAAAAGCGUUCAACCUGUAGACACAAGAAUGCAAAUGAAUAAAAACCUGAUCCAAGCUGAUUCACCAAAGACAAACAUCGACUGAAUCAUGCAACAUCCACCACUGAUAGACUUCCACACACCCUCUGACAAUGUUACAUGCACAACCGAGACAUGGGUUAGGGGGAGAACCUUAUAACAUAUUCAGGGAGCCGCCACCGUCGCCUUGUCUUCCUGAACCCUAAAUCUUAAUCUCCAAGUGCACACAUGGGGGGCUGCUGAGUGGCCUCGGCUCUCCUCGAAUCCAUUCAUAGAAAGGGGGAAGGAUAUGGGAUGGUUUGAGUACAAAAAAUCAUCACAAUUGGGGCUAGAUCUCAUAUACCACUAGACUUACUAACAAUCACAAUAAAACAAUCAAAAUUGAGACAAGGUUGUAAUAUAUAGCACUACUCUGUAGCUAAACGUGUUCUAACAUCGAAUCUGACCAAUGGGACGACCCACUUAUCAUGAUGACAUGGCAUGUACACGUGGAUAGUUUAUUUGGUUGGAGGUCUCACUAGUCAUCUUGCCGUCUUAUUUCCCUCUCUCCCCCUUCUUUGUCCAUGAGAAGCCAAACACCGACGAAAGGGCAGGCGAACAUUGGGAGGUAGGGGUGAUUGGCGAACCCAAUGCUUACUCUCCCCUUCCUCCCCACCGCUUCGUCCUGGAGGUUGAAGCACCGCUAGAGAUGGGAGCAGCGGUAUUAGGAUUUGGGAGAGAAAGAGAGGAAAAGAAGAUGGAAGGAUGACAAGUGGGACCCUCGGCCAAAUCAUCAAAUUAUCUACGUUUAACAAUUUUCAAAUGCAUGAUUAACAUUUUUAAUAUAUUUGUUUUUUACGCCUACUUGUUUCCACAGACCUUGUACAUUUGGUUAUACAUCAUAAACAUGUUAUGUAUAUAUUUUAACAAAAAUCAAUACAUGAUUAAUAUUUUUGCAAACAUAUAUUUUAAUAUCCACUUUUUUUCAUGCACGUUGUACAUUUUCCGUAUACAUUAGAAUGUUUUUGUAUAUAUGUUUAACAUGUUUCAAAUGCAUGACUAACAUUUUUAAUUUUUGACAUAAAGUGAUAUUUCUAUCAUAUAUAUUUAGAAUAUUUCCAAAUAUAACUAAAAGCAAAAAAAGAAAUUAGAAAACAAAAGCAAAAUGCGAAAAACUGAAAGAAAACGAGUGCUUAAUGCCGCACAUGCAGGGUCGGCCCUGUAACGCAGGUUAGAGAGGUUCCCGCGCCCACACGACUGCACAUAUGGACCGGGCCAUCGCGUGUGACACGAGCGCUCAACAGCGGGAAGCUCGUUCGGUUUGGGUCUGGUCGAAAACAAAAAUGCUCGGUGGCUUUGGGUCUGGUCAACCGUUUUGAACUAAAAAAAUAUGUAUCAGAAAAACCAAACAAAUAGCCAAAUGCGGAAAAGAUUUGAAUUCAAAUAAUUCCAUGCAUUUUGAAAAAAUGCAAAAAAACUCAUGAUUUUGAAAAGGCACUAAAUUUUAAAAAGUUCAAGAUUUUGCUAAAAAAAGUCAUUGAUUUUGAAAAAAAGUAAAUUGAUUUUACAAAUAAUCAUAAACUUUGAAAAAACCCCAUGAAUUUUAAAAAAGUUCAUCAAUUUUUAUAAAAGAUAGCAAAAUUAAAACAAUCAGUGGAUUUUAGAAAAUCAUCAAUUUCAGAAAACAAUUCACUAGUUUUAAAAAAGUCCACCGGAUUUUAAAAAAAGGUUCAUGUAUUUGAAAAUAAUUCAUCAAUUUUGAGAAAAAAAGUUCAUGAAUUGAAAAGGUUCAUCAAUUUGAAAAAAAACAUGAAAUUGAAAAGGGUUCACCGAUUUUCAGAAACAAUCAUAAAAAUGAAAAGGUUUAUGAAUUUGAAGAAAGUUUGCGAAUUAAGUGAAAUAAAGCAAAAAAGAAAGGAAAACGAGAAAACAUAGAAAAAAGGCCAAAAAUAGCAAAACACGAGAAAGAAAAACCAUGGGGCGUGAUGUUUUUUUUACUUUACAUUUACCUCAAGAUGAAAGAAAGAGGUACAUGGGAACAACAACCAUGUUGGUGCAAUGGUUAACACCACCGUGUCGGAGCAAGGAGUGCUGAGUUUGAAUCCUCUCCAUCUCACACUUUUUUGAACCUUAGAAAGAAAGGAAAAUGGGGAAAUGAACUGAACCCAGGGCGGUGGGGGUGUGUGCGCCAACUAUCACAAAGCACUAUAGUGGAUGCUGAAGGCACCAUAUUGGAAUUGUUGAGUGCUCCUGCCGUCUCGCGUGAACCACUUCUAUGUAUCGUUGUAAGCAACUGUGUGAGCUUGCUCACCUACGAUGACCCCUUCGUGGGCCUGCCCGGUGAGGAGAGCGACACCCUCCCAGUCCCGAGCCACGUGUGGGGCAUGUGACAUGUACAUCUCGCACUUUUUUGAACCUUAGAAAGAAGGGAAAAAGGGAAAAUGUGUCGAGCCUAGGACGACAGGGGUGUGUGCGCAAGUAGUAAAAAGCACUAUGACGGGAAGCUGAAGACGCCGUAUAGGAAUUGUCGAGUGCUCCUGCCGUCUCGCGUGAACCACUACUAUCUAUCGUUAUAAGUGACUAUGUGAGCUCGCUCGCGUACAGCGACCCCUUCGUGGACAUCUCGCUACUUGAACCUUAGAAGAAGGAAAAACAAGGGAAAAUGGGUCGAGCCCAGGACGGAUUGGGGUUUGUGCGCCAAGUAGCAAAAAGCACUAUGAUGGGCGCUGAAGGCGCCAUACAAAAAUUACCGAGUGCUCAUGUCGUCUCGCGUGAACCACUACUAUGUACCAUUAUAAGCAACUACGUGAGCUCGCUCGCCUAUAGUGACCCCUUCAUGAGCCUGCCCAGUGAGGAGGGCGACACCCUCCCAGUCCCGACGAGCCACGUGCAGGGCAUGUGACAUGGAUGUCUUUUUAUUUCUUUCUUUUCACAAAUUAAUUUUCGUUUUUUCUUCCAUGACCGGUCUAAAAAAUAAAAUAAAAUGUGUUUAUACUUCUAGUUAUUGAUAAAGUUCGUGAAAAUUAAAAAAACUGUUUCCGGGAAUAAAAUUAUCCCUGUAAUUUAAAUUUGUUCAUAAAUCUACAAAAAUGUGUUUGAUUCCUAAAACUGUUCAUGAAUACGGAAUGUCCAUGAAGUAGAAAAUAUAUUCAUGAUUUGACAAUUUUUUCACUAAUUCAUUAAUUUUUCAUGAAUAUAAAAAAUGGUUGUGAUUCAAAGAAAAUGUUCGUGAAUUCAAAAACUGUCCACGAAUUGAAAAACGGUCCACUGAUUCGAACAAAUGCCCGCGAAUUCAUUAAGAUGUUCAUGGUUUUUAAAAAUAUUCACAGAUUUUCAAAAGAUAAUCGAAUUUGAUUUUUUAGAAAUUAUCACUAAUUAGUAAGAAAGAAAACGGAAACAAAAAAAAAAUAGAAAGAAAACUGAAAUUUUUUCAUGAGAAAAUAGAAUAAGGGAAAAGAGAAGAACCUUCCGGAACCUUCCCAAAACCGAACGGAAGGUUCGCAAAAGCGUUCCUGUUUCUGGAUGUGAACAGUUCACAUCGGAGCGUGAGUUGGCGAGUUCUUGCUUAGUGCUCACUAAGGCGAUAGAUAUCAUUUCUGACAUAAUAUGAACAGCCUAUAUGGACGUCCUAUCAAUAGGCCCGUGACGCCUAUUUUAAGAACACGAUCUCGUCGGUCGUCAUGAGGUGGUGCAUGGCUGCUCUUUAGUGCUCCACCUCCACGCCGUGUAGGGCCCUGUCGGGAGGUCCUAUUCGGCGUUGUAGGUGUCUGAACCUGAAAAUGGCGCACCUCGUGAAGCAGAGCUCGGGUGCAAGAACCUCAACGUUCAACGACGAGGUUACGAGGGGCUGCUUGUCACCUCGCCUCGCUACACCUCACACCAGUAAGUCCCGUCUUUCAUCAAUGAUGGUUCAUUCGAGGAAAUUAACAAUAAUAACAGUUUGAUUGUCGACAUGUUCCCACUCCCAGGUUGAACUCUACUGUCCAUGCCAAGAUCGGAGACGUCAGACUGCACAUUGUUGGCAAGGAUGAAUACGAUGAUGAGCUUCCUGUCAAGGAGCCGAGGUUUUUGCAGAUUGAACAACCUAACCAUACACUUCCUAGACGAGUACAGGAGGAUUUGCCGUCCAAACUAGGCUUGGACAUCCGGGUGCUGCUACCCACCACAAAGGAAAAGAACCCUGCAACCUUCUCAAGAGAUAUAUCAUCGUUCAGCUCUGAGUCUUGAGGUGGCAGUGAAAUUGACCUCCCUUUGUAAGUAUGAAAAAACAGAAGUAUAAACAAGUAAAGGGUUCUGGAAAGUAACUUAUGUUCCAGGACAAGUUCUCUUAAGUUUAUAUAGCAUGGUGAUUAGAAAGAAAUUAGAACUUGAGCAUUGGCGGUGAAUUAUAUAUCUCAAAAGAGUGAUCAAACAGAGAUGAGAGAGAGAGAAGAUAAGGAGUAUACCCUGACUUGAUUAAUUGCCGUAGCAGGUUCGCAUUCCCUGGCCUCCUCUUUAUGUAUCUUAAACUCUCUCGCACCUUCUUCCCGGACACACACACACACACACACACACACACACACACAAGGGCACAAGGUCCUUCCUUGUGAACCUCAACACGAGGAGGUCCUUUUGUCGUCCCGCCUUCAUGUCUGUCUAAUGUUUAAGGAAUUCUAGUUCGUUCGUUACAGAAACUGUAGUACCGAAUACAUCAACUAGGUGUGCGCCAACGUUACUGCUACCAUGUUGUUUUGUCAUUGUCUAACUUCCCUCCUCGCAAGGCCGAGCAAAUAAUAAUACUAACUAACAAAAAGGCCCGUCCGUUGCAACGGGAGAGAAAAUACCACACACUCUUAAUUUAUAAAAAAUGUUCUAUAAUCUGAGAAUUUGUAGUUAUUUCUUAAAUACAUGAAGAGUUAAAAAGGUUGUUAAAAAGAUACAAGAUUUUUUAAUCAUAAAAAAGAUUUUUUUUGUCUGGAAAAGAACAUUUUUUAUGGUCUCAUGUUAACGCAGGUACUUGCGCCCCUAUUUUAUCACUAUUUUUUGCCAUACAUGUUGUAGGUAUUGGUCCCUGUUUCACCAUAUUUAUUUCUUAUUAAACUUGUCUUUUAUUUUAUUUUUUGUCAUGCAUGCCUCCUUUUUACUUUUUUCAUGCAUGUCCUCUUUUCCUUCUUCUUAUAUAUAGGAGAAUAGCGCAACAUCUCAUCUUUAUCGGAUCUCCUCUGCAAUUUCUCUUUUAUUUUUUUAUAGCGGACAUCCCAUCUUUGUUUGGUCCUUUUAUUUCUUGUAAUGCAUGUCCUUAUUUAUUGGUGUCUCUAACAAAUUUAUCUUUAAUUUGAUGUCCAAUCCUGAUUUUGCUGAGGUGUUCAUCCCCAGUCUGAAUCAGUACCCUAUGAAAAAAGACAGAUAAUGCAUUGUUGAUUAACAUUGCAGCCUAGAUAGUGUUUUUAAAAUUGUUAACAGGUAAAAUAACAUCACAUUUAGAUUCUACAUAUUUUUUAAUCAAAUUUCAUAUAUGAUAUGUUAAAUUUGGAGUUACGGUUUAAAAGAUAUGAGUAUUUUAAAAAACAUUUGAUAUGUACUGCGGAUAUAAUGUCAGAAACAUCAGGGGUUUUUCUACAAAAUAGCAUGAUGGACUAAGAAAAUCUAUUUCUUUUAUUAGUAGGUAUAGAUAUGAUUGUUGACAUGUUCCCAGGUCGGUCUUUAUUAUACAUGCCAUGAUCAAAGGCGUUGUAUAUUGUUGGGGAGGAUUGAUAUGAUGAUGAGCUUCCCGGUGAGGAGCUAAUGUUUUUGCCGGUUUAAGUACAUGAAGAUCUGCUCGUGCCUUGAUGAGGUCAUUCAACCAGAAAACCAGCAAAACGACGGUGAUCAUCGUCCAACUCCAAACCAGGCUUGAGCUUCCAAGUGUUGUUGUCUGCGAAAAAGCAAAAGGUGCCAUGUAAACAUGGGUACAUAAUCAAAUCCGAGAACUAGUAUAUAUAUGUGCAAUUGAGAAAGAUUUCACAUGUAUCUACGUAGGUAGUCGACCAGGGUAGGGUGCUUGAGCUUUGUAAAAAUAUCAGAUUAGAGAACUAACAUGACUUUUUGGAGAAGAGUCGCGUGUGUGUCAACAAAAUCUUAAUUCUUUAAAAAAGUUAUUAGAAAUCCAACAUUUUGAUCAGUCCACUUGGCUUCAGUGUCAACAUGAAAAAGAAAUCAUGAAAUAUUCUAUGUAAGAUUUUGGCUCUAGCCUUUCCAAGCGUGUGAUCACAUAGGAAACAUGAGAAACUCUAGCACACACAAAGUCAUCUCUCACAAAAUGUGCUUUAUGGGCCGAAAGAGAGGGACUAGAUGUAUGAUGUCUCCCAUAUGGUAGAUUUGUGUCCAUAUUCAUCUUUCUAUCAAUCAUAGAUUGAAUUUGAGUAUAUAUGUUCCACUCUACGAAUAAAUAAAUAAAUGAAUUUGAGUAUGUGUAUCAAGGCAGUAAGGAUAUACUCCCUCCGUCCGAAAAUACUUGUCAUCAAAAUGGAUAAAAAGAGAUGUAUCUAGAACUAAAAUACAUCUAAAUACAUCCUCUUUUAUCCAUUUUGAUGACAAGUAUUUCCGGAUGGAGGGAGUAUUAGUUAAAAAAAAACUAGUCUUAGACAGACCAAUGUUGUGACUAUGUGUGCAACAUCUUUUCUCGUUACCACGAAUGUUAAGAAUAUUGUCAUAUAUUACUACAUUUAUGAAAACAAAAAUUGCAAUCUCGAAUUGCUAAUGCGAAUAUAAAGUUCACAGUUUGUAAUAGACGUGCAUAGUGUGAUUUUAUAUAUGCAACCAAGUUGGAUAAUAUUUUGAUUUGAUUAUUAAACAAAACACUCACAUCUGACAAAACAAAUCGUCAACUUGUAUUAUGCAUGGGACAUGUCGACGCUAGCUUCAAAUUCCAAAUUAAGUUACAAGAUAGCACCAACUCGGCUAACUUUUAUCAGAGUAUACAAUGCAUAAUAGUGUACUUUGAACCGGGAAAUAGUGUGAGGAAUUGUGUGGUGAUGCAUAAGAGGAUCAGACCCCCUAUAUUGUGUACCGCACCUGAAUACAAUAUAUGUAUCUUUACUUAUUUUUAUGUAUUAAUUGUAGACCUCAAUGCAAAUCUCUCUAUACUGCCAAGGUCCAAAAGUUGAAGUGAACUGAGUGAGGCUUAGAUGGUUAGGUUUCAUGUAGUGGAACUAGCCCACCAAAGUUCAAGUCCUAAAUUUGGCACUGCUGAUCAUAUUUUUUGGAUUUAUUUCAUGCUUUCUCGCGAUGUACAUUCUGUGGGAGGAGAUGUUCCUGUUGAUUAUGAUUUACGAGACGCCUAUAAUGACUUCACCAAUCUCAAGAUGCCAUGCCGCCUUAGUAUCUCGGAGGUGCUCAUAGUGAUAGUAUGUGUGCACGCGCGCGUUCAUAGGGAUGAGUGUAUAUACGUGUAUGUGGGCAUAUGCGAUUGUACUGUGUUCAUUUUUUUUUACAAAAGUUGGCAUCCUUAGAUAUCGUGUCAUAUAUCUACAAGAUACGAUCGCUAAUGAUGAAUUUAUCUUCUACACUUUUUAUUCAUAAGUAAUCCCUGAAUUAAUACAAGAGGAUUUGCAUGGUUAAUUCUUCCAGUAAUUAUCAAAUAAUGUAGAUUCGUUUUUAUAUCCAAUUCGAUGGGCACUAGAAGUAGUGAACGUGUCUAGAUUCAUCCUCCCAUUAAAUUUCAUAUAUUUUUAGUAGGCAUUGAUUAUUAUUACUACUAUUCAAGAAAUAUAUUAUCUUCUCUAUUCUCUUUACUACCAAUGAUAUCCUAAAUAUCCAGAUAUUCUGUUUUAAUGGAAUAUUUUAGGAUAAGCACAAGCUUGAUGCCAUUGUAUCUAUAUAAAUCGAGUAUUUUCUAGGAUAAACCAUAGACAUACCAGCGAAAGGAGUAUUACAUAGUGUUCUCUACCACUCUCUGUGAACUUAGGCAAUGGCAAAUACUAGCAUCCUCCAAGUCUUCAUUGUUUUUAUCAUUGCGCAAGUCUGCUUACUCAUGAUGAUGGCAACACCGAUAGCGCAGGCAGCCGGCAGGCUUAUGGGAUACAAUCCAGUUUGCUGCCCUAGGGACAUCUACUGUUGUGGGUUUGGCGGUGUGAUGGCCAAUGGAACUGCAUCCUCCACCAAGCCUUGAUAGGUGGUUUCAUUCUCCUCCGAGCUAUAAGUUGUGUUGUUUUUCAUAUAUGUAAUUGUGUUACUAUUUUCAAGAAAUAUUAUGUACAAGCUAUUGUGUUACUAUUUUCAAGAAAUAUUAUGUACAAGCUAUUUUUCUAAUAAAAGUGGGAGGAGAUUUUUAUAUAUUACCUGUCUCAAUGCACAUCUCUCUGUCUUGACAAGAUCCAAAAGUUGGCAUCCCUUAGAUAUUGUGUCCUAUAUCUACAAGAUAUAGUGACUAAUGGUGAAUUAUCUUGUACAUUUAUUAUUUUCUAUCCAACAUACCCUAAAUACAAGAGGAUUUUGCUUGGUUAAUUCCCCCCAUUAAUUAUCAUAUCUUGUGGAUUUGUUUUUAUAUCGAAUUCGGUGGUCACGAGAUGCAGCGAAUGUGUCUAGGUUCAUCCUCCCAAUAAAUUUCAUAUAUUUUUAGGAGGCAUUAUUAUUAUUAUAAAGAAAUAUAUUAUAUUUCCUAUUCUCUUUACUAUUAAGUGAUAUCCUCAAUAUUCAGAUAUUCUGUUUCAGUGGAAUUUAUUAGGAGAAGCAUAAGCUUCAUGCCAUUGUAUCUAUAUAUAUCGAGCAUUUUCUUGGACCAAACACGGAGAUACCAGUGAAAGGAGAAUUGCAUAGUGUUCUGUACCGCUCUUUGUGAGCUUAGACAAUGGCAAAUAACAACAUCCUCCAAGUCUUCAUUGUUUUUCUCAUCGCACAAGUCUGCUUAGUCAUGAUGAUGGCCAUGCCGAUAGUGCAGGCAGCCGGCAGGCUUAUGGGACAUGAUCCACCCUGUUGCCCUAGGGACCCCUGGUGUUGUGGGUUCGGCCGCGUGAUGGCCAAUGGAACUGAAUCCUCCACCAAGCCUUGAUAUGUGGUUUAAUUCUCCUCCAAGCUAUAAGCUAUGUCCUACAAAAUGUGCUUCAACGGUGGUUGUGUUUUCUUAUAUGUAAUUUGUGUUGCUAGUUUCAAGAAAUGAUAUGUAUAAGCUAUGUUGCUAAUAAAAGUGGGAGGAGAUUGCUAUCUAUCUUGCUUACAAUGUGCCACAAAGAGAUUCAAAAGUGUUUGCCGUAGUAUUUUUAGAGGAUCAUAUCAUCCUCUAUUUUAAUGGUUAAGGACAUGCUACGGUCAUAAAGGAACCAUCGGUAGUUGAUUUCAAUUUAUUACUAAACAUAAAAGUUUAGCCAUCACAUAGAGUAGCAAUUUGUUGCAGACAUGGACCAAAUACCAUAUUAAUUCAUUUAUGCCAUUGCAUCUCAGCAUAACUGAUGCAGAACCACGGAGCUAGUGUUAUUCGCACAAGGUUUCUUUUGGCAGUCCGACGCUGAUGUAUUUGCUGGACCGUGUCAAAAAAUCGUUCAAGAGUCGACAUAUAGAUUAUGCCCCCUGCAUCAUACCUUCGUUUGAUGCCCCUGAUUAAAUCAUACACUAAUUAUACACGCAAAUGUGUACGAUUAAGAUCAGAGACUCACGGGAAGAUAUCACAACACAACACUAGACACAAAUUUAAAAUAAUACAAGUUUUAUAUUACAAGCCAGGGGCCUCGAGGGCUCGAAUACAAGCUCGAUACACGAGCAACUUAACCCCAUGCAUGUCCCUCGGCCCCCGCCAAAGAAAUCUUACUCAACCGAGCUUGUAAAACUACAAAGAGAGUCGAGCAACUUGCUAAUCUAUGGGAACACGCCGUCUGGCCGAUUGUUUCAUGGCAAUGAGAGGGGGGUGGAACUUCACUCAUGUGUCACCAUUCAAAGGAUCUCAUCAGCGCCAGUUCCAUCAGGCCGUCCUCCUGACACGAGUGAGACACCUUGGGGUGAUGAGAACGAGUAGAGCAUGCAAAUCAGACGUUGGAGAAAAUGCUCAGGUCAGGCACGUUCGUCGUGUGCCAAACCUUGGACAGGGGCGUGUCCUGGUGGUGUGCUUGUUGAAGUUCCUGGUCGAGCUCUGGUUUACUUUCUCGUUCAUGGUCUUCGGUGUUGUUUGAGCUUAGGUGCGGUGUGGUACGUAGGAGGUUCCGGGUGUGCCUCGAUUCACUAUUUUGGGCAGUAUGACGUACCGUAAAAAUCUCCUGAGAUUAGGCUUCCAUUGCCAGAGGAUCAGCUCAGCAGCAUGCUCAUACCAUCUCGCCUGUGCUAGAAUCAAUCUCCCUGCAUGGUCAUGGACAGGGAGCCCUCCUUGUCCAGCCUGCUCCGUAAGCUCCUAUCCACCGUUGAUUUUGAGCACACCCACAUCUAAUAGGCCAGGAACUCGAAUGUAGGGCUGGAACUUUAGUCGUUGUUCAGUCUUUAGCUACUCCCAAAACAACUUUGCCCAGGUGCACUCGAAGAAGGCAUAUAUGUGCCAUAGCUUCCUCUACUCCUCAUGGUUCGUAGAACGCAGGCCGCUCGAUGUGUCUAUCUCGUAGGAUCGCCCGGCAUGGAACAAAUUUGUGGAUCACCCUCAACGAGAAGUUACAUACUUUCGGUGGCACCGCUAGCUUGCAGAGCCUUCUCUCCAGCACUUGUUCACCCUCUCCCCUGAAGCUCGAGGCCCUACCAUUAUCCACACUUCUUGGCACCAAUGCUCUGUAAGCAGAUCGUACGGUGCAUUUUCCAAAAUUUCUUGAGAUUCGAAGCCCAACUGUCCUCGGCAAAAUUCUCGACUGGCAUCUGAUCUGCAUAUAGCCUCCACGUCAGGUGCAACAAAAUUCGCCUCAAUCACCUCCAUGUUCAAGUGCUCCGAGUCAUGAUCAAUAAGUUCGUGCACAGCUUAAAAUCCUCCCAAACUCUGAUUGAAGCUCCAUCGCCCACGUAUGCGACGAGCUCGUUUCUUGGUGGUUUGUCUGUAGUAUGUGGAGGUGGCAAGCCAUGUCCUGGAGACCGUAGACCACAUCCGGACGACGACGUCUUGAUUGACGUCUUGCGACGCAAAGCUGUGCCAGUCUGGUCGCGACCAAAUCAUGGACACCGAGGCCUGUGGCAAUCCCCGCGACACGGAGACCCACAUAGGCGGCAGCCACAUCCUCAAGGUGGAGAGAGACCUAUCACCUAUGAUGAUUCGGAGGAAACCUCUCACCAUGCUAUGCCACCCACGACAACCACAUCCCUAAUUCGAUGUGUUAAUAGUUCAUGUUGGAUGGCCUCUCUGAAUCGGGCUUGUCGAUGGCAAUUCUUCUUCUUUGGUGUGCAGGUGCCCAGAGUGUAGCUUUUGAAUGUGAAUCUAAUGGCAUUGGUGAAUAAACACUGUAAGCUGGUGGUGAAUAAAAAUUUCAGAAGGACAUGAGUUUAGUUUUUGCGUUGUUGUCUAAUAUAUUUGGUCAGACUGUUAUGAUUUCUAAUUUGAGGUGUUGCUUGGCUGAUAGAUGCUGUAAUUUUGUUUCAGAAGCAAAAUAUAACUGAUCGGGUAAAGGGGGAAGACCAUCACAAAUCAGCAUAAUUUCAGAGAAAAAAAAAGAAUCCACUUUCCUUGUUUGUUUUAUCACAUCUGGCACUCCCUCUGUUCACAAAUAUGUUCUGUGUAUUUCAAUAUGAACUACAAUAAUACAAUGAACUUCACUGCACAUAAAGGAUAGCACCAUAUAAUGAGAACAGAUUCGGAUUACAAUACCCAGAUAACAUGUCACUUCUUUAGUGAUCUAAACGAUCAGCGGGAGUAGUAGUUUUACACUCUACAUUGGGGUGAAUUUCUUUAAGAGAACACCUUUUAUUGGCCAAAGGUCUAGAAACUGAAUUUUCUUUAAGAGAAAUGCACCCUGUUGAAACAAGUCAGGCUACAAGAAGUGCAGUUCCUUCACAUUCAGCCAAUAAAAAGUGUACCGAUAAGAAUUUUACUCUGAUAACACACACUAUAUAGGCUUCAAACAUUGUGCUAGAUAAGAUAACUAGCUACUAACUCCAAGGAUAUCAGCAAACAUCUCUUUCCAUCCAUCCCAAUCCAGAUACAUCCAAGUGGCAAGCAUUGUAGGCAGUCCAUAUACCAGGCAAUUAUUGAAUCUUUCUCUUGCACGACAGAAGCGCCUAAAGAGGAGAUUACCAAAAAUAUUAUACAUCAAUUUAGAUAAAUUAGGGAGAGCAGAUAAAUCUGCAUAUGUAAUUUUGUGGAUCAUACCAGAGGGCAUCACUGGGAUUGGGCUCAAUGUGUCCGAAGAGAUGGUGGAUAAGCUCCCUGUUCUCUCGGAAGUACUUGUUACGCGAGGGGAAUCUGCUAUCAAGCUCAGCGAGCUGGUAGAAGAGGUCGCGCUUCUUGGUCUCGACUUCAAUUAUCUGACGACGGCCCCAUGCUCUCUUGGCGUCGAGGUCUAGCGCAGGUUUUGCAUUUGGUUGCUGUCAACGGAAGAUGAAGGUUAUAGACAUCGAUUGAGCUAUACUACUCCCUCCGACUUCAGAAAGAAGGCAUGCCAUUUUGUCUGAAGCAAACAGUGCACAGUUUGACCAGAUUUGCAGGAAAAUUUGUCAACAACUACAAUACUAAAUAAAGAUAAUAUGAAAAAAAAAUCAUUGUGUCUGCCAAUUUUUUUGGUUAAUCUGUUAUGUUUGGGGCCAAUCACUGGGAGAUUUGACCAAUUAGCAAGGCAGUAAGCAAGGGUUGUUACAUCCAGCAUGGAGUGGGUAAUUUGCAGAGUCACUAGAACAAUAAAUCAACCACCAGUCUAGUUAAUUAAUUAGAACUCGACGGGGGAGAUUUGACCAAUUAGCAAGGCAGUAAGCAAGGGUUGUUAGAUCCAGGAUGGAGUGGGUAAUUUGCACAGUUACUAGAACAACAAGUCAACCACUAAUCUAGUUAAUUAGAACUCGACGGGGAGAAAAUAUUGGGUUGUAUCGACCAUACAUGCAGGGUGCUGUUGCCAACAUCAGCGCCGCCGGCGGAGGCAGACAAAGGCCGGAAACGAAAAGGGAUAGGCUGACGGCCACCGUAGAUGAGCCUUGGCAUCAGCCGGCGACACUCAACCUCGACCAGCGGCGAGACGGCGGGCUUGUAAACCGCCUUGCCGCCGCUGAGCCUUCUGGCCGCGUGUCGAAUCGCCGCCGCCAUCGCCUUGUCUGCUGCCUGCGUUUCUUGCCGAUCUAGGGUUCGGUUCCUUUUUUUUUGUUUUGAGAUAAGUUGGAUUCCUCCUCUGCUUUUUUUUUUUGAGACAAGGGUUCCUCCUCUGCUUUUUUGAGGGUUCCGGACCGAACUGCCAGUACUCCCAACCCCACAGCCCAUUCUGUUGGUUGGUAAGUACGGCCCUGCUGGAGAUUUUUUUUUUGCUUCAACCAAAAAACGAGGUUUCAUUUAGCAACCCACGGCGAAUCUAUUCCCCCGCACAAGACAUCUACAUCUGGACUUAGCAAAUCCGGCCCUCUAAAUAUUCACGGAAGUGCCAGUUUGGACUUGUCUGUUUUAAGCCCCUAUUUGUCUGUCCAUGUAGCUAUACCUAUACACCUCUUUUUUUUUCUUAUAUAUGUCCGGUCACUCAUGUGAUUGAUGGAGAUGAAGAGGAGAGAAAAAAAAGUAAGAACAAAGAAAGAGAAAAGGUAGUCUAGGAUGGGUUAUGUCCUACGUAGCGGACUGACAUAGCGCUUAGUGGGCCCUCAUAUUCUCCUCGGAUUUGGUAUCAAUAUGGGGUUUCCGGAUAGUCCAGACGUAUACAGAUGAUGUGAGAAGCCUAAUUAAGUAAAAAAAAAAUCCAUCUCUCUCAUAUCUGGCCACUACCGAGCGCGUCUGCGGAUGUUUGAGGAGGCCGGCUGUAGAUGCUCGUGGCCACUAGUUUUAGGAAGGUUCUAAACCUUCCUUGAAUUUGGUUUUUCUUUUAUUUAUUCCAUUCAUCUUCUUUUUCCAUUUUUUAUUUUGUGAAUUUUUUGUAAUUCAGAUUUUUUUAAAAUGUGCCAACAAUUCUCAAAUUUGUGAAUAUUAAUUUCAUUUUGGAAUAUUUUUUGAAAUCAGAGAAGUUUCCCAAAUUCAUGAAUAUUUUUUGAAACUUGGGAACAUAUUCAGAUUUUUUGAAAUAUUUUCAAAAUCUGUGACCAUUUUUCAAUUCAUAUUUUUUGUGAAUCUGUAACUUUUUUAAAAUACGGGAACAUUUUUCAACUUGGGAACAAUUUUUGAAAUGUGGGCCCUCCUAUUCUCCUCGGAUUUGAUAUCAAUAUGGGGUUUCCGGACAGCCCAGACGUAUAUAGAUGAUAUGAGGAGUCUAAUUAAGUAAAAAAAUUCUAUCUCUCUCAUAUCUGGCCACUACCGAGCGCAUCUACGGAUGUUUGAGGAGGCCGGCUGUAGAUGCUCGUGGCCACUGGUUUUAGGAAGGUUCUGAACCUUCCUUGAAUUUGGUUUUUCUUUUAUUUAUUCCAUUCAUCUUCUUUUUCCAUUUUUUAUUUUGUGAAUUUUUUGUAAUUCAGACUUUUUUUAAAAUGUGCCAACAAUUCUCAAAUUUGUGAAUAUUAAUUUCAUUUUGGAAUAUUUUUUGAAAUCAGAGAAGUUUUCCAAAUUCAUGAAUAUUUUUUGAAACUUGGGAACAUAUUCAGAUUUUUUGAAAUAUUUUCAAAAUCUGUGACCAUUUUUCAAUUCAUAUUUUUUGUGAAUCUGUAACUUUUUUAAAACACGGGAACAUUUUUCAACUUGGGAACAAUUUUUGAAAUGUGGGCCCUCCUAUUCUCCUCGGAUUUGAUAUCAAUAUGGGGUUUCCGGACAGCCCAGACGUAUAUAGAUGAUAUGAGGAGUCUAAUUAAGUAAAAAAAUUCUAUCUCUCUCAUAUCUGGCCACUACCGAGCGCGUCUGCGGAUGUUUGAGGAGGCCAGCUGUAGAUGCUCGUGGCCACCGGUUUUAGGAAGGUUCUGUACCUUCCUUGAAUUUGUUUUUUCGUUUAUUUAUUCCAGUCAUCUUCUUUUUCCAUUUUUUAUUUUGUGAUUUUUUUGUAAUUCAGACUUUUUUUAAAUGUGCCAACAAUUCUCAAAUUUGUGAAUAUUAAUUUCAUUUUGGAAUAUUUUUUAAAAUCAGAGAAUGUUUUCAAAUUCAUGAUAUUUUUUGAAAAUUGGGAACAUAUUCAGAUUUUUCAACAUUUUCAAAAUCUGUGAACAUUUUUCAAUUCAUAUUUUUUGUGAAUAUGUAACAUUUUUUAAAAUACGGGAACAAUUUUCAAAAUCAUGAGUUUUUUAGACCAGGAACAAUCUUCAAAUUCCUAUUUUUGGAAAAUCCAAUUACAUUUUUCAAAUUCAUGAUUUUCUUAAUUCAAGACAUCUUCUGAAAUCCCAAUGAUUAGACCAAAGCCAACUCUAGUAGUAACUAAUGUAAAAAAUAAAAAAAUGCCAAUUUAAAUAUGGAUGCAACUAAACUCAAAGAUAUAUAAAACUAACACAUACGUCAAUUCACUUCCGAGUUACCUCCGAGGUAGCACUUUCUUUAUCGCCAUGUAGCUAGGCUUCGAUGCUCCAUUAAUUCGUCCACCCAUAUAUGAUAUAUCCCAAGAGAUAUCGACCCAAAGUGUAGUUCUUACUGCUGGUCGAGGUUCAGAGCACCUCAUAGCAAAGUUUAGUCAGAGACGUACUCGCUUCCGGUGCAUCCACAUCAUAUAAGUAAAUAGGUUCUUGCUCUCAAGCGAGAAAUGAUGCAUCAAGAACUUCAGGAGAAGGUCGCGUCCUUGAGUGUGCGUAACUUGCCAGUGCUGGUGGGUGGCGAUUUCAACUUAAUCCGAUCGGGAGCGGGUAAGAACAAUGGAAUCAUUAUCUGAACAAGGGUGUCCUUGUUUAAUAAUGCGAUAGCAUCUAUGGCCCUUAGGGAAGUGGCUCGCGUGGGCGCAUGCUACACCUGGACCAACAACAACAAGCAGCUAACGCCGGUGCGGUCUGUGCUAGAUCGGGUUUUCAUGUUCGCGGAGUGGGAAAUGUUAUUCCCCAUGUGCUCCCUCCACGCUGAAACAAGGAUUGGUUCGGAUCACAUCCCCUUAAUCCUGUCCUCAGGGGAGGAUAGGUUAAAGAGUAGUCCUCGUUUUUACUUUGAAACUACGUGGUUCGAGGUCCCGGAUUUUGAGCAAAUCUUCCUCUCCAAAUGGGAGACAUGCGUGGCCCGGAUCAGGCAAACGCGCGGGCCAAUGGAGUUUUGGAUUGCCGCAGGGGCGGGAAUGCGUGCGGCUCCCAAAGGUUGGGGGGCCAACCAGGGCCGCGAGGAUAAGCUGCUCCGAAUGCGUCUGACCGCAGACCUCGCCCGUAUGGACGUGGUUGCGGAUGCGCAGGGUUUCUCGGAACAAGACUGGGCCCAGCGCUAUGCGGUUGAAGCCCAAGUUGAGUCCCUCCUUAGGGCAGAGGAGGAGUACUGGCGUAGAUGUGGUGGCAUCAAGUGGGCGCUCAAGGGAGAAGCGAACACUAAGUAUUUCCAUGUGCACGCUAAUGGUAGACGCCGUAAGUGCGCCAUCCUGCGUCUGCAAUCCGAGCAGGGGCUCCUUUUGCGCCAACAGGAUAUCGUCCAUCACAUUUAUGAUUUCUACAUCCAACUGAUGGGCUCCAGGGAGGAGUCCCGUGCUUGGCUGCGGGCGGAUGUUUGGCAUCCUGCGUUGCGGGUCACGGACGAGGAGAAUGAGGGCUUGGGGCCGGCCUUCCUCCCCCACGAGAUUGAUGUGGCGGCUCUUGGGAUAAAAUCGGACACCGCACCGGGUCCGAAUGGGUGGCCGGUGGCGAUGUUUAAACGAUUUUGGCAAGUGCUUAAAGGGCCAAUUUUGACGUUCUUAAUGGGUUCAUGCGUGGUAGUGUAGAUAUCUCUCGCUUGAACUUUGGGGUUCUAUCUCUGAUCCCCAAAGUACAGGGAGCGGACUGUAUUAGACUUUUUCGACCGACAACACUCAUUAACGUCCCGUUUAAAAUCUGCUCUAAGGCUUGUUCCACGCGCUUGUCUCUAAUAGCUCACCGUAUUAUUAGUAGGAACCAAUCAGCUUUUAUUCGUGGUCGCAACAUUUUGGAGGGGCCGUUGGCCCUUCAAGAGAUCAUUCACUCGCUCAAACGCACUCGACAGCCUGCCAUUCUUUUGAAAUUGGAUUUUGAGAAGGCGUACGACCGAGUGAACUGGGAGUUUCUUCGACAAGUCCUCCUGGACAGAGCAUUUUUGUCGGUUUGGGUUCACCACAUGAUGCAAUUGGUCUCGGGCUAAACGGAGAUUGCGGUGAAUGGAGAAGUAGGGAACUUCUUCUGCAACAAGCGUGGGCUGCGUCAAGGGGACCCGGCCUCGCCGUUGCUCUUUAACUUUGUGGCAGACGCCCUGGGCGCCAUGCUAGACAAAGCUCGUAUUGCGGGCCACAUCAGGGGAGUGGUCGGCAAUUUGAUCCCAGCUAGGCAUGUCACACCUUCAGUACGCUGAUGACACUCUUCUCCUUUUCGAGCCGGACCUACACAGUAUCGCAACGGUCAAGGCCAUUCUUCUUUGCUUUGAGCUUAUGGCUGGGCUAAAAAUAAACUUUCACAAAUGUGAAGUGGUGUCCAUAGGGAUGGAUGCGGCUGAAAGCCUGCGGGUAGCCAAUUUGCUUAAUUGCAAACUGGGAAAACUACCUUUCACCUACCUCGGCCUCCCGAUCGCAGAGAAAAAAUGCUCGAUUGCCGAUUGGGAACCUCUUAGCACUAAGGUGGCACACAGGGUUUGCCCGUGGAGAGGUCAUUUUAUGUCUUCGGGGGCUAGACUUAUCUUAACUAAUUCCAGCCUCUCGUCCCUGCCUAUGUUUGCCAUGGGUCUGUUCUUGCUGGCUGACGGGGUCCACACCAAAAUGGACACUCCGCGGGCCUAUUUCUUUUGGGAAGGAGCGGGACCGAAGCGUAAAUAUCAUAUGGUUAAAUGGCAGGCCGUUUGUAGACCUAAAGCCCGGGGGGCCUCAGGAUCAUCAACUCUAAGUUGAUGAAUAUUGCACUCAUGUGCAAGUGGAUCUGGAAGCUGUCUCAGGGAGAGACCGGCCUCUGGAUGGACCUCCUACGUGCCAAAUACUUCCGUGAGGGGAAUUUCUUUGAGGCAGCAUCCCAUGGAUCUCCUUUCUGGAACUCCAUCCAAUCCCUAAAACCGUUCUUCGCCAGGGGCGCGAGGUUUUAGGUUAAUAAUGGACGCUCCACGCGUUUCUGGCACGACACUUGGAUAGGCCAACAACCUCUUUGGUCGGAGUUCCGCCAACUAUACUCCAUCACUGUCCAGCCCAACCAAUUGGUUGCUUCGGCUCUAAGCUCCUGCCCGCCCCCUAUCCACUUUAGAAGGGAGCUCUCGGGGCCUGAGAGGGAGGAUUGGGAUCGCCUUCGGGCUAAGAUAGCGGACGUGCGCUUAUCAAACAACACGGAUACGGUGUCCUGGAGGCUUUCGGGCUCUGGCAAAUUUACUGUCAAUUCCCUAUAUAGAGAGCUGUCCCGAGGCCACGUCCCUAUGGCUGCCUCGGGGCUUUGGAAGGCUCGAAUUCCUCUCAAUAUCAAGGUUUUCCUCUGGCAACUUUGUCAAGACCGCCUCCCUACUUCAAUAAAUAUAGCCAAACGCAAUGGCCCGGCCUCCGGGCCUUGUGCUUUGUGUGGUGUCCUGGAAGAUGCUGACCACGUGUUCUUCUGGUGCUCUUUGGCGCGCUUUGCCUGGAGCGCGGUCCGCAAGGCCGUGGGUGUGGAUUGGGAUCCACGCUCCCGCCCCAAGCUCGUGUCGUCUUUGUCCUUGGUCCAGGGUUCUUCGCGCCGUGUUAUGUGGACAAGUGCGGCGGCCAUGUUGUGGGCUUUGUGGCAUAUUCGUAACAAGUUUACAUUGAGGGUGUGUUCCCCUCUCACCCCGCUGACGUAAUCUACAAAUGCAUCUUGUUCUUGCAGCAAUGGGCCCCGCUGGGAAGACAACAAGACUCUGAUCUGCAUCUCCUUGCUCUUGCAUGCCUUCGCUCUGUCUACUCCGCGCCGCGAGCCCCGUCGCCUCCUUCCGCUGCCUCAUAGGGAUGGGUAGCCCCUUUUGGAAGUGUUUCCUCCGAGCCUGUGUGCUCCUAUGUUGGCUGGACACGCCAUGUAAUGCACUUUAUUCCUUCGCCGUUUCCUCUUGUGGUGUGUCUGAGACCCCGGAAGACUAGUUUGUUUGUGUUUGUUGGUCGUUUGGUUGUGCACGCCGCCUAUGUUGAGGGCUUUAUUAAUUUAAAACCGGACGUCCCUGACGUCUAUGUUUUAAAAAAACGAUGCACCAAGCAUCGUGGGCAUGUCUCCUCAUAUAUCUGCGACAAAAGGGUUAGAGAAAUGUGGCACAAGCCAAGAAAAAGAAAACCAAGCGAGUCAAGCGCAAAGCUGGAGAAAGUAUUGAUCAGCCGUCAGCGAGGAAGAUCUCUGCAUCAGAGAAUCUAUGUCGUGAUAUGAUUGUAGUUGGCACGAAGGAUGACCCUCUGGACUGGAGAAGUGUGCCCCUUAAACAAAUGUAGAGCAGAAGGCUCCUGAAGAAGUUGCUCAACCGGAGCAGUGUGCUCCAAAUGAGGAAGCUGUCGCUAGUGAUUCCCAGAAGAAAAAGCUCCUAAUAAGAAAGAUGCCUCGGCAAAACCUCGUUCUCCAUAAGAAAUCCCUGUGGAUGAAGCACUUGAGAAUGCAGGAGCACUUGAUUCUCCCUCUAGACAUGCUUUCAUUCCCUCUGUCAGUCCCUUUGUGGAUGUUGAAGAAGAAGAAGUGGAGCCUCAUACUCCGAAAGAGAAACAAGAUGAUGUUGUUCCAUCUCAGCCAAGUGCAUAGCCCAGAUAGUUGCAUAAAAGGCCCUAGUGCUUUCCCCCGAAGAUGAUGCUCAAACGAUUGCUACCGAAAAAUCCUCUAAGUCCGCAGUGGCUGCCUCGUUUGUAGUCAAUUCUCGAGGAGGAAGAAGCAGAAAUUGCUGCUAGCACUGAAGAGGAAGUUCUCCCACGCUAUCCCAAGCAGAAACUGCCGAAGUUUGAUUCUUGGAGAUCUCCUUGUACUUUAAUUCAACAUGCUGCAACACAAGGCAAAACUUACUUACUUCAGAGAAAGCCCAUAUGAUGGUUAUCGCACAUCUCAAUCUGCUUGGUUCUGGAGCAAUGACAUCUCUUGAUGGAUCCUGCUAUUGCUGGAGAUAUUGCCAAGCCAAUGCGAAAGUGAAUGACCUGGCGUAUAUCAACACAACUUUCUAUCCGAUAAUGAGCAAAACUCUCUAUCCCAAGACGGGAACUCACUCUGAGGACUUAAUCAAAGGGAUAGUUGAAGCUCUCUUUUCUGGUCCUUUAUUGAGUUUGACAACAUAUGUGCGUCUCUCCGCUGCUUGAAAGCACAUAGUGUUGGCGGCCCGGCGUUCAGGAAAUCCCUCUCAUAGCAUGGGAUGAUCUGGCGGCAAAAAAAUAUAAAAAGGGAUGAAACAACACAUGGAUGAGGACUAAAAAAACAUGGAACUAAAUGGGGAAAAUGAGAAUUCCCAUAGAUUGGAUGUUUUGAAUCCCUACACUAGAAAAUCACCAAAUGAUGUGCUGGUUGCAUCCUUGUUUGCGCAUGAGGUUUUGCAAACUGUGCGUGCCAUCUAUGCACUUUUUUUUAAAGUUAUAUAGUUCUUUUUUUUUAGAAAAGGAGGAAGACCACGCCUCUGCAUCUGGACGAUGCAUACAGCCAUUUUAUUAAUUAUUAACACACGUUACAAAGUCAUACAACAGUAAGACUAAAGCCACAGUCUAAUCAACAUUUGUCGCUACUCCUAUCCAGUUGAUGAAGGGGCGCUCAUAGUCUGGGCCUAAUAACAAACAGACCUUGCAGACAAAGCUAACAUCUAAGACCAGAGGUCCCAACCAGGACGCCUGCCGGGUUUGGGCACCCACCAGUCCGGCGUGCUCCUCAACCAGGACGCAUGUCGGGUAUGAGGCCGCUGCAACCACCCGCCACCAAUCCAUCUCCAGAGCUAUACUGCUGCAUCUACCUUGCCCGGUUUAGCUGCCACCACGAGCCAGACAACGUCACCCUCCUGCUCGAGUCCAUCUCCGCGCAUCGUGCGUCGAGUCUCCAUGCGCCAAGCCGCGGAGAUCCGCCGUCAUCAAUUGGCAAGAUAAAUCAUCGCUCCUCCUCUUGUCCCCUCCAACCAGCACUUGCUCCAAAACGAUGCCCCCAAGAGGGAGAACGACAUCGAAGGCGCCGUCAUCGUCCGAUCCGGUAGACCCAGAUCUAGGGUUUUCCCUGGAACUACCCGAUCAGGUGGACGUGACCUGCAACGACGAUGCCUCAAGAAGGCAACGACGUCCGAGACGCCGCCAUCGUCCGCAAAGACCGCAUUUAGGUGCGAUUUUCAUCGGAAGCCACGUCGUCCCAAUCUCGUGGCUGGCUGGAACCUAGCGGAACAUCGCCAUGAAGACAUAUGGUGCCAUCGGAAAGCCGGUUGAGGACCUCCGACUGCCCCACCCCGGCCCCAUCACGCGCCGCCGGCCGGCCAUAGCCGAACCACGACGGCUGGCCGGGACGCUAGAUCCAUGGCCACUGCCGCUGCCCCUCGCAUAGCGGAGAAUCCCAGCGGAGGACCUCGCCAGCCCUGGGUUCGCCGGCUGUCGCCGCACAGCCAGGACGCCGCCGUGGCUGCCGCGCAAAGACCCUGCACGAGGCGCCCCGGCCGCCUGAUAGGAGAUCCGUCGCUUCCCUCAUGCCCUAGCCCUUUAGGCGUCGGGCGCCGCCACCACCUCGGCCAGUGCCGGCGGCAGCGGCGGCAGAGAUCUACCUCUCGGGAAGGCUGCCGGCGCGAGGACUUAGGUCCCCCUGGCGUCGCCCUGGGUGGCGGCGCGAGGGGGUCGCGAGGAUAUGCCAAUUACAUUUAAAUGACUAAUAAUAACAGUUAAAACACACAUACACACACACAAAUUGAGAAUGUUUAUGAAAAUAAAGGAGUGAAGUUAAAGUCUAAGUGGUAAACGAUAAAAAGCAAAAAUAUCCAAGGCCAAAAAUGAUCAUUUGUUGUAAUAUCAGGUCUAAUACAGUGGUUCAAUUCAUAUUUAAUCGGAAAAUGUAUGUAUCAUAAAAAAUGCAAAGAGAAGGGCAGCACCGAAGGGUUUGAAGAAAUCGAAUGAAGAUAACCUGAUAUUGUUUCGUCUAGAAUGAAAAAUGCUGCAAUAUACAAGAAUCUGGAGCUCUCUUCACCAAGUUUGCACCAAUUAUUUUUUGCUCUCCAAUUCCACAUCAUAGAUUGCCAUUUGAUUAAGGUCUCGAGCUUCUGUAAAAGAGUGUUGUCAACAGGCAUUUUCUUUCCUCAAUGGCAUCCAGGUAAAAAAAGUACUACCUCCAUCCAAAAAUAAGUGCCCCAAACUUAAUACAAAUUUGUGCUAAACUUAGUAUAAAGUUGAGACACUUAUUUUGGGACGAAGGGAGUAAGAUACUGAAAACUAGCUGGAGAGAAAAAAGAAGUCAAAACAAGAGUGAGAUACAGAAGGAGAGAAUUAAAAAACCUAAGGAAAAGAACAUAGUUUAGCUAUCUAGCAGUCACCAGACCUACAUUUUUUUUGCGCAUAAGUCAGCAGACCUACAUUUACAUUUUUUAAACUAAUUACUGAAAAAGGUGAUUGCCAAACAGAGAAACAAAGAACUGAACAUUAAACUAACAAACAGAGAAAAUUGAUCUUGUCUCGAUGGUCAAUGAAUAAUGAAGAAGAACGGUUGAAAAACUGAGGAUGAUCAAAAAAUGGCUUAAAGGGGAGACUGAAGACUAUAGAUAAAUAACUAUGGAUGCUACCUGAGAAAUGAACUAAGGAAGAAGGACUGAUGAAUGACAUUGCAUUAGUAGAAAACAGGGCUUUGGUUGAGGCCUGGGUAAGGGCAUUAAUCCCGGUUCGCUCACGAACCAUUGGUCCCGGUUCGUUCGACCCCUUUGGUCCCGGUUCCAGACACGAACCGGGACCAAUGGGCCUCGCUCCUGGACCAACACCUUUAGUCCCGGUUGGUGGCUGGAACCGAGACCAAAGGUCAGUCUUUUGUCCCGGUUCUAGCCACAAACCGGGACUAAAGAGAAGCCCAUAUAUACCCCCGCAAACAAAGCCACUGCUCUGUUUUUCUGACCGGCCGUGGGAGAGGCGUGUGGUGCUCUAUCUCACCUCCUAUGCACAUGAGGUGUUCGAUGAAAUGCCCGAGCCACACUUAAGCUUUCUCCUCUCGAAGCUCCUUGUCCAAACUCCAUUUUCCUCAAGAUUUGUCUAGGUUUGGCGGUCCGUCCUGUCCCGUCCCCGUCCACAUCACCGUCGAGCGUCCGCGCCGAUCUCGUCAUCGGCACCACCCUGGUGAGCUUCUUGUUCUUAUCUUCUUUCUAAAAGAAAAUAAAUUCUUAUUUGUAUGAUUUAGACAGAUACUUUUAUAAUUCUCUUACUUUUAUUAUUUUUUGUUAUUAUAUAGUGCGAUGGUUUUGGUAUCCGCCCCCGUCGGCCCUCGUCCUGUCUAUGAUUCAUAUGUGGUUUAUAUUAUCUUUUAUAACUAUUUGUUUCAUUUAGUGUUUAUGACAAUUAUGCCGAGUAACGAGACAUAGAUGUUUUUAUCUAGGAGGUAUGUGAACCGGAAAUUCCAACCGACCCUCUUGUCAAGAGGAUAAAUUUAGUUGAAAACGAAAAAAAUUACUUGAAGAAAAAAAUUGAAAAGAAUUGGGGAGGAGAAGAUGAAAUUGGAGUUGCAUGUUGCGGAUGUCGUCGAUGAUUGAUACGUCUCCAAUGUAUCUAUAAUUUAUGAAGCAUUCAUGCUAUUUUAUUAUCUGUUUUGAAUGUUUACGGGCUUUAUUAUACACUUUUAUAUUACUUUUGGGACUAACCUAUUAACCGGAGGCCCAGCCCAUAUAGCUGUUUUAUUGCCUAUUUCAGUGUUUCGAAGAAAAAGAAUAUCAAACGGAAUGAAACCUUCGGGAGCGUUAUUUUUGGAACAGAAGCGAUCCAGGAGACUUGGAGUUGAAGUAAAGGAAGCUUCGAGGUGGCCACGAGGGUGGGGGGUGCGCCCCCCUACUGGGCGCGCCCCCUAUCUCGUGGCCCCCUCGAGGCUCCGCCGACCGCUUAUUUUGCCUAUAUAUUCCCAUAUACCCUAAAAACAUCGAAGGACAAGAUAGAUCGGGAGUUCCGCCGCCGCAAGCCUCUGUAGCCACCAAAAACCUCUCGGGAGCCCGUUCCGGCACCCUGCCGGAGGGGGGAUCCCUCACCGGUGGCCAUCUUCAUCAUCCCGGCGCUCUCCAUGAUGAGGGAGUAGUUCACCCUCAGGGCUGAGGGUAUGUACCAGUAGCUUUGUGUUUGAUCUCUCUCUCUCUCUCUCUCUCUCGUGUUCUUGAGGUGAUACGAUCUUGACGUAUCGCGAGCUUUGCUAUUAUAGUUGGAUCUUAUGAUGUUUCUCCCCCUCUACUCUCUUGUAAUGGAUUGAGUUUUCCCUUUGAAGUUAUCUUAUCGGAUUGAGUCUUUAAGGAUUUGAGAACACUUGAUGUAUGUCUUGCCGUGCUUAUCUGUGGUGACAAUGGAAUAUCACGUUAUCCACUUGAUGUAUAUUUUGGUGAUCAACUUGCGGGUUCCGCACACGUUUCCUAUUGACUCUCCGGUAGAAACUUUGGGGCACUCUUUGAAGUACUUUGUGUUGGUUGAAUAGAUGAAUCUGAGAUUGUGUGAUGCAUAUCAUAUAAUCAUGCCCACGGAUACUUGAGGUGACAUUGGAGUAUCUAGGUGACAUUAGGGUUUUGGUUGAUUUGUGUCUUAAGGUGUUAUUCUAGUAUGAACUCUAUGAUAGAUUGAACGGAAAGAAUAGCUUCACGUUAUUUUACUACGGACUCUUGAAUAGAUAGAAUAGAAAGGAUAACUUUGAGGUGGUUUCAUACCCAACAAUAAUCUCUUCAUUUGUUCUCCGCUAUUAGUAGCUUUGGAGUGACUCUUUGUUGCAUGUUGAGGGAUAGUUAUAUGAUCCAAUUAUGUUAUUAUUGUUGAGAGAACUUGCACUAGUGAAAGUAUGAACCCUAGGCCUUAUUUCCUAGAAUUGUAAUACCGUUUACGCUCACUUUUAUCAUUAGUUACCUUGCUGUUUUUAUAAUUUCAGAUUACAAAAACCUAUAUCUACCAUCCAUAUUGAACUUGUAUCACCAUCUCUUUGCCAAACUAGUGCACCUAUACAAUUUACCAUUGUAUUGGGUGUGUUGGGGACACAAGACACUCUUUGUUAUUUUGUUGCAGGGUUGCUUGAGAGAGAGCAUCUUCAUCCUACGCCUCCCACGGAAUGAUAAAACUUAGGUCAUCCACUUGAAGGAAAUUUGCUACUGUCCUACAAACCUCUGCACUUGGAGGCCCAACAACGUCUACAAGAAGAAGGUUGUGUAGUAGACAUCAAUGAUCACAAGAUCAAGAUGGAUGCGAUGUGCUUGAAGAUUAGAAAGAUUAGAAAAUAUGCCAUUCUUACUGAGGCUUGGUAUCAUUAUGCCGUUGGAUCAAUUGUUACCUUAGUUUCGAUUAUGAUCGCUUUUGUUGUUGCAUUAAAUAUUUUACAUAGUUUCAAUAUAUGUUUUAAUUAGAUGCUCUAGAGAGUUAUAUGUUGUUCAAUGAGAACUACUCCCUCCGUCCCAAAAUUCUUGUCUCAGAUUUGUCUAAAUACGAAUAUAUCAAAUCACGUUUUAGUAUUAGAUACAUCAGUAUCUAGAAUAAUCUAAGACAAGAAUUUUGGGAUGGAGGGAGUAUGUAUGAACUUAAUGUGAUGAUGAACUUCUACUAAUUUGGUCACUUCUCUAUUCAUGAUGUUCUGUAAUGGAUUUUGACACACUUAUUUAUAUAUAAUGCAUGCAGAUGUACCGACAAUGGAUGUACGGUGACAGACGCACCUCCGAGUACAUUAUGGGCGUGCAUAAUUUUCUCGAAGUGGCUGAGGCAAAGAAGCAAAAUGGUUUUAUGUGUUGUCCAUGCCCUAGAUAUGAGAAUACAAAGUCCUACCCUGACUCGAAAACAUUUACAUCCACCUGCUUGAGAAGGGUUUCAUGCCACACUAUAGUAUUUGGACCAAGCACAGAGAAAGAGGGGUUAUGAUGGAAGACAAUGAAGAAGAAAAGGAUGAUGACGACUAUCCGCCCUCUGAAUACGGUGAUGCUGCAACGGGGGAAGCUAAAAAUCAAGAGGAACCAGACGAUGUGCCCGAUGAUGAUCUUCGCCGGGUCAUUGUUGAUGCAAAGAGACAAUGCCAAAGUGAAAGGGAGAAGUUGAAGUUCGAUCGCAUGUUAGAGGGUCACAAAAAAGGGUUGUACCCAAAUUGCGAAGAUGGCAACACAAAGCUCGGUACCACACUGGAAUUGCUGGAAUGGCAGGCAGACAAUGGUGUAUCUGACAACGGGUUUGAGAAGCUACUGAAAAUAUUGAAGAAGGAGCUUCCAAAGGAUAACGAAUUGCUCGAUAGUACGUACGGAGAAAAGAAGGUUCUAUUCCUUCUACGAUUGGUGGUGCAGAAGAUACAUACAUGUCCUAAUGACUGCAUCCUCUACCGCGGUGCAUACGAGGAUUUGAACACAUGCCCGGUAUGCAGUGCAUUGUGGUAUAAAAUCGGAUGAGAUGACCCUAGUGAUGUUGACGGUAAGCGCCCCAGGAAGAGGGUUCCUGCCAAGGUGACGUGGUAUGCUCCUAUAAUACCAAGGUUGAAACGUCUGUUCAGAAACAAAGAGCAUGCCAAGUUGAUGCGAUGGCACAAAGAGGACCGUAAGAAAGACGGGAAGUUAAGAGCACCCGUUGAUGGGUCACAGUGGAGAAAAAUUGAGAGAACGUGGGGGGACUUUGUAGGUGACCCAAGGAACAUAUGGUUUGGUUUAAGCGCGGAUGGCAUUAAUCCUUUUGGGGAGCAGAGUAGCAAUCAUAGCACCUGGCCCAUGACCCUAUGUAUCUAUAACCUUCCUCCUUGGUUGUGCAUGAAGUGGAAGCUCAUUAUGAUGCCAGUGCUCAUCCAAGGCCCUAAGCAACCCGGUAACGAUAGUGAUGUCUACCUAAGGCCAUUAGUUGAAGAACUUUUAUAGCUAUGAAAUGGAAAAGGUGUACCUUUGUGGGAGGAACACGACCAGUAGGAAUUUGACCUACAUGCGUUGCUGUUUGUAACUAUCAAUGAUUGGCCUACUCCUAGUAACCUUUUAGGAUAGACAAAUAAGGGAUACCACACAUGCACAUACUAUUUAGAUGACACCGAAAGUAUAUAUUUGGACAAAUGCGGGAAGAAUGUGUACCUGGGACAUCGUUGAUUUCUUCCGACCAACCAUCAAUGUCGAAAGAACGGCAAGCAUUUCAAAGGUGAGACAGAUCACCGGAAGAAGACCGCCAUCCGUACUGGUGAUCACAUAGUUGAUAUGGUUAAUGAUUUACAUGUAAUCUUUGGAAAGGGUCCCGGUGGACUAUCUGUUCCGAAUGAUGCCGAGGGACGCGCACCCAUGUGUGAGAAGAAAUCUAUAUUUUGGGACCUACCCUAUUGAGGGAGUCCUGGACUGAGGGGUCUUCGGACAGCCAGACUAUAUACUUUGGCUAGACUAUUGGACUAUGAAGAUACAAGAUAGAAGACUUCGUCCCGUGUCCGGAUGGGACUCUCCUUUGUGUGGAAGGCAAGCUUGGCAAUUCGGAUAUGUAGAUUCCUUUCUCUGUAACUGACUUUGUAUAACCCUAGCCCCCCGGUGUCUAUAUAAACCGGAGGGUUUAAACUUCUAGGGUUCAGCCACAACAAUCAUAACCUCAUAGGCUAGACUUCUAGGGUUUAGCCAUUACGAUCUCGUGGUAGAUCAACUCUUGUAAUACUCAUAUUCAUCAAGAUCAAUCAAGCAGAAAGUAGGGUAUUACCUCCAUAGAGAGGGCCCGAACCUGGGUAAACAUUGUGUCCCCCGCCUCCUGUUACCAUUAGCCUUAGACGCACAGUUCAGGACCCCCUACCCGAGAUCCGCCGGUUUUGACACCGACAUUGGUGCUUUCAUUGAGAGUUUCGCUGCGUCGUCACCAGAAGGCUUGAUGGCUCCAUCAAUCAUCUACAACAACGCAAUCCAGGGGGAGAUCUUCCUCCCUGGAUAGACCUUCGUAUUCGGAGGCUUCGCAUUGCGGGCCAACUCGUUUGGCCAUCUAGAGCAGAUCGACAGCUACGACCCUGGCCAUCGGGUCAAAUUUGGAAGCCUGAAUUUCAUGGCCGAUAUCCACGGAGACUUGAUCUUCGAUGUAUUCAAGCCCAUGACGGCUGUCCCCGGCCACCACGAUGAACAUGACCUAUAUUUGUCAUCUGGCCGCACACAGGAGAUAGGGCCCGUGACCGCCCCUAGCCCUAGAGCCGGAGCGGACUGCAUCGUCCGAGGACGGGAAGCUUAACCCCGCCGCGGAGGCCGCAGACUCAACGAUGCUCGAGCAACACACAUACCCAACAUCAGGCUGGGCUUGUAUCAUCGAAACCACGAACUUGUCUCCGUCCAUGGUUUCCGGACCGCGUGCAUCCGCGUCCAUCGGUCCCGAUUGGGCGCCGGUCUUGGAGUUCAGCUCCGCAGACAUCUUUUAGCACUCACCUUUUGGCGACGUGUUAAACUCAUUGAAGUCCCUCUCCUUGUCAGGGAAUUCUCGGCCAAACUAUGUCCAGCUCGAAUGGGAAGCGGACGACGAAGAACUUCGUUUCCCACCCACCACCCACUUCAUUGCCACAGUUAAGGACUUAGCCGACACACUCGAUUACGGCUCCGAGGACAUCGAUGGUAUGGAUGACGAUGCCGGAGAGGAGCAGGCACAAAAACCACCACCUUUAGGGCAGUGGAUAGCUACAUCGUCAUACGAUAUAUACAUGGUGGACACACCAAAGGAGAAUGAGGCCGACGGCGAUAACAACAUGCCUGUCAAUGAACCUCCCAAGCGUCGGCGUCCCAAUCACCGACCUCGAUCUGGCAAAAAGAAAAACAACAACAUUGUCACGGACGCUGAUGAUAAUCCGAACCAAGCCAAGGACCCCGCAGACAUAGUGUUAGAUCAAGGCGUGCGAGAGGACGGCGAACACAGUCCGGAGAUGUUGUCCGAGCAUAGCGAUGCCGAAGAUAGCAAUUACCAACCUGUCUCUAAAGAGGACAUCAGCCUGGGCGACGACGAGUUCGUCAUCCCAGAAGAACCAUUAGAACAAGAACGCCUCCACCAAAGGCUUAUGGCCACUUCAAGGAGCCUAAAGAAGCAGAAGCAGCGGCUUAAAGCCGCACAUGAUACGCUCAAUGACAAAUGGAACGAAGUGCUAGACGCCGAGGAAAAAUACAGUGGUAAUCGCUAGACAAAUAGCUAUCCUAAACGUAGGCUGCUGCCCAAAUUCGAUGACGAGGCUAUUGCGCUCAUAUACCGCUGAAAAACAAUACGACCGAUAGGCCGGACCGACCACCUCGUGGUCGAGACAGAGCAGAUAGUAAUGCCGUACACAAGCCCGCACCCCCUUCCCGCAAAGGAAGGAAGGUCGUGGCCCAGGACCAGAAACAUGAUUUACGUGAGGACCUGGACAAAAUGGCUGGCAAAACCAGGUCCAUCUACGGAUCUAGGGAACGUGAUCCUACACGGGACCACAAUUAUCAAACAAAAUAUGCUAGCCAUUUACUAGCUUGGAACCAAUAAGGAACACUAUAACCGUCGGAUCCAAUCCAUGACAUAGCCAGAUACAGGGGUGCCGCACACCCCCUGUGCUUCACCGAUGAGGUGCUGGAACAUGAUUUUCCAGAAGGGUUCAAACCCAUAAAUAUCGAGGCGUAUGAUGGAACGACAGACUCUAUGGGUUGGAUAGAAGACUUUAUUCUUCACAUCCACAUGGCUCGCGGAGAUGAUCUCCACGCCACCAAAUAUUUACCCCUCAAGCUAAAAGGGCCAACUCGACACUGGUUAAAAAGCCUCCCUGAAAACUCCAUAGGAAGCUAGGAGGAACUUGAGGAUGCUUUUCGGGCCAAUUUCCAAGGGACCUAUGUCCGGCCCCCAGAUGCAGACGAUCUAAGUCACACAAUCAAACAACCCGAAGAAUCAACCCGUAAGCUUUGGAGCCUAUUUCUCACUAAGAAGAACCAAAUCGUCGACUGUCCGGACGCCGAAGCCUUAGCGGCCUUCAAACACAGUGUCCGGGACGAAUGGCUAGCCAGACACCUCGGCCAGGAAAAGCCAAGGACAAUGGCUGCCUUAACAACACUAAUGACCUGCUUUUGCGCAGGCGAAGACAACUGGUUAGCCCGUCGCAGCACCAGCGACCCCGGCACAUCCGAAGUCAGGGAUAGCAAUGGAAAACCACGACGCAACAAGAACAAAUGUCGGAACAAUGAAGAAAGCCCAGAAAACACAUCGGUUAAUGCCGGAUUCAAGGGCUCCAGACCCGAUCAACGGAAGAAGCCAUUUAAAGGCAACAAAGACAGUCCAUCGAACCAGGGUAAAAUCCUAGACAGGCCCUGCCAGAUCCACGGCACUCCCGACAAACCAGCCAAUCAUACCAACAGAGAAUGUUGGGUCUUCAAGCAGGCCGACAAACUCAAAGCCAAAAACAAAGGGAAGGGACCUCAGAGCAAAGACGAGGACAAACCUCGCUAGCCAAACACGGUGAACAGAAGAAAUUUCCACCGGAGAUCAAAACAGUUAACAUGAUCUAUGUCCCUCAUAUCCCAAAGCAGGAGCGCAAGCCCGCACUCCGAGAGGUCUAGACCGUUGAGCCCGUCUCCCCCAAGUUCAACCCAUGGUCGGCCUGUCCGAUCACCUUUGAUUGCAGGUAUCAUCCGACUAGUAUCCGUCACGGGGGUUCGGCUGCCCUAGUGCUCGACCCCGUAAUCGACGGAUACCACCUCACUCGAGUCCUCAUGGAUGGCGGCAGUAGUCUCAAUAUGAUAUAUCAGGACACUGUCCGCAAGAUGGGGAUAGACCCGUCAAGAAUCAAGCCAAGCAACACUACCUUUAAAGGAGUUAUACCGGGGGUGGAAGCCUGCUGCAUGGGCUCUAUAACAUUGGAUGUUGUAUCUCCUGACAACUUUCGAAGUGAAGAACUAAUCUUCGACAUAGCUCCGUUCCGAAGUGGCUAUCAUGCACUACUCGGAAGAACGGCCUUCGCCCGUUUUAACGCAGUCCCGCAUUAUGCUUAUAAAAACUCAAAAUGCCUGGACCACGUGGCGUCAUUACGGCCAGUGGAAAUACGGAGCACUCUCUUCGCAUAGAGGAAUACACGGCGGCUCUAGCAGUCGAAGCAAAAAAUGGCCUAUUCAAGCCGAACAGCUCAUCGGUCGUUAAAACCGCAGACACAGCUAAACAUGUCCGGCGCACACCUCAGUGUGGCAGCUCAGAUAAACCUGAGCUCGAUUAGCAGCUAUGCCCCCAUCAACCGCCCCAUAAGGAGAUAUACUCAAAAUUCCUUGGGCGGCUUCAGGGGCACUCUGCAUACAAAAGGUCCAUAGUUCGGCUUGACCCUAUUUGGACUCUAGAAGCUAUCCUUCACGGUUCAUUAAAACGAACCAGCUUUCCUUACGGCGACACCAGAUUCUUUUACCUGGUUUUUUCCUUUUUUCUUAUAGAUGGCCAUCAUAUUAUACCCUUCAAGUACACUUCACAACGGAGACAAAGGCACAGACGUGCAGCAGGGCCCCGCAUUAAGGUUUCUUUUUUAGAUUAAGACCCUGUGUAAAUAUUUUUUAUCUCUUGUUGUUUUAUACUUUCCUGGCAUGUAAAAUGUCCAAGAAAGGUACCAACAUUAUCUAUAAACACACGGCUCGCCAUACUAAAGGGGAUGUUAUAGAAGCAGCUUGGUUCGUAUUGUGUUUUGAGAUUUAUGUUCUCACCACCUACGCUCUUUCCCCACGUUGGAUUGCCAUAUGUGCCUUGACACCAGGGGUCUAUCACUAGGGGCUAUAUUCAGCCCGGUGUAUAUUGUAAAGUCCAAACACCUAUAGGGAGUGUUUGGCGUCGCGAGUUUGGCCUUAUAUGCAUCAGCUCCGAAUCAUGUCUUUGGUCAAUAGUUGGGUUGCCCGGAUCCUGUGCUUACUACCUUAUGUUCCGCUAUAUCUUCUAGGAUAGUAAAGGGAGAACUACUGCGAUUGUGUCCCGGCUAGCCCGGAUGAGCACCUCAAUAGAGAAAGCCGAAAACUGACUAUCAUGAUGCGACGAGAGCUGGUCAACCACUCGAUGACUUAUCGGAAUCUUCGCGAUUUCCUCCGUAUUAAACGAAGGACCGUCACUCUGGUCACGUAUGUAAACGCACCGUAUUCGGAUAACCGCGGACAUACCAGGGGCUAUAUAGUAGCCCCACCGUCAAACUCCUCUGGCUAAGUGAAAGUGUUAAAGCUCUAUAGUACGAUUUCCUAGUUCUCCGCACUAACACCUCCUUAAAGGACCAAGACGUUGGGUCAAGUGUGAUCAAGUGCUUUUCCGAACACCCCCGUGUAAAACGUGAGGGGGCUGAAGCCGACAACUGCAAACUUUUAGAUUGUAUAUAAAAAAGAUGGCCGCAUAGGAGGCACCAAAAAUUUUCAGGCAAAAAGUAUAAAACCACAGCCUUAAAUAUAUCAUAAUGUUGUUAUUACAAUUUUGAUACACUUUACUCGAACAUAAUAUUUUUUGAGCACUGACCCUCUAUUAAGCGGGCACCCUCUAGGACAUCUUCAAAGUAAUGUUCUAGCAUGUUAAGGUCCUUGCCUUCGGGUGGACUCUGCGCUGCAAUAUCGGUGGCCGUCAUCUUUGCCUAGUAUAUCUUGACACAGGCAAGGGCCAUCCGUGCACCUUCUAUGCAUGUUGAGCACUUCACGGCAUCGAUACGCGGCACCGCAUUGACAAGCUGCCGCAUCAAACCGAAAUAACUAUCCGGAAUGGGUUUAGUUGGCCACAGCCGGGCUAUGACGUCCUUCAUGGCAGUGCCGGACAUCUUGUGGAGCUCGGCCCAUCGGGCCAUCUGUUUGUUCAACAGUGGACGCUUCGGCGUAUCAAAUUGCGACCAAAACAAUUUUUCCGUUGCAUGUCCUUCUUGCGCGUGAAAAAACUGAUUCACAUCUGCGACACUCUUCGGCAAGUCCAUAAAGGGGUCCGGAGAACUCCACCGUUGAAUAAGCGGCGCAUACUUCGGAUCGCCAAACUUAGUUUGCAAUAAAAAAGGGCUUACCAGCCGCGAUCUCCCCAGCUUGUUGGAUCUCCUCCCGAGCUGCUCUAGACUCAGACUGGGCUUCCUUCACCUCUUGUAAGGCCUUAUCCAGAUCGGCCGCUUUUGCUUUGUUAUCUUUCUCAAGAUCUUGGCAUCGGCUAGUGGCAUUCUUCAACUCAAGUGCCACGGUAGAUAUCCUCUCCUCGCACUGACGCCGACCAGUCUGCUCGACUUUUAAUUCGGCGGCUACCUUUUCGGCAGCCGCAUUACUAAUCUUGGCUUGCUCCUUGGCCCGGGCAAGUCCCGCCCAAAGGGUCUCAACUGCGGCGGCACUAUCUGCAGUUAUGCAUAUACAAAUUUUCAGUAUCAUGCUCAUUUCACAAUACUAGCAUGUACUGAGUGCCCCAGAGACAUACCUUGCACCUCGUCGAGUCGCCUGUUCAUAAGCGUGUUGUCAUCAUCUGCCACAUCAACUUUCUGCUUCAAAUGUGCUACCUCGAUAGCUUGGGUAGUCCCCACGAAUAUAACAACCUAUGUUUCAAUUAGUCAUAUCAUUUCCUGGGCAUAUAUCGAUGAUCCUCUGAUCGCAUUCCUUUGGAUGUCAACCAGAGUCUCGGGGGCUACUAUCUAUACACAGGUGCAAUUUAUAUAAUUAAAAUUACACUACGUACCUCAAAGCCUCUUAGUAGGCUAGAAAAGGCUUCAUUCAAUCUGCUUUCUGCGGACCGAACUCUUUCCAACACCGUACCCAUCAAGGUACGAUGUUCCUCUGAGACGGAGGCAUGUUGCAAAAUGUCCAUCAAUGCAUCCUGCGUCCCUUGGACAUUUGAUAGUCCGGGACUUUUGUUGUUUCCUGUAGGGGCCGCACACCCCGGACCCUGGGCGGCCGAAGUAUUACCUUCGGCCCCGGUCCUCACUGUCCCUUGCGCCACUUGCAGAUCGGGAAGGAUCCUCCGGGACGACACCUCAGCAUCGCCUGCCUUAUCAGGCAGGGAGGUCUGUGGAGGCGUCUCGCUCUCCAUCAUCUCCAGAAGUAGAUCCCCAGAAGAGGAGGACUGUUGAGGAGGGCUGCGUGCUGGACUGCAAACAUGAGUUUAAAAUAUCACCCUUAUAGCCAGGAAAGAAAGGGACAUGUUUAAAAUACCCGGAUUCACUUACGAUGCGCCUGAGGGCCUAUUUUGCAGGGUGACUGCAUGUCAACAUCACCCCCUGACUGGGAUACCUUCCCCCUCUUACAAGCUUCUCUUUUCAAGUCUUCGGAGACGGCCCUUUUCUUCCCAUGGGGAGAAGAGGCGUCAGUUCGCCCUUCCCUUCCACCUUUGGAAGCGGGAGUUCUAAUCUCCCCGAAUGAAUUGCCUAGUGAGCCUCCAGAGUGGAAGCUGCCUUGGGCCUCUUCGUCCUCCUCUUUAUCUUCCCCCGCCGGCACUUGAUACGGCACCGGAGCAAACAUCCUUGUUAAUAACGGAUCAACAGUGUCUUGGGGAAGUGGAGCCGAACACCUGAUUCUCUCUGCCUUCUUUAGCUAGCCCUGGCCGGAUAGAGUUUUAUCAGUACAUUGUCAUGAAUAAUUUGACUAAAUCAUGUUUGGGGGUCGAGUACUUACCGGAGUAUUUAGAUGGUUGCAGUCAAGACCGAUGUCUUCUGUAGUAUCCGGCCACUGUUUUCGUGCGCCGAAGAACAAUUUCCACAUCUCUCUGAGCAUCAUGCCAGAAAGGUGCUGACGGGUCCGUGGACCUUCCGGAUUAAACUCCCACAUGCGGAGAGGGCGUCGCUGGCAGGGUAGGAUCCAGCGGACUAACAUUACUUGGAUUACAUCAAUGAGACCGGUGUCCUUCUCAAUGAGGCUCCGGAUGCGGCUUUGUAGUGUCCACACUUCAUCUGUAGAUCCCCAGUCCAGCCCCUUGUUAAUCCACGAUGCGAGCUGUGGCGGAGGGCCGGACCGAAACGCAGGUGUGGCUGCCCACUUUUUACCGCAGGGUUCGGUGAUGUAAAACCACUCCCGUUGCCAUAAGUCAGAAGAUUAUGCAAAGGGGACCUUUGGCCAAGUGGAGUUGAUAAGCUUGCUUAUUGAAGCGCCUCCGCACUCCGCUUGUUUCCGGUCGAUUACCUUCGGUUUCACGUUAAAGGUCUUAAGCCAUAAGCCGAAGUGUGGGGAAAUACGGAGGAAGGCCUCGCAUGUGGUGAUGAACACUGAAUGUGGAGGAAGGAGUCUGGGGCUAGAUCGUGGAAAUCUAGCCCGAAAUAAAACAUGAACCCUAGAAAUGAAGGGAUGGAGAGCAAACACAAGCCCUCGAAGGAAGUGAGAGAUAAACACGACCCUCUCAUUGGAUCUGGGAGUAGGAAUAACCUGCCCUUGAGCAGGAAGCCCGUGGUAGAUUUCCGUAGUCAAGUAUCUGGCCUCCCUAAGCUUCAAGAUGUCUUCCUCUGUGACAGAAGAGGCCAUCCACCAGCCCUGAAGGCCGGGUCCGGACAUGGCUGGAAGCUCGAAGCGACUAGAUUGACCCUUGGGUGUUGGAACUUGAGGUGGGGGGUGGAGGAAAGAACUAGCAUUGAAGAAAACGGACAAGGCUUAAACCCAUUUAUAAAGGCGACGAAUAUCAAGCGUCCCCUCCAUGGCCUUAAAACAUGCCUAUUCCCGAGGAAUUAUGCCAACAAAACGGUUGGGUUACCCACGCCCAUGUUGAUGAAAAUCCCAUAAUAAGGGGACACGAUCUCUGCUUUGACAAGACGUGCCAAUAAAAACCGCCAACCGAAGCGUGGGGUAGCAGGCUAGAAAACGAUUCAAAAUAAUGGCCGAGUAAUGACGCAAUGUCGUACUACCAAAUUUGUCAGCGAAUUGGAAUUGUAAAUAUUAUACUCUCUACGGUGGUUUGUAGAACUUGUUUUGCAGAGCCGGACAUGAUUCUUGUGUUCGAGAUCUACUUUGAAGUAUUCAGAGAAGGAACCCGCCUUGCAAUGCCGAAGACAAUCUACGCGCAGGACUCAUCGUCAUUGAAGCCUGGUUCAGGGGCUACUGAGGGAGUCCUGGACUAAGGGUUCCUCGGACAGCCGGACUAUAUACUUUGGCUGGACUAUUGGACUAUGAAGAUACAAGAUAGAAGACUUCGUCCCGUGUCCGGAUGGGACUCUCCUUUGCGUGGAAGGCAAGCUUGGCGAUUCGGAUAUGUAGAUUCCUUUCUCUGUAACCGACUUUGUAUAACCCUAGCCCCCCCGGUGUCUAUAUAAAUCGGAGGGUUUAGACUUCUAUGGUUCAAUCACAAGAAUCAUAACCUCAUAGGCUAGACUUCUAGGGUUUAGCCAUUACGAUCUCGUGGUAGAUCAACUCUUGUAAUACUCAUAUUCAUCAAGAUCAAUCAAGCAGGAAGUAGGGUAUUACCUCCAUAGAGAGGGCCCGAACCUGGGUAAACAUUGUGUCCCCCGCCUCCUGUUACCAUUAGCCUUAGACGCACAGUUCGGGACCCCCUACCCGAGAUCCGCCGGUUUUGACACUGACACCUAUUGGAAAGACCUAGAGGUCCGCUCUGCAAUCGACGUGUUGCACGCGAUGAAGAAUCUUUGCGUGAACCUGCUAGGCUUCUUGGGCAUGUAUGGGAGGACAAAAGAUACACCGGAGGCAUGGGAGGACCAGCAAUGUGUGCACGAAAAAGAUGGCAUGCAUCCAAAGCAGUAUGAAGGGCCUGCCAGCUACGCUCUUACCAAAAAAGAGAAGGAAAUCUUCUUUGAAUGUCUACUUAGUAUGAAGGUCCCGUCUGGCUUCUCGUCACAUAUAAAGGGAAUAAUAAAUAUGGUAGAGAAAAAGUUCCAGAACCUAAAAUCUCAUGACUGCCACGCGAUUAUGACGCAACUGCUUCCGGUUGCAUUGAGGGGGCUUCUACUGAAAAAUGUUCGAUUAGCCAUUGUGAAGCUAUGUGCAUUCCUCAAUCCAAUCUCUCAGAAGGUAAUCGAUCCAGAAAUCCUACCAAGGUUAAUGAGUGAUUUGGUGCAAUGUCUUGCCAGUUUCGAGCUGGUGUUCCCACCAUCCUUCUUCAAUAUCAUGACGCACGUUCUAGUUCAUCUAGUCGACGAGAUUGCCAUUCUGGGCCCUAUAUUUCUACACAAUGUGUUCCCCUUUGAGAGAUUCAUGGGAGUCUUAAAGAGAUAUGUUCAUAACCGUGCUAGGCCAGAAGGAAGCAUCUCCAUGGGCCAUCAAAUAGAGGAGGUCAUUGGGUUUUGUGUUGACUUCAUCCCUGACCUUAAGCCGACUGGUCUCCCUCAAUCGCAGUAUCUGGGGAGACAGACUGGAAAAGGCACGCUAGGAGCAGACUCAAUAAUAUGUAGGGACGGGCAUUCUUGGUCUCAAGCACACUACACAGUUCUACAAAAUUCUACCUUGGUGACCCGUAUGUCAAUGAACACAAGAAUAUUCUGCACUCCAAUCACCCGGAGCAGUGUGACAACUGGAUUACAUGUAAACACACAAGACUUUCAGCAGUUGGUUGCAAACACAUCUCAUGGGUGACAACACUGUUGCAGAUGAGCUAUACUCAUUGGCCAGGGGACCAUCUUCGACUGUAUUGACUUACAAAGGGUACGAGAUAAAUGGGAAUACAUUUUACACGAUCGCCCAAGAUCAAAAGAGCACCAACCAAAACAGUGAUGUCCGCUUUGAUGUCCUUUCCCCCGUUCAUCCUAGCCAAUGAUGUGGCACGGGUUAUCUAUGUGAAGGACAUGUCUACCAAACCGAGAAAAAGAAAAAAUAAGGAAGCAAAUACAUCAUACGAUGAGCCAGAGCGCCACAUAGUUCUUUCAGGAAAAAGAGACAUCGUGGGAGUGAAGGGCAAGACAGACAUGUCCGAAGAUUAUGAAAAGUUUCAUGAAAUUCCUCCCUUCAAAGUCAAGGCUAACCCAAGCACCGUGUUAAACAAUGAAGAUUAUACACGAUUACGGUGCAAUAAGCAAGGGACACGUGCGAAGAAAAAGUGAAGGUGCUAUGUGGGUGAAAUGAUGAUACCAUGCCAACUUUCAACCUUCUCAGAGUUCAUUUGUAGUUGAAAGUGCUAGUUAUCGACUAGAGGGGGGGGGGGGUGAAUAGGCGAUUUUGAUGGAAGUCUUCAAAACACGGUUGCUUUGAAGACAAGAGGUAAACUAAGCCUAUAUAGUAAGCAGCGGAAUGAAAGCUAUACUAGGCAAACAUAAGUCUAACAUACAACAUAAUGAAAGCACGGAGACUAAUUGCAACUAGGUAGUCAGGAUUAGAAAGAUAGAUAGUACGGAGCUAAAAAGAUAAUAGUCUUCACAGUGUGAAGUAAAACAGAUUAGACAAGUAGGCAAUGACUUCACAAAGACAACUGUAAAGUAAGGAGAGUAGAGGAUAGAACUAGUAGCUUCACGAAGACAAGGAUUUGGUAGACCAGUUCCAGUUGCUAUGACAACUGUACGUCUGGUUACAGAGGCUGAGAUUUAACUCAGAAGACCGUGUCUUCACCUUAUUCCCCUUGAGAUAAGGACACCCAGUCCUCGCCCAAAUACUCUGGUAAGUCUUUGAGGUAGACUUCCAAACCUUCACAGACUUUGUUCACUGGCAAUCCACAAUGACUCUUGGAUGCUCAGAACGCGAUGCCUAACCGGCUGGAGGAUUCACAGUCCUCAAGUGUAACAAGUCUUCAGAUCACGCGGACAGAAAUACUUCUGUGAUGCCUAACACUGUAGCGACCAGACCUCAAACAGUCUGAUCUCUGUGCAUCAGUGUCAUCCCUGGAUCAGUAAUGCUGACACGCACAGUACUCGAAGGAUUUAUAACAGAGUAGCAAUCACACACUUAUUACAUCGAAUGUCUCCAAAAGAGAACUUAUUACAAUAAAUAUGGCUUAAGGCCAUCUAAUAACGAUAACAGCGGAAGGCUUGGAAGAUAAGUGAGUCCAUCAACUCCAACGGCAUCACUGAGUAUAGAACCACGACCUAAGGCACCUUACUCGUCGUCUGAAAAGUCUGCAACAUGAACGUUGCAGCCCGAAAAUGGGUCAGCACAUGGAAUAUGCUGGCAAUGUAACACAUAGAGAGUAAUAUGAAAGAGUAAGGCUAUACUACAUGCAUAUAUGGCUGGUGGAAAGCUCUAUGGUUACAGUUUUGCAUAAAGCCAAUUUUUCCCUACUGCAAAGGAAUAAAUUUUAUUUAACUAUCAUGGUGGUUGUUAAACAUUGAGAAUGGUUGACAGCUUUCUCAAUCCCAAUUAAGCAUCAUCAUUAAAACCCAACAAUAUUAAUUAAAGUAACAUGAUGAGAUUCACAUGAUAAUCCAAGUACUAGAUACUCAAGAUGUCCAUAACCGGGGACACAGCUAACCAUGAUUAGUUUGAUACAUUCUGCAGAGGUUUGCGCACUUUUCCCCACAAGACUCGAUCUCCUCCGUUGGGAUUCUCGCACUACACGGUGUUUGAGAAAUGGAUGAUCGGGACAUAGUAUUUCAGAAGCGCUAGCACCUUACAAAGGGGUAGACCGUACCAACAUACAUCCCCUACAUCGUCAGCUAGUCUAGCACUGUAAGAGUUCGCACGACCUAGUCAACUAUGCCAGAGCCCAUAGUAGCUUAUGGCUGCACACGGAAGUUUCUAGCAUGAAUAAUCUCAUGAUCCCUUUGAGCCUGGGUGGCGGUCCAAAAAGAAACAGGCAAUCCUGGAAUACCCAGGUACCUCAAUCCACCGAGAUGUGUGUUUAAGUUUCCACCUUAAAUAAACCAUUAAUUAAGAAUCUCACAUCUGUCAUGGAUACACUCACCCAAUCCACGUCUACUAGCAUAGCAUGGCAUAAUAAGCAAACGUAGAAGUAACUCCCAAGGGUUUGAUAAUAAAUCAGGUAAUAGGUACUACCUCAACUACUUUCCCAAAACCCACAAUUUAAUUAGAUCCUAAUCAUGCAAUGUUUGAGGAUUGAUCUAAUGCAUAAAAACUGGGUAUGAAAAGAAUAUGAUCAAAGUGUUACUUGCCUUGCUGAUGAUCCGUGAAACCUAGAGAUUCAAAGUAGCAAGCGGCGCACUCCGGGUACUCUAUCGCAAACAAACAAGCACACAAUAAGUACUCAACUAAUGCACAGGUAAAACUCAAAUAAAAGAUCUAACCAGAAAGUUCAACUUAAGAACUCCGGUUUGCAAAAAGAAACAACUCGAACGAAACAACAAAAAACAAACGGCGAAAGAAACAGGCUUCAUCUUACUAAUCUGGACCUAAGUCAAAUUUUAUAGAAGCAAAAACUUGUUUGAGUUGAUUAUUCGGAAAGAGGGUUUCGAGACCAAAACUCCAGGCGCUUGAAUCGCCUAAUUCCGAUAAACGAGCAAAAAUUUAUACUAGAUCGAAAAUCGGAUCAGAAAUCGCGAUCAGAAAAAUCGCGGAAUAAAUCCGAGAAAAAGAAAAACGAUGAAUAACUGGAUCUAAACGAUGAACGCGUUCAUUAAAACGAACAAACGAGCGAACGCUCGCUAUUUAACCUAAACCGAAAAAAACCGAUCUAAUAAAAAAAUGGAACUAAAAAACCGACUGAAAAACUGAACGGUUUUUCUAAAAAAAUGGCAGCGACGAGGUCAACCUCGGGGUGCGGGUCCGGCGAGGCGGCGGCUCCAGCGAGGGCGGCGGUGGUCGGCGGCGAUGGCGGCGUAGUCCAGCGAGGUCGGCGGCGGUCGGCAGGUUUGGCGGCGGAUCGGGNNNNNNNNNNNNNNNNNNNNNNNNNNNNNNNNNNNNNNNNNNNNNNNNNNNNNNNNNNNNNNNNNNNNNNNNNNNNNNNNNNNNNNNNNNNNNNNNNNNNNNNNNNNNNNNNNNNNNNNNNNNNNNNNNNNNNNNNNNNNNNNNNNNNNNNNNNNNNNNNNNNNNNNNNNNNNNNNNNNNNNNNNNNNNNNNNNNNNNNNNNNNNNNNNNNNNNNNNNNNNNNNNNNNNNNNNNNNNNNNNNNNNNNNNNNNNNNNNNNNNNNNNNNNNNNNNNNNNNNNNNNNNNNNNNNNNNNNNNNNNNNNNNNNNNNNNNNNNNNNNNNNNNNNNNNNNNNNNNNNNNNNNNNNNNNNNNNNNNNNNNNNNNNNNNNNNNNNNNNNNNNNNNNNNNNNNNNNNNNNNNNNNNNNNNNNNNNNNNNNNNNNNNNNNNNNNNNNNNGGUGCCGGCGGCGGAUCGGGCGGCGGGGCGCGGGCUAGGGUUAGGGUUAGGUGGGGCGCGGCGGCGGCUGGGCUGGCGGCGGCGGUUUGGGAUGGGGUCGGCCCGGGCGCGCGUUAUAAAGACCCCCGGCCCAAAGGCGGUUCGCGUUUUUUUAAAUAAUUCCGCGCAGAAAAACUAACGAAAGAAAUACUAAAUGGACUCCAAAAAUCCCGAAAUAAAUUUUCCCCGGCUUCGAAAAUAAAGCCGAACAAUAUGAACAUUUAUUUGGGGCCUAAAUGCAAUUUUAAAAAAUGCACAUUUUCCUAAAUUCAAAUAAAAUGGCGAAAAACUCCAAAUAAAAAUCUUAUUUGAUUUUUUAUUAAAUCUUCAAUAUUUCUUUGUUUUGGGAAAGUCAUUUUAUUUCCUCUCUCAUAUUUUGACAGUAGAAACAAUUGAAGCUAAAAUAAAUAUAAUCAAAUGAUCCUAUUUUCAAAAUUUGAGAAAACUCAAAUAUGAAAAUAACGAAAUUUCCAACUCUCUCCGUGGGUCCUUGAGUUGCGUGAAAUUUCUAGGAUUGAGCCAACAUGCAAUAAAAUAUGAUAUGCAAGUGAUGCUCUAUGUAUAACAUUCCAAAUUGAAAAUUUGGGAUGUUACAAACCUACCCCCCUUAAGAUGAAUCUCGCCCUCGAGAUUCGGGUUGGCUAGAAAAUAGGUGAGGGUGGGCCUUAAGCAGAUCUUCCUCUCGCUCCCAGGUGGCUUCAUCCUCGGUGUGGUGGCUCCACUGAACUUUGAAAAACUUAAUAACCUUGUUGCGGAUGACUCGGUUGGCAUACUGGAGAAUUUUGACUGGUUUUUCCUCGUAGGUCGAAUCAUUACCCAACUGAAUCGCUUCAAGCGGCACAAUAUCUUUCAGUGGUAUAUCAGCCAUCUCUGCGUGGCACUUCUUCAACUGAGAAACGUGGAACACGUCGUGAACUCCUGACAAUCCCUCGGGCAAUUCCAACUUAUACGCAACUUCUCCCAUGCGCUCCAGAACUUUGUACGGUCCCACAAAACGUGGCGCUAACUUUCCUUUAACUCCAAAGCGCUUAACUCCUCGAAGCGGGGAUACUCGAAGAUAAACUCUGUCUCUGACUUUGUAUACCGUCUCCUUGCGUUUUGAAUCCGCACAGCUCUUCUGCCUAGACUGCGCUACCUUGAGCCUAUCGCGAAUCAACUUCACUUUCCAUUCAGACUCCUUAAUCAAAUCUGGUCCAAACAACUGGAGGUCUCCAACUUCAUCCCACAACAGCAGGGUUCUGCACCUCCUUCCGUACAAGGCUUCGAAAGGGGCCAUCUUCAAACUGGUUUGAUAGCUGUUGUUAUAAGAAAACUCCGCAUAUGGCAAGUUGUCAUCCCAACUUGAUCCAUAAUCCAAUGCACAUGCUCUCAUCAUAUCCUCCAAAAUCUGGUUGACUCUCUUGGUUUUUCCAUCUGUCUGUGGAUGAAAAGCUGUACUAAACUCUAGUCUAGUUCCCAAAGUUUCGUGCAACUGAUUCCAACACUUUGAGGUGAAUUGGGUUGCUCUAUCUGAUACGAUACUCCUCGGAACUCCAUGCAGACAUACGAUUCUGGUCAUGUAUAUCUUAGCCAAUUUGGCACUGCUGUAGGUAGUCUUCACUGGAAUGAGAUGAGCUACCUUCGUCAAAUGAUCGACUACAACCUAAAUCGAGUCAUAGCCUGAACGAGUGCUGGGCAAUCCCGUAAUGAAAUCCAUGCCUAACUUUUCCCACUUCCAUUCGGGUAUUGGCAAAGGUUGUAACAAUCCUGCUGGCUUCUGAUGUUCUGCCUUCACUCUCUGACAUACAUCACAAACUGCUACAUACUCCACAAUAUCCUUCUUCAUUCCGGUCCACCAGAAAGUAUCCUUCAAAUCCAAAUACAUCUUGGUAUUCCUGGGUGAAUCGAAUACGGCGAAUCAUGGGCCUCUUGUAGAAUCAACUUCCUGAUCUCCGGAUCACUAGGCACAUAAACGCGGUCCUCAAACCAUAAGGUAUCGUGCUCAUCCUCAUGAAAUCCCUUAGAUUUUCCCUUGCUCAUUUUCUCCUUGAUAGAGGCAAUCUCCUUAUCCGUCUUCUGAGCUUCUCUGAUCUUAUCCAUCAAGGUAGAUUGUAUCUCUAAUGCUGAUACAUAGCCUCUCGGAACUAUCUCCAAACAUAGCUCUCAAAAUUCCUUGGCUAAUUCUUUUGGUAAACCUCCGGUCAUUAGAGUGUUGACAUGGCUCUUACGGCUCAACGCAUCUGCUACUACGUUAGCCUUUCCGGGAUGAUAAUGCAAUCUCAUAUCGUAAUCCUUAAUGAGCUCCAACCAUCUCCUCUGCCUGAGAUUUAACUCCUUCUGCAUGAAGAUGUACUUCAAACUCUUGUGAUCCGUGUACACCUCAUAGUGGUUUCCAAUAAGAAAAUGUCUCCAAGUCUUCGGUGCAUGCACUACGGCUGCUAGCUCCAAAUCAUGCGUAGCAUAAUUUAACUCAUGAGGCUUAAGCUGUCGUGAAGCAUACGAAACAACUCUUCCCUCCUGCAUAAGCACUGCUCCAAUUCCUCGACGUGAAGCAUCACAAUACACCUCGUAAUCCUUGCUUUGAUCUGGCAGUAUUAACACUGAUGAGGUAACCAAACGUUUCUUGAACUCUUGGAAACUAGCCUCACAUUCCUCAGUCCAAUUGAACUUAGUGUCCUUCUUCAACAACUCCGCCAUAGGCUUCGCAAUCUUCGAGAAAUUCUCAAUGAAUAUCCGGUAGUAUCCUGCCAGUCCAAGAAAACUCCGGAUCUCUCCAACUAUCGUUGGUGCUUCCCAGUUUGUCAUAGUGGCAACUUUAGUGGGGUCCACUGCUAUACCUUCUCCGAAUAUAACAUGUCCGAGAAAUCCAACUUCCUUCAACCAAAACUCACAUUUGCUGAACUUGGCAUAGAACUGAUGUUCUCUGAGCUUCUCGAGUACCAAACACAAAUGCUCCUCAUGUUCUUCUUCAUUCUUUGAGUAGACCAAAAUAUCAUCCAUGAACACCACGACAAACUUAUCCAAAAAUUCCAUAAACACCUUGUUCAUCAUGUUCAUGAAAUAGGCAGGUGCGUUAGUCAAACCAAGUGACAUAAUAGUAUACUCAUACAACCUGUACCUGGUUAUAAAAGCCGUCUUAGGUAUAUCCUGCUCUCGAAUCUUCAACUGAUGGUAUCCCGAUCGCAAAUCGAUCUUGGAAAAUACCUUAGCUCCUUGCAAUUGGUCGAACAAGUCGUUGAUCAUCGGCAACAGGUACUUAUUCUUAAUGGUCACUUCAUUCAAUCCACGAUAAUCAACAACCAUUCUCAAUGAUCCAUCCUUCUUCUCCACUAGAAGUACUGGCAAUCCCCAAGGCGAAGAACUUGGGCGAAUAAAACCUUUAUCCAGUAACUCCUUAAUCUGCUUCUUAAUUUCUUCCAAAUCUUGUGCGGGCAUCCUAUACGCUCUCUUAAAUAUCGCCCCGGUGCCUGACAAUAGUUCAAUCAAGAACUCAAUGUCUCUAUCCAGUGGCAUGCCUGGCAACUCUUCUGGAAACACGUCCGGGUAAUCCUUCACCACUGGUACUUCCUCCUGCACAACUCCUGAUAAGGAAUUUACAUGUGCCCUCCUCGGCUCAUGCCGUGAUACAUACUUGAUUCUUCUUCCUUCUGGGGUGGUAAGCAAAAUCGACUUACUGGCGCAAUCAAUGUUCCCUCCGUACUUUGAUAACCAAUCCAUGCCUAAUAUCACAUCCAAUCCUUGAGAUUCCAAAACUAUUAGGUCCGAGGGGAAUACAUAGUUUCCAAUCCUUAAUGGUAGUCGAUCACACCAUCUACUAGCCAUAUAUUCUGCUCCGGGUGAGGUUACUAGCAUGGGUGACCUAAGGGCUUGGGUUGGCAAUUUAUACUUAUCCACAAAUCCCCUUGAUAUGUAUGAAUGCGAUGCACCAGUAUCAAAAAGGACAACUGCAGUAAAUGUCUUAACCAAAAACUUACCUAUUACUGCAUCUGGCCGAGCUUCAACAUCCUCCACGGUAACGUGGUUCACCUGUCCCCUGUUGAAAGGGUUCGGCUUGUUCCCUGAGCUUCCAUUGCCAUUACCAUUUUGGGCUUCAGGACAUUCAUUUGCAUAAUGCACAGUCUUCUGACAUUUAAAACAAGUGACUUGGCUCAGGUCUCUCUUGGCUGGGGUUGACGGGUUGGUGCGGUUUUGUCCAUUGCUUCCUCCAUUCCCGUUUCCAUUCUUGGUGCCAUUAUGAUUGUGCGAGUUACCUCCUCCAUGGGUAUGCUAAAAUUUUCCUCCCGGCUUUGGGGUAAAGCGUAGCUUCUGCUGAGCUCCAGAAUUGUACUUCCCCUGUCCAUACUUCCUCUUGCGAUUGUCAAUCUGCUGCUGCUUCCCUUCAAUCAUAAGAGCAUGAUCUACCAACUCCUGGUAGUUAUUGAAAGUGGCCACCAUCAACUGCAUGCUUAGUUCAUCAUUCAGUCCUUCCAGAAACUUCUCCUGUUUAGCAGCAUCUGUAGCAACGUCAUCUGGGGCAUAACGAGCUAACUUACUGAAAUCCUCUACAUACUGGCCUAUAGUGCGCCCUCCUUGGCGUAAGUUGCAAAACUCACGCUUCUUCAUGGCCAUAACUCCUGUUGAAACGUGGGCAGUACGGAAAGCUUACUGAAACUGAUCCCAUGUGACUGUGUCAAUAGGGUGUGUGGCUGUGUAAUUUUCCCACCAUGAUGCUGUGGGUCCAUCAAGCUGAUGUGCGGCAAAACGCACUCUUUCCGCAUCAGUGCAUCCUGCAGCGGUCAGCUCCCUUCCAACCUUGCGGAGCCAAUCAUUUGCAGCAAUUGGCUCGGUGCUACUAGAAAACACCGGAGUAUUUAGCCUCAAGAAACAAGUCAAAUGGUCAACAGGUGGUGGUGGUGGGUUGUUGUUGUUGUUGUUGUUGUUGUUGUUGUUGUUGCCUUGGUUCCGUACCAGUGUUUGAAUCAAGGCAUUCUGCUACUGAAUCAACUGAGUGAUCUCCGGUGGGAAAACAAAUCUGGUGUCGCGUCUCGGAGGCAUCUGAGGGUUUAGAAAAGAAGAGAAAAAUAGAAUAGAAUGAGGUCUAGUGAGAAAACACUACCCAUAUGCACAUGAGACAAAAGCAAACAAUAUCACUCCAAUCAAUUCAAACAAGGGCAUACAACGGUCUAACUAUCGUUACAAACGUGCUUGGACUAAACUAAUUACAAUGGGGGAAAUUCUACUACUGUUAUGGUGGUCAGCUAGAAAAACUGCUUUGAUGAAGACUCCAUGAUAUCGGAUCCAGCUUCAUCAACAUAGUCAUCAUCACUAUCGUCGGGGUCCGAGUCGGUGUCGUCGAUGAUGAUAUAGUUAUUCGGGCAAAUGGAAUCGUCAUCAUUUCCUCCUGGCGCGGGGUCUCCCAUGAAAACUCCGAGCUUCCUGGUUAAGUGGUCAUUCUUCUCUACUAGCACUUCAAUUUCUUCCAUGUAAUCUUCACGUGUAGCCUUGAGUUCUUCCUGUAGCUCCUUGAUCUUGGUCAUAGCCUUCUGCAGAUCCUCCAUGCCUGCACACAUCUGGUUCUCCUGACGUUGGAUGUGCUGGUUUAACUCCUGGAUAAAAGCUGCGAUUGAUCUAUCCCUCUUGGUGCUGAUCAUCUCCCAUUGCUCAUCUCGACGCCCACAAAUCUGGUAGAUAGGAUUCUUGAGAUCAUUGUGGUAAACUUCUCCAAUACGUCCCAUGGCGAUGUGGGCUGCCAUGCUCUUUCCUAGACUCCAGGUUGGUGCAUCAAAGGAAAACUCUAUGGGCUCCGUGACUGGUGCAAAUGUCCUUCCUGGAACUUGAACUUGAAUCAUCCAGGGCUCCUCUUCGGGUAAAGUGGCAUUGUAGGUCCCGGUGAAGCUUGGUACUCCGAUGUUCAGGUAUCUAGUGACUUCCUUCAAGUGACAUCCAAAGGGUGUAUCUUCAUCCGGUUGUGUGAAUUUGUUCCUUGCAUCCGCCAUCCUAAAAGAAUAGAAAAGAUGAGGAGUCAGAAAUGAGAAGAAAGAGUAGUGAUCUAGGGCUUUAGCUUAGUGGCCGUGUCCUACAGUCAGCCUGUGCUCUGAUACCAUCUUGUUGCGACCAGACCUCAAAUAGUCUGAUCUCUGUGCAUCAGUGUCAUCCCUGGAUCAGUAAUGCUGACACGCACAGUACUCGAAGGAUUUAUAACAGAGUAGCAAUCACAAACUUAUUACAUUGAAUGUCUCCAAAAGAGAACUUAUUACAAUAAAUAUGGCUUAAGGCCAUCUAAUAACGAUAACAGCGGAAGGCUUGGAAGAUAAGCGAGUCCAUCAACUCCAACGACAUCACUGAGUAUAGAACCACGACCUAAGGCACCUUACUCGUCGUCUGAAAAGUCUGCAACAUGAACGUUGCAGCCCAAAAACGGGUCAGCACAUGGAAUAUGCUGGCAAUGUAACACAUAGAGAGUAAUAUGAAAGAGUAAGGCUAUACUACAUGCAUAUAUGGAUGGUGGAAAGCUCUAUGGUUACAGUUUGCAUAAAGCCAAUUUUUCCCUACUGCAAAGGAAUAAAUUUUAUUUAACUAUCAUGGUGGUUGUUAAACAUUGAGAAUGGUGGACAACAUUCUCAAUCCCAAUUAAGCAUCAUCAUUAAAACCCAACAAUAUUAAUUAAAGUAAGAUGAUGAGAUUCACAUGAUAAUCCAAGUACUAGAUACUCAAGAUGUCCAUAACCGGGGACACAGCUAACCAUGAUUAGUUUGAUACACUCUGUAGAGGUUUGCACACUUUUCCCCACAAGACUCGAUCUCCUCCGUUGGGAUUCUCGCACUACACGGUGUUUGAGAAACGGAUGAUCGAGACAUAGUAUUUCAGAAGCGCUAGCACCUUACGAACGGGUAGACCGUACCAACCUACAUCCCCUACAUCAGCUAGUCUACCACUGUAAGAGUUCGCACGACUUACUCAACUAUGCUAGAGCCCAUAGUAGCUUGUGGCUGCACACAGAAGUUUCUAGCAUGAAUAAUCUAAUGAUCCCUUUGAGCCUGGGUGGCGGUCCAAAAAGAGUAAGGCUAUACUACAUAGGUACCUCAAUCCACCCAGAUGUGUGUUUAAGUUGCCACCUUAAAUAAACCAUUAAUUAACAAUCUCACAUAUGUCAUGGAUACACUCACCCAAUCCACGUCUACUAGCAUAGCAUGGCAUAAUAAGCAAACAUAGAAGUAACUCCCAAGGGUUUGAUAAUAAAACAGGUAAUAGGUACUACCUCAACUACUUUCCCAAAACCCACAAUUUAAUUAGAUCCUAGUCAUGCAAUGUUUGAGGAUUGAUCUAAUGCAUAAAAACUGGGUAUGAAAAGAAUAUGAUCAAAGUGUUACUUGCCUUGCUGAUGAUCCGUGAAACCUAGAGAUUCAAAGUAGCAAGCGGCGCACUCCGGGUACUCUAUCGCAAACAAACAAGCACACAAUAAGUACUCAACUAAUGCACAGGUAAAACUCAAAUAAAAGAUCUAAUCAGAAAGUUCAACUUAAGAACUCCGGUUUGCAAAAAGAAACAACUCGAACGAAACAACGAAAAAUAAACGGCGAAAGAAACAGGCUUCGUUUUACUAAUCUGAACCUAAGUCAAAUUUUACAGAAGCAAAAACUUGUUUGAGUUGAUUUAUUCUGAAAGAGGGUGUCGAGACGAAACUCCAGACGCUUGAAUCGCCUGAUUCCGAUAAACGAGCAAAAAGUUAUACCAGAUCGAAAAUCGGAUCAAAAAUCGCGAUCAGAAAAAUCGCGGAAUAAAUCCGAGAAAAAGAAAAAUGACGAAUAGGUUAACGAACGAACGUUCGUGAACUAGAUCUAAAUGAUGUACAUGUUCUUUAAAACGAACGAACGAGCGAACGCUCACUAUGUAACCUAAACCGGAAAAAAACCAAUCUAAUAAAAAACGGAACUAUAAAAAACGGACGAAAAAACCGAACGGUUUUUCUAAANNNNNNNNNNNNNNNNNNNNNNNNNNNNNNNNNNNNNNNNNNNNNNNNNNNNNNNNNNNNNNNNNNNNNNNNNNNNNNNNNNNNNNNNNNNNNNNNNNNNNNNNNNNNNNNNNNNNNNNNNNNNNNNNNNNNNNNNNNNNNNNNNNNNNNNNNNNNNNNNNNNNNNNNNNNNNNNNNNNNNNNNNNNNNNNNNNNNNNNNNNNNNNNNNNNNNNNNNNNNNNNNNNNNNNNNNNNNNNNNNNNNNNNNNNNNNNNNNNNNNNNNNNNNNNNNNNNNNNNNNNNNNNNNNNNNNNNNAGCGCGGCGCGCGAGGCGGCGGCGGCGGAACGGGCGGUGGUGCGCGGGCUAGGGUUAGGGUCAGGUGGGGCGCGGCGGCGGCUGGGCUGGUGGCGGCGGUUUGGGCUGGGGUCGGCCCGGGCACGCGUUAUAAAGACCCCCGGCCAGGCGGAGUCCUGGCCGGUUACGGCCCAAAGGCGGUUCGCGUUUUUUUUAAAUAAUUCCACGCAGAAAAACUAACGAAGGAAAUACUAAACGGACUCCAAAAAUCCCGAAAUAAAUUUUCUCUGGCUUCUAAAAUCAAGCCGGAGAAGAUGAACAUUUAUUUGAGGCCUAAAUGCAAUUUUGAAAAAUGCACAUUUUUCCUAAAUUCAAAUAAAAUGGCGAAAAACUCCAAAUAAAAAUCUUAUUUGAUUUUUUAUUAAAUCUUCAAUAUUUCUUUAUUUUGGGAAAGUCAUUUUAUUCCCUCUCUCAUAUUUUGAUAGUAGAAAUAAUUGAAGAUAAAAUAAAUAAAAUCAAAUGAUUCUAUUUUCAAAAUUUGAGAAAACUCAAAUAUGAAAAUAACGAAAUUUCCAACUCUCUCCGUGGGUCCUUGAGUUUCGUGAAAUUUCUAGGAUCGAGCCAACAUGCAAGAAAAUAUGAUAUGCAAGUGAUGCUCUAUGUAUAACAUUCCAAAUUGAAAAUUUGGGAUGUUACAAACACUCUUUGGCUCUGGGUGUUUUGGGCUUUGUCCUCGCAAGGAUUUCUCUCUCAAAUGCUUCAGAGGUGUGUUGCUCUCAACCGACAAAAGCCGUGCACUAACUCUAAGAAGCCACCAAUUUAUGGUGUAGGGGGUGGGCUAUUUAUAGCGAGGAGGCAAUCCGACCUAAUUUGUCCAAAAUGCCCCUGGGUCACUAAGGAACUGACACGUGUCCAACGGUCAGAUUUCAAACACAUGCGGCAACUUGGUUUUGGCUACUAGCAAAGCUGACUCAUCUAGCUCUGGAUAAGAUUUGCUCUCAGUGUCUUCACUCGAAGACAUAGGAUUUGGUUGAGCAUCACUUCAGUCACUCCGACUUUGUUCACUUGGACCCCACUUAACAAUACGGUGGUUCCUAUGACUAAUAAGAAGAAGAGGAAACUACGAAACAACUAUGUCUUCGCACUCCAUAGUCUUCAAGUGAAUAGCUUCACGCGUCAUAAUCUUCGUUGUGAAUGUCUUCACGAACCACCAUUGUCGUCAAUGUCUUCACACAUUUUUAGGGGUCAUCUCUGGUAGGUAAACCGAGUCAAUGAGGGACACUACCUGUGUUAUCCUGCAAUUCUCACAAACACAUUAGUCCCUUAACCAUAUUUGUCGUCAAUACUCCAAAACCAACUAGGGGUGGCACUAGAUGCACUUACAAUCUCCCCCUUUUUUGUGAUUGAUGACAAACUGGUUGAAGUUUUCAAUGGGGAUAAAAGUAUGUGAAAGUUCAGUGUUGUGAGUAUUGUCUUCAUACAUAUGACGAGGCUUCCCCUGAAGAUGUGCAUAUAAAUAGUUUGCUUUUGAAUGCAAAUGCACGUGGCAGGUUUUUCUUUGUGGAGGCCAUCUUCAAAGUGUGAAGACAAUGCAUCAUGCAUAUAAAAGGAUAAUGAAGAUAAUGAUAUGCAUAAUGGAAAAUGGACGUCUGCAGAAUGACUUCAUGCAGAAUUUAUCAUUGCAUCACAAAGUGGCAGCAAAAAGUAGCAGACGACCAUCAAGUUUAAGUGUUACAACUGAAAAGCAAAAAGUUUCAGAAUGAGAGUUGUAAGAACUUAGCAAAAAUUUAGCAACCACCCAUAUGGACCCGCUUGAAGACUAUCAACUCAUAUGCUUCUCCCCCUUUUGUUAGUAAUGACCAAAAAGGUUUGAAGACAUAGAGAUCUACUCAUUCCUAGUUGGAGACGAAAGUGGAGCAGCAGGGUCGACGUUGGAGUUUGGUGGAGCAGACAGGCCUUGUGCAUCAUCAUCAUGCUGAGCAGUGAGAGCAGGCGAAGUGGCGUCAUCUUCUUCAUCGACGAAUCUCGCAACAACAGUUUCAACCGAGGAUGAAUACUCAGAAUAUUCAAUGGAGGGUGUGAGACACUAGUAGAAAAAGGGUCAAAUGUGAGACACAUUAGUCCCGGUUUGUAACAGAACCGGCACUAAUGUGUCCAUUAGUGCCGGUUCCAACGGCUAGCCGGGAGGAGCUCUUUAGUACCGGUUUGUGGCAAACCUUUAGCACCGGUUCGUGCCACGAACCGGUACUAAUGAGAGUGGUGGCAGGAUGUUGUCAGAGUGGGGCCCUUUCAGCACCUUUAGUACCGGUUCGUGUCACGAAUCGGUACUAAUGUUGUCAGAGUGGGGCCCUUCCAGCAUCUUUAGUACCGGUUCGUGGCACGAACCGGUACUAAAGGUCGUCCUAUAUAAAUCCUUCGUCCACCCGCACUCUGUUCUUCCCCCUUUCCCCUCUCCCUCUCCUCUGUUCUUCCCUUCUUCCUCUCGAGUUCAUCACAAAACUUGCCCCAAAUUUGUCAAGAUUUGCCGGCCCUCAUCCAUUCAAAUGAUCACCAAGGUUAGCAACUUCGUCCUUUCAUCUCUCAUUGCUAGAUUAGCUCUUGCAUUGGUUUAUAUAGUGAUUAAUUGUGGGUUUUAGUAAUUUGGGAGGAAUUAUAUGUGGUAGUAUUUGAUUUAUAUGCAAUUUGAGGUCAAAAUAACACUUAGUUUGCAUAUGUAGGUGUGGUUUACUUAGUGCCUUCUAAAUCUCCGUCGUAACCACCGUCGAUCGCCUGCACCGUCCCGUCGCCGGCACCACCUUGUGGUGAGACUCUUGUUCAUGAAAUUUUAUAUAAAAAAUUGAUGUUUGCGUGAUUUGGAUAUAUAGUUACUCGUAUAAUAAUUAUCUUACCCAUACGUUGUUUGUUAUACAUAGUGCCAUGGUUUUGAUAUCCGUCCCCGUCGGCUCUCGUCCUUGUUAUGAUUCGGAUGUGGUAUAUUCUCUUUUAAAACUAUUUGUUGCAUUUCGUGUUUAUGACAAAUUAUGCCCAUCAAGUUGACAUAGAUAUUUUUAUCUAGGAGGUAUGUGAACCGGAAAUUCCAACCGACCCUAUUGUCGAGAGGUUAAAUUUAGUUGAAAGAGAAAAUGAGUACUUGAAAGAAAAAUUGAAAAGAAUUGAGGAGGAGAAGAUGGAAUUGGAGUUGCAUGUUGCCGAUGUCAUCGAUGAUCACAAGAUCAAGAUGGAGAAAAUGCGCUUGAAGAUUAGAAAGAUUAGAAAAUAUGCCAUCGAUAGUGAGGCUUGGUAUCAUUAUGCUGUUGGAUCAAUUGUUACCUUAGUUGCGAUCUUGAUCGCAUUUGUUGUUGCAUUUAAAUGCUUUAGCUAGAGAGUUAUUUGUUUGUUGCAUUUAAGUGUUGUAUGAACUUUAUGUAUGAACUUGUAUUAAUUUGGUCUAUUCGGUGUUGUGUAAUGAAGAUGAGCCGGCAAUGGAUGUACGAUGACCGAUGCUCUCCCCAGUUUGUUGAGGGCGUGCAUACUUUUCUGCUUGCGGCUGAGGCAAACAAGCGGGCGGAUGGUUUUAUGCCUUGUCCAUGUGCUGGCUGUAAGAAUGGUCGCAAUUACUCUACGUCAAGAACCAUUCACGUCCACCUGUUUGAGUCCGGUUUCAUGCCCCACUAUAAUGUUUGGACCAAGCACGGAGAAAGAGGGGUUAUGAUGGAAGACAAUGAAGAAGAAGAGGACAACGACAACUAUCCUGGCCAUGGGUUCCCUAAAUACGAUGAUACAACAAUGGGGGAAGAAGCUGAGCCGGUAAUGCGGGAAGAAGCUGAGCCGGCAAUGCGGGAAGAAGCUGAAGAAGAGGCAUCAGAUGAGCCCGUUGAUGAUCUAGGUCAGGCCAUUGCCGAUGCAAAGAGAAACUGCGCAAGUGAUUUGGAGAAGAAGAAGUUGCAGCACUUGUUAGAGGAUCAUAAAAAAUUGUUGUACCCAAAUUGCGUAGGUGACAAGAAAAAGCUGGGCACCACACUGGAAUUGCUGCAAUGGAAGGCAGAGAAUGGUGUAUCUGACAAGGGAUUUGGAAAGUUGCUGGUAAUGAUAAAGGAUAUGCUUCCGAAGGACAACGAAUUGCCCGAGAGUACGUACGAAGCAAAGAAGGUUGUCUUCCCUCUAGGGUUAGAGGUGCAGAAGAUACAUGCAUGCCCUAAUGAUUGCAUCCUCUACCGCGGUGAGUACGAGGAUUGUGAAGCUAUGUGCAUUUCUCAAUGCAAUCUCUCAGAAGGUAAUCGAUCCAGAAAUCAUACCAAGGUUACAGAAUGAUUUGGUGCAAUGUCUUGUCAGUUUCGAGUUGGUGUUCCCACCAUCCUUCUUCAACAUCAUGACGCACGUCCUAGUUCACCUAUGCAAGGAGAUUAACGUUUUGGGUCCUGUAUUUCUACACAAUAUGUUCCCCUUUGAGAGGUUCAUGGGAGUCUUAAAGAAAUAUGUUCAUAACCGUGCUAGGCCAGAAGGAAGCAUCUCCAAGGGCCAUCAAAAUGAGGAGGUCAUUGAGUUUUGUAUUGACUUUAUUCCUGACCUUAAGCCGAUUGGUUCCUGAAUCGCGGCAUAAGGGCAGACUGGAUGGAAAAGGCACGCUAGGAGGGGAACAAAUAAUAUGUAUGGACAGACAUUCUCUCACUGAAGCACACUACACAGUUCUAUAGAAUUCCGCCUUGGUGGCUCCGUAUAUGGAUGAACACAAGAAUUUGCUACGCUCCAAACACCCGGAGCGGUCUGAUGACUGGAUUACACGUGAACAAACCAGGAGUUUCGCCAGCUGGUUGCAGACACGUACCAUGCAUGACACCUCUAUUGAAGAUGACCUGUACUUGCUGUCCCAGUUACCAUCUUCGAAUAUAAUGACUUUCAAAGGGUACGAGAUAAAUGGUAAUACAUUUUACACGAUCGUAAGAUAAGAAGAGCACCAACCAAAACAGUGGUGUCUGCUUUGAUGAAGAAACCAAGACGGGAAAGGAAACAUAUUAUGGUUAUAUACAGGACAUAUGGGAACUUGACUAUCGACGUGGUUUAAAGGUCCCUUUGUUUCGGUGCAAAUGGGUCAAUAUGACAUGAGGCGGGGUAACGGAAGACCCGCAGUACAGAAUGACAAUAGUGGAUCUCAACAAUCUUGCGUAUGCAGACGAACCAUUCGUCCUAGCCAAUGAUGUGGCACAGGUUUUCUAUGUGAAGGACAUGUCUACCAAGCCAAGAAAAAGAAAAGAUAAGGAAGCGAAUGCAUCGUACGAUGAGCCAAAGCGGCACAUAGUUCUUUCUGGGAAGAGAAACAUCAUGGGAGUGGAUGACAAGACAGACAAGUCAGAAGAUUAUGAAAAGUUUGAUGAAAUUGCUCCAUUCAGAGUGAAUAUUGACCCGAGUAUCCCGUUAAAUGAUGAAGAUUUUCCAUGGUUACGGCGCAAAGGGACACACGCGAAGAAAAAGUUUCACACCCAAAGAUCUGGGAUGUGAUCGGCUUCACUAGCUAUCAUCACUUUCUUCUGUGUUUCUCACCAAGAGGGGAAUCUCUGUAAUAGUUAGGGUAGUUAUGUGUUUUGGCAUUUGAAAUGCGAAGAAAUUUUAUGUGCAAACAAAUUCACACUAAUUUCAAAUAAUUCAAAAUUUAAACUAUUCAAAUUUGAAAACUAUGGGCACUAACAGAAAGUUUGUAAUUUUUUGUACCUAAAGAGGUUGUGUAAGCCUCCGGUCAGGCUAUGGCCCCACCAUCACCAUUUAGUGCCGGUUCAUGUUUUGGCAUUUGAAAUGCGAACAAAUUUUAUGUGCAAACAAAUUCACACUAAUUUCAAAUAAUUCAAAAUUUAAACUAUUCAAAUUUGAAAACUACGGGCACUAACAGAAAGUUUGUAAUUUUUUGUACCUAAAGAGGUUGUGUAAGCCUCCGGUCAGGCUAUGGCCCCACCAUCACCAUUUAGUGCCGGUUCGUACCACGAACCGGUACUAAUGAGGUUGUGUCAGGUAAGUCUGGGGCCCCACGAGCACCUUUAGUACCGGUUCAUGGAUGAACCAGACGUAAGCUGUUUUUUAGUCCCACCUCGCGAAGUGAGAGGGACUAGGAGCGGUUUAUAAGCCCUGAGUGCAGAGACGAUGAACAAGAGGAUCAAUGCUCACGUUGCUUAGCUUCAAGCCUUCAGGAAUACGGUAGACUGCACGGAGCUAUGCGCAGUGCAGUUUACACUAUUCCGAAAGGCUUGAAGCAAAUUAACGAGCAUUGCACCUCUUUUUUAUUUUUAACAACUUAUUAAAACUCCGGACUUCUUCUGUUAUGGCAAAAACUAAUUGCACGUCGACAUUUCUUUUUUUUAAGUUAUAACUCCAGACUUUGACCAUCAUGUUUUGCAGAAAAGAAAAAAUAGCAAAAAAGAAAGAAAAACUAUAGCUGAAAAGAAAAAAAACUAUAUAAAAAAACUACUCAAAAAUAAAUAGAAGAAAAUAAAUAUAGCAGAAAAGAAAAAACUAUUCAGAAAUAAAUAGAAGAAAAAAUAAAGCAGAAAAGAAAAAAAAUUAUAUUUGCUAUUUUUCAAUCGUUUACAAAAUGACCGUGAAAUUGAAAAUCACUACAAAAUGAACUCUGAAAAUGUUGAAUUUUGGCAAACUAGAUGAAAAACUACUCACAAAUAAAUAGAAGAAAAGAAAUAUAACAGAAAAGAAAAAACUAUACAAAAAACUAUGCAAAAUAAAUAGAAGAAAAUAAAGCAGAAAAGAAAAAAACUAUAAAAAAAAUUGGGGCGCUGCCCUGUGGGUCUGAUAGGCCAUAGGUGUGUAAUUACAGGCCUUAAAGGCCCAGCAGACUCAUAGGGCAGCGCACAGAGUUUAGGCCCACAAGACUGCUAUACAGAGGAGUUCGAAGUGGUAGCCGCGACUGGGUUUAUAAACCAGUGCGGCUGCCCUUCGCCCGGCGAGGUGGGACUAAACUUUGGGGUGGCAGCGCGAGGCCUUUAGUACCGGUUGGAGCCACCAACCGGUACUAAAGGGGGGGCCUUUAGUACCGGUUUGUGCCACCACCCGGUACUAAAGGGGGUCGCUUCCUGCCGCUUGGGCUGGCCAAAACUGGCCUUUAGUACCGGUUGGUGGCACAAACCGGUACUAAAGGCCCCUCCUAUAUAAACAACACUUGCGAGAAUUUCAUUCUCCCUCUGUUUCUUCCUCUGUUUCUGUCGUCUCCGUCGCCGUCGCCGCCCCUGUCCCCGUCGCCGCCCUCGUCUCCGUCGNNNNNNNNNNNNNNNNNNNNNNNNNNNNNNNNNNNNNNNNNNNNNNNNNNNNNNNNNNNNNNNNNNNNNNNNNNNNNNNNNNNNNNNNNNNNNNNNNNNNNNNNNNNNNNNNNNNNNNNNNNNNNNNNNNNNNNNNNNNNNNNNNNNNNNNNNNNNNNNNNNNNNNNNNNNNNNNNNNNNNNNNNNNNNNNNNNNNNNNNNNNNNNNNNNNNNNNNNNNNNNNNNNNNNNNNNNNNNNNNNNNNNNNNNUAACCCCUCUCCCUCGCCCCCGGCGGCCACCAUGGGCGCCGCCCCUCCCCGAGCCCAUACACACACACACAAGCAUGAUGAACACACACACACACACACAUAUGUAUGAAUUAAUGCAUGUAUAUAUUAGUAUAUACGUAUUUUGUAUGUUUAAUUAGUUUAGAUUAUUAUUUUUUCACUAUUAUAUAUGUAUGAAUGCAUGUUAGAUGGAUAUAAUUAGUGUUUAAUUAGUAUGGACAUUUUUUAUAUAAUGUUGUUUUUUAGUUUUUUAAUGGAUGUAUAGAAGUUGUGUUUUCUGUUUUUAGUGUUAGAUGCUUAAUUAGUAUGAAAUAGUAUAUAGAUUUUUGAAAUAGUAGAAAUGUUAGAAAUUUUAGUUAUCAAAAUCCAAUCAUUAAAAAAAUGUUACUUUUUGCGGGCAUAUAGCUAGUAUUUGUUCUCGACGAUGCCCGGCCCGCAUCCUCGCCGGCGACCCGUCCGCGACAACGUCCAGCCGACCCAUGUCCGGGACUGGGCUCCGCCGGGCUGGCACUGGGAGGUGCUGCCUGGAGGGGCGCGCCGCUUGAUGAGGAACCCGGCCCCGGGUCCCGUCGUCGACCCUGAUCUCGUUUGAUGGCGUUCGCGUGGGCCAGUUUCGGUGCGGAGGGACCCGGCCCCGCCGGAGGUGGUACAUCGCCGUGUCAGGGAGGAGGACGAGCACGUCCAUCGCUACAUGGUUGCGUUACAGGGCGGCAGGUUCUCCAAUACCUGGCAGUAUCUUCGGGGAUCUCACUUCAGCUAUGAUCCUGUGAGGGUUGCUUCUCUUUGGGUGUCCACCGCCCGCGCCGCAGGAACCGCGAGUGUCCUAGAUUCUUUUGUAGUAUUCGAUCUUUAAUUAGCUAGCCAGUGAUGUACUAUUCAAUAUUAUAUAUUAUUCGAGACGAUGUAUUCGAGAUUAUAUCUAUUAUUCUAGACGAAGUAUUCGAGAUUAUAUCUAUUAUUCAAGACGAUGUAAUUUGAAUACUAAAUUGUUUUAUAUUUCUUUUGAAUUAGUUAAAUAAAAGCUAUGGCAGACAAUACCGACAGAGAGGGAGAACAGACCAUGUUCGAUAUGAUACACGGGCCAGAUGAUGAUCAGAAUGAAGAAGAUUAUGACGGCUCCGAAUUUCUAAACAACAUCGGAGAGGGUGAUAUGAUAUUCGAUCGCGACGCCCGAAUUGAUGAAGUCAUGAACUACGAUUAUGACGAUGACGAAGAACAUGUUGAUCCUGAAACAACAAAGACCGGCGAGGUAUAUAUAUUUAUAUAAGCAGGUAUCUGGUGAUCAUCACAUGUUUUAAAUGACUUGAAGAUAUAUUAACGAAUCGAUCUUUGUUCUUUCAGCCAUCCGGAUCGAGCAAAUCUUCAGGCAAAAGGACAAAACGAGGCCCGAACAAAAAGUUGAAGGAGGGCGUAAAGUACAAUAUCGAGGCAGUCAGACCUAAUGGCGAACCAUUAGCGCCUAAGAAGAUUGCGGACAAGUUCGUUCGUCAGUGCAGAGUUCUUGUGAAGGACCAACUCCCGAUCUCCCUUCAAGAAUGGAGAGAGCCAGCAAAAGACAAAAGACAAAAAGGCAAAGAGGACACUGCUCCACGUCCAGAUGUUACUUUUGUUGACAAGAAUCAAAAAGAUCUGCUUUGGGAUACUCUCAUGGAACAUUUCACCCUACCAGAUCAUUUCACAGAAGCAGAUGUGCAGAAAGUCAAGGACGCUGCUCUUAGGAAGAUGGCGGUUGCAUUCAAGAACCACAAGAAUCGUGAAUGGGACAAGUACAUCAAGGGAGGAAGGAAGACUCCAGUAUUCUAGGGAACACUAGAGAACCAACAUGCUCAUUGGACGAUUUCGUGAAAUUCAAGGAUUCGGAAUUAGCUAAGGAACGGUCGAGAAUAAACAAGAAGAAUGCCGAAAAAAAAGGAUAAGUUCCAUAAGCUGGGGCCAGGUGGCUAUGCGGUGGCAAUGCCUAAGUGGGAUAAGUCUGAGAAUGAGAUGGAGGAUGCAGGUGUCACUCCAGUUACUAAGAGCUACCCCCCAGGGUCAGGACUUGGUUCUAUGCGCAUGGGGGGGAGUUGGACCCGAAGACAGGCAAUGUUUCGACGAGGGCAAGUCUGAAGGGAGCCGACGAUGCGAUACUUGUUGCAAUAGAAGAGGCAUGAUCGGGGGUGUUCCAGCCCAACAGAGAGAAUGACGAGGAACACCGACUACAGAACCCGUGCGAGAAAGAAGAUUGCGGAGGAGAAGAAGAGGAAGAUGGAGGAGGAGCAGAGGAAGCGGGACUAUGAACGCCUUCAAGGCCUAGAAGCAAGUCAAGCGGAAUUGGUAGUCAAAUUCCAGCGGCAGCAGGAGCAGAUCGACUCACUUACCCAGCAAAGGGGGUCUCAGCAGCUGCAGCAGCUAGCGAAUGAUCCAGCAUUGGAUAGCACCGCCCCAUCCAUGCCGAGAAGCAGCGUGGGUUCCACCCCGGACGACGCAAUGCUGGGUAGAUACCCCGUGGAUGACAUCACGGAGAACACAAGCUGCGAGCUACACGUCAAAAUGAAGAACAUAUCCAUGAAGGUGGCGGACGCCGUUGCUUUUACAAAUCCGCCCAAGGCAACCUUCCAUUGCAACCCGAUUCCAGCGGGCUAUGCUCGUGUCUUGGUUGAUGAGGUGGUGGACCCAUAUUCAGAGCUAGAGCUUGACAUUCCUUGAGGUGACGACGAGCGCUUUCUCGGAGAGGCCAACCAUCAUAUCAUCCUAUGGAAAAAGGAUUGCAUCAUCUUUCGAAGGCCACCGACACCGCGUCAGCCGACUCCUCGUCGAAGUCCGCCACCGAGUCAGCAGUCUCCCGCUCCUGCAAGUCCACCAAGUCCGGCAAAGUGUCAGGCCACUCCUCCUCCAAGUCCGGCAAAGUGUCAGGCCACUCCUCCUCCUCCAAGUCCGCCACAGCGUCAGACGUCCACUCCUCCUUCAAGUCCGACACAACCUCAGGCCACUCCUCCUCCAAGUCCGGCACAGCUUCAGGCGGCCACUCCUCCUCGUCCAACUCAGCCCCGUCAGCCGUCUCCGCUGCCUCAGCAAUUGCAGAAGAGACACCCCGCAGCUAUGGUGCGUAGCGGUACGAGUAGAGGUAGUAUAGGAAGUACAGGCGGAGGCAAGCGAUAUAAAUAUGGUCCAAGCCUCACGCCUCUUCCGUAGAGGGCUUAUGACAGGUCCGAGGAGGAAAUCGCAGCCAUAUCGAAGUCCGAGGUGGAAGCCCAUUUUGCACCGAAACCGCCACCGCCGCCAAGGGAGAAAGUGCCUGAGGAAACGAUUGACCACUUCAUUCGUAUGGCUCAACCACCAGCUCCCAAGCCUGUUGACAUAGACUAUGAGCGCCACAUCAGGAAGUUAAAUCGAGCACGUCUACGUAAGGAGGUGAGCUCGGGAUCGAGCAAACAAGAAGCAACUGUCAAAAAAUGCGGGAAAACCAUUCCCCAGCUGGGAGAACAGGCGGCGCAAUCGAUCCCCUCGCUUGUUGUGCCAACAACACGUGAUAGUAUGCGCGCCCAAUAUUAUUGUGGGCAAACAAUUUACGUUCCUGAGGUGGGCAAUGUGGUAAUAACGGAGGACCUAUAAUGCAGGCUGAAGUUCUCAAAAUCAUUGUUGGACAACUCCUCGAGAUCGAGCCCAUGCCUGUGCUUAGAGAGGAUGAAUUAAAAUGAAAAUAUGUCCGGGGCCAACCUUUGGUCGAGCCAGACAAGGUCAAGAACCUCCCAACGAGAAUGUAUGAAUUGCAUCAAUGGUACAUGAACAUUACCAAGAUUUCAGAUCGAUUGUCCCUCAUGGUGAAUGUCAAGGAGGAUGAUUACUUCCAUGAUAAAGCUCUGUCCGUUGAGUAUUUUGAACUGUUUCAGUUAUACAAUCAAGACGCAUUCGACAAAUCUAUCGUCAGUUGCUAUUGUCUGUAAGUGAUUUCUUUCUGUAAUUUAAGUCUCAAGCUAGCUGUAGUGAUCCUUUUGAUCGUCAAUCAUUACCUGUAAUUAUCCUCACUAUAUUCUUUUCUGUGGUAUUAUGCAGGAUGAAGAUGUAUGAAAUGAGAAAAGCUGGACGCUAUGGCAUUGGGUUCAUUGACCCAAACACCGUUAAUGAAUACACAUGGCGGAUAAAUCGACAUCAUCAAAAGGACAUAGAGGACAACAUGCUAGAGUUCUUGAAGCGCCUCAAAUACAAUGAAGAUAUACUACUUCCUUACAACUUCUAGUGAGUCACACUGUCUUGUACUACAAAUUCUCUGUUUUUGCCUACUAGCUAGCUACAUGUUUUUGCUUACAUAUGCCCGCUUAAUUAAGACAUGCAAACGUGUUUGCAUGCAGAUUUCACUGGGUCUUGUGUAUCAUUAAAGUUGACGACGGAACAGUUGAAAUACUGGACUCACUACUCAAAGUUAAAACUGACUAUAACAUCUUGUUUGGGAUAGUCAACAGGUAAUUUCAAUCAUUAUUAACUAUAUAUCUCGGCCUAUUUAGUUCGUCAUUUCAUGAUAUGAACUAUUUAAUAACCCCUUUAUUCAUUUUCUUUGUCGGCGGGCAGGGCUUGGGAAAGGUUCAUCAGCGUCACGGAAGGCGAAUGGGAAAAAAAGCUUAAAUGGGGAAGACCCAAGGUAAGUAAUUAAGUAGUACUAGCUAGCUAGAUAGCUGCCAUCUCUUUAAUUAUCAUGCUUGAUUAAUUAUUAUCUGAUCAAAUUCCAUUCUCGUAAAGGCCCUGAAGCAGGCGCAGGGGACUGAUCUGUGUGCAUUCUGCGUUUGCGAGAACAUUCGCAUGAUGGCGUCCGAAAGGAGCAGAUCUCAAAGAUAGGAAUGGGUACGCUUGUCAGAACACUAUUCACAAUUUUUAUACCAUUAUCGAAAUCUAGUCACACAACUAAUACACAUGCAUAUUGAUCUCCUUCUUAACAGUUCAGAGAGGUGCGGGAGAAGCUCCUAGAAACGGAGCGCGUAGAAGCACUUCAAGAGGAAAUAGCGGGAUUUUUGCUCGACCAGGUCAUAAAUCCGAAGGGAGAAUACUAUUACCCGCUACCGCCCCCAUGAAAACCACUUCCAAUUGUCAUCGUGCUCCGAAGGCACCAAUUAGGCUAAUGCCACUGGCUCCGAAGGCAACAUGCAUAUGUAGGAGAAAUUGUAUAUAGCUAGCUAUACAUUUGUGUAUGUGUGAAUUAAUUAAUAUGGUGGUUUGUGAGACAUUGAUGAUAUAUAUAUGCAUGAUUGGUUCUACUAGAAAUUCUAUAUAUAUAUAUAUAUGCAUAACGUGUACAAUGUGUAGUAUCGUAAAAUACUAGCAAACGAAAAAGAAUUAAAAUGGAAACACAAAAUUAAAUGAAAAAGAAAUCAUAAAACUAAAAAAACCCCAAACCUUAUAGUAUCGGUUGGUAUUACCAACCGGUACUAAAGGGCUCCAGCCCCCCGGAGCUGGCUCGUGCCACGUGGUUGCCCUUUACCACCGGUUCAUGCUGAACCGGUACUAAAGGGGGGCGGGGGCUUUAGUGCCCACACUUUAGUGCCGGUUAUGGAACCGGCACUAAAGGGCCUUACGAACCGGUGCUAUUGCCCGGUUCUGCACUAGUGAGAAGCCAACUUGCAUUUUGAGGAGGCCUGGAGUCAAACUUGAAAUUUUCAAUGAAGCCAUCCGCGCGAAGUUCAUCUUCAGCAUAGAGAAAGGUGAGACUCUUCCAGGAACGGCGCCAAGCUUCAUGUGCUACAAACGAGUUCUUGGUGGCUAAGUUGCGACUACGAUUGACAUCCACCAAGAUACUCUUCAUCUGACGCUUUAGCCAGUCAUGAUGUGUAACGCCCCGGAUUUGAUGCGCCAGGUGUCUCCCAGUUAUUCGCCGUAGUUGCCAUGUCAUUUGCUUGCGUGUUGCAUUUUGCCAUGUCAUCAACUGCAUUUCAUCUGCAUCUUUUUCAAAACUUGCAUCCGUUCGGGUUUCCCCGGUUCUCUCCGUUGCCCGUUCCGAGUCCAGCCACACUCGCAUGCGCCGUCGCCUCUCUCAGACCUUGUUUCGUGAGCGGGAGAAAAACGUUCUCGGAAUGGGCCGAGAUUUGCCGAGUGGCCUUCGUAUAGCACUGGUAGACCGCCCGUCAAAUUUCGUUCCAUUUGGAGGUCGUUUGAUGCUACAUCGGUUAACCGCAUAGCCCGAAAGCCCUCUCUGUUUGUAGUCAAGCCCCUCUUCACCACAACCCAUGAGCCCAUCCAAACCCCCUCCAUGCUCUCGGUCGUUCAAUCACGAUUGUGUGGGGAAAACCGCACCUCAUUUGGAGUCUCCUAGCUCCCUCUACAUAUAAAUAUGUGCCUCCCCCCGAAAUUUCACAGUCCAAACCCUAGCCCCGCUCCCCUCCCGCCAUCAGACAUUUCAUCCCCGCUGCCGGACAUGUCCACCGCCGCCAGCCACCUCACUCCGGCCAAUCCCGGACCGCCACCUCAGCACCGCCGCCUCCCUCAGCCAACCCCGCGCCGCCAAGUGGCGUGCCGGCCUCCUCUCUCCUCCCCGCACCUGCCGCGGCCCGGAUCAGGCCCUCCCAGCCCGCGCGCCCGAGCCGCCCCNNNNNNNNNNNNNNNNNNNNNNNNNNNNNNNNNNNNNNNNNNNNNNNNNNNNNNNNNNNNNNNNNNNNNNNNNNNNNNNNNNNNNNNNNNNNNNNNNNNNNNNNNNNNNNNNNNNNNNNNNNNNNNNNNNNNNNNNNNNNNNNNNNNNNNNNNNNNNNNNNNNNNNNNNNNNNNNNNNNNNNNNNNNNNNNNNNNNNNNNNNNNNNNNNNNNNNNNNNNNNNNNNNNNNNCAUGGAGCCUCACCGCCCUGUCGCCCGCGCCUCCUCGCGAGCCGCCGCCUCCGCCCGCGGCCCCGUCGCCUCGGCCCCAUCGUUCGCCGUCGUCUCGCCGCCCCAGAUCUGGCCGGCCCUGACUCCGGUGACCCCUCCCUAGUCCUCUCCGGCGCCAUCUCCGGCGAGCUCCGGCCCUUCCUCGAUCCACGUGCAAACCCUAGAUCUGGAGGUUGACCCAAAAUUUCCUCCAAGUCCUUUUUUUCUGACACAUUAUGUUGCACUGUUCAUCACAUCAUAUCUUCUUUCAUACUGCUCCGUUUUGCGUGCAUAAUAUAUACAAAUGUUCAUCAUGAGAUGCUCUUCAUUUCAUUACAUUGUGCCAUGCUUGUUUGAGUUCAUCUUGACGCUCUAAUCAUCAUUGCAAGAGUGCUAUAUGAUGUUAACUGCUGUCUGUUAUCAGAACUUGCUGUUUUGUCUUUUUCAUUGCAUUUUGUGUGUGCAUCCUAUGUGCUUGAUGUCUACAUGAGUUUUGAGCUACAUCAUUUCAUAUUUACAGUGGUGCAAUCCAUGUAUUUUUGUGAGUAUUGUAGUGAAUACAUCAAGCUUGUGAAGUAGGGUACUUGCUGUUACUGUUUUGCUAGGUUGAAACUGCUAUAUCAUGAUGCUAUGUAAACCUGCUGCUACAAGUCAUUCUAUACAUAAUCUGGAGAUGUUCAAUAAGGAUGUUUUGUUCUACAUGUCAUUUUCUAUCCAUCCAUGCCCCUGGUUGAAUUUAUAGCCUGCUGUAGCUUUUUGUAAUCUUGCUCUCAAAUUGCUAAAUAAUGUUGCUGUCAGCCUGUUAACGUUAAGUUCAGUUUUUUCCAUGAGCUUUACUAGUGAUCCAUGCACCCUAUGAACUUUCGGUUGCCAUGCUUAGCUUCAUAAGUAUGUCUUAUUACUGUUGGUCACCUUGUCAUGCCAUGUAUUGCUCUGUGGUGAGUGGUACAAGCUCACCAAUAUGCCUACUUAUCGUUGUUCCUGCCAUGUCUGAAUCUGUCAUAUCACUUGCCAUGUUUGCAUGGAUGCGACCAUCUUUUCUGUUGAUCUUUGGAAUUAGUUCAGUAAGGGUGUUUUGUUCUUUGUCUUUACUAUUAGCAUGCCAUGACUUUUUUUCCUUGUUAAGUUCUUGUAGCUUGUUGUUUGAUAGCUCUAAACAUUGCAACCUGAUGUUAUUUCUGCUAAGUCUAAAACUGUUAUUAUUUGCAAUCUUGCCAUGUCCUUUUGAGCAUGUGUAGUGAUUUCUGGAGAGAGCUCAUUGUUCAUGUUUUGUCAUGCUUUACCUGUACAUCACGUCCAUGCCUUUUGUUAUCAUGUUGGGGUGCUGUAGCAUGUCAUUUAGAUGUUUGCAAGAUGCCUAGUUGCUGUUUUGGACAGAUUGUUGUCAUAUCUUGUUUGGAGUGUAUGUGUUGAACCGUUGCUCCGUUUUGAGUGUACUCUAUAUGAAAUGAAACUUGCUUGAUUUGCAUGAAGUUUCAUAUUAUCAUGUUGCAUCCAUGUUUUGGGAGUGUUUGCUUGAUGUUUGUAUGCAUUUUGCAUCAAUGCCAUGUUUAACUUGUUUUGAUCAUAUCUUCUAGGCCGUAGCUCCUAAUUAAAUGAACUUUGUAUGUAACUUGACUAGAAUCUCGUGUAGAUCAUCUUGGUGCAUCUUAACUUGCUGUUUAACAACUUGAACAUAAGGUUUAUUCAGUUCUGGACCAAUUCUAAAUUUGCAUAUGAGGACUUACCAGAAUUGUUAUAUGUUGUUUCCGAUCUCAUUUAACCUUGCUUUGAUGUGUUGUUCUUGUAUGCAUCAUCUCUUGCCAUGAGUAGCUUCAUGUAGUCUUGUCUUGCAUCAUACUUGGUUGGGCAUCAUGUCAUGUAUAUGUGUGGUGUGUUUAGCAUGUUGUGUGCUUCUUCUCUAUAGUUCCCGUUUCUUUGCGAUCGUGAGGAUUCGUUCGUCUACGCUUGGUUUGUCUUCGUGGCUUCAUAUUCUUCAUAGACUCAUUCUUCUUCCUAGCGGGAUUUCAGGCAAGAUGAACGUCACCUUGGAUAUCAUUACUAUCAUUGGUAUGCUAGUUGCUUCGUCUAUCGCUAUGCCAUGUUACCUACCACUUGAUUAUCAAGCCUCCCAAAUUGCCAUGAACCUCUAACCUUUGUCACCCUUCCUAGCAAACCGUUGUUUGGUUAUGUUACCACUUAUGCUCAGCCCCUCUUAUAGCAUUGUUAGUUGCAGGUGAAGUUGAAGAUUGCUCCAUGGUGGACAUGAUUAUGGUUGGGAUAUCACAAUAUCUCUUAUUUAAUUAAUGCAUCUAUAUACUUGGUAAAGGGUGGAAGACUUGGCCUUAUGCCUGGUCUUUUGUUCCACUCUUGCCGCCCUAGUUUCCGUCAUACCGGUGUUAUGUUCAUUGAUUUUGCGUUCCUUACGCAGUUGGGUGAUUUAUGGGACCCCCUUGACAGUUUGCUUUGAAUAAAACUCCUCCAGCAAGGCCCAACCUUGGUUUUACCAUUUGCCUCACCACCACCUAUACCUUUCCUUUGGGUCGGCCAACCAGAGGGUCAUCUUUAUUUUAGCCCCCCCGAGCCAGUGCUUCUCUAAGUGCUGGUCCGAACCGAACUGUCUGCGGGGCCACCUCGGGGAAACUUGAGGGCUGGUUUUACUCGUAGCUAGUCUCAUUCGGUGUUGCCCUGAGAACGAGAUAUGUGCAGCUCCUAUCGGGAUUGUCGGCACAUCGGGCGGCUUUGCUGGUUUUGUUUUACCAUUGUCGAAAUGUCUUGUAAACUGGGAUUCCGAGACUGAUCGGGUCUUCCUGGGAGAAGGAAUAUCCUUCGUUGACCGUGAGAGCUUGUGAUGGGCUAAGUUGGGACACCCCUGCAGGGUAUAAACUUUCGAGAGCCGUGCCCGCGGUUAUGUGGCAGAUGGGAAUUUAUUAAUGUCCAGUUGUAGAUAACUUGACACCAGAUUCGAAUUAAAACGCAUCAACCGUGUGUGUAGCCGUGAUGGUCUCUUUUUGGCGGAGUCCGCGAAGUGAACACGGUUUUGGGUUAUGUUUGACGUAAGUAGGAGUUCAGGAUCACCUCUUGAUCAUUGCUAGCUUCGCGACCGUUCUGUUUGCUCUCUUCUCGCUCUUAUUUGCGUAUGUUAGCCACCAUAUAUGCUUAGUCGCUGCUGCAACCUCACCACAUAUCCUUUCCAUACCCAUUAAUCUUUGCUAGUCUUGAUACCCAUGGUAAUGGGAUUGCUAAGUCCUCAUGGCUCACAGAUUACUAAAACAACAGUUGAAGGUACAGGUUAUGCGGUGAUAUUAACACAAGAGCAAUGUUUGCUUGUUUUGGAGUUCUUCUUCUACUUCUUCUUUGAUCAGGGGAUAGGUUCCAGGUCGGCAGCCUGGGCUAGCAGGGUGGAUGUCGUUUGAGUUUCUGUUUGUGUUUCAUCCGUAGUCGGAUGGUGCUCUUAUGUAAGAUGAUGUUGUAUUCAUGUGGCAUUGUAUGCCUUUUGUAUGUAUCCCCAUCUAUUAUGUAAUGUUGAUUUAAUGAUAUCCACCUUUCAAAAGCGUAUCAAUAUGCGGUUCUAUCCUUGGUGGGACCUUCGAGUCUCUUUAGGAUAGUAUCGCAUAUUGGGCGUGACAUGAUGUUUGUCCUGCUUUUGAUGUAAAGCCACCGGAAGCUCGCGGUCAUUAAGAACACGAGGACACUUUUGAGGCCUUUGUGUAAUGGUGCUUGCAGUGGCUUCACUAUUUGCACGGUGCGGUAGGCGUAGGUUGCUAGUCAAAGGAUAGGCAGGAGUUGCAGCAUUGGGCACAUGAACACCAUCAAUGGGCUAUGUGAAGCGCUCUGGAACUCAGCAUUUUGAAGGUGGAGGGGCUUCUUUGCAGGCUCAGGGUAGAUGGCUUCAACAAACAUAUCAACAUCAAGCAAGAAGACAACGUGAUUGUGAGCUGAUGGCCGAUAGUCAACAGUUGAAUGAAGCUUAAUCAAGUGCAUCACCCAUGGAGCAUAGAACUUCAGACCAAACAGAUCAAUCCCGGAAGUAGCAAGUUGUCUGAUGAAGAAAUCCUGGGUGUUGAAUCUGAUGCCAUUGACAAUAUAGAACACCAAAGUCUUCAUGGAGCCUUCAAGUUUGGCUUCAGAUGAAUGGCCUUUGAUGGGCUAGAGAGUAUGCCUCAGAAUGUGAUAUAGUGUGUGUGGCAGAUACUCGAGGUCCUUAACAAAGAAUUCCUUUGGAUAUUCAACGUCUUGGAGCAAAGGCUUCAUCAUGCUAAGCAUUCGGCUCAUGUUGGGCUCUGGCCUCUGAAAUAUGCUCUGCAUUUCAUUCUAAUAAAGCGAACAACCAGGUUCGUAUAACUCACCUAGAGUGGUGAUGUAGACCAAACCUCGAUGGCGAGAUCUGAUCUGUUGUUGCGGCCCGACCUUUCACGACACACCACCACCAGCAGCAGUAACCUCUCGCCCGCGCACGCGAUGUACACGAAAUAGAUGGUUUGAACCUUGCGUCUCAGCACGAGAAAACCAAUCUUGAUGACGGUACUCACGCGCAAAACAAUUUCCUCACAGAGAAAUCGCAACACAGAAGUUUUCUAAAGCUUCCUCCAAAACUUAGGGAUUUUUAGACAGCUUCCCCCAAAACUCGAUACGGGUAUUACCCUAAAAACACAUCAUGUUUAUUAUCAAAAUAUAACCUCCUUACAUGUGACGCACCUUGGCUUUAUAUAUCAGCCGACACCUAACAAAGUUGGAAACCAAAUAUAUUUCUAUCCUAGACUUGCACGGCAAGACAAAAAAUUAAAUAAACUUUAAACUGACUAGGACUCUACCGUCCGGAUGACUUGCAUGCAAGCAUGCAAUCUUUUACAAGCCAAUUUAAACAACAUAACAUGAACUAAUAUGGACUGAUGCGCCAUACAUCAUCAAGUGCAUCUCUAUCCGCAGGUGGGCCCCAUCCGACUUCUUUUAAGGUAAGCUGAUCACGUAUUAACAAUCCAUUCCAUACACGCUCUUUCCAUGGUAAGAAGAGGAAUAUAAAAUAAUAUAUAUAUUUGAUCCUCACGUUCCAACUGAUCUUGGUUAGCAAACACACAAGAUCCAUCAUGGACUCCUUGAUGCCUCCUUGUAAAAGUGGCUCACCAAAAUAGUUGGAAUAUUCUUUUCCUUGUUUUUCUUCUAACGCAUGAAAGUCUAACGCACAAGAAAUUAUCAUCUCAACCUGAACACGCUUCUCAUCUCUCCAAAUGCACAUGGCCUGUAACGAUUCAGUGUGCAUGCAUGUAUCUUUUAUGAGCGGUUUCUCGUCUUCGUAACUUAGCAGCGAGCACUUUGACAUAUAUGCAGUGUACUUUUGGACACAACCGGCUUCUGGCAAAACAUCGACGACCUUAGUGUCUAUACUACAACAGGUCGCAUCAAGUGGGCAGGGAAGUUAGCUCGAUGAUAUUCUGAGCUUUGGCUUCAUGAUGCAAAUCACAUGUCAUCCGCUCAAGGAUCCAAGUCUUUGGAUCCCUGUUGUAGCCUCGAAUGUGCAAGGUGGCAUAGAACUGCAGGAGGAGCUCUUCAUUCCAGUGCUCUUUAUCAGUGACAAAUGCCAGAAGAUCAACAUCCCUAAAGCAGUCAAGGCUUCUUCCAAACAUGGCAGCCCAACCAUAGCAUCACAAUCCAGACGGCUAUGCGAAAAAAUCAUGUCUUGAUUGUACAUAAUGCAAGAGUAAUAGCUUCGCUGUUGGUGGCUCCAAAAUCUUUCCAAUGAGAUCCUUGGCUUCUUGUAAGGGUUCUUGGCACUUUCAACGAAUGUAUUGUCUUCUCUGAAACUGAGCAUGCUGAAUGAUCCUUGUGUAGUUACAACACUUGGAAGCCUUGGCAGACGCGACUUUGGCUUCUGGACUUGAGGCCUUCGCUCCAUAUGAUAGUCAUAUUGUGGUCCUGGAGCGGUAGGAGGAAUCAUAAUUGGCCAGCAAACAGUGACAAGCUGAUCAUCACGAUCAAAAGCCAAUUCCAUGGUGUGAGGCCGUGGUGGAGGAACAGCGCCAUCGGUGAUGACCGGCGUCACAGUAGCUUCAGUAUUCACAUUGGCUUCAGGCUCCACAUUGUCUUCAGCCAUGACAGGGUCAUUGCCUUCAGUAGCAGUGUUGGUGGCAGCCUCAUUGUUUUCAACCUCCAUUUGGUCAAUGACUGGAGGUUCAGGCACGAUCACAUUCUCUACAAGAAUGACUUGAUCAACAACAGGGGGUGUGGCUUCUCUUUCUUCUUCUCUUCUUUCUUCAUCGGCCGAUGCAACCGGAAUGUCUUCAGCAGCAUUAGCUUCAGACGCAUGAACAGUCACAAAAGGAUUCUCUUCAGGGAACACUUGACGUGCCACUGAGCUGUUCAUUACAGACCAGUUUGGCCGUUAAUGGGCCAAGAGUUACAAAGUGCCUCAUAUGGGCUGAAAGACGUCAUGGGCCAUACAUGGGCCAGAAGUUAAAACGGGCUGGAAUCAUAUUGGAUGGCCCAGAUGACACUACUGGGCCUAAUUCGGAUAGGUCGUAACGGGCCGUGGGUUAGUGGGCUGUAAAUGGGCUAUAUGCGAACAGGCCGUUAACAGGCUUUCCGUGGGUCGGGCCGCCACCUUUUGACCAAGUCAAACGGGCUGACCUUUUUACAGGAAUGGGCCUCUGUUAGGCCGUGCCAUGUGUCGACGUAUCAUAGGCACCUUCGGUCCAAUGAGUGGAUGACAUCUGUCCCAACGGUGAGCCGAGAUGUGUUUCCUCCAGCCAAUGAUGAUUUUACAUGUGGAAAAUCCCCAUUGGCCGGGGAUGUUAACGAGUUAUCGGAUCCAAAACCGGAUCCGAUAGCUUAACGGCGUUCCGUUACGGUGGAUGCCAUGUGUCGGUCACCCUUGACGAAAGCACUUCUAUGUCGCGUGAUUUAUCGUCAUGGAAGUGGACACUUCCGUGAUGAUAAUUUUGGUAAUGUCAUGGAACACUUCUACGACAACACAGGUAUGACUAUCUUGAUUUUGUCAUAAAAUCGUCAUGGAUGUACAUGCAUGACAGAAAACGUGACCUACUGUGACAAACACGUAUCAUCACUGAAGUGUAUUUUUUUGUAGUGGAUCCACUUCCGAACAACCCUUGGGUGGUCAGUGAUGGUGGCAACUAUGCUCAACGAGCCUUCGACGAGGACAUGUUGGACGCAAAAAACCUGCAUCUCGAUCUCUUUCGCCAUUAGGAACCACUGGAUCGGAGGGCUAUGGUUUGGAGAAUUAGGAUUAGACGGCUAGUCUAACUGAAGAAGAUGAUUAUUUAAAGGGGCUUUGGAAUUACUCCAGGAGUAUGUGAAGAGGUUAAAACAAUGUGAAUGCAGUGUGGUUUGGAUGCAAAUGAAGUUGAAGGAGAGGUGAAGAAGCCGAGGAAAAUAGGUUCCCAAUGGAGAAGUAAAUGGGAGAAGUGGCCUGCAAGCAGUUGAUUAGAUGGCUAGGUAGACUAAAUGAAAAGGCUAUUGAUAGCCCACAAGUAUAGGGGAUCGCAACAGUUUUCGAGGGUAGAGUAUUCAACCCAAAUUUAUUGAUUCGACACAAUGGGAGCCAAAGAAUAUUCACAAGUAUUAGCAGCUGAGUUGUCAAUUCAACCACACCAAAAAGACUUAAUAUCUGCAGCAAAGUAUUUAGUAGCAAAGUAGUAUGGACGUAACGGUAACGGUGGCAAAAUUAAUAGUAGCAGUUUUGUAGCAAUCGUAACAAUGGCAACAGAGAAGUAACUAAGCAAAGAUCAAUAUGUAAAAAUCUCAUAGGCAAUGGAUCAAUGAUGGAUAAUUAUGUUGGAUGCAAUUCAUCAUGUAACAGUUAUAACAUAGGGUGACACAAAACUAGCUCCAGUUCAUCAAUGUAAUGUAGGCAUGUAUUCCGAAUAUAGUCAUACGUGCUUAUGGAAAAGAACUUGCAUGACAUCUUUUGUCCUACCCUCUUGUGGCACCGGGGUCCUAAUGGAAACUAAGGGAUAUUAAGGCCUCCUUUUAAUAGAGUACCUAGCACUUAGUGAAUACAUGAGCUCCUCAAACUACGAUCAUCACCGGGAAGUGUCUCGACUAUUGUCACUCCGGGGUUUGCCAGAUCAUAACACGUAGUAGGUGACUAUAACUUGCAAGAUAGGAUUAAGAACUCACAUAUAUUCAUGAAAACAUAAUAGGUUCAGAUCUGAAAUCAUGGCACUCGGUCCCUAGUGACAAGUAUUAAGCAUGGCAAAGUCAUAGCAACAUCAAUCAUAGAACAUAAUGGAUACUAGGGAUCAAACCCUAAUAAAACUAACUCGAUUACAUGGUAAAUCUCAUCCAACCCAUCACUAUCUAGCAAGCCUAUGAUGUGAUUACUCACGCACGGCGGUGAGAAUCAUGAAAUUGGUGAUGGAGGAUGGUUAAUGAUGACGAUGGCGACGGAUUCCCCUCUCUGGAGCCCCGAACGGACUCCAGAUCCGCCCUCCCGAGGAAGAACAGGGCUUGGCGGUGGCUCUGUAUCGUAAAACACAAUGAAUCCUUCUCUCUGAUUUUUUCUCGUCGAACGUGAAUACAUAGAGUUGGAGUUGAGGUCGGUGGAGGUCCAGGGGGCCCACAAGGCAGGGGGGCACGCCCCAGGGGGUGGGCCCCCUACACCCUGAUGGACAGGGUGUGGGUCCCCCUCUGUUUAUUCUUUCGCCAAUAUUUUUUAUUAAUUCCAAAACGUGACUCCUUGCAGUUUUAGGACAUUCCAAGAACUUUUAUUCCUGCACAAAAAUAACACCAUGGCAAUUCUGCUGAAAACAACGUCAGUCCGGGUUAGUUCCAUUCAAAUCAUGCUAGUUAGAGUCCAAAGCAAGGGAAAAAGUAUUUGGAAAAGUAGAUACAUUGGAGACGUAUCAACUUCCCCAAGCUUAAACCUUUGCUUGUCCUCAAGCAAUUCAGUUGAAAAACUGAAAGUGAUAAAGAAAAAACUUUUACAAACUCUGUUUGAUCUUGUUGUUGCAAAUAUGUAAAGCCAACAUUCAAGUUUUCAGCAAAGAUUAUGAACUAACCACAUUCACAAUAAGAUUUCGGUCUCAUGUUUACUCAUAUCAAUGGCAUAAUCAACUAGCGAGCAAUAAUAAUAAAUCUCGGAUGAUACCACUUUCUCAAAACAAUCAUAAUAUGAUAUAACAAGAUGGUAUAUCGCUAGCCCUUUCUGAGACCGCAAAACAUAAAUGCAGAGCACCCCUGAAGAUCAAGGACUGACUAGACAUUUUAAUUCAUGGCAAAAGAGAUCCAGUCACAAUCAUACUCAAUGUAAAUUAAUAGCAAUGCAUACAAAUGACAACGGUGCUCUCCAACUGGUGCUUUCUAAUAAGAGGAUGAUGACUCAACAUAAAAGUAAAUAGAAAGGCCCUUCGCAGAGGGAAGUAGGGAUUUGUAGAGGUGCAAGAGCUCGAGUUUUGAAAAAGAGAUAAAUAAUAUUUUGAUCGGCAUACUUUCAUUGUCAACACAACAACCAAGAGAUCUCGAUAUCUUCCAUGCUACACACAUUAUAGGCGGUUCCCAAAUAAAAUUGUAAACUUUAUACUUCCCCACCACCAACGAGCACAUUCCACGGCCGACCAAAACAGCGGGUACCGUCCAACUAACAACAAUCCCAGGGGAGGUUUGUUUGCAAUUAUUUUGAUUUGAUUUGAGCAUGGGACUGGACAUCCUGGUUACUGGCCAUUUUCUUGUGAACGAUGAGCGGAGUCCGCUCAUCGUGAGAAUAACCCACCUAGCAUGGAAGAUACAAACAGCCCUAGUUGAUACAUGAGCUAUUCGAGCAUACAAAACAUAAUUUCAUUUGAAGGUUUAGAGUUUGGCACAUACUAAUUUACUUGGAAUGGCAGGUAAAUACAACAUAUAGGAAGGUAUGGUGGACUCAUAUGGAAUAACUUUGGGGUUUAUGGAAGUGGAUGCACAAGCAGUAUUCCCGCUUAGUACAAGUAAAGGCUAGAAAGAGACUGGGAAGUGACCAACUAGAGAGCGACAAUAGUCAUGAACAUGCAUUAAGAUUAACCAACAAUGAGUGCAAGCAUGAGUAGGAUAUAAAUCACCAUGAACAUAAAUAUCGUGAAGGCUAUGUUGAUUUUGUUUCAACUGCAUGCAUGAACAUGUGCCAAGUCAAGCCACGUGAAUCAUUCAAAGGAGGAUACCACCCUAUCAUACCACAUCACAACCAUUUUAAUAGCAUGUUGGCACGCAAGGUAAACCAUUAUCAACUCCUAGAUAAUUAAGCAUGGCAUGAAUAACUAUAAUCUCUAAUUGUCAUUGCAAAAAAUGUUUCAUUCAUAAUAGGCCGAAUCAGGAACGAUGAACUAAUCAUAUUUACAAAAACAAGAUAGGUCGAGUUCAUACCAGCUUUUCCUCAUCUCAAUCAUUUCAUCAUAUAUCAUCAUUAUUGCCUUUCACUUGCACGACCGAACGGUGUGGAUAAUAAUAAUAGUGCAUGUGCAUUGGACUAAGCUGGAAUCUGCAAACAUUUAAUUGAAAGGAGAAGACAAGGUAAUAUGGGCUCUUGAUUAGAUCAACAAUAAUGCAUAUGAGAGCCACUCAUCAUUUUCAUCAUGGUCUUCUCCUCUCAACCCCCAAAGAAAAGAAAAGAAAUCCAAAGAAAAAGAAAACUAUUUACACGGGAAAGCUCCCAACAAGAAAAAGAAGAACGAGAAAUCUUUUGGGUUAUAUUUUUUAGUUACUACUACCACAAGCAUGGAAAGUAAACUAGCUAAAAGCUACAACUAACUUUUUUGUUUUUUCUCAAGGUUUAUCAAACACACAAGAAGAAAGCAAGAAAGGAAAAUGAACUAGCAUGGAUAGUAAAAUGAAAAAGUAUGAACACCGACAACUAGAAUGAGUGUGUGAACAUGAAUGUAAUGUUGGUGAGAAAUACAUACUCCCCCAAGCUUAGGCUUUUGUCCUAAGUUGGUCUAUGGCCACGGCUGGCCUGGCAGAUAUCCAAAGUUAUAGUCGGGGUUGUACUGAGAUGCGGCAGCUACUGCUUGGAGAGCUGCAGCCUGGAGGCGAGCCACCUCCGUCCUUGAUACGUCUCCAACGUAUCUAUAAUUUUUGAUUGUUCCAUGCUAUUAUAUUAUCCAUCUAGGAUGUUUUAUAUGCAUUUAUAUGUUAUUUUAUAUGAUUUUUGGGACUAACCUAUUAACCUAGAGCUCAGUGCCAGUUUCUGUUUCUUCCUUGUUUUUGAGUUUUACAGAAAAGGAAUACCAAACAGAGUCCAAUUGACGUGCCACUUUUUGAUGAUUUUUUAUGGAACAAAAGAAGCCCUCGGAGUAAAAGAGUUGGGCUAGAAGAGUCCCGAUCCAUCCACUAGGAUGAAGGGCGAGCCCUACCUCCCUGGGCGCACCCCCUGCCUCGUGAAUGACUCCGAGACCCCCUUGACGUGAGACCAACGCCAAAAAUUCCAAUAAAUACCCAAACCUCCAGAAAAUAACCUAGAUCGGGAGUUCCGCUGCCCCAAGCCUCUGUAGCCACCAAAAACCUCUCGGGAGCCCGUUCCGGCACCCUGCCGGAGGGGGGAUCCCUCACUGGUGGCCAUCUUCAUCAUCCCGACGCUCUCCAUGAUGAGGAGGGAGUAGUUCACCCUCGGGGCUGAGGGUAUGUACCAGUAGCUAUGUGUUUGAUCUCUCUCUCUCUCUCUUGUGUUCUCGAGGUGAUACAAUCUUGAUGUAUCACAAGCUUUGUUAUUAUAGUUGGAUCUUAUGAUGUUUCUCCCCCUCUACUCUCUUGUGAUGAAUUGGGUUUUCCCCUUGAAGUUGUCUUGUCGGAUUGAGUCUUUAAGGAUUUGAGAACACUUGAUGUAUGUCUUGCCGUGCUUAUCUGUGGUGACAAUGGGAUAUUCACGUGAUCUACUUGAUGUAUGUUUUGGUGGUCAACUUGUGGGUUCAAUGAACUUAUGUAUAGGGGUUGGCACACGUUUUUGUCUUGACUCUCCGGUAGAAACUUUGGGGCACUCUUUGAAGUACUUUGUGUUGGUUGAAUAGAUGAAUCUGAGAUUGUGUGAUGCAUAUCGUAUAAUCAUGCCCACGGAUACUUGAGGUGACAUUGGAGUAUCUAGGUGACAUUAGGGUUUUGGUUGAUUUAUGUCUUAAGGUGUUAUUCCAGUGUGAACUAUAUGUUAGAUCGACCGAAAAGAAUAGCUUCGUGUUAUUUUAAUACGGACUCUUGAAUAGAUCGAUCAGAAAGUGUUGGGGAUAUAACUAUUUGUGUAAGCCGCCCAGGAUGGGACGGGUUACGCAAAGAAGACUCACCAGAGAGAAGCCCAAGACCAAAGUAUGAAGAUGGCGGUUCAUAGAGAGCUUAAGGCCCGCAGGCGACUUAAGGCCCAUUGUAGUAAACCGCUGUCGGUGUCAAAACCGGCGGAUCUCGGGUAGGGGGUCCCGAACUGUGCGUCUAGGCGGAUGGUAACAGGAGACGAGGGACACAAUGUUUUUACCCAGGUUCGGGCCCUCUUGAUGGAGGUUAAACCCUAUAUCCUGCUUGAUUAAUAUUGAUGACGUGGGUUACAAGAGUAGAUCUACCACGAGAUCAAGGAGGCUAAACCCUAGAAGCUAGCCUAUGGUAUGAUUGUUGUUCGUCCUAUGGACUAAAGCCAUCCGGUUUAUAUAGACACCGGAGUGGUCUAGGGUUACACAGAGUCAGUUACAAUGGUAGGAGAUCUACAUAUCCGUAUCGCCAAGCUUGCCUUCCACGCCAAGGGAAAGUCCCAUCCGGACACGGGACGAAGUCUUCAAUCUUGUAUCUUCAUAGUCUUGGAGUCCGGCCGAUGAUGGUAGUUCGGCUAUCCGGACACCCCCUAGUCCGGGACUCCCUCAGUAGCACCUGAAACAGGCUUCAAUGACGACGAGUCCGGCGCGCAUAUUGUCUUCGGCAUUGCAAGACGGGUUCCUCCUCCGAAUAAUUUAUAGAAGAUUGCGAACACUAGGAUAGUGUCCGGCUCUGCAAAAUAAAUUCCACAUUCCACCAUAGAGAGAAUAAUAUGUACACAAGUUCAAUCUGCUGACGUAUUUUGCGGUAUGACAUCACACCAAGCCUUUACUUGAAUCAUUUUUUAUUAUACCACCUCAGCACGUUUAGCGAAGCGGUGUCCUUGGCACAUCUUGUCGAAGCAGAGAUCGUGUUCCCCUUAUUCCGGGAUCCUCAUCAAUACGGACGUGAGUAACCCAACCGUGCCAUUGAUGGUGGCGCUUGGGGGAUAAGCGAGUUUUACCAGGCCGAUGGGGACGCAUGUUUCUGUCCGCCCAUAUAAGGGGAUAAAGAUCCAACCUUUUUACCUGCGCCUUCUUCCUUCUUGGCUUAUCCAUCUCUGCGAACUCGAGCUCUAGCGCCCAAGCCCGCACAUCCCACCUCAACCUUCUCCAAAUAUGUCCGGAGCGGGAGGCAAGUGGAUGGCCUCCUCCGUCACGGAGGGGCAUAUCCAGAAGCUGCGCAGUGCCGGAUACUUGUCCAGCGACAUCGCACAUCGGCUCCCCAACGAGGGAGAGCUCAUCCCCACCCCUAGGCCCCAUGAGAGGGUAGUAUUCCUUCCCCAUUUCCUCCGUGGACUGGGCUUCCCACUUCAUCCCUUCGUCCGGGGGCUCAUGUUCUCCUACAGCCUAGAUUUCCAUGAUCUGGCCCCGAAUUUUAUUCUCAACAUCUCGGCAUUUAUCGUCGUGUGCGAGGCCUUCCUUCAGUGUCAAGCCGAAGGUUGUGAAGGGCAGGCAAGCGGAGUGCAGAGGCGCCAUGGUGGGCAGGAUGUCCCACGUUACGUGGCUGGAGGGCACCUUUGUGGAAACCAUCAAGGGGUGGCAAUCGGGGUGGUUCUACAUCACCGAGCCGCGUGAUCCCGAAUGGGCAGCGGCCCCCGAAUUCAGAUCCGGCAUCCCCACACGGCUCACCUCCUGGAAAGAGAGCGGCCGGAUUUGGGGCGAUUCGGAGGAGCUGACCGGACUCCAAGCCUGCGUCCAAAAGCUAGUGGACAAGAAGCUCAAGCUUGUCAACGUAGUCCAGGUCAUGCUCAUCCGCCAGAUUCUCCCGUGCCAACGACGGGGCUUCAAUAUGUGAGAGUUCGAUCCGGCGCAGCACCAGACUUUGAAUGGGCUCUUCGACACUACGUACGAAGAGGUCUGGAAGGUGCUGUUCAAGGGCGCCGAGGCUCCCGCAUCCGCUACCGAAGAUCGCGGAUUCAGCUCGUAGCGUCCAGCUGACGAGGUAAGUGAUAUUGUCCUUUACGGGAUGCUUGUUAUUCAUAUUUUGACUCUAUGCGGGAUCUAAACCGCCUUUCCUCUGACAAGACUGGCUGAAGAAGGCCACACAGGCUAUCUGUCCGGCCCCAUUGCCAGAGGACCCAGCUGACGCCCGCCUAACGGGGCUGCUGGCUCCGGCAUCCCACGUGGUGCCGGAGAAGAAGGCCAAGAAGAAGGCCACGGGGACUCGGAAGAGUUCCCGUUUUCAGGUGCUAUCGGACGAUGAAUCCGAGGCCGACUCCUCCCACCAAGGCGAGGAGGAGAAGAAGAAAGCCUCUCCCCCAGCGGGGGGAGGGUAGAAAAGGAAGGCCUCCCCAACAAGGGAGGCCGAAGGGUUCAACAGGGGAAAAACUCUUCCCCCGGACUAUUCCGCCAACGCCAGUGACGACGACAAGGACUGGCCUCCAAGGGCCAAGCCUCUGGCGAUAUCGUAAGUAUCCGGACUCCCAAAUAACUUCAAGGUUUUCGUUUUCCGCCACAUUAUGUCUUUGUAAUGCCGCAUACAACCCUGCAGUCCGCCUAAGGAUGAUCUCCCCACUUCGUCGAGCGGGUCCUUAGGGGCGUCGGAUAUGGAUCCUCUUCUGACUGCCUCCCCGCCCCCCCGCCCGUGAUGCAGACGAUGCCGAGGUGGGAUCCCAGGAAGGGACCCACCAGGAGGAGAGGGCCCCGGAGGUGUCGCAGGACAACCUCCCGGACUUUGCACCGGACUCAGCCCCGGAACCCAUAGUGGCUCCAGAGUCCGGCGAGCGACCCCUUCGUAAGAAGGGCAAGACCGCGACGCCGGCUGCCUCCGUCCAACCAGAGGUGCCGGAUAAUUUGCUGGAGGUGCUCAACGGCGCCUCCAUCAAAGAGGAACACCGCACUAUUAUGAGUGCGGUGAUUCAGAAGGUUCAGCUCACCAAGAGCGGGCUGACCGAAGCCUGCAGCAGCCUUCUAACAGGCUUUGAGGUAAGAAUUUCAAUAUAUGUAAAAUGGUACCGCAUAGACAGUAGCCCCUGAUGCUCGGUUCGGUGUUUGGAAAGAAAAGCCGGACUGAGGAUCUUUAGAAAGAUAAACGCAGGAGUCAUGAAAAUAUGUCAAUAUGGGAUUGCAGGCUGUGCUGCUGACCACUGCCGCACUGACUGCGGAGGUCAAUACUUUGAAGGAAAACCUCAAGCGGUCCGAGAACGAGCUCGGCCAUGCCAAGAAGCAGCUCGAGGAAAAAGAAGGUAAGUAAUACCUUAUGAAAAUUGUACCUUACAGAAAAUGAUUUGGUUGCAAGAAAAAUGACAAGGAUAACUGGGGUAUUGCAGGGGCCACUAACAAGGUGGCGACCCUGAAGGAGGCGGUGGCCGCAGCCGAACGCAAUGCGGCCGCGGAGCGCACCGAGCGAGAGAAACAGGAGGCGCGGGUGGCGGAGGUACAACAAGAGCUCCAGGAUCUCGUGAAAAAACACGAGAGCCUGGAGCGUGACUCGAAGACUCGAGAGUCUGAGCUUGCAACGGCUCUUGAGAGUGCCAAAGCCGCUAAGGCCAAAGCCUACAAGGCCCUCCAGGAGAUAAUGGCGGUAAAGAAAAUAGCAGCGGGUAAGGCAUUUUUCAUGCAAAGUAAGCAUGUGAGUGUUAAUUACCUGUCGCUUACCCGAAUUCGGAGCUCUCCAGGAGCGUUCGCAGAUCUUCCUCGCAGCGUGUCCGAUGCUGCCGCAUUCUACCAGGCCGAGGAGGGGAGCUCGACGGAGAAGGUCUUCUGGUCUCAGUAUGCUGAGGCCGAACAUCCAGUGCCCCUUAGCGACCAACUGAAGAAGCUGGUCGAGCUCCACAAGAUGGCCGAACAGGCCAUGAAGGGCCUCAUAGUUCGGCUGUGGCCUAAGGAGGCUAUACAUAGGAGCUACUUCGGCCUGGUGUGGCGGCUGGUGGACGCGUGCCCGUGGGUUGAAGUUAUCAAGCACUCCGCCUGUAUCGAGGGUGCGCGUCGGGCCCUUGCCCACGCAAAGGUGCACUAGGGCAAGAUGGAUGCCCAGAAGCUUGUGACGGACCCCCCACCAGAGGGCAAGGAGCAUCGCACACCCGAGAUGUAUUGUAGGAGUGUGCUGAAGGGCGCCCGCAUUAUUGCGGGUGAGUGCUCCAAAGAAGAAGUUUUUGAGUAGACUCGCGUUUUGUUAUCCUGUGCGCUGAAAACUAAGUUCAUAUGCGUGAAGCAACACUUGUUAAUUUAAAGUAUUACCUUUUGUGCGGCUGUUUAUCAAAUCUGAGAGAUGGCAAGUCGUCGGCUUCAGCCCCCAUGCCACGAGUGCUGGGGUGUUCGGGAUAAAUUUGGGCACUCUUGUUCCCAUAUUUGGUCCAUCGAGGGAGGCACUCAACACAACGAACAAGGCAACCGGACUUAUAAUGCUUGAACACUCUCACUUAGCCAUAGAGUUCUAUAAUUUUAAAUUUCGGCGAAGCCCCUAGUUUUCGGAAGGCCGAAUUUGGGGCGCUAUCCACGCCUUGGCCGGACAGAAUCCGGCUCCUCGCUCGAAGCGGCAUAAGUCUUUAGGGACUUGUAAAGAACCUCUCGAAUAGCGACCAGCUGUCGCCUCAUCAUGAUGGUCAGUUUUAGCUUUCUCCAUUGAGGCGUUAACCCAGCUCAACUGGGGCGCAAUCGCAGUGGUUCUCCCAGUGCUACCUUAGCCGAUAAAACGGAACGUAAGGUACCAAAACAUGGGAGCCGGGCAAACCCAACUAUUGACCCAAGAACAUGAUUCAGAGCUGAUGCAUAUAAUUCUAUAAGUUCGGGGUGCCGCACUUGUGAAAGUGUUCGGACUUAUCACACCAUAACGCGGGAAACAUAAGCCCCUGGUGUAUUUAGCCGUACCAAAACGUACAGAUGCAACAUGUCAUAGAUGAACAUAUGUGUAAGAAAGAAAUGCAAUUGGAAGCAAAAAUGUGCUGCAUUGCUUUAUUUAAUAAAAACUGCUGUAAGUGCAGGACGAUGCAAGUGGUGCAGUAAGCAAGGGAUGGGACUGUUUAACAUGUCCCCCUCCAGGGGUAGGCUACGGAAUAAUGCAUAAAACAGAUUUAAUGCUCAUGAUGGAGACCACCUGGAUUUUCGUUGUAGCCUUUCUCCUUCCCUGGCUGUUGCAUCAUGGGUUCGGCAUGUCUGCUGCCGGACAGGGCCUCUGACGAACGGAGUCCUGUAGGUAAAAAAUAAAAGGAAAAGAAAAAGAAACGACACACUUAAGAGCCCCUGGUGCGGUUGAGCCGCAGUCUGGGCUUAUCGUGGUCGAGCCCCUUGCCCCAUGCCCAUGGUAUCUUCAGAGCGUAAUGGAGUACGCGAAGGGUCUGUCUUAAUGUUUUACAGGGGCUGGGGUUGGGGCCGCACUGCUACGCGUGCUCAGAACGUGCCAGGUGGUCGUGUUGUAGGUUACUCCGGGCACGCUUAGCUGUGUCCGGCCGCUUGGCAGCCAGACUCGAGAAUUGCCUUAAAAGGCUGCUUUGUACUUCUGCCGCGAGAGCCGCUGUAUGUUCCUCCGUUCGGAGGGAGCGUUCAGUGUUUCCGUUGACCGUGAUGAGUCCUCUAGGGCCUGGCAUCUUGAGCUUGAGGUAUGCGUAGUGCAGCACCACGUUGAACUUUGCGAACGCGGUACAUCUAAGCAAGGCAUGAUUGCCGCUGCGAAACGGGACUAUGUCGAAGAUUAACUCCUCGCUUCGGAAGUUAUCCGAGGAUCCGAAGACCACUUCCAGUGUAACUGAGCCUGUACAAUUGGCUUCUACACCUGGUAUGACGCCUUUAAAGGUCGUCUUGGUAGGUUUAAUCCUUGAGGGGUCUAUGCCCAUUUUGCGCACCGUGUCCUGAUAAAGCAGGUUUAGGCUGCUACCGCCGUCCAUCAGGACUCUGGUGAGAUGAAAUCCAUCGACGAUUGGGUCUAGAACCAAUGCGGCGAGCCCACCAUGGCGAAUGCUGGUGGGGUGGUCCCUUCGGUCAAAGGUGAUCGGGCAAGAGGACCAUGGAUUGAACUUCGGGGCAACUGGCUCCAUCGCGUAUACAUCCCUGAGUGCACGCUUCCGCUCCCUUUUGGGUAUGUGUGUGGCAUAUAUCAUGUUCACCGUCCAAAUCUGUGGGGGGAAACCCUUCUGUCCUCUAUUGUUCGGCGGUCGGGUCUCUUCCUCGUCGUCGCUAUGUAGCCCCUUGUCGCUGUUUUCGGCAAUUAACUUGCCUGCCUGCUUGAACACCCAACAGUCCCUAUUUGUGUGGUUAGCUGGCUUUUUAGGGGCGCCAUGUAUCUGGCACAAGCGGUCGAGAAUUCGGUCCAAAUUGGACGGACCCUGAGUUGUUCUUUUGAAUGGCUUUUUCCGUUGACUGGGUUUAGAGCCUCUGAAUCCGGCAUUAACUGCCGUAUCCUCACUGUUAUCGCUGUUAAUGUGGCGUUUGUUUUUGUUGUGACGCGACCUGCCACUACGGUCCUUGAUAUCCGGACUGCCAGAAUUUUUGUUGAGGUUGUUGCUGCGUGCUAGCCAGUUGUCCUCACCCGCACAGAAGCGGGCCAUGAGUGAUGUAAGGGCUGCCAUGGAUUUCGGCUUUUCCUGUCCCAGGUGCCGGGCAAGCCACUCGUCGCGGAUGUUAUGCUUGAAGGCCGCGAGGGCCUCGGCAUCCGGACAAUCAACGAUUUGGUUUUUCUUGGUUAAGAACCGUGUCCAGAAUUGUCUGGCCGAUUCGUCUGGCUGCUGAAUUAUGUGGCUUAGGUCAUCUGCAUCUGGUGGUCGCACGUACCUGCCUUGGAAGUUAUCAAGGAAUGCGGCUUCCAGGUCCUCCCAACUCCCGAUUGACUCUGCUGGCAAGCUGUUAAGCCAGUGCCGGGCUGGUCCUUUAAGUUUGAGUGGGAGAUAUUUGAUGGCGUGGAGAUCGUCUCCACGGGCCAUGUGGAUGUGUAGGAGAUAGUCCGCAAUCCAGACCGCGGGGUCUGUUGUGCCAUCAUAAGAUUCAAUAUCGACGGGUUUAAACCCUUUUGGGAUUUGAUGAUCCAUUACCUCAUCUGUGAAGCACAGUGGCUGUGCGGCGCCUCUGUACUGGGCGAUAUCACGACGGAGCUCAAAAGAGCUUUGUCUGUUGUGUUCGGCCCGGCCGGACUUAUUGUGUCCGGGGUGACGGUGAUCGUCACGUAUCGUGGGGCGCCCAUGUGAUCCAUAGAUCGAUCUUGAUUGUCUUGCCUUAUCCUCCAAUAUGUCUCGCAGGUCUGGAGUGUUCCCCUGUGGCCUUGUGCUUUUCGAGCGAUGCCGGGGUACAGGUCUAGUGAAGGGCCUUGAGGCCUCUCUGUCGCGACCACGGGGUGGUCGAUCAGCCGUAUUGUCUCCUAGUGAAGUGGGAUCAUAUGCCUCCACCUCUAAUCAGGGGAGCAGCUUACGUUUGGGGUAGCUUUUGGAGGGGCGUUCGAGUUCAUGCUCUUCGAUCGCGAGGACUUCGGUCCAUUUGUCGGCUAGCAGAUCUUGAUCAGCUCUAAGCUGCUGCUGCUUUUUCUUGAGGCUUUUUGGCGUGGCCAUAAGCCUGCGUUUGAAACGCUCCUGUUCGACGGGAUCCUCAGGCACGACGAAUUCGUCGUCGUCGAGGCUUGCCUCGUCUCCGGAGGGAGGCAUAUAGUCCUCUACCUCUUCUUCGGCCGCUCUCUGAUAAGGGCUGGAGUCCCCCUCCUCCUGUGCUGGAUCUUGCUGGAGUGGGUUGUCUUCGGCGCUAUCCGAUGUAUUAUUGUCUCCGAUGCCGGAAUCCUCAUUCUUGCUAUGGCGGGAUUUAGAGCGGCGCCGCUGACGCCGGCGCUUGGGCUGUUUCUUGGAGGGGUCAUCCUCCGCUAUUCCUUCGCCGUUCCCAUCCUUUGGGAUAUCCACCAUGUAUAUGUCGUAUGAAGAGGUGGCUUUCCAGUGCCCGGUGGGUGCUGGUUCUUGGUCGUCUCCAGCAUCAUCGUCCAUACCGUCGAUGUCCUCGGAGUCGUAGUCUAGCAUGUCGGUUAAAUCAUCGACAGCGGCUACCAAGUGGGUGGUGGGUGGGCUUUGAAUUUCUUCGUCGUCCGCAUCCCAACCGUCCUGACCGCAGUCCGGCCAGGGCUCUCCUGAUAACGAGAGAUAUUUUAGCAAACUCAAGAUGUCGCCGAAAGGUGAGUGUUGAAAGACGUCCGCUGCGGUGAACUCCAUGAUCGGCGCCAAAUCGGAUUCGAUCAGGGCGGGCGCGGGAGGUUCGGAGUCCGGCGAGGAGUCCGGCACCUCGGAGUCACGAGCUUUAUGAGGGACAAAGUCAGUGUUCGGCUCUAUCGCCGUAGAGGUUGCAGCCCCCGAGGCGGUGUCUAGGCAUCCGUCCUCGAUCUGCGCGGCCGUCUCCGAAUUGAGGAUCGGAGCGGGCUCGAGUGCGGCCUCCAGGGUACUGUCCGGCGGCAGAGCUAAAUCAUGCUCGACGUGACAGUGCGGCACGCUCUGCUGUGACUCAAAUCCGUCGAAGAUCAAGUCCCCGCGGAUGUCAGCCGUGAAGUUCAAACUUCCAAAUCUGACCUGACGGCCAGGGGCGUAGCUUUCGAUCUGCUCUAGAUGGCCAAGGGAAUUGGCCCGCAGUGCAAAGCCGCCGAAUACGAAGGUCUGUCCGGGGAGGAAGGUCUCACCCUGGACUGCACCGUUGAUGAUGAUCGAAGAAGCCAUCGAGCCUAUCGGUGACGACACAGAGGAACUCUCAAUGAAAGCACCAAUGUCGGUGUCAAAACCGGCGGAUCUCAGGUAGGGGGUCCCGAACUGUGCGUCUAGGCGGAUGGAAACAGGAGACGAGGGACACGAUGUUUUUACCCAGGUUCGGGCGCUCUUGAUGGAGGUAAAACCCUACGUCCUGCUUGAUUAAUAUUGAUGAUGUGGGUUACAAGAGUAGAUCUACCACGAGAUCAAGGAGGCUAAACCCUAGAAGCUAGCCUAUGGUAUGAUUGUUGUUCGUCCUAUGGACUAAAGCCAUCCGGUUUAUAUAGACACCGGAGAGGGCUAGGGUUACACAGAGUCGGUUACAAUGGUAGGAGAUCUACAUAUCCGUAUCGCCAAGCUUGCCUUCCACGCCAAGGAAAGUCCCAUCCGGACACGAGAUGAAGUCUUCAAUCUUGUAUCUUCAUAGUCUUGGAGUCCGGCCGAUGAUGGUAGUUCGGCUAUCCGGACACCCCCUAGUCCGGGACUCCCUCAACCGCCAUAAUAAUAUACUUGUAUCAUAAGGUAGACUUAACUAGUCACCGAGCCGGACAUUGUGUAUAAGCCGGCCGGGACUCUGUAAGCUGCAGGGCAUCAACCCGUGUAUAUAAGGGGAUGACUUGUGGGCGACUUAGGGCAAGAAACAACUCAUCGAGAGCCAGGCAUAGCGUAUCUCGCUCCCUGGUCAUCGAAACCUCAAUACCAACGCCCAACUAGAUGUAGGCCCUACCUUCACCGUAAGGGGCCAAACUAGUAUAAAACCUCUCGUGUCCUUUGUCCCGAUUAACCCCUUCAAGCUUACUAGUUGCGAUGGCUCCACAACUAAGUCCUUUCACGAGGACAUCUGACGUGACAAUUCCACGACAGUUGGCGCCCACCAUGGGGCCAGCGCACGGUGGAUUCGAGUUCUUGAAGGGCAACUUCGAAGGGCUUAAGGGAUACAUAGUUGUCUGGAUGACCAAAAGUCGUCGCGGCAAGAUCUACGUCGACGACGAAGGCUGGGGCCCCGAUGCCGGCUCAAUUGAGUAAGGAUACCGGGUCCCCUUUGGAGGGAUCCACGUCUUCAUCGGCCGGAUUGGUGAGCUGGGGCCUAAGCCGGACAACUACACCGACCUCGUCGAGACGGCUCAGCGUGCGAAACCCUCCCGAGUUAAAACCGGCAUGAAGCGUGUCUUUGUGGGCUGCGUCCACGGAGAAGAACUUUCUGAAGGUCCGGAAGAUGGUGGUGAGACGGCCGUCCACUCUGACGGUGACUCGUCCGCCGGUUCAACAGAUUCUUUGUAUCAAGUUCAAGACGGUGCGCUCGAGGGCUGUUCCGAUGGCCUUAGUAUUCCAGACCUCUGUGAGUCGCCAAAUUGGGCAGGAGUCUUUAUGGCUGGGACACAACCCGGACAAAACUCUACAGCCACGGCUACAAUUACUUCCGGGUUAGGAGCAGCCGGGGCAGGAGGCCCUAUGCGCCCGCCGACUCAAGUGCUGAUAGACCUCAUGGACAAGCUUACGACCCUGUUAACCGCCACGGUUAUCCCUGCAAACAAAGAUGAGCAUGACGCGGAGGUAGCACGGGUACAUGAGGAGAUAGCUCAGGCCAAGGAGGCCUUAGCAGCUGAGGAUACUAGACUAGCUACGGAGCAGGCGACUCUUGACGCCCGGGCACAGCGGUUGCAGUCAGAAGCUUACCAGCUCACGAUGAGUUUAAACGCGUCCAAUGAGGUAAUGAGGAGGAGACACCAGAAGACCCAAUCCCGGUUGCCUUCGAAUUAUGACCCUAGGGUUCUUUUUGCUACACCUGGAGCCGGCCCAAGUAACCCGCCCGAUGCUAAUCAGUUUAUGACAUCCGGAGCGGGAGGACCGGCUCAGCGUCGGGAGAUGCCACCUCCUCAUAUAAGCAUGGCGCCGCCGCGUUAUGUGCCGGUACCGGAGGGUCACUUUUCCAACCCCAUGGAGAAUAUAAUCACGGCGUCAGCGCGCCUGGCGGCUCUUCCAGUGGAUGGUGAUGAUCCAACAGCAGUGGAGACCCGGAGGAUCAGGGAACUUGUCCAGACGGCCCUGGCUCAGCAGGAGACCUAUUCUUACAGCCGGGAUAGGAUUCAUUCAACCCCUCCGCCUUGGUUAGCACCGCCUCGUCAGAACCGGAGCCCAAGUUACAGGAGGCACAUGGAGUCUGAAGCUUUAUCAGGCAACGCCAACACUGUAACCAGCAUGGUGGCUAUAACCCGGUGCAAGACCGAGUACGUCAGGAGAACGAGCGAGCGGCUCAACUGGCGGCUCAACUGGCGGCUCAACAGGCGGCUCAUCAGGAUAUCCCAGAGUAUCCAACGACUUCUAUUGUGAUGGGAGUAGCCACCAGAACCGGUGGAGUUCCUUGUUUGAUACCGGCUUUGCGCAACGUGCGCCUGCCUAAGGACUUCAAGGGACCUCGAAAGGUGCCGAAUUACACGGCCGACUUACAGCCCGGAGCAUGGAUUGAGAGUUAUGAGAUGGCCAUGGAACUGUUGGAGGUCAGUGACGCGGCAAUGGCUAAAUACUUCACCAUGAUGUUAGAUGGAACGGCCCGGUCUUGGCUAAAAGGUUUACCACCUAAUUCCAUUGGUUCGUGGGAGGAGUUAAAGGCCCGCUUCAUCCAGAACUUGAAGGAUACCUGUAAGAAAUCUAUGUCGAUCGUGGACUUGACGAGUUGUAAGCAGGGAGAGGGUGAAUCCACCACCCAUUGGGUACGCCGAGUCAAGGAGAUAAUUCACUCAUCUGAUAAGAUGGAUGCCGGCUCUGCAGUCCUCAUGUUGGAGAAGAAUUGCCACUUUGAACCACUUAGGCAUAAAUUGGGCCGCCUUAAGCGUGACUGCACCGAUAUGGGAACGCUGAUGGCGGCUUUAGUCAAAUAUGCCGAUUCUGAUAAUACCAAGGACCCCGCGUCUGACGAUGAGAAGACAGGGAAGGGUAAAAGGAACGGUAAUGGAAAGGGUCAACAGCACAACCCGGGGAAUCAAAGCGGCAAUAAGUGUAAGGCGGACGGCAACCCGGAGCUUGUGGCUAACGCUAGUACACAAGGUAACAAUCAGAGACGUAAGGGUAAGUGGCCUUGAACCGGCGGGUCAGGUCCAUCUCUUGAGCAGGUACUCAACGAGCCCUGUCCGAAACACGACACCCGAGAGCACCGCGCUACGCACCUGUGGAAAGAUUGUGCGAUCAUGAAGGCGUUUAAAAACUCCAAUAUCUUUGAUGGUGGUCAUGGAUCUGGUGGUGGUUCAGGGGCCGGCGGCUUUCAUGGCCCGGGUGGCGGUUCAAAUUCCGGUUUUCAGGGACAGCCGGGUGGAAAUAAUCAGCAGCAAUCUGGUCAGGGAGGACAGCAACAACAGUCGGGUUACCAGAGCCAACCAAAACAGUUGAGUGGUGGGCAGUACCAUGUGUUUACCACCAGCUUAUGCAAACAUGACCAGAAGGUUCAUAAGAGGGCUGUAAAUUCGGUUGAACCGGCAGUUCCUCGUUAUUUGAGAUGGUCAGAGCAACCCAUCAUUUGGAGCAGAGAGGAUCGCCCUCCACGUGUCGAUAAUCCGGGUCAGUUAGCCUUGGUGGUAGCACCCCAGGUUGGUGGAUAUAAAUUUACUAAGGUACUAAUGGACGGAGGCAGCAACAUCAACAUACUCUAUUACGAGACCUUCCAGCGUAUGGGGUUGACUGAGAAGAAUCUGAGGACAUCCAACACUGUUUUCCAUGGGGUGGUUCCAGGCAAGUCGGCUUACCUAGUUGGUAAGAUUGAAUUAGAGGUGGACUUUGGGGAUGAGUAUGAUUCCAGGGCUGAGAAGUUGACGUUUGAGGUGGUGAAUAUCAGGAGCCCAUAUCACGCUCUAUUUGGGCGACCGGCUUAUGCUAAGUUCAUGGCACAGCCAUGUUACGUUUACCUACAGCUCAAGAUGCCAGGUUACAAGAGCACCAUCACCGUGUAUGGGAGUCAAAAGGUGGCCUUGGAAUGUGAAGAAGGCGAUGUGGCUUACGCUGAGACGGCCUGUGCCGCGGAGGAGCUCAAAUUCUAUCAAGACAAUGUUGACCCGGUGGAUAUGACCUCCCUUAAGAAACCAACUACUAAGCAUGACCCGGCGUUGAAAUUUAAAUCGCCUGCUGAGACAAAACUAGUUGACUUCACCUCGGGAGACGCCUCUAAGCAGUUUAGUAUCAGCGCUAAUUUGGAUCCUAAAUAGGAAAGCGCGCUCAUCGAGUUCAUCUAUGAGAACCGAGACAUCUUUGCAUGGAAGCCUACUGACAUGCCGGGUGUACCGAGGGAACUCGCUGAGCACACUCUCAAUAUUGAUCCAAAGUAUAAGCCGGUCAGGCAGUUUCUUCGACGAUUCAACGAAGAGAGAUGGAAAGCUAUUGGGGAAGAGGUGGCCCGACUCUUAGCAGCCGGGUUUAUUAUUGAAGUUUUUCAUCCGGAAUGGUUGGCUAACCCGGUGCUGGUGCUCAAGAAGAACGGCACUUGGCGGAUGUGUGUGGAUUACACAGAAUUAAAUAAGGCUUGUCUGGCUGACCCCUUCGCUCUCCCCCGUAUUGAUCAAAUCAUUGAUGCUACAGCGGGUUGUGAACGUUUGAGCUUUUUGGAUGCUUACUCUGGCUAUCAUCAGAUCAAGAUGGCAGUUAAGGACCAGGAGAAGACAACUUUCAUCACUCCAUUUGGGGCCUUCUGUUAUGUAUCUAUGCCGUUUGGGAUCAAGAGUGCCCAGGCAACUUAUCAGCGAUGUGUGCAGAACUGUUUGCAUGAUCAAAUUGGGCGCAAUGUUCAUGCUUAUGUGGAUGACAUCGUGGUGAAGUCUAGAGAAAAAGAAACCUUAAUAUCCGACUUGCCAGAGACCUUUGACAAUCUCCGGGUUUACAAGAUGAUGCUUAACCCGGCCAAGUGUGUGUUUGGUGUACCUGCAGGCAAGCUUUUGGGUUUUCUGGUGUCGAAUAGAGGCAUUGAAGCUAAUCUGGAGAAGAUCAUGACGAUUACCUCUCUGGCUAAGCCGACAUGUAUCAAUGAUGUUCAGCGCCUGGCGGGACGUGUUGUCGCUUUAAGCCGGUUCAUAAGCCGGUUAGGGGAGAAGGCCUUACCACUAUAUCAGAUGAUGAAGAAAACAUACACUUUUGUCUAGAGCGAUGCUGCUAACACUGCCUUUGAAGAUUUAAAGAGACAGUUGUCUGAGCCACCGGUUCUUGCAGCUCCCAUUGAUGGAGAGCCGCUAUUGUUAUAUGUGGUUGCUAACUCACGGGCCAUCAGUGUAGCCAUCGUGGUGGAGCGUAAGGAGGCAGGCAAGGAGCAUUCGGUUCAACGGCCGGUUUACUACAUCAGCGAGGUGCUCAUUGAGUCUAAACAAAGGUAUCCACAUUGGCAGAAGCUUGUUUACGGUGUGUUCAUGGCAAAUCGGAAGCUGAAGCAGUACUUUCAAAGUCAUCCUAUAACGGUGGUAAGUUCAGCCCCUUUGGGAGAUAUCAUUCAGAACAGGGAAGCCACAUGACGAAUCGCCAAGUGGGCCAUUGAGCUUGGACCUUAUGGUCUGAAGUAUAUGCCCCGUACUGCCAUCAAGUCUCAGGCCUUGGUGGAUUUUAUCAAUGAUUGGACAGAGUUGCAGGCACCUGAGGAGAAGCCAGACAAUACGUAUUGGACUAUUCACUUUGAUGGGUCCAGGCAGUUAGAAGGAUCAGGGGCUGGAGUUGUCUUAACUCCCCCUCAAGGUGAUAAAUUUUGUUAUGUGCUCCGGCUCAUGUUUCCUUGUACUAACAAUGCAGCUGAAUAUGAGGCCUUGCUCCAUGGUCUCUGGAUGGCUAAGGAGAUGAAUUUAAGCCGGGUAAGGUGCUUGGGCGACUCAGACCUCGUGGCUCAACAGGUCUCAGGCACAUGGGAUUCUAAGGAUCCCCUUAUGGCGGCUUAUCACCGUGAAGUCGAUGCCGUAGCUGGAUACUUCAAAGGGUAUCAGGUGGAGCACAUUGACAGAAGGAAGAAAGAGGCGGCUGAUGCUUUAAGCCGGUUGGGCUCUCAGCGCAAGCCGGUGCCGCCUAACACCUUUCUUGACGUUCUACAUAAUCCUUCUGUCAAGGUACCUAAAGAGGAAGAGCUUGCAGUGCCAGACCCGGAGGCACAGUUGGUGGCUGCACUUCACGUCAUCCCGGAUUGGACAUUGCCAUAUUUGGCUUAUAUGACCCGGGGAGAGCUGCCUGAGGAUGAGACCUUGGCGAGACAAAUUGUCAGGCGGUCCAAAUCCAUGACAAUUGUUAACGGCGAGUUACAUCAUCUCAGUUUCACAGGGGCGUUCCAGCGUUGUGUGUCACCUGCAGAGGGUCAAGAGAUACUUCGAGAAAUCCAUGAAGGAGAUUGUGGUCAUCAUGCCGGUUCAAAAUCUCUGGUGGCCAAGGCUUUCCGUCAUGGUUUUUAUUGGCUGACGGCUCAUGCAGAUGCAGAAGAUCUUGUUAGAAAAUGUGACGGAUGUCAAAAAUUCUCACGAUGAGCUCAUGUGCCGGCUCAGGAAUUGAGGAUGAUUCCAAUUACUUGGCCAUUUGCAGUCUGGGGGCUUGACAUGGUGGGACCUUUUAAAAGGUCUAAGGAUAAAAAGACACACCUCCGGGUGGUAGUGGAUAAAUUUACAAAGUGGAUUGAGGCAGAGCCGGUCAGUCAGUGUGAUGCGGACACAACAGUUCAGUUCAUCAAAAAGGUGAUCUUUCGUUUUGGUUUUCCACAUAACAUCAUAACUGAUAAUGGCACUAAUCUCUCCAAGGGUGCCAUGGAAGAGUUCUGUCAAUGGGAACAUACCUGGCUUGAUGUUUCGGCUGUUGCUCAUCCCCAAUCCAAUGGUCAAGCAGAAAGAGCUAAUCAGGAGAUUUUAAGAGGUAUCAAACCACGGCUCUUGGUCCCCUUACAGCGGACUCCGGGUUGUUGGGUGGAAGAAUUGCCCUCUGUGCUGUGGAGCAUCAACACUACGCCUAAUAGAUCCAUGGGUUAUACACCUUUUUACAUGGUUUAUGGAGCGGAGGCAGUUCUACCAAGUGAUAUCCGACACGAUUCGCCCCAUGUGGCGGCUUACGUUGAGGCUGAUAAUGGAAAGUCUCGACAAGAGGCGCUUGACUUGCUAGAUGAGGAGCGAUACUUGGCAAUAGCCCGCUCGGCGAUUUACCAACAAGUCCUUCGUCGUUAUCAUAGCCGCCGGGUCAGGAGCAGAACAUUUCAGGAAGGCGAUUUAGUGCUCCGGCUCAUCCAGGAUCAGUUUGAUAUACACAAGCUAUCCCUGCUUGGGAAGGACCCUUUGUGGUUAGCAAGAAUCUGCACAAUGGGUCAUACUACCUCAUCGAUAUUUGAGAACACAAAGACUCAGGUAAAUCGGAGGAGGAGACCCACCGGCCAUGGAAUAUAGCCCAUCUUCGACCUUAUUAUACUUAAGCCACCGGCUCUUUAGAUGUAUAUAUUUUUUGACAAUGUAUAUAUUAUAUAAAGUAAUAAAUCAGGACCUCUGUCCUUUUUUCACCCUCAAAAAAGUGUAUAUGUCUUUUUGACAGGUGGUGGAAACAACCAACGGGGACCGGAUCAUAUUUGAAUCCGGCUUUACCUUUGGUCCGGCUUAUGAUCAUAUCUGAAUCUAGCCAUGAUCGCUUGGGGGCUUCCUGUUCAAACAUAGGUCGUAUCCGAACCAAAGAGAACAUAGCUGUCGAUACCCACUUGAUCGGCAUACUUGCCAAACCUACUUGGGGGAUUCUUGAUCAUAUUUGAAUCAUAGCUUAACCCCUUUAGGUCUGACGUGGAUCGUAUAUGAAUCAGCGUCAUUAAACAAAUCCUAUGGUCACUUGGGGGCUUCCUAUUCAAACAUAGGUCGUAUUCGAACCAAAGAGAACAUAGCUGUCGAUACCCACUUGGUCGGCAUCACCAAGCCACUGGGGGCUAUAUGAUCGUAUCUGAAUCUUAGCUUAACCCCUUUGGAACGGUUUACUGAUCGUAUCCGAAUCAGAAGCCUGUAAAGUAUUUUGAUAAUCCUGAGACCUUGUGGAAAGCAUUAUGCGAUGUUUUUGUCUUGCCGGUUGAAAAAUUCAUCACCCCAGGUUGUUGUGGGCCGGAUGAGCAUUGUAUGAGCCGGAAAGACUAUCAAAGGGUCCCAGGAUAAGGUAAGCAAAAUUUAAAACGCCAAGGAAGAAAUAUACAGCCAUGGCGGCUUAUGAAAAGUAUUAAGCAUGCACAAAGGCAUGACAGGCAUAGGGAAGUUCUUUCUACCCUAUUACAAGACUCCCCGAGUCUGAAAUUGAUGAAGCAUUGUUUUUUUGGCCAAACACCUGGCGAUUCACUCCUUCGGCAGGCUUGAGGGCUCCGGGUUAUCCUUCUCCGCUUCUCCGUCGGCUGUUUUGUCCAGGAAAGUUGAUGAGGCCCAAUCUAUGCCGCUCAAAGCUUCAAAUUCAACUUCAGCAUCUAUUAAACCGGCCGGGUCCACUUCAGGGGCAAAAGUAUGCUUACGAAUUGGAGGGAUCAGGCUGAUUUGAUCAUAUGGAGCGUUUGGGAUUUUUCGGUCAUUACUGUCAUAAGCCGACACAUACUUGCUGAGGUCAGUGUCGUUUCCGAUAAGGGUGGCCAUCGAACGUAUGGCUUUGACACAGGAGGUGAAGUCAUGAUCAUCAAAGGCAUUGCCGUCUUCCUUUAGACUCGGGUAUCCAAGAGCAAGGUCUGCCGGGUCUAGUUCUGGGAGCCAUGCUUUUGCUCGGCUCAAUGCGGCUACGGCCCCGGCUCUUGAGGAUGAACGCCUUAAGUCUUGGAUCCGCUGAGGUAGAAAGGCAAGGCUCUUCAAUACAUCUUGCAAAAGGCGGGUCUGUGGAGUUCGUAAGGCUACAACGGCCAAGGCACGUUGUGUCUCGGAGUAUAGCUAUUCCAUUAACGUGUAAACUGCUUUAAACAUGAUUAGCGUGUUCUGCUUCUGGUUGACACUCCUGGAGCCUGUAUGUGCACAAGCAUAACAGUCAGCCGGAAGUAAUUAUUACAAUCAUCAUUGUAAGGUUACAAUGUUUAAAGGCUGGUUUAUAAUAACUUACCAAAGAUGGCUGAGACCAUUUGCGAUAUCUGCUGUUUUAAGUCAGACAGCUCGGUUGUUGCUUCGGCAAGAGAUGCUUCGGCUGUCUCGGCCCGAGUCACCAGGGAAGCCUUCUCAUCAGCCCAAGUUUUCUUCUCUGAUUCAAAUUUCUUAUUUAGCUUCUCAUUUUGAGAGACACUAAAUUCAAAUUUGGAAUUAGCCUUCUGCGUCUCAAGUUCUUGAGUUUCCAAACGACUCUUCAAGGCAGCGAGCUCUGAUUCAAAUUGACUUAUGGCAGCCUGCAUUGACACCAGGUUAUGGUAAGGAUUAUAGUAAGGUAACAUUAAAGUCCCGAGCACUUUACAAGUAAAGAUACUUGGCACUUGGGGGCUAAUGUAUGCUGAAGAAUUUUUUAACUUUAUCAUGCCGAGUCACACAUAUCAAGUCUCAAGCACCUUACAAGUAAGGAUACUUGACACUUGGGGGCUAAUGUGUAUUGCAAAUUUAAAAACCGUAUGUUAUAACCGGGUUAAGUGACUUCUUUUUAAGCCGGAUAAGUUAACAGGUAAGGCAGAUUUCUAAAAGUCUACAUCAUAUUUGUUCAUAAGCAAUAGACUUGGAGGCUGGUACAAUAUGUAAGACUCAGGUAAAAAAUGUAAGUUAUACCUCAGAUUUGUGCUGUAUUUGUUUCACCAUGUCAAUUUCCAGGUCACGGCUAUUAAGAACCUGAUUCAGAUAGCCCGAGACUAUAUCACCAAUGCUUAGGUGAGUAUAAUCAGUGAUAUCCUGCUUGGCUUUUCGGCAUUGAGAAAAUUCUUCCUUGGCGGUAUAUUUGGCAAGGACGGUAGGCCGCCCUGGUUCAACAAACUGAGACUUCACAAUUUCAACUUUCGGUUCAUUUGUUUUGACCAGGCUAGGAGUCUCCGGGUCACUUGUGUGGAGAGUAUCUUCAGCAGGUGGAUGUCACAUCCUAGUUAGCCAUGCAUUAGAGUGUUGCAUCAUGUUUACCUUUUCAUCAGAAACCUGAAAUGGGGAUGAAAGAACCCCCAGUCCCCUCUGAAACCAAUUAGGGUUUACUAAAAACAUUUUCAAUGAACCUGAAAUGCCCUUCUAAAAUGCCCAUCAUUUUUGUCUUGGUUCAGAAACUCUGCCAAAAGUGGUGCACAUUUUCCUAGGCCAUCCUAGGGUUUUUUGAAUUAAAUCAUAAAUAUUUGAAUUUGGGCAUUUAAAAUUAUAUAAAAUAUUUAAAUGCUCAAAUAUCUCCAAACUAAAAUGUUUCAUGUUGGAAAUAAUCCAACUAUGGACCAGGAGUAGUUUGGUGAUUUUUGAAGUUGCCUAGGUAUUUUAUUUAAUUCAACUAAGUUGCAGAAGUAUUAAAAAUUAGAGAACAGAAAUAAAUAAAAGGGAGAACCUUACCUGGGCUCCUCUCUGUCCGGCCCAGCCAGCUGGCCGGCCCAGCCCACCACUGCAGCCCUCCGUCGUCUUCCUCCCCUCGCCCCGAAGCUGCUGCGUGCUCGCACGCGCACGGCCGCGCGGCCACCUCCUGCUUGCCGACGAGCUCCUGGCCGCGUGGACGACUUCCGCAGGCCGUCCCGAUCCCCCUGACCCCCCUCACUCUCCCGUGCACCUCUUCCCUCUCUCCCUGCUUCGCCUCCCUCGACCCCUCUCCCGAAGCAGAGCGCAGCCGCCGACGCCGUUCACCGUAGCUGCAGCCACCGCCCUUCCCUCGCUCCCCCGACUAGCCCAGAGGCUCCGCCUCGACCCCCUCUUCCUUCCCAUCGGUCCACGGGCCUCCGGAAGCCCUGCAUCGCCGCCCACGUCGCCGUUCCCCUCCUCGGCCACCGGAGAUCAUCGCCGUCGAUUCGAGAGCUACCGGACGUCCCCGAGCCCGCUAACCAUCCCUGCAGCUCCGCGGUGAGCCGCUGACCCGAUUCCCCCUUGCCCCGUCGUCCCUAGCAUCCUGUAGUUGCCGUCCCCUUGAGCUCCGAAGCUCGCCGCCGCCGUGCCUCGUCGCCGCCGUGGCUGGAGCCGUUGUAGCUCGAAGCCGAGCACACCAUCGUGCUCCACACCUCACCAGGAGCACGUAGCACGCACCAACGCCUCCCCUAGCGCCCUGCAUCGCCUAACCCGCCGUUGGCCGAACUCCGGCCGCCGCUCACGAGCUCGCCGUCGUCGGUACCGGCCACCUCAGGCACGGCCACCACCACCGUUCGACGCGCGGGAGCAAGGGCUCUCCAACGAGCCCAAGCACGGCCUCGCCCGUGCCCUAUAGCGCGUUUCCGCAUCGCGCCACCGUCUCGGGCCUCACCGGCAUCAUGUCGCCGGUGGGUUUGACCUGUUUGACCUGGGGUUUGACCCCCCCAGGGUCACUGAGGCGUGGGCCCCGUCGGCCAGGUGGUUAGAUUAGCACUAAUCACCGCUUAAUUAACCCCCCCUGACACUGACAGUGGGCCCCAGCGCCACUAAUUCCUAAUUAGGAUUAAAUUAACCCUGUUAAACCCCCCCUGUCACUGACGUGUGGACCCCACACGUCAGGUUUGACCCCAGCCAGCCGCAGUUGACCACUGACGUCAUGCUGACGUCAUGCUGGCGCAAUAUUUAUAUUUCUGGAUUUAAUUUAAAUCAGGAAAUUCCAGAAUAUUAUUUAAACUUCAAAAAUUCAUAACUUUUAUUCUGUAACUCCAAAUCAGACAAAUUAUAUAUGAAAAAUGAUCAGAAAAAUCCAAUCUAUCCAUCUGUACUAUUUUCAUGCAUGACUAAACAAGUUAACUUGAUGUUUAAUGCAGAACAAGGAAAAGCACUUUAAGAGGCCAUGUUUGAGUUUGAAAUUUGAAUCUUUGAUUCAAAUUUGUUCAAACCCUUCUGGUUUUAGUUGCAUUAGCCCAACACACUCAUAUUGCCAUGUUUCAUGCAUGCAUCAUAUUGUUGCACAUUGUUUGGUGAUGGUUGUGUAUCGGUGUCCUUUGCGACAGGUUCUGCCUCCAAGGAGUACCGUGAUUACCCUAACGAAGAACCGUAUCAGUGCAUCGAACCAACAGGCAAGCAAUCAACCAUUUGAUCAUAUCGAUACAAUCCCAUGUUCUCGCUUCUGCUCUCUUUUACUGCAUUAAGAGAACGCGUUUCAAACUGCUGUGUGCUACGGUAGUUGAACCCAUUUCCUCUGCAUGACCUGUCAUUGCCACAGUAACUAGAUCAAACCCACUAGCAUGUGUAGGAGUUGAUUGAGCCAUAUGUAUGUGUUGUUCCUACCUUGCUAUGCCUGCUAUGCUUAGAGUCGUGUCAGGUCUGGUUCAUCUGGGUGAUGGGCUAGAGUGAAAUGAUUAUGUCGGUAAUGAGAGUGGUGUGGUGAACAUGAUUUGGUAAAGGUAUCGAUGAGAGGCCAUGUAGGAGUACAUGGUGGGUUGUUUCAUUGAAGCCGACCUUAAGCACUGAGAUCUGUAUGUGUGAUUUAAGAUUCAGCUACUACCAUGCAUUGGGCCCGAAACCAAUGGACCCUCUCGACUUCUUAGUCACCCUAGUUCUCUGUCCAGGAGUUGCAAGUAGUUUCUGGUGUUUGUAGUAUACUGGAGGCCGUGGACAGCGCUGACCGUAGGGGUGGGCUGUGAUGCGGUAGGUACGUGGCAUGGUGUACCGAAUACCCGUUAGGUAUCUCGGGAACCCUGCUCACAUCGUUUGGGGCUGUGAGCGAUACCUCGGCCGGAUCUCCUCAUGGAUGGAACCCGAAUAGGCGAUAAACCUGGACUAGGGACUUAGGUGAUUAGGUAGGUCGUGGCCGACACCCACGUUGGGCUUCCGCUUGAAGGUUGCCGAGUACAUGUCAUGUAAACGACGGUAAGUGGUGAGAGCGUGUAUGAAGAAGUACACCCCUGCAGGGUUAUCAUAAUCUAUUCGAAUAGCCGCGUCCGCGGUAAAGGACUACUUGGUUGCCUAUACAGUUCAUAGACAAGUAAAUGGAACUGCUAAAAGCCUCAAGAUAAGUGUGAGUGCCGAGGAUGGCUCUUCCGUAGGAAGACGGAGGCGGAUCCUCGGUAGUGUAUUGAAGUGGUGGGUAGUGGACUCGUGUGCGCAAAACCAUUUCAAGUUGAAGUAUCGUAGGAUAGUCUAGCCAAGAGUCAAAGCUGGCUUGCUGCAAUAACUCCACCAACCCUUCUUGAUAAUAUGCAUGUAUGUAGGAUCUGAUGUAAGUCUUGCUGAGUACCUUUGUACUCAUGUUGCUAUAAUUUACAUUUUUACAGAAGACGCUGCAACCCCUUCUGAUGGGUUCUAUGUAGACGUUGACAUCAACGAGUAGGCUAAAGGCCCAGGUGGUGACCCUGAGCUUGUGAAGGACCACGUAGUAUAGCUAGGCUUUCCAAGCCUCUUUUAUUUUACUAGUUGUCUGUACUCAGACAAGUUACUUCCGCUGCUGGUUUGUAUGACUGUAUGACUUGAAUGUCGGGUCGUGAGACCCGUACCUGUGUGUAUGUUAUGUAUGGUUCUCUGAGCCUUAAAUAAAGUACUUGUGUCAUAGAGUCAUGUUGUGAUGCUUCGUUGUAUUUGCACAUAUCGAGCAUAUUGUGUGUAUGAUUGAAAUGCUUGGUAUGUGUGGGAUCUGAUUACCUAGUUGUUUAUCCUUAGUAGCCCCUCUUACCAGGAAAUGUCUCCUAGUGUUACCGCAGAGCCAUGGUAGCUUGCUACUGCUCUGGAACACUUAGGCUAGCCGGCAUGUGUCCUUCUUCGUUCCUGUGUCUGUCCCUUCGGGGAAAUGUCACGCUUUGAGUACCGGAGUCCUGUUAGCCCGCUACAGCCCGGUUUACCGGAGUCCUGCUAGCCCAGUGCUACAGCCCGGACCCACUUGCUGAUGACCGACACGUUCGAAGCUGGGUCAUGGAUGCCUGUCCCUGUAAGUCUGUGCCACUUUUGGUUUACGACUAGUCAUGUCAUCCCGGGCUCCUUAUCAUAUGGAUGCUAGCGACACUAUCAUAUCCGUGAGCCAAAAGGCGCAAACGGUCCCGAGCAAAGGUAAGGCGACACCCGUGGGGAUACCGUGCGUGAGGCCGCAAAGUGAUAUGAGGUGUUACCGGCUAGAUCAAUCUGACAUCGAGUCGGGGUCCUGACAGCGUUGGCAUCAGAGCCAGACUGCCUGUAGGUUCUCCAAGCCAAACUGGUCGAUGUUGAGUCUAGAAAUUCUUUAGUUAUAUGUAGGGGAAUUGUUUGUGGGUUGGAACAUAAGGCUCUUUUACUCCUUUAUCUUAUAACAUUCUGAUCUGAGUCAGUCUAUUCUUCCACCGGGGGUUAAGGAAUUAGGAUCUAUUCUCUCUAUCAGGAUCACGUGUAACUAAUCAGUAGUACCUUAUAGGUUUGAUGGAUACAAGCCUAGUUCAAUUCUACUACCACAUUAUGUUGUUAAAAUGGAUUCAGAACUUUGAUAUGAUGAGGUCGAGUAUGUAUGUAAUCCUUUGUCAAAUGUCUCAAAAUCCUUCUUGAGCAUUUACAGCUGUUAUGCUGCCGAAAUUUUGCUAGAAAUUCUAAUGCCUUUGCAUUAUGAUUGUGCUUUCAGAUGGCCACUCGCGACCUCAAUCAAGUGGUUCGCCUGACUCGAUUCCUAGAUGUACCCGGCCAUACUGCCAAGUUGGUCAGGGUAAUGACUGAGGCUGGAUACCGCUGGUAUCCUGAGUAUACGGUCGAAGAGCAAUUCCGAGACUUUAAUCAAAGCCAGUAUCUCUGCACUGUCAGGAUAUUUCCAUCUUAUCCUGGAUCCACCGAGCCCCUUCACUGCUCCUAUGGACUCGGGGUUACCAUUGAGAUGGCUGUGCAGGACGCCGCCUACUCUAUGAUGACCAUCAUGCGAGUCAGAUCUGGACUAUUUCGGGACUCUGAUUUCCGGUAUAUGCCAGGAUCACUUCCGGGAGCACAAGGGUAUCUCCAGGCUAUCUAUGCUGACCCCACUCAGGAGGAUUCACGGACUCGCACCACUGCUGAGAUGCUCGAGGAUAAGGACCGUGAAAAUCGGGCCUUGAGGUUAGAGCUCUUCAAUACCCGUGCUGACCACUGGGCCACAUUGACUCGGUUUGCACCGGCAGUGCAAGCUGGAUAUUCGGAUAUGCGCGAUCUCUAUCCUGUGAGAUCUGCUCUGCCAGACGUGAUGGGUUGGCGUGAUGUAGGAGGCAUCACCCCACCUCGCGGUCCCCGCAGGCCACCGUCUGUUGGUCCAAGACCUCAUCCUAGCCCCUAUGGUCCACAAGCUCCGCGAGAUCGUCUGUUUCCGGAUGAUCAUGUUGAGCUUCCAGGCUAUGGAGGUGACUUCUACGAGGACUACUACGGAUCGGUCUGAGUUAGUGGUAGUAUCACUAGUUCGCACUAGCUGUGUCAUCUAUCGUCCCGCGUGACUCGUGGGAUAUGACCUAGUUUGUACUCUUUCCGGAGGAGUAGAAAAAUAAUGUAUAGGAGCUUGGAAUGCCUCCGAUGAGAUGUAAUCCUCUUUUCACCGUAAUAGUACUUUGUUUGGUCUUGUACUAAACCCUGUAUGGUGUGUAUGACGAUGGAAUAAAGAAGCAGUUUCUGUAUUUACCAUGUCAUAUGGAUGAUCAUCUUGCAUUUCGAGUUAUCCCUUACAUUUUAUAUCCUAUGUCGGAAUUUUAUCAUCCUGACUAAAUCAUUGUCUUGUUUACCUAGGAUGGUCAACACGCGCACUAACCCUGCUCCUCAAGAGCAGGCCGAAGGCAGUGAAGUCAGGGAUGCAAAUCUGCCUCAUCCUCCUUCCCUAGCUGAGGUUAUGAUGGAAGCUGAGAGAAACAAGCGGGAGACCAACCGUUUGUUGGAGCGUAUUGAACAGAACACAGCACACCAUCAGAGGACUAACGUGGUGUCACUCAGUGAUUUUAUCAAAUUACAUCCACCCACGUACCACCACUCCGUCGAGCCUCUCGACGCUGAUGACUGGCUUCGCAGUAUCUCUCACAAACUGCGUUCCGCGCUGGUAGCGGAGGCUGACAAGGUCACCUUUGCUGCAUAUCAUCUUGAAGGCCCCGCCAGUCUAUGGUGGGAGAAUUAUGGAGCUAUGCGCCCAGCAGGCCAUGUCACUACUUGGGCUGAAUUCAGCGAGGCUUUCCGUGAACAUCACAUUCCGGAGGGUCUCAUGGACCGUAAACGUGAGGAAUUUUGCAGUUUCACCCAAGGCCGACUCUCUGUGGAUGCUUAUAGCAGGGAGUUUGGUAACCUCGCACGAUAUGCAACCGAGGAAGUUUCUACUGACGCCAAGAAGCAUGCAAGGUUCCGUAAGGGACUUAGUCCUGAGCUUCGCCGUGACCUCCGUCUGCAUGAGUGCACAACUUUUCAGAAACUUGUCAACAAAGCCAUCAGUGCUGAAACGGGUCAGACUGACUAUGACGCAACACGCAAGCAUGGCCGUGACAUGGGUUCCUCAUCCGGUGCUGGUCCUCAGAAGCGCCGCGUGUGGGUGCCCAACACCGCCCUGCCACCCAGGUUCACACCGAGGCCAUCUUUCCAGGCGCCUCGCCCUGUUCAACAGUCUGCACCGGCCAAGCCCUAUGGGGGUCCAGCCAAUAAUGCUCCUCCACGUACCAGUUCCGUGACUUGUUUCAAGUGUGGGGAAUCUGGCCACUAUAUGCGUGAGUGUCCCCAGACCAACCCCAACCAGUCUGCUAAAGCUGUUGGCCGUGGCAAGCCGACAGGGAAAGUGUUCCACGCCAAGCCGGUCACCGUCUCACGUGGCCAUGUCAACUGUAUCUCUGCCGAAGAAGCUCAAGAGGAUCCCAACGUCGUUCUCGGUACGCUUCUUGUUAAUUGCCACCCGGCAUCUGUUCUUUUCGAUACAGGAGCCUCUCAUUCCUUUAUAUCCGAAAAUUAUGCUCGUUUGCAUAACGUCGCAUUCGGUGAUAUGCCAACCUCUAUGGUAAUUCAAACUCCGGGAUCCAAAUGGCAAACUUCUAGAGUAAGCCAUGGAAAUGAAAUCCAAGUCGACAGACUUGUUUUCCUCGCGUCUUUGAUAGCCCUUAAAUCUUCAGAUAUUAAUAUCAUUCUGGGUAUGGACUGGAUGUCGGCUCAUCAUGCCCAAAUUGAUUGCUUCUCUAGGACUGUUCAACUCACUCACCCUUCGGGCAAGAUAGUCAAUGUCUUAACCCGAAUAGCCAAGCGACAAUUAUAUUCUCUUAACGCCAGCCCUUUGCCAGAUCUUGAGGACAUUCCGGUAGUCCGUGACUUCCCGGAUGUCUUCCCAGAGGAAUUGCCAGGUGUUCCACCUGACAGGGAUGUUGAGUUCGUAAUAGACCUCAUUCCAGGAACCGUUCGGAUUGCUAGAAGACCUUAUAAGAUGGCACCACUAGAACUAGCCGAGCUUAAGAAACAACUCGAUGAGUCCUUGAAAAAGGGUUUCAUCCGCCCUAGUUCAUCUCCAUGGGCUUGCCCCGUCCUAUUCGUCAAGAAGAAGGAUGGUACGGACCGGAUGGUUGUAGAUUACCGACCUGUCAAUUUGGUCACAAUCAAGAACAAAUAUCCGCUCCCCAGGAUCAACGACCUUUAUGAUCAGCUCGCUGGAUCCUCAGUCUUCUCCAAGAUGGAUUUGAGGUUGGGCUACCAUCAAAUCAAAAUAAAAAACGGGGACAUUCCUGAAACGGCCUUUGUUACUCGUUAUGGCCAAUACGAGUACACCGUCAUGUCCUUCGGAUUAACCAACGCUCCAGCCACUUUUUCUCGGUUAAUGAACUCAAUCUUCAUGGAGUAUUUGGAUAAAUUCGUCGUGGUUUACCUCGAUGAUAUACUCAUCUACUCCAAGAACGAGGAAGAACAUGCCGAACAUCUAAGGCUAGUGUUGAAGAAACUUCGAGAGCAUCGCCUUUAUGCCAAAUUUUCUAAAUGUGAAUUCUGGUUGUCAGAAGUGACCUAUCUGGGUCAUGUAAUAUCUGGUAAAGGUAUUGCUGUUAACCCUGAGCGAGUUCAAGCCGUCCUUAAUUGGACUCCACCUGAAUCAGUCAAGCAAGUUCGGAGUUUUCUGGGCUUAGCGAGCUAUUGUCGUCGCUUUGUCGAGAACUUCUCCAAGGUUGCUAAACCUCUAACCGAACUCCUCAAGAAAGAUAAGAAGUUCGAGUGGACUCCACAAUGUGAGCACAGCUUUCAGGAAUUGAAAAGACGCCUGACUUCUGCUCCCAUACUGGUACCGCCAGACUUCUCCAAGGACUUUGUUAUCUACUGCGACGCCUCGCGACAAGGACUAGGUUGCAUUCUCAUGCAAGAUCGACACGUAAUUGCCUACGCUUCACGGCAAUUGCACCCACAUGAGGAGAAUUAUCCUACUCAUGAUCUAGAGCUUGCAGCCGUAGUCUAUGCACUCAAGACCUGGCGACAUUACCUCCUCGGUAACCGUUGCGAAAUAUUCACUGAUCACCAAAGUCUGAAGUACAUCUUCACCCAACCGGAUCUGAAUCUCAGGCAAAGACGUUGGGUUGAGUUGAUCACAGACUUCGACUUAGGAAUAACCUACACCCCAGGGAAAGCCAACGUCAUGGCUGAUGCGCUAAGUCGUAAAUCUUAUUGUAAAAACCUGAUGUUACAACAAAGUCAACCGCUUCUCCAUAAGGAAUUUCGGAAGCUUAACCUUCACAUUGUUCCUCAAGGUUUUCUUUCCACCUUGGUGGCAAAACCUACCCUUACGGAUCAGAUUAUCAAAGCACAGAAGGUAGAUCCGGGAAUCUCCCGCAUCAAGAGAAACAUUCAGAAAGGAAUUGCGAAUUGCUUCUCCAUUAAUGAUCAAGGGGUCGUAUACUUCGGGGAUCGACUAGUGGUUCCCAAAGUGCGAAACCUGAGGCGAUUAAUCCUUAAGGAAGCUCAUGAAUCUCCUCUCACCAUUCAUCCCGGUAGUACUAAGAUGUAUCAGGACCUACACCAGAGGUUCUGGUGGACUAGGAUGAAGAGAGAAAUUGCUCAGUAUAUUGCUAAUUGCGACGUCUGUCGUCGUGUAAAAGCAGAGCAUCAACGGCCUGCUGGCACCCUUCAACCCUUAGCUAUUCCUGAAUGGAAAUGGGAUAAAAUUGGUAUGGAUUUCAUUACCGGUUUUCCCAGGACCAAGAGAGGGAAUAAUGCUAUCUUCGUCAUUGUCGAUCGUCUUUCCAAAGUAGCCCAUUUCCUACCUGUUCGUGAGAGUAUAACCGCUAGUCAGCUGGCCGACUUAUACAUCUCCCGUAUAGUGUCUCUCCAUGGUGUUCCUUUGGAAAUUAACUCGGAUCGAGGAAGUCUUUUCACCUCUCGAUUUUGGGAAAGCUUCCAAAAUGCUAUGGGGACCCGUCUCUCCUUUAGCACCGCUUUCCACCCUCAGUCGAGUGGUCAAGUGGAACGCGUCAACCAGAUUCUAGAAGACAUGCUUCGAGCCUCUGUUAUCUCAUUCGGAAUGGACUGGGAGAAGUGCCUUCCAUUUGCCGAAUUCGCUUACAACAAUAGCUAUCAAUCUAGCUUGGGUAAAGCCCCUUUUGAAGUUCUCUAUGGACGACGGUGUCGAACACCCCUUAACUGGUCAGAGACCGGGGAAAGACAAUUCUUUGGCCCGGACAUGAUUCAGGAAGCAGAAGAACAAGUUCGCAUCGUUCGUGAAAAGUUGAAAACAGCCCAAUCCCGUCAAAAGAGUCAAUAUGACCGAAAACAUAAGGCUAUGACUUUCGAGGUUGACGAGAAGGCUUAUCUUCGGGUCACCCCUCUGAAGGGAACCCAUCAUUUCGGUAUCAAAGGCAAAUUGGCUCCUCGAUACAUUGGACCUUUUCGCAUUCUCGCCAAACGAGGAGAAGUUGCCUACCAGUUGGAACUACCUCCGCACCUCUCCAGAGUCCACGAUGUCUUCCACGUUUCUCAACUCAGGCGUUGCUUCUCGGAUCCUAUCCGUGGAGUGGACCAUGAAACGCUUGAUCUCCAAGAUAAUCUUACAUAUCGAGAGUACCCCAUUCGUAUCCUCGAUCAGGCCGAACGUACCACCCGACGUCAUAAUAUCAAGUUUCUCAAAGUUCAAUGGUCGCACCAUUCUGAAGAUGAAGCAACUUGGGAAAGGGAGGAUCGUCUUCGACUCGAGUAUCCCGCCUUCUUUCCGGAGGAACCCAAAUCUCGGGACGAGAUUCUUUUGAGUGGGGGUGAGUUGUCACAUCCUAGUUAGCCAUGCAUUAGAGUGUUGCAUCAUGUUUACCUUUUCAUCAGAAACCUGAAAUGGGGAUGACAGAACCCCCAGUCCCCUCUGAAAUCAAUUAGGGUUUACUAAAAACAUUUUCAAUGAACCUGAAAUGCCCUUCUAAAAUGCCCAUCAUUUUUGUCUUGGUUCAGAACCUCUGCCAAAAGUGGUGCACAUUUUCCUAGGCCAUCCUAGGGUUUUUUGAAUUAAAUCAUAAAUAUUUGAAUUUGGGCAUUUAAAAUUAUAUAAAAUAUUUAAAUGCUCAAAUAUCUCCAAACUAAAAUGUUUCAUGUUGGAAAUAAUCCAACUAUGGACCAGGAGUAGUUUGGUGAUUUUUGAAGUUGCCUAGGUAUUUUAUUUAAUUCAACUAAGUUGCAGAAGUAUUAAAAAUUAGAGAACAGAAAUAAAUAAAAGGGAGAACCUUACCUGGGCUCCUCCCUGUCCGGCCCAGCCAGCUGGCCGGCCCAGCCAGCAGGAGGCCCAGCCCACCACUGCAGCCCUCUGUCGUCUUCCUCCCCUCGCCCCGAAGCUGCUGCGUGCUCGCACGCGCACGGCCGCGCGGCCACCUCCUGCUUGCCGACGAGCUCCUGGCCGCGUGGACGACUUCCGCAGGCCGUCCCGAUCCCCCUGACCCCCCUCACUCUCCCGUGCACCUCUUCCCUCUCUCCCUGCUUCGCCUCCCUCGACCCCUCUCCCGAAGCAGAGUGCAGCCGCCGACGCCGUUCACCGGAGCUGCAGCCACCGCCCUUCCCUCGCUCCCCCGACUAGCCCAGAGGCUCCGCCUCGACCCCCUCUUCCUUCCCAUCGGUCCACGGGCCUCCGGAAGCCCUGCAUCGCCGCCCACGUCGCCGUUGCCCUCCUCGGCCACCGGAGAUCGUCACCGUCGAUUAGAGAGCUACCGGACAUCCCCGAGCCCGCUAACCAUCCCUGCAGCUCCGUGGUGAGCCGCUGACCCGAUUCCCCCUUGCCCCGUCGUCCCUAGCAUCCUGUAGUUGCCGUCCCCUUGAGCACCGAAGCUCGCCGCCGCCGUGCCUCGUCGUCGCCGUGGCUGGAGCCGUUGUAGCUCGAAGCCGAGCACACCAUCGUGCUCCACACCUCACCAGGAGCACGUAGCACACACCAACGCCUCCCCUAGCGCCCUGCAUCGCCUAACCCGCCGUUGCCCGAACUCCGGCCGCCGCUCACGAGCUCGCCGUCGUCGGUACCGGCCACCUCAGGCACGGCCACCACCACCGUUCGACGCGCGGGAGCAAGGGCUCUCCAACGAGCCCAAGCACGGCCUCGCCCGUGCCCUGUAGCGCGUUUCCGCAUCGCGCCGCCGUCUCGGGCCUCACCGGCGUCAUGUCGCCGGUGGGUUUGACCUGUUUGACCUGGGGUUUGACCCCCCCAGGGUCACUGACACGUGGGCCCCGUCAGCCAGGUGGUUAGAUUAGCACUAAUCACCGCUUAAUUAACCCCCCCUGACACUGACAGUGGGCCCCAGCGCCACUAAUUCCUAAUUAGGAUUAAAUUAACCCUGUUAAACCCCCCCUGUCACUGACGUGUGGACCCCACACAUCAAGUUUGACCCCAGCCAGCCGCAGUUGACCACUGACGUCAUGCUGACGUCAUGCUGGCGCAAUAUUUAUAUUUCUGGAUUUAAUUUAAAUCAGGAAAUUCCAGAAUAUUAUUUAAACUUCAAAAAUUCAUAACUUUUAUUCUGUAACUCCAAAUCAGACAAAUUAUAUAUGAAAAAUGAUCAGAAAAAUCCAAUCUAUCCAUCUGUACUAUUUUCAUGCAUGACUAAACAAGUUAACUUGAUGUUUAAUGCAGAACAAGGAAAAGCACUUUAAGAGGCCAUGUUUGAGUUUGAAAUUUGAAUCUUUGAUUCAAAUUUGUUCAAACCCUUCUGGUUUUAGUUGCAUUAGCCCAACACACUCAUAUUGCCAUGUUUCAUGCAUGCAUCAUAUUGUUGCACAUUGUUUGGUGAUGGUUGUGUAUCGGUGUCCUUUGCGACAGGUUCUGCCUCCGAGGAGUACCGUGAUUACCCUAACGAAGAACCGUAUCAGUGCAUCGAACCAACAGGCAAGCAAUCAACCAUUUGAUCAUAUCGAUACAACCCCAUGUUCUCGCUUCUGCUCUCUUUUACUGCAUUAAGACAACGCAUUUCAAACUGUUGUGUGCUACGGUAGUUGAACCCAUUUCCUCUGCAUGACCUGUCAUUGCCACAGUAACUAGAUGAAACCCACUAGCAUGUGUAGGAGUUGAUUGAGCCAUAUGUAUGUGUUGUUCCUACCUUGCUAUGCCUGCUAUGCUUAGAGUCGUGUCAGGUCUGGUUCAUCUGGGUGAUGGGCUAGAGUGAAAUGAUUAUGUCGGUAAUGAGAGUGGUGUGGUGAACAUGAUUUGGUAAAGGUAUCGAUGAGAGGCCAUGUAGGAGUACAUGGUGGGUUGUUUCAUUAAAGCCGACCUUAAGCACUGAGAUCUGUAUGUGUGAUUUAAGAUUCAGCUACUACCAUGCAUUGGGCCCGAAACCAAUGGACCCUCUCGACUUCUUAGUCACCCUAGUUCUCUGUCCAGGAGUUGCAAGUAGUUUCUGGUGUUUGUAGUAUACUGGAGGCCGUGGACAGCGCUGACCGUAGGGGUGGGCUGUGAUGCGGUAGGUACGUGGCACGGUGUACCGAAUACCCGUAAGGUAUCUCGGGAACCCUGCUCACAUCGUUUGGGGCUGUGAGCGUUACUUUGGCCGGAUCUCCUCAUGGAUGGAACCCGAAUAGGCGAUAAACCUGGACUAGGGACUUAGGUGAUUAGGUAGGUCGUGGCCGACACCCACGUUGGGCUUCCACUUGAAGGUUGCCGAGUACAUGUCGUGUAAACGACGGUAAGUGGUGAGAGCGUGUAUGAAGAAGUACACCCCUGCAGGGUUAUCAUAAUCUAUUCAAAUAGCCGCGUCCGCGGUAAAGGACUACUUGGUUGCCUAUACAGUUCAUAGACAAGUAAAUGGAAACUGCUAAAAGCCUCAAGAUAAGUGUGAGUGCCGAGGAUGGCUCUUCCGUAGGAAGACGGAGGCGGAUCCUCGGUAGUGUAUUGAAGUGGUGGGUAGUGGACUCGUGUGCGCAAAACUAUUUCAAGUUGAAGUAUCGUAGGAUAGUCUAGCCAAGAGUCAAAGCUGGCUUGCUGCAAUAACUCCACCAACCCUUCUUGAUAAUAUGCAUGUAUGUAGGAUCUGAUGUAAGUCUUGCUGAGUACCUUUGUACUCAUGUUGCUAUAAUUUACAUUUUUACAGAAGACGCUGCAACCCCUUCUGAUGGGUUCUAUGUAGACGUUGACAUCAACGAGUAGGCUAAAGGCCCAGGUGGUGACCCUGAGCUUGUGAAGGACCACGUAGUAUAGCUAGGCUUUCCAAGCCUCUUUUAUUUUACUAGUUGUCUGUACUCAGACAAGUUACUUCCGCUGCUGGUUUGUAUGACUGUAUGACUUGAAUGUCGGGUCGUGAGACCCGUACCUGUGUGUAUGUUAUGUAUGGUUCUCUGAGCCUUAAAUAAAGUACUUGUGUCAUAGAGUCAUGUUGUGAUGCUUCGUUGUAUUUGCACAUAUCGAGCAUAUUGUGUGUAUGAUUGAAAUGCUUGGUAUGUGUGGGAUCUGACUACCUAGUUGUUUAUCCUUAGUAGCCCCUCUUACCGGGAAAUGUCUCCUAGUGUUACCGCUGAGCCAUGGUAGCUUGCUACUGCUCUGGAACACUUAGGCUGGCCGGCAUGUGUCCUUCUUCGUUCCUGUGUCUGUCCCUUCGGGGAAAUGUCAUGCUUUGAGUACCAGAGUCCUGUUAGCCCGCUACAGCCCGGUUUACCGGAGUCCUGCUAGCCCAGUGCUACAGCCCGGACCCACUUGCUGAUGACCGACACGUUCGAAGCUGGGUCAUGGAUGCCUGUCCCUGUAAGUCUGUGCCACUUUUGGUUUACGACUAGUCAUGUCAGCCCGGGCUCCUUAUCAUAUGGAUGCUAGCGACACUAUCAUAUCCGUGAGCCAAAAGGCGCAAACAGUCCCGGGCAAAGGUAAGGCGACACCCGUGGGGAUACCGUGCGUGAGGCCGCAAAGUGAUAUGAGGUGUUACCGGCUAGAUCAAUGUGACAUCGAGUCGGGGUCCUGACAGUGGAUCAGAGGUUGGCAUUGGAAUAUCAGAAGCUGGAUCAGGCGGCAGCUGAUGGGUAGAGUUGUCUGGAACAGACGCAUUAAUCACCGGUUCAGCCAUGACCGGUUCUUCAGACGGCUUAUUCUUCUUUGCCCGUUUACUGGGUUUCACUUGCAUGAUGUUAACAAAAGCAGAAGGAUGAAUACACAAGCAUGAAUAAAGCAAAAAGUGCAUAAGUUUACAUUACCCGGGAGCAGUUUUGAAAGUCGGCAUAUUUGACUGCAUGGAUUCACCGGAAGAAGGAAAGGUAUCCUGAUAGUUGGAGUCAGAUGAAUUGAGAGGUUGACGAAUUAAGCCUGCUAAAGGUAAGACAGAACGUAAAUCGGAGAUAACCUCAGUCCGACGCUUCCUGAUUAUAUCAGGUAAGCCGGAGGAAAGUUCUGCAUCCUUGUUGUUCCGGGUCUGCCUCCAGUUCUCAAAUUGUUGUUGCUUGAAAAGAAAUUGAGGAUCUUGAUAAGCAAGUGCAUGUGAAAAUCUGACUUUCCAGGUCACCCUUCGGGUCUUUCGCUUUGGCAAAGGCUCUGAGUUGGAGGAGAUUAUAGUUACCUCUUCAUUGGCUGCUCGACUGUUCCCCAUAUCCUCCUAAAGGGAUCGAAUGUCAGACAGGUGAUAACAAGGAAUUUAAGAAAAUUCAAAGAUUAACUCUUCAUCAUCUGAAGAGCUAUCCUCCAAUCUGAGUAAGUCGGAGGCACUGGGUUUCUUCUUCUUUGAGGUUCCUGCCUUGGCAGCUUUCCUUUCAGCCUUCUUGGUCGUCCUAGCCUGUUUGGCAGCCUCAUGGUCAUAUUUGGCUUUCCAGAAGUCAUCACCAGCCUGUGGAAAAAGUUAAAGAAUUAUGAGUAUCAAGAAAGGUAUAAUAUAUCCGUAAACAUUUGUUACAAUUGAUAACUUACUGCAGGGGCCGGGUUAUUCUUGCAAAAUGGAAGUAAGCCGAAGGCGUUGCUCGUCACAGUGCCCUCCUUCAGCAGUGACUGGGUUGUAGCAUCCACCACAUCAUCUGGUAAGUCGUCAGGGCUAUGGCUUAGCGUAUCAUUCUUUUCUCCAGUAUAAGUACACAUUAAGCUGGGACAGCGGCUUAAAUGAAGUAUACGCCAAGUGACUGAGACUCGGACCAGAUCGAUGCCAUUUAAACCGUUUCCUAAGAGAGCUUUAAUCUUCCUGAUGGUGGAAUUGAGAGGCACGCGUUCAAGGGUGGUCAGCUUGUCUGGUAGCUGAUGGUUAGACUCAAGGCGCAGGGCGCGAAAGCCGGGCAGAGGUUUUUCAUCAGCCAGAGAAGUGUCCUGGGAGUAGAACCACGUCUUGUUCCAAGAUUUUGGGUGGCUCGGCAACUCAGCAUAAGGGAAAAGACAGUCUCUUCGUCGCUGGAUUGAGAUGCCGCCAAGCUUAACACUGGGCCCGUUGGCACGUUCAUUUUGCCGGUUCAUGUAAAAAAGUUCGCUGAACAAAAGCAGACUAGGCUCUUCUCCCAGGUACACCUCGCAGAAGACAUGGAAAUUACAAAUAUUUGACACGGAAUUGGGUCCGAUGUCUUGAGGUCUAAGGUCAAAGAAAUUUAAAACCUCUCUGAAAUUUUUUGAGCCGGGAGGAGCAAAUCCACAGCUCAUAUGAUCUGUAAAAAUUAUUACUUCCCUUGCUUUGGGGUGAGGCUUUUCUUCAGACGAGUCAGGGGCACGGUAAGACAUGACAUCCUUUUUUGGUAGAUGCCCAGACUUUACAAACUCAGCUAGUUUGCUAUUGGUAACUAUGGAUGGAACCCAAUUGCAAGUUACAGGGGCCUUGGUAGCCUUAGGAGCCAUCACAGCAGUUAGCCUAUGGAAAAACAAGAUUAUCCGGUUCAAUUUUAACCUGGGAGAAAAAUCUUAAUUAUUUAAGGUGGUGGCUUAAUGAGGGGCCUAAUGGUGUAAGGAUGACUGUGCAACAAUACUUAAGCCACUACAAGUAUCAAGUGCAGUUCACAAUUUUUCUGGGUCAUGAGGAGCAAUUAAAGUUCCGUGUCAUUUAUUUAAGCCGGACAUCUCGACAGUUGUAUUUCAGGGCAUUUACCAGAAGAGGUUUUCCGUGUGAUAAAAACAAGUUUCACAGAUAACAGUUAUUACUCUGGAUCAAAAUAUUGCUCUGAAAGGAAGUUUUCUAGACCUAAACAGGGCAGAGAAGUUCAUGCACUCGAAGAGGGUUCCUGAACAAGGGAAAGGAGAUCUAUUUAUAUGCAAGAUCAACACAAAUAAGCACCACAACAGUUCUACGUAGUUUUUACGAUCUAAACAGGGCGUUGGAAGGAACUUGCGAGGGUUUGGUGUCGGGCAGUGAUGAACACCGACGAACUCAACAAGGCCCUAAUGCAGAUCUGAGGAAGGGAAUGAGAGGAACUCACGGAUGCGGACGAGCUGCAGAGGUUCGCCGUCGAUAUCUGGUCAGAGUCAGGUUGAUGCAGCGGCCUGAGUCGAUGAAGACGAGAGGUUCGACGGUGGCGGCGGCAGAGCUCGGGAAGAGGCAAGAGGAAGAAGACUACUGGGGGAAAGACCUAGGUCGCCCUAUUUAUAAAAUAAGACUGACCGAGAGGGCGUGAAAAAUGAGGAGAUAACAUUUAUUAUCCAGCGGCUCGGGCGCCUCGAUUCUCGGGAUAGUCAGUAAAGACAAAGAUCCAUUGAAGAUAUGGCGGAAUAAAAAUAAGUUUUAUUGAAGAUGACAUCACGGUGAUUUUACCCGGAUCUAGAUGAUGACGUCACAGUGGGUUAAAAUUCUUUGUGCAAGACAAAAGACUGCAGGACAGUUCAUAAGGUAUAUUAAGAUUGACAUGAACAGGUUCAAAUCAAUCUGGGGCCUAAUGUUGGGAAUAUAACUAUUUGUGUAAGCCGCCCAGGAGGGGCCGGGUUACGCAAAGAAGACUCACCAGAGAGAAGCCCAAGACCAAAGUAUGAAGAUGGCGGUUCAUAGAGAGCUUAAGGCCCGCAGGCGACUUAAGGCCCGUUGUAGUAAACCGCCAUAAUAAUAUAAUUGUAUCAUAAGGUAGACUUAACUAGUCACCGAGCCGGACAUUGUGUAUAAGCCGGCCGGGACUCUAUAAGCCGCAGGGCAUCAACCCGAGUAUAUAAGGGGACGACAUGCGGGCGACUUAGGGCAAGAAACAACUCAUCGAGAGCCAGGCAUAGCGUAUCUCGCUCCCUGGUCAUCGAAACAUCAAUACCAACCCAACUAGACGUAGGCCUUACCUUCACUGUAAGGGGCCGAACUAGUAUAAAACCUCUCGUGUCCUUUGUCCCGAUUAACCCCUUCAAGCUUCCUAGUUGCGAUGGCUCCACAACUAAGUCCUUUCACGAGGACAUCUGACGUGACAAUUCCACGACAGAAAGGAUAACUUUGAGGUGGUUUCGUACCCUACAAUAAUCUCUUUGUUUGUUCUCCGCUAUUAGUGACUUUGGAGUGACUCUUUGUUGCAUGUUGAGGGAUAGUUAUAUGAUCCAAUUAUGUUAUUAUUGUUGAGAGAACUUGCACUGGUGAAAGUAUGAACCCUAGGCCUUGUUUCCUACCAUUGCAAUACCGUUUACGCUCACUUUUAUCAUUAGUUACCUUGCUGUUUUUAUAAUUUCAGAUUAAAAAAAACCUAUAUCUAUCAUCCAUAUUGCACUUGUAUCACCAUCUCUUUGCCGAACUAGUGCACCUAUAUAAUUUAGCAUUGUAUUGGGUGUGUUGGGGACACAAGAGACUAUUUGUUAUUUGGUUGCAGGGUUUUUUGAGAGAGACCAUCUUCAUCCCACGCCUCCCACGGAUUGAUAAACCUUAGGUCAUCCACUUGAGGGAAAUUUGCUACUGUCCUACAAACCUCUGCACUCGGAGGCCCAACAACGUCUACAAGAAGAAGGUUGUGUAGUAGACAUCAGUCCUCCUCUCAUAUUCAUUUGCCUCCUCCCUGGUUAUAAAAUAUCUCAUGUUUUCCUGAAAGUUAAAGAAGGUAGGAGCAGGGAGAGUAAUAUGGAGAGCACGCCGUCUGUCAAAGAUUGGUCGGUACUGGAGGGACUGUUCGUUCCUCUCAAGAAACUGAUGGCGAACCAUAGCAUUAUAGUCUAGAAAAGCAGGUGGCAACUCAAUAUCAUUUUCAUUUAUGGGUACACCAAGAUAAUCAGCUAAAUGAGUUGCAUAAAUUCCACCAAAUAAAUCUACAUUUUUACCAUUAAGAUGUAACCUCCAUGCAACAAUGGCCCCCAAGUUAUAUCGUUUAUCAUCUAAUACCGCACUCUUGAGGACACUGAGAUCUGGGACGCACAUGUGACAAAGCUCAUCUUUACCGUUAAUACAUCUACCUAUAAAGAGAGCAAAGUAAUGUAUGGAAGGAAAAUGAAUGCUCCCUAUGGUAGCUUGUGUGAUAUCUCUGCUUUCUCCCAUAGUGAUAUUAGCAAAAAAAAUCAUUAUAUUCAGAUUUGCGAGGUUCACUAAAGAUGCCCCACUGUGGGAUUUUGCAAGCAGUGUUAAAAUCAUCUAGGUCCAUUGUAUAUGAUUUAUCAUAGAGGUCAAUGGUGUGAGUGUUGCGCUUAGAUGUAAAGUUAAACCUCUGGACAAAGGAAUCAGUGAGGUGAUAGUAUAGGAGGCACUUAUCUGAUACGAAGUUCUCAAGAUUAGCAUUACACACAUAUUCAUCAAAUUCAUCCUUGAAGACAGCUUGCAUCAUAAAUUCAUCCGGCGGCAAUUCACAGGGCCGCACUUGAGCUUCUCUUUGUGGUUCAUGGUCCGGCUCACGUAUCGAUGUCGUCGUUGCUUGCUUCCUUGAAGAACCACCUUCGCCAUUUUCCAAAACAUUUUUCUUCCUCUGAAAAAUUUCUAAAACUUUUAGUGAUUCAGGAUAAAAGUGAACCAAACUCAACAAGAUUGAUAGCAACUACUCCCACAAGUGCCUAGAAGCAAUAUCAUGCAUCAAAACUACUUUAGACCAUAUAAAUAUGACAUCCAAGCUCAAGAACAGGGUCAUCUCAGCAGCAAAAAUUUGCAAUAAAUAAAGCACUAGAACAAAAACUAAUUGGACCAUUGGAGGAGUCACAUACCAAAGAACAAUCCGCCAAAGCAGUUUUAUGAAUGGUGCUUUGAGCAAGGAGAUCGAAAACGGCAGCAAAACGAGCAAGAACACGAGUUUGAGCUACGAGAUGAGUUUUUCUGGAGGAAGAUGAAGUAUGUGGGUGCUGGAAUAAGUGGAGGGGGCCACGUGGGGCCCAUGAGGUAGGGGGCGCUCCAAGGGGGUAGGGAGCGCCCUCCACCCUCGUGACCAAAUGGUGGGUCCCCCUGGUGUGUUCUAAGUGCCAGAAAUUCUCAAAUAUUCUACAAAAAAUCACACUCAACUUUCAGGGCAUUUGGAGAACUUUUAUUUUCGGGGUAUUUUUUAUUACAAGGAUAAUUCAGGAAACAGACAGAAAAUACUAUUUUUGCUUUAUUUAACUAAAUAACAGAAAGUAAAAGGUUGGUACAGAGAGUUGUGCCUUCUAACUUCAUCCAUCUCAUGCUCAUCAAAAGGAAUCCACUAACAAGGUUGAUCAAGUCUUGUUAACAAACCUCUUUCAAAUAACAUGAAACUGGAGAAUUUUUUAAUUAUACUAAGUUACCUCAACGGGGAUAUGCAUGACCCCAACAAUAAGAAUAUCAUAUUUAUUUUUGAUAGUAGAAAGAGGGAAUUCAAAACCUCCAAUAGUAAUCAUUGAAAUUUUUGCAAUAGAAUUUAUUCUAUGAACUUGAGGUUGUUUCUUUGGAAGGUGUACCAUAUGCUCAUUACCAUUAACAUGAAAAGCGACAUUGCCUUUGUUGCAAUCGAUAACAGCCCAUGCAGUAUUUAGAAAAGGUCUACCAAGGAUGAUCGACAUACUGUUGUCCUCGGGAAUGUCAAGAAUAACAAAGUCCGUUAAGAUAGUAUAACAUUUGCAACCACAACAGGCACAUCCUCACAAAUACCGACGGGUAUAGCAGUUGAUUUCUUGGCCAUUUGCAAAGAGAUUUUGGUAGGUGUAAACUUAUUCAAAGCCAGUCUACAAUACAAAGAGAAAGGCAUAACACUAACACCGGCUCUAAGAUCACAUAAAGUAGUUUUAACAUAGUUUCUUUUAAUGGAGCAUGGUAAAGUUGGUACUCCUGGAUCUCCAAGUUACUUUGGUAUUCCACCCUUAAAAGUAUAAUUAGCAAGCAUGGUGGAUGUCGGUGUCAAAACCGGCGGAUCUCGGGUAGGGGGUCCCGAACUGUGCGUCUAGGCGGAUGGUAAUAGGAGACAAGGGACACGAUGUUUUACCCAGGUUCAGGCCCUCUUGAUGGAGGUAAAACCCUACGUCCUGCUUGAUUGAUAUUGAUGAUGUGGGUAUUACAAGAGUAGAUCUACCACGAGAUCAAGGAGGCUAAACCCUAGAAGCUAGCCUAUGGUAUGAUUGUUAUUCGUCCUAUGGACUAAAACCAUUCGGUUUAUAUAGACACCGGAGAGGGCUAGGGUUACACAGAGUCGGUUACAAUGGUAGGAGAUCUACAUAUCCAUAUCGCCAAGCUUGCCUUCCACGCCAAGGAAAGUCCCAUCCGGACACGGGACGAAGUCUUCAAUCUUGUAUCUUCAUAGUCUUGGAGUCCGGCCGAUGAUGAUAGUUCGGCUAUCCGGACACCCCCUAGUCCAGGACUCCCUUAGUGGAAAUUUCAGCUUUCAGUAUCUUUCUUUUAUUUGUAACAAUAUCUUUCAUAUAGUUGGCAUAGGGACUCAUUUUCAGCAUAUGAGUCAAACAUAUACAUAAAAACAUAGGUCUAAUCAUUUCAGCGAAGCGCUCAAAAUCCUCAUCAUGCUUUUUCUUGCAUGGAUUAGGAGGAAAAGGCAUGGGUUUCUGAACCCAUGGUUCUCUUUCUUUGUCGUGCUUCCUAGCAACAAAGUCUCUCUUAUCAUAACAUUGAUUCUUUAAUUGUGGUUUAUCAAGAUCAACAACAGGUACAAUCUCUACAUCAUUGUUAUUACUAGGUUGAGCAUCAACGUGAACAUCAUCAUUGACAUUAUCACUAGACAAACAAUCACUCAAGUAUUCAACCAUAUAAGCAUUAUGUUUCAAUUGUGUACAAACAUAAGCAUUGAAGUUCUGUUGUUUAACAAUGAAAUUAUCAAACUCAUCCAAGCAUUGACUAGCAAACUUAGUAGGUGGGAUUUCGCACUUACCAAAUCUAUAGAGAGAAUUUACCUUUACUACCUGUGUCGGGUUAUCAAGACCAUGUAUCUCUUCAAUAGGCGGUAAAUUCUUAACAUCUUUAGCUUUAAUACUUUUUUCUUUCAUAGAUUUCUUUGCUUCUUGCAUAUCUUCAGGACUGAAAAAAUAGAAUACCCCUUUUCUUCGGAGUUGGCUUAGGAGUUGGUUCAGGAAGUGUCCAAUCAUUAUCAUUACUCAAUAUAUUAUUCAAUAGCAAUUCAGGUUGCUCAACAGUUCUUUCCCUGAAAACACAACCAGCAUAACUAUCUAGGUGGUCUCUGGAAGCAUCGGUCAGUCCAUUAUAAAAGAUACCAAGUAUUUGUUUUUUCUUGAGAGGAUGAUCAGGCAAAGCAUUAAGUAAUCGGAGAAGCCUCCCCCAAGCUUGUGGGAGACUCUCUUCUUGAAUUUGCACAAAAUUAAAUAUUUCCCUUAAGGCAGCUUGUUUCUUAUGAGCGGGUAAAUAUUUUGCAGAGAAGUAAUAAAUCAUAUCCUAGGGACUACGCACACAACCAGGAGCAAGAGAAUUAAACCAUAUCUUACCAUCACCCUUUAAUGAGAAAGGAAAUAAUUUAAGGAUAUAAUAGUAGCGAAUUUUUUUGUUCAUGAGUGAAUAGCGUGGCUAUAUCAUUCAAUUUAGUAAGAUGAGUCAAAACAAUUUCAGAUUCAUAGCCAUAGAAAGGAUCAGAUUCAACCAAAGUAAUUAACUCAGGAUCGACAUAGAAUCAUAAUACUUAUUAGUGACACAGAUAGGCGAAGUAGCAAAAGCAGGGUCAUAUUGCAUUCUAGCAUUCAAAGACUUUUCUUUUAAGUUAGCUAACAGUUUCUUAAGAUCAUAUCUAUCAUUGCAAGCAAGAAAGUCUCUAGCAGUUUCUUCAUCCAUAACAUAACCCUCAGGUACAAUAGGUAAUUCAUAUCUAGGGGGAGAAUCUUCAUCAUCACUUUCAUUAAUAUCAUCAGUUUUAGUAAUUUCAUUCUCUCUAACCCUAGCAAGUUGUUCAUCCAGAAAUUCACCUAAUUGCAUAUUGUUAUCAAAUAGAGAAGUAGUAUCAGUAUAAGCAUCAUGCAUAGCAGAGGUGGCAUCAUCAAUAACAUGCGAAAUAUAAGAAUCAAUAGCAGGUGUAGGUGUCGCAAGUUUAGUCAAAAUAGAAGGUGAAUCAAGUGCAGAGCUAGAUGGCAGUUCCUUACCUCCACUCGUAGUUGUGAGAAAAAUCUUGGUUCUUUCAUCUUUCAAAUUCCCCAUAGUGAUCAACAGAUAUAAAUCCCAAGUUACUCAAAGAAUAGAGCUAUGCUCCCCGGCAACAGCGCCAGAAAAAGGUCUUGACAACAGUUUUCGAGGGUAGAGUAUUCAACCCAAAUUUAUUGAUUCGACACAAGGGGAGCAAAAGAACAUUCUCAAGUAUUAGCAGCUGAGUUGUCAAUUCAACCACACCUGAAAGACUUAAUAUCUAUAGCAAAUAAUUUAGUAGCAAAGUAGUAUGGACGUAACGGUAACGAUCGCAAAACUAACAGUAGCAGUUUUGUAGCAAUCGUAGCAAUGGCAACUGUCGUGGAUUUGUCACGACAGAUGUCCUUAGUGUUAGGACUUAGUCGUGAGGCCAACGCAUCUAUGUGGUAGCUUGAGAGGGGUUGAGUGGGACGAGAGACGCAGGGCGGAUCAACACGCACGACAAGGUUUUAGACAGCUUUGGGCCCCGGGAAACAUCAUCCGGUAAUAGCCCUACAUGCUGUUUGAGGCUAGGUCUCAUUAUGCUCAUGAGGGAGUCACCGCAUAAGCUGGCUCCCCCUUUAUGUCUAGCCCUAGAUAUUGUUUCUUGUUGCUGUUUCUGUCCCUCUUUGGGGAGCUCUGCCCCUCCUUAUAUAUGUUGAAGGGGCGGGUUACAUGACUAGUCCUAGUAGGAUUAGGAUUAACCUAUUACAAGUGGAGUCCUAGUCUUGCUUCCUUUAUAAGAGAAUAUUCCUUGUGCUUUCCUCAUAAACCGGCCCACCAUUAACAUGAGCGGGCCUUUUGGGCCUUGGGCCUGGUCAUCCAUCUGACCCGCCCGCCGGGUUACUAUGAACCGCCAAGUCCGCGCGGAUUACCCGUGAAUCGCCAAGCUCUGGGCGGGUCAUACUUCUGGCGGUUUACACCGUGGGGUAUAUCCCCGACAUUAGCCCCCAGUUUAAUUUGGAUUUUAUCCAUGUUAAACUGAUCUGCAACACUAACACAAGAACAAAUUUGAUAGGUUAUACUCCGGGUUAAAUGUUCUUGUAAGCCGGCACCUGAUCAUCCUUAAGUCCUUUACAUUUCUUCCUUGAUAUGUAUCCAUGAUCUCAUAGCAAAUCUCCUUAGCAGAUAUGUCCCAAUUUUACCAAUGCAAAAGAUCCAGAUACUUCCUUUGAGAAAUCCGGGUCAACAGGCCAGCUUCAGAGUCAAUUUGCUGACAUUGGUCUCUUGUUGAGAAAUAUUAUAAGAAAUAAUCCAUUUGAGUCGGUUUCCAAAGCUCCGGCUUAAUAAACAUAUUGGACUCAAGAUUCAUCUGGUGAUCCGCCAGUGUAAAGAUGUAGAGGCUGGCUAGUUAUAACUGCCAAAAUUGCCGGCUUGUAAACAUUAAUAGCACCAGGCCAUAACUGUUGUUGACACCGGGUCAUAAUUAUUGUGACACCGGAUCAUGAUUGUUGCAAACACUGGGUCAAUCUGACCUGCUCAAAACUAAGAAUUUGAAGAUUUUUUCCCCUUAUAUGUAUAUCACCUGUAGCCCCCAAGUAUCGAGUUGUCAUGCUUGCAGCAACCUGGGACUUGUAAUUGCCUUAUGCUCAUAAAACUUCAACCCGUGUAGCCCCCAAGGGCCGGCUUAGUGAGAUAUUAUUGAGCUGGGACUUUGUAUAUAAUUCAUUGAUAAUAACAUCAUAUGAUGUAGUCUCCACCAUGGGGCUUGAACCCACGUCCACAAGGUUAAGAGCUUUGUGCUUUACCAACUGAGCAAUGGAUCCUUCAAUAUAAUGGAUUAAGACUUGUGUACCUUGAACCGUUGACAGGAGCAAUUGGUAGCCCCCAAGGGCCGGCUCAUUACGAUGUGAUGAGUCGGGUCUUCAAUGAGGUGAGCAAAAAUGACUUUGCAUUAGCCCCCAAGUGUCAUGGUGCAUGCUUGUAUCGACAUGAGACUUGCACAUUUGAUGUAACCCCAAUUUGAAUAAUGUAGCCCCCAAGUGCCGGGUCGUAAGCCUACAGUGACUCAGGACUAUUCCUUCCAUUGUAGAAUAAAUCAUAUCCAUCAAUAAAAUAAUAGCCAUUGCGCCAAAGCGACUUCGAAUACCUCAUCUGUAGAUAAGUAAAUCCGGAAUUUAAAUACCCGGCGGCUCUUGGCCGAUGGCGAUUUUAUAUGCCUCCAUUGUAAGCCGGAAUUUGUAUAACCCGACGACUUAUAACCAGUGAGAAAAAUCCAGAACAGAUAAACAUUUUGAAGCAUCAACUUUGGUAAUGAGCUUGAACUUAAUCAUUUAUAUGUCAUAUUUCUGCAAAUCCUGCAAAGACUUUAAACAACAUAUGCCCUGGCGACUUAGCGCCAAAGCCAGGGUGGGUCGUAAUAUCUCAUAUAUAACCACUGUGAUAUUGAAUUUGUACUGUCGGUUCACAUGACUUGUGCAGUUAGGGUGAUAACCCAAUCCUUAGAAACCAAUGCUUCCACCUAGAUGAUGAUUGUCAUAAACUGGCGACUUAUAGUCAAAAGUCAAGCCGAGUUAAGCAUAAAACACUUAUAUACAUUUGAGAUAUAAUCCAAAAAAGGUCUCAAGUCAAACCCAAAAUUGUUAGCAAAAAAGACUUAAAUUUUUUUAAGGCUUCUGAUUCGUAUAUGAUCAAAAAACCGUUCCAAAGGGGUUGAGCUAAGAUUCGAAUACGAUCAUAUAGCCCCCACUGGCUUUGGCGUUGCCGAUCAAGAGGGUACCGAAAGCUAUGUUCUCUUUGGUUUGAAUACGACCUAUGUUUGAACAGGAAGCCCCCAAAUGACCUUGAGAGUUGUUUAACGACGCUGAUUCGAAUACGAUCCACGUCGGACCCAAAAGAGAUUAAGCUAUGAUUCAGAUACGAUCAAGAAGCCCCCUAUUGAGUUUGGCAGUGUGCCGAUCAAAAGGGUUUCGACAGUGAUGUUCUCUUUGGUUUGAAUACGACCUAUGUUUGAAUAGGAAGCCCCCAAGUGACCAUAUAUUAGCAUUGCACCGAUCAAGAGGGUACCGACAGCUAUGCUCGAUGAGCAGGAAGCCCCCAAGUGACCAUAAUAAGAUAAGCCAUAAGGCAUGAUACCUAUGUUUGAACCGCGCAUCAUGGCCGCAAGUUCUUUUUGGCAACCUUUAAUUUUUUGCAAGAGAUAAAUUCUUCUUGAACCGGGAUUUUGAACUGGAUAUUGAGAGUUUUCAAAGCCUUGUGGGAGACAGGUUUACCUUGAGCCGGAUUGUAAACCGGAAUUAUUCAUUUUGAGCCGAAAAUUUUCUGACGGCUUUUAAACAGGCAACAUUUACUGAGCCAUGUCAUCAUAGCCCCCGCGUCUCAAGGCGACUUUGAGGAGUUGGCUUGAGAUUCUCCAUAGUUGACUGUGAUAUAGACCGGUUCAAGUCCUACAUGGGAGAACUUGCAAGCCAAAGUAAUUGCUCUUUUAAAGAAAAUAAUAUGUAAUACAAAAUAUAUUGGACGGAUUUCACCUGAUAAGUUAGGCCAGUAAUUAUCCACCGCGGAGUUGAUAAUUACCAUGGUGAAGCUGAAAUCAAUCACAGCCGAGUCGGCCACGGGAGCAGGUAGAUGAGCCGGUCGCGGCGUUGUAAGCCGGUGCGGAUGGGGGAAUCAAUCGCAGCAGUGGUAAGCUGUGCGGUCGGCGAGUCAAUCGUGGGCAUGGUUUCAGCGAGAUGAUGUAGAUCGAGCUGCACGGACGGCGGCUUACGCACACAUUUGUUGAACAAUGCUGUAUGGUUGGAUGCUGGCGCUUAAUAAUAUUGACGCGAAUUUUAUAUCCAUGAUACGGCCAUCACUUUUGUAGUGAACAAUUGUCCCGCAUCGGAAAAUAUCGCAAAAUAGAGUAGCUGUUUGCAGACAGAUUAUUAUAUACAGAUGAAAUAAAUAGAAUAGGUAUCACCUGUAUUUUUCGGAUGAAGUGACUGCACGAUAACUUGACCAAAUGAUAACCACGCAUCCAUCCAAUUUUAAAUGAAUCAUGUCUGAGUGGCGCACUGAACUUGGCUGUCCUUAUCAACUUGUCCUGUGUAAACAAUACUCAUGGAGUACUACUCCGUAACUGAAUUUGCUUUGCACAACAGCGAGCAGUACCAACUCGAUUGACCCUUGUAUGACAAAGUGGAAAACAGUAGCACAAACAAACGCCUUGAUGAUUUGAACGUUUACUUGUAGCCUCAGGAUCUGAUCCUUGGCAACUUGCAACACUGUACAGAUGUGAGUAGCUUGGUACGGUACGGAGCGGGCGAUGCUCAAUGCAGGGGCAACGCCAACGGAGGCGCGAGGCGCUCGCCAGCACUCGUCACAAAACUGCGGUUUAAGGCCGGAGCGGCGACCCGGUGCGACAGCGACGCACGGCAGAGCCGGGCUGAAGCAGAGGUGAGCAUGACGGCAGCUCAACGAUGGCGGCUGACAAAGCACAAGGGCGGCGCUUGAGCUGACCUGAGGCCGCGGUGGUUUGACAGCGAGGCCACAGCGGUUCAACGAAGGCCAUCUCAUGGAGGUUUUGGAGGAAGCCAAACAGAGGGGCGGCUCACGGGCAGCGACUCACAACGGCAAGAUGAGGCCACAACCACGGUGGGUCAAAGGCAAAUGCCAGCGGGUUGAAGACGUAGGCAGCCGACUUGGAGCAAGGCCGGCAAGGCCAGCAAGGCGCACUUCCAGAGAGGAGGCCAUCGAGGCGACUCAAGGCAUGGCGGCUGAAGCGGCGGGCCAUAGCAGCUCAGUGAGGCACGACGGCUACGGCUCAGAGCUUGGUCGUAGAACCGAUGCUGGAGCGUGAAGGAGGCUGCAAUAGGGAGCGGAGUGACCGAGUUAUGGCAGAGGACGCAGCAGACGAGCCGGCGGGCGGACGGUCAAUGCCCAGCUGAGCUGGAGGUUGCAUUAGCGUGGUGAGUCGCAGAUACAAAGGCGCCGCAGCCGACGGGGUGGCGUUUGGUGGCGAUGUGGCUGGCUUGGCAGAAGGCGGAGCCAAACCAGUGGGGGCAGCUCUUGGCGAAAUUUGGGCCGACCGCGGUGGAUGAGCCGACGACUUGGUGGGGGCGACGCCCGAAGGCGAGGGCGACUCGGAAUGGACCUGCCGGGGAGGCCCUCGGGCGGAGGCAGAACGGCGAGGCGGCAGAGUCUGAAUCAAUUCCCCGUUCCCGUGUCUGUCUCGGUUGUUGUCGGUUUGAUUGCAAAGGGUCUGGUGACUCUGCAGAGGCGAACAGCAGCAGCUCCAGCCAGCGGCGGCUUGCAGCGGCGGAAGCGGCCGUCAGGGCGUGGCGACCCGGAGGCUGCAAGAGCAGAGUUGAGUAGAGGAAGCGAGGCGGCAGGGCACGCCAGAGCCGUCCGGAACGGCAACCGGGGUCGGGCGCGCAGCUCAGAGGCGACAGGGCCGGCCCGAGGUGGCGACUCGCAGGUGGGGGCUCGCCAACGGCGGCCCAGAAGCAAUGCCGACGAAGGAAAGCAGCGCGAUGAGACCGGGUCAAUACUGUCUCCACUUCCAGGUCGUGGGCUCGUGGCCUUUGAUUCACUUUAGCACCUUGAUCUGGACACCAAGACCGCCGAUCGGAUCAUGGGAUUUUCCUUUUAUACUAUUUCUGCCACCGAGGCCCAUUGAUCUUGUCUGCACUCUGCAACAAGGAAACGAUCGCACGCUAUUGCAGAGUUCGCCUCGGUACCGCUGUAGUCCUACGAAUGAACGAAUCGUGUCAAGUUGAUCUGGAUACGGACGACACCCAGUCAGUCUCGGCGAAUCAAGCAUGUCGUGGAAUUGUCACGGCAGAUGUCCUAAUGUGAGGACUUAGUAGUGAGGCCAACGCAUCUAUGUAGUAGCUUGAGAGGGGUUGAGCGGAAUCGAGAGACACAACACAAGACAAGGGUUUAGACAGCUUUGGGCCCCGGGAAACAUCAUCCGGUAAUAACCCUACAUGCUGUUUGUGGCUAGGUCUCAUUAUGAUCAUGAGGGAGUCACCGGUAAGCCGGCUCUUUGUGUGUAGCCCUAAAGAUUGUUUCCCGUCCCCCCCCCCUCUUUGCGGAGCCCUGCCCCUCCUUAUAUAAGUUGAAGGGGCCGGCUUACAUGUAGAGUCCUAGUAGGAUUAGAACUAGUCUCUAUUACAAUUGGAGUCCUAGUCUUGCUUCCUUUAUAAGAGAAUAUUAUUUGUGCUUUCCUCAUAAACCGUCCCACCAUUAACAUGAGCCGGCCUUCUGGGCCUUGGGCCUUGUCAUCCAUCUGACCCGCCUGCCGGGUUACUAUGAGCCGCCAAGUCCAGGCGGAUUACCCGUGAAUCGCCAAGCUCCAGGCGGGUCAUACUUCUGGCGGUUUACACCGCGGGGUAUAUCCACGAGAUUAGCCCCCAGUUUAAUUUGGAUUUUAUCCAUGUUAAACUGAUCUGCAACAUAAACACAAGAACAAAUUUGAUAGGUUAUACUCCGGGUUAAAUAUUCUUGUAAGCCGGCACCUGAUCAUCCUUAAGUCCUUGACAUUUCUUCCUUAAUAUAUAUCCAUGAUCUCAUAGCAAAUCUCCUUAGCAGAUAUGUCCCAAUUUUACCAAUGCAAAAGAUCUAGAUACUUCCUUUGAGAAAUUCGGGUCAACUGGCCAGCUUCAGAGUCAAUUUGCUGACAUUGAUCUCUUGUUGAGAAAUAUUAUAAGAAAUAAUCCAUUUGAGUCGGUUUCCAAAGCUUCGGCUUAAUAAACAUAUUGGACUCAAGAUUCAUCUGGUGAUCCGCCGGUUUAAAGAUGUAGAGGCUGGAUAGUUAUAACUGCCAAAAUUGCCGGCUUGUAAAUAUUGAUAGCACCGGGUAAUAACUGUUUCCGACGCCGGGUCAUUAUUAUUGGUGACACCGGAUCAUGAUUGUUGCAAACACCGGGUCAAUCUGACCUACUCAAAACUGAGAAUUUGAAGAUUUUUCCCCCUUAUGUAUAUCACCUGUAGCCCCCAAGUGCCGGGUUGUCAUGCUUGCAGCAACCUGGGACUUGUAAUUGCCUUAUGUUCAUAAAAACUUCAACCAGUGUAGCCCCCAAGGGCCAGGUCAUUAUGCAAUAAUUAGCAGGGACUUUGUAAAUAUUAUCAUGUAAACUGGAGUAGCAACAUGUACCCCCAAGGGCCGGCUCCGUAAGAUAUUAUUGAGCUGGGACUUUGUAUAUAAUUCAUUGAUAGUAACAUCAUAUGAUGUAAUCUCCACCAUGGGGCUUGAACCCACGUCCACAAGGUUAAGAGCUUUGUGCUUUACCAACUGAGCAAUGGAUCCUUCAAUAUAAUGGAUUAAGACUUGUGUACAUUGCACUGUUGAUAGGAACAAUUGGUAGCCCCCAAGGGCCGGCUCAUUACAAUGUGAUGAGUCGGGUCUUCAAUGAGGUGAACAAAAAUGACUUUGCAUUAGCCCCCAAGUGUCAUGGUGCAUGCUUGCAGUGACAUGAGACUUGCAUAUUUGAUGUAACCUCAAUUUGAAUAUGUAGCCCCCAACUGCCGGGUCGUAAGGGCAUCUCCAGCCGCGCCCUCAGGAAGGCCUCCCCAGGCGUUUUUUCGCGCCGGCGCCGAAAAAACGGCCCAGUCGCGCCCCCAGGAGCCCGAUUUUUGCCGGCUUGGGCCGAAAACAGCGCCGGCGGACCCAGCCCGAACCCGGCGCACUGGGGGCGCCCGGGGGCACCGGGCGAACUGUUUUGGCGCGAAAAAGCCGCGGGCCCGCCGUGUCAGUGACACGGCUCUCUUCUCGGCUCUUCGUCGUCCGCAUCGCCUCGUUUCCCGUGGCGAAUCAAUGCCAAAGCUGUCGCGCGCUGCCGUGCCGGUCAGCCUGCGCCAUUGAUGCCUCACGGGCGGUGCAGUGAAGACCGGACGACGCGCGUCCCUCGCCCUCUCUCGCCCGCCACGUGUACACAUGGUAGCACGCGCGUGGGCGGCGCCUCGGCCUAUAUAUGACGCGCCCCAGUGCACUCGUCGGCUCACACACUCUCCUGCCGUCGACGUUCCUCCCUCUCCUCUCCUCUCUUUCGCCGUCUCCAGUUCACACCCAUGGCCGAGCACUUCCUAGGCGACGGCGUGGCGGCGAACGGCUUCGGCCACCGCCAUCUUCAUGAAGACGAGGCUCGCCUCCUUUACGAGGCCGAGUACCCGGUCCCGCCGGACAUGCGGGUGCCGAGGGCGUGGAGGAUCAGCGCGGGCGGCGUGCCGGUGCCCCCGGUACCCACCGGCGCGGCGCGGCGUGCGGAGAUCGCACGCAUCCGCUCGAACCUGCCGCGUGCGGCGAGGGAGGGGCCACGGUACGUCCCUGACAGCCCGCUCUGGGAACCGUACUUCCGCCGCCGUCAUGCCCAGCAGCUCGAGGCCACCAACGGCGUCGUGCCCUCCGGUAGGCUCAACGCCGCCGCCAGCGUCGGUGGUGGGGCAUGCCCAGGCGCACGUUGGAGGCCGUCCUCGAGUACAUCGAGGGUGGCAACACGCCGCGCCUCGAGUACCCCGAUCCCCCUUCCUUCUCACGCCGCCGGGGAAGCUCCUGGACCCCGAGGCGCAUGGAGACCGGGGGGUCCUCCUCGUCCGGUGGCUCGCCCUACCUCCACCCCGUCAAGCCGGAGCCCCAGGGUACGCUGGUCAGCGUGCGCACCCACAGUUCCGGCGUCCGCAUCGGCGCCAACGCCCAGCCACCCACCGGCCGCUUCGUCCUCGUCGAGCCCAAGCCGGAGACGGGCCUCCCCGCGGAGUAUGAGGAGAUAGCCCGGCGCGGCAUCUCCGACGAGGACGCCAUGCGGUGGGCGCAGGAGGACUACCUCCGCGACGAGAUGGUCCGGCAGUGCCGGGCCCUAGAGGAGAUCGCCGCCUGCAAGCGUGGGCGCGAGGACGAGCACGGCAUCGUGGUCCUCGACAGCGACGACGACGACGACGCCGCCGCCCCCGGACAGUCCAACCCGCCGCGCCAACCGGGGGAGGGAUGCAGCAGGGACGGCGGAGGCGUAGGUGGGGGCGGCGACGACGACGACAACGAUGACGACGACGACGACGGCGGUGACUACACGCGGUUGUACAGCGUCCUUGGCAUGUAGAACCGCGUGGGCGUGCGGCGAGGUGGGCGGCGAGGGAGAUGGCGGGGGUAGCCCGUAGUAGUUUCUUUCUUUUUUGUAAAAUAUGUUUAAGUUUGAACGAACUCGCCGCUGUUUGCGUUAAAUUUGUGUCGUUUUUGAAUUUUUUGACUAAACCGUGGGCGCCGCGACUGGGGGCAACACGCCCCCAGUGAGCGGUUUAGCGCCGGUGCGCCCCCAGGGGGCGAUUUUUUGCCCCUCCUGGGGGGCCAACGGCUGGAGAUGCCCUAAGCCUGUAGCGACUCGAGACUAUUCCUUCCAUUGUAGAAUAAAUCAUAUCCAUUAAUAAAAUAAUAGCCAUUGCGCCAAAGCGACUUUGAAUACCUCAUCUGUUGAUAAGGCAAUCCAGAGUUUAAAUACCCGGCAGCUCUUGGCCGAUGGCGAUUUAAUACACCUCCAUUGUAAGCCGGAAUUUUUAUAACCCGGUGGCUUAUAGACUUCGAGAAAAAUCCAGAAGGGAUAAUCAUUUUGAAGCAUCAACUUUGGUAAUGAGCUUGAACUUGUUGGGGAACGUUGCAGAAAAUUAAAAAUUUUCCUACGGUUUCACCAAGAUCCAUCUAUGAGUUCAUCUAAGCAAUGAGUCAAGGGAGAUGCAUCUACAUACCACUUUGUAGAUCGCGAGCGGAAGCGUUCAAAAGAACGGGGUUGAAGUAGUCGUUCUCGUCGUGAUCCUAUCACCGGAGAUCCUAGCGCUGAACGGACGGCACCUCCGCGUUCAACACACGUACGGCGCGGAUGACGUCUCCUCCUUCUUGAUCCAGCAAGGGGGAAGGAGAGGUUGAUGAUGAUGGAUCCAGCAGCAGCACAACGACGUGGUGGUGGUGGAACAGCAGCACUCCGGCAGGGCUUCGCCAAGCACGUGACGGAGGAGGAAGAGGUGUAGCAGGGGGAGGGAGGUGCCAGAACUUCAGGGUGCGGCUUCCCCCCUCCCCCUCCCUUUAUAUAGGCCCCCAGGGGGGGCUCCGGCCCUGGGAGAUCCAAUCUCCCAAGGGGGCGGCGGCCAAGGGGGGUGGAGUACCCCCAAAGGCAAGUGGGGCGCCCCCCCACCCUAGGGUUUCAACCCUAGGCGCAGGGGGUGGGCCAAGGGGGGCGCACCAGCCCACUAUGGGCUGGUUCCCCUUCCCACUUCAGCCCUUGGGGACCUCCGGGAUGGGUGGCCCCACCCGGUGGACCCCUGGGACCCUUUCGGUGGUCCCGGUACAAUACCGGGUGACCCCGAAACUUUCCCGAUUGCCGAAAUAUCACUUCCUAUAUAUAAUUCUUCACCUCCGGACCAUUCCAGAACUCCUCGUGACGUCCGGGAUCUCAUCCGGGACUCCGAACAACAUUCGGUAUACUGCAUACUCAUAUUCAUACAACCCUAGCGUCACCGAACCUUAAGUGUGUAGACCCUACGGGUUCGGGAGACACGUAGACAUGACCAAGACGGCUCUCGGGCAAUAACCAACAGCGGGAUCUGGAUACCCAUGUUGGUUCCCACAUGCUCCUCGAUGAUCUCAUCGGUUGAACCACGAUGUCGAGGAUUCGAACAACCCCGUAUACAAUUCCCUUUGUCAAUCGGUACGUUACAUGCCCGAGACUCGAUCGUCGGUAUCCCAAUACCUCGUUCAGUCUCGUUACCGCCGUGACCAAACACUUGGUCACUUUGAGCUCAUUAUGAUGAUACAUUACCGAGUGGGCCCAGAGAUACCUCUCCGUCAUACGGAGUGACAAAUCCCAGUCUCGAUCCGUGUCAACCCAACAAACACUUUUGGAGAUACCUGUAGUGCACCUUUAUAGUCACCCAGUUACGUUGUGACGUUUGGUACACCCAAAGCACUCUUACGGUAUCCGGGAGUUACACGAUCUCAUUAUCUAAGGAAGAGAUACUUGACAUUGAAAAAGCUCUCUAUGCUUAGGAUUGGGUCUGGUCCAUCACAUCAUUCUCCUAAUGAUGUGAUCCCAUUGUUAAUGACAUCUAAUGUCCAUAGUCAGGAAACCAUGACUAUCUGUUGACCAACGAGCUAGUCAACUAGAGGCUCACUAGGGACAUGUUAUGGUCUAUGUAUUCACACGUGUAUUACGAUUUCCGGAUAAUACAGUUAUAGCAUGAAUAAAAGACAAUUAUCAUGAAUAAGGAAAUAUAAUAAUAACCCUUUUAUUAUUGCCUCUAGGGCAUAUUUCCAACAGUCUCCCACUUGCACUAGAGUCAAUAAUCUAGUUACAUUGUGAUGAAUCGAACACCCAUAGAGUUCUGGUGUUGAUCAUGUUUUGCUCGCGAGAGAGGUUUAGUCAACGGAUCUGCGACAUUCAGAUCCGUAUGUACUUUGCAAAUAUCUAUGUCUCCAUCUUGAACAUUUUCACGGAUGGAGUUGAAACGACGCUUGAUGUGCCUGGUCUUCUUGUGAAACCUGGGCUCCUUGGCAAGGGCAAUAGCUCCAGUGUUAUCACAGAAGAGUUUGAUCGGCCCCGAUGCAUUGGGUAUGACUCCUAGGUCGGUGAUGAACUCCUUCACCCAAAUUGCUUCAUGCGCUGCCUCCGAGGCUGCCAUGUACUCCGCUUCACAUGUAGAUCCCGCCACGACGCUCUGCUUGCAGCUGCAUUAGCUUACUGCUCCACCAUUCAACAUAUACACGUAUCUGGUUUGUGACUUAGAGUCAUCCAGAUCUGUGUCGAAGCUAGCGUCGACGUAACCCUUUACGACGAGCUCUUCGUCACCUCCAUAAACGAGAAACAUGUCCUUCGUCCUUUUCAGGUACUUUAGGAUAUCUUGACCACUGUCCAGUGUUCCUUACCGGGAUUACUUUGGUACCUUCCUACCAAACUUACGGCAAGGUUUACAUCAGGUCUGGUACACAGCAUGGCAUACAUAAUAGAUCCUAUGGUUGAAGCAUAGGGGAUGACACUCAUCUCUUCUUUAUCUUUUGUCGUGGUCGGGCAUUGAGCCGAGCUCAAUCUCACACCUUGCAAUACAGGCAAGAACCCCUUCUUGGACUGAUCCAUUUUGAACUUCUUCAAAAUCUUAUCAAGGUAUGUGCUUUGUGAAAGACCUAUGAGGCGUCUCGAUCUAUCUCUAUAGAUCUUGAUGCCUAAUAUAUAAGCAGCUUCUCCAAGGUGCUUCAUUGAAAAACACUUAUUCAAGUAGGCCUUAAUGUUGUCCAAAAGUUCUAUAUCAUUUCCCAUCAAAAGUAUGGCAUCUACAUAUAAUAUGAGAAAUGCUACAGAGCUCCCAGUCACUUUCUUGUAAACACAGGCUUCUCCAUAAGUCUGCAUAAACCCAAACGCGUUGAUCAUCUCAUCAAAGCAAAUGUUCCAACUCCGAGAUGCUUGCACCAGCCCAUAAAUGGAUCGCUGGAGCUUGCAUACUUUGUUAGCAUUCUUAGGAUCGACAAAACCCUCCGGCUGCAUCAUAUACAGUUCUUCCUUAAGAUGCCCGUUAAGGAAUGCCAUUUUGACGUCCAUCUGCCAUAUCUCAUAAUCAUAGUAUGCGGCAAUUGCUAACAUGAUUCGGACGGACUUAAGCUUCGCUAUGGGAGAGAAAGUCUCAUCGUAGUCAAUCCCUUGAACUUGCCGAUAACCCUUAGCGACAAGUCGAGCUUUAUAGAUGGUGACAUUUCCAUCCGCGUCCGUCUUCUUCUUAAAGAUCCAUUUGUUUUCUAUCGCUCACCGAUCAUCGGGCAAGUCAGUCAAAGUCCAUACUUUGUUUUCAUACAUGGAUUCUAUCUCGGAUUUCAUGGCUUCUAGCCAUUUGUUGGAAUCUGGGCCCGCCAUUGCUUCUUCAUAAUUCGAAGGUUCACCGUUGUCCAACAACAUGAUUUCCAGGACAGGGUUGCCGUACCACUCUGGUGCGGAACGUGUCCUUGUGGACCUACGAAGUUCAGUAGCAACUUGAUCCGAAGUACCUUGAUCGUCAUCAUUAUUUUCCUCUUCAGUUGGUGUAGGCAUCACAUGAACAUUUUCCUGAGCUGCACUACUAUCCCGUUCAAGAGGUAGUACUUCAUCGAGUUCUACUUUCCUCCUACUUACUUCUUUCGAGAGAAACUCUUUUUCCAGAAAGGAUCCGUUCUUGGCAACAAAGAUCUUGCCUUCGGAUCUUAUGUAGAAGGUAUACCCAAUGGUUUCUUUAGGGUAUCCUAUGAAGACACAUUUUUCCGACUUGGGUUCGAGCUUUUCAGGUUGAAGUUUCUUGACAUAAGCAUCGCAUCCCCAAACUUUUAGAAACAACAGCUUAGGUUUCUUCCCAAACCAUAAUUCAUACGGUUUCGUCUCAACGGAUUUAGACGGUGCCCUAUUUAAAGUGAAUGUAGCUGUCUCUAGAGCGUAUUCCCAAAAUGAUAGCGGUAAAUUGUAAGAGACAUCAUAGAUCGCACCAUAUCCAAUAGAGUGCGAUUACGACAUUCGGACACACCGUUACGCUGAGGUGUUCCAGGCGGCGUGAGUUGUGAAACGAUUCCACAUUUUCUUAAGUGUGUACCAAAUUCGUGACUUAAAUAUUCUCCUCCACGAUCUGAUCGUAAGAAUUUUAUCUUUCGAUCACGUUGAUUCUCUACUUCAUUCUGAAAUUCCUUGAACUUUUUCAAAGGUCUCAGACUUGUGUUUCAUCAAGUAGACAUACCCAUAUCUACUCAAGUCAUCAGUGAGAGUGAGAACAUAAUGAUAUCCUCAGCGAGCAUCAACGCUCAUUGGACCGCACACAUCGGUAUGUAUGAUUUCCAACAAGUUGGUUGCUCGCUCCAUUGUUCCGGAGAACAGGGUCUUGGUCAUUUUUCCCAUGAGGCAUGGUUCGCAUGUGUCAAAUCAUUCAUAAUCGAGAGAUUCUAAAAGUCCAUCAGCAUGGAGCUUCUUCAUGCUCUUGACACCAAUGUGACCAAGGCGGCAGUGCCACAAGUAUGUGGGACUAUCGUUAUCAACUUUACAUCUUUUGGUAUUCACGCUAUGAAUAUGUGUAACAUUACGUUCGAGAUUCAUUAAGAAUAAACCAUUGACCAUCGAGGCAUGACCAUAAAACAUAUCUCUCAUAUAAAUAGAACAACCAUUAUUCUCGGAUUUAAAUGAGUAGCCAUCUCGUAUUAAACGAGAUCCAGAUACAAUGUUCAUGCUCAAACUUGGCACUAAAUAACAAUUAUUGAGGUUUAAAACUAAUCCCGUAGGUAAAUGUAGAGGUAGCGUGCCGACGGCGAUCACAUCGACCUUGGAACCAUUCCCGACGCGCAUCAUCACCUCGUCCUUCGCCAGUCUCUGCUUAUUUCGCAGCUCCUGCUGUGAGUUACAAAUGUGAGCAACGGCACCGGUAUCAAAUACCCAGGAGUUACUACGAGUACUGGUAAGGUACACAUCAAUUACAUGUAUAUCAAAUAUACUUUUAGUGUUGCCGGCCUUCUUGUCUGCUAAGUAUUUGGGGCAGUUCUGCUUCCAGUGACCCUUCCCCUUGCAAUAAAAGCACUCAGUUUCAGGCUUGGGUCCAUUCUUUGACUUCUUCCCGGCAACUGGCUUACCGGGCGCGGCAACAUCUUUACCGUCCUUCUUGAAGUUCUUCUUACCCUUGCCCUUCUUGAACUUAGUGGUCUUAUUGACCAUCAACACUUGAUGUUCUUUCUUGAUUUCAACCUCUGCUGACUUCAGCAUUGAAAAUACUUCAGGAAUGGUCUUCACCAUCCCCUGCAUAUUGUAGUUCAUCACAAAGCUCUUGUAGCUUGGUGGGAGCGACUGAAGGAUUCUGUCAAUGACCGCCUCAUCCGGGAGGUUAAUGUCCAGCUGGGACAGGCGGUUGUGCAACCCAGACAUUUUGAGUAUAUGCUCACUGACAGAACUAUGUUCCUCCAUCUUACAACUAUAGAACUUGUCAGAGACUUCAUAUCUCUCGACCCGGGCAUGAGCUUGGAAAACUAGUUUCAGCUCCUCGAACAUCUCAUAUGCUCCGUGUUGCUCAAAACGCUUUUUGAGCCCCGGUUCUAAGCUGUAAAGCAUGCCGCACUGAACGAGGGAGUAAUCAUCAGUGCGAGACUGCCAAGCAUUCAUAAUGUCUUGGUUCUUUCGGACGGGUGCAUCACCUAGCGGUCCUUCUAGGACAUAAUGUUUCCUGGCAGCUAUGAGGAUGAUCCUCAGGUUUCGGACCCAGUCCGUAUAGUUGCUGCCAUCAUCUUUCAGCUUGGUUUUCUCUAGGAACGCGUUGAAGUUCAUGUUGACAUGAGCGGCGGCCAUUUGAUCUACAAGACAUAUUUGCAAAGGUUUUAGACUAAGUUCAUGAUAUUUAAGUUCAUUAUCAAAUUAUUAUAAUGAACUCCCACUCAGAUUAGACAUCCCUCUAGUCAUCUAAGUGUUACACGAUCCGAGUCGACUAGGCCGUGUCCGAUCAUCACAUGAGACGGACUAGUCAUCGUCGGUGAACAUCUCCAUGUUGAUCGUAUCUUCCAUACGACUCGUGUUCGACCUUUCGGUCUCUGUGUUCCGAGGCCAUGUCUGUACAUGCUAGGCUCAUCAAGUUAACCCUAAGUGUUCUGCAUGUGUAAAUCUGUCUUACACCCAUUGUAUGUGAACGUAAGGAUCUAUCACACCCGAUCAUCACGUGGUGCUUCGAAACGACGAACUUUAGCAACAGUGCACAGUUAGGGGGAACACUUUCUUGAAAUUAUUAUAAGGGAUCAUCUUAUUUACUACCGCCGUUCUAAGUAAACAAGAUGCAUAAAACAUAAUAAACAUCACAUGCAAUUAUAUAGUAGUGACAUGAUAUGGCCAAUAUCAUAUAGCUCCUUUGAUCUCCAUCUUCGGGGCUCCAUGAUCAUCUUCGUCACCGACAUGACACCAUGAUCUCCAUCAUCAUGAUCUCCAUCAUUGUGUCUUCAUGAAGUUGUCACGCCAAUGACUUCUAUGGCUAACGUGUUUAGCAAUAAAGUAAAGUAAUUUACAUGGCAUUCUUCAAUGACACGCAGGUCAUACAAAAAAUAAAGACAACUCCUAUGGCUCCUGCCGGUUGUCAUACUCAUCGACAUGCAAGUCGUGAUUCCUAUUACAAGAACAUGAUCUCAUACAUCACAAUAUAUCAUUCAUCAUUCAUCACAACUUCUGGCCAUAUCACAUCACAUGACAAUUGCUGCAAAAACAAGUUAGACGUCCUCUAAUUGUUGUUGCAUCUUUUACGUGGCUGCAAUUGGGUUCUAGAAAGAACGUUUUCUUACCUACGAAUAACCACAACGUGAUUUUGUCAACUUCUAUUUACCCUUCAUAAGGACCCUUUUCACCGAAUCCGCUCCAACUAAAGUGGGAGAGACAGACACCCGCCAGCCACCUUAUGCAACUAGUGCAUGUCAGUCGGUGGAACCGGUCUCACGUAAGCGUAUGUGUAAGGUUGGUCCGGGCCGCUUCAUCCCACAAUACCGCUGAAGCAAAAUAAGACUAGUAGAGGCAAGCAAGUUGACAAGAUCUACGCCCACAACAAAAUUGUGUUCUACUCGUGCAAUAGAGAACUACGCAUAGACCUAGCUCAUGAUGCCACUAUUGGGGAACGUUACAGAAAAUUAAAAUUUUUCCUACGGUUUCACCAAGAUCCAUCUAUGAGUUCAUCUAAGCAAUGAGUCAAGGGAGAUGCAUCUACAUACCACUUUGUAGAUCAUGAGCGGAAGCGUUCAAAAGAACGGGGUUGAAGUAGUCGUUCUCGUCGUGAUCCUAUCACCGGAGAUCCUAGCGCCGAACGGACGGCACCUCCGCAUUCAACACACGUACGGAGCGGAUGACGUCUCCUCCUUCUUGAUCCAGCAAGGGGGAAGGAGAGGUUGAUGAUGAUGGAUCCAGCAGCAGCACAACGGCGUGGUGGUGGUGGAACAACAUCACUUCGGCAGGGCUUCGCCAAGCACGUGACGGAGGAGGAAGAGGUGUAGCAGGGGGAGGGAGGCGCCAGAACUUCAGGGUGCGGCUGCCCCCCUCCCCCUCCCUUUAUAUAGGCCCCCAGGAGGGGGGGGGGGCGCCGACCCUGGGAGAUCCAAUCUCCCAAGGGGGCGGCGGCCAAGGGGGGUCGAGUACCCCCAAAGGCAAGUGGGGCGCCCCCCCACCCUAGGGUUUCAACCCUAGGCGCAGGGGGUGGGCCAAGGGGGGCGCACCAGCCCACUAUGGGCUGGUUCCCCUCCCCACUUCAGCCCUUGGGGCCCUCCGGGAUGGGUGGCCCCACCCGAUGGAUCCCGGGACGCUUUCGGUGGUCCUGGUACAAUACCGGGUGACCCCGAAACUUUCCCGAUGGCCGAAAUAUCACUUCCGAUAUAUCAUUCUUCACCUCCGGACCAUUACGGAACUCCUCGUGACGUCCGAGAUCUCAUCCGGGACUCCGAACAACAUUCGGUAUACUGCAUACUCAUAUUCAUACAACCCUAGCGUCACCGAACCUUAAGUGUGUAGACCCUACGGGUUCGGGAGACACGUAGACAUGACCGAGACGGCUCUCGGGCAAUAACCAACAGCGGGAUCUGGAUACCCAUGUUGGUUCCCACAUGCUCCUCGAUGAUCUCAUCGGAUGAACCACCAUGUCGAGGAUUCGAACAACCCCAUAUACAAUUCCCUUUGUCAAUCGAUACGUUACAUGCCCGAGACUCCAUCGUCGGUAUCCCAAUACCUCGUUCAGUCUCGUUACCGGCAAGUCACUUUACUCGUACCAUAAUGCAUGAUCCCGUGACCAAACACUUGGUCACUUUGAGCUCAUUAUGAUGAUGCAUUACCGAGUGGGCCCAGAGAUACCUCUCCGUCAUACGGAGUGACAAAUCCCAGUCUCGAUCCGUGUCAACCCAACAGACACUUUUGGAGAUACCUGUAGUGCACCUUUAUAGUCACCCAGUUACGUUGUGACGUUUGGUACACCCAAAGCAGUCUUACGGUAUCCGGGAGUUACACGAUCUCAUGGUCUAAGGAAGAGAUACUUGACAUUGAAUAAGCUCUAGAAAAACGAACUACACGAUCUUGUGCUAUGCUUAGGAUUGGGUCUUGUCCAUCACAUCAUUCUCCUAAUGAUGUGAUCCCGUUCUCAAUGACAUCUAAUGUCCAUAGUCAGGAAACCAUGACUAUCUGUUGACCAACGAGCUAGUCAACUAGAGGCUCACUAGGGACAUGUUAUGGUCUAUGUAUUCACACGUGUAUUAUGAUUUCCGGAUAAUACAGUUAUAGCAUGAAUAAAAGACAAUUAUCAUGAAUAAGGAAAUAUAAUAAUAACCCUUUUAUUAUUGCCUCUAGGGCAUAUUUCCAACAGAAGUUAGUCAUUUAUAUUUCCAACAGAAAUUAUUAUUGCCCUGGCGACUUAACGUCAAAAGCCAGGGCGGGUAACCACCCAAAUAUAGUCUUAUCCUGCACACAAGUAGAUCACAAGAUCCCUAUGAUCCUUUAAAUGAUACCGCCGGCUUAUGUGACCCGGACAGUGAAGUUGAUAAUUCAACUCUGAAAGAGCCGGCACAUAUGAUAUUUGUGACAACUCAAAUACUUGCGAUUGUACAAAAACAGAUAAAAUUUUUGGGGCUUCUGAUUCAAAUACGAUCAAUAAACUGUUCCAAAGGGGUUAAGCUAAGAUUCGAAUACGAUCAUAUAGCCCCCAGUGGCAUUGGCGUUGCCGAUCAAAGUGGGUAUCGACAACUAUGUUCUCUUUGGUUCGAAUACGACCUAUGUUUGAACAGGAAGCCCCCAAAUGACCUUAAAAGUUUUGGCAUUGCGCCGAUCAAGAGGGUACUGAUAGCUAUGCCCGAUGAGCAGGAAGCCCCCCAAGUGACCAUAAUAAAAUAAGCCAUAAGGCAGGAUACCCAUGGCAGCAAGUUCCCUUUGGUAACCAUUAAUUUGUUUGAGAUCUCGAACUUGCGAGAGAUUAAUUCUUUUGAACCGGAAAUUCUUAAACCGGAUAUUGAGAUCCUCAAAGCUUUGUAAGGGACAAAUUUACCUUGAUCCGGAUGUUGAACCGGUUUUGAGAGCUUCAAAGCUUUGCGGGAGAAAGAUGUCUCAUGAGCUGUAUUUUAAACCGGAAUCUUCAUUUUGAACCGGAAAUUUUUCUGACGGCCUUUAAAUAUUUGCCAAUAAAGCAGUAGACUCCAGGGCCUGGUUAUCUUCCCUUCAAUGACCCGGAGUUCUUGAAUUCAUUGAAACCGGCUAAUUUUGCGGAACCAUACCAUUGUAGCCCCCGAGUCUCAAGAUGACUCGAAGUGUUGGCUUGAGAUUCUCCAUAUUUGACCAUAGAAGAAGGUGUAUAUCAUUGGCAUUGAUAGCGCGAUGUGAAUCCACAGAAGGUUGAGGUGACUGCAGCGGGUUUAUAAAUGAUCCCGUAUGAGCCAUGUCAGCAACUCGGCCAAUGGUUCCUUCCAACUGGCUAUUUGAAGUUUAACCAAACUGUAGUGACGGUGACUUGUGCGCCUGCCAUUGAGCCAUCCAGUGCAGAUGGCGGCUGAUAAUACAUGAUAAUUCGCCUCUAAUUUGUUGGAAGAAAACCGGGCUUCCCAAACAGUGACUUGCUCAUACUCAAUAAACAGCUCAUGCAGACAGGUACGGCUCGGUAUGUUGAUGUAGACCAGGCCGCGAGAGACGGGCGACAAAGACGACCGCGGCUUUAGAGGCAGCACAGAUAGCUGAGUCGGUCGCGGUGUUAUAAGCCAGCGUGGACGGGCGAGUUAGCCACAUUAUGUUGAUGUAAACUGGUCUGACACGGCCAUAGUUUUUGCAGUGAACAAUUGUCCUGCAUAAACAAUAUUGCAGACCAAGACAAAAAUAAACUGGUCUUUGACAAAAUAAUAUAUGCUAAUAACAUAUAUUUUUAGAUGGAUAUCACCUGACGUGUUUAGGCCGGAAAUAAUCCGCCAUGAAGUUGAUGAUCACUAGGUGAAACUGAAAUCACUCACAUGUGAGUCGGCCGCGGCAUUGUAAGCCGGUGCGGACGAGCAAGUUGUCCUCCUCGCUGUAAGCCGGUGCAGACGAGCAUGUUAUCCUCCUCGUUGUAAGCCGGUGCGGACGAGCAAGUUGUCCUCCUCGUUGUAAGCCGGUGCGGACGCGCGAACCGCCACGGCAUUGUAAGCCGGUGCGGGAGUCUGUUGAGUAAGGACGACCACGUGUGCCGAAUGAUGCUGGCACGCCUCCAUCUCCAUGGCGUAAUACCACUUUGUAAUGGAUAAUUCUCCUGCAUAUAAAAUACAACAGGGCAAAGUAGUUUUGUUUGAUGAAAUAAUACGUGCUUAAAAUAAGAUAAAUAGCACCUGAUUCGUCCAGACGUUCGCGUAGACUGGUCAAAUGACUUAGACUAGCAGUCAGAGCACUAGUACCCCUUUUUUCUCAGCCCGCAUACCCAGGAAGGUGGGGGAAUAACAAAAAUCGGAGUGCCUUCUCCUGUAUUGCUACAGAAGAAACGUCGGGCAGUUGCAAUAAUUGGCUUAGAGCCGCUGUGUCCUUGUGCCCAGGUUCUCCUCCCUCACCUAUCUACAUGCACACAGGUGCUCUGUCCCAUCCAUCUCUCUGGAUGUGCAUGCGCAUGCCACAUUGGUGAUGUGAGUGCAUGCUUUCUCCUUACUGAUUUCCUGGUCCCCGCAUUUUUUAAUCAAGAUCGGCCCUUGUACAAAUUAGUUCCUGUCGCAGAUCAUUUUGCACGGCGGCUUAGAUGCGGCCACAACAGCAGAGUGCAGCAAUAUCUUCACUAUAGAACAGGGCGACAGCCAUUUAACUAUGGGCGAAUUGGCCUUGAAGCAGUAGCGAGCUCAGCGACCCAUCGGUAGGGGUGAUUCGCAGGCGCUGGAUGUGUGCGACGACUCAAGAGCCAGUAUGGAGGCGGAGGCAAAGCGAGCUGGCGGGACGAGCCGGAAGAGGCCAGAGCGGGGCGGCGACUUAACAUGAGCGUUGGCGGGUCACGACCUCUGCAGCUUCCAGCAAAGGAUGGCCCGGCGAUGCGAGAGGUCGGUGCUGACGGAGCCGCGCGAGCAUAGGGGCCGGGUCGGAGCGAUUGGAGCAGAGGCAAGGGCGACUCAGUGCGAUACGGAGGCGUCCGGGUCCGAGGUAUAAACCGGCCCGAUCAGCAACCUGGUUGGUGGCGACAGAGUCGACGGUUGAGAGGUGACCAUAGUAGAAGCGGGGUGGCUCAGCACGGCAUGGCUCGACAGAGCAAGGGCGGGUGGCGAUUUAACGCCGGGCGGCUCAGAAGGCCGAGUGCGGCCACAACGGCGGCAGAACCAACAGUGCAGAGCCGACAACUUGGUGGCCCGACGCAGCUGCUGGUAUGGAGGUGUAGCGAGGGCGGGCCAGCGCGGAGGCGGCUGACGGAGGUGAGGCCAGCGACUCGCGGCAGCAGCUGAGGCAGUAAGGCCAGCCAUGGGUCGUGCCAUUUUUUCGUGUGGUCGCAGACUCAGGUUGACCGUCCACCGCUAAAUCGUGGCCAGCUUUCCGGGUCGUAGGAUUUUUCCUCCCUUCAGGCACCCGGCCGCAGCAGUUUUGAGGAAACCGGCAAAGCACGCGGGCGGCUUGUGGCGACGACUCGAAAGCGAGGUGCGACCACAAUGGCGGAGCAGUGGAAUCGGUGGAAGCAGCCGCGAACGGGCGGAGACGAUGCCACCACGGUACAGGUAAACUUCAACAACCGAAGACCCCGAGAUACUAAUCAGGCCCGGCGACUUGCGGCGGCUGAGGCGACUCGGUGUGGAGCUGUAAGGGCGCCGGGGCGGAGGUUUCAGCAAGCCGGUGGUGGGUCUUAGCAACGGCGGAGGCGCUUUGAAGCCGCGGUGACAUCUCAGAGGCAAAAAAACUGAACGUGAGUCGAGCCGGCGGCGAUCCUCAAUAGCAGCUCAGAGCCACAUCGGGGACGAGUUGAAUUGGGGUCCGGUGGCGGGUCGCAGCAGUGAGGGCGGACAUGAACCGGGGCCAGGGCGCAGAGGCCACAAGAGACAGGACUGGAAGCGACUCGCCGCGGAAGAGGACGCGGGCGAACCCGGCAAGGCGGCUCGGGGCCAGCUCAAGAAGCGAGUCAGCAGCAGCCCGCGGCGGAGAUGACAGCUCGGAACAGGUGGCCUAGGCAGCAACUUGCCGCGGCAAAGCCAACUGGUCAUCUGGGGCAGCUCACCAGCAGCAAAACCAUCCAAGGCUUGGUUGGAGACGGAGGCGGAGAGACGUUGCGGUGGCGGUUUGAGGGAAAACCGUGGCGAUUCAUCCCGGCGAAUCCGGGUCACGGAUGUAGACUCCCGGUCGUAAUUGUCUUCAUUUCCGGGUCGUAGGUGUCUUUCUCCUUGACUUUUUCCUUUGUUGUUUGAUGGUUUAACAGUGACAGCGACCCCGACCAUGUGGUUUCGACGAUCUACCCACGGAAACUUGACACACUCAUGGUGUUUAGCGACUUGUGAUCUCUUUUCCUGGUGACUUACGGCAGCCAUCAAAAUCACAACCUUAAUUUUAAAUCUUUCAAACCACUAAUUUGGACCGAUGAACUUGAAGAUGACGCAGAUCCUUCCCCGCCGGCUCAUCUUCAUCCGGGAAUUGCAAACUUCUUGAUCCCUAUGGAAGAUCCCUCCAAGAACUCAACCCCAUCGUGCGCCAGCUCCAUGGUGGGCGCCAACUAUCGUGGAAUUGUCACGGCAGAUGUCCUAAUGUGAGGACUUAGUCGUGAGGCCAACGCAUCUAUGUAGUAGCUUGUGUGGGGUUGAGUGGAAUCAAGAGACGCAACACAAGACAAGGGUUUAGACAGCUUCGCCCCCCCGGAAACAUCAUCCCGUAAUAACCCUACGUGUUGUCUGUGGCUAGGUCUCAUUAUGAUCAUGAGGGAGUCGCCGGUAAGCCGUCUCUUUGUGUCUAGCCCUAAAGAUUGUUUCCUGUCCCCCCCCCCUCUUUGCGGAGCCCUGCCCCUCCUUAUAUAAGUUGAAGGGGCCGGCUUACAUGUAGAGUCCUAGUAGGAUUAGAACUAGUCUCUAUUACAAGUGGAGUCCUAGUCUUGUUUCCUUUAUAAGAGAAUAUUCCUUGUCCUUUCUUCAUAAACCGGCCCACCAUUAACAUGAGCCGGCCUUCUGGGCCUUGGGCCGUGUCAUCCAUCUGGCCCGCCCGCUGGGUUACUAUGAGCCGCCAAGUCCGGGCGGAUUACCCGUGAAUCGACAAGCUCCGGGCGGGUCAUACUUUUGGCGGUUUACACCGCGGUGUAUAUCCCCGACAAAUCACGCAUAUAACUUUUCUUCUUCUCAAGAGUAGCCGUAACCAUGAAGAUACGAAUCAGCGACUUGUCGGUUAAUCUGACAUGUCUUCUUCAGAAAUCCGUCCGCCUUAGCAACUUGAGAUCAGUCCAAACGGUCAUAAGACAGCGGCUAACCAAAGAUAUAAUCCUAAUCUUUUCUUGAUAUUAAAUCCCACUGAUUGUAAAUCCGGACAGAUGAACUUGAAAACCGACACUGAUCCUUCCGAGCUAGGUGUUUUCUCAUCUAACUAAUCACAAGCUUCUCAAUCCCUAAUAGGAGAUACCUUCAAGAACUCAACACCACCGCCCGAGGGCCGCCCACGGUGGGCGCCAACUGUCGUGGAUUUGUCACGACAGAUGUCCUUAGUGUCAGGACUUAGUCGCGAGGCCAACGCAUCUAUGUGGUAGCUUGAGAGGGGUUGAGUGGGAUGAGAGACGAAUGGCGGAUCAGAACGCAAGACAAGGUUUUAGACAACUUUGGGCCCCGGGAAACAUCAUCCAGUAAUAGCCCUACAUGUUGUUUGAGGCUAGGUCUCACUAUGCUCAUGAGGAAGUCACCGCAUAAGCCGGCUCCCCCUUUAUGUCUAGCCCUAGAUAUUGUUUCUUGUUGCUGUUUCUGUCCCUCUUUGGGGAGCUCUGUGUAACGCCCCGGAUCUGAUGCGCCAGGUGUCUGUCAGUUAUUCGCCGUCGUUGCCAUGUCAUUUGCUUGCGUGUUGCAUUUUGCCAUGUCAUCAUGUGCAUUUCAUUUUGCAUACGUGUUCGUCUCACGCAUCCGAGCCUUUUCCCCGUUGUCCGUUUUGCAAUCCGGCGCUCCUAUGCUCUCCGGCGUUCCCCUUUUCGUCUUCUGUUGUGAGUGGGUAUUAAACUUUCUCGGAAUGGCCCGAGGUUUGCCAAGCAGCCUUGGUAUAGCACCGGUAGACCGCCUGUCAAGUUUCGUGCCAUUUGGAGGUCGUUUGAUACUCCAACGGUUAACCGGGUAACCGCAAAGCCCUCUUUUGUUGCAGCCCAACACCCCUUCCAAACUGGCCCAAAACCCAUCUAACUCCCCUCCAUGCUCUCGGUUGUUCGAUCACCAUCGUGUGGGCGAAAACCGCACCUCAUUUGGACUCUCCUAGCUCCCUCUACCUAUAAAUUAGCCCCCUCCCCUGAAAUCUCGGGCAAACCCUAGAUCAAAUCCCCCCUCCGCGCGCCGGACAUGUCCACUCCGCCGCCGGACACGUCCAGCCGCCGCCCACGCCCACUCCCGCGCCGCCACGUGGCAGCCGCCGCCGCCCCGCGCCGCCGACCCUCNNNNNNNNNNNNNNNNNNNNNNNNNNNNNNNNNNNNNNNNNNNNNNNNNNNNNNNNNNNNNNNNNNNNNNNNNNNNNNNNNNNNNNNNNNNNNNNNNNNNNNNNNNNNNNNNNNNNNNNNNNNNNNNNNNNNNNNNNNNNNNNNNNNNNNNNNNNNNNNNNNNNNNNNNNNNNNNNNNNNNNNNNNNNNNNNNNNNNNNNNNNNNNNNNNNNNNNNNNNNNNNNNNNNNNNNNNNNNNNNNNNNNNNNNNNNNNNNNNNNNNNNNNNNNNNNNNNNNNNNNNNNNNNNNNNNNNNNNNNNNNNNNNNNNNNNNNNNNNNNNNNNNNNNNNNNNNNNNNNNNNNNNNNNNNNNNNNNNNNNNNNNNNNNNNNNNNNNNNNNNNNNNNNNNNNNNNNNNNNNNNNNNNNNNNNNNNNNNNNNNNNNNNNNNNNNNNNNNNNNNNNNNNNNNNNNNNNNNNNNNNNNNNNNNNNNNNNNNNNNNNNNNNNNNNNNNNNNNNNNNNNNNNNNNNNNNNNNNNNNNNNNNNNNNNNNNNNNNNNNNNNNNNNNNNNNNNNNNNNNNNNNNNNNNNNNNNNNNNNNNNNNNNNNNNNNNNNNNNNNNNNNNNNNNNNNNNNNNNNNNNNNNNNNNNNNNNNNNNNNNNNNNNNNNNNNNNNNNNNNNNNNNCGGCCGCGAGCUCGCCGGAGCCCGCGCCGCGCCGCCUCCUCUCUUCGGCCGGAUUCGGCGCCCCUCGUCCUCCCCGGUCCCGGAUCCGAUGACCCCGAGCUCCUCCGGCCAUCUCCCUCCUCUCCGGCAGCCUCUCCGACGAUCUUCUCCGGUGAGCCUCGGUAACCGUGCAUGGAGGUUGACUUUCCCCCACUCUGGAAAUCGCCCAAGUCCUAAAAUUAUUGCAUAAUCAUGCCAUGUUUGACCUGCCAUAUCUCUGCAUCCGUAGCUCCAUUUCGUGCGUGUAAUAUGUCAAAUUGUUCGCCUCGACGAGUAGAUCAUUUCAUUCCAUUGCAUCAUUUUCAUUUGAGCUCAUCUUGAUGCUCGAAAUUCUGUUGGAAGAGUGCCAAGUGAUGUUAAUCUGCUGAAACUGUUAUAACUUGCUCAUUUGUCAUUUUUGCCAUGAUUGAUGUGUACAUCCUAUGAGGUUGAUGUCUUCAUGUGUUUUGAUCUAUGCCAUGCCAUCUUUCCAGAGGUGCUAACCAUGUAUUUUUGUGAUUUGUGUGCUGAGUGCAUCGAGCUAGCUAAGUAGGGUACUUGCUGUUGCUGAUUUUAGUCCCUGUUCUGCUGUUAUUUUUAUGCCAGGUAAACUUGUUGCUACAGAGAGAUCCAUGCAUAUUUUGAGAUACUUCAGUAAGGAUGUUUUGAACAUAUGGUUAUUGUCUAUCCAUUCAUGCCCUUGGUUGCAAUUAUGGAGUAGUCUAGCAUGUCUUUUUGGUGCUCUACUUUUGCUUCAAAAUGUUUCCUGACAGAUUGUUUACUUGUUAUUCAAUUUAGCCAAGGUUGCUAUAGUUGAUCCUUGCAUUCUAUGGACUUGUUCUUGCCUUGGUUGGUUAUAUAAACAUGCCUUCUUGAUGAUGCUAUGCUUAUCUUGUCAUGACUUGUAUAGAGUGUGUGUGUUGCUCCGUUGCUCCGUUUUGAGUGAGCUCUAUAUGAAACUUGCCUAGUUUUGCAUGUAGCUUCAUAUUAUCAUGUUGCAUCCUUGUUUUGAGGUGUUUGCUUGAUGUUUGGGUGCAUUUUGCAUCAAUGCCAUGUUUAACUUGUUUUGCUCAUAUCUUCUAGGCCGUAGCUUCGAACUAAAUGAACUUUAUAUGUAACUUGACUAGAAUCUCGUGUAGAGCAUCGUGGUGCAUCUUAACUUGCUGUUUAACAACUUGAACAUAAUGUUUAUUCAGAUCUGGACCAAUUUCGAAAUUUGCAUAUGAGGACUUACCGGAAUUGUUAUAUGUUGUUUCCGGCCUCAUUUAAACUUGCUUUGAUGUGUUGUUCUUGUUUGCAUCAUCUCUUGCCAUGAGUAGCUUCAUGUAGCCUUGUCUUGCAUCAUGCUUGUUGUGCAUCAUGCCUUGUUCAUGUGUGGUGUGUUUACCUUGUUGUGUGCUUCUUCUUGUUAGUUCCUGUUUCGUUGCGAUCGUGAGGAUUCGUUCGUCUACGGUUGGUUCGGCUUCAUCCGUUCGUCUUCUUCAUGGACUCGUUCUUCUUCCUUGCGGGAUUUCAGGCAAGAUGACCGCUACCCUGGAUCUCACUACUAUCAUUGCUAUGCUAGUUGCUUCGUUCUAUCGCUAUGCUGCGUUACCUAUCUUUUGCUCAUCAAGCCUCCCAAAUUUGCAUGAACCUCUAACCUUUGACACCUUUCCUAUGCAAACCGUUGCUUGGAUAUGUUACCGCUUUUGCUGAGCCCCUCUUAUAGCGUUGCUAGUUGCAGGUGAAGUUGAAGAUUUCUCCAUGGUGGACAGGAUUUUGGUUGGGAUGUCACAAUAUCUCAUAUAUAUUAUUAAUGCAUCUAUAUACUUGGUAAAGGGUGGAAGGCUCGGCCUUUUGCCUGGUGUUUUGUUCCACUCUUGCCGCCCUAGUUUCUGUUAUACCGGUAUUAUGUUCCCGGAUUUUGCGUUCCUUACGUGGUCGGGUGAUUUAUGGGACCCCCUUGACAGUUUGCUUUGAAUAAAACUCCUCCAGCAAGGCCUAACAUUGACUUUUACCAUUUGCUCCACCACCACCUACUUUUCCCUUGGGAGUCGCUCUCUCGAGGGUCAUCUUUAUUUAGCCCCUCCGGGCCAGUGCUUGUCUAAGUGUUGGUCCGAACCAGAGCCACUUGCAGCACCACCUCAGGGAAACUUGAGGGUUGGUUUUAGUUGUAUGUAGUGUUCAUGCGGUGUUGCCCUGAGAACGAGAUAUGUGCAGCUCCUAUCGGGAUUGUCGGCACAUCGGGCGGUCUUGCUGGUCUUGUUUUACCAUUGUCGAAAUGUCUUGUAAACCGGGAUUCCGAGUCUGAUCGGGUCUUCCUGGGAGAAGGUCUAUUCCAUCGUUGAUCGUGAGAGCUUAUCAUGGGCUAAGUUGGGACACCCCUGCAGGGUAUAAUCUUUCGAAAGCCGUGCCUGCGGUUAUAGGCAGAUGGGAAUUUGUUAAUGUCCGGUUGUAGACAACUUGACACUAGAUCCGAAUUAAAACGCAUCAGCCGCGUGUGUAGCCGUGAUGGUCUCUUCUCGGCGGAGUCCGGGAAGUGAACACGGUUUCUGGGUUAUGUUUGACGUAAGUAGGUGUUCAGGAUCACCUUUUGAUCAUUAUUAGUUGACGACCGUGCCGCUUGUUCUCUUCUCGCUCUUAUUUGCGUAUGUUAGCCACCAUACAUGGCUUAGUCGCUGCUGCAACCUCACCACUUUACCCCUUCCUUUCCCAUUAAGCUUUGCUAGUCUUGAUACCCAUGGUAAUGGGAUUGCUGAGUCCUCGUGGCUCACAUAUUACUACAACAACAAUUGCAGGUUCAGGUUGCGAUGAUCAUGACGCGAGAGCGAUGCUUGCUUGCGUUGAGUUCUUCUUCUGCUUCUUCGAUCAGGGGAUAGGUUCCAGGUCGGCAGCCUGGGCUAGCAGGGUGGAUAUUGUUUGAUUUUAUGUUUAUGUUUCAUCCGUAGUCGGAUGGUGCUCUUAUGUAUUGUGAUGUUGUAUUCGUGUGGCAUUGUAUGCCUUAUGUAUGUAUCCCCAUCUAUUAUGUAAUGUUGAUGUAAUGAUAUCCACCUUGCAAAAGCGUUUCAAUAUGCGGUUCUAUCCUUAGUGGGACCUUCGAGUCUCUUUAGGAUAGUAUCACAUAUUGGGCGUGACAAGUUGGUAUCAGAGCCUCGACCGACCCUAGGAGCCCCCUUGAUUGAUCGUGUAGUUUGGCCGUUGUUGAGUCUAGAAUAAACUGUUUUCGGAGUCUAGUUAUAUCGGAGAGUAGGAAUUCUUUUUACUCCUCUGCCUCUUCGUCGCUCUGGUAAGGAAUCUUGACGUAGGUGUUUUGAACUAUUCUUAUUCCCCUUCAAAUUUUUCCUUAGGAUCAUGCAGUUGGUUUUCCGAUCAUUGUUUCUCAGCUCUUUUGAUCCAGUGCAUUUCUCGUCAAGUUGACUCGAACCUCUUCAUCUUUGCGUUCAAUCCUCGGUUGUUUUCUUUUCCCACCCGCCCACCCUUCUUCCUCUCGGAACCGGAGUUCGUAAUCGAGUAUCCAUCCUACUCGUGCGAAGUCCUUGCCUUCUUUCCUCAAUGAUUUCAACCGAUGUUUUCUCUUUAAGUUAUUCAUCGGUUUCCCCUUCCAAGUUGCNNNNNNNNNNNNNNNNNNNNNNNNNNNNNNNNNNNNNNNNNNNNNNNNNNNNNNNNNNNNNNNNNNNNNNNNNNNNNNNNNNNNNNNNNNNNNNNNNNNNNNNNNNNNNNNNNNNNNNNNNNNNNNNNNNNNNNNNNNNNNNNNNNNNNNNNNNNNNNNNNNNNNNNNNNNNNNNNNNNNNNNNNNNNNNNNNNNNNNNNNNNNNNNNNNNNNNNNNNNNNNNNNNNNNNNNNNNNNNNNNNNNNNNNNNNNNNNNNNNNNNNNNNNNNNNNNNNNNNNNNNNNNNNNNNNCGGAGUCUGAGUCUCUUUCGAGCAUCCAUUCCAUUCGUGUGGAACCUCUUCAGUCUUCCCUCAAUUAUUUCAACCGGUGAAUUCUCGUCCCGGUCGUCAUUCUUCAUCUCUUUGUCUUUUCCGGUGGAUUCAAUUCAAGUUUUUCUUUGUCGAUCGUAUUCUUUCCCUCGGAUCAAGUGUUCUCCUUGCUCGUUCGCCUCUCACCAGUUUAUCCUUCCCGAGUGUUCAAGACAUCUCUAGAGAUUUGGCUGUGUUCGAAUUAAUUCGAGGUUGUCACCUCAUUCAAAUAUUUCAAUUGUUCCGGUGCUUCAUCUAUCUGUUCAUCAUCCUUUUCAACGGUGUUAUCUCUUCAGUGGGCCCUAACCCACAGGUCUUUUCCCAGGAUCUUACCUGACUCUUCUAAUUCCCCCGGAGUUAUUCUCAAUUCUUUUCAAGGGUGACGUAAGAAUGAAUUUCAUCAGUCAAAUGCUUUUCCAAGAUCGAUUUCAAAUCAUUUUCCUUUGUUGCCUCAACCUCUUCGCUUUUAAUUCUCCCGGAGUAUCUCAGUAAUUUUGGUGCUGUUUCUCAUCAUCAUUCUCAGCUUUGAAGACCAAAGAAGAGUUUUUCCUCUAAAUUUUGGUCCAUUCUCUUGAAGAUUCAUGGUUCUAGCCUCAUGCUAUCCUCAUAAUCGUUUUGAUUGUGAGAUUUAUUUUCUUACCAUCUGGAGCAUUUCAUGAGUUGUUUUCCAUUUCUUUCCUCCGAAGGCCAUCAUGUCAUAAUUCUUCAUUCUCAGAGCGUAGCUAUCAUUCUCCAAAUCUUACCGGUGCAUCGUUCAAAUACCCGCUAAUCAGUUCAUGAUUUCUUUGUUCUCAUGUAUUUAAAUCCCCUCAAGUAUCUUCAUUUGUUUUCCAAUUCUUCCCGGUGAAUUGUGCCUUUGCUAUGUUCAUUUUUAAUUCUUACGGUGGUUCGUUCAAGAUUUCUCUUCCUUUGUUAUCAUAUCAAAUCAUUCGUUGUUUCCAAAUUCCACAGGUGGUUCCUUGAAGACCUUCACAAGUUUGCCCAUAUCUCUUUUAAUCCUUUCUAUGAGAAUAAGUAGUAUGCCAAAUCCGUUGCUUGUCAUCAAUUUAAAUUGGUGAAGGAUAGGCAUGACAUAACUCUUAUUCUUGUUUCAUCCAAGGGAUUAAUCCCUUCCUUCAGAGUUUGUUCUUAACGAAUAAAUUCUAGUUCCAGGUGUGUUCAUCUUUUCUUUUCCGGAGUUCAAAUUUACUUGGCCAUCUCGUCGGAACCUCCAUCUAAAUCAUCGCAAGGCUCAUCUUAUUCUUUCAUCCUUUAUUCUAUCUCAUCAUCCUUUUGUUACCGGAGUUCUUCAUGGUGGUUCUUCAUGAUUUAAUUCAUUCUUCAAGAGUCCAUCAAGUAUCAUUCCAUCCUCUCUAGUUCAUGUUCUAUUCUUUCCAUGUUCAGCCGGAGUGCUGUUUAAAUCCUUUCAGUCUUAUUCGUUUCUUUUCUCAUUCUAACCACUCCGGUUAGAACGAGUUGUUCCAUAGUCUAUCUAAUUCCGUGAGAUUUCAAUUCUCGUCAUUCUCGUCGUUCCAUUCUUCUUCUCGAGUGCUCUUGAUUCUUGGUUUCCUCUCUUGAGUUCUUGUUUCACCUCAUCCCUUUUCUCUUCUGUAUCGGUCCUAAGAUCUUGGGACGAGAUCUCUUGUUAGUGGAGGAGUGUUGUAACGCCCCGGAUCCGAUGCGCCAGGUCUCUGUCAGUUAUUCGCCAUUGUUGCCAUGUCAUUUGCUUGCGUGUUGCAUUUUGCCAUGUCAUCAUGUGCAUUUCAUUUUGCGUACGUGUUCGUCUCAUGCAUCCAAGCCUUUUCCCCGUUGUCCGUUUUGCAAUCCGGCGCUCCUAUGCUCUCCGGCAUUCCCCUUUUCGUCUUCUGUUGUGAGUGGGUAUUAAACUUUCUCGGAAUGGCCCGAGGUUUGCCAAGCGACCUUGGUAUAGCACCGGUAGACCGCCUGUUAAGUUUCGUGCCAUUUGGAGGUCGUUUGAUACUCCAACGGUUAACUGGGUAACCGCAAAGCCCUCUUUUGUUGCACCCCAACACCCCUUCCAAACUGGCCCAAAACCCAUCAAACUCCCCUCCAUGCUCUCGGUCGUUCGAUCACGAUCGUGUGGGCGAAAACCGCACCUUAUUUGGACUCUCCUAGCUCCCUCUACCUAUAAAUUAGCCCCCUCCCCCGAAAUCUCGGGCAAACCCUAGAUCAAACCCCCCCUCCGCGCGCCGGACAUGUCCACUCCGCCGCCGGACACGUCCAGCCGCCGCCCACGCCCACUCCCGCGCCGCCACAUGGCAGCCGCCGCCGCCCCGCGCCGCCGGCCCGCCCGGGCCCGUGGCUGGCCCGCACAGGCCCGCGACCCCGCCGCCGUUCGGCCCCGCGCCCGAGCAGGCAGCCGCCGCCGUNNNNNNNNNNNNNNNNNNNNNNNNNNNNNNNNNNNNNNNNNNNNNNNNNNNNNNNNNNNNNNNNNNNNNNNNNNNNNNNNNNNNNNNNNNNNNNNNNNNNNNNNNNNNNNNNNNNNNNNNNNNNNNNNNNNNNNNNNNNNNNNNNNNNNNNNNNNNNNNNNNNNNNNNNNNNNNNNNNNNNNNNNNNNNNNNNNNNNNNNNNNNNNNNNNNNNNNNNNNNNNNNNNNNNNNNNNNNNNNNNNNNNNNNNNNNNNNNNNNNNNNNNNNNNNNNNNNNNNNNNNNNNNNNNNNNNNNNNNNNNNNNNNNNNNNNNNNNNNNNNNNNNNNNNNNNNNNNNNNNNNNNNNNNNNNNNNNNNNNNNNNNNNNNNNNNNNNNNNNNNNNNNNNNNNNNNNNNNNNNNNNNNNNNNNNNNNNNNNNNNNNNNNNNNNNNNNNNNNNNNNNNNNNNNNNNNNNNNNNNNNNNNNNNNNNNNNNNNNNNNNNNNNNNNNNNNNNNNNNNNNNNNNNNNNNNNNNNNNNNNNNNNNNNNNNNNNNNNNNNNNNNNNNNNNNNNNNNNNNNNNNNNNNNNNNNNNNNNNNNNNNNNNNNNNNNNNNNNNNNNNNNNCGCCUCGCCCGUCGCCACCGCAGCUCCGGCCGCGAGCUCGCCGGAGCCCGCGCCGCGCCGCCUCCUCUAUCCGGCCGGAUCCGGCGCCCCUCGGCCUCCCCGACCCCGGAUCCGAUGACCCCGAGCUCCUCCGGCCAUCUCCCUCCUCUCCGGCAGCCUCUCCGAUGAUCUUCUCCGGCGAGCCUCGUUAACCGUGCACAGAGGUUGACUUUCCCCCACUCUGGAAAUCGCCUAAGUCCUAAAAUUAUUGCAUAAUCAUGCCAUGUUUGACCUGCCAUAUCUCUGCAUCCGUAGCUCCGUUUCGUGCGUGUAAUAUGUCAAAUUGUUCGUCUCGACGAGUAGAUCAUUUCAUUCCAUUGCAUCAUUUUCAUUUGAGCUCAUCUUGAUGGCCGAAAUGCUGUUGGAAGAGUUCCAAGUGAUGUUAAUCUGCUGAAACUGUUAUAACUUGCUCAUUUGUCAUUUUUGCCAUGAUUGAUGUGUGCAUCCUAUGAGGUUGAUGUCUUCAUGUGUUUUGAUUUAUGCCAUGCCAUCUUUCCAGAGGUGCUAUCCAUGUAUUUUUGUGAUUUGUGUGCUGAGUGCAUCGAGCUUGCUAAGUAGGGUACUUGCUGUUGCUGAUUUUAGUUCCUGUUCUGCUGUUAUUUUUAUGCCAUGUAAACUUGUUGCUACAGAGAGAUCCAUGCAUAUUUUGAGAUACUUCAGUAAGGAUGUUUUGAACAUAUGGUUAUUGUAUAUCCAUUCAUGCCCUUGGUUGCAAUUAUGGAGUAGUCUAGCAUGUCUUUUUGGUGCUCUACUUUUGCUUCAAAAUGUUUCCUGGCAGAUUGUUUACUUGUUAUUCAAUUUAGCCAAGGUUGCUAUAGUUGGUCCUUGCAUGCUAUGGACUUGUUCUUGCCUUGGUUGGUUACAUAAACAUGCCUUCUUGAUGAUGCUAUGCUUAUCUUGUCAUGCAAUGACUUGUGGUGAGUGAGUCGAGCUUGUUAAGUAGUGUACUAGCUGUUACUGUUUUGCUAGGCUGAAUCUGUUAUUUCGUGAUGCUAUAGAAACAUGUUGCUACUAAUCAUUCUAUGCAUAAUCUGGAGAUGAUCACUAAAUAUGUUUUGUUCUACCUGCCAUGCUAUAUCCAUCCAUGCCCUUGGUUGCAAUUAUAGGUUGCUGUAGCUUGUUCAUAUCUUGCUCCAAACUUGCUAAAUAAUGUUGCUGUCAGCCUGUUAACAUUAAGUUCACUUGUUCCCAUGUGUUUUGCUAGUGUUCCAUGCACCCUAUGAACUUGAUAUUGCCAUGCUUAGCUUCAUAAACAUGCCUUCUUAUUGUUGGGUGCCUUGCCAUACCAUGUUUUGCUCUGUAGUGAGUUGCACAAGCUCAUCUACAUGCCUACUUAUUGUUGUUCCUGCCAUGUAUGAAUCUGUCAUAUAACUUGCCAUGUUUACGUGGGUGCCAUCAUAUUUUCUGAUCCUUUUUAGCUCUUGGUUAGUAAGGGACUUUUGAGCUAUGCAAUUAGUAGAUUCAUGCCAUGCCUUUGUUUGCCAUGAUAAGUUCCUGUUAUAUGUUUUUUGAUAGCUGUAAACAUUGCAACCUGAUGUUAUUUCCUGAUAUGUCUGAAACUCUUAUUAUUUGCAAUCUUACCAUGUCUGUUUGAGCAUGUUCUAGUGAUUUCUGGAGAUAUCUCAGUGUUCAUGUUUUGUUAUGCUUUACCUGUACAUCAUGCCCAUGCCUUUUGUUAUUAUGUUGAGGUCCUGUAGCUUGUUGUUUUGAUGCUUGCAAUAUGCCUAGUUGCUGUUAGGGACAGAUUGUUGCUAUGACUUGUAUAGAGUGUGUGUGUUGCUCCGUUGCUCCGUUUUGAGUGAGCUCUAUAUGAAACUUGCCUAGUUUUGCAUGUAGCUUCAUAUUAUCAUGUUGCAUCCUUGUUUUGAGGUGUUUGCUUGAUGUUUGGGUGCAUUUUGCAUCAGUGCCAUGUUUAACUUGUUUUGCUCAUAUCUUCUAGGCCGUAGCUCCGAACUAAAUGAACUUUAUAUGUAACUUGACUAGAAUCUCGUGUAGAUCAUCGUGGUGCAUCUUAACUUGCUGUUUAACAACUUGAACAUAAUGUUUAUUCAGAUCUGGACCAAUUUCGAAAUUUGCAUAUGAGGACUUACCGGAAUUGUUAUAUGUUGUUUCCGGCCUCAUUUAAACUUGCUUUGAUGUGUUGUUCUUGUUUGCAUCAUCUCUUGCCAUGAGUAGCUUCAUGUAGCCUUGUCUUGCAUCAUGCUUGUUGUGCAUCAUGCCUUGUUCAUGUGUGGUGUGUUUACCUUGUUGUGUGCUUCUUCUUGUUAGUUCCUGUUUCGUUGCGAUCGUGAGGAUUCGUUCGUCUAUGGUUGGUUCGGCUUCAUCCGUUCGUCUUCUUCAUGGACUCGUUCUUCUUCCUUGCGGGAUUUCAGGCAAGAUGACCGCUACCCUGGAUCUCACUACUAUCAUUGCUAUGCUAGUUGCUUCGUUCUAUCGCUAUGCUGCGUUACCUAUCUUUUGCUCAUCAAGCCUCCCAAAUUUGCAUGAACCUCUAAACUUUGAAACCUUUCCUAUGCAAACCGUUGCUUGGCUAUGUUACCGCUUUUGCUCAGCCCCUCUUAUAGCGUUGCUAGUUGCAGGUGAAGUUGAAGAUUUCUCCAUGGUGGACAGGAUUUUGGUUGGGAUAUCACAAUAUCUCAUAUAUAUUAUUAACUAUAUACUUGGUAAAGGGUGGAAGGCUCGGCCUUUUGCCUGGUGUUUUGUUCCACUCUUGCCGCCCUAGUUUCCGUUAUACGGGUAUUAUGUUCCCGGAUUUUGCGUUCCUUACGCGGUCGGGUGAUUUAUGGGACCCCCUUGACAGUUUGCUUUGAAUAAAACUCCUCCAGCAAGGCCCAACAUUGACUUUUACCAUUUGCCUCACCACCACCUACUUUUCCCUUGGGAGUCGCUCUCUCGAGGGUCAUCUUUAUUUAGCCCCCCCGGGCCAGUGCUUGUCUAAGUGUUGGUCCGAACCAGAGCCACUUGCAGCGCCACCUCGGGGAAACUUGAGGGUUGGUUUUAGUUGUACGUAGUGUUCAUUCGGUGUUGCCCUGAGAACGAGAUAUGUGCAGCUCCUAUCGGGAUUGUCGGCACAUCGGGCGGUCUUGCUAGUCUUGUUUUACCAUUGUCAAAAUGUCUUGUAAACUGGGAUUCCGAGUCUGAUCGGGUCUUCCUGGGAGAAGGUCUAUUCCUUCGUUAAUCGCGAGAGCUUAUCAUGGGCUAAGUUGGGACACCCCUGCAGGGUAUAAUCUUUCGAAAGCCGUGCCUGCGGUUAUAGGCAGAUGGGAAUUUGUUAAUGUCCGGUUGUAGACAACUUGACACCAAAUCCGAAUUAAAAUGCAUCAACCGCAUGUGUAGCCAUGAUGGUCUCUUCUCGGCGGAGUCCGGGAAGUGAACACGGUUUCUGGGUUAUGUUUGACGUAAGUAGGUGUUCAGGAUCACCUUUUGAUCAUUAUUAGUUGACGACCGUGCCGCUUGUUCUCUUCUCGCUCUUAUUUGCGUAUGUUAGCCACCAUACAUGGCUUAGUCGCUGCUGCAACCUCACCACUUUACCCCUUCCUUUCCCAUUAAGCUUUGCUAGUCUUGAUACCCAUGGUAAUGGGAUUGCUGAGUCCUCGUGGCUCACAGAUUACUACAACAACAAUUGCAGGUUCAGGUUGCGAUGAUCAUGACACGAGAGCGAUGCUUUCUUGCGUUGAGUUCUUCUUCUGCUUCUUCGAUCAGGGGAUAGGUUCCAGGUCGGCAGCCUGGGCUAGCAGGGUGGAUAUUGUUUGAGUUUCUGUUUAUGUUUCAUCCGUAGUCGGAUGGUGCUCUUAUGUAUUGUGAUGUUGUAUUCGUGUGGCAUUGUAUGCCUUAUGUAUGUAUCCCCAUCUAUUAUGUAAUGUUGAUGUAAUGAUAUCCACCUUGCAAAAGCGUUUCAAUAUGCGGUUCUAUCUUUAGUGGGACCUUCGAGUCUAUUUAGGAUAGUAUCGCAUAUUGGGCGUGACACUUUGCCCCUCCUUAUAUAUGCUGAAGGGGCAGGUUACCUGACUAGUCCUAGUAGGAUUAGGAUUAACCUAUUACAAGUGGAGUCCUAGUCUUGCUUCCUUUAUAAGAGAAUAUUCCUUGUGCUUUCCUCUUAAACCGGCCCACCAUUAACAUGAGCCGGCCUUCUGGGCCUUGGGCCUUGUCAUCCAUCUAACCCGCCCGCCAGGUUACUAUGAACCGCCAAGUCCGGGCGGAUUACCUGUGAAUCGCCAAGCUCCGGGCGGGUCAUACUUCUGGCGGUUUACACCGCGGGGUAUAUCCCUGACAGCAACGGAGAAGUAACUAAGAAAAGAUCAAUAUGUAAAAAGCUCGUAGGCAAUGGAUCAAUGAUGGAUAAUUAUGUCGGAUGCAAUUUGUCAACAAUUAUAACAUAGGGUGACAAAGAACUAGCUCCAGUUCAUCAAUGUAAUGUAGGCAUGUAUUCCGAAUAUAGUCAUACAUGCUUAUGGAAAAGAACUUGCAUGACAUCUUUUGUCCUACCCUCCUAUGGCAGCGGGGUCCUAAUGGAAACUAAGGGAUAUUAAUGCCUCCUUUUAAUAGAGUACUGGACCAAAGCAUUAGCACUUAGUGAAUACAUGAACUCCUCAAACUACGGUCAUCACUGAGAAGUGUCCCGACUAUUGUCACUCCGGGGUUUGCCAGAUCAUAACACGUUAGGUGACUAUAACUUGCAAGAUAGGAUCAAGAACUCACAUAUAUUCAUGAAAAUAUAAUAGGUUCGGAUCUGAAAUCAUGGUACUUGGGACCUAGUGACAAGCAUUAAGCAUGGCAAAGUCAUAGCAACAUCAAUGUUAGAACAUAAUGGAUUCCAGGGAUCAAACCCUAACAAAACUAACUCGAUUACAUGGUAAAUCUUAUCCAACCCAUCACCGUCCAGCAAGCCUACGAUGGGAUUACUCAAGCAUGGCGGUGAGCAUCAUUAAAUUGGUGAUGGAGGAUGGUUGAUGAUGACGAUGGCGACGGAUUCCCCUCUCCGGAGCCCCGAACGGACUCCAGAUCAGCCCUCCCAAGGAAGAACAGGGCUUGGCGACGCCUCUGUAUCGUAAAACAUGAUGAAUCCUUCUCUUUGAUUUUUUCUCCCUGAACGUGAAUAUAUAGAGUUGGAGUUGAGGUCGAUGGAGGUCCAGGGGACCCACGAGGCAGGGGCCGCGCCCCAGGGGGUGGGCGCGCCCUCCACCUUCGUGGAAAAGGUGUGGGUCCCCCUUUGUUGAUUCUUUCGCCAAUAUUUUUAUUAAUUCCAAAACGUGACUCCAUGGAGUUUCAGGACAUUCCGAGAACUUUUAUUUCUGCACAAAAAUGACACCAUCGCAAUUCGGCUAAAAACAACGUCAGUCCGGGUUAGUUCCGUUCAAAUCAUGCAAGUUAGAGUCCAAAACAAGGGCAAAAGUGUUUGGAAAAGUAGAUACGUUGGAGACGUAUCAGCUAUGCGGGUAGAUUGAGGAGUGGUACAUGUCCUUGUACGUGCCCAUCCUUCUAGCGCUACAUGUGCCACUGGCUAGUUGACGUCACUCUUUCGAAUCACCGUGGCGAGACAUUUUAUGAUUCCUUUUUAUUUCUGCACCCCUCUUGACAGGUGGGACCUAUGCAAACGGAUAUAAAAAUGUGUCAUACCUGGUUCAUAUGGAUAUUGGCGUGUGCGUGGGAGACACGACAUUCUCUGGUUAAGGAAUAUGUGGUUAUCCUCAGAAAAGAAAAAGCCUUCGUCGCGCUUCUGCAUGCACGAGGAUUUAGUUCUGCUCGCAAUAUGGAUGAUAUAGAGGAUGAAGUGAACCCAGAGGUAUGCUAGCAUGGGAGACCUAUUUCCGCUACACGGUACUACUCAUGUUCCUACUACUGCUACUUGUAGUAGUACAACUGUGGUACACUUGAUGGUCAAAAUAUUAUUCAUCCGGUCCCCACAGUGAAGUGACAAGACCCUGUGUAACAUCCGAAAGUUUCAAUUUGGAAUGUUAUACACUAGAUCAUCAUUGCAUAUCAUAUUUUAUUUCUUUUGGUUUGAUCCUAGAAAUUCUAAGCAACUCAAGGACCCUCAGAGAGAGUUGGGGAUUUCGUUAUUUUCAAAUUUGAGUUUUCUCGAAUUUUGAAAAUAGGAUCAUUUGAUUUUAUUUAUUUUAUCUUCAAUUAUUUCAAUUAUAAAAAUAUGAGAGAGGGAAUAAAAUGACUUUCCCAAAAUAAAGAAAUAUUGAGGAUUUCAUAAAACAAUCAAAUAAGUUUUAUUUUGGAGUUUUUGCUAUUUUAUUUGAAUUUAGGAAAAUUGCACAUUUUAAAACUGCAUUUUAGGUUCAAGAAAAUGUUCAUCUUGUUCUAAAUAUUUUAUUUAGACGGUAAAAAUUUGUUUUGGAAUUUUUAGAUUUUUAUAUAUUUUUCUAUGAUUUUUCUUAGUUCGGCGGAAUUAUUUAAAAAAAAAUCCCGCGCCCGACUGGGCCAAAGGCCCAGCCAGGCUAGGCUGGCCCGCGCUGCCACCGCCUUCCCCGCACCGUGCCGUCGCCGGACAGGAGACCGAGCCGGACUCCUCUGCCCCGCCGCCUUGCCCCCUACCCCAAGCAGCCCCCCUCUUUAAAUACCCCGCCGCCGCCACCCCACCCCGCCACCAACCACCCCGCACCAGCAGUUGCCGCAGCCGCCGCCGGCGCUAGCGCCGCUGCCAGGAGCCACCGCCACCGCUGCCGCAACCCCUCCACCCGCGCCGUCCCGCCGGAGCCCCGCCGGAGGUAGCCGCCGCCGCCGCCGUGGUUCUGUUUUAAAAAAAAACCAAUCCGGUUUUUUUAGAAACCCUAGAUUCGUUUUUUUUAUAAAUCGGAUUUUCUAGUUUAUUUGUUUAGCGAGCGUUCGCCCGUUUGUUCGUUUUAAGGAACGAAUUCACCGUUUAGUUUCAGUUAACGAACGUUCGUUCGUUAAUCUGUUCGUCAGUUUUUCUUUUUCUCGGAUUUUCCUCAGUUAUUUCUGAUUGUGAUUUCUGAUCCGAUUUUCGUUUUAGUAUAACUUUUCGCUCGUUUAUUGAAAUCAGGCGAUUCAAGCGCUUAGAGUUUCGUCUCGAAACCCUCUUUCUGUUUAACCUACUCAAACAAGGUUUUGCUUCUGUAAAAUUUGACCUAGGUGCAGAUUAGUAAAAGAAGCUUGUUUCUUUCGCCGUUUGACUUUCGUUGCUUCGUUUGAUUUGAUUCUUUUAGCAAACUGGAGUUCUUAAGUUGAACUUUCUGGUUAGAUCUCUUAUUUGAGUUUUUACCUGUGCAUUCGAUGAGUACUUAUUGUAUGCUUGUUUGUUUGCGAUAGAGUACCCGGAGUGCGCUGCUUGCUACUUUGAAUAUCUAGGUUUCGCGGAUCAUCAGCAAGGCAAGUAACACAUUGAUCAUACCUCUUUACUACCCAGUUUUAUUGCAUUAGAUCAAUCCUCAAACAUUGCAUGAUUAGGAUCUAAUUAAAGUUUGGGUUUUGGGAAGUAGAUGAGGUAGUACCUAUUACCUGUUUUAUUAUCAAACCCUUGGGAGUUACUUCUACGUUUGCUUAUUAUGCCAUGCUAUGCUAGUAGACGUGGAUUGGGUGUGUGUAUCCAUGACAUAUGUGAGAUUGUUACUUAAUGGUUUAUUUAAGGUGGCAACUUAAACACACAUCUGGGUGGAUUGAGGCACCUGGGUAUUCCAGCGAUUGCCUGUUUUUCUUUAUGGACCGCCACCCAGGCUCGAAGGGAUCAUGAGAUUAUUCAUGCUAGAAACUUACGUGUGCAGCCACAAGCUACUAUGGGCUCUAGCAUAGUUGACUAAGUCAGGCGAACUCUUACAUUUGUAGACUAGAAGAUGUAGGUUGGUACUGUCUACCCGAUCGUAAGGUGCUAGCACUUCUGAAAGACUGUGUCUCGGUCAUCCGUUUCUCAAACAUCAUGAAGUGGGAGAAAUUCAACGGAGGAGAUCGAGUCUUGUUGGGAAAAGUGUGCAAACCUCUGCAGAGUGUAUAAACUAAUCAUGGUUAGCCGUGUCCCCAGUUAUGGACAUCUUGAGUAUCUAGUACUUGGAUUAUCAUGUGAAUCUCAUCAUGUUACUUUAAUUAAUAUUGUUGGGUUUUAAUGAUGAUGCUUAAUUGAGAUUGAGAAUGCUUUCAACCAUUCUCAAUGUUUAACAACCACCAUGAUAGUUAAAUAAAAUUUAUUCCUUUGCAGUAGGGAAAAAUUGGCUUUAUGCAAAACUGUAACCAUAGAGCUUUCCACCAGCCAUAUAUGCAUGUAGUAUAGCUUUAUACUUUCAUUACUCUCUAUGUGUUACAUUGCCAGCAUAUUGUAACACCCCGGAUGUAACUUUCCAUCUUUGUAACUCCAACUCUUGCCAUUUUCGGCUACGUGCUAUGAUAUUCCCUCCGUGGUUGGGUUUUGUUUUUCGUUUUGCAUUUUGUUCAUGUCAUGCAUCUCAUAUCAUGUCAUCAUGCGCAUUUCAUUUUGCAUACGUGUUCGUCUCAUGCAUCCGAGCAUUUUCCCCGUUGUCCGUUUCGCAAUCCGACACUCCCACAUGCACCGGCGCACCCCUCUUGUCUCUUUUCGUGUGCGGGUGUUAAACGUUCUCGGAAUGGGCCGAGCCUUGCCAAGUGGCCUUGAUACACCACCGGUAGACCACUUGUCAAGUUUCGGGUCAUUGGGAGCUCGUUUGGUACUCCAACGGUCAACCGCACUCUCGCAAAGGCCUCUUUUAAGUUGCAGCCCAACACCCCUCCAAAACAGCCCAAUAACCCAUCUAAGUCACUUCCAUGCUCUCCGUCGUCGGAUCACAAUCGUGUGGGCGAAAACCGCACCCCAUUUGGACACUCCUAGCUCCCUCUACCUCUAUAUAUAGAUCCCUCCCCCGAAAUUCACGGGCAAACACUAAAAAAUCCCUCUCCGCGCCGCCGGACACGUCCGGAUCGGACCGGACGCGUCCGCCGCUGCGUCCCCGGCGAAUCAGGCGCCGCCACGUGGCGGGCCCACGCCCACAUCGCCGCCGGCCGUGCCAGGCCCGCGAGGNNNNNNNNNNNNNNNNNNNNNNNNNNNNNNNNNNNNNNNNNNNNNNNNNNNNNNNNNNNNNNNNNNNNNNNNNNNNNNNNNNNNNNNNNNNNNNNNNNNNNNNNNNNNNNNNNNNNNNNNNNNNNNNNNNNNNNNNNNNNNNNNNNNNNNNNNNNNNNNNNNNNNNNNNNNNNNNNNNNNNNNNNNNNNNNNNNNNNNNNNNNNNNNNNNNNNNNNNNNNNNNNNNNNNNNNNNNNNNNNNNNNNNNNNNNNNNNNNNNNNNNNNNNNNNNNNNNNNNNNNNNNNNNNNNNNNNNNNNNNNNNNNNNNNNNNNNNNNNNNNNNNNNNNNNNNNNNNNNNNNNNNNNNNNNNNCCCGCCGCCCGAGGCGCCCGCCGUCCGCCUCCGCGCCCGAGCGCUCCGCCGUCCUCCAGCGAGGAUCCGGCCGGAGCAGCGCAGCCCCGCCCUCGUCCCCCUCCCCUCUGGCUUCCCCGACUCCGGCCGCUGUCGCCGCCUGCUCCGGCGUCGUCCUCGAUCGACGAGCCGCCCCGGAUCAGAUCUGCAGCGGUUGACUUUCUUCUCCCCCCCCCGAAAACGUCUAAGUUAUAUUUCUGUGAUUAUUUUGUUGCAUCUUCAUCGCAUCACAUCUUCUCAUCCGUAGCUCCGUUUCGUGCGCGUAAUAUGUCAAAUUGUCCGUCUCAAAGAGUACAUCAUUUCAUUCCAUUGCAUAAUUUACAUUUGAGCUCAUAUUGAUGCCCGAAAUGCUGUUGGAAGAGGGCUAUGUGAUGUUAGUUUCUGUUUCUUAACAGGACUUGCACUUUUGUCAUUUUUGCCAUGAUUAAUGUGUGUAUCUUAUGAACUUGAGCCCUACAUAUAUUUUGAUCUAUGUCAUGCCAGCUUUACAGGGGUGUAUGCCAUGUAUUUUUGUGAUCAAUGUGGUGACUAGCACAAGCAUGCAAACUAGGCUUCGUGGUAUUGCUGAUUUUAGUCCCUGUUCUGCUGUUAUUUUGAUGCCAUGUAAACAUGUUGCUACAGAGAGAUCCAUGCAUAUUUAGAGAUACUUCAGUAAGGGUGUUUUGAACAUGUGGUUAUGCUCUAUCCAUUCAUGUCCUUGUUGGAAAUUAUGGAGUAGUCUAGCAUGUCAUUUUCGUGCUCUACUUUUGCUACAAAAUGUUUCCUGGCAGUUUGUUUGCAUGAUAUUCAAUUUUUACGAGGUUGUUGUUGUUGAUCCGUGUAUGCUAUGAUGUUGUUCUUUCCAUGUAUAGCUUCUAUGCCAUGUCUUCUUGAUGGAUGUAUGCUUAGUUUAUCAUGAGGUGCUCUGUAGUGAGUGCAUCGAGCUCACGAAGGUGCCUUCGUAAAUCUGUCAAUGCCAUGCCCAGUUUGCUGAAUCUGUUAACGAAACUUGCUACGUUUACAUGCAUGCCAUCAUUUCUUCGGGUCCUUUUUGGCUUAUGGUCAGUAAGGGACUUUUGAUCUAUGCUUUGAGUAGAUUCAUGCCGUGUCUUGUUUUGCUACUAUAAGUUCCUGUAGCUUGUUGAUAACUUGCUAUGAACAUUGCUUCCUGAUGCUGUUUAUGCCAUGUCCAGCCUGAUAUUUUUUGCACUUUCACCAUGCUUGUUUGGACCUAUUAUGAUGUGAUUUAGCCGUAGCUCAGUGUUCCUCUUUUGUUAAGCAUCUCCUGUAGAUCACUGCCAUGUGCUUUGUUUUUAUGUUGGGGUGCUGUAGCAUAGUUUAUUGUUGCAUGCUAAGUAGCAUCGUGCUGUUAAUCGCAGAUUUGUGCCCUUAUUGUUUUGCUUGACAUUUGCAAAUCAUGCAUCCGAUUCCGGUGAUCUUUAUAUCGAUUUCAACCGAAAUCAUCUCAUCUUUCCAGCGGCAUACUUGGUUUGCCAAGUUGAUGCCUUGUUCAUCAUUUUGCUCCCGAAGCACGCAUAUGCAUUGCAUAUCACAUCUCGCAUAUCAUGGCAUGCAUUGCAUCUUGUUGCUUGUGCAUUGCACCGUGAUUUAUUGUGGUUCCUUUGCUUGUGUUCUUGCUUUGGGUAGAGCCGGGAGACGAGUACGUGAAUGAGGAACCUGUUGAGAACGCUUUCGAGGAUCAAGCCUUCGACAACUCUGAGAACUUUGCAGGCAAGAUGACCAUACCUUCGAUAUCACUUCUAUCUUUGCUUGCUAGUACUCGCUCUUUCGCUAUGUUAGCCUUACCUGCCAUUGUUUAUCAUGCCUCCCUAUUGCCAUGUCAACCCUCUAACCCGCCCUGUCCUAGCAAACCGUUGUUUGGCUAUGUCACCGCUUUUGCUCAGCCCCUCUUAUAGCGUUGCUAGUUGCAGGUGAAGAUGAAGUUUGUUCCUGGACGGAACAUGGAUAUUUUGGGAUAUCACAUUAUCUCCUGUUUAAUUAAUGCACCUUAUAUAUUUGGAAAAGGGUGGAAGGCUCGGCCUUAUGCCUGGUGACUUGUUCCACUCUUGCCGCCCUAGUUUCCGUCAUACCGGUGUUAUGUUCCUUGAUUUUGCGUUCCUUACGCGGUUGGGUGAUUUAUGGGACCCCCUUGACAGUUUGCUUUGAAUAAAACUCCUCCAGCAAGGCCCAACCUUGGUUUUACCAUUUGCCACCUAAGCCUUUUUCCCUUCGGUUUUCGCGAGCCCGAGGGUCAUCUUUAUUUACCCCCCCAGGCCAGUGCUCCUCUGAGUGUUGGUCCAAACUAGAGCACCGUGCGGGACCAUUCCUUGGCAACUUGGAUUACGUCGGUACCUGUACACUUAGCUUAUCCGGUGUGCCCUGAGAACGAGAUAUGUGCAGCUCCUAUCGGGAUUUGUCGGCAUAGUCGGGUGGUCUUGCUGGUCUUGUUUUACCAUUGUCGAAAUGUCUUGCGAACCGGGAUUCCGAGACUGAUCGGGUCUUCCCGGGAGAAGGUUUAUUCCUUCGUUGACCGUGAGAGCUUAUGAUGGGCUAAGUUGGGACACCCCUGCAGGGUAUAUAAUCUUUCGAAAGUCGUGCCCGCGGUUAUGAGGCAGAUGGGAAUUUGUUAAUGUCCGGUUGUAGAUAACUUGACACUUGACUUCAUUAAAAUGCAUCAACCACGUGUGUAGCCGUGAUGGUCUCUUCUCGGCGGGGUCUGGGAAGUGAACACUGUUUGAGUUAUGCUUGACGUAAGUAGUUUCAGGAUCACUUCUUGAUCGCUUCUAGCUUCUCGACCGAUGCGUUGCUUCUCUUCUCGCUCUCACUUGCGUAUGUUAGCCACCAUAUAUGCUUAGUGCUUUCCGCAGCUCCACCAUAUUACCCCUUUCCUACCUAUGAGCUUAAAUAGUCUUGAUCUGCGGGUGUGAGAUUGCUGAGUCCCAAUGGCUCACAGAUUCUACCAAAACAGAUGCAGGUGCCGAGGAUACCAGCGCAGAUGGCGCAACUGAGCUGAAGUGGGAAUUUGAUGAGGCCCUUGGUCGUUACUAUGUAUCGUUUCCAGAUGAUUAGUAGUGGUGCCCAGUCGGGACGAUCGGGGAUAUGUGUAGCAUUUGGGGUAGUCUUCUUUUAUUUUGGUUCUGUAGUCGGACCUUGAGUGUAAUCUGGAUGAUGGAUGUUUAUUUAUGUAUUGUGUGAAGUGGCGACUGUAAGCCAACUAUGUAUCUCUUUCCCUUAUGUAUUACAUGGGUUGUGCGAAGAUUACCUCACUUGCGACAUUGCUUUCAAUGCGGUUAUGCCUCUAAGUCGUUCUUCGACACGUGGGAGAUAUAGCCGCAUCGAGGGCGUUACACAUAUUCCAUGUGCUGACCCAUUUUAGGGCUGCAACGUUCAUGUUGCAUACUUUUCAGACGACGAGUAAGGUGCCUAUUAGGUCGUGGUUCUAUACUUAGUGAUGUCGUUGGAGUUGAUGGACUCACUUAUCUUCCAAGCCUUCCGCGGUUAUCGUUAUUAGAUGGCCUUAAGCCAUAUUUAUUGUAAUAAGUUCUCUUUUUGAGACAUUCGAUGUAAUAAGUGUGUGAUUGCUACUCUGUUAUAAAUCCUUCAAGUACUGUGUGUGUCAGCAUUACUGAUCCAGGGAUGACACUAAAGCACAUAGAUCAGACUGUUUGAGGUCUAGUCGCUACAAGAUGGUAUCAGAGCACACGCUGACUGUAGGACACGACCACUAAGCUAAAGCCCUAGAUCACUACUCACUCUUCUCAUUUCUGACUCCUCAUCUUUUCUAUUCUUUUAGGAUGGCGGAUGCAAGGAACAAGUUCACGCAACUGGAUGAAGAUACACCCUUUGGACACCACUUGAAGGAAGUCACUAGAUACCUGAACAACGGAGUGCCAAGCUUCACCGGGACCUACAACACCACUUUACCUGAAGAGGAGUGCUGGAUGAUUCUAGUUAAAGUUCUAGGAAGGACGUUCAUGCCCGUCACUGAGCCCAUAGAGUUUUCCUUUGUUGCACCAACCUGGAGUCUAGGAAUGAGCAUGGCAGCUCACAUCACCAUGGGACACAUUGGAGAAGUUUACCACAAGGAUACCAAGGAUACAAUCUACCAGAUUUGUGGGCGCCGAGAUGAGCAAUGGGAGAUGAUCAGCACCAGGAAGGAUAUAUCAAUUGCAGCUUUCAUCCAGGAGUUAAACCAGCACAUUCGCCGCCAGGAGAACCAGAUGUGCAUAGGCAUGAUAGACCUGAAGAAAGCCAUGACCAAGAUCACUGAGCUGGAGGAAGAACUUAAGUCUACACACGAUGGAUAUGAGGAGUAAAUAGCAGCACUAGUAGAGAAGAACAAUGAUCUGAAGAAGAAGCUAAAAGUAUUCAUGGGAUUUCCCGCGACUGGAGGAGAAGACGAAGAUUGCACCUGUCUAGAGAACUACAUCAUCAUCGACGACACCGACUCGGCCCAGAUGAUAGCGAUGAUGACUAUGUUGAUGAAGCUGGAGUAGAUAUCAUGGAGUAUUCAUCGGAGCAGUUUUUCUAGUCGACCUCCAUAACAAAAGUAGUAUUCCCCAUGUAUCUAGUAUAGUCCGAGCACUUUUGUAACGAUAGUUAGACGGUUGUAUGCCCUUGUUUGAUUGAAUGAAGUUAUUUUGUUUGAAUUUGUCUCAUGUGCAUAUGGGUAGAGUUUUCUCUCUAGACCUCAUUCUAUUAUGUAUUCUCAUCUCCUCUAAACCUCAGAUGCCUCUGAGACGUGACAAUGGAUUUGCUUUCCCACCGGAGCUCACUCAGUUGAUCCAGCAGUAGAAUGCCUUGAUGCAGUUGCUAGUCUAGAAUCAGAAUCAAGGGAACAACAACAACAACCCACCACCACCACCACCUGUUGAUCACUUAACCCGUUUUCUUAGGCUGAAUCCGCCGGUGUUCUCUAGUAGCAUCGAGCCAAUAGUUGCAGAUGAUUGGCUCCGCAAGACAGCAAGGGAGUUCACCACCGCGGGAUGCAGAGAUGCGGAGAGGGUGCGUUUUGCCGCACAUCAGCUUGAAGGACCCACAGCAUCAUGGUGGGAGAAUUUCACAGCUACUUAUCCUAUCGACACUGUCACAUGGGAUCAGUUUUAGUAGGAUUUCCGUGCUGCCCAUGUUACAUCAGGAGCUAUGGCCAUGAAGAAGUCUGAGUUUCACAACUUGCGCCAAGGAGGACGGAUAGUUGGCCAGUAUGUGGAUGACUUUAGUAAGCUAGCAUGUUAUGCCCCAGAUGACGUUGCUACGGAUGCAGCUAAGCAGGAGAAGUUUCUGGAAGGACUGAAUGAUGAGCUGAGCAUGCAGUUGAUGGUAGGAACUUUCAACAACUACCAGGAGUUGCUAGAUCGUGCUCUUAUGAUUGAAGGGAAGCAGCAGCAGAUUGAGAACCGCAAGAGGAAGUAUGGACAAGGGAAGUACAAUUCUGGAGCUCAUCAGAAGCCACGUUUUACCCCAAAAUCGGGAGGACAUUUCUAGCAUACCCAUGGAGGAGGUAGCACGCAUAAUCAUAAUGGACCCAAGAAUGGUAACGGGAAUGGAGGAAGCAACGGCCAGAACCGUACCCACCCGUCAACACCAGCCAAGAAAGAUCUGAGCCAAGUCAUUUGCUAUAAGUGUCAGAAGAAUGGAUAUUAUGGCAAUGAAUGUCCUGAAGCCCAGAAUGGAAAUGGCAAUGGAAGCUCAAGGAAGAAGCCGAUCCCUUUCAAUAGGGGACAGGUGAACCACGUUAACGUGGAGGAGGUUGAAGCUCAGCCAGAUGCAGUAAUAGGUAAGUUUUUGGUUAAGUCAUUUACUGCACUCGUUAUUUUUGAUACUGGUGCAUCACAUUCAUAUAUCUCAAGGGGAUUUGUGGAUAAGUAUAAACUACCAACCCAAGCCAUUAGGUCACCCAUGUUAGUAACCUCACCUGGAGCAGAGUAUAUGGCUAGUCUAUGGUGUGAUGGGUUACCAUUAAGGAUUGGUAGCUAUGUGUUUCCCUCGGACUUAAUAGUAUUGGAAUCGCAAGGAUUGGAUGUGAUAUUAGGAAUGGCUUGGUUAUCGAAGUAUGGAGGGAACAUUGAAUGCGCUAGUAAGAAUAUUUUUCUUACAACGCCAGAAGGAAGAAGGAUCAAGUAUGUAUCCCGGCAUGAGUCGGAGAGGACACAAGUAAAUUCCUUAUCAGGAGUUGUGCAGGAAGAAGUACCAGUGGCGAAGGAUUUUCCUGACGUAUUUCCAGAGGAGUUGCCAGGCAUGCCACCGGACAGAGACAUUGAGUUUUUGGUUGAGCUUUUGCCAGGCACAGGGCCAAUAUAUAAGAGACCAUACAGGAUGCCUGCAAAAGAUUUGGAAGAGAUUAAGAAGCAGAUUAAGGAGUUACUGGAUAAAGGAUAUUUUUGCCCAAGUUCUUCGCCUUGGGGAUCACCAGUACUUCUAGUGGAGAAGAAGGACGAAUCAUUGAUGAUGGUUGUUGAUUAUCGAGGAUUGAAUGCAGUAACAAUCAAGAACAAGUACCCACUGCCGAUGAUCAAUGAUCUGUUUGACCGAUUAAAAGAGCUAAGGUAUUUUCCAAGAUCGAUUUGCGAUCAGGGUACCAUCAGUUAAAGAUCCAAGAGCAGGAUAUACCUAAGACAACUUUUGCCACCAGGUACGGGCUAUAUGAGUAUACCGUUAUGUCAUUUGGUCUGACCAACACCCCUGCAUAUUUCAUGAACAUGAUGAACAAGGUGUUUAUGGAGUUUCUGGAUAAGUUCGUCAUAGUGUUCAUUGAUGAUAUUUUGGUCUACUCGAAGAACGAAGAGGAGCAUAAGGAGCAUUUGCGUUUGGUACUUGAGAAGCUCAGAGAACAUCAGUUAUACACCAAGUUCAGCAAAUGUGAGUUUUGGUUGAAGGAAGUUGGAUUCCUCGGACAUGUUAUAUCCGGAGAAGGAAUAGCAGUAGAUCCCACCAAGGUUGUCACUAUGACAAAUUGGGUAGCACCAACGACAGUUGGAGAGAUCCGGAGUUUUCUUGGACUGGCAGGAUACUACCGGAGAUUCAUUGAGAAUUUAUCGAAGAUUGCGAAGCCCAUGACGAAGUUAAUAAAGAAGGAUACCAAGUUCAAUUGGACUGAGGAAUGUGAGGCCAGUUCCAGGAGUUGAAGAAACGUUUGGUUACAUCGCCAGUGUUGAUUCUGCCAGACCAGAGCAAGGAUUAUGAGGUGUAUUGCGACGCUUCAUGUCGAGGACUUGGAGCAGUGCUUAUGGAGGAGGGAUGAGUGGUUUUGUAUGCUUCACGACAGCUGAAACCUCAUGAGUUGAAUUAUGCCACACAUGAUUUGGAGUUAGCAUCCGUAGUGCAUGCAUUGAAUACUUGGAGACAUUUUCUCAUCGGAAACCAUUGUGAAGUGUACAUAGAUCACAAGAGUUUGAAGUACAUUUUCACGCAGAAGGAGUUGAAUCUCAGGCAAAGGAGAUGAUUGGAGCUCAUCAAGGAUUAUGAUCUGAGAUUACAUUAUCAUCCCGGAAAGGCUAACGUAGUAGCUGAUGCAUUGAGCCAUAAGAGCCAUGUCAGCACACUAAUGACCGAAGAGUUUGUUGGGGAACGUAGUAAUUUCAAAAAAUUUCCUACGCACACGCAAGAUCAUGGUGAUGGCAUAGCAACGAGAGGGGAGAGUAUUGUCUAUGUACCCUCGUAGACCAUUAAGCGGAAGCGUUAUGACAACGCGGUUGAUGUAGUCGUACGUCUUCACGAAUCGACCGAUCCAAGCACCGAACGUACGGCACCUCCGUGUUCAGCACACGUUCAGCUCGAUGACGUUCCCCGGGCUCCAAUCUAGCUAAGCGUUGGGGAUGAGUUCCGUCAGCACGAUGGCGUGGUGACGAUGAUGAUGUUCUACCAGCGCAGGGCUUCGCCUAAACUCCGCGACGAUAUGACCGAGGUGGAAUAUGGUGGAGGGGGGCACCGCACACGGCUAAGGAACAAUCCGUAGAUCAACUUGUGUCUCUAUGGGGUGCCCCCCUCCCCCGUAUAUAAAGGGGGAGAGGAGGAGGAGGCCGGCCUAAGGGGAGGCGCACCCUAGGAGGGGGAAACCUACUCCAAGUAGGUUUGCCCCCUCCCUUUCCUAUUCCAAGAAGGAGGGGGAAGGAAGGAGUGGGAGAGGGGGAAGGCAAGGGGGGCGCCCCCCCCCCCUUCCUUGUCCUAUUCGGACUCAAGGGGAGGGGGCGCGCCUCUUGCCCUGGCCGGCCCCUCUCUCUCUCCACUAGGGCCCAUCAAGGCCCAUUACUUCCCGGGGGGGUUCCGGUAACCCUCCGGUACUCUGGUUUUCUCCGAAAACACCCAGAACACUUCCGGUGUCCGAAUAUAGUCAUCCAGUAUAUCAAUCUUUAUGUCUCGACCAUUUCAAGACUCCUCGUCAUGUCCGUGAUCACAUCCGGGACUCCGAACAACCUUCGGUACAUCAAAACUUAUAAACUCAUAAUAAAACUGUCAUCGUAACGUUAAGCGUGCGGACCCUACGGGUUCGAGAACUAUGUAGACAUGACCUGGAACUAUUCUCGGUCAAUAACCAAUAGCGGAACCUGGAUGUUCAUAUUGGUUCCCACCUAUUCUACGAAGAUCUUUAUCGUUCAAACCGCAUAACAACAUACGUUGUUCCCUUUGUCAUCGGUAUGUUACUUGCCCGAGAUUCGAUCGUCGGUAUCCAAUACCUAGUUCAAUCUCGUUACCGGCAAGUCUCUUUACUCGUUCUGUAAUACAUCAUCUCAUAACUAACUCAUUAGUUACAAUGCUUGCAAGGCUUAGGUGAUGAUUAUUACCAAGAGGGCCCAGAGAUACCUCUCCGACAAUCGGAGUGACAAAACCUAAUCUUGAAUUACGCCAACCCAACACGUACCUUCGGAGACACCUGUAGAGCACCUUUAUAAUCACCCAGUUACGUUGUGACGUUUGGUAGCACACAAAAUGUUCCUCCGGUAAACGGGAGUUGCAUAAUCUCAUAGUCAUAGGAACAUGUAUAAGUCAUGAAGAAAGCAAUAGCAACAUACUAAACGAUCAAGUGCUAAGCUAACGGAAUGGGUCAAGUCAAUCACAUCAUUCUCCUAAUGAUGUGAUCCCAUUUAUCAAAUGACAACACAUGUCUAUGGUUAGGAAACAUAACCAUCUUUGAUCAAUGAGCUAGUUCAAGUAGAGGCAUACUAGUGACACUAUGUUUGUCUAUGUAUUCACACAUGUAUCAUGUUUCCGGUUAAUACAAUUCUAGCAUGAAUAAUAAACAUUUAUCAUGAUAUGAGGAAAUAAAUAAUAACUUUAUUAUUGCCUCUAGGGCAUAUUUCCUUCAGUCUCCCACUUGCACUAGAGUCAAUAAUCUAGUUCACAUCGCCAUGUGAUGUAACACCAAUAAUCAUAUUUGUAUAUGAUUAACACCCAUAGUUCACAUCGUCAUGUGACCAACACCCAAAGGGUUUACUAGAGUCAAUAAUUUAGUUCACAUUGCUAUGUGAUUAACACCCAAAGAGUACUAAGGUAUGAUCAUGUUUUGCUUGUGAGAGAACUUUAGUCAACGGGUCUGUCAUAUUCAGAGCCGUAUGUAUUUUGCAAAUAUUCUAUGUCUACAAUGCUCUGCAUGGAGCUACUCUAGCUAAUUGCUCCCACUUUCAAUAUGUAUCCAGAUUGAGACUUAGAGUCAUCUGGAUCGGUGUAAAAACUUGCACCGAUGUAACUCUUUACGACGGGCUCUUUUAUCACCUCCAUAAUUGAGAAGUAUUUCCUUAGUCCUCACUAAGGAUAUUCUUGACCGCUGUCCAGUGAUCUACUAUUAGAUCAAAAUUGUAUUCCUUUGCCAAAUACAGAGCAAGGUAUACAAUAGGUCUGGUUCACAGCAUAGCAUACUUUAUAGAACCUAUGACUAAGGCACAGGGAAUGACUUUUCAUUCUCUUUCUAUUUUCUGCCAUGGUCGGGUCUUGAGUCUUACUCAACUUCACACCUUGCAACACAGGCAAUAACUCCUUCUUUGACUGUUCCAUUUUGAACUAUUUCAAAAAUUUAUCAAGGUAUGUACUCAUUGAAAAAUCUUAUCAAGCGUCUUGAUCUAUCUAUAUAGAUCUUCAUGCUCAAUGUGUAAGCAGCUUCACCGAGGUCUUGCUUUGAAAAACUCUUAUUCAAGUAUCCUUUCAUGCUAUCCAAAAUUUCCAUAUCAUUUCCAAUUAACAAUAUGUCAUCCACAUAUAAUAUUAGAAAUGCUACAGAGCUCCCACUCACUUUCUUGUAAAUGCAGGCUUCUUUAAAAGUCUGUAUAAAACCAUAUGCUUUGAUCAACUCAUCAAAGCGUAUAUUCCAACUCCGAGAUGCUUGCACCAGUCCAUUGAUGGAUCGCUGGAGCUUGCACAUUUUGUUAGCACCUUUAGGAUUAGUAAAACCUUCUGGUUGCAUCAUAUACAACUCUUGUUUAAAAAUCCAUUAAGGAAUGCAGUUUUGACAUCCAUUUGCCAGAUUUCAUAAAAUGUGGCAAUUGCUAACAUGAUUCAGACAGACUUAAGCUUCGAUACGAGUGAGAAAAUCUCAUCGUAUUCAACACCUUGAACUUGUUGAAAACCUUUUGCAACAAGUCGAGCUUAGUAGAUAGUAACACUACUAUCAGUGUCCGUCUUCCUCUUGAAGAUCCAUUUAUUUAACAUGGCUUGCUGAUCAUCGAGCAAGUCAAUCAAAGUCCACACUUUGUUCUCAUAUAUGGAUCCCAUCUCAGAUUUCAUGGCCUCAAGCCAUUUUGCGGAAUAUGGGCUCACCAUCGCUUCUUCAUAGUUCGUAGGUUCGUCAUGGUCUAGUAACAUAACUUCCAGAACAGGGUUACCGUACCACUCUGGUGCGGAUCUUACUCUGGAAGACCUACGAGGUUCUGUAGUAACUUAAUCUGAAGUUUCAUGAUCAUCAUCAUUAACUUCCUCACUAAUUGGUGUAGUAGUCACAGGAACAGAUUUCCGUGAUGAACUACUUUCAAAUGAGGGAGCAGGUACAGUUACCUCAUCAAGUUCUACUUUCCUCCCACUCACUUCUUUCGAGAGAAACUCCUUCUCUAGAAAGGAUCCAUUCUUAGCAACGAAUGUUUUGCCUUUGGAUUUGUGAUAGAAGGAGUACCCAACAGUUUCCUUUGGGUAUUCUAUGAAGACGCACUUCUCCGAUUUUGGUUCGAGCUUAUCAGGUUGAAAACCUUUUUCAUAUAAUCAUCACAACUCCAAACUUUUAAGAAACGACAGCUUAGGUUUACUUCUAAACCAUAGUUCAUACGAUGUUGUCUCAACGGAUUUAGAUGGUGCCCUUUUAACGUGAAUGCAGCUGUCUCUAAUGCAUAACCCCAAAACGAUAAUGGUAAUCAGUAAGAGACAUCAUAGAUCGCACCAUAUCCAAUAAAGUGUGGUUACGACGUUCGGACACACCAUAACGUUAUGGUGUUCCAGGUGGCGUGAGCUGUGAAACUAUUCCACAUUGUUUUAAUUGAAGACCAAACUCGUAACUCAAAUAUUCGUCUCCGCGAUCAGAUCGCAGAAACUUUAUUUUCUUGUUACGAUGAUUUUUUCACUUCACUCUGAAAUUCUUUGAACCUUUCAACUAUUUCAGACUUAUGUUUCAUCAAGUAGAUAUACCCAUAUCUGCACAAAUCAUCUGUGAAGGUCAGAAAAUAACGAUACUUGCCACGAGCAUCAACACUCAUUGGAUCGCAUACAUCGGUAUGUAUUAUUUCCAAUAAGUCAGUAGCUCGUUCCAUUGUUCCGGAGAAUGGAGUUUUAGUCAUCUUGCCCAAUAGGCACGGUUCGCAAGCAUCAAAUGAUUCAUAACAAAGUGAUUCCGAAAAUCCAUCUUUAUGGAGUUUCUUCAUGCGCUUUACACCGAUAUGACCCAAACGGCAGUGCCACAAAUAAGUUGCACUAUCAUUAUUAACUUUGCAUCUUUUGGCUUCGACAUUAUGAAUAUGUGUAUCACUACGAUCGAGAUCCAACAAACUAUUUUCAUUGGGUGUAUGACCAUUGAAGGUUUUAUUCAUGUAAACAGAACAACAAUUAUUCUCUGACUUUAAAUGAAUAACCGUAUUGCUAUAAACAUGAUCAAAUCACAUUCAUGCUCAACGCAAACACCAAAUAACACUUAUUUAGGUUCAACACUAAUCCCGAAAGUAUAGGGAGUGUGCGAUGAUGAUCAUAUCAAUCUUGGAACUACUUCCAACACACAUCGUCACCUCACCCUCAACUAGUUUCUGUUUAUUCUGCAACUCUUGUUUUGAGUUACUACUCUUAGCAACUGAACCAGUAUCAAAUACCAAGGGGUUGCUAUAAACACUAGUAAAGUACACAUCAAUAACAUGUAUAUCAAAUAUACCAUUGUUCACUUUGCCAUCCUUCUUAUCCACCAAAUAUUCAAGGCAUUUCCGCUUCUAGUGACCAUUUCCUUUGCGGUAUAAUCACUCAGUUUCAGGUUUUGGUCCAGCUUUGGGCUUCUUCGCGGGAGUGACAACUUGCUUGCCAUUCUGCUUGAAGUUCCCUUUCUUUCCCUUUGCCCUUUUCUUGAAACUAGUGGUCUUGUCAAUCAUCAACACUUGAUGCUCUUUCUUGAUUUCUACCUUCAUCGAUUUCAGCAUCACGAAGAGCUCGGGAAUCGUUUUCGUCAUCCCUUGCAUUAUAGUUCAUCACAAAGUUCUACUAACUUGGUGGUGGUGACUAGAGAAUUCUGUCAAUCACUAUCUUAUCUGGAAGAUUAACUCCCACUUGAUUCAAGCGAUUGUAGUACCCAGACAAUCUGAGCACAUGCUCACUAGUUGAGCGAUUCUCUUCCAUCUUUUAGCUAUAGAAAUUGUUGGAGACUUCAUAUCUCUCAACUCGGGUAUUUUCUUGAAAUAUUAACUUCAACUCCUGGAACAUCUCACAUGAUCCAUGACGUUCAAAAACGUCUUUGAAGUCCUGAUUAUAAGCUGUUAAGCAUGGUGCACUAAACUAUCAAGUAGUCAUCAUAUUGAGCUAGCCAAACGUUCAUAAUGUCUGCAUCUGCUCCUGCAAUAGGUCCGUCACCUAGCGGUGCAUUAAGGACAUAAUUCUUCUUUGCAGCAACGAGGAUAAACCUCAGAUCACGGAUUCAAUCCGCAUCAUUGCUACUAAUAUCUUUCAACACAGUUUUCUCUAGGAACAUAUCAAAAUAAACAUAUGAAAGCAACAACGCGAGAUAUUGAUCUAUAACAUAAUUUGCAAAAUACUACCAGGACUAAGUUCAUGAUAAAUUUAAGUUCAAUUAAUCAUAUUACUUAAGAACUCCCACUUAGACAGACAUCCCUCUAAUCCUCUAAGUGAUUACGUGAUCCAUAUCAACUACACCAUGUUCGAUCAUCACGUGAGAUGGAGUAGUUUCAACGGUGAACAUCACUAUGUUGAUCAUAUCUACUAUAUGAUUCACGCUCGACCUUUUGGUCUCCGUGUUCCGAGGCCAUAUCUGUAUAUGCUAGGCUCGUCAAGUAUGACCUGAGUAUUCCGCGCGUGCAACUGUUUUGCACCCGUUGUAUUUGAACGUAGAGCCUAUCACACCCGAUCAUCACGUGGUGUCUCGGCACGAAGAACUUUCGUAACGGUGCAUACUCAGGGAGAACACUUCUUGAUUAUUAAGUGAGAGAUCAUCUUAAAAUGCUACCGUCAAUCAAAGCAAGAUAAGAUGCAUAAAGGAUAAACAUCACAUGCAAUCAAUAUAAGUGAUAUGAUAUGGGCAUCAUCAUCUUGUGCUUGUGAUCUCCAUCUCUGAAGCACCAUCGUGAUCACCAUCGUCAUCGGCACGACACCUUGAUCUCCAUCGUAGUAUCGUUGUCGUUUACGCCAUCUAUUGCUUCUACGACUAUCGCUACCGCUUAGUGAUAAAGUAAAGCAAUUACAGGGUGUUUGCAUUUCAUACAAUAAAGCGACAACCAUAUGGCUCCUGCCAGUUGCCGAUAACUUCGGUUACAAAACAUGAUCAUCUCAUACAAUAAAAUAUAGCAUCACGUCUUGUCCAUAUCACAUCACAACAUGCCCUGCAAAAACAAGUUAGACGUCCUCUACUUUGUUGUUGCAAAUUUUACGUGGCUGCUACGGGCUUAGCAAGAACCGUUCUUACCUACGCAUCAAAACCACAACGAUAGUUCAUCAAGUUAGUGCUGUUUUAACCUUCGCAAGGACCGGGCGUAGCCACACUCGAUUCAGCUAAAGUGAGAGAGACAGACACCCGCCAGCCACCUUUAAGCACAAGUGCUCGUAACGGUGAAACCAGUCUCGCGUAAGCGUACGCGUAAUGUCGGUCCGGGCUGCUUCAUCUCACAAUACCGCCGAACCAAAGUAUGACAUGCUGGUAAGCAGUAUGACUUGUAUCGCCCACAACUCACUUGUGUUCUACUCGUGCAUAUAACAUCAACGCAUAAAACCUGGCUCGGAUGCCACUGUUGGGAACGUAGUAAUUUCAAAAAAAUUCCUACGCACACGCAACAUCAUGGUGAUGGCAUAGCAACGAGAGGGGAGAGUAUUGUCUACGUACCCUCGUAGACCGUUAAGCGGAAGCGUUAUGACAACGCGGUUGAUGUAGUCGUACGUCUUCACGAAUCGACCGAUCCAAGCACCGAACGUACGACACCUCCGUGUUCAGCACACGUUCAGCUCGAUGACGUUCCUCGGGCUCCAAUCUAGCUAAGCGUCGGGGAUGAGUUCCGUCAGCACGGCGGUGUGGUGACGAUGAUGAUGUUCUACCAGCGCAGGGCUUCGCCUAAACUCCGCAACGAUAUGACCGAGGUGGAAUAUGGUGGAGGGGGGCACCGCACAUGGCUAAGGAACGAUCCGUAGAUCAACUUGUGUCUCUAUGGGGUGCCCCCCUCCCCCGUAUAUAAAGGGGGAGAGGAGGAGGAGGCCGGCCUAAGGGGACGCGCGCCCUAGGAGGGGGAAACCUACUCCAAGUAGGUUUGCCCCCUCCCUUUCCUAUUCCAAGAAGGAGGGGGAAGGAAGGAGUGGGAGAGGGGGAAGGCAAGGGGGGUGCCCCCCCCUUCCUGGUCCUAUUCGGACUCAAGGGGAGGGGGCGCGCCUCUUGCCCUGGCCGGCCCCUCUCUCUCUCUCCACUAGGGCCCAUCAAGGCCCAUUACUUCCCGGGGGGUUCUGGUAACCCUCCGGUACUCUGAUUUUCUCCGAAAACACCCGGAACACUUCCGGUGUCCGAAUAUAGUCAUCCAAUAUAUCAAUCUUUAUGUCUCGACCAUUUCAAGACUCCUCGUCAUGUCCGUGAUCACAUCCGGGACUCCGAACAACCUUCGGUACAUCAAAACUUAUAAACUCAUAAUAAAACUGUCAUCGUAACGUUAAGCGUGCGGACCCUACAGGUUCGAGAACUAUGUAGACAUGACCUAGAACUAUUCUCGGUCAAUAACCAAUAGCGGAACCUGGAUGUUCAUAUUGGUUCCCACAUAUUCUACGAAGAUCUUUAUCGGUCAAACCGCAUAACAACAUACGUUGUUCCCUUUGUCAUCGGUAUGUUACUUGCCCGAGAUUCGAUCGUCGGUAUCCAAUACCUAGUUCAAUCUCCUUACCGGCAAGUCUCUUUACUCGUUCCGUAAUACAUCAUCUCAUAACUAACUCAUUAGUUACAAUGCUUGCAAGGCUUAGGUGAUGAUUAUUACCGAGAGGGCCCAGAGAUACCUCUCCGACAAUCGGAGUGACAAAACCUAAUCUUGAAUUACGCCAACCCAACAUGUACCUUCGGAGACAUUUGUAGAGCACCUUUAUAAUCACCCAGUUACGUUGUGACGUUUGGUAGCACACAAAAUGUUCCUCCGGUAAACGGGAGUUGCAUAAUCUCAUAGUCAUAGGAACAUGUAUAAGUCAUGAAGAAAGCAAUAGCAACAUACUAAACGAUCAAGUGCUACGCUAACGGAUUGGGUCAAGUCAAUCACAUCAUUAUCCUAAUGAUGUGAUCCCAUUAAUCAAAUGACAACACAUGUCUAUGGUUAGGAAACAUAACCAUCUUUGAUCAAUGAGCUAGUUCAAGUAGAGGCCUACUAGUGACACUAUGUUUGUCUAUGUAUUCACACAUGUAUCAUGUUUCCGAUUAAUACAAUUUUAGCAUGAAUAAUAAACAUUUAUCAUGAUAUGAGGAAAUAAAUAAUAACUUUAUUAUUGCCUCUAGGGCAUAUUUCCUUCAGAGUUACCAAAGGAGUUAGCCGAGGAUCUUCGUGAGCUAUGUUUGGAGAUAGUUCCGAGAGGUUAUGUAGCAGCAUUGGAGAUUCAGUCUACUUUGAUGGAUAAGAUCAGGGAAGCUCAGAAGACUGACAAGGGGAUUGCCUCUAUAAAGGAGAAGAUGAGCAAAGGAAAAGAUAAAGGAUUUCGUGAGGAUGAGCACGAUACCUUAUGGUUUGAAGACCAUGUUUACAUGCCUAAUGACCUGGAGAUCAGGAAGUUGAUUUUGCAAGAGGCCCAUGAUUCACCAUAUUUGAUUCACCUGGGAAAUACGAAGAUGUAUUUGGAUUUGAAGGAUACUUUCCGGUGGACCGGAAUGAAGAAGGAUAUUGCGGAUUAUGCAGCAGUUUGUGAUGUAUGUCAGAGAGUAAAGGCAGAGCAUCAGAAGCCAGCAGGAUUGUUACAGCCAUUGCCAAUACCCGAAUGGAAGUGGGAUAAGCUAGGCAUGAAUUUUAUUACGGGAUUGCCCAGGACUCGUUCAGGCUAUGACUCGAUUUGGGUUGUAGUCGAUCGUUUGACGAAGGUAGCUAUUUCAUCCCAGUAAAGACUACUUACACCAGUGCUAAGUUGGCUAAGAUAUACAUGACCAUGAUCUUAUGUCUGCAUGGAGUUUCGAGGAGCAUUGUAUCAGAUAGAGGAACCUAGUUUACCUCAAAGUUCUGGAAUCAGUUGCACGAAACUUUGGGUACCAGGCUAGUGUUCAGUACAGCUUUUCACCCGUAGACAGAUGGACAGACCGAGAGAGUCAAUUAGAUUUUGGAGGAUAUGCUGAGAGCUUGUGCGCUAGAUUAUGGAUCUAGUUGGGACGAAAAUUUGACAUACGCAGAGUUCUCUUACAACAACAGUUAUUAAUCCAGUUUGAAGAUGGCCCCUUUCGAAGCCUUGUACGGAAGGAGGUGCAGGACCCCAUUAUCGUGGAAUGAAGUUGGAGACCGCCAGUUGUUUGGACUAGAUUUGAUUAAGGAGUCUGAACAGAAGGUGAUGUUGAUUCACGAUAGGCUCAAGGUAGCCCAGUCUAGGAAGAAGAGCUAUGCAGAUUAUAAACGCAAGGAGACAAUUUACGAAGUCGUAGACCGAGUUUAUCUUCGAGUAUCUCCACUUCGAGGAGUUAAGCGCUUUGGAGUUAAGGGAAAGUUAGCGCCAUGUUUUGUAGGACCAUACAAAGUUUUGGAGCGUAUGGGAGAAGUUGCCUAUAAGUUGGAACUGCCCGAAGGAUUGUCAGGAGUUCACAAUGUGUUCCACGUUUCCCAGUUGACGAAGUGCCACGCGGAGAUGGCUAAUAUACCGCUAAGAGAUACAGUGCAACUGGAAGCGAUUCAAUUGGACAGUGAUUUGACCUACGAGGAGAAACCAGUCAAGAUUCUUGAGUAUGCUAGCCGAGUCACCCGCAACAAGGUUAUCAAGUUUUGCAAAGUUCAGUGGAGCCACCAUACCGAGGAUGAAGCCACCUGGGAGCGAGAGGAAGAUCUGCUGAAGGACCACCCUCACCUAUUUUCUAGCCAACCCGAAUCUUGAGGGCGAGAUUCAUCUUAAGGGGGGUAGGUUUGUAACAUCCAAAUUUUCAAUUUGGAAUGUUAUACACUAGAUCAUCAUUGCAUAUCAUACUUUAUUGCUUUUGGUUUGAUCCUAGAAAUUCUAAGCUACUUAAGGACCCUCGGAGAGAGUUGGGGAUUUCGUUAUUUUCAUAUUUGAGUUUUCUCGAAUUUUGAUUGAUUUUAUUUAUUUUAUCUUCAAUUAUUUCAAUUAUAAAAAUAUGAGAGAGGGAAUAAAAUGACUUUCCAAAAAAAAAAGAAAUAUUGAGGAUUUAAUUAAAAAAAUCAAAUAAGUUUUAUUUUGGAGUUUUUGCUAUUUUAUUUGAAUUUAGGAAAAAUUGCACGUUUUUAAAACUGCAUUUUUGGGGCCAAGAAAAUGUUCAUCUUGUUCUAAAUAUUUUAUUUAGACGGUGAAAAUUUGUUUUGGCAUUUUUAGAUUUUUAUUUAUUUUUCUUGGAUUUUUCUUAGUUCGGCGAAAUUAUUUUAACAAAAAAUCUCGCGCCCAACUGGGCCGAAGGCCCAGCCAGGCCAGGCUGGCCCGCGCCGCCGCCGCCUUCCCCGCACCGCGCUGCCGCCGGACAGGAGUCCGAGCCGGACUCCUCUGCCCCGCCGCCUUGCCCCCUCCCCCAAGAAGCCCCCCCUCUUUAAAUACCCUGCCGCCGCCACCCCACCCCGCCACCCAUCGCCCCGCAGCAGCAGCAGCCGCAGCCGCCGCCGCAGCCCCGCCACCCGCGCCAUCCCGCCGUCCCACCGGAGCAUUGCCGGAGCCGAGCCGGAGGUAACCGCCGCCGCCGCCGUGGUUCGUUUUUUUUUAAAACCCGAUCCGGGUUUUUUAGAAACCCUAGACUCAUUUUUUUAUAAAUCAGUUUUUACGGUUUAUUUGUUUAGCGAGCGUUCGCCCGUUCGUUCGUUUUAACGAACGAAUUCGCUGUUUAGUUUCAGUUAGCGAACGUUCGUUCGUUAAUCUGUUCGUCAGUCUUUCUUUUUCUUGGAUUUUCCGCGGUUAUUUCUGAUCAUGAUUUCUGAUCCGAUUUUCGUUUUAGUAUAACUUUUCGCUUGUUUAUCGGAAUUAGGCGAUUCAAGCGCAUAGAGUUUCGUCUCGAAACCCUCUUUCUGUUUCAAACAAGGUUUUGCUUCUGUAAAAUUUGACCUAGGUCCAGAUUAGUAAACGAAGCUUGUUUCUUUCGCCGUUUGACUUUCGUUGCUUCGUUUGAUUUGAUUCUUUUUGCAAAUCGGAGUUCUUAAGUUGAACUUUCUGGUUAGAUCUCUUAUUUGAGUUUUACCUGUGCAUUAGAUGAGUACUUAUUGUAUGCUUGCUUGUUUGCGAUGGAGUACCCGAAGUGCACCGCUUGCUACUUUGAAUCUCUAGGUCUCGCGGAUCAUCAGCAAGGCAAGUAACAGUUUGAUCAUACCUCUUUACUACCCAGUUUUAUUGCAUUAGAUCAAUCCUCAAACAUUGCAUGAUUAGGAUCUAAUUAAAUUUUGGGUUUUGGGAAGUAGAUGAGGUAGUACCUAUUACCUGUUUUAUUAUCAAACCCUUGGGAGUUACUCCUAUGUUUGCUUAUUAUGCCAUGCUAUGCUAGUAGACGUGGAUUGGGUGGGUGUAUCCAUGACAGAUGUGAGAUUGUUAAUUAAUGGUUUAUUUAAGGUGGAAACUUAAACACCCAUCUGGGUGGAUUGAGGCACCUGGGUAUUCCAGCGAUUGCCUAUUUUUAUUUAUGGACCGCCACCCAGGCUCAAAGGGAUCAUGAGAUUAUUCAUGCUAGAAACUUCUGUGUGCAGCCACAAGCUACUAUGGGCUCUAGCAUAGUUGACUAAGUCAGGAGAACUCUUACAUUGGUAGACUAGCAGAUGUAGGGGAUGUAGGUUGGUACUAUCUACCCCAUCGUAAGGUGCUAGUGCUUCUGAAAGACUGUGUCUCGGUCAUCCGUUUCUCAAACAUCAUGAAGUGGGAGAAAUUCAACGGAGGAGAUCGAGUCUUGUGGGGAAAAGUGUGCAAACCUCUGCAGAGUGCAUAAACUAAUCAUGGUUAGCCGUUUCCCCGGUUAUGGACAUCUUGAGUAUCUAGUACUUGGAUUAUCACGUGAAUCUCAUCAUGUUACUUUAAUUAAUAUUGUUGGGUUUUAAUGAUGAUGCUUAAUUGGUAUUGAGAAUGCUUUCAACCAUUCUCAAUGUUUAACAACCACCAUGAUAGUAAAAUAAAAUUUAUUCCUUUGCAGUUGGGAAAAAUUGGCUUUAUGCAAAACUGUAACCAUAGAGCUUUCCACCAGCCAUAUAUGCAUGUAGUAUAGCUUUAUUCUUUCAUUACUCUCUAUGUGUUACAUUGCCAGCAUAUUCCAUGUGCUGACCAAAUUUCGGGCUGCAACGUUCAUGUUGCCGACUUUUCAGACGACGAGUAAGGUGCCUAUUAGGUCGUGGUUCUAUACUUAGUGAUGUCGUUGGAGUUGAUGGACUCACUUAUCUUCCAAGCCUUCCGUUAUUAUCGUUAUUAGAUGGCCUUAAGCCAUAUUUAUUGUAAUAAGUUCUCUUUUUGAGACAUUCGAUGUAAUAAGUGUGUGAUUGCUACUCUGUUAUAAAUCCUUCAAGUACUGUGCGGGUCAGCAUUACUAAUCCAGGGAUGACACUAAAGCACAGAGAUCAGACUGUUUGAGUCUGGCCACUACACCCUGCGCCUGAGGUGACACUAGUCCAGGUGGCGUGUUCGGGUUACCAAAGUCUGCCUCACCAUGUGCAAUGUGCAGUCACUGUCACCGUCGCUGUAUAGCAUUCCUCGCCUUGUCUCCCUCUCCCCUAGCACCACUCUAUCUCCGUCUUUGUCUCAUCGGAGAUCACGAGGUCAGUCUUCAUCAUCUCACUAUGCCCCCGCGUACCCUCGCCUCACUCGCCUCCCCCAAUACCACUAUUCCCUCGCUAGGCGCUCUAGCACCGAGGGCCUUCUCCCCCAUAAAUCAAGCCCCCAAAACCCCACCUUCCAAACUCCACCAUGGCUGAACGCGAACCGUGCAGCAUCCAUAUGAGCCGCGAUUGGAGCAAUCUCCCUAGUGACAUCCUCAACCUCUGUUGUUCGUGUAUGGAUAUGUUGAGCGCCCUGUGGCUGGUUGCAUGCUUGAGGGACAUGAACACAGCCAUCAUCGAAGCGAGGCCUAAGCUUUUCAAGACACCCUACUUGCUGCUAUCUGGUCUUGCAAGAUUUGCUCACCAUGAUAAGGAGGCGUACAUGAUGCCCCUCGACUUCAAUCCGACCUCCAUUAGCCAAAACUUCUUUGCAGGUAUUAGUGGGUCGCCAUACAUCAUUUCCCUCGACUUUGAUCCAAUCACCAUGGCCCAAAACUUCUUGGCCGGUAUGUACUGGUCGGCAUGAGCUCCCAUUGGAUGGCUGCCGUCAGACAAGACCAGAAAAAGUUGGUACUCGUGAAUUUCCACACCUCCCAUGAGAUUAUCCUUCCGACAUUGGAUUAUAUAGAGCUUUACCGUCGCGGUCCAAGUCAUCUAGAUUACGAAGUCAGUUGGACGCACCUUGUUUUGCAAAAGAUUGUAAGCUACCAAGUGCCCACUGCUACGUCUUGAGCUUGCGUUGGUUUUCCUUGAAGAGGAAAGGGUGAUGCAGCGAAAGUAGCGUAAGUAUUUCCCUCAGUUUUUGAGAACCAAGGUAUCAAUCCAGUAGGAGGCUCCUCAGAAGUCCCACGCACCUACACAAUAAAACAAGAACCUCGCAACCAACGCAAUAAAGGUGUUGUCAAUCCCUUCACGGCCACUUGCGAAAGUGAGAUCUUAUAAAGAUAAUAUGAUAAGAUAAAUAUUUUUGGUAUUUUUCUGAUAUAUAUUGGAAAGUAAAAGAUGCAAAUAAAAGUAGAUGGUGAAGUUAUAUGAUAAAAGAUAGACUCGGGGGCCAUAGGUUUCACUAGUUUUUUCUCUCAAGAUAGCAUAAGUAUUACGGUGGGUGAACAAAUUACUGUGAAGCAAUGGAUAGAAAAGCGCAUAGUUAUGAGAUUAUCUAGGCAUGAUCAUAUAUAUAGGCAUCACGUCCGUGACAAGUAAAUCGACUCCUGCCUACAUCUACUACUAUUAUUCUACACAUCGACAGCUAUCCAGCAUGCAUCUUGAGUAUUAAGUUCAUAAGAACAAAGUAACGCAUUAGGCAAGAUGACAUGAUGUAGAGGGAUAAACACAAGCAAUAUGAUAUAAACCCCAUCUUUUUAUCCUCGAUGGCAACAAUACAAUACGUGCCUUGCUGCCCCUGCUGUCAUUGGGAAAGGACACCGCAAGAUUGAACCCAAAGCUAAGCACUUCUCCCAUUGCAAGAAAGAUCAAUCUAGUAGGCCAAACCAAACUGAUAAUUCAAAGAGACUUGCAAAGAUAACCAAUCAUACAUAAAAGAAUUCAGAGGAGAUUCAAAUAUUUCUCAUAUAUAAACUUGAUCAUAAAUCCACUAUUCAUUGGAUCUCGACAAAAACACCGCAAAAAGAGUUACAUCAAAUAAUCUCCAAGAAGAUCGAGGAGAACUUUGUAUUGAGAUUCAAAGAGAGAGAAGAAGCCAUCUAGCUAAUAAAUAUGGACCCGAAGGUCUGUGGUAAACUACUCACAACUCAUCGGAGAGGCCUUGGAGAUGAUGUAGAGGCCCUCCAUGGUUGAUUCCCCCUCCGGCGGAGCAUUGGCGAAGGCUCCAAGAUGGGAUCUUGCGGAUAUAGAAGGUUGCAGUGGUGGAAAUAGUUUUUCGUGGUGCUCCUGGAUGUUUUCGAGGUACGUGGGUAUAUAUAGGAGGAAGAAUUAGGUCGGUGGACGCUCGGGGGGCCCACGAGGGUGGGGGGCAUGCCCACCCCUAGGGGGCGCACCGAGCACCGUCGUGGCCGCCUCCUCUGUUGCUUGACGUCCACGCCAAGUCCCCUGGAUUGUGUUUGUUCCAAAAAGAUCUCUCCCGAAGGUUUCAUUCCGUUUGGACUCCGUUUGAUAUUCCUUUCCUUCGAAACACUGAAAUAGGCAAAAAAAACAGCAACUUGGGCUGGGCCUCUGGUUAGUAGGUUAGUCCCAAAAAUGAUAUAAAAGUGUAAAGUAAAGCCCAUAAACAUCUAAAACGGGUAAUAUAAUAGCAUGGAACAAUCAAAAAUUAUAGAUACGUUGGAGACGUAUCAAGCAUCCCCAAGCUUAAUUCCUGCUCGUCCUCGAGUAGGUAAAUGAUAGAAAUAGAAUUUUUGAUGUGGAAUGCUACCUAGCAUAAUUCUCAAUGUAAUUUUCUUUAUUGUGGCAUGAAUGUUCAGAUCCAAAUGAGUCAAACUAAAAGUUCAUAUUGACAUAAGAAAUAGUAAUACUUCAAGCAUACUAAUCAAAGCAAUCAUGUCUUCUCAAAAUAACAUUGCUAAAGAAAGUUCAUCCCUACAAAAUUAUGUAGUUUGGUCAUGCUCCAUUUUUGUCACACAAGAAUGCUCUCAUCUUGCACACCCCCGAUGACAAGCCAAUCAAUUGUUUCAUACUUUAGUAAUCUCAAACUUUUUAAACUUUCAUGCAAUUCAUGAGCGUGAUCCAUGGAUAUAACACUAUGGGUGGAAUAGAAUAUGAUGAUGGAGGUUGUGUGGAGAAGACAAAAAUGGAAGAAAGUCUCAUGUUAAUGAGGCUAAUCAACGGGCUGUGGAGAUGCCCAUCAAUUGAUGUCAACAUGAGGAGUAGGGAUUGCCAUGCAACGGAUGCACUAGAGCUAUAAAUGUAUGAAAGCUCAACAAAAGAAACUAAGUGGGUGUGCAUCCAACUUGCUUGCUCACGAAGACCUAGGGCAUUUUGAGGAAGCCCAUCGUUGGAAUAUACAAGCCAAGUUCUAUAAUGAAAAAUUCCCACAAGUAUAUGAAAGUGGCAACAAAUGAGACUCUCUAUAUGAAGAACAUGGUGCUACUUUGAAGCACAAGUGUGGAAAAGGAUAGUAACAUUCCCCCCUUUUUUAUUUUCUUUUUCUUCUCUUUUUUGGGCCUUUCUUUUUUUUUUGGCCUUUCUUCUUUUUUUUCUUUGGCCUUUCUUUUUUUUGGACUUUCUUUUUUUUAUUUGGGGAUAAUGCUCUAAUAAUGAUGAUCAUCACAAUUCUAUUUAUUUACAACUCAUGAAUUACAACUCAAAACUAGAACAAGAUAUGACUCUAUAUGAAUGCCUCCAGCGCUGUAUUGGGAUGGACAAUGAAUCAAGAGUGACAUGUAUAAAAAAUUAUGCAUGGUGGCUUUUCCACAAAUACGAUGUCAACUACAUGAUCAUGGAAGGCAAUGUGACAAUGGUGAUGUGUGUCAUGAUAAACGGAACAGUGGAAAGUUGCAUGGCAAUGUAUCUUGGAAUGGCUAUGGAAAUGCCAUAAUAGGUAGGUAUGGUGGCUGUUCGAGGAAGAUAUAAGGAGGUUUAUGUGUGAUAGAGUGUAUCGUAUCACGGGGUUUGGAUGCACCGGCGAAGUUUGCACCAACUCUCAAGGUGAGAAAGGGCAAUGCACGGUACCGAAGAGGCUAGCAAUGAUGGAAAGAUAAGAGUGUGUAUAAUCCACGGACUCAACAUUAGUCAUAAAGAACUUAUAUACUUAUUGCAAAAAUCUACAAGUCAUCAAAAACGAAGCAAUACGCGCAUGCACCUAGGGGGAUAGAUUGGUAGGAAAAGACCAUCGCUCGUCCCCGACCGCCACUCAUAAGGAUGACAAUCUAAGAACACCUCAUAUUUCAAAUUUGUUACACAACGGUUACCAUACGUGCAUGCUACAGGACGUGCUAACUUCAACACAAGCAUUCUGUAAAUUCACAAUUACCCAACUAGCAUGACUCUAAUAUCACCACCUCCAUAUCUCAAAACAAUUAUCAAGUAUCAAAUUGAUCAUAGCAUCCAAUUCACUUCCUACGAUAGUUUUUAUUAUACCCAACAUGGAUGCUCAUCCUUCUAGGCCCAAUUUUAUAACCAUAGCAAAUACCAUGCUGUUCUAAAAAAAGACUCUAAAAAUAAUAUAAGUGAAGCAUGAGAGAUUAACAAUUUCUACAAAAUCAAGCCACCGCCGUGCUCUAAAAGUUAUAAGUGAAGCACUAGAGCAAAACUAUCUAGCUCAAAAGAUAUAAGUGAAGCACAUAGAGUAUUCUAAUAAAUUCCAAUCAAGUGGGUUUCUCCCAAAAGGUGUGUACAGGAAGGAUUAUUGUGGUAAACUAAAGGCAAAGACUAAUAUCAUACAAGACGCUCCAAGAAAAACACAUAUCAUGUGGCGAAUAAAAAUAUAGCUCCAAGUAAAGUUACCAAUAGACGAAGACGAAAGAGGGGAUGCCUUCCGGGGCAUCCCCAAGCUUUGGCUUUUGGUUAUCCUUGAAUAUCUUGGGGUGCCAUGGGCAUCCCCAAGACUAGGCUCUUGCCACUCAUUAUUCCAUAGUCCAUCAAAUCUUUACCAAAAACUUGAAAACUUCACAACACAAAACUCAACAGGAAAUCUCAUAAGCUCCGUUAGUGCAAGAAAGAAAAACCACCACAUAAGUUACUGUAAUAAACUCAUUAUUUAUUUAUAUUGGUGUUAAACCUACUGUAUUCCAACUUCUCUAUGGUUCAUACCUACCAAUACUAGCCAUAGAUGCAUCAAAAUAAGCAAACAACACACGAAAAACAGAAUCUGUCAAAAACAGAACAGUCUGUAGCAAUCUGUAACUCUCGAAUAGUUCUGGAACUAUAAAAAUCCUACCAAAAUAGGAAGUCCUGGGAAAUUUUUCUAUUGAUCUACAGCAAAAAAAUCAACGCAGAAGCACGUUUCUGUCAAUUACAAAAAUUAUUUUCGUGCACGCAAAAGUUUAUGUUUUUCAGCAGACUCAAAUUAACUAUCACCGUAGGUUAUCCUAUAGGUUCUACUUGCCACAAACACUAAUUAAAACAUAAAACCACAUCUAAUCAGAAGCUAGAUGAAAUAUUUAUUACUAAACAGAAGCAAAAAUCAAAAACUAAAAUAAAAUUGGGUUGCCUCCCAACUAGCGCUAUCGUUUAACGCCCCUAGCUAGGCAUAAAAGCGAGGAUAGAUCUAAGUAGUGCCAUAAUAAUAAGAUAGAUCACGAAAACUCAUCUCAUAUUCUCUAUGUUCAGCUGCAAGUUCUUCGAGGCAAGCAAAAGUAAUCAAAAGGGCUAAGUUUAAUUGGACAAAAGUCCCCAAGAUCAAUCUCAGGAGGUAUGGGUUCCUCCUUUGGCCCUUCAUAUUGCAAAAGCAAUUCAUCAUUAUAAACAUUCUUUUGACAGAACCUCUUGAGUCUACACUCAAGUGAGUAUCCUAGCUCAUUAUUUCGAAUAGCAAAAUCAUUAUUGAGUUCAGAAAUUUUAUCAACUAGAACCGUGGUAGGAACUUUUUUUCUAAGGUUUUCAUUAAAAGCAAUAUAGUCCAAAGAUUGGAAACGCAUAAUUUCCUCUUGAUCGAAGAGGAUCGCCUCUAUGGGAGGACGACCGGCGUCCACCCUAUAGUGCGCAAAAAUUUCUUUGGCUUCUUUUAUUAUAAAUCUAAACUCAUGUGCCAAAAAGAAAGUAGCUGCGUGCUUAACAGAAGAAUGCUCAAUAUUAGAAAAUUCUAGGAAAAUUCUUUGUAUUCAAGGAUGCAUGUGCAUAAACUGUCUUUCAAGUUCAACUAUAAGCAUGGCGAUAGCAUCCGCAAGACUACUAGUUCUAUGCAUGAUAGAACUACCCAUAGAAGGUAAAGCACCGACACAAGUAAAGAAAUCUUGAAUAACCCCUUUUCCAAUAAUAUUACCACUAUCGAUUCGAAACUUUUUAGUAUGCAAGAUAGGGGGUUCUUUAGCAGGAGCAUCAGAAUUUUCCAUGUUAUCAUUAUUGUCCAUAUCAACGAUAAUCUCCCCAAUUUCAAACAUAACGGUAGAAGAAGCGAGGAGAAAGAGAAGGAGGGAGGAAAACGGAAAGAGAGGGCGAAUAAAACGGCAAGCACUACAAAAAAAGGACACAUCCGUGACAUUUUGGGCCGAACAAUUUUUUUUUCUGUCAUACAUAUGACACUUCUAUGACGAUAAUUGUGACAAAACCCGGUAUCAUCAUAGAUGUGGUGGGCUCCUACUUCUAUGACAAAAAAUCAUGACAAAAAAUGGGCUUUUCUUCCUGGGCGGGCCGGAGACGUAGCUGCAUGACAUUCUUUGGGCCGUCCAUGGUGGAAAAAACCGUGGUAGAAGCGAGGGGGAGGAAAAUUUUGGGGAGGUGCCGGUUACGGUGGGAGGUCGGGGGCCGAGUGAUGCGCGUUUGUCUCAUACACGUACGCGUGUGUGUGCGAGGCAUUGGCUCUAACUGAACCCGAGCGAGGCGUUGGGCUCUAACUGAACCCGAGCGAUUACACUGCAGGCUACGCGUUACUGAACCCGAGCGAUCGAUCGAUGGCUGUUAACUGAACCCGAUCGAGCGAUUCCCGAUGAACAUGACGCAUUCCGUUGCCUCCCCAUGAACACGACGCAUUCCGUUGCCUCCCCAUGAACAUGACGACGACGCUAUUUCUCCGUUCCGACCCAGCCAUGUACACGAGCCCUAGCCGUACGUAUGCGCGAGUAGGCGUUCGAGACCCUGCCUGUAUGUACACAUACGUGGUUGUAUUUUCUUUCUUCUAGCCUGGCCGUUGUACGUACGUGUACAUGCUACGUGCGCGCCUCUACUACGACACGUGCGCGCCUCUACAUCGACCAGUAUGUACGUACACGUUCACGACCAGAAUGACAAUGCUACGUACGCUUUGAUCAGGUGGGUCCCGACUGUCAGGCACUUCCUUGUGUGCGAAGAUGUAGCUGGUGGGUCCCAGCAGUCAGGGGGGCGAAUUGUUUUUUUCCCCGGACGCACUUUCUUGCGUGCGAAGACAUAGCUGGUGGGUCCCAGCAGUCAGGGGGGAACUUUUUUCGCGAAAUACGGUUGCCCUUCCGGUGGGUCCCUGCUGUCAGGUGGAGGAAUAAUUAUUUUGCGCGUAAUAAGGAGGCACUUCCUUGCUGCGGCCAUGGACCCAGCUGUCAGCCUCUCCAUGUACAGUCCACGGCCGAUGGAAGCCGUUCCUUGACCAUGUUGACCACUCCGCUGUGAGAGCACCAGGGCGGUGGACGACGGCGAGGCCUAGGAAGAGGACGACGCGGAAGACACGGCAGUGGAUGCCCACGCGUAGAGGAGUACGAGGGUUCACUGGUUCGCUGCGGUGUGAGGUUGCCGUCGCCGCAGAAUAACAGGGGGUGUGGGUGAGUAGAGGGAUGGCCUGGCCAGCGGUGAGAGUAGUUGGGGGCGGUGAGGCCUCCGCCGCAUCACAGUCGGCCACGGGAGGCAGGAGCACGAGGCACGACCGGCGCUGGUUUGGGCGGCUGGAGCAAGAAGACCAGAGGUUGAAGAAGUACUACAACCGUUGGAUGGACAUCGUACGGUCACUGAAGCUAGAAUCGUGCAUAUUAACUAAGUUGACAAAGCCCUCCGUCCCCGUCAACUUAGUAGGCCCACAAGUCAUCCUGCCACUAUACUGGGUCCCAACUAACAGGGGGAGUAUUCAUUUUUUUGUGCGUAAUAAGGAGGCACUUCCUUGCGUGCGAAGAUAUAGCUGGUGGGUCCGAGCUGUCAGCGACGGUAACGUUUUUUUCACGAAAUACAGAGGCCCUUUCGGUGGGUCCCCGAUGUUAGGUGGAGGAAUCAUUAUUUUGCGCGUAAUAAGGAGGCAUUUCCUUGCGUGUGGCCGUGGACCCAGCUGUCAGCCUCUCCAUGUAUAGUCCACUUCAGAUGCAUGUCGGUUGUUGACCACGUUGACCAGGCCGUGCCGAGAGCACCAGGGCGGUGGACGACGGUGAGGCCUAGGAAGGGAACGAUAUGGACGCAGGGAAGACUCGGCAGUUGUUUCCCACGCGGAGGGGAGUAUGACCGUACGAGGGUUUACUGGUUCAUCUGCCCUCGCCGGAGAAUAAUACCAGGUGUGGGUGAGUAGAGGGAUGGCUAGGCCAGCGAUGGGAGUACGGUGGGGCGGUGAGGCCUACGCGGCAGCACAGCCGGCCGCGGGGAGGAGGGAGCAGGCAGUCCCGCCGGUGCUUGUUUGAGCGGCUAGAGCAGGAAGAGCAGAGAUUGAAGAAGCACAACGACCAUUGGAUGGAUAUCGUACGGUCACUGGAGAUAUAAUCGUUUAUAUUGACUAAGUUUACAAAGCACUCCGUCCCCGUCAACUUAGUAGGCCCACAAGUCAGCCUCCCACCAUGGUGGGUCUCAGCUAGCAGGGGGAGUAUUCAUUUUUCUGUGCGUAAUAAGAAGGCACUUUCGGUGGAUCCGAGCUGAUAGCGGGGGGAACGUUUUUUCAUGAAAUACGAUGGUCUGUCCGGUGGGUCCUAGCAGUCAGGGGCAAACGUUUUUUUCGCAAAAUAUGGUGGCCCGUCCGAUGGGUCCCAGCAGUCAGGGGAAACGUUUUUUCUGCGAAAUACUGGUGGCUCGUUCGGUGGGUCCUUGCUAUCAGGUGGAGGAAUAAUUAUUUUACAUGUAGUAAGGAGACACUUCCUUGCAGCUGUUGUGGACCCAGCUAUCAGCCUCUCCACGUACAGUACUCUUCCGAUGGAAGUCGGUCGUUGACCACAUUGACCACGCCGCGCCGAGAGCAUCGCGGCGGUGGACGACGGCGAGGCCUAGGAAGGGGACAACGUGGAGCCGUGGAAGACGCGGCAGUGGAUGCCCACGUGGAGAGGAUUACGAGGGUUCACUAGUUCGGUUGCGGUGUGAGGUUGCCGUCGCCGCAGAAUAACAGGGGGUGUGGGUGAGUAGAGGGAUGGCCUGGCCAGCGGUGGGAGUAGUAGGGGGCGGUGAGGCCUCCGCCGCAUCACAGUCGGCCACGGGAGGCAGGAGCACGAGGCACGACCGGCGCUGGUUUGGGCGGCUGGAGCAAGAAGACCAGAGGUAGAAGAAGUACUACGACCGUUGGAUGGACAUCGUACGGUCACUGAAGCUAGAAUCGUGCAUAUUGACUAAGUUGACAAAGCCCUCCGUCCCCGUCAACUUAGUAGGCCCACAAGUCAUCCUGCCACUAUACUGGGUCCCAACUAACAGGGGGAGUAUUCAUUUUUUUGUGCGUAAUAAGGAGGCACUUCCUUGCGUGCGAAGAUAUAGCUGGUGGGUCCGAGCUGUCAGCGACGGUAACGUUUUUUUCACGAAAUACAGAGGCCCUUUCGGUGGGUCCCCGAUGUUAGGUGGAGGAAUCAUUAUUUUGCGCGUAAUAAGGAGGCAUUUCCUUGCGUGUGGCCGUGGACCCAGCUGUCAGCCUCUCCAUGUACAGUCCACUUCAGAUGCAUGUCGGUUGUUGACCACGUUGACCAGGCCGUGCCGAGAGCACCAGGGCGGUGGACGACGGCGAGGCCUAGGAAGGGAACGAUAUGGACGCAGGGAAGACUCGGCAGUUGUUUCCCACGCGGAGGGGAGUAUGACCGUACGAGGGUUUACUGGUUCAUCUGCCCUCGCCGGAGAAUAAUACCAGGUGUGGGUGAGUAGAGGGAUGGCUAGGCCAGCGAUGGGAGUACGGUGGGGCGGUGAGGCCUACGCGGCAGCACAGCCGGCCGCGGGGAGGAGGGAGCAGGCAGUCCCGUCGGUGCUUGUUUGAGCGGCUAGAGCAGGAAGAGCAGAGAUUGAAGAAGCACAAUGACCAUUGGAUGGAUAUCGUACGGUCACUGGAGAUAGAAUCGUUUAUAUUGACUAAGUUUACAAAGCCCUCCGUCCCCGUCAACUUAGUAGGCCCACAAGUCAGCCUCCCACCAUGGUGGGUCUCAGCUAGCAGGGGGAGUAUUCAUUUUUCUGUGCGUAAUAAGAAGGCACUUCCGGUGGAUCCGAGCUGAUAGCGGGGGGAACGUUUUUUCGCGAAAUACGGUGGUCUGUCCGGUGGGUCCUAGCAGUCAGGGGCAAACGUUUUUUUCGCAAAAUACGGUGGCCCGUCCGAUGGGUCCCAGUAGUCAGGGGAAACGUUUUUUCCGCGAAAUACUGGUGGCUCGUUCGGUGGGUCCUUGCUGUCAGGUGGAGGAAUAAUUAUUUUGCAUGUAGUAAGGAGGCACUUCCUUGCAGCUGUUGUGGACCCAGCUAUCAGCCUCUCCACGUACAGUACUCUUCCGAUGGAAGUCGGUCGUUGACCACAUUGACCACGCCGCGCCGAGAGCAUCGCGGCGGUGGACGACGGCGAGGCCUAGGAAGGGGACAACGCGGAGCCGUGGAAGACGCGGUAGUGGAUGCCCACGCGGAGAGGAUUAUGAGGGUUCACUGGUUCGGUUGCGGUGUGAGGCUGCCGACACCGCAAAAUAACAGGGGGAGUGGGUGAGUGGAGGGAUGGCCUGGCCAGCGGUGGGAGUAGUAUGGGGACGGUGAGGCCUCCGCGGCAGCACAGCCGGCCAUGGGAGGCAGGAGCAUGUGGCACGACCGGCGCUGCUUUGGGAGGCUGGGGCAAGAAGACCAGAGGUUGAAGAAGCACUAUGGCCAUUGGAUGGACAUCGUUGAUCACGCCGCGCCAAGAGCACCAGGGUGGUGGACGACGGCGAGCCCUAUGAAGGGAACGACACGGAGUCGGGGAAGACACGACAAUGGCUGCCCACGCGGUGGAGAGUACGAGGGUUGACUGGUUCGGCUGCCGUCACCGGAAAAUAACAGGAGGUGUGGGUGAGUAGAGGGAUAGACAGGCCAGGGAUGCGAGUAUGAUGGGGCCGUGAGGCCUGCCCGGCGGCACUGUCGGCCACGGGAGGCGGGAGCAGGCGGUUCCGACGGUGCUGGUUUGGGCGGCUGGGGCAGGAAGAUCAGAGACUGAAGAAGCACGAUUAUCGUUAGAUUGACAUCUAACGGUCUGACGCUGGUAGAGUCGAUUGUUGACUAAGUUUCUUUUUUGAGAAACCUUGUGUACGCAUGAACUUAGUAGGCCCACAAGUCAGCCUCCAAAUCUGUGGCAGACAACAUAAAGCCCAUUUGCUAUUUUUUAUAAUUUGCAGCCCAUUUGUUAAUUCUUAAGUAAUUUAUUAUAGCCCAUCUUCUGCCCAAGACCACGGUCAAAAAGUUCAACCUUAUUUUGCAUAUUUCGGUGGAGUCCGAACUAUUGUAAUCUUGAAAUGAUAAACAUUUUUUAAGAACUUAUUGAUUUGCCAAAGAAAUUGUUUUGUUUUUGUAAGCAAAUAAGACGUGGGACAAUUGAGUUGGUUUAAGGGAAAACCAGUGGUAAAAAAAUCAGCGCUGGGUGGGAAAAAACAACAAAAAUAAGGAUGUAAAUAUGAACAGGGAAUUUUAUGUGUUUUCAAUAUAAUGAUAUGUGUAUAUGAACUAGUAAACCUAUAGGUAGAGAUUAGAAAACGGAUGUAGGACAUGCGUUUCAAGAGGAAAAUAGAACUGGGCUAUGUGUUUAAUUCAGUAAAAAAACUGCCUACGGAUGUUGUAAGACAAAAUAUAAUUAACGCUGGCGGGCCAGAGGCCAGUAGAUACCUGCUGGAUCUUUGUGUCCCGUUCUUGUCAUGGGCUGGGCCUGUUAAAAACAAAACCAACCCUGGGCAGUCUACAUCCCAGUUGAAACAUGCUCGACCUGAAAAAACAAUAUACGUGCUCAAUAAACAAGAGAAUUCUGCAAGUACAGACUGUUAACUGGGAUGCAGCACGGAUAUUGUUUUUUAUCGUGAUAAUAAGUGCAUGCACUUGUUUCGAAAAAAUUGGAGAACUAGGAAUUCGAACGGCGGGUGCUUAUGCUACCCAACAAAUAAAAAUCAGGUGCCUGAAAAUUCGUUUCAAAACAAACAAUUCAGCUUUAUAUCCACGUCGACCCUCAGCAUGAUGGUUGGAAGCAAAUGCAAGUUCAUACCAAAAGAUCAUUAACAACAAUACCAACUUGCGGAUGACAGGGUAGUACAACUACCAAUACCAAACUAACUUAUAAUCUUUUUACUCCUGGCCCUAGUGUUCAUCUGGUAGAAAAUCUUGCAGAGGACCAGCUCCCUCUCCUUCUCUUUCUCCAGGUCCCCGAGGUGGUACUGGUGCAUCACCCAGUUGUUCCUCUGCUGGUCGAAGUUCUUGUUGGUGUGCAGCAACAGAACCUUUUUUGCUGCCCGUCUGCCGGCCGUUGACCAUCACCGGCAAGGUAUUGCCAGUCUUGUGCCACAUCACGUGCAUGCCGCACUCCGACUAUAUCUUGCGACGCGUCCACGUGCCCCUUUUGAAUGCCCUAGAAUUGCGCUGGAAGAAAUGCUUCCUUAGGCCACUCAGUGUGAUACCUGCAAUAUUGUGGAAUACAGGUUUUAGUGUACCUAGUUGGCAUUUUCAUAACAUCUUUGGCAUGUUGCAGUCACUUGUUUCACUUUUUAUUAACUCUCAAAUUGUAAUUUCUUCACCAGGUCUGCGUCUAAAAAGAAAAAUAGAGCCAUAAACAAAGGAAUAUGUUUGUGCAAGUAGACGGUCGAUCGGUGUCUUACCUGGAAGUUUCUCAGGUUGGGUGUAGCUUAUGUCGUGCUCGCCGUCGAUGGUUGGUAUGAACAAAUCGAUGAGAGACUGAAAUCUUGCGCUAUCAACACUCACUUUGGCCUCAAGGUGCUCGAUCAGCUCCUGAUCUGUGGGAUCGAACUUGACGCCAGUCGGCAGCAUCGGCCAAUCCUUCUUCGAGUUGCAUCGGUAAUUCCGGUUAUAUGGUACUCAAUGUAUGAUCAAUCGACUAUUUUAAGUGAAUGAUGAAAGAUUUCGAUAGAUAAGUGAUACUCCAAAUCUGAAGUCCAGAAUACCCGAACACGCCGUCGGGAUUCUUGUGUCACCUCACGCACAACGUGUUGUCAUGUCAAUUCAAUGUGUGGACAUGAUGAAUAAUUUGACCGACGUAUACUAGUGCUGCUAUUGUACUACUUACUAGUCAUAUUUAGUGUCACAAUUUAUACAUAGGUUUAACUAACAAGUACGCACUUGAAGCCUAACUAAUGUAUAUGUAUAUAUAUGGCAUCUGCACAGCAUCUCCAUCAUCAUUAUCAGUACAUCCUACGCAGGUGAGUUAGGAUGCACUUGAUCCCAGGAAGGUAUCUAUCCUUCAAACCAGAGGAGUGCUUCAAACUAACAACAGUACAUAAUAUCCAACAAAAGAGGGUCGUGCUACAAUAGCAGAAAACAUGGCUCAGUCUAGAUAUCAACACAAAUCAAGUUGUGCAUAUUUGCUGUUGGCAUGAACCACAUCGCCGCAUGUCGGGUUUGCAAAAGCCAUCCAUCGCAUGGAAGCUUGAUGCCUUUCACACACUAAAGAUUAUCUGGCAACAAGCUAUGUCGACGAAUCUCUAGAUAUGGUGAUUCAUGAAACCCAUGUUAUGAUGUGUAAACACAGCCCCCCCCUCGCGAAUGGAAGUUGCAUAGCACAGUAAUCAUCGCUGGUGAUAUGGUCGAUGAUUGGUUGGAUGAUCGGAUAAUUGAGCCCGAGGAACAAGGAGUGGUUGCCGAGGCUGUAAACCCGCCUCCAGUUGAAUACGCCUGGCCCAACGGAGCUGGGAUCUUUCUCGAACACGAAGCCGCCGUAGCCAUCAAUGUCACGAACGCCCCACGCAUUGUACUGCAUGUGGUUUGAUGUAAUGGUUUGGUCAAUUUGGUACGUGCGAAUGAGCAUCAAAUGACCGCUGUCAGCUGAACAAGCGAUAAACCACCACCCAUCGGCUGGUAUGAUUCCAGGUCCUAGAAUCAUGAAGGCCAACGCAUUUGCGUCUGCUGCAACAAUUCAAAUUGGAGACCAAAAGGACAAAAAUAAACAAUCAUGUUCAGAGUAUGUGUGGAAUUAAGAUUAUUAUAAGAGUGACACAUAUCAUAGACAAAGAAUUGCAAUGUCGUGGUCAUAAUCAUACCCCAAGUUAAAAAAAUAAGCCAAUGGCUUUCAUAUUCUAGCAAUAUGUCAUGGUUCAAACAUCAUGUACCAAUGAGAGGAAAACAGCUAUGACAGCGCCUACUCAUAUUCUACCAUAGUACUUACUACUACUAUUCUCAUAUCAACUCUAAGGAAUAACAUGCGUUGUUAUAAAAAUCUUGUAAACGAGAGUAAGCUAUAGCAAUCAUGAUGUUAUGCUCAUAAUAUGUAUUCCAACAAUCAUUAGAUGCCAAUUGUUCUCAUAUCAACUCUAACAAUAACAUGUGUGGUCAUAAAAAUCUAGGAAAUGAGAGGAACAUAUAGCAAUGAUGUGGUUAUAGACAUGCUAUGCAUUCUAAAUUUGUAACAAAUGAACAGGCAGUCAUAUUCAUAAGGUAAAGAUGAGAUGAGAUAUACAAUUACACGACGAUAGAUUCCACCAGUAUAGGCAGCCAAUAUGUGCGUCGACCGCGUAAAUGAUGCCAUCGUGCACUAUAGCAUCAGACAGAAAUGUUGCUUCAACAGGAUUGAUGAUGAGCCAUAACCAUGUAUGGCGACGAGAUUCCAGAUAGACUAAUCCCAUGUUGAACAAGGCACUGAGCUUGUAAUCCAUGUAGUCUUCUGAUGGUGUGGGCACUUCGCAGAUUACAACUUUCUGCAAACAGAGGUUGAGCCAAAAGCUUGACAUGUCUCGUGCGUAGUAGGCAGGAGUGUCCGGCAGGCGGCGAGGCUCGAUGGAGGCGGUAUCCAACGAUGGAAGGGUGAUCUCUCGCUGGGUGUAGAUAUCCACGAGACGCCACGGACUACCAGUGUGGUGGAUGAGGGCGAUCCAGUUAGCCUUCAUGCCCGCCCAGUAGUGGUCGCGCAUGAAGGACAGGUGGACGGGUAGUGGUAGCAUGUCGAGGGGCACCACGACAACCUCCGUAGUAUCAUCAAGUCGAUGUCUGGGCCACCUGCAAGGAUCGGGCAUCAGCAAGCAGGGUGUCUUGAAAAGAGCCGGCCGGUUGCAGACGAGUAGAUGGUACAAAGACACCGAGCAUGCGGCCAGACGGACGGUGCUGAGUAGGCCCAUAUGACUACAGAUAUGCUCCAAGAGAACAUCGGGGAGGGAAUUCCAAUCGCGGCUCUGCGUGUCAGUUGGUUCUGCCAUUGGGGUUUUCGGUGCCUGCGAGCCUGCGGGGAAGUGGAUUCGGGCGGGCGAGCGAAGAAGCUUCUCCUCGUGUGGCCGAUUAGUGAGCGGGGGGAUAUGGUACGCGCGAGCUACCAAGGAAGAUGGCGCGGGCGGGCGAGCAGUGAUCAGGGGUAAAUGGUGUGCGGCCGACGAUGGGGAAGAGAGGAGGAAGAAGAAGAGAGGAGGAAGAAGAGUGGAAGACGGGGAAGAAAGUGCAUUAAAUCUCAAUUCUACUAGUACUACUACCAGGAUAUACCAUCCUUCGGAGUGUAAAUAGUUACACCGAUGACAUGUGGGUCUACCACAAGAGGGCCCAUAUGUCAGUUAAUGGAGGACAGAGGUGCGUAUGCGUAUUUGCGGAAGCGUGCUCUACUGGCAAACAUGAUGACAGUAUUGGGUAAGGCUGAUUUAGUAACAACAACACGCUGGUUCAACUUAUUAAUUACAUGUCCCAUCUGCUGCAGCGUGUAUUGUCACUUCACUGCGAAGACUAUUUGAAUAGUUCUCUCUGACCGAGAUGGGGAAUAAUGGAUCGCGAGGACUUCCUUUCUACAAUAUCCCUAUGCCUCUACGCUCACUUCACUCAUUUUGCUCGGUACCUAGUCACUUGUUGAAAUCUGUAGAAAGACAAAUACUCUGUAUUUUGGAACAGAGGUAGGCUUUUACUCCGUACUAUUUGGGAAUAGAGGGAGUAUCACUAUAUGGAGGGAACAGAGGAAGCUUGAAAUAUGAACAUGUCAAUGGGAGGAAGUAAGCCCCAUGCAUGCAUGCAUGCAUGCAUGCAACAUGCAACACUCACACGUACACAUGGACGCACGCAACACUCACGCACCCAUGCGGCACACAACACACGAUGCAACACAGACGCUCACGCUCAAGUGCUCAACCUACUCCCUACGUCCGUGAAAGACUGUACAUUUAGAGAUUUACACAUUGACCAGGGCAUAAUUAACACCCAAAAGUAGCAGACUUAUGUGUGCAUGCGACCAUUGAGAUAAGAAGAUUAAAUGAAGGCCGUUGCAUGCUGUAAUUAAGGAUAGACAUGUAGCCUAUACCUACAGCACAAGUUGGUGCAUUAGUCAAUCAAUAUCGAUUUAGAUUAAAGGCUAAAUGCAUUGGAAGUGUAGAUGUACAUCAUGUACUACACUCUUUGUUUUAUAGCCAAUGUACACUCUUUAUUGGAAGACCGAGGGAGGAAACGUGUAUGCACUCACAUACACGGCCAGGGCGGUUCGCGCGCAAGGGUUGGACUCGUGUUGAUCCUGCGUAAAGUUUUGUUUAACUGAUUUCUUUGCUCUGCCAACUGAAAGGUGGGACCCAGAAACCAGGUGACAAUUUAACCAGUCAACAAAGUGCCACGUCGACUAUGUGGCCGAUCAGUAGGGUGCAAUACGGUGCUCUAUGAUGAGCUAGUGAUCGUAUAAUUGCAAAACUAUAUAUAGUGACCGUAAAGAGCGUAUUGUUACAUACGUUGACCGCUAGUGUAUUUUUCUCAUUUCAAGUUAAGCCAUAUUAAUCAGAAAGGACGUGGUAUGGACUACUACUAGUACUAGUACUGCUUUGAUGUGUCCCAUCAACUCGCCGAACGAGGAGAAGCUUUCUUACUACGCCUCUCCCUCGCCCACGCGCGUGGUGGUUCGCAGGACGAGGAGAGGGUUUUGACUACAGUGCCCUCUCCCUCUCCCUCGCCCUCGCCCUCGCCCUCGCGGUGGACGUGUAGCAUUUCAAUUGGUGUCAGAUUGCCGGAAGCAUAUUCUACUGUAGUAUCAUCAUUGUUGGACCUUCCAAAGAGGCGAAGAGCCAAGUGCAAGGUUCACACGAGUACGAACUGUUGAACCUCCCAAAGAGGCAAAGAGCCAAGCGCAAGGUUUUAUAGGAGUUGUCAUCAUAGUAGGAGUGUACUACAACUAUAGCGAACAAUGCUACUGUAUGAUGCCGCCACAUCAUGUAUAUCCAAAGCUGUGCCACCUUUUUUUCUCAAAGAGCAUGUUGGAGCCCGUGCAACAACCACACAAGUUGCAUGUACACAUAACACAUUUACUAGUAAUAAAUUCUAAAGGACAAAUGCCAGUAUGCCACACAAGUUCAUCUCCAAUUCAUGUGAUAAAUUUGUGCACGACUAGUCUACAUAUAUUCACAGCGCUACCGUUCACAAUUAACGUACUCCACUUACACGUUAUAGAUGGGCUACAUGCAUGUCCUCCUCCAGGUUCCAGUCCCAGGUGUUCUUCAUGGAUGGCACGAUCCAUAGCGGUGGGCAACGGGAAUCAUUGCCGCAGCUUUCUAGUCCGGUUCCACACGAUGGAGACUCAUCCAAGCUGAAGCGGGAUAAAUCAGGGAUAGUGUGUCCCAGCAUGUCGUUCAUCCGGAAGUGCGCACUGAAGACACAACCAUGCUUCAUGAACGGCAGGCCUUCCAUGUCGUGCAUGGAAGGUGGCAUCCGCUUCACAAUGGGGUAGUUGUCCUCGAUGAAAAGCGAGUACUCUCCAAGAGUGUUCCUCGGCACCCACGUAGCAUCACGGGGGUCGAACUCGGCGCCGUUCAUCUAGUACACGCGGCAUCCCAGAUCUGGACACAUGGUGAUGUACAUAGUCAAGGUCCAUGCAUAAUAACGUUGUGCUCAAAUAUGGCGGUCAGUAAUACUGUGCAGCAAAUAGUACUACUAUGGUAUAGAGGAAGUAAAAUAACCGGCUUAUUAUGUAUAGCCACUCUUGGCUACAUGGAUGAGAUAGUAAGACAUGGAAAAACAAAAAUGGUGGCAGCUAGUGGGUUCAAGUCUUCAAGGGCCUAGCUAGCUAUAUGCGUCCUCCAAGGUAAAAAGUACUCCUACUAGUACUACUAAGUAUACUACUAGUACAACAAUGAAAGAGAAGGCGAGAGGGUUAAAAAAUGGAAUACCUAGGUAGAUGGUGACGGUCCGAUCGUGGUAGAUUGUGUGACCAUGUUGCACAUCCAUGGUACCAUGGGUAACGACUGGUAAGAUAGUUGAUCCCAAUAUGCCAAAGUCAGCUACAAGGUUCCGGGUUAGACCGAAUCGCGGAUGCAAAUGCACAUCCAGGAUCGGCGAUCUUAUUUUGAUCAGGGGAUGACUGGUCCCUGCAAAAUAAUGGAGUACCAUUAGGGAUGCAAAUGAUGGUUUCUGCAUUCCGUUUGUAUUCUCCCGUACCGUAGGAUGGCAACCAGAUGAAACAAGUCCCCUGGCUUGUCACCACGAAGAUGCUUCCUAGAUGGCGCACGGCCGCCAACAUGCGCCAGCCUCUGCCGUUACUGCGUCUUGCAUUGAUGGCAAUCCUUAUGUCGAACACGGCGAUGAGAUAGUAAUCAUCCUAGCCGCGUCUCUUUGUCGGCGGGUCCGCAAUUGCUAUCUUCUUCAAUCUCAUGUAGGCAUCAUCAUAUGUAUUCAAGCCAAGCCAAUCUGGAAGGCCGAUCCCAAUGGUGAAGGGGUCUAUCAGAAUGGCCGCACUGUUGUGGAUGUUGUGCAAAAUGAUGGUGGUAUCCGGCCGGAGGUAUGCAAGCCAAUCUUCGUUGGCACCGACCCAGACCUAUAUAUAAGACAGUGGGCAGCGGAGAAAUUACGGGAUGGAAAUGGAAUAACUAAGUACUACAUGAUCAAACUCCAUUACUCACCUGCUCAUCGGACAAAAUCCGACUACCUCUCAACGUCGGCAACUCUAGCAGAGUCAACGUGCAACCAUGGCCAGGGAGCAGUGGACUGUUUGAAGGUUUGUCCCAUAGAAUAACCUUCUCCUCGAGGACGCAUGGAAGACCAACAAGCAUGGCCUUUUCCCAAGCCUGUUUAAGCAGCAUCUUGAAAAAGUUGGUGCAGGAAGCAGCGAGUCUUGCGGCGGUGAGGACGUCGGAGUGGCAUGCGAUUUCUCCCAGAGGAUCGUCGUCCAAGGUCUCCCAGCCCCGACGAGGAGGAGAACCGCCUGGCGAAUCCAUGGGAGCAGCGACGAACUGCCUUCUCUUCGGGGGGAGGGGAACUGGCGAGGAGGAGAUAAGAGCAUAGUAACCGCAGGGCCUCGUCCCUUAAAACUGUAGAUUGUUCCUCAGUGAAGGGGUGAGGCUAUUAUUUACUACUAGUACUAGCAUUAUGGAACGUUAUGGGAUUGCAUUAUACCGUAAAUAAUAGCACUAGUAAGAAAAUUUUGGCACUAGGUAGUAGUUUUUGGCGUGGAUUAAGAAAUUUUGGGUAUGUUUUUGCUAUUUUUUAUACACGCCAACUAGUGUCAAAAAACGUCUUACAUUAUGUGACGGAGGAGUACAUACUCGUACUGUAGCAGUACUAGUACUACUUUCUCUACUAGUAGUGCGAUGCACUGUACUUCUAGUCUAGUCUAGUAUAGUGCACCAGUUUUGAACUCUUGAAUCUUAGGGCCAAGGAGAUACAGUUGGAAGUGGAGGGUACUACUGUUCUCUAGAACCAUCGUUGUACUAUCAAUGCAGGGGAAGUACACCUGCGUAGUGGCCUAGUGGGUACUCGGUGCUCUAUUCAGCCGCUCCUCUCACGUAGCUGGCCUACUCAGCCGCUCCUCUCACGCACACACUAGCAGCCUAUUUAUCAGCGACGGUUACUGCAGGGGCAGAACAUUUGAGUUAUUUGAUACAGCGACACUAGGCUUUUCGCUUCCAUUUGUGGAGGUGUAAUGGAUCUCGUCGAACUUUGUUAGUAGUUCCUUCUUUAUGAAUGAGAUGAAGCAAAGCUUUUGCCUCCGUUUAAAAAAACACGUCAAGAGGAAUUUCUUUUAUAGUAGAGCCGAUAAUGGAGUGAAGUCCAUGCGUGCAAUGCCACAAGCUAUAGAGUAGUAGUAGAGCACUUUAUGUACAGAGCCAUAUUGCACAGUUCCUAAUGCCCCGCCAGGCUUUUCCGGCUCCUCGGACUUAAUUGGGAGGCGCUAGUUUCAAUAUGCUACUAGCUGAUGAGCAAGCUGCAAGCGUGGUGCGGCUAGGGCGAGCACGCGAGCCAUGGGAUGCUGGGAAGGAAAACCCGUUCAUGUGGCUAGGCUGUCCAGUGCACCCAGAUUGUGGGACCGCACGUCCGUUUGACUUCAAAUCUCAAACUACCCGUAUAAAAUAUUGGCUCGCAGCAAAGUGUAGUAGUACUAUUUUUUUAAAAGGCCGUCGUGCGUUCGGCCGGGAUCGAACCCACAAAACGGGUAGUACUCGUUAGGGUACAACGCAACCUAGAAUCACCUUUUGUCGCUAGUAGUACGUACAUUGUUCCUUACAAGAAACCCCUAAUAAUGCAAGAAACCACUAAAAUGCCAAGAAACUACUACCACUUGCAUACGUGGCAGACUUAAGAUAAAACUACCUUAUCAACCAUUGUACGUGCUCUUACCAACAAAAAUCCUCGAGUGACCUCCUACCUCCGGCCUGUGCACCUAGUCAUCCUCGGCCAUGGGACACAGCUACCGCCGCCAGCAGAAGGCGAGGUCAAAACCAUCGGCGGUGCGGAGCCCAUGUUGCGGCAGCCCGGAUGCCAGCUCUGUUCGGAGCACGCGACGACUAGCUAGCCAAGAUAGCUCUGUCCAGCUGCUUGUCUGCAAGGUUUGCUAGCUAGAUUGGCACGGCAACGCGGUGUCUUGCUCGCGCGCGCCGCGCUAAGGCCAGCUAUCUGGCUCGAGCGUAGGACAGCGUGGUGGCUUGCUCGCUCGCGAGUCACGCUCGGGCCAGCCUGCCAACCCGUGCGGAGGCCAGCGCGACGUCCGACCCGUCCGGCGGAGCGGCGGCCAACUCGCUCUUCACCGGCGCCACCGACAAACACACAUCAGUACUAUUUGAAGUAAUGUUCAGGAAAAAUAAUGAUUUGAGGGGGAAUAACAGGAUAAAAGGUCAGAUGUGGGUCCCUCGUGUCAACGGUCAAACAAAAUGUGUUGGUUUAAGCUGCCUCAUCAGCACGGAUGUGUGGGCCAACCCUGUCAUAAAUGGGUUUAAACGAACCUAAUCGGUAGGAGUACUAGGUAGUAGUUUUUGGCAUGGAUUAAGAAAUUUUGGGUAUGUUUUUGCUAUUUUUUGUACAAUAGAUUCUUCCUAGGGCUGGUUGAAAGUGGUAGUUUUUUGUUAAAUACUCUACAUAUGGUAAGUAGGAGUGAAAGUUAAGCUUUGUAAGCCAAUAAGCAAGGCUAGUUACAUAGUGCAUAUGUGUACAUGAUUGAAAGUAAAUAUCAACCAUGAGUGACUAUUAUCUUGAUGGAAAACUUGAAACUAUGGAAUACUAGGAAAAAAUGCAUGGUUGGGAAUACUAGCAAUGUUCAUGUCCGUUGCAACGAAUCAUAAUUAGAAUAAUACUUAUUCAAAAACUUGGUACAAAACACUCUAAUUUUGAUAUACAUAUGUCACUAGAGAUAUAUUAUGUUUCAAUUAGAAUAUAUUCCUUGGGCUGUUUUGGUGAGGCCAGGGAGGGAUGUGGUUGGUUUUAAGAUACUAAUUACGGGUUUUUAUGCAAAUUGGUAGACAAGUGGGAUGUUGGUGAGAAAAGGGAACAACUUACCUCACAAUCGUUAGAUGUAGAUCUAAUGGUCAGAAAUGAUGGAUGACAGACACACCAGCAUCACCAACUUAGUCUUGUGUAGGAUUACUAGCAAGAUCCGUGCAUUGCAUGGAACAUCAAGAUGCAUUUUUCUAUAAAACACUUGUUGUGAUUGACCCUUGCGGGAGUAAUCCCAUGUGUAAAAACUAAUGAUAUCUCGAGAAAUAUGAGAUAAGGUGAAGAGGAGUGGGGUGUGGUGGUGGUUGGUGGUCAGACUGAGUGGAGGCAUGGGGAUUGACAACGCCGGCAGCGGCCACCAGGCCAGUUUGUUCCAGAGGCUUCCUUUCUUAAUUGCUCAACAAUGAGGUUUGUUGGAGAUAAGGAUGAAUGAGGGAAGUCCUUGUCUGCAAAUGUGGAGAGGGGUGCGGGUAUCUUUUAGUUUAAUUUCCUUCCAUCAGAUAUAGAUCGGACGGUCUAUAUUGCAAGAUGGCACACGUACCAUCAUCACCAACUCGGUUUUUUAUAAGAGAAGAAAUAUAAGUAUGGAGAUACAAAUGUAUUCGUAAUUGCUUCCGUAAACUAGCAUCUACAUUCUAUUCAAUGCCUCGGCAUGUGGGGCCUUAGCACAAUGACUUCUUGACUGUGUAAAACAAAGAUUUUCCCGUCGCCGACAAGGAGGGGGUGACGGCGGCGCGCUUUUUGGCUUGCUCUAGUCCUAGUAGUCAUACUAGGUGGUCUAAGCACAUGUAGAUUUAUUCUUUUUCAUGUCUCAUGUUCGCCGUACUGCCACAACUGUUGAUGAAUAAACGGUAAGUUAUUCAUUGGGAAACCCUUGUUGAGCGUGUUUGCGAGAGAGAGAGAGACAGUGUGCGUGUGUGAUAUGUUAGAGACUGAGGCAAUGAUAAUAGAUUCUUUGUGUCUAUGUGUGUGGAGGAUAGAGACAGACAUGUACAUGGGGCUUUUUGUUGUGUAACGUGUUGACACAUAUACAUAACUAGAGAGUGAGUGUGUGAGAUACACAGGCGGACAUGGGGAGAGACGAGGAUCCGGAUAAAUGGGUGUUUGUGCGUGUCUGUGUGUGUUUGUGCACGCGUUUGUGUGUGAGAGGGAGAGAGUGUAUGUGGAGUAGAGAGACCACCGAUGAUGUAAACCAAGUAUAAGGGAAGGGGGAAUGGUGUGACAUGUGUAGUAGCGAGAUAGCACGGGUGCGGACGGGGAGAGCAGACUAUUUGGAAGAGACAUCGAGUGUGUGUGUGGGAGAGGGGUGUGAGAGCGAGAGAAAGAGAGAGCUAGCGACGGAGAGAGAGAGGGGGGGAGAGAGAGAGAGGGCGAGAGGGGUCGAUUGUGUCCAUAAAUGGCAUAUAGAUAGGGAGACAAUGUUGAUGUUGUCCGAAAUUGGCCUAUGAACGGAGACGCAAGGGAAGCGAGUCAUCAUGUGUGUGAUAGGGACUUCAUGAGAGAUCUAGAAUAGAUGGUGUAGAGAACAAUGUGCGAAAUCGAGAACGAUUAUACAUUAGGGAGCUAUGCAAAGAGUCACGACAUAUAUGUAUACAGGGAAGGAGCUGGGGCGAGUCCGCAUGUGGGAGAGAUAGAAAGAGGAGAGUGGUGCACAAGGAGACAAAGUGUGCUUGUUUGCAGUGGGGGUGGUGUGUGAGGUGAGUGUGCGAGAACCACAUAACUAGGGAGAUAGAUGUUUGGGGGCGACGUUUUGUGUGUAUGGGAAAUAUACACUCUACAUAGUGCGUGUGCUUGGGUAAGAGAGAUAGAGGGAGACCUAGAGAGUGAGGGAAGAGAUGUGUGUAUGCCCGACAGACAAAGUGAUAGAGACCUAUGUUGGGGUCCCUACUUUACAAGAGAGAGGGGUGUUAAUGUGCUCGUGUGUUGGUGUUUGGGGGAGAGAACGACUUCUCUAUGUGUGUGUGUGUGGUGGUGGGGGGGGGAUUGACUUCAGAUAAAGAGUGAGGUGUCUAUAUUUGAGGGACUUUAGCGUAAUUGAGAUAUUGUGCACUCAUGGUUGAUCAAUUUGUCUCACAGUUUGUACUAUGAGAUAACGAUACUUUUGAACAUGCGUGAUAUACCUUGAUGUACCAGAAUUACAAACAUAAGAUUGGAAUUUUGGAAUUCGACUCCAUCAUUAGCUUUUGUAAUUAAUUUAAAUGGAGGUACAUUUUUUAAGCCGGGAUUUCGUGACUUCAAAUUCAUAUAUCAAACCUAGAGAUAUAAACAUACGGGCAUGUUCGAACAUUAUAAUCAUCCACUUUAUUCAUACACAUACACAUUUUGCUUUUGUCAUCAUAUUUAGGAUAAACACAUUUGGAAUUUCAUUUGAAUUGGACCAUAUGAUGGUAUUUGCUUGUAGUAGCUCAAUGAUUCAUAUUUGAAUUGAAUGGACAGUCUAAGUUUUGAGUUGGAGACAUUGAUUUUCAAAACUUGCACAUUUUUUUGCGUGCAAAACAGACAAAUUGUCGGCCAUGAUAUCAUAGUCGGCCAUACGAGAGCAGAAUACUUAUAAUUUUAGGCGCCAAAACCUUUCAAACUUCCCACUCACAUCGAGAUAUCACGCGCCCGAAAGUUUAGCCCUGCGAUAUUCCUGUUUUACCCCUGCCACAUGAACGGAAAAGGGCUGCUUUGGUAACUCCAUUGUUUUCCCCACUUUGCCCCCAACAUUCUUCCCCAGAGCCCCUCCGCUUCCCCUCCCCGACCCCCCAGACCACGGCAAGCCGCCGAAUCUAGUCCUCUGCCGCAGCGGUGGACCUCACACCCCACCGGAUCUACCUUCCGCACCUUGGAACCCCCAACUGCCAAUUCACCACUUCACCGGAGCCGCUUCAGCGACCGGCUUGUCCACCGCUCCAGAUGUCCUUGACCGCCAUCAUGGUCCACUGCAUCGGAUCUGCUUAACAGGCGCCCUCGUCCACCACAGCGUAGGCCCUUCACUGACAACCUCGUCCGUCCCUUCGCUGGCCCUUCAUACAAGCCCUUGUCCGCCGCAACAGAUCCGCCUCACCGAAAGCACUGUACAACGCGCCCGCCGAAGCCUUCAUCCACUGCACCGGCCCUGCUUUACCGACAUCGCAGCCUCAUCAGGUUAUUUCGAUUUGUACUCCUUCGGUAUUUCUCUUUAUCGUGCAACUGUUCACUUACCACAGAUGAGCUUUCUUGUAUGUCGACAGGCGCCGCAACCAUAGCACCGGAGCCGCUUCUGCGACGUCGACGACCGGCCCAAACUCAACCACAACACGAGCACCAUCGACGAUCCUUAGCUAUGAAGUAUGACAACGAUACCCAUACGCCGCCGAGAAUCAGGUAGUAUUAUCCAACGGCCGGCGCCUACGUUCACUUUCGUAGCAUCAUUGAAUUUCUUCAGGGCAUCAUUCAGUUUUUCAUGAGACGCAUUAUUCUGCUUGCACCUGUAGGGCCAUACUUCUGGCAGUGAACAUGUUACAUGUGCUAAAUUACAUACCAGUGCACAUAUAGUUAAUAUGCUUUAGUUUUGUUCUGAUGCCACCUAUUGGUUCCAUCAGAUUGCUUAAUGUUCUCUAUGCUUAAUUACACAUCAGCAAACUAGCAUGUGGUUCCGCAGCUUUUUGUUCGUUUUACCCAACAUUUUAUGAUGCUAGCUAUUACAUCACCGCUCCGAGCCUAUGUUCAUUACUUGUUUGUGUGUUCUUGAUCUUCCCAAGUUGCAUGACUAAUUUGAUGCUUCUAUUAAUUAUGUAGCUGCCAACCCCAUCAAGCAAAAUAUUUGUUCUGUUGGGGCUGGCACCUCGAACAAGCAUAAAAAUAGAGGAAAGCAGAUAUAUUGUCGUGUAUGCACACACCCUUCUUUCAUUAGUUUAGAUGAACCAUUGAUGAUCAAUUCGGAUCAGUGCAUGCGAUUAAAAUUAAUUUUACCUAAAUAGAUGGUGCAGAAUAAACUACAACAACUAGAUUUUCAACCACGGGAUGCUGACAAUAUCUUCAACGAACAUUGCAACAGCAGCUAGGCUUCACAGCAACAUAUGGUAAGCCAGUGUGUUUUAGUACAUGUCAAAUGUAAUGCGAGUAGGCUGCUUUCUUGGCUUGUGCCCUCAACAUGUAAUCCUACUGAAUUACAAAUAGGUCAGUUGUCUGCUUUGCUGUAUUGUUUGAUUUGAAUGCUUGUUUGUUGGUACGCUAUACCUGAGUUGGCCAAUAUGUCAGCAGUGCCUGUUGUACUAUCGUAAAGAAAUGCAUGCCUAUUUCAUUUGAGUCCUUAACUUUUCCUCUCAACUUCAUGACAAGACUGUCUUCGUAGUUUAUAUGAGGCCACACUGUUAAGUGCUUUCUUAGAUUAUUUCAACUUCUUAGAUGCCUUGGCAACUUAAAUAUAGCGGUGGUACACUCCCUUUCAACUAGGGAUGUCAACUAGGUCCCGUUUAAUCCUGAUUAAAGUCCACUAGUGGUAUGAUAGUUUAAAAGAGUUUUUGUUUUUUUGAGGAAAAUGAACUAGGGAGGUAGCAAAAACUAACUAGAUGGGACUGGCGGAUGUCGUUUAUUUGCCACUUACAUCCCUAGUUUCAUCUUACCAUUUUAAUUUCUUUUCGGCUGAUGCUGCUUCGAACCAUUUAAAUAUAGUUUGCCAUGCUCGGCAAUAAUUCGUCCGUCGUUUACCAUGUAAGCUUACUGCCUGGGUCAUACAAUAACUAUCUCUUACUUAUGUCCAGCAGAAACCUUUCAGGAUGCCGUUCACACUAGGACACAAUGUACAACCCCAGAAUCUAUUUGUGGAAGCAGUGCGCCAUCCAUGUUACCAGAUGGUAGCAGUUCAGAGGCAACACCACCGGAGAGCAGUCUGUGCACAGAUAUUAUAGUGCUUGAGGCUCUACUAGAGGCAGAAAGAGAUGGUGUGGCUACCAUGAAUGAGGUAAUCUUUAUCUUGAGGCUGGAAAUUACGGAAUUAUCGGCACGCAUUAUGCAAGCAACCCAAGAAUUGGAGGAAGUAAGAAUGUUGCAUUUGAAGACGGAGGACGUCCUGUUGUUUCUGCUAUCUGAAGCCCAAGGUAAUCCCGGUUCUUAUUUAGAUACCAGUUGAAAUUGUCAUUAGAUUAUUGUACUUGCAUGUUGUGUCAUGUCUCUGAAUGGAUUAUGUUGCAAGACCCCAUAUGUUGUCCGUGUGUUGUAAUGAUCCGAAUUUUUUAGGCAAGGUAAUCCUCAGUACUUGUAUGAUUGACAUAAGGUGAACUGUUUUUCGUGUGAGCAUAUUGUAUUGGAUAAAAUAACUGUUUGACUGAGUGUAUCCAACCUACUGAAUUCGAAGAUCACGGCUUUUCUAAAUCAUAAUCAUAUAUAAAGGUGGAAUAAAUCUUUGUUGUGGUUUUGACGAAAUAAAUAACAAAACAUAUAAUUAUGUGUGGAUAUUUGUAAUAGAAUACAAAUUGGAUUUGAAUUUAGUUUGCCAACGUGAAUGCUAAUUCUCCCAAGUUUUGAACGAAGCGGCUAAACACCCACUAUAAUUUGUGGGCUACCCGAAGCAAGUGUUUGCGAGAUGGAAAUUACGGUCUACCCCUGACACUUGACAUCCUUAUCGACCAGAUUUACUCUGCUGUCGAUAGGGGUAGACUAGUAACUUCAAUCAGACGAGACACGACGGCCUCUGAGCCCAUUCAGACACGGUGGGCGCCAAACAUGGGCGGAAAAACACACUUGAUUCAAGCUCGUCCGAAAAGACAUGUGUCUCGUCCUCCAUUUCCCCAUUCAUACACGGUGGGCGGCAAAACAAACUCUCCUCGUCCGAAAUCGAUGUAGGCUAAUAUUUUAAAUAGGGGCAGAUGUGUAACUUCCAUCGGACGUGACACAACCGCCCUACCUGUCAGGCCUGUUCAUACACCAUGGAUGCCAACCGUGGCGGCAAAACACCCUCUCCUCGCCCGAAAUAGUUACCGGCAAAUAUUUGGGAGAUGCGAGAUUACCGUCCUAUCCCCAACCGAUGGAAUGUCCAAAAUUUUAAACGGGGGAUAAGUUCGUAACUUUCCCCCAUUUUAGAGAAGCGCAUCCCAAAGUUUGAGAUCCCCCCUCCCCUCCAUUUCCCCAUUCAUACACUAUCGGCGGCACAACAACCUCCGCACUGCGGCCAGCCUCCUCCGUCCGCCACCCCAUCCUCCACCUUGCCGGAGCCGCUACCCCUACCCCGUCGUCCACUGCAAGAGAUGGACGUCUCUCAUCCACGGUGCUGGACCAAGAUGCUUUCAUCGCCUCCUCUCGCUUCAUCGGCGCCAUCGUCCACCUUGCCGUUGCCGCUCCUACGAUCGACUCGUCCACGGCAAUAGGAUAUAUCCCCUGACCCGGUCGUCUGCCAUCUAAAGUCUUCUUCCCCGCCACCGACAGUCAUCUCACCUGCAGCACCAUCAAUGUAUCAGCAUAGGCCUACACGGCGUCGCAAGAGAGGUGGUACUCUUCCAUAUGUGCUUAAGUUAUUGAUCUCACCCGGAAAAUAGAUCGUAAUUUGUUUACUAUACUUUUCUUGUCCGUACCAAAUCGUAGUGGCUAGUUGAAAGCAAACAUUGGUUGCGAAGUAGCUUUGUCCGGUUUGCACCUUCAGAUCCGCCACACGGGCACUAUACUCGUAAAGCUUAUGGUUUCCCCCCUUUAUAUUCACUACCAUCAUCGUAGGUGCUUCGUGUCGUGCUAGCACUGCUCCUCAAGACCUCAACCCAAAGCUUACGUGUUGAAAUACGAAUCUGAUAUGAUGCUCAUAUCACUAAAACAGAGAACGAUUAAUUGGUCACCUAAUGUUCCUAUAUUCAUUUCGAAAAGCAUGUGCGCCACCCACUGGUCCAGCUAGUUCCACUUUCCUGAUUUUUCUCUUGAUGCUUAGGGUUUUCCCCUUUUAUCUACUCUACUAUGAUCUGCGUAGGUGCUUUCUGUCGUACUAGCAUUACUCCACCCUUCAAGCUAAACAACACAACACUCAGAAUUCGAAAGCUUAGUUGUUCAAAUAUGAUUGUGAUAUGAUACUGAUAUUAGUUAACCGACACAUUUAAUUGGUUAGCUAAAGGUCCCACUUGAGUUUCCAAAUGCAUGUCGCGACAUAUAGAGAGACAGCAUAAUUGCAUUUCUUUGUCACUUGUUGACCGUACUUUCGUGUCCAUACCAAAUCUUAGUUGUUAUUUCAAAGCAAACAUCGGUUGCUACCUACCCAUUGCACGAUUUGCAGCUUCAGAUCUGCCAUCCCACUGCCACGGUCAACACUGUACUCAUCAUGCUUAUGUUUUCCCCAUUUUAUGAUGACCACAAUCAGCCUACGUGGUUCAUGUCGUAAUAGCACUGCUCCACCCAUCGAGCUAAACAAGCUUAGUUGUACAAAUUCAUAUAUGAUAUUAUUGCUGAUAUUAGUAAAACUGAGAGAUGUUUAAUUGGUUAGCUAAAUGUUCCUACUUUAGUUUCGAAAUGCAUGUGAGCCACAUAUGGAGAGACCGGAAAGAAUAGUAUUUCUCUGUGCGCUCUGGUUCAUCAUGGGUGGCCAACCGACAUUGUAUUGAAAGACUUGUAAUAUCUUCAAUCUUCUUUAAGAUGAUACUCUUCUCUUGCGUUUGACCGGUCAUGUCGAGUUGUUCUCCCUUAGUAUAUUUUGAAUCUGUCAGGUCAGGUCGACUUGUAUAUGUUGAAGCUAUCAUCUGCGAAGUGUCAUCACUUCUGGAGCUCUCAUAUUUUGAGUAGUAGGCCGCAUUAUAUUAAUGCACACAACAAAUUACAGCAUGCAUGUCAUCUUUUAAAAGAAUUGCAGAGAUAGCACAAAGGGGUUUACAGGGAGGCAAUAUUGGAUUAGAAUCACUUCUGCAUUACAAAAAAAAUCUCGUUUGUUUUUAUGUUUUCAUGCAUGUCAGAUAUUGAACAUUAUCAAAAUGAAUAUGAGAAUGGGCGCACGAGAGAAAUAUUGCGGAACGAUCCACUGGCUAACAAACUUGGCAUGGUGGAGGAUGGCCUAUCUUAUUCACCCAUCAAGGUGCUUGCUCUAACUUUGCAAAGUUGUAUUGGCCGCACAUAUUUUGCAUCUGACCUCUUGCAUUACUUCUAGUUUGUUACACCAUCUGCUUAGUUUAAGCAUCAUAUAUGAGUAUAUGCCAUACCUAUCCAUUUUCUGUACCUAUUCCAUGUGGCGUCACACUAUGUUUUUCCAGUCAAAUGUUGUUCUUUCGUAAUAGAUGUCCAAAAGGGAGAGGGUGAGUGCAGAUCCUCAAGGAGUACAAACUAGGUAUUUGGAAAAGGCAGUGAUACCUGUUAAAUCUGAUAGAUCAGCAGCCACAGAAAACUCAGGCCCAACUGUACCACACUUUACCCCUACUCUAGUGGCCAAACCCGUAUUAGAACUGCUGGGAGCCCAGCGUCAGGUACUGUCUGUGAUAUCAAUUCAAAAUUUGAACUCCUAAAUUUCUUCUUGUGCCUUACCUUCUCUCUUGUAUGAAAACUAACUUCAGAUGAAUCUCCUAGCUCAAACGAUCAUACGAUCUCAAAACAAUAAUGGGCUCUGCAUUGCUCUUGUCAGUACCUCUCUCCCUUUUGCCUUGUAACGCUGUACUUAAUUAAUUGCUAUUUGAUUAUGUAUCAUCAGUCUGCACCUGAGCUUCAUUAUCCUCUAUUUCUUCCAAUAUUAUUUGAUCUAUAUUUACUCUUUGCAAAAUGUAGAAUAAUGGCAACGCUUAUAAAGAAUUUUCUUUGGGGAAUUUAUUGAAUUAUCCUUCCAUCAACAUGGAGAAGGGCUUUGUCCAGCCCGUGUUAACAUGUAAUGUAAGUUCAUCCUUCUCAAGCCUUCAAACUUUGUUCUAGUAUAGAUUUGGAUAGGCAUCAUUUCCUCCACUGCUGUUUGCUUUGCUGUUUACAUCUGAUUGGAUGUUUGCAACAACUACCAGUUUUAAAUUGUAGUUGUAAAAACAUGUUCCUUAUGCAGAACAGAUCCAUUUAUUUGCUUAUAUAAUUGUGAAACCUGUUACGUGUCUCCUUGUUUCUCUUUCAGAGUCGUAUCUCUUAUGCCAGGCAGAACUUUAGGGAAGAUAGUGAGCCAAACCAUGACAGCGAGAUGACCCCGAGGUCCUGUCUUGAUGAAGACAGUGAGUUGAAGCUACUCACCAGCAGGUGUGAGACAACCUCUAUGCAGUCGUUGCCUCAAUCAGUUCGACUUCUUCAGUCUCAACUUAAAGCGGAAAGGCUGGCUUCAGCUCAGCUCCGACUUGAAGUCAAAGAUGCAAUGAAGAUGUCAGAGGACUGCCGUGCACACCAUCAUGCCUUAAAUCUAGUGUUGAUGCAUCUAUCGUUGACACAACUGAGGUCUACUCAGCUUCUUCAGUUGUUUGGGGGGCCUGACCUGGCCAGGCCUAGUGCCUUCUGAAGUGCUCUGAGUUUUGUAUAUUCUUUUGUCGGCACGUUUAUUUGCACUGGUGGCGAACUUUGAUGACCAGUGGAUGUAAUAUGUGCGAUAGCCGUGAUAGCCUAGCGUAAGUUGCUUGCUUAUUUAUUUCCUUGUUGUCUUGUUUAUUUGUUUGGUUGUAGUCAUUGCAGUUCCUUUAUGACCUGGCCGCAGUUUGCUAGUGGAAGCAAUAACCUAUUUUUUAAAACUAGGCCACAAUAACCAUGGGCUAAUAUUUACUGUAGUGACACUAGGCCUCCUACGGGCCAUAGAAACAGUGGGCCUUCUACGGGCCAUAGAAACAGUAGGUCUUCUACGGGCCGUAGAAACAAUGGGCCUUCUACGGGCCGUAGAAACAAUGGGCCUUCUACGGGCCGUAUUAUCAAUGGGCCUUAUACGGGUCGUAUGAUCGAUUGGCCAAACAUGGGACAAUAACAAGCUGCAUUAUGGCCAUAAACGGGCUAGAGUUGGAAUCAUCCGUUCAUGUGCCGACCAUAACGGGCCAUCAUUAAUAGGUCGUAUUUGAUGACGCUAUGAAAACGGCCCAACAUAUUAACAGACCACAAACGGGCCGACUGUAACCACGGGCUGAAUUUGGCCCACAAGCAGAAAAUGACAGUAACGGGUCGUAAGUAAACGAAUGCUGGAAAUGAGCCCAAGAAUAAAUGGGCUCUGAGAAGGCCGAAAGAUAACAUGGGAUGGAAAUGGCCCAACGGAAUAACGGGCCAUUAGUGGGUAUAAAGUGAUACACUGUUCAUUACGGGCCAGUUUCACCACGGGCCGUUAAUGGGUGUAAAGUGAUACACUGUUCAUUACGGGCCGGUUUCACCACGGGCCGUUAAUAGGCCAAGAGUUACAUAGGGCCUCAUAUGGGCCGAAAGACGUCAUGGACCAUACAUGGGCCAGAAGUGAAAAUGGGCUGGAAUCAUAUUGGAUGGCCCAGAUGACGCUACUGGGCCUAAUUCGAAUAGGGCGUAACGGGCUUUGGGUUAGCGGGUUGUAAAUGGGCUAUAUGCGAACGUGCCGUUAAUAGGCUUUCCAUGGGCCGGCCCGCCACCUUUUAACCAAGUCAAACGGGCCGGCCUUUUCACAGGAAUGAGCCUCUAUUGGGCCGUGCCACGCGUCGCCAUAUCAUAGGCGCCUUCGGUCCAAUGAGCGGAUGACAUCUGUCCCAACGGUGAGCCGACACGUGUUUCCUCCAGCCAAUGAUGAUUUUACACGUGGAAAAUCCCCAUUGGUCGGGGCUGUUAACGGGUUAUCGGAUCCAAAACCCGACUCGAUAGCUUAACGGCGUUCCGUUAUGGUGGAUGCCACGUGUCGGUCACCCUUGACGAAAGCACUUCUAUGACGCACGAUUUAUCGUCAUGGAAGUGGACACUUCCGUGAUCAUAAUUUUGGUAAUGUCAUGGAACACUUCUACGACAGCACAGGUAUGACUAUCCUGAUUCUGUCAUAAAAUCGUCAUGGAUGUACAUGCAUGAUAAAAAACGCGACCUACUGUGACAAACACGUAUCAUCAUGGAAGUGUAUUUUUUUGUAGUGAAGGGUGAAGUGGGGGAGAGGAAAACGAGAGGCAAAUGGCAAAUAAUGUAAUGCGAGGGAGAUGAGUUUGUGAUGGGUACUUGGUAUGUCUUGACUUGAGCGAAGACCUCCCCGGCAACGGCGCCAGAAAUCCUUAUUGCUACGUCUUGAGCUUGCGUUGGUUUUCCUUGAAGAGGAAAGGGUGAUGCAGCAAAGUAGCGUAAGUAUUUUGCUCAGUUGUUGAGAACCAAGGUAUCAAUCCAGUAGGAGUCUCCUCAGAAGUCCCACGCACCUACACAAACAAACAAGAACCUCGCAACCAACAUAAUGAAGGGGUUGUCAAUCCCUUCACGGCCACUUGCGAAAGUGAGAUCUUAUAGAGAUAAUAUGAUAAGAUAAAUAUUUUUGGUAUUUUUAUUAUAUAGAUUGGAAAGUAAAAGAUGCAAAUAAAAGUAGACGGUAAACUUAUAUGAUAAAAGAUAGACCCGGGGGCCAUAGGUUUCACUAGUGGCUUCUCUCAAGAUAGCAUAAGUAUUACAAUGGGUGAACAAAUUACUGUCAAGCAAUUGAUAGAAAAGCGCAUAUUUAUGAGAUUUUCUAGGCAUGAUCAUGUAUAUAGGAAUCACGUCUGUGACAAGUAGAUCGACUCCUGCCUGCAUCUACUACUAUUUCUCCACACAUCGACCGACUCCAGACUGCAUCUAGAGUAUUAAGUUCAUGAAGAACAGAGUAACACAUUAAGAAAGAUGACAUGAUGUAGAGGGAUAAACUCAUGCAAUAUGAUAUAAACCCCAUCUUUUUAUCCUCGAUGGCAACAAUACAAUACGUGCCUUGUUUCCCCUGCUAUUACUGGGAAAGGACACCGCAAGAUUGAACCCAAAGCUAAGCACUUCUCCCAUUGCAAGAAUGAUCAAUCUACUAGGCCAAACUAAACUGAUAAUUCGAAGAGACUUGCAUAGAUAACUUAAUCACACAUAAAAGAAGUUAGAGGAGAUUCAAAUAUUUCUCAUAGGUAAACUUUAUCAUAAACCCACAAUUCAUCGGAUCUCGACAAACACAUCGCAAAAAGAGUUACAUCGAAUAGAUCUCUGUCGGUGUCAAAAUCGGCGGAUCUCAGGUAGGGGUCCCGAUCUGUGCGUCUAAGGCUAAUGGUAACAGGAGGCAAGGGACACAAUGUUUUACCCAAGUUUGGGCCCUCUUGAUGGAGGUAAAACCCUACUUCCUGCUUGAUUGAUAUUGAUGAUAUGGGUAUUACAAGAGUUGAUCUACCACGAGAUCGUAGAGGCUAAACCCUAGAAGCUAGCCUAUGAUGAUUAUGAUUGUCCCUCUAAGGACUAAACCCUCCGGUUUAUAUAGACACUGGAGGGGGCUAGGGUUUACACGGAGUCGGUUACAAAGAAGGAAAUCUAUUAUCCGGAUCGCCAAGCUUGUCUUCCAUGCAAAGGAGAGUCCCAUCCGAACACGGGACGAAAUCUUGAGUCUUGUAUCUUCACGCUCCAAUAGUUCGGACAAAGUAUAUAGUCCGGCUGUCCGGACACCCCCCAAUCCAGGACUCUCUCAGUAGCCCCUGAACAAGGCUUCAAUGACGAUGAGUCCGGCGUGUAGAUUGUCCUCGGCAUUGCAAGGCGGGUUCCAUCUCCGAAUAUUCCAAAGUAAUUAUCGAACACUUAAAUCGUGUCCGGAUCUGCAAGACGAUCUUCACAUGCCUUUGUGGGGAGAACGAUAUUCCACGACCUGCUGACAUGUUCAGAUAGCACGACAUAACAUCAUGGUAGAGACAUUAUUGAAUCAGCUCUACACAACCAACCACCGCACACAUUGCAAGGCGGUUUUCCGGGCACGUCUCAUCGAAGCAGAGAUCGUGUUUCCCCUUAUCAUGGUGCUUUCAUUAAUACGGGCACGGGCAGCCCAAUUGCACCGCCAAUCGCGGCGAGUGGGGAACGAGCGGGUUCCAAUAGGCAAGUGGGGAGGCGCAAAAGCUUUUAUCGCCUCUAUAAAGAGAUAAGGUCUCUCCCUCUUCACCCACGCCUUUCCCUUCACUCGUCCAUUCCCUUUUGCUCAAGCCCUAGCGCCCAAACACUCGUCUUCUCCACCGAAGAGAGGUUCUCCGAAGAUGUCCGGAUCCGGAGCAGGAGGCAAAUGGAUGGCCUCUACCGUCCGGGAGAAGGAUAUCGAAAGGCUCCGAGAGGCCGGGUACCUGGACAAGAAAAUCGGCCACCAUCUUCCGCCGGUAGGACAGAUCGUCCCUACUUCAGAGCCCCACGAGAGGGUCGUGUUUCUUCCUCAUUUUGUCCGGGGGCUCGGGUUUCCCCUUCACCCAUUCGUUCGCGGUAUCAUGUAUUAUUACGGGAUAGAUUUUCAUGAUCUAUCCCCCAAUUAUUUCCUUAACAUCUCGACGUUCAUCGUCGUGUGUGAGGCUUUUCUCCGUAUUUCGCCCCACUACGGCUUAUGGCUGAAGAUUUUCAACGUGAAGCCCAAGGUGGUGAAUGGCGAGAAGGCGAAUGCGGUGGCGCCAUGGUGAGCAAGAUGCCCAAGGUCGUAUGGCCAAUGGGUGUAUUCAAUGACUCCGUCAAGGAGUGGCAGCAGCAGUGGUUCUACAUCACCGAUCCAUGCGAUAAAAAGUGGUCCGCUGCUCCUGAAUUCAAAUCUGGAGCCCCACUACGGCUCACAUCCUAGCCCGAGAAGGGCCUGAACUGGUCCUCAUUCGACGAGUUGUCCAUGCUCCAAACGCGCGUCCAGAGCGUGGUCGACCAGGAUAUCAAACUCUUCAACGUAGUCCAGUUGAUGUUAGUUCGCCUGGUUCUCCCUUGCCAGCGUUGAGCCUGCAAUUUGUGGGAAUACGACCCAACCGAGCACCAGACCCUACGGGAGCUCUAUGGCUCCUCCCACAAGCACAUAUGGAAGGUGCUCUUCAAGUCCGACAAACCAUGGCCGGGCUCCACCGAGGUCCGUGGGUAUCAACUAUCCCGCUCUGCCAGUCCGGUAACUCAUUGUUGUGCUCUGUCCAUCCAUGUUUUAGCUGGCAUAUCCCGAGGGAGACGCUUUUAUCAUGCUUUACAAUAAUCCCAGGGAUGGACGAAAAAUGUGGAGCGGAUACACUGUCCUGCCCCGCUGCCGGAGGAACUGGCCGGACCUCUUCUCACGAAGAUGCUGGUCCCAGCGCCUUACGAGGUGCCGAAGAAAGAGGCUUCCAAGAAGGUCAAGAAGACCCGGAGUGGCCUCCGUCGUCGUGAUGCUUCGGACGCAAAAUCCGAAGACUCCAGCGACCAUCCCUCCUCCGAAGACGAAGAGAAGGAGGAAGAAGACGAGUCCCCCGUAGGGGGAGGGAAGAAAAGGACGGCUUCCUCAUCCCUAGAGGCCGAAUCGUCAAACAGGGGGAAAGGUUCCCUCCCAGAGGCGUCCAACAAAGUUGCUGAUAGCAACCCGGAGUGGGAUCCCAGGGUGCAGCCCCUGGUACAGUCGUAAGUAUACAAAAUCUGAACACGCAUACGCGCCCGGGGUUAUUAGGAUGUAGUAGUUUUAACUGUCGCCAUUCUUUUGUGCAGCCCAGCGAGGUCUCGUGCCGAACAGUCCUCCUAGGAGGAUUCGCUGAGCUCAGAUGUCCUGGAGAGCGAGACGCCUCUAGAGGCCCCUUCACCGAAGCCUAGGCGCGACACCGAGGUGUCGUCCCAGCAUGGCCCGGACCAGGGAGGACACAUCUCUAGGGCCGGAUACAUGGGAGCGGCAGCCCCCGUGAAUGUCGAUGGCGGGGGCGAUCUAGGAUUCGGCCCGCAGCUGGACACAGUCCUGGAGGCCUUUAAAACUCCAGGAUUGGGCGAGCAUCCCCCCUUGACGGAGGGAGGCCAGCCCGCUCCGCCAGCAACCUCUGUCCACGCAGAGUUGCUGGGCGGACUAUCGACAGUGCUAAAAAGUGUGUCCAUCAUCGACGAACAUCGCGCCCUCAUGGGUGUGGUGAUUGAGAAGAUUUAGUCCGCUGAGAGCAAGCUGAAUGAAUCCUGCCUUGGACUUAUAAAAGGUUUUGAGGUAUGUUUUUAGGAACCUUUCGAAGAUUGUCAUAGUAUGAGUAGUAGCCCCUGAUGCACUGUCCGGUGAAAGAUAGAGAGAGCCGGACAGGGAAUCAAAUUUCUGCUUUGCAGGAGACUCGGUUAAUGAUGUAUAUCCCUUUGUUUGAAAAUAGGCAUCUGUAGCGACGACCACCUCUCAUAAUGCGGAGGUGUACGGACUAAAACAGAGUCUGGAACGGGCCGAAGAAGAACUUGGCCUCUUGAAGAAGCAGUUGGAGGACAAGCAAGGUAUGUCGAAAACUUUUGCUAAGUUGGGCACGAACGAGUAGUUAUGCCUGGAAAUAUUUGUAUUGAAUGCUCUAGGAGCGAGUGCUGAAAUUGAGGCACUAAAGAAGGUUGUGGCCGAAGCCGACAAGAAGGCCGCCACCGAGCAGGCUCUUCGUGAGAAGCACGAGGCCAGGGUCAUUCAAGCUGAGCGAGAGCUCCAGGAGGCCGUGAAGAAAAGCGAGACGUUGGAGCAGAGUCUAGCCGGAAAAGAAUCCGAACUCGCCCAAGCUCUCCAUGCCACAGAUGAUGCUCGGGAAGAAGCCCGAGGUGCUCUGAAGGACAUUCAGGAGGCACGAGAGGUUGCGGCUGGUAAGGCCUUUUAUACUCAAGGCCAUUUUUACUUAGUAAUUGGAGGAACUCUAAGAGACAAGCUGAAUUCUUGUUUCUCCAUGGGUGUUUGCGAACCUGCCACGCAGCAUAUCAGAUGCUGCCCAAUUUUACCAGACUGAGGAGAAGAAGUCUACGAAGAAGCAUUUCUGGUCGCAGUAUUUGGCGCCGAAUUAUCCGGUGCCCUUUAUCGAUCAGAUGAAGUAGCUGGUCGAACUGCACCAGGCGGCCGGACUAGCCAUGAAGGACUUGGUUGUCCAGCUAUGGCCCGUGGAGCCAAUUCCAAGCAGUUACUUCGGACUCGUGAAGUGGAUUGUUGGUGCUCGCCCUCGGCUCGAUGUCAUUAAGCGAUCGGUCUGCAUAGAGGGUGCACACAUGGCGUUUUCCCGUGCGAAGGUGCACUGGGGGAAGCUUGAUGCUGAGAAGCUAAUGACUAAGGGGCCACCAGAGGGUAAGGAGCAUCGCAAGCCCGAGUUAUACUAUGAAGGUGUCCUGAAAGGAGCCCGCCUUGUGGCGGAUCGAUGUACCAAAGACACUAUAUUUCCCUGAAGGUAGUCAUGCAGUCAUUUGUAAUGCGGGAUAAUGGCACUGUUAUUAUUUAUUUCCUGUUUACAUGAACGUUUGUUCUUCCUGUGCGGCUAUUUAGUGUAUAUAAAUCCUGAGAGUUGGCCAGUCGUCCACUUCUGCCCCGAUGUAAAAAGUACGAGGGUGUUCGGGACAUACCUGAACACUCUUUAUCCCAUUGUUGGGUCCUUUUAAGGAGGUGUUCCUCACCACGAACCAGGCAAUCAUACUAUAGGGCUUUAUCACUCUCACUUAGCUAUAGGAAUUCGAGUAUGGUGGGCGUAGCCCCUAGUAUUCGGAAGCCCGUACUAGGGGCUCUAACGGCGCCUGAUCAGAAAACCGAUCCGUCGCACUCUGCAUUGAUUAUGGCAUUGUGCGGAAUGAAUCUUUAAAGAUUUUUCAACCUCUCGAAUAGCUGACCAGCUCUCGCCGUAUCAUAACAAUCGGUUUUCAGCUUUCUCUACUGAGGUGCUCAUCCGGAAGAACCGAGACACAAUCGCAGUAGUUCUCCUAGCUCUACCUUAGCCGAUAGAGCGGAACGUAAGGUACCAAAACAUGGGAGCCGGGCAAACUCAACUAAUGACCCAAGACAUGAUUCGGAGCUGAUGCAUGUAGUGCUAUAAGUUUGGGGUGCCGAGCGACCAAAAAGGUGGUCGGACUUUAUUGCCAUAUAAUGAGUACUAUGAAGCCCCUGGCAUAGUGGGGCAUAACACGAUGUAUGGGUGCCGUUAUGACGAAAGAUCGCAAUCAGAAACGACGGCCGGUGAGUGUUAUUUAGGUCUACGUAUCAUAGUAGAAUGACAUGUCUAUGUAGUACUGCUUUUGAAAAGGGGUUUGCUGGCGCAACCUGUCGUGGCCGGACUGGAGGAGGCUGUGUGCGGAUCCGAAAUGCAUCCGGGCUUGUGUGUCCGAGCAGAUUCCAUGUCGCUAGUCCUGUUCUGCACAAAAGUUAGUCUGUAAAGACAACUUCUCAAGGGCAGCUGCAUGUCAUAUUGUGGUUGAACCGCGGGUGCCUGAUCGGAGCCUGGCCGAACCAAGUGAUCAUGCCAUAAAGUAGGUCGGACUCCUCAGUUAGUGUCCGGGUAAUUGGCUGCCGGAUCGAAAUGGGCACAACUCGCUAUUCCAGCGGCGGUAUGAUUUCCACUCUGAGGGUGGAGUUCGGCCUUGCCCAUAAUUGUGAUUAUGUUACGCGGGUUUGGCCUGAUGUUGUACCCCGUUGGGUCUAGCCAACGUGGUUCGUCCCGAUAGUAUAUGGUAGUUACCGUAUAAGGGGACGAUGCCGAAGACUUAUUCUUUGGCAUGAUGUUUGUUUGGUGAUCCAAAGACAACCACUAGGGUGGUGGGCCUGUAUAACUUGGCCUUUGCACCUGGCAUCUUUUAGAAGAUGUUAUUAAUGGGUUUAUACCCGUAGGGGCUCGUGUGAGAUGGAGCCCAUACACUAUUGGGUCGAUAGUGGGUGCUAUUAAAUUGCUAUGGUUGAUGUUGUCCGGGCGGUCGAUGUGAUCGGAGAUGAUCGGCCGUAUUUUUGUACUGUGGAGGAUUUUCACUUGACCUCAUCAUGUUUGAUCGGUCUUUCGUUGUUUGAAACCUCCUUUCAUUGUUUCCGGCGUGCGACUGGCCUUUUUGUUUUGGGGAUCCGGCAUUUUCUAUUGGUAUGCUUGGCCACCCUUCUAAGGGUACCAUGAAUUUCACAUGGUUGAUUGAGUAUGCUGCUCGGGCCGGAUGGGCUUGAGCUGUUCUUUUUCCGCUGAACGGACUGGGGGCCACUGAAUUCAGCACCAACUUCCUUGAGUUGACGCUUAUGAUGAUUUCAUCGAGGUUUGUGGAUGCUGCCUCGGGUUUCUUGCGUAUUGUCCCAGACCGUGGUAUAUUGGCGUAGGGAUGUGGGCUUUAGGUUCUCCUUCUUAGGUUGAGGUAGAAAAUUUUGCCUUGGGUAUCUUUUGGCGGGGCGGUCGAGUCCGUAUUCCUCAGUGACCAGGACCUUGGUCCAUCUGUCUGUCAGCAAAUCUUGGUCGGCUUUGAGCUGUUGUUGCUUCUUUUGCAGGCUUUUCGCCGUGGCCAUAAGCCGUCGCUUAAAGCGAACUUGUUCCACGGGAUCCUCAGGCACGCCGAAUUCAUCGUUGUCGAGGCUCACCUCGUCUUCGGAGGGGGGCAUGUAGUUGUCCCUUUCCAGGUAUCCGUCUGUCGCCUGUCCGGACUGCUCGAAGGCAGGCUGAUCGGGAUUGUAUUCGUCUUCGGCACCGUCUGGAUUGUUUUUUACUGCUGUGCCGGUAUUGUUGUGGCGGGGCUUGGGGUGGCGCUGAUGGCGUUCAUACUUUGCCUUCUUUCUUGGGGUGUUAUCUUCCAUUGCCUCAUCACCAUUGGUUUCUUUCAGAGUGUCCACCAUAUAUAUAUCAUAUGAGGAUGUGGCUGUCCACUGCCCCGUGGGUGGUGGUUCCUGUUCCUCUCCUACCUCGUCGUCCACACCGCCGAUUUCUUCAGAGUCAUAAUCAAGCACGUCGGUCAAAUCAUCGACCAUGGCAAUGAAGUGGGUGGUGGGUGGGCCACGAAUUCCCUCGUCGCCUGCUUCCCACUCAAGCCGGACAUAGUUCAGCCAAGAGUCUCCUGACAAAGAGAGAGACUUUAAUGAGUUCCACAUGUCGCCAAAAGGCGAGUGUUGGAAGAUAUCCGCAGUGGUGAACUCCAUUACCGGAGCCCAACCAGUUUCGGUGGGCUCGAGGAUGUGCAGACUGGAACCUACAGCCGGACACGAGUCCGGGGGUCCUGUGUUGCAGGCUUCCUUCGGGGUGAAGCCGGUGCUCGGCUCCACCACCGAUGAGUAUGCGUCCUCUGGGGCAGGGUCCAUCCACCCGUCCUCGUACGACGCUAUUUGCUCCGGAUUUAGGUCCGGAACUCCUGCAGGUGCGAUAUCCCGAGUAUUGUCAGACAGCAGGUUUAAGCCAUGCUCGUCGUGACUGUUCGACACUCCUGGCAUAGGCCUGAAUCCAUCGAAGAUCAAGUCUCCGCGGACAUGGGCCGUGUAGUUCAAGCUUCCAAAUCUGACCUGAUGGCCAGGGGCGUAGCUGUCGAUCCGCUCCAGAUGGCCAAGCAAGUUGGCCUGCAGUGCAAAGCUGCCGAACACGAAGAUCUAUCCGGGGAGAAAGAUCUCACCCUGGACCGCGUUGUUGUUGAUGAUUGGAGGAGCCAUCAAGCCUUGCAGCGACGACACAGAGGAACUCUCAAUGAAAGCACCAAUGUCGGUGUCAAAACUGGUGGAUCUCGGGUAGGGGGUCCUGAUCUGUGCGUCUAAGGCUAAUGGUAACAUGAGGCAAGGGACACGAUGUUUUACCCAGGUUCGGGCCCUCUUGAUGGAGGUAAAACCCUACUUCCUGAUUGAUUGAUAUUGAUGAUAUGGGUAUUACAAGAGUUGAUCUACCACGAGAUCGUAGAGGCUAAACCCUAGAAGCUAGCCUAUGAUGAUUAUAAUUGUCCCUCUAAGGACUAAACCCUCUGGUAUAUAUAGACACAGGAGGAGGCUAGGGUUUACACGGAGUCGGUUACAAAGAAGGAAAUCUAUUAUCCGGAUCGCCAAACUUGUCUUCCACGCAAAGGAGAGUCCCAUCCGAACACGGGACAAAAUCUUGAGUCUUGUAUCUUCAUGCUCCAAUAGUCCGGACAAAGUAUAUAGUCCGGCUGUCCGGAUACCCCCUAAUCCAGGACUCCCUCAAUCUCCAAGAAGAUCGAGGAGAACUUUGUAUUGAGAUUCAAAGAUAGAGAAGAAGCCAUCUAGCUAAUAACUAUGGACCUGAAGGUCUAUGGUAAACUACUCACAACUCAUUGGAGAGGCCUUAGAGAUGAUGUAGAGGCCCUCCAUGGUCGAUUCCCCCUCCGGCGGAGCACCGGCAAAGGCUCCAAGAUGGGAUCUCGCGGAUACAGAAGGUUGCGGCGGUGGAAAUAGUUUUUCGUGGUGCUCCUAGAUGUUUUUGGGGUAUGUGGGUAUAUAUAGGAGGAAGAAGUAGGUCGGUGGACGCUCGAGGGGCCCACGAGGGUGGGGGCGCGCCCAGCCCUAGGGGGCACGCUGGGAACCCUCGUGGCCGCCUCCUCUGUUGCUUGACGUCCACACCAAGUCCCCUGGAUUGCAUUUGUUUGAAAAAGAUCGCUCCCGAAGGUUUCAUUCUGUUUGGACUCCGUUUGAUAUUCCUUUCCUUCGUAACACUCAAAUAGGCAAAAAAACAGCAAUUUGGGCUGGGCUCCAUUUAGUAGUUAGUCCCAAAAAUGAUAUAGAAGUGUAAAGUAAAGCCCAUAAACAUCCAAAACGGGUAAUAUAAUAGCAUGGAACAAUAAAAAAUUAUAGAUACGUUGGAGACGUAUCACCCACACGAGAUGCGAAUUACGCAGACUUCAAGCUAAUUGCCUUGUUCGACCGCUGACUCGCCUAUCUUUCCGCCGGUGCCUUCUUUAAUGGAGACAGAUCACCUAGCAGUGGAUCGUCAAAGCUAAUACACACUUCUGUGAUGCUAUUGAAUGCAAUGGCAUCAUCUACGCGAUCGACAAAGCAGAUGGCACCAUGUAUUGCUGGGACGGCGCGUGUAAGUUGUUUCCAUCUGAUGUUAAUAAUGACGCCAUGACAUUGUUUGAACUUUUUGUGAUGAUUGGCAUAUCCCUGUUUGAGCAGAAUUUUAGUAGAACUAUGAAGUAUUAGAGACGCCAUAGAUCUACUAUAUUUGGAAUGAGUUAAUUCAUGUGAUUGUGACCAUGUCAUUACAGCCAAUUUGUACCCGUGAAUAAUCAAACAGUUAGGAAGAUAUGGAUAUUCUCCUUAUUUUAUAGUAAUCUAUAUACUACUAAAUAUGAGUAUGUAUCAAUGGCAUGUUAGUUUCCUCAUUUUCAUGAUGUAGAAACAUGCAUCAGAGUGUUGGUUUCAUCUAACCAUACAUUAGGGAAGUAAAUGUGCAUACGUAGAACUCUAUAUUUGGAAGUAGUGAAAUCCUGUAAUGCUUACCAUGUGUACAUACCUAUAUUCACCCUUCACCAAUCAAUGGCUAGAAUAAUAUCCUCACAAAAAUUUUGCCCAUAGAACAUGAGUAUAUAACAAUGCAUGGUCUGUUAGUUUCCUUGAAGAAUUUGUUUCUGAGGACAGAACAUGAUUGCAUAACAUGCAUGACAUGGUAGUUUCCUGUGAAGAAUCAAUUGCGAGAUAACAUGAGUAUAACCAUGCAUGGCACUUCUAUAUUUUCGAACCCAUUAUGCAUUUCCCUGUAUUUUCCUCCCAGUUCCAACAGGGACAUAUUAAUGCUGUUUCUUGCAUUAUCCUACUCAUACUCUGGACAAUGCUGAUCCUACAUUAACAAAUGCCUGUACUUUUUUAUAUGAUGCAGUGUCCCUACAAUUACUGCCUUUGUAAUCACACCACCUUUGCCAAAAAUAGGGAAGAACAACUGGUUGCUCGCUCGAUUAGAUGACGGCAAAAUACUGAUGAUCAUUCGAACACAUGAGCCAGGAAAGUUGCAAAAACCCCACUAUGUACAAGCACGGUGAAAUACAUGAGUAUCUGGACAGUGGCUAUUACGUCUAUGAGCAGGAUACCAGCUUGUUGGGGCCUUCAGGAUUUUUGAGUUGGAGGCGGGUAAACAACCUUGGUUCACACUCUUUGUUUCUCGGACUCAAUUAUCCGAUUAACUAGGAGAUCACCGUUGGCAAGGACCUUGAUGGCAGAGAGGCUCUGUUUGCUAUGGAAAAAUGUGUCUACACGGCGAGCCCUAGGACUUCGGGAGCAAACUCCCCUGAUUCUCAAUGAUACAGCCUGCAGCCAAAAGAAGGUGAUAAUGACAAAGGCAUCUGGAUUAACUUUGAUCCUUGGAUGUCUCAAGUCCGACAGGCAGUGAUGUGGUUCAAGCCUUCAGGUUGAUAGGUAAUUGGGCUGUUGUGUCGAAAGGGUGGAGUACUGGUGUCUCCGGAUCACUGGUCGCUGAAGCGGGGCUGCAAAUUAUGAUGGAGUUGGAUCAUCCCUCUUCAAAUGACUUGUUGUCUUUGCUGCUUGUUCUGGAUGGGUAGUUCUCUCUUUUGUUAUGCAUAUUCCUUGUCAUUUGGUCAUCCUCGUCUAUGUCACUCUUACUAUGUAAUGGUUGCCUCUAUUUAGAAUGUCAUUCUCGUCUGGAUUACGAGAGUCUGAGCGCUGCAGAUGGGUGUGUUUUGGUGGUGUAGCAAAACUUCUUAUGAACUAUAAUGUCUUGUUGUUUAUGUCAAUAGUAGUCCUUAGUCAGUGUUUGAAUGUUGUAUAUAUCGUUGUUUCGAACUGUUUGUUGUCUCGAACUGCUGGUGGGCUAAAUGAGGGCAUCACCAUUCUCCAGUGUUCAUAGUAUAUCUCCUUUUUUCAAGUUAUAAUUUGAGCUCACUGUCUUUUUGAUGAUGUACACUUGUUUGGGCCAGUGAGGUGUUGUUGAAUAUGGGCUGAGUAGUAACGCAAUGCCAAACAAGUCAAUUAUGACUCUCAGGCCAAGCUCUCAAAAGAUCCUAAAAAGUUCGGGCACUCAAAAAAAGAAAUAAUAAUGACUCUUAGGCCGGCAUGUGGGCGCCACAGGUGUUUUCAUGCGCUUGCAUGCCGAGAGCAUAUUGGCGCGUGUUCGAAAUUCAUGCUACCUUUUCAUCCUCAAUCUCCUGCCCCUGCCCCACCUCUGGAAUCUCGAUUCCUACUCCAGUUCCCCCAAAUCUCCCUCAUGUACUCCAUGUACUCAAGCGCACUAUCAUGUUGCCGGUUAACAUGGAUCUCUGAGCCGGAGAUCCUGAGGUCCGUUCUACCUUCGGGCGCUGCGUGCUGUCGCUCAACAGUGGCAUGGCGGCGCUUGAUGACCAAUUUUCUGGCAAGGUGCUGAUGGUAACCAUCAACGGCGGCCGGCCUCCCAUCACACUGGACGAGCUUGUCAAAGCUCUUGGCAUUGCACACGUCAUCCAAAUAAGUGACUUGCUCGUCGAAGUCUGUCCGCCACUGGCUGAUUUCUUCGUCAGGUUUCCGACGACUUUCAAUUGCAGUCGUGUGCUUGAAUCUUCCCGGUGUUUGUUCAAUGACGGCGCGCUGGUGAGUGAUGACCCACAAGUAUAGGGGAUCUAUCGUAGUCCUUUCGAUAAGUAAGAGUGUCGAACCCAACGAGGAGCAGAAGGAAAUGAUAAGCGGUUUUCAGCAAGGUAUUCUCUGCAAGUACUGAAAUAAGUGGUAACAGAUAGUUUUGUGAUAAGAUAAAUUGUAACGAGCAACAAGUAACAAAAGUAAAUAAAGUGCAUCAAGGUGGCCCAAUCCUUUUUGUAGCAAAGGACAAGCCUAGACAAACUCUUAUAAUAGGAAAAGCGCUCCCGAGGACACAUGGGAAUAUCGUCAAGCUAGUUUUCAUCAUGCUCAUUUGAUUCGCGUUCGGUACUUUGAUAAUUUGAUAUGUGGAUGGGCCGGUGCUUGGGUAUUGCCCUUACUUGGACAAGCAUCCCACUUAUGAUUAACCUCUCUUGCAAGCAUCUGCAACUAUAACAAAAGUAUUAAGGUAAACCUAACCAUAACAUGAAGCAUAUGGAUCCAAAUCAGCCCCUUAUGAAGCAACGCAUAAACUAGGGUUUAAGCUUCUGUCACUCUAGCAACCCAUCAUCUACUUAUUACUUCCCAAUGCCUUCAUCUAGGCCCAAAUAAUGGUGAAGUGUUAUGUAGUCGACGUUCACAUAACACCACUAGAGGUUAGACAACAUACAUCUUAUCAAAAUAUCGAACAAAUACCAAAUUCACAUGACUACUAGCUAAUAGCAAGACUUCUCCCUUGUCCUUAGGAACAAACGUAACUACUCACAAAGCAUAUUCAUGUUCACAAUCAGAGGGGUAAUUAUAUGCAAAAAGGAUCUGAACAUAUGAUCUUCGACCAAGUAAACCAACUAGCAUCAACUACAAGGAGUAAUCAACACUACUAGCAACCUACUAGCACCAAUCCCGGACUUGGAGACAAGAAUUGGAUACAAGAGAUGAACUAGGGUUUGGAGAUGAGAUGGUGCUCGUGAAGAUGUUGAUGGAGAUUGCCCUAUCCCAAUGAGAGGAGCGUUGGUGAUGAUGAUGGCGACGAUUUCCCCCUCCCAGAGGGAAGUGUCUCGGGCAGAACAGCUCUGUCGGAGCCCUAGAUUGGUUCCGCCAAGGUUUCGCCUCAUGGCGGCGGAGUCUCGUCCCGAAAGGUUUCUUAUGAUUUUUUUCUCAUUGAAAGACUUCAUAUGGGAGAAGAUGGGCAUCGGAGAGCCACCAGGGGGCCCACGAGGUAGGGGGGCGCGCCCAGGGGGGCGCGCCCCCCACCCUCGUGAGCAGGGUGUGGGGCCCCUGGCCUUCAUCUUUGGCGACGAUUUUUCUUUAUUUAUUUUGAGGUAUUCCGUGGAGUUUCAGGACUUUUGGAGUUGCGCAGAAUAGGCCUCCAAUAUUUGCUCCUUUUCCAGCCCAGAAUUCCAGCUGCCGGCAUUCUCCCUCUUCAUGUAAACCUUGUAAAAUAGGAGAGAAUAGCCAUAAGUAUUGUGACAUAACGUGAAAUAACAGCCCAUAAUGCGAUCAAUAUCGAUAUAAAAGCAAAAUGGACGUAUCAGUGAGCUUUGAUCGGUGGCACCCAGGAUGGUGCUCGGUGCCCUCUGAGCUUGAGUUUUUAACAAAGCUUACCUUCCACGGCAUGCCUCGACGUGCUUGGAACAGCGAGUCCAUGAAUGAGCUUAUCCACGACCUUGGAGAUGAGCUCGUAAGUAUGUUUGUUCCUCCAGUCAGCUAGGCUCUGAUGGUUAUGGCAUGGAUGAAGAAGCCAUCCACCAUACCGAAGGUAAUUGGUGUUGAGAAACCGGUGUGGGAACUGGGUUUGUACUAUUCAUCUCCACCAAGGCCGCCGCGGACCACGUUAGGGAUGUACCUGUAUCGAGUGUUUGUGCAUGUCGAAGAAGUAGUCAAUUCAUCAAUCAAAGUCCGGCCUCUGCCGCUGGUGCCAGGGUCAGUCGACGACGUCCAUUACAGGAGUCAACGUCAGACUUUCCCCGUGUUGCUCGGAAUGAUGGAUUGCACAAUGCCUACUCCAUCACACGGUGGAUGUCGGUGUCAAAACCGAUAGAUCUUGGGAAGGGGGGCCCAAGCCAUGCAUGUGAGGAUCAAUGGUAACAGGGGACCAGGGGACAUAGUGUUUACCUAGGUUCGGGCCCUCUUUAAGGAGGUAACACCCUACUCCUGCUUGAUUAUAUUCGAUGAGUAUGAAGAUUACAAUAGUUGAUCUACCUCGAGAUCGUAAUGGCUAAACCCUAGAUGUCUAACCUAUGAUUAUCCCAAUGACAGUAAUGAAGGUAGCCUCUACGGACUAACCCCUCCAGUUUAUAUACACACCGGAGGGGCCUAGGGUUUGUACAAGGUCGGUUCAUCAGGGAAGGAAACUUCCGGACUCUAAUCUUGUUGUCUACAUAUGGAGAAGUCCCAUCCGGACACAAAGGAUAAUCCUCAGCUUAAUCUUGUACGGCCCAUCCAACCCAGCCCAUACUCCUAGGACGGACACCUGAGGACCCCGAAUCCAGGACUCCCUCAGUAGCCCCCGAACUUGCCUUCAAUGACGAUGUAGUAUGCGGACAUAAGUCUUCGGCUUUGCAAGGUGGGUUCUCCACCAUACUCUGGAUUGAUGAUAGUCCGGCCUCGGCUUUCAAGUCCAGUCUUUAUGAUUCCUUCCUGUCGUCGCCUCAAUUUCCAUGCGUCCGAGUGAAUGCGAAUGGUUUGUUACCUCUAUAUUUUUGAUAUUUUUAGCAGGCAUAGGUAGCGCCUAUAUAACGAGGUUAGAUACCCAAAACGCCAUAUCACAUCACCUCAAGAGCAACAAGCAAACCAUGGAAAAAACUCAAACCAUUGCCAGUGUCCCCGGCUCCUCCUCGCGUCCUCAUGGCCCUCAAGAAGGGGAUUGGCAAAGUUGUUCUGUAUCCCACCUCCAUCUCAAUCAUAUCCAGACGCAAGGAUAUCUCCCUUCUGCGGAUCUAGUCUCCGUUCUGGCGGGGUUAACUUCUAUGGGUGUUGAUGCAUUGGCAGAGAAUUUCCCUAGGUUCCAUUCUGCACAUUUUUGGUUUUGUCGCCCUUUGCGAAUUAUUUUUAGGCUACAAGGCUCAUUUUGAACUAUGGAGAUAGUUUUUCUGCCUCAUCCCCUGCCACCAAGGUGAAGGGUCCAUAUUGGAAGUGGGCGGCGCUGAAGUAUGGCGCAUAGCCAGAUCCAGUUACCCAAUCGGGACACCGAAGAGAGGGCCGACGAAUGUUCUUUAAUUUGGAAUGGUUCUACAUUGAGGAUGUUCCUCUUCUGGACCCUGUUCGGCAUGGGCUUCCCAAAUUCUCCAGCGCUCCUUUAAAGAAGCUAUUCAGCUGGCGCCCCAAGCCCCCUACACAGGAGGAUAGUGCGGAAGUGAUAAGAUUGGUCGGCAAGGUCAGACUGUUGACCCAUUCCGGACUCUCCAUCAUUGAAGUCAUGGCCGUUGCGAUAAAGCGAUGUAUCCAGCCUCUUCAGUCCAGAGUGGGUCCUUUAUGGAACUACAACGGGGAGGAGACGCGUCUCGCUAUAUGCGAAAGGGUCCGGAUGACCAAGCUGCAUUGGCCGCCAUGCUUAUGAACCUUUAUAAGGGAGAGGAAGAAGACUUCACCCAUCUACAAUGCCGGGAGGGCUUCUCCAUGUACAAUACCAUUGACUGGGUAAGUUUUAGUCAUUCAGUACCCCUUCUUUUUAUCAUUCGGGUGCAUUAAGUGAAUAUUCUGGUUGUUUCAAAAACAGUCGUGGAGGAAGGCUGUCGAGAACAUCUAUUGCCCUCCUCCCCAACCAAAAUACCACGCACGUCACGAAGACCCUGGAUUCCAUGAAGAUCCGGAUAUAUUUGUGGAAUUUGAAAACAGAGUCUAUUACCAGGCGAGCCUUAACGGCUCGGAAUAGCCAUCAUGGCCGAUUACCCGAUCUCUACCCCUUCGCUAAAGCAAAUGUUUGGAAAUCAAAAAGGAAUGACAUUUCCGCUCAUAACUUACUCUCCGCAUGAGGGAGUCCUGGAUUAAGGGGUCCUCGGCUGUCCAGCCUAUGUGACGUGGGCCGGACUGAUGGGCUAUGAAGAUACUAGACAGACGACUUCUUCCCGUGUUCAGAUAGGACUCUCCUUUCCAUGGAUGGCAAGCUUGUCGUUCGGAUAUGUAGAUUCCUUUCUCUGUAACUGACUUUGUACAACCCUAGUCCCCUCCGGCAUUUAUAUAAACCGGAGGGUUUAGUCCGUAGAGGCAAUCAUAAUCAUACAUGCUAGACUUCUAGGGUUUUACCAAUUAUGAUCUCGUGGUAGAUCAACUCUUGUAAUGCUCAUAUUAAUCAAGAUCAAUCAAGCAGGAAGUAGGGUAUUACCUCCAUAGAGAGGGCCCGAACCUGGGUAAACAUCAUGUCCCCCGCCUCCUGUUACCAUCAACCUCUGACGCAUAGUUCGGGACCCCCUACCCGAGAUCCGCUGGUUCUGACACCGACAUUGGUUCUUUCAUUGAGAGUUCCAUUGCGUCAUCACCAAAAGGUUUGAUGGCUCCAUCAAUCAUCUACAACAACGCAGUCCAGUGGGAGGUCUUCAUCCCCAGACAGAUCUUUGUAUUCGGCGGCUUCGCACUACAGGCAAACUCGCUUGGCCAUCUAGAGCAGAUAGACAGCUAUGCCCCUAGCAUCAAGUCAGGUUUCGAAGCUUGAAUUAUGUUGCCGAUAUCCACUGAGACUUGAUCUUCGAUGGAUUCGAGCCCAUGAAAUCCGCUCCCUGCCACCACGAUGAACAUGACCUAAAUCUAUCAUCGGGCCGUGCUCAGGAGAUAGCGCCUGUAACUGCUCUGGCCCUGGAUCCGGAGCAGAUUGCGUCGUCCAAGGACGAGAAGCUCAAGCCCGCCGCGGAAGCCGCAGACUUAGCAGCGUUGGAGCCACACACAUAUCCAACCUCGAGCGGGGCCUAUGUCACCGGAACCUCAGAUUCGUCUUCGGUCAUAGGUUCCGAACCGCGUGCAUCCGCGCCCAUCGAACCUGAUCAGGCGUCGAUCGUUGAGUUUAGCUCCGCGGACAUCUUCCGGCACUCACCUUUAGGCGACGUGUUAAACUCAUUAAAAGCCCUCUCCUUAUCAGGGGACUCUUGGCCGAACUAUAUCCGGUUUGGAUUGAAAGCUGAUGGCGGAGAAUUCCGCUUCCCACCCACCACCCACUUCAUAACCACUGUUGAAGACCUAACCAACAUGCCCGAUUACGACUCCGAAGACAUCAAUGGUAUGGACGAUGAUGCCGGAGAGGAGCAGGCACAAAAACCACCGCUUAUAGGGCGCUGGACAGCCACCUCCUCGUAUGACGUAUACAUGGGGGAUACACCCAAACAGAGCAACGACAGGAAUGAAAAGGAUCUAGUCGAGGAUAAGCCUCCUAAGAUAUAGCCAAAGCGCCAACGUCAGUGGCGCCGCUCUAAACAAUGUUGUGGAAAAAAGGAAAUACCCGCACAUGAGAAAAUAAUACUCCUGACAACGUCGAAGACAACAAAGACCCCGUUGAGCCAACUUCCGAACAGGAUGAACGGGAGGAUGGGCGAGUCAGCCGUAAUGAAUAGGCCGUUAACGAAGACUCGGAUGACAGUAAUUAUCUUCCACUCUCUGAGGAUGAGGCGAGCCUCAGCGACAAAGAUUUUAUCGUGCCUGAAAAGCCCGUCGCUCAGGCGCGCUUUAAGCGCCGGCUAAUAGCCACUGCAAGGUGCCUGAAAAAGAAGCAGCAGCAGCUUCAAGCUGAUCAAGAUCUGCUCAACGAUAGAUGGACUAAUGUCCUAGCAGCCGAAGAAUAUGGCCUCGAGUGCCCAACCAAAAGUUACCCGAAGCGCAAAUUGCUACCCCAAUUCUAUGACGAGGCGCCGGAGCCGGUCCUACCAGCGCAUAAUGCGGCUGACCGACCACCACGUGGCCGGGACAAAGCGGCAACUCGAGCCGAACACAAGCCCGUACUACCUCGCCAUAAAAAGAGAGACACAACAGCUCGGGGAUACACAUAUGACCUACGACGUGACUUGGAAAACAGAGCAGGUCAGACCAGAUCGAUCUAUGGAUCGCGGGGGCGUGCCCCGAUGCGCGAUGAUGACCAUCCGGCCGGACGUGACAAACAUAACCACGCCCGGGACUAAAACCGCAGACGAACUCCAUCCGAGCUACGUCGUGACUUGGAUCAAUAUAGAGGCGCCGCACAUCCCCUCUGCUUCACUGAUGAAGUAAUGGAACAUGAAUUCCCGGAAGGGUUUAAACCCGUGAACAUCGAAUCAUAUGAUGGGACAAUAGACCCCGCGGUAUGGAUUGAGGAUUUUCUCCUCCAUAUUCAUAUGGCUCGCGGUGAUGAUCUUCACGCCAUCAAAUACCUCCCGCUAAAACUCAAGGGACCUGCUCGGCACUGGUUGAACAGUCUGCCCAAAAACUCAAUUGGCAGCUGGGAGGACUUGGAAGACACCUUCCUCGACAACUUCCAGGGCACAUAUGUCCGACCUCUGGAUGCCGACGACUUAAGUCACAUAGUUCAACAGCCCAGAGAGUUAGCCAGGAAAUUCUGGAAUAGGUUCUUAACUAAAAAGAACCAGAUCGUCGACUAUUCGGAUGCUGAAGCCCUAGCGGCCUUUAAACAUAGCAUCCGUGACGAAUGGCUCGCCCGACACCUCGGCCAAGAAAAGCCGAAGUCCAUGGCAGCGCUCACGACGCUUAUAACCCGCUUCUAUGCUGGCGAAGAUAGCUGGCUAGCCCGUAGCAAUAACAAUACAAGCGAACCUGGCACUUCUGAAGCCAGAAACAACAACGGCAAGCCCCGACGCAACAGACACAAGCGUCAAAACAACGGUGACAACACGGAGGACACGACGGUCAACGCCGGAUUCAGUGGCUCUAAGUCCGGUCAGUGGAAGAAGCCAUAUAAAAGAAAUAGUGUGGGCUCGUCUAGCUUGGACCGCAUACUCGAUCGUCCAUGUCAAAUCCACGGCACUCCUGACAAACCAGCCAAUCAUACCAACAGAGUCUGUUGGGUUUUUAAACAGGCUGGCAAGUUAAAUGCCGAGAACAAGGAGAAAGGGUCGCAAAGCAAGGACGAUGACGAGGAGCCCCGGCCACCGAACACAGGGGGACAGAAGAAGUUCCUCCCCCCUGCCAAGUUAAAACGGUAAACAUGAUAUACGCUACCCAUAUCCCCAAGAGGGAGCGCAAGACACGCUCAGGGACGUCUACGCGAUGGAGCCAGUUGCCCCAAAGUUCAACCCAUGGUCGUCCUGCCCGAUCACCUUCGAUCGCAGGGACCACCCGAGCAGUAUCCGUCAUGGCGGUUCAGCUGCACUGGUCCUCGACCCUAUCAUUGAUGGAUUCCAUCUUACACGAGUCCUCAUGGACGGUGGCAGCUGCCUGAACCUGCUAUCAGGAUAUAGUGCGCAAAAUGGGUAUUGAUCCCUCAAGUAUCAAGCCCACAAAAACAACCUUUAAAAGAGUCAUACCAGGUGUAGAGGCCCGCUGUACGGGCUCAAUCACACUUGUGGUGGUCUAAGGGUCCCCGGACAACUUCUGAAGCGAAGAAUUGAUCUUCGAUAUCGCCCCCUUCUGAAGUGGCUAUCACGCACUGCUUGGACGAACCGCAUUCGCUUGAUUCAGUGCGGUGUCACACUAUGCUUAUCUCAAGCUCAAGAUGCCCGAACCACGCGACAUUAUAACAGCCAAUGGAAACACGAAAUGCUCCCUCCGUACGAAGGAACACACCGCUGCCCUCGCAGCAGAAGUACAGAGCAGCCUUUUCAGGCAGAACCUUAAUUCAGCGGCCAAGCUCCCGGACACUGUCAAGCGAGUCUGAACUACUCUGCAGCAGGACAAUCCAGCUCGUCAAGAGCUUGACUAGCAAUUCGGCCUCUAUCUCAGUCCCGACCAAACGGCGGCAUUCGUACCGUGCGUAGAUAACUACGCACUCAAAAUACCGACCAGAUCGACAGCUACGCCCCUGGUCAUUAGAUCAGUUUUAGAAAUCUAAACUAUGUCGCUGAUAUCCAAGGAUACUUGAUCUUACAAGGGUUCGUGGCCCCAGCCAGCGCUCUGGCCUUAGAUGCGGAGCACAUCACCAGGUCUGAAGACGGGAGUUUAAAGCCCGCCGGACUCUCUGCAGCUGUAGAGCUUGACACCGGAGAACCAGAGGGGAUCACGCGUCACCAGCAGGCCCAGAGUCAUGCCAGACUCCCUUUAUCAUCAUGAAGCCAGACUCGCCUCCGGAGACUAGCUCUGAACUCUCGAGGUCUGUGUCAUGGGAGCUCGGCCAGGGAACUUCCAUCCCGCCCAACUCCACAGACUCUCGCUUCCCCGUCCAAACCUCGCUCCUAAACGAGGCCCUGGACUUAAUGCGAUCUCUCGCCAUUGUAGAAGAAUCACUGCCAAACUACGCCCAGCCCAUACUAAGGGCUGACGAUGGGGAAUUUUAAGUCCCACCCACCAUCCACUUUGUAGCCACUCUCAAGGAUUUAAUCGACAUGCUCGACUAUGAUUCUGAAGGCAUCGACGGUAUGGACGAUGAUGCCGGAGAUAGGAAGAGACAGAACCCGCCAAUCACCGGACUCUGGAUGGCCACUUCGACAUACAACGUGCACAUGGUGGGCACACCCAAAGUGGAUGAUGACGAUAGCAGGAAGGAUCCAGUUGAGUACAAACCUGCUAAAGCACCUCUGAAGCGUCGACGUCAGCGGCACCGCUGAAAAUCGCGUAGCGACAAAGACUGGAACACCGACACCGGAGACAAUAACACUUCGGAGAAUGCCAAAGACCCUGAAUCCCCUAUCGAUCCAACAUCCGAACAGGACGCUUGGGAGGAUGGGCAAAUUAACGCUGAUGAACUGAUCGGGAACGAGGACUCAGAGGAUAGUAAUUAUCUACCACCCUCUGAGGAUGAUGUAAGCCUUGGCGACGAAGAUUUCAUCAUGCCGGAGGAACCCCUAGAACAAGAGCUCUUUAAGCGCCGGCUAAUAGCCACUACAAGAAGCCUUAAAAAUAAGCAACAUCAGCUUAAAGCUGAUCAGGAUUUGCUCAAUGACAGAUGGACAAAUGUCCUGGCAGCCGAGGAAUACGGCCUCGAACGCCCAACUAAGAGUUUCCCGAAGCGCAAGCUGCUAACCCAAUUUGACGAUGAGGCUCUGAAGCCUAUACCGACAACGCAUAAUGCUACUGACGGACUUGAAUGACCAUGUCGUGGCCGGGACAGAGUGGAAACUCAAGCCGAACACCAGCCCGCACCACCUCGCCGAGGCAGAGAGACAGCGGCUGCAGGACACACGUAUGACCUACAACAGGACCUGGACAAUAGAGCCGGUCAUACUAGACCAGUCUAUGGAUCAAAGGGGCGUGUCCCAGCGCGAGAAGACGGCCAUCAGGCCUGGCGCGACAAGCAUAUCCUCACUCGGGCCGAAAAUCGCAUACGGACAUCAUCCGCACUACGUCGUGACGUUGCCUGAUACAGAGGCGCCGCACACCCCCUAUGCUUCAUCGAUGAGGUAAUGGAGCACCAGUUCCCAGAAGGGUUUAAACCCGUCAAUAUUGAAUCAUACAAUGGCACAACAGAUCCCGCGGUAUGGAUUGAAGAUUUUCUUCUCCACAUCCACAUGGUCCGCGGUGAUGACCUACAGGCCAUCAAAUAUCUCCCCCAAAAACUUAAGGGACCAGCAUGGCACUGGCUGAACAGCCUCCCAGAAAACUCUAUUGGUAUCUGGGAAGACUUGGAGGACGCCUUCAGAGACAACUUCCAAGGUACCUAUGUUCGGCCCCCAGACGCUGAUGACCUUAGUCACAUAAUCCAGCAACCCAGAGAAUCAGCCCGCAAGCUCUGGGCCAGGUUAUUAAUCAAAAAGAACCAUAUUGUGGACUGUCCGGACGCCGAAGCCCUUCCGUCCUUCAAACGCAUCGUCCGAGAUGAGUGGCUCGCCCGACACCUCGGCCAAGAAAAGCCGAAAUCCAUGGCAUCCCUUACCACACUUAUGACCCGCUUUUGUGAGGGAGAAGAUAGCUGGCUAUCUCAUAGAAGCAAUAGCACCAGCGACCCAGGCACCUCCGAAGCCAGGGACGACAAUGGCAAGCCACGACGCGACAAGCACAAGCAUCGAAACAAUAAAAAAGACACGGCGGUCAAAUCCGGUCAACGAAAGAAGCCAUUCAAAGGAAACAGAGAUGGUCCAUCCAGUUUGGACAGAAUACUUGAUCGGCCUUUGCCGGAUUCAUGGCACCCCCAAUAAACCUGCCAAUCACACCAACAGAAACUAUUGGGUCUUUAAACAGGUCGGCAAGCUAAAUGUCGAACACAAGGGGAAAAGGCCGCGUAGCGAGGACGACGAUGAAGAGCCUCGUCCACCGAACACAGGGGGGCAGAAGAAAUUUCCCCCGAUGUCAAAAUGGUGAAUAUGAUCUACGCCACUCACAUCCCCAAGCGGGAGAGCAAGCGCGCAUUAAGGGACGUCUACGCUGUAGAGCCGGUCGCCCCAAAAUUCAACCCAUGGUCAGCUUGUCCGAUCACCUUCCAUCGAAAGGAUCGCCCGACCAGUCUCCGACACGGAGGUUCGGUAGCUUUGGUCCUUGACCCAAUCAUCGACGGAUUCCACCUCAUGCGAGUACUCAUGGACGGCGGCAGUAGUCUUAACCUGCUUUACCAGGACACUAUCUGCAAAAUGGGUAUUGAUCCAUCAAGAAUCAAGCCCACUAAAACUACCUUCAAAGGAGUAAUACCUGGUGUAGAGGCCCGUUGCUCGGGCUCAAUAACAUUGGUAGUCGACUUCGGCUCGCCAGACAACUUCCGCAGCAAUGACUUAAUCUUUGAUAUCGUCCCCUUAAACUUCCGCAUUGGUUAUCAUGCACUACUCGGACGGACCGCUUUCGCUCGAUUCAACACGGUCCCACACUACGCUUAUUUAAAGCUCAAGAUGCCCGGUCCACGUGGCGUCAUAAUAGUCAUUGGAAACACAAAAGGCUCCCUCUGUAUGGAGGAGCACACCGUGGCCCUUGCGGCCGAAGUACAGGGCGGCCCUAUAAAGCCGCACACCUCAUCGGCCAUCAAACCGCCGGACAUUGUUAAACGAGUUCGGUCAGUUCCGCAUGCUGACAGCUCAGUCAUUCCAGAGCUCGACUAGAAAUUUUGCCUCCGUCGAACGCCACACACACCCACUGAGUUCGUACAGCACAUGCAUAUUUAUCCACUCAAAAUACCUUGGGUGUCAACGGAGGCACAAUACGGACAGGUCUAUAGUAUGGUUUGACCCUGUAUGACCCUCCACCUUUUUCAUUCGAUUAUUUUUUCUCUUCUACCACAGGUGCAUUCAAACCUACAUAUCCUAUGGACUUACAAGGACUCUUUUUGAGCCGAGUCUCGUGUGGACAGCCGAGGACCAUUCGUCUUAAGGAACCCCUCUCUCCAAGGCGAAAGCGGCGCAAACGUGCGGCAGGAUGUCCAAAGGAUUCUUUAGACCAAACUUUAUUCAAAGGACCUGUAUCAAGCUCUUCUCCUUAUUCCUAGAUCCCCAGCAUGUAAAAUGUCUUUGGUAUUUAUGGUGCCCUCUAUAAGAUCACGUUUUGACGUAUCAAUCGGAUUCUAGUGAGGACAAUUUUUUUCGGUAUCAACCUUAUUCGUAAAACUGUAUUCAGUCUCCCCAGUUGUUUGACUCACACACCAUGGCACCCAUUGCCAGGGGCUCUAUGUGGCCACAUAUGUGUCGCCAAACACAAGCCCGAAUAGCUUUAUAUCACACUUUGGCGUCCGGACUUGGCAUUAUAUGCAUCGGCUCCGAAUCAUGUCUUUGGUCAAUAGUUGGGUUGCCCGGCUCCUAUGUUUACUACCUUACGUUUUGUUUCUUCAGCUAGGGUAGUAAAGGGAGAACUACUGCGAUUGUGUUUCUGGUUCAUCCAGUCAAACACCUCAGUAGAGAAAGCCGAAAACUGACUGUCAUGAUGCGGCGAGAGCUGGUCAGCCACUCGGCGACUUACUAAAUCUUUAGCGGUUUUUUCCGUAAUAUACCAAAGACUAUUUUUCCGGUCACAUACGUAAUGCAUCCGCAUCCAGAUAGUUGUGUACAUACCAGGGGCUAUCUUAUAGCCCCAUCGUCAAACUCCUAUGACUAAGUGAGAGUGGUAAAGCCAUAUGGUCCGAUUGCCUGGUUCGCCGCACUGACACCUCCUUUACAGACCAAGACAUUCGGUCAAGUGUGCUCAUGUGCCAUUCCGAACACCCCCGUAGUAUCUACGUGGGGGCCGAAGCCGAGGACUGGACAACUCACAGGAAUACAACAACGGUCGCACAGGAGGAAAUAACUUUUAGACAAUGGCACAAAUAUAUCACAAAGCCUUAAUAUAUAUAAUAAACACGUCCGGGUCAUUCGGAUACAUUCUCUAACAUAAUGUCCGUUGAGCAUUGACCCUCUAUCAAGCGAGCACCCUCUAGGACAUCUUCUAAGUAGCUCUCCGGCAUGCGGUGGCCCUUGCCUCCGGGAGGACCCUCAACGGCAAUAACGGCAUCCUUCAUCUUCGCGCGGUGCAUCUUGACGUGGGCAAAGGCCAUCCAUGCAUGUCAGAGUAAAUGGCCACGUGUAGCCUAGCCGGCUCCCCCUGGCUCUUCAAAAAAUAACAGGUCGAUCGAGCCUUCAAGUACCCAAGACACGGGGCCGCCUUCCCCCGGCUGCCUAUCCCACAAGCCGACUACCGGAAGGCGCCCGGCCCUAAAACCCCAUGAAGAAAGCCGCGAGAGGGCCGAAUCCAAUAAGCCGGCCACGAGAUGACCGACUCCAAGAAGCCGGCCCCCGACAGGCGGCCAAGAUCGUGCCCUCAAAGUCUGCACCCACAUAACGGAGAUGGGACGGGGCGUGGCAACAGAGAGGCCUGCCACCCCCGAAUCCCGGAGCACGCAUGGCCACAAUAUGCCGUACGGGGCAGCCAUGACCCGUCCGGCGGGGCACUGUUGCCACACUGACCAUGACGCCACCCACGAUAGGCUGUCAGUACGGCCCGCAGGCGGCGGGCCCCUUCGGCCAGAGAGACAUCCGAGGGCGGCCACGCUUCCCCUAGUCGGCCUGGGACGUAGCUGGCUCUCACCAGCCGGCUCGCUCCCUCCCUCAAAGUAUGUGCACCAUUAAGGAGACAAGACGAGGUAAGGCUAUAGUGAGAACCCACUAGGUGGCGGCACUAUAGCCAUGCUUACCUCGACAAAGCCCUCGUCAUCAAGAGUGAGGCAACAGUAACCAGCCCCCGACAAGACCCCCAAGCGGUGGGACCUACCUGUCGACCAGGAGGCCGGCAGCCGGCGGGACCCACCAGUCGAUGGGCCCCAGCGGUCGGCGAAAAAGCCGGCAAGCUUAGACACUGACGGCUGGAGCCCAUGCCCAGCCGGAUUACCAUUGUACCCCUUGGGGGGUUGGCCUAUAUAAACCCCCCAGGGCACCCAUGCAAAGGGUUGGACUCUGAUAGUUUUAGACACAACAUUGAGGCGAGAAGAGAGCUAGCCUUGCCCUUCUUCUUCCUCUCGCCAAACAGCUCAAGGAGCCUCUUGUAGCCACUUGUUGAUCUAGUGAUCAGGCGGAGACCCCGCAGAGCAGGACUAGAGGUGCUAUCUCCACGGAGAGCCCCGAACCUGGGUAAGAUCCGCCGGCGUGCAUGUCUUCGCCUCAUCCCGUUUCCAGGCACCGGCGAUGUCUUAUUGGCUCCCACAAUGAUAAGCCACCCGUUGGCAUAUGUCGCACCUACCACCCGACAUUUGGCGCCCACCGUGGGGCCAAGUGCACCGUCGUCCGGAGACCUGCUCUAGACGGGAACCCUUUUCCUUCCCAGCGAGCGUAGCCAGCCCGGCAAGCCCGAUGGCGCUUGCCCCGACACGCUGCAAGGUGUCGACGACGCCUGCGCAAUGAGCUGCCUCGCCGAUCUUCUUCGCAAGGCUCGCAUCUCCGACGAGCCCACGUCCGACGCGGGCAUAGGCUGCCCCGAGAGCCGCCUCGUCAGCCUCCUUGACCAACUCUACGUCUCCAGCGAGCCUGCUGCGGAUUUGGAGUCAGUUGGCUCCAUCGACCCGAUGCUUGUCGACUCCGACACGGCAUCGCUUGACGCCUUCCCCACCAACAUGGUGGUCUUCGACGACCCUCUCCCUCGAGCCGACAGCGGCGGUAGCAUGAUGUCUACUAUGCAACCUUCUUCUUGUAGACGUUGUUGGGCCUGCAAGUGCACAGGUUUGUACGACAGUAGCAAAUUUCCCUCAAGUGGAUGACCUAAGGUUUAUCAAUCCGUGGGAGGCGUAGGAUGAAGAUGGUAUCUCUCAAGCAACCCUGCAACCAAAUAACAAAGAGUCUCUUGUGUCCCCAACACACCCAAUACAAUGGUAAAUUGUAUAGGUGCACUAGUUCGGCGAAGAGAUGGUGAUACAAGUGUAAUAUGGAUGGUAGAUAUAGGUUUUUGUAAUCUGAAAAUAUAAAAAUAGCAAGGUAACAAGUGGUAAAAGUGAGCGUCAACGGUAUUGCAAUGAUAGGAAACAAGGCCUAGGGUUCAUACUUUCACUAGUGCAAGUUCUCUCAACAAUAAUAACAUAGAUAGAUCAUAUAACAAUCCCUCAACAUGCAACAAAGAGUCACUCCAAAGCCACUAAUAGCGGAGAAAAAACAUAGAGAUUAUGGUAGGGUACGAAACCACCUCAAAGUUAUUCUUUUCAAUCAAUCCAUUGGGAUAUUCCUAUAAGUGUCACAAACACCCCUAGAGUUCAUACUAGAAUAACAACUUAAGACACAAAUCAAUCAAAACCCUAAUGUCACCUAGAUACUCCAUUGUCACCUCAUGUAUCCAUGGGCAAGAUUAUACGAUAUGCAUCACACAAUCUCAGAUUCAUCCAACCAACAUAAAAGUACUUCAAAGAGUGCCCCAAAGUUUCUACUGGAGAGUCAAGAACAUGUGCCAACCUCUAUGCAUAGGUUCAUGGGCGGAACCCACAAGUUGGUCACCAAAACAUACAUCAAGUGGCACCUGAUAUUCCAUUAUCACCACGGAUAAACACGGCAAGACAUACAUCAAGUGUUCUCAUAAAAGACUCAAUCCGAUAAGAUAACUUCAAAGGGGAAACUCAAUUCAUCGCAAGAGAGUAGAGGGGAAGAAACAUCAUAAGAUCCAACUACAAUAGCAAAGCUCGGAAUACAUCAAGAUCGUGCCAUAGAGGGAACACGAGAGAGAGAGAGAGAGAGAGCAAACACAUAGCUACUGGUACAUACCCUCAGCCCCGAGGGUGAACUACUCCCUCCUCGUCAUGGAGAGCACCGGGAUGAUGAAGAUGGUCACCGGUGACGGUUCCCCCCUCCGGCAGGGUGCUGGAACAGGGUCCCGAUUAGUUUUUCGUGGCUCUGGAGGUUUUCCGGCGGCGGAACUCCUGAUCUAUCUUCUUUUCUGGAAGUUUUACGAUACGUAGGUAUAUAUGGGUGAAAGGAGUACGUCGGUGGACCAAAGGGGGGCCACGAGGCAGGGGGGCGCGCCCCAGGGGGGUGGGCGCGCCCCCUACCCUCAUGAGCACCUCCCUUCUUUCCUGACAUGCACUCCAAGUCCAUCGGGUGGCUUUCCUUCCAAAAAUAACUUCUCUAGUUGAUUUCGUUCCGUUCUGACUCCGUCUGAUAUUCCUUUUCCUCGAAACACUGAAAUAGGCAUAAAACAGCAAAUCUGGGCUGGGCCUCCGGUUAAUAGGUUAGUCCCAAAAAUAAUAUAAAAGUGGAUAAUAAAGCCCAAUAUUGCCUAAAACAGUAGAUAAUGUAGCAUGGAGCAAUCAAAAAUUAUAGAUACGUUGGAGACAUAUCACAGCACCGUCACCGAGGUGCUAGUCAUCAGCCACGGCGUCGCCUCUGGCGAGAACGCCCACGACGCCCUGCAAGCGGCGGUGCACGACUUGUCCGCCCCCAUCCCGGCCGAUGCCGACACCGAGACGCUGGAGGCACGCCACCUCGCCCUCAUUGCGGAGGGCCAGAACAUAGCCACCGUGAGACGCCUCACUGAGGCUCACCAGCGCGAAGUCGACCGCGCCGCCUUUGGUACGCCGCCUCCCGAUGGGCUGAGCCGGGCCGGUGUUGUCAAGAAGCACGGCGUGGCCAUCGGCGACAUGCUGGGAGUAGACCGCCCAGUCUACGCCACGCCUCUCGAGAACCUACGCGCCGCCCAGUCGGUCAUAGACGAGCUGAAUGGACUGGGGGCCGACGAGCUCCCCUACAUGACCAGACGCAUCCAGCAGUUGAUCGACGCAGCCGCAGAGCGGCAUGAAGCCGACGUCCACGCUGGAAGCCCCCCCCCCCACGCCGAGAACACGGCGCGACGUCACGGAUGCCGACUACAGGCGGCACCCGCACAAGGCAAGAAAAGGAGCCGGCUGCUAGUCACAGUCGGACUCGAGUCACCAUCGAGCGCGACGCAGAAGGCCGCCCUCGAGCUGUGGAGCGGCGAGGCGAACCGCCUCCUCCUCCGCCUCGUGGGGAGAGAUACCCCACCCCGCCGCCUGUCACGCAUCCGACUCUCAGCGGCCGACUAGGCCGCCGUGAAGGAGUCGGCGAGAAUGACGUCCGCCAUCGGAUCGACCACCUAGCGCAAUCCCCGGUGCUAGAAGAAGAUGAUGAUGUCGGCCUGCCCUGCUUUGGCCCCCACAUCUGCGACGAGCCCUUCCCCAAAGGGUUCUCGCUCCUGAGAGACAUGCCCAAGUACAACGGCCCCGUGAAGCCGGAAGAUUGGUUGAUCGAUUACUCCACCGCAGUUCGCAUAGCAAACGGCAACAGGCGUGUUGCCGUGAAAUAUGUCCCCUGAUGCUCCAGGGCACGGCGCGCACCUGGCUCAACAACCUCAAGCCUUAUAGCGUCAAUAGCUGGCUAGAAUUCACAGAAGCCUUCAUCCGCAACUUCACCAGCACCUACAAACAGGCUCCCAAGCCCCGACAACUCUCCUGGUGUGUUCAAGGGCCCAAUGAAUCAACUCGUGACUACCUCACGCGUUGGGCCGAGCUCCGCAACUCCUGCGAGGGGGUGCACGAGGUUCAAGCCAUAGAGUACUUCACCGCCGGGUGCCGAGAAGGCACCCUCCUCAAGCACCGACUCCUCUGCGAUGAGCUGACUACCCUCGACGAGCUGCAGAUUAUAGAAGACAAGUACGCCACGGCCGACUCUUCAAUGAAAACCGAGCUUCGAGUAGACGCCUUCGGGAAGGUGCUCGCUCUGGCUCCCAAGACGCCGGCUGGAGACUCCAGCCGACGCCCGUACCAGAACGACAACAAGCGCAAGGCUCCUGUGCCGCCUUCCACCUGUCGGCAAGUGGCCACAGUCGAAGACGAACAGCCCAAAGGGCGGCCGGCGCCCAAGAAGCAGAAGGGCGGCAGGCCGGCUUGGCAGCCGGCUUUCUCCUACGAGCAAGCCCUUGAUGCCCCCUGCAAGUUCCAUAGCGGCGUGAAGGCGUCCAACCACACGACUCGGAAAUGCCAUUGGCUCACUCGAAUCUCCAAGGGCAAAGGGCUGGUGCCGCCUCCACCUGCUGGCCAGCCGCCUCCAGCCCCUCAGCAGUCGGCCGCUCGGCCAGCGGUCGGGCCUGUUCAAGACGAGUUCCCUGACGAACAUGCCGCCUACGUCGUCUUUACAAGCCAGCCUGAAGACCGGCGCAGCCGGCACCGACAGCACCAAGAAGUCAAUGCGGUCGCCUCCAACAACCCCGAGUUCAUGCACUGGUCGGAGAAGCCUAUCAACUGGAGCCAGGCCGAUCACCCAGAGGUGAUGCCUUCUCUCGGCUCUUAUGCAUUGGUUUUGGACGCUACCCUCGCAACAGAAAGGCGAGCAGCCCGUUUCUCCCGCGUGCUGAUAGAUUGCGGGAGCAGCAUCAACAUACUGUACUAUGGCACCAUGGAGAAGCUGAACAUGAAGAUGAAGUAGCUCAUGCCUAGUCGGACUGUGUUCCAUGGCAUCGUACCUGGCAUGUCUUGCUCACCAAUUGGCAAGAUCAAGAUAGAUGUCCUCUUUGAAGACAAGGAUCAUUUCCGCCGAGAAGCAAUAUGGUUUGAAGUAGUGGAUCUAGAGAGCCCCUACCACGCAUUGCUUGGCCGACCUGCUCUGGCCAAGUUCAUGGUUGUGCCCCACUAUGCCUACCUCAAGAUGAAGAUGCCGAGUUCCAAGGGCAUCAUCACCGUAGCCGGAGACUACAAGAAAUCCUCUGAGUGUGCGGCAGCUAGCAGCCGGCUGGCCGAGUCCCUCGUGAUUGCUGAAGAGAAAAAGAUGCUGGACCGAGUCGUGGCUAUGGCCGGCAAGCGGUCGGCCCUGUCCCCCGACCCCAAGGAAUAUGAUGAUCAAGGUUCUUUCCAGCCGUCCAAAGAAACAAAGAAGAUACCUCUGGACCCGGAGCACCUGGAGAGGCACGUUGUCGUAGGCACCGGCCUUGACGGCAAAUAGGAAAGCGAGCUCAUCGAUUUCCUCCGUGAGAAUUGGGACAUCUUCGCAUGGUCUCCCAAAGACAUGUCGGGUGUUCCGACGGAUUUCGCCGAGCACAAGCUACAUGUCCGAUCUGACGCCAAGCCGGUCAAGCAGCCCUUGCGCCGCAUGUCAAAAGAAAAGAGAAGAGUAGUCGGAGAAGAAACAGCCCAGCUUCUAGUAGCCGGCUUCAUUAUGGAGGUGUUCUUCCCAGAAUGGCUUGUCAACCCGGUCCUGGUGUUGAAGAAGAACAAGCAGUGGCGCAUGUGCAUUGACUACACCAGCCUCAACAUAGCCUGCCCUAAAGAUCCAUUUUCUCUACCAAGGAUUGAUCAAGUGAUAGACUCCACAGCCGGAUGUGAGCUGUUGAGCUUCUUGGAUGCUUACUCAGGCUACCACCAGAUAAAAUUGGACCCAGCUGACCGCCUGAAGACCGCCUUCAUCACACCAUUCGGAGCUUUCUGUUACCUGACUAUGACAUUCGGCUUGAGAAAUGCCGGUGACACUUUUCAGCGUUGCAUGCAGAAAGCAGCUCGGCAAAAAUGUCCAUGUCCAUGUAGACGAUAUUGUGGUGAAGAUGGAGAAACGCGACACCUUGCUGGAAGAUCUCAGAGAGACAUUUGAAAAGCUGCGUCGGUUUCAAAUCAAGCUCAAUCCCGAGAAAUGCGUGUUUGGAGUACCAGCCGGCCAGCUCCUAGGCUUCCUGGUCUCCGAAUGCGACAUUGAAUGCAACCCAGUGAAGAUCAAGGCCAUAGAGAGAAUGGAGAUUCCUACCAAGCUGCGAGACGUCCAAAAGUUUACUGGAUGCCUGGCCUCCAUCAACCGCUUCAUCAGCCGGCUCAGAGAGAAGGCUCUCCCCCUCUACCGACUCAUGAAGAAAUCCACUCACUUCGAGUGGAAUGACCAAGAAGACCAAGCUUUCCACGAGCUAAAGAAGAUGCUGGCCAUACCGCCUGUCUUGGCGGCACCGACUGAGAAAGAGCCCAUGCUCCUUUACAUUGCCGCCACUAGCCGGGUGGUUAGCACCGUUAUCGUGGUUCAGCGCCUAGAAGAAGGCCGAGCUCAGUUAGUCCAGACGCCGGUAUAUUAUCUGAGUGAAGUGUUGUCCACCUCGAAGCAGAACUACCCACACUAUCAGAAGAUGUGCUAUGGUGUGUACUUCGCCGCCAAGAAGCUCAAGCCCUACUUUCAAGAGCACCCAUCACGGUCGUAUGUACUGCCCCACUCGCCAAGAUCAUAGGCAGCCAGGAUGCAUCCGGUCGGGUGGCAAAAUGGGCCAUUGCGUUGGCUCCUUAUACGAUCUUCUACCAACCCCGCACAGCCAUCAAAUCCCAGGCAUUGGCCGACUUCCUUGUCGACUGGGCCGAGACCCAGUACCUGCCGCCGGCCCCCGACUCCACUCAUUGGCGGAUGCACUUUGAUGGAUCCAAGAUGCGCACUGGCUUGGGAGCCGGCAUCGUCCUCACCUCUCCCAAGGGCGACAAGCUCAGAUACACAUUGCAAAUUCAUUUUACCUCCUCCAGCAAUGUGGCCAAGUACGAGGCGCUCAUACACGGGCUCAGGCUAGCCAAAGAACUCGGCAUCCGCUGGAUCCUGUGCUAUGGCGACUCGGAUUUGGUAGUCCAGCAAUCAUCUGGCGACUGGGACGCCAAGGACGCAAACAUGGCGAGCUACCGCUUCCUCGUUCAGAAACUCAGCGGAUAUUUUGAAGGAUGCGAGUUCCUCCACGUGCCACGGGCCGACAACGAGAAAGCAGAUGCCCUGGCACGAAUAGGUUCCACCCGACAAGCUAUACCAACCGGCGUCUAUCUCCAAUGCCUCCUCAAGCCGUCUGUCAAGCCAUCUCCAGAAUCUGAUUCCAUCUUCGUGCCUCCUAACCCCGACGCAGUCGGAUCCAGCUUGGGGAACCAAGCAGGCGGCUCGGGGACUUCGACAGGCGGCUCGGGGACUGUUACAGUCGCACCUGUCCCGGGGACUGCAUCGACACGACAGGCGGUGGCCGACUCCAACUCUUCACCACCCAGCCCACCCGCCCGGGUCGCAGUAGCCGUAUUGGCAAUAGAAGAAGUCAUAGCUCCAUCAUGGGCCCAGCCCAUCCUCAACUUCCUAGUAAACAGAGAGCUGCCGACUGACGAGAUCUCGGCAAGGCAAGUCCAACACCGAGCCGGAGCUUACACAAUAAUGAACUGAGAGCUUGUUAGGCGCAGCGUCACUGGAGUCUUCCAGCGCUGCGUCGAACCAGAGAAGGGCAUAGCAAUCCUCAAGGACAUCCACCAAGGUGAAUGCGGCCACCACGCAGCCUCAAGAUCACUCGUCGCCAAAGCUUUUCGCCAUGGGUUCUUCUGGCCGACUGCUUUGGAAGACGCCAAGGAGUUAGUCAAACACUACAAAGGGUGCCAAGUCUUCAGCUCCAAGCAACACCUACCGGCUUCCGCACUCAAGACCAUCCCCCUCACCUGGCCCUUUGCCGUCUGGGGACUGGACAUGGUGGGCCCAUUCAAGAUGGCGCGCGGCGACAUAACACAUCUGCUCGUCGCUGUGGACAAAUUUACCAAGUGGACUGAAGCAAAGCCGAUCAAAAAGCUGAAUGGGCCAACUGUCGUGACAUUCAUUGCAGAUAUUACAACCCAGUAUGGCAUACCACACAGCAUCAUCACCGACAACGGCACGAAUUUUGCCAAGGGAGCACUGGCACGUUUCUGUGCAACACAGGGCAUCCGACUAGACUUAGCGUCUGUUGCCCACCCGCAGUCAAACGGCCAAGUCGAGCGAGUAAACGGCCUCAUCCUCUCUGGCAUCAAGCCCUGAUUGGUCGUGCCACUGGAGCGUUCGGCCGGCUGUUGGCUCGACGAGCUACCGGCCGUCCUCUGCAGCUUGCGCACUACCCCAAACAAGUCAACCGGCUUCACCCCUUUCUUCCUUGUAUAUGGUGCCGAGGCUGUCAUCCCAACUAACAUUGAGUUCGACUCACCUUGGCUCACCAUGUACAUGGAGGCAGAGGCCAAGGAAGCGCGAGAAGACGGCGUCGACCUGCUGGAAGAGGGUCGGCUGUUAGCCCUCAGCCGGUCCGCCAUCUACCAGCAGGGUCUACACCGUUACCAUAGCCAGAAGGUCAAGCCAAGAUCCUUCCAAGAGGAUGAUCUUGUGCUCCGGCUGAUCCAGCGAACAGCCGGCCAGCACAAGCUCUCGGUCCCUUGGGAAGGCCCAUUCGUCAUCAGACGGGCUUUAGGCAACGACUCCUACUACCCUAUCGACGCGCAGAAGCCGAAGGCACACAAGAGGGAUGAUUCCGGCAAGCAGUCGGGACGACCAUGGAAAGUCAAUCUCCUCCGAAGAUUUUAUAGUUGUGACACUCCAAAAUUUUUAUUUGGUUUUUAUCAAAAACUUUGUGGUUUUUGAAGAGAGGCCUUUUAAAAUUUUCUUUCAGAAAACCUUCCUCUUAAAAAACUUCCUUUGCUUUGGCUAGGAUUUUAUUUUUUCAAACUUUGGUGUUUGAACCUUUUGAAACUUCUUCUCUGUUGGUUUCCUCUCAAAUUUAUUUUGGGAGUUUAAUCUUUUUUCUUUUAAAAAGAACUCUAUGAAAAACUUGGGAUUUUCAUAUCUUGAAAACCACCCAUGACUUUGCAUUUUUGCCCAUGUGAUAAAACCCUUCCAAAACCUCCCCUACUCCUUGUGAUCAACCUAAGUUCUCUGUCCCAACUAAUCCAAGCAAGUUUUGGAUUUUAUUCUAAUUAUUUUUCCUCUCAAAUCAAUUCUGAAAAUUAUUUGGAGCCUGAGUAAUUUUCAAAGCAAGUACCACUUUGCCUUUGAAUUUUGAUCCCAAACCAACUCUCCUGGAUAGUCCUUUGUACCCACAACCCAGAACCAUCUUGAACCACUCCUCCUCUUUUCAAAUUUUUCAAAAUUCAGUCUCUGCAAGUUUGGACCAGAUUUGCCAAAUUUGAUGAAAUUCAUAUCUACACUCCUCCAAAAAUUCCACCAAAAUUCAGGCAGCCUACUUGAGCAAUGAGAAGCCACUCCACCAAAAAUCAGCUCAAGGAAAAAUCACCAGAGGCCAAAUUCAUUCUGUCGAACACCUUGCAGGCACUGUUAUUGUUCAAAAUUCAGAAAAUUCAGUUUGCAGUGUCGUUUUCGUCCGUCAGUUUCUAUCACGCGUAGACAGUGCGCUUGGCUCGAUGCUCGCAGCCCCUCCCUCUUGUCCGGAGCUUCACACGCGUGCGUGGAGCCUUCCUGGCGUCGGUGACACGCUGGCCCGCCCUCGCCGGCGUCUUCUGCGGCGUCAGGACCUCCCGUGGCGGCCUACAGGGGACAAGAACGGCGGCUCAACGCCGUUCCGUGCCGCCCAUCGCCCCUAUGCUCUCCGCGUGGCCUCAUGCGUGCCAGCGCACGCCCGUGGCACCGCCACCGUGGCCGGCAAGCACGGGACGCUCUCCCUGCCGCCGACGGGCCCGCGCCGCCCCGUUCUGUCGAACUCACCCCCAACGCACCAAACUCCAGCUCGAUUAGCGCCUAAACGGAACCGUGGACCUCCUCGAUGACGCCCAACGUUCUAAUUACCCCGACCAAGCCCUGCGCCGCCGUAAUCACUCGCCGGAGACCCCCGUUCAUGGCAACCGCCUCGGGCCGCCUAUAAAAAGGGCCCCCAAGCUCACCCUCGUGCACGCAUCAUCACCACUCCUCACCAACACCCCGCCAGGCUACUAGGAGGACCUGAAGGAGGUCUCCUCCCCCAACUCCGGCCGCCCCGAUCCGCCUCGGCCUCCACCAUGAUUCGCUCAGGUGAGGCCAUCUCCGGCGCCAAAACCCCGUCCGUUACCCUCUCUAGCUACCAGGAGCCUAACCCCCUCCUCAAUUUGAUCUCUGCAGCCCUCUCCGACGAGUUCCUCGACCACCCGAGCCGCCGUCCGCCGGAGCAAAGCUCGCCGUCGACAUGGUACUCGCCGGCGACCACCACCACCACCAACCGACGCGGAAUGGCGCCCUGAGCACGGAGGUACCCUCCGAUCCCCCUGCCUCGCCGUGGAUCGCCGCCGGCGACCACCGCGGCUCUCGGGCACCGACGAGCUUCGCCCCCCCUUUUUUGAAAGUUUAAACCUGACGAGUGGGACCCCACCGUCAGCCUCUCUGCUCUCUCUUUUGAAACGUUUUCUGGAAGCGCCUUCGGGCAAAAUGCGCUUUCCCCUCUGGGCUGGCGUAUUCAACACUGGAACGUUUGCUGUUUUUAUAAACUAGCCCCUGGAAAUCUUCUGUUUCAUUACAGAUGAGUCCCUGGACAAAAACCCUUAUAACUUUUAAACAGAAAAGUAUUUUUGAUUGAUUCUUUUUCUGUUCUCUUUAAAAUUUUGUCUAGUUUUUUAUCAGAUUUAUUUGAAAAAUAUUUGGAAUAUUUUUGUGCAUUCCUUGGUAUUUACGAUAGCGCAUAUAUUUUCUUUAUACCGUAGAUACCGAAGGAGGUGACGGAGCCGCGAACCUCGCCGAGCUAGGCUCCGACUACUCUAAACCAGGCAAGCAUGUUUCAACGUUUGAUAUGAUGAGUGUCUUGGCAUGUUUUGCAUUUAGUUAGUUUCAUGGCAUGUUGAGGAGCAUAUCGAUGAACGUUAUGUUAUGCACUAAUGAGGUAAGUGAGUUCGAUGAUCCAUAAGUGGAUGGAUGUGAGUAUGAAUGGCCAUGUGUUGGCAUGAGGAUGGGUAAGAUGGCAGUGUCGUAGCAUGCCAGUCUUAUGCCAGACUAUGUGACUUCAGUGUCAAACCGUAUCGGUCCAAUUCCUCUCAUUUCCUUCCCUGUACUACCACAUGUUUUCCGCAAGGAAUAUGGUUUAGUAAGUUGCAACCGCUUUUCUGGUACACACCAAAAGGAGAGGCCGUGAUGAUGGUUCCAUGGCCCUGGAUUAAAUCCAGUCAUCCGGUCAGGGGGCAUGGGUGUUUCCGGUUGGGACCGAGAGGGGGGCACCCCUUAGAGCGCGCGUAUAUAAAUUUGAUCCCAUGCUAUUCGAGAUUGUGAUCUCCCCGUCUCAAAAGUUUUUCUUGGACGAUGUCUAGGGUGAUUCCUAGCAUCGAGAGGUAGGAUGGGUGUGUACUGGUUAGCUGUGUUUUCUUCCGAAAUACCGUAAACGGAACUAGUCCUUCGUGACUACGGAAAUCCGUUGGCUGUGGGAAAAAUUUUGUACAAACUCUGCAGAGUCAUAUAUUCCUCCAAAUCAUCUAUUCCCUGUCCUAGAUCGAUAAUAUCUUAUCCUAAUCAAAUGUCAGUUUUGAUGACAGAGACUCCGGUGAUUCGCAUGAGUGCUAAUUCCGGUUAAAUGAUUAUUCCUGUGGAUGUACUAACCCAUUUAUUCUCAUGAAUUAAAUGUUUAUUAUGAGUAUUAUUUACUUGUGAAUCAAAGCCCUUUCUGCGAUGUCGCUCAGACGUCCGACUGUGGCAUUGUUGUAUUUUACUUUCUUUUCAAGCCCUUUAUGUGAUGUCGCCCCGAUGUCCGACUGUGGCAUUUCUUUUUAAAANNNNNNNNNNNNNNNNNNNNNNNNNNNNNNNNNNNNNNNNNNNNNNNNNNNNNNNNNNNNNNNNNNNNNNNNNNNNNNNNNNNNNNNNNNNNNNNNNNNNNNNNNNNNNNNNNNNNNNNNNNNNNNNNNNNNNNNNNNNNNNNNNNNNNNNNNNNNNNNNNNNNNNNNNNNNNNNNNNNNNNNNNNNNNNNNNNNNNNNNNNNNNAAGCCAUUUCUGUGAUGUCGCCCCGACGUCCGACUGUGGCAUUUCUUUUUAAAGCCCUUUCUGUGAUGUCGCCCCGACAUCCGACUGUGGCAUUUUUUUAAAGCCCUUUCUGUGAUGUCGCCCCGACAUCCGACUGUGGCAUUUCUUUUAAAGCCCUUUCUAUGAUGUCGCCCCGACAUCCGACUGUGGUAUUUCUUUUAAAGCCCUUUAUGUGGUGUCGCUAAGACGCCCGACUGUGGCAUCAUUUCCUUAUAUUUAUUUGUUCACCUUUCGAGGCGUCGCUUCAGACACCCGAUCGGUAGUUAUUUAUGUUUUGUUGGGAUUUCAGGCGGACUACCGCCGUUUCCCUUUUACUUACCUUGUUAUGCUAAUUUUUGAAUGUACAUUGGUGAAUUAUUCAUGACGCAUCCAUGCAUGCAUUUGUUAUAUCUUACGUCCGAACUGUCUUGCGAGUACUUUCAAAGUACUCACUGGCUUGUUGAUUUGGCCAGAUGCUGACGAAGGCGAUCUCAUGGAUGAAGAGUUUGAUAGCGAGUCCGACACCUAGAGGAGUCCCAGUCAGUCUCGUGCGGCCCUGGAUUUGGUCACUGUUUUAUAUCCGCUUCCGCCACCAAAUAAAUUCAUCGAGCCUCACCUCGACGCUCGAUGAGAUGAUAGACUUAGAGUCUUGUAUUCCUCUCCCCGUUGUGUUUCUCCACCACCGCCCUAUCCUCGAGUCAGUAGUAUGCCUCCACACCACUGUGUCAUGUCCGCCAUUAUGUAUAAUUAUUGGCGUGCUUGUAAUAAUUUGGUUGAGCAACCGUAGUUCGACCCUGUAAUAUAUUUUAUGCUACUGGCUUAUUGUAUCAAGAAGUUGUCUACCAGUGAGGAGGAUUUCUCUCAUACUGGACUCAAAAGAUUGGUUUCUCAAUAAAUAUUUUUAUUGGAAAACCGGUCGUGACAAGCUUGGUACCAGAGCCAGGCUGACUGUAGGAAGCCACUAGGUGCGAUCGCUAAUUGGUUAUUAGCAUGAUAGAGCUAAGUUAUAUUUUUGCAAUUGUAGUCAUUUUCUGUCAGUCGGCAUAAAUUUAUGAUCUGACCAUGCAGAAUUUUUGCCUACUUUUGUAGAUGGCCGACAACAGCUGCGAGUCUCAGACCUUCGCCAACAUGCCCGAUGGGUUCGUCAAGCUUCUUUCCUUCAUCGUUCAGGUCGCGAUGGGGCCAUCUGUGCGCCCAGUCUUCACGCUCUGCCAGCACCGAGUUAACGACAGUCUGACUAUGCACCAGGCCGCGGUGCAGUUCAAGGGAGGGCGUGAUGAGUUACGCUGCUUCCGGUUCGUGGGAAGAGCCAUGCCUACGGAGAGGCAUGCUAUGCAGAUGGCAGCCCGCGAGGCGAUAGCUCGUCUCAGGGAUGUCCUUCCCGUGAUGAAGACUCGUCGUUACCGUUAUCUUCCGUGCCAUGUGCCUUACACCUGUCACUACGCAUACUCCUGCCCCAGAGGAGAACGAGACGAGGCUUUUGAGAUGCUCAUUGAGUAUCUCCGGGCCCUGGAGGCAGCCUUCGACAACCUGGUGGACGACUUCGUAGCUACCCGCAUGGACUCAGUUCAUGGCUGUGCUGCCAACAGGAGGGAGCUCCUACUCAUCGCACCGCCACUGACUUUGGUCUCGUCCUCAGCAUCUUUUACGCCUACUCGUCGCCUGCCUUCUACCGAAGAAUUCAACCAAGUCAUUGCACCCACUUCAGCGCGCACUGCACCACCCUUCGCGCCCACUCCUGUACGUGUUGCUCCGCCCCUGGCAACCGCUCCGUCCACUCUGCGCAACACUACACGUAUGGAGCCCAUUAGCGAGGAGGAGGUCGAGUCCCCAACCUCGCUACGCCUCGCCCUCGGCAGGGCAAAGGAGGUCGUCAACAUCUCUGCCUAAGUACGCCUAGCUGCCAUGUAUUGUACCGCUUUGUAAGAUAUGUACAUAGGUUGUGAGAAGUAGCCUGUUUGCGCAUCAUGUAGGAUCUGGAGAAGUGCACUAGCCUAAAUAACAUGUCAGGAUUAUGUACGCAUAUCCUGAGUGAUGUAUUGUAUAAUUACCGCCCGCGUGUAAGAUAUGUAAUGAGCAGUCCUUCUCCGUGCGCAAGACGAUUUGUUUUUCUUAAGUAAGCUGGGUUAUUUAGUUUUAUUUGCCAGCUUUAUGCAUUUUUUUGCAAUUGUUUUUGCGACUCUUUCCGCUUUUCUUAUGAGUUUUACAAAAAUAUUUCCCCAGAGUGAAAAAUGUCUCGUCCUUGGACUCGCUCCAUGCCAACUCCACCAGAGGAAAAUUUUGAUGCACAACCCAGCAACGAGUUCACUCAGGGACAGUCAAGCCAACAGGGCAGUGAAUCGGCACUUUCACAAAUGUGCCGCCUUUAUGAGCAGAGUCAACAACAACAUCGGAAAAUGAUGAACCAAGUCAUCAACAUGGGAAAUCAUCAUGGACAGUAUCAGCAGCAUUCCAAGUUAUCUGAGCUACAGAAGACACGUCCUCAAACAUUUUCUCACACUGACAAACCUCUUGAAGCCAAGGACUGGCUUCGAGAUAUGGAGAGAAAAUUAAUUAUUGCAAAAUGUUCAGACCCCGAGAAGGUAUUGUAUGCUCCGCACUAUCUCACAGGAGCAGCCGCAUCGUGAUGGGAGAAUUUUCUGCACAUGCAUCCCCACGAAAAUGACAUAACCUGGGAUGAUUUCAAGGAAGGUUUCCGUGGUGCACACAUUCCUAAGAGUAUUAUGAAAAUCAAGAAGAGAGAGUUCGAUGACCUCAAACAAAGGAACAUGACAGUGUCAGAUUACAACAGUCAAUUUACUCUAUUGUCCCGCUACGCCAAUGAAGAGCGUAUGACUGAAAUCAAGAAGAUGGAGAAAUUCCUUGACGGUCUGGCGCCCGCGCUUAAAUGCCAACUGGUCGUGCACACUUUUCCUGAUUUUAAAACACUGGUAGACAAAGCCAUUACUCUGGAAAAUGAGAGACGCAGUCUGGAAGAUAUCCGCAAGCGAAAAAGGGACCAGAAUAAUCAUGCUCGCAAUCACCGAAGCAAGACAGAUUUUCAAAAGGGUGGGACACACAAAUCCUCAUCCAAUGUCUCAUGCCCAAUCAAGAAUUUUCAUGCAAGGGACAAGGAAUUCACCUAUCGCCCUGGCGUUACUUGUUACACUUGUGGAGAAGAAGGGCACUAUGCCAAACAGUGCCCCAAGCCAAGGAAUUCAACCCCAAAGCCGAACAACGGCGGAAACAAUUCCGCGCCCAAGCGAAACAAUUUCAAUCCCAACAAUAACCACAGGAAGGGUCAUCUGAACCACGUAACCAAAGAGGAGGCACAAAAUGCUCCGGAUAUCGUACUCGGUACGUUUCCUGUCAACACAAUACCUGCAAUGGUUUUGUUUGAUUCUGGAGCUUCUCACUCUUUCAUUUCGAAAAAUUUUGCUUUGCAAAAUAAUUUUUCGAUGCUUCCUUUGGAGAAAUCCAUGACCAUCAAGUCCCCUGGAAUUCAGCAAGUUUCUCAGAAUUACUAUCAGAAUGUAGUCAUUGAGUUCGAAGGAUUGGAGUUUCACGCAAAUCUUAUUGUGUUGGAAAAUAAAGGACUAGAUGUCAUCCUAGGGAUGGAUUGGCUAACCACCAAUAAGGGUUUUAUCGACUGUUUCAACAGGACCGUAAUUCUCACACACCACCAAGGGAAGACAAUAAGAGUAUCAGCCAAGGAAGGAAAAAUACCCCGGCAACCGAGAUUGAAUAAGGUGGAUGUUUCUGAGCUAAACGAGGUUCCAGUAGUGUGUGAAUUUCCAGGUGUAUUCCCUGAAGAGCUACCAGGCAUGCCACCAGACCGAGAAAUAGAAUUCCGCAUUGAGCUAGCACCAGGAACCACCCCCAUAUACAAGAAACCAUACAGAAUGGCACCAUCCGAGUUGAUCGAGUUGAAGAAGCAAAUAAAGGAAUUACUGGGAAAAUGAUACAUUCGAGCCAGCUCCUCACCUUGGGGAUCACCAAUUUUAUUUGCCAAAAAGAAGGAUGGAACGCUGAGAUUGUGUAUUGACUAUCGAGCACUUAACAUGGUCACAGUCAAAAACAAAUACCCGAUGCCAAGGAUAAACGAUUUGUUUGAUCAACUCGCUCAGGCCAAGGUAUUCUCAAAAAUUGACUUAAGGUCAGGAUACCAUCAAUUGAAGGUACGAACGGAAGAUAUCCCCAAAACAGCCUUCACCUCCAGAUAUGGACUGUACGAGUUCACAGUGAUGCCAUUUGGAUUAACUAACACCCCAGCAUAUUUUGUUCACCUCAUGAACAAAGUAUUUAUGAAGUUUAUGGACAAGUUCGUCGUGGUAUUCAUCGACGAUAUUCUGGUAUACUCCAAGACACCAGAAGAGCACGCAGAACAUCUCAGGAUUGUGCUAGGAGAGCUAAGAAAACACCAAUUGUAUGCCAAGUUCAGCAAGUGCGAAUUUUGGCUAAGACAAGUAGGCUUUCUAGGACACGUACUGACCCAAGACGGUAUCGCAGUGGACCCAGAGAAAGUCAAUGCCGUACUUGGCUGGAAGUCACCAGCCAGCGUAACGGACAUACGGAGUUUCUUGGGAAUGGCAGGAUAUUACCGCAGAUUUAUUGAAGGAUUUUCCACCAUAGCCAAGCCUAUGACACAGUUGCUCAAGAAAGAUAAGAAGUUUGAAUGGACAGAAGCCUACGAGAAAAGUUUCCAAGAGCUAAAGCGGAAGUUAACAACGGCACCGGUAUUAAUUGUACCCGACAUACACAAGAAUUUUGAAGUAUAUUGUGACGCGUCCAGAAAGGGUCUCGGAUGCGUGUUGAUGGAGGAAGGCAAGGUUGUCGCCUACGCUUCAAGGCAACUUCGCAAGCAUGAGGAAAAUUAUCCCACUCAUGACUUAGAAAUGGCAGCAGUUAUUCAUGCACUCAAGGAAUGGAGGCAUUUCUUACUUGGGAAUCGAUGUGAAAUAUAUACGGAUCACAAAAGUCUCAAAUAUAUUUUCACACAGCCAGAACUAAACUUACGGCAAUGACGUUGGUUGGAGUUAGUAAAGGAUUAUGAUGUUGGUAUCCAUUACCAUCCAGGGAAAGCAAAUGUAGUGGCCGAUGCCCUUAGUCAGAACCCCAGCUCCGACGAAAACUAUCUGCACAGCUUGAGGCCCGAAUUCCAUCAAGAAUUUGCCAAGCUCAACUUGAUAAUGGUAGCAAAAGGCACCAUAUCAAACUUGGAAAUACAACCCAACCUUGUGGAGAAAAUCAAAGAAGCUCAGCCCGGUCACACCAGCAUCGAAGGCAUCAAAAGAAAGUUGAGUAUGGGCAAGGCCUCGGAAUUCGUCAUAGACAAGGAAGGAAUAUUAUGGUACGGAGAAAGGCUCUGCGUGCCAAACAUAGCAGACCUUAAACAGAAUAUUUUAGCUGAAGCACACACCACUCCAUAUUCAAUUCACCCUGGAGGAACCAAAAUGUAUAAGGAUAUUCAGGAAAGAUUUUGGUGGCACGGUAUGAAAAGGGACAUAUCCACCUUCAUUGCAUGUUGCGACUCAUGUCAACGCAUAAAAGCUGAGCAUCAGAGACCAGCCGGACUACUGCAACCGAACAAAAUACCUGAGUGGAAAUGGGAUGAAAUAGGGAUGGAUUUUAUUGUCGGACUACCUCGGUCACGGCACGGGAAUGAUGCCAUAUGGGUCAUCACUGACAGGUUGACCAAAGUGGCACACUUUAUUCCAGUGAAGACAACCUACAACACUCAGAGGCUUGCCAGGAUUUAUCUUUCCCGCAUAGUUUGUCUGCAUGGUGUCCCGAAAACUAUAAUAUCCGACAGAGGUACUCAGUUCGUCUCAAGAUUUUGGGAGCAUUUACAACAGGCUCUGGGAACCCAACUAGCCUUCAGUACCGCAUACCACCCACAGACUGAUGGACAAACAGAACGCGUAAACCAGGUUUUAGAAGACAUGCUGAGAGCAUGUGUCCUCACAUAUGGAACCAGUUGGGAAGAAAGCCUGCCAUACGCCGAAUUCGCGUAUAACAAUAGCUACCAGGCCAGCCUACAAAUGGCACCAUUUGAGGCUUUAUACGGACGAAGAUGUCGUACCCUGUUAAAUUGGUCGGAGACCGGAGACAGCCGCAUCUUCGGACCAGACAUACUCAGAGAAGCCGAGGAAAAGGUCAAGCUAAUCAGAGACCGACUUAAGACCGCUCAAAGUCGACAGAAGAGUUAUUAUGAUCAGAAACAUCGUAGGGUCAGCUUCGAACCCGGUGAGUUCGUAUACCUGAGAGUAUCCCCUAUGAGAGGACUGCAACGGUUUAAGAUUAAAGGAAAGUUAGCACCAAGAUUCAUUGGACCAUUCUGCAUAGUGGCACGAAGAGGCACUGUAGCCUACCAGCUAGACUUACCCGAAGACUUGUCCGACAUUCACGACGUGUUCCACGUCUCUCAAUUAAGGAAGUGCGUAAGCAACCCAGAGAAACAAGUAUCCCAUGAAAUCAUUGACGUGCAGCCAGACCUCACUUAUCAGGAACGUCCCGUAAGAAUAUUAGAGGAGUCUGAAAGGAGGACCCGACAGAAGACCAUCAAGUUUUUCAAAGUCCAGUGGAGCAAUCACACCGACAGUGAAGCAACUUGGGAAAGCGAGGAUUUUCUUCGGACAGAGCAUCCACACUUAUUUAAGGAUCAGCUGAAAUCUCGGGGACGAGAUUUUUCCUAAGGGGGUAGGUGUUGUGACACUCCAAAAAUUUUAUUUGGUUUUUAUCAAAAACUUUGUGGUUUUUGAAGAGAGGCCUUUUAAAAUUUUCUUUCAGAAAACCUUCCUCCUAAAAAACUUCCUUUGCUUUGGCUAGGAUUUUAUUUUUUCAAACUUUGGUGUUUGAACCUUUUGAAACUUCUUCUCUGUUGGUUUCCUCUCAAAUUUAUUUUGGGAGUUUAAUCUUUUUUCUUUUAAAAAGAACUCUAUGAAAAACUUGGGAUUUUCAUAUCUUGAAAACCACCCAUGACUUUGCAUUUUUGCCCAUGUGAUAAAACCCUUCCAAAACCUCCCCUACUCCUUGUGAUCAACCUAAGUUCUCUGUCCCAACUAAUCCAAGCAAGUUUUGGAUUUUAUUCUAAUUAUUUUUCCUCUCAAAUCAAUUCUGAAAAUUAUUUGGAGCCUGAGUAAUUUUCAAAGCAAGUACCACUUUGCCUUUGAAUUUUGAUCCCAAACCAACUCUCCUGGAUAGUCCUUUGUACCCACAACCCAGAACCAUCUUGAACCACUCCUCCUCUUUUCAAAUUUUUCAAAAUUCAGUCUCUGCAAGUUUGGACCAGAUUUGCCAAAUUUGAUGAAAUUCAUAUCUACACUCCUCCAAAAAUUCCACCAAAAUUCAGGCAGCCUACUUGAGCAAUGAGAAGCCACUCCACCAAAAAUCAGCUCAAGGAAAAAUCACCAGAGGCCAAAUUCAUUCUGUCGAACACCUUGCAGGCACUGUUGCUGUUCAAAAUUCAGAAAAUUCAGUUUGCAGUGUCGUUUUCAUCCGUCAGUUUCUAUCACGCGUAGACAGUGCGCUUGGCUCGAUGCUCGCAGCCCCUCCCUCUUGUCCAGAGCUUCACACGCGUGCGUGGAGCCUUCCUGGCGUCGGUGGCACGCUGGCCCGCCCUCGCCGGCGUCUUCUGCGGCGUCGGGACCUCCCGUGGUGGCCGACAGGGGACAAGAACGGCGGCUCAACGCCGUUCCACGCCGCCCAUCGCCCCUAUGCUCUUCGCGUGGCCUCAUGCGUGCCAGCGCACGCCCGUGGCACCGCCACCGUGGCUGGCAAGCACGGGACGCGCUCCUUGCCGCCGACGGGCCCGCGCCGCCCCGUUCUAUCAAACUCACCCCCAACGCACCAAACUCCAGCUCGAUUAGCGCCUAAACGGAACCGUGGACCUCCUCGAUGACGCCCAACGUUCUAAUUACCCCGACCAAGCCCUGCGCCGCCGUAAUCACUCGCCGGAGACCCUCGUUCACGGCAACCGCCUCGGGCCACCUAUAAAAAGGGCCCCCGAGCUCACCCUCGUGCACGCAUCAUCACCACUCCUCACCAACACCCCGCCAGGCUACUAGGAGGACCUCAAGGAGGUCUCCUCCCCCAACUCCGGCCGCCCCGAUCCGCCUCGGCCUCCACCACGAAUCGCUCCAGUGAGGCCAUCUCCGGCGCCCAAACCCCGUCCGUUACCCUCUCUAGCUACCAGGAGCCUAACCCCCUCCUCAAUUUGAUCUCUGCAGCCCUCUCCGACGAGUUCCUCGACCACCCGAGCCGCCGUCCGCCGGAGCAAAGCUCGCCGUUGACGUGGUACUCGCCGGCGACCACCACCACCACCAACCGACGCGGAAUGGCGCCCUGAGCACGGAGGUACCCUCCGAUCCCCCUGCCUCGCCGUGGAUCGCCGCCGGCGACCACCGCGGCUCUCGGGCGCCGACGAGCUUCGCCCCCCCUUUUUUGAAAGUUUAAACCUGACGAGUGGGACCCCACCGUCAGCCUCUCUGCUCUCUCUUUUGAAACGUUUUCUGGAAGCGCCUUCGAGCAAAAUGCGCUUUCCCCUCUGGGCUGGCAUAUUCAACACUGGAAAGUUUUCUGUUUUUAUAAACUAGCCCCUGGAAAUCUUCUGUUUCAUUACAGAUGAGUCCUUGGACAAAAACCCUUAUAACUUUUAAACAGAAAAGUAUUUUUGAUUGAUUCUUUUUCUGUUCUCUUUAGAAUUUUGUCUAGUUUUUUAUCAGAUUUAUUUGAAAAAUAUUUGGAAUAUUUUUGUGCACUCCUUGGUAUUUAUGAUAGCGCAUAUAUUUUCUUUAUACCGUAGAUACCGAAGGAGGUGACGGAGCCGCGAACCUCACCUAGCUAGGCUCCGACUACUCUAAACCAGGCAAGCAUGUUUCAACUUUUGAUAUGAUGAGUGUCUUGGCAUGUUUUGCAUUUAGUUAGUUUCAUGGCAUGUUGAGGAGCAUAUCGAUGAACGUUAUGUUAUGCAAUAAUGAGGUAAGUGAGUUCGAUGAUCCAUAAGUGGAUGGAUGUGAGUAUGAAUGGCCAUGUGUUGGCAUGAGGAUGGGUAAGAUGCCAGUGUCGUAGCAUGCCAGUCUUAUGCCAGACUAUGUGACUUCAGUGUCAAACUGUAUCGGUCCAAUUCCUCUCAUUUCCUUCCCUGUACUACCACAUGUUUUCCGCAAGGAAUAUGGUUUAGUAAGUUGCAAACCGCUUUUCUGGUACACACCAAAAGGAGAGGCCGUGAUGAUGGUUCCAUGGCCCUGGAUUAAAGCCAGUCAUCCGGUCAGGGGGCAUGGGUGUUUCCGGUUGGGACCGAGAGGGGGGCACCCCUUAGAGCGCGCGUAUAUAAAUUUGAUCCCAUGCUAUUCGAGAUGGUGAUCUCCCCGUCUCAAAAGUUUUUCUUGGACGAUGUCUAGGGUGAUUCCUAGCAUCGAGAGGUAGGAUGGGUGUGUACUGGUUAGUUUUGUUUUCUUCCAAAAUACCGUAAACGGAACUAGUCCUUCGUGACUACGGAAAUCCGUUGGCUGUGGGAAAAAUUUUGUACAAACUCUGCAGAGUCAUAUAUUCCUCCAAAUCAUCUAUUCCCUGUCCUAGAUCAAUAAUAUCUUAUCCUAAUCAAAUGUCAGUUUUGAUGACAGAGACUCCGGUGAUUCGCAUGAGUGCUAAUUCCGGUUAAAUGAUUAUUCCUGUGGAUGUACUAACCCAUUUAUUCUCAUGAAUUAAAUGUUUAUUAUGAGUAUUAUUUACUUGUGAAUCAAAGCCCUUUCUGCGAUGUCGCUCAGACGUCCGACUGUGGCAUUGUUGUAUUUUACUUUCUUUUCAAGCCCUUUAUGUGAUGUCGCCCCGACGUCCGACUGUGGCAUUUCUUUUUAAAAGCCCUUUCUGUGAUGUCGCCCCGAUGUCUGACUGUGGCAUUUCUUUUUAAAUCCCUUUCUGUGAUGUNNNNNNNNNNUCCGACUGUGGCAUUUUUUUAAAGCCCUUUCUGUGAUGUCGCCCCGACAUCCGACUGUGGCAUUUCUUUUAAAGCCCUUUCUAUGAUGUCGCCCCGACAUCCGACUGUGGUAUUUCUUUUAAAGCCCUUUAUGUGGUGUCGCUAAGACGCCCGACUGUGGCAUCAUUUCCUUAUAUUUAUUUGUUCACCUUUCGAGGCGUCGCUUCAGACACCCGAUCGGUAGUUAUUUAUGUUUUGUUGGGAUUUCAGGCGGACUACCGCCGUUUCCCUUUUACUUACCUUGUUAUGCUAAUUUUUGAAUGUACAUUGGUGAAUUAUUCAUGACGCAUCCAUGCAUGCAUUUGUUAUAUCUUACGUCCGAACUGUCUUGCGAGUACUUUCAAAGUACUCACUGGCUUGUUGAUUUGGCCAGAUGCUGACGAAGGCGAUCUCAUGGAUGAAGAGUUUGAUAGCGAGUCCGACACCUAGAGGAGUCCCAGUCAGUCUCGUGCGACCCUAGAUUUGGUCACUGUUUUAUAUCCGCUUCCGCCACCAAAUAAAUUCAUCGAGCCUCACCUCGACGCUCGAUGAGAUGAUAGACUUAGAGUCUUGUAUUCCUCUCCCCGCUGUGUUUCUCCACCACCGCCCUAUCCUCGAGUCAGUAGUAUGCCUCCACACCACUGUGUCAUGUCCGCCAUUAUGUAUAAUUAUUGGCGUGCUUGUAAUAAUUUGGUUGAGCAACCGUAGUUCGACCCUGUAAUAUAUUUUAUGCUACUGGCUUAUUGUAUCAAGAAGUUGUCUACCAGUGAGGAGGAUUUCUCUCAUACUGGACUCAAAAGAUUGGUUUCUCAAUAAAUAUUUUUAUUGGAAAACCGGUCGUGACAAUAGUUAAAAUGUAGUAUGUACCAUGUUGCCUUUUGUAUUAAGUACGAGACAAUGGGCCCCCCGAGGAGCACUCGGGGACUACCCUCUUUUAUCUAUGAAUGAUGAGUAUCAUGCCUAUGAUUAUGUUACUACAUUUGUUUUCUCGUCCGGCACCGGGUUCUAUCAGUCGGCCCAGGGACUUGCCGCCUUGAGUUAUAUUCAAGUUCCACCUGCAGUCAGACAAGUAGUGUGCCGGCACCAAAGCCCUCUCUUGUUGAAAGUCGCAGCUCAAAGAAUCGACUAUCCGACUGGCAAGAGCCAAAGGCAGGAAAGGAUGCCCACACGAAAAACGGCUAAGGACUAACGAACUUAUAUAACACAAGCCGGCCUCCCCCCCCCCCCGCCAACCAGCUGUCAGAGCAGCCAGCUGGCCGGCUUCCCUUCUUACCUUGCUACAAUCCAAGAAAGCUCGAGUACUUGUCCUCCCAAGCGGCCAAACCCUUUCCCAGUCACAGACUGUAGAGCAGCUGUCCGGCUGGGUGGGCGGCGGCCACAGGAGGGUGGCAAAGGAAAACAGCAAAAGGAUGAAAAGCAAGUAUGAACGGAAGCCAAGCACAUGCAUGAUUAUAUUUACACAAAAGGCCUUCGAAAGGCCAGCAUUCAACAUAGUUUGAAUACACCCCCAGUGGGUGGAACUGCGCAAAUUUAAUAAAAGUUGUUCAAAGAGUAACGAGCAGGAAAGCAAAGACAUCGAGUCAAGCCAAGGGAGCAAUAGGUGAGUCGGGAAGGUUGGUGGAGACGGCAAUGUUGGCUGGAGGAGUGGCCGGCGGCUGACGAGUCUUGGCAUGAUCAUCGCCUGCUGCAGGCGGCACGCUUGCAUGCGUCUUGUUGCUGGAGGCACGAUCAGGUUGGGGCUGGCUGGUCGCUCCACCGUCUGGCACGAUGUCUUCACCAUCCUCCCCCUCUUCCUCUUCGCCCUCGUCGCUAGAAUCGAUCUCCUCCGCUGAGUCUUCACCUUCUAUCGGGUUCAGCCCGAACCACUCCUCCAGCUGAGCAACGCCAUCUUCAUUUACCCCAGGGGCUAAGGCGCUGGUGUCGGUGUAGUCGGCGAUCGCUGAGGGGCGCUGGAUGAUAGCCGGCCGCACCGCCUCCAGCUCCUCGUUAGCCUCCUGCCGCCAGGUGCUCAGCUAGGCCAAAUUCAGCCCAAGAUACCAAGCCCGGACGAACUCUAGCGGCCGCUGAGCCCCGGACCGGGCUGCAGAAGCCUUCCAGGCCUCGAAGCGGCCGACUGCUACCUCCAGCCAGUUGGCAGUCCGACUGGGGGUGCGGGGAACCACCUCGCUGGGCCAGAGGGCGGCCAGCACCUGCGCCCCGGCACGCUGAAGACGGCGGAACAUAUGGUAAGCCGGCUGGAGGCGGGCUUGAAUCACUAGAAGCUGCUCUUCAAGCAACCGGCUGGCGUCCGGUGUGAUCUCAACCCCAGCCUGCCGUCGUGCAUCACGGUGAGCUUCGAUGGUUUGGUUGGCAGCAACGAAGUAACCGGGGAAGUAUUCUGCACAAAGAAGAAAGAAGUAGAACAAAUCAGAAGACAAACCAGAUGACAGGGGCGAGCAAAGGGACGAACAAGAAGGCGGCCUACCGUCAAUCAAAUCUUCAAUCCGGCUAUAGCCUUCGCUCAGCGCCUGCCUUGCCUUGGCCCAGCUCGCCGCUUCGGUCUCAUAUUCGGCUUUGAGGGCGGCCUCGCUGUCCUGUGCCGUCUUCAGGGCCGCCUUGUGGUUCUCCUCCUGGUCAUCCAGUUUCUUGGCCCGGCGAUCAGGUUCCUGAGCCAAGGCAUUGUACUCGACCUCCUUGGCGCGAAGGGCGGUCUGGGCCCCACCUAGCUGCUCCCUCAAGUUGGCAUUGGCCUCUGCAGAUAUGAAGAAGAAGAAAAAAGCAAUAAGGAAGAAGUCGUCAGGAAAGAUCUGACCCGACUACUCAGUAGUCAUCCCGAAUCUCGAGCAAUACACCGAGUUGGUGAGCUGACGCGCCCCCACAUGAGAUAAAAAAUUGAAGCACUUACUCUGGCUCUCAGUGAGAUCAGCGGUCUUCUAAUUCAUCUCCUGGGCCUGGGAGUUAGAGGUAUCCGCGUGGAGGUUGUGAUAGUCCUGCAAAUAGGACAAACGUGCGAAUAAGAACAAGACAUCAAUCAGAGUCUACUAAGAAGUUCCAAGCCACCUGCUCAGCAGCCGACUCUGAACUCGGGGACUACACCCAGUGGGUGCACUGACGCGCCCCCACAGAAGAAAUCAAGAGCAAUCGACGAAAAGCGAGAAGGCUCACCCGAAUGGCCGACCGCGUUGCAAGAAAUUCUUGAGUAUACUGCUUCAGCGUGGCGGCCUGGGAUUGAAGCCGACUCUGGACGUCCUGCGCCGCCACAUUCAGCAUGGCCGUCCCACCACCCAGCGUCCACCCUGGCAAGCUGACGCUGGCCGUCUCCAGAUCCUGGGCCAACGAGCUGGAGCCCGCGGCCUUCUACGGCUCUGGCUCUGAGGUCGCCUUCCCUGCGCGCCGACGAGACGGCGACAGGACCACAAGAUCCGCCCUCACAGUCAGCUCGCCUCCAGCCGGCUGCUCAGGAGGCGCCUCGGGCCGGCCGCCUUGGCCCAUCCCGGCCAAUGAUGGCGGUAUCUCCCUCUGGGACGACUGUGUCGCCCUCCUCCCUCUCCAUCACCGACUAGUCGCGGCCGGCUUCCUCUGGCGAGGGGACUGGGAUAUCGGGGGCCACGGUGCGGAGGGGGAUGAUGAGCUGUGGAGGCUGGCUACGCAGGGCCUCCGCCGCCCUCUCCGCGGCCGCGGCCUCCGCUUGAGCCUUGGCCGCCGCGUCAGCCUGCGCCUCUGCCGACUCCUCCGUCGUCUCCUGAGCCGCCCUGGCGGCGGCCGCCCUCUUCUCCUUCGCCUCCCAGUCCUCCCGCGCCUCCCGCGUGUUCCGCUCCGUCGCCUCUAGGAGAUCGGCACGGGGGUCCACGCGGCGGGAGCCCGCAGAUCCUCUCGCCCCUCCAACUACGGAGGCGGCAGUAGUCCGCUCGAGAGAAAGCAGAGCCAUGUUUGAUAAGUAAAGGAAAGGCUUAGAAGAACACCAACCAAAGAGCAAAAAAGAAAGGCGUGAGAGAAUUUACACUUACGCCGAAACUGCCUGCGGCUCAUUCACCACCUGGCGGAAGCAGGCUGCCUUCGCGGCCACCUCGUCCCGUUUGGUCGCUGCUGCAGAACCCUUGGGCUUCUUCGGCUGACUGCCGAAGAGGGCCGGCACCGCCCGGUGUUUCCGUGCGCCGCCCCGAGCAGCCGGCGCGGCAGAUGAGCCCGCGCCUUGAUGAUCGGAUGCCGGCUGGCGGCGCAGAAUAGCUUCGGCCUCGUCAUCAUCCGGCCAGUCCUCGAAGCCGGCGGAGAGACCGGACCCGCCUGCCUUGCCGCCUCCCCCUACGGCAUCGUCGUCUAGGGCGGCCGCCCCAAGUCAGGGUCAACCAAGUCGUCCGUCGCACGGUCGGGAGCGAACUGGCAUUCCGCCCCCACGGUUCCGGCUGCCGGAUGAAGGAGGGGGUUCUGAUUAAAAACAAGCCGACUGGUCAGGAGCCGGCUAGUGAGAACUCGGCAACAAGAGAAGAAGAAAAGAAGGAAGGCUUACCAUAGGUGGGGGAUUGGCGCGAGAAUACGGCUCCUUGCCGAACCUGGCGAUAUAAUUCACCAUGUAAGAUACCUUGUCAUGAGGCAUCUCCUUGGUGCUUAGCCGACUAGGGUCAAAACAACGGCUCAUCUGGCAAAUCAUGUGAGGGCGGCCUUGGAGCGGGAGCACCCGGCGCUCCACGAAGGCGGCUAUCAGGUCGGACCUGGUCAGGCCCUCCGACUAGACCAACACCCAGAGCAGGGCGACGGAGCCAGCCCCAGCCGACGUCAGCGACCUGGCCCGGUAGGACCACGAAGGCUGCCUCCCAGCCGGCGGGCCGGCUAUGUAAGUCGGCAGAUUGAUGAAGUCGCCUUGCGGAGCGACGUUCUUCACGUAGAAGUGAGAUUUUUGCCAGAGCUUCACCGACUGGAUCAGCGCGAUGGGCGGAAAUGGGUUGUCGACCGUCGAUCUUCGCAUGGCGAUGAAGGCGCCGCAUGGGGCAGGCACGCCCGCAACGACGGUGCCAAGCUUGGACUGGAAGAACUCCCCCCAAAGUUCGAGGGUGGGGAGGACACCGAGGAAGCCUUCACACAGAGUGACGAAGACCGACAGCAGCACCACCGUGUUUGGAGUGAGGUGGUGCGGCUGGAGAUGAUAGAACUCGAUGAAGGAGCGGAAGAAACUGCUCGCCGGCAGGCCGACGCCACGCAGACAGUGCGAGCGGAAGAUUACCCGCUCGCCCUCUUCCGGCGCCGGCGAGAUCUCCCUCUCCGGCGCGAGACGAACCCGCACAUAGUCUUUGUCCGGCAACCACCGCGUCUUGUGGAGGAAGUCGACGUGGUCCUCAUGGACGUUGGAGCCAUGAGGACGGAGAAGCGACGGGGAAAGCGCAGCGGCGGAGGGCACGCGAUUCGGCUGCGGCAAGGCUACGGUGCGCCAAGAAGGUUGGUGGAAUGCUGGCGCGGUGAAGAGCAGCUGCGGCAACAGAGAGAACGAAGAGAAAGAAAAUGGCGGAGCGAGGGCGAGCGUGCGAGCGUCUGCCGCUCCCCUCCUCCCCCUACUUAUAGCCUCGUGCGGCGAAGCCGAGGAGGCGAGGCGUGGGGGUACGUGGGAUUAACUGCGCCCACUCCCCCAUGCCCCGCGAUUAUCGCGCCUUAACGACGUGUGGAAACUGCCGCCGGAAGGCGAGCAGCCCCCUCGGGCCAUAGAAGAUCCACACUUGGGCUGAGGCAUGGAAGUGGCGGGCCCCGGUCUGCGGCGAUGUCCCGUCGCGCGCGUGGGCUGGCAGGCCCUUCCAGCGGAAGGGCGCCAUGUGGCGCGCAGGCGGCGGGCGGCCAGCCCACAGCCUGGCUUGCGCGCCAGUUGGUUCCCGCCUUCAGACUUCAAAUAAUAUUGCCGAGGCGGCACACCUGCGCAAAGCCAGCUCCUAGCUGCCGGAUCUUCAGGAUAGGAAGCUGAUUGAGCUUCUCGUUCCCCUUUCAGCCAUGAAGCCCAACUAGCUUCGGGGACUACUGUCGAAGUAAAUGACCACGGGUAGCCUAGCCGGCUCCCACUGACUCUUCAAAAAAUAACAGGCUGAUCGAGCCUUCAAGCACCCAAGACACGGGGCCGCCUUCCCCCGGCCGGCUAUCCCACAAGCCAACUACCAGAAGGUGGCCCGGCCCUAAAACCCUCAUGAAGAAAGCCGCGAGAGGGCCGACUCCAAGAAGCCGGCCACGAGAUGACCGACUCCAAGAAGCCAGCCCCCGACAGGCGGCCAAGAUCGCGCCCUCAAAGUCUGCAACCACAUAACGGAGAUGGGACGCGGCGUGGCAACAGAGAGGCCUGCCACCCCCGAAUCCCGGAGCACGCAUGGUAAGCCGUACGGGGAAACCACGACCCGUCCGGCGGGGCACUGUUUCCAUGCUGACCGUGACGCCACCCACGAUAGGCUGUCAGUACGGCCCGCAGGCGGCGGGCCCCUUCAGUCAAAGAGACAUCCGAAGGCGUCCAUGCUUCCCCUAGUCGGCCUGGGACGUAGCCGGCUCUCACCAGCCGGCUCGCUCCCUCCCUCGAAGUAUGCGCACCAUUAAGGAGGCAAGACGAGGUAAGGCUACAGUGAGAACCCGCCAGGUGGCGGCACUGUAGCCAUGCUUACCUCGACAAAGCCCUCAUCAUCAAGAGUGAGGCAAUAGUAACCAGCCCCCGACAAGACCCCCAAGCGGUGGGACCUACCUGUCGACCAGGAGGCCGGCAGCCGGCGGGACCCACCAGUCGGCGGGCCCCAGCGGUCAGCGGAGAAGCCGAUGAACGUAGACAUUGACGGCUGGGGCCCACACCUAGCCGGAUUACCAUUGUACCCCUGGGGGGUAGGCCUAUAUAAACCCCCCAGGGCACCCAUGCAAAGGGUUGGACACUGAUAGUUUUAGACACAACAUUGAUGGGAGAAGAAAGCUAGCCUUGCCCUUCUUCUUCCUCUCGCCAAAUAGCUCAAGGAGCCUCUUGUAGCCACUUGUUGAUCUAGUGAUCAUGCGGAGACCCCGCAGAGCAGGACUAGGGGUGUUAUCUCCACGGAGAGUCCUGAACCUGGGUAAGAUCUGCUGGCAUGCAUGUCUUCGCCUCAUCCUGUUUACAGGCACCGGCGAUGUCUUAUUGGCUCCCACAAUGAUAAGUCACUCGUUGGCAUAUGUCGCACGUACCACCCAACAAAGGGCAAGGGCAUAAAGGUCAUUUUCACAGUGUCAAACCAUAGUGAAAAUGAAACCAACAGAACGGGCUCGACGAAAUGAAGAAGUGAGUGUUGGCUUCACCUUAAACGAAGUUACGGAUAAAAAGAUAUAAGUGUUUUACUACUAGGGACCUAUCUGUAAAAAUUUAUUUUACAGUCUGGGCCAAAACAGAAAAAUGGAAAGCAUAUUCGGGGGAAUACGCUUCCACUUAUCCAGCAUGGCAGUGGCGGGGCCGGGGCUGGUCAACGCCUAAGGGACUGACGGGUGGGCCCCACCUUAUCCUUCUCCCUCCUCCUGGCCUCCUUGUUCUUCCUCCCGUGCCUGGCCACGACAGAGAACAGAGGAGAAGGCAGGGGCGCUACUGGUGCUGGCCCCGCCGACUCCGGCCGCUCUAGGCCAAGCGAGGGCACCGGCGGCUUCAGGUUGGCGUGCCGCCUCCAUCCCAGGGCAGAGGGAGCACCGGGUAGGGGUGUGGACGCGGCACCGCGCAGUGGCAGGAGUUGCAGACGGCGGUGGCUAAGAUUGGGGACGGCGACCACAGAGGCUCCGGCAAUGAGCGAAUGGGUUGGGGAGGCCCUAUGGGAGGUGGAGAAGCCAGUGGUGGUGGACGAACAGAGGGGGAGACUCGGCGUUGGGCCAAUUUAACCCGGAGGGGGCGGCGGCCAUGGCGGCUUUGGGGGUCGAGGAGAGCUCUAGAAGCUCAGGCGAGGGCAUGGGCGGGCUCCUGGGGAAGUGUUGAUGCAAGAGGUGAGCUCGGGAGGGCUCGGGGAUGGCAGCUGCCAGCUGCUUGGUCACCACGUCAACAUGGGCAUUAAAUUAUCUACAACACCCAGAACGUUGUCUAGCUGAUAGUCCUUCCAAGGUAGGUUUGAUCUGUGGUGGUAAAUUGGUGAAAACAACUAGGGUUAGAUAGUUAGUGAGCUCUGAAGUUUACUGCAGUAAACUUUACCAGCUCAAUGUGAUCAACAGGGAGUUACUUGAAGCCAAAGAAGUUGUCUGGGGUGUUUAGGCUAGGAAGGACUACAGUCCUGGGGAGGUUUAGGAGAAAUGGACCAGGCCUUAAUAUAGUUGCUUUGCAACUGUCACAAUGGUCCAGAAAUGAAGAUUAUGAUGGUGCACUCACAUGGAGUGUCCACUUGAGCUCAAAUUGGGCAAGGCUUAGUCAUUUGGUCAUAUCAAGAUGCUUUAAAAAGCUCAUGCCAAAUGGACAAACCGAAAUAGCACUUGCUUCACAAACAUCUCUGCUGACCAGAAACUUGGAAUAAUUAUGGUGGUCAAAUGGAUCAAUGAAAUGAUGCCAAAUUGGGUGGAGAGAUGUUUUAUGGGUAUAAGAAUGAUCUGGUAAUUUAUCAGGAUUUUUGAAGCAAUGUAAAAUACGCUUGCUUCACAACCUGAAAAUAUUGCCAGAAACAAAGAGUUGCUCCUGUGCUCACAUAGAUGAUUGGAUGGUGCUGAAAAUGGGUUAAGGGGAUUAAUAUGAGCACAUUAAGGAGUGUGCAAAAGUUCAACUCAUUUGGGUGCUCCUAGCUAGUACUUACUUCACAAAGCCUUUUGUUUGACAGAAACUUUGAAAAUUCACUGAGGAAGAUUGGCUAGGCAAAUAAAUUUGAACUUUUGCAUGAGGCAAUUAUUUGGACAUAUAAACAUGCCCAAAAAUGUUGGGACUCAAUAGGAGAAAUAUAAAUGACACUUCCUUCACAAAGUGCCAUUCAGGGCAGAACAGGAAAAGGAAUAUUGGGGAAUUAUUUUUGAACAUGGAAAUGAAACGUUUAACCAUAUUUGAUCAAGAUAUGACCCAAACAAUUUAUGAGAAUUAUUUGGGAAUUUUUGGAGUGAUGGAAAUAUAGGUUGCUUCACAACCUAGGGCAAUUUGGGUUAUUCCUUUAAUAGAAAAGGAAUAUUCCCAAUAAAAAGAAUAUUGGGAUGUGAGCUAGGAUGGAAAUGACAGGGUCUAGGGAAAGAUUUGGAAAUGACAAGCCACUCUGGAAGCAAAGAAGAGGGCAUCUUCUUCAGUUUCCAGACCACAAAGCCACGGAAAAAGAAAACUCAGGCAAUAACCUCGGAAAAACAAAAGAAAAAGAAAGGGCCAAAAAUCAGGCUGUCACAAACCUUACCCCCUUAAAGAAAUCUCGUCCUCGAUAUUUGGUUGCUCAGGGAACUAGUAUGAAUAUUUUGACUUAAAGAAACCGUUUCCAACUCGGGUAUCCUUUUUCCUUCAUUGUUGUUCCCAACUAAAUUUUUAUCUGACUAGCCCUGGGUGGUUUGCUUUGCUGUAUCCACCUUCUGACAGAUCUUACCUUGCUUGUUCAUGCUUAUAUAGGCUCCAAUUUCUUUUUAGAUCUGCUGACUAGCUGAGUGUGAUUUGAUCAUCACGACUGAAAUAUAUGUCCGUCUCACAAAUCCAAAAGUGAUUUCCGCUGGGUGUGCCACCCGGCACUGACAACCUUUCAUGUAAUGAUGAUCAGAUUUUUCUGAUGAAAACUCAAGCUCUGACUCAUUGCAUUGGGUUUCUCCACUAAAUGCAAGUCCUUUGGGUUCCAAAUAGUGAGUUAAAACAUAACAGUUUCCUGACAGAUUCUGACUCAUUGCAAAAGUUUUAAAAUCAUCUUAACUGGGUCCACUGUCGUGAGUAUCAGGUCUGUACCAAAUAUUUGAUUGUCUCCUGUCGUGGCCAGCAUAAAGGGUUUGGCAUGUAGGAUUAUAUCUGCAGACUUGACUGACGGUGGUUCUGACGGAAAAUUUUUGUUCACGACAGGCUACCCAUGAUGAUUUAUAUAAGUAAGGACUCAGGCUUCCAGACUGUUAUUCCUCAUGUCGAUUACUCAUGCUGUAGGCAUAUCCAUGUGGAUCAAUACUAACUUGGACUGUCCGGGGGAUAUGCACCAUGGGGCUCGUAUACAAUUUUCAUACCUGCCUCACUGGCCUUGCUGCUUCAUUAUUGUUUUCUUGGUCUGGAUCUUUGGCUGAAAGAGCUGGGCCAUAUUGUUUCUUUGUAUGACCAUAGGUACUGUCGGUGCAAUUUUUCAGCAAUUGUAGUUUAUCCUCAUUUUUCUGAUAAGGUAACCCAUUAAAUGGCAGGUUCAACACCUCUCAAGUUCUGAUUGUUGGGAAAUGAUCAUCCGAAACCCUUGCAAGAAAUCGGCAAAUAUAUCAGUAGCCACCAGAACGGUCUUUACAACUCAGAUCUGGCACAUUAUUGAAAUAACCACGGCUCAGGACGGCCGAAAAGCAGCUCAGAGCAUGAGACCGGGUCGAUAAGAAGAAGCUGGCAGCUCCCUAAAAUAGCCAAAAAGCAGCUAUAGGGCUACUGUCACAAAAAGAAACUCAACAGUUGUACGAGACGGCCCAAAAGCAGCUCAGACUCAUGACAGACGUUGAAGAGAGAAACAAAAAUCGGCAUCCACCCUGGAUAGCUAGAAACAGCUCAAAUCACAGGCGUGGUGCCAUCAUUGGCGAAAAAAGGGGACAAGGGCUCAUCAAGAUCAUUUUCCAGGUUGACGGGUACUUGUAUUGAGCUCAUUGAUGUCGUCAAUCCACAUACUCCUUUGUCACACUAUGGUGUAUACUGGCUUCAUUCUCGUAACCAUCCUCACGUGGUUGUCAGAUCCUCAUCCGAGUGACUUGUAAGAUCUUGAUGGUAUGCUCAUUGCAUAUAUAUGAGGUCCUGAUUCCGAGACAGACGUGUAUUCUGACUGAUUCUUGAUUCUGACCAAAAUGUUGCGGAUCUGAUUCUUGGGAUUCACUGCUAUAUGCUGUCAAUUUACAACAUACUACCUUGUACCAAUGUCUUACUGAUGAAUAUUUGCUGGCUUGUGCUCGAAACUUUCAUCGGACAGCUUACUGAAGAAGACUGAAUAUUGUGCUUCAGAAGCUUACCCCCUUAAAGACUUUGUUGUGGAAAGACUCAGUACCUAAUGCUGGAAGCUUUUGCGGUUGCUUACUGAAGAAGGCGGAGUACCUUGUGCGAAAAAUCAUCCAUAUAUCAUACUGAGGAAGAUAGCUGAAUCUUGCCUUGGAAGCUUCUCUUGUAUCUUGUGAGGGAAGACUGCGUUGCUUACACCAUAAACUUCUUAUUGUGACAUGCGGACCGAUUCCGACAUAUAUAACCAUCUGAAUAUUUUUGCUAUCGAUUUCUUGUAUGAAACGGGGUUUUACUGGACUAUCCUCCUUUCUGAGUAUAUGCCAUAUUUUUUCUUGCUUCCAGGUACAUCGAGUUCCAAAAUCAUCCCUAACGAAAAAUUAAACUUGUAUCUGAUCCAUACCUCUGAUAAUAUUCUGUCAAUCUUGCACACAAUUUAUCUUCUUGCUGAUUUAAUCAUUUUGUUGUGAUGAGUGCACGUUAGUGCAAACUUGAUACUGACGUUCCAUCCAGGAUUUCUUUUGCAUUCAGACGAGAUAUUCCAAUUUGCAUUGCAGUCUGCUGAUAAUUCCAUUCUGUUUAGCUGAAUUUCCAAAUAUAUGCAUUUCUUGCUGACUCUUCGGGUCCGGUGUCGGCUGACGAGCUACUUUAAUAGGGGAAAACUUUGUAAAACCGAAGGCCCAAAGAAAGGAACAACAGAAACGACUAAAAAAAAAGCACACAAGCAUUCUACUAAUAUAAUUAAUCAAUCAAUCAUCACAUAUUAUUGCUACUCACACAAUAAUAUGCAUGCACACCUAAGCACACAAAUCUCACGGAAUCUCCGGUACUACGAUCUAAUAUGCUGUAACGAUGUGCACGAGGACGAAUAGAUGUGUGGAAGAAUUGGUGUAAACAAUGCUACACCAAGUGCCAGCUUAGCCAGAUAGAAACCUGGACUAGCUCGGAGGCGAGGACGUACUCGGUAAUCAUGCAGUGGGAUACGAUGGUCGCAACCACAUUAUUAUCAAGCGGACGGAAAAAGAUCUGUACUCGUCCAAGAAAUAGGAUUGCGGGGAAAAACUGAGGCUGCUGACAUUGCCCUUUCGUGAUAACUAAGAUCAUUAAGGGUUGCCAACACGACAAAAUAAAAGAACGAUCCGGGAUAGAAGCAUGUCCAUCACCAAAAUGAUAGAUGGGACUGGAAGAAAGACAUCGGCGCGAUACCUGAGCACCAUUUUUUUUUGCAAGCAGUGUCGGGAUCACUUGGCAUCAAUCUGUUGGGACAGAAUUGACACCAAACACCGAAAGAAAAAGGGACUGGGGAAAUGCAAAGGUUGAGUUGUAGUGGAUCCGAACCGAUGCCAGCUACACUCACCAGAUGAACCGUUGUCACAAAUACUAAGGUUAUAUUCAUGCUAUGCAACAAACAAAUGCAUCAAUCAAGUGCAAUCAAACCAACUGGAGUCUAUACUACCGCUUUCUAACAUUCGCGUGGUCUAGGGCAUCCUACAGCCAGACCUACUCUGAUACCAAGCGUUGUGGCACCCCGGCUCAGAGGAAACCGGAACGCCCCGUAUUCCAGCCCAGAGAUCAAGGAGAAGUCUUCUGGAAUACGGCACUUCUUAGCAUAGAACAAACCAGCUUUCUAUUAUUACACGAAUAUGAAUACAAGGUCUCCGAUAUUAGAAUGAAUAACAUCAAUACAUUGACAUUACGCCAUCCUCAGUUGCUCUAUGCAAGCAGCAGAACAACUCAAAGCAGCGGAAAUAUUUCUAGCAGCGGAACAACGAUGACGGUGGUGAAACUCCACUCCGCAUGGACUCUGGCUGAAACGCUUAUCCUAGCUCGCACGAACGGAAACCACGACAAGCAAGCAAUCAAAUCUGGCAUAACCUGCAAACUGGCAUGACACGCCAGGUCAGUACAUUGAAUGUAUUUGCAAGCUCGCAAUAAUCCAGAAACAUUCAAGACAAACAACAGCAUGGCAAUUACAGGUUAAACAGGAAUUAUCAUGAUAUCAUCAUGGCAUCAACAUGAACAUGAUACAGCUAACACAACAUGAACAUAUUAAUCCGGCAAUACUAUCAUGCAACAUUAUGACACUAUAUGCACCACUUAUUCUACUCAGUUUACAUCGUAACCAUCACAUGCAUCACUUACCAACCUCGGACAUCACACGAUCAUCUCAGGAUCAAAUCAAGCUUGGUAUGAACAAUACCGUAGUAAUCAUUAGAUGACCACAAGGAGCUUGAUCUUUACCCACGACUCUUGUAAAACAUCACGAAUAUCCAACAACUCGGUAUCCUCGAUACCACGGUGAUCCUUAUGGUGAUCACCACCCGACCAACACUUGGCCUGUGAUCCUUACGGCGAUCACAACCCGACCAAUACAUGGCCCCAAACCGUGAUCCUUACGGAGAUCACAACCCGACCAACACUUGGCCCGUCUUGUUGUUGUUAAACACAUUAUUCUUAUUACUGUUGACUCAUGGUGUGACCUACUUUCGACUGGGCCCUUAUCCGUGGGCGCGGCUAUCGAUAGAUUUAAUAUACACUCUAUAGAGGUUAGUACACUGUACCCACACUACGGAACCCAUGGCCUCACACUCCCAUUCGGGUGGACCAAUGGCAUUCCGACAAAACCGUCCUACUGCCAUGACACUCUCCCGGCCACUCCGACUCACUCCUCACUGAGCUAACUCAUGGGUGGCCCCGUGCCUACCUCCAGACACAACGACAACCGUCGUGGCACGUCCCACUCUGGGAGAAGGAUCCAAAAACUAACUCAACAACGGGCACACAAGGCUUAUGUCUGCCUACCUGAUCAAGGUAGCGCGCGCCCAUAACCUUCCCUCGUUGGAGGCACCGGCAAGAGGCACAACAAUAGACCCAGUUAGGACCGUCCCAUACCGGUAAGCGUGGUUGCACUGGUCAGCAUGGAUUCAGCGGGACCAUAACUCAGCCAACAAUUGUGAUAGUUCAAUUUAAUCCGGUUAACUUGAAUGCAAAUAUGAUGAGCCAUGAUAAAAUAACAUGAUGCCAACUAUUAACAUGAUAUCAACAUCGUCAUGAGGGUAUCACAUAACUGCCCACCAUAUCAACAAUAACUCAUAUCCACUGAACAUGGCAUACUGACUAGCAUGACCAUCAUCAACAUCAACAUGUACUACUAGCAAUCAUAAACAUAUGACAGGUAAUACUAGCAGGUAUAAAAUGAUCACAAAGUAUAAGACAACAUAGCACAAAAGUGAACAUGCAAAUCAAAACAUCACCGGAACAACGAUAACCAUCUUUUCAACAAGCAAACAUUUAUUAAAUAUUCAAGUUGAAAACCAUGGCUACUGCAUGACUGUCACGCAAGUGGGUAUUGUGGCUUGCCUGGGGAUGAAGAAGGCACCGGGGAGAAGUGCGGUGAACUCGUGGAACGAAUCGCCAGAAAACGUUCUCUCUCGGAGGGGGCUGAUUAAGGUCAAGGGCAUAAAGGUCAUUUUCAUAGUGUCAACCCAUAGUUAAAAUGAAUCCAACAGAACGGGCUCAAUGAAACGAAGAAGUGAGCGUUGGUUUCACCUUAAACGGAGUUAUAGAUAAAAAGAUAUAAGGGUUUUACUGCCAGGGACCUAUCUGUAAAACUUUAUUUUACAGUCUGGGCCAAAACAGAAAAAUGGAGAACGUAUUCGGGGGAAUACACGCUUCCACUUAUCCAGCAUGGCAGUGGCGGGGCCGGGGCUAGUCAACGCCUGAGGGACUGACGGGUGGGCCCCACCUUAUCCUUCUCUCUCCCCCUGGCCUCCUUCUUCUUCCUCCCGUGCCUGGCCAUGACAGAGAACAGAGGAGAAGGCAGGGGCGCUGCCGGCGCUGGCCCCGCCGACUCCGGCCGCUCUAGGCCAAGGCGAGGGCACCGGCGGCUUUAGGGUGGCGCGCUGCCUCCAUCCCAGGGCAAAGGGAGCCCGGGGGAGGGGUGUGGACGCGGCACCGCGCUGUGGCAGGAGUUGCAGACGGCGGCGGCUAAGAUUGGGGACGGCGACCACAGAGGCUCCAGCGACGAGUGAAUGGGUUGGGGAGGCCCUAUGGGAGGUGGGGAAGCCAGUGGUGGUGGACGAACGGAGGGGGAGACUCGGUGUUGGGCGAAUUUAAGCCACAGGGGGCGGCGGCCACGGCGGCUAUGGGGGUCGAGGAGAGCUCCUGAAGCUCAGGCGAGGGCAUGGGCGGGCUCCUGGGGAAGUGUUGAUGCGAGAGGUGAGCUCGGGAGAUCUCGAGGAUGGCUUAAAUAGCCGCGGGGAGGAGCUGCCGCGCUGUCACCGCCGCGGACGUGUGCUCGCGGGCAUGGACUCGGGGGAAACGACGGGGAGGGCACAAGGGAGAUCUCUCACGGGGCAGAGGAGGCCAAGGGGCACAGGGAGGAAGACGACGGUGAUGGGAAGAUCCAAAACGCCAGUGUACGCUCAUGUUCACGCGGCGGAGAGUGUCGGUGAGCAAGCGGACGGAGGGGGAGAGGGGUCCAGGGGAACGGCGAAGAUGAGAGGAAGCCAAGGGACAAGCUCACGAGCGCUAAAACAGCGAGAGGAGGAGGGGGUCCAGCACAAAUAGUGCUCUGGACGCAGCCACUACACACAGAGCGCACCAACAGGCAUGCCAGCUGCGUGGUCACCACAUCAACAUGGGCGUUAAAUGAUCUACAGCACCCAAAACGCUGUAUAGCUGAUAGUCCUUCCAAGGUAGGUUUGAUCUGUGGUGGUAACUUGGUGAAAACAGCUAGGGUUAAAUAGUUAGUGAGCUCUGAAGUUUACUGCAGUAAACUUUACCAGCUCAAUGUGAUGAACAGGGAGUUACUUGAAGCCAAAGAAGUUGUCUGGGUGUUUAGGAUAGGAAGGACUACAGUCCUGGGGAGUUUUAGGAGAAAUGGACCAGGCUUUAAUAUAGUUGCUUUGCAACUGUCACAAUGGUCCAGAAAUGAAGAUUAUGAUGGUGCACUCACAUGGAGUGUCCACUUAACCUCAAAUUGGGCAAGGCUUAGUUAUUUGGUCAUAUCAAGAUGCUGUAAAAGUCUCAUGCCAAAUGGAUAAACCAAAAUAGCACUUGCUUCACAAACAUCUCUGCUGACCAAAAACUUGGAAUAAUUAUGGUGGUCAAAUGGAUACAUUAAAUGAUGCCAAAUUGAGUGGAGAGAUGUUUUAUGGGUAUAAGAAUGAUCUGGUAAUUUAUCAGGAUUUUUGAAGCAAUGUAAAAUACACUUGCUUCGCAACCUGAAAAUAUUGCCAGAAACAAAGAUUUGCUCCUGUGCUCACAUAGAUGAUUGGAUGGGGCUUAAAAUGGGUGAAGGGGAUUAAUAUGAGCACAUUAAGGAGUGUGCAAAAUUUCAACUCAUUUGGGUACUCCUAGCUAGUACUUCCUUCACAAAGCCUUCUGUCUGACAGAAACUUUGAAACUUCACUGAGGAAGAUUGGCUUGGCAAAUAAAUUUGAACUUGUGCAUGAGGCAAUUAUUUGGACAUAUAAACAUGCCCAAAAAGGUUGGGAGUCAAUAGGAGAAAUAUAAAUGACACUUCCUUCACAAAGUGCCAUUCAGGGCAGAAUAGGAAAAGGAAUAUUGGGGAAUUAUUUUUGAACAUGGCAAUGAAACAUUUUGCCAUAUUUGAUCAAGAUAUGACCCAAACAAUUUAUGAUAAUUAUUUGGGAAUUUUUGGAGUGAUGGAAAUAUAGGUUGCUUCACAACCUAGGGCAAUUUGAGUUAUUCCUUUAAUAGAAAAGGAAUAUUCCCAAUAAAAAGAAUAUUGGAAUUUGAGCUAGGAUGGAAAUGACAGGGUCUAGGGAAAGAUUUGGGAAUGACAAGUGAGGGAGUCCUGGAUUAGGGGGUGUCCAGAUAGCCGAACUAUCACCGUUGGUCGGACUCCUGGACUGUGAAGAUACAAGAUUGAAGACUUCGUCCCGUGUCCGGAUGGGACUUUCCUUGGCAUGGAAGGCAAGCUUGGUGAUACGGAUAUGUAGAUCUCCUACCAUUAUAACCGACUCUGUGUAACCCUAACCCUAUCUGCUGUCUAUAUAAACCGGAGGGUUUUAGUCCGUGGGACGAACAACAAUCAUACCAUAGGCUAGCUUCUAGGGUUUAGCCUCUCUGAUCUCGUGGUAGAUCCACUCUUGUACUACCCAUAUCAUCAAUAUUAAUCAAGCAGGAGUAGGGUUUUACCUCCAUCGAGAGGGCCCAAACCUUGGUAAAAACAUCGUGUCCCUUGUCUCCUAUUACCAUCCGCCUAGACGCACAGUUUGGGACCCCCUACCCGAGAUCCGCCGGUUUUGACACCGACAUUGGUGCUUUCAUUGAGAGUUCCUCUGUGCCAUCAUCUUUAGGCCCGAUGGCUCCUUCGAUCAUUUACAAUGACGUGGUCCAGGGUGAGACUUUUCUCCCCGGACAGAUCUUCGUAUUUGGCGGCUUUGCACUGCGGGCCAAUUCACUUGGUCAUCUGGAGCAGAUGGAAAGCUACACCCCUGGCCAUCAGGUCAGAUUUGGGAGUUUGAACUACACGGCCGACAUCCGCAAAGACUUGAUCUUCGACGGAUUCGAGCCACAGCCAAGCGUGCCGCACUGUCUCGAUGGGCAUGAUCUAGCUCUACCGCCGAACAGUGCCCUGGAGGCCGCACCAGCGUCCGCUCUGACCCUUAGCUCGGAGCCGACUCCGCCGAUCGAGGACGAGUGGUUGGACACCGCCUCAGGGGCUACGAUCUCUAUGGUGAUUGAGCCGAACUCCAUCCCUGUCCUUUGCGAAGACCAUGACUCCAAGGUGCCGGACUCCUCUCUGGACUCCGAACCCUCCGCGCCCCUGCCAAUCGAAUCCAAUUGGGUGCCGGUUAUGGAGUUCACUGCCGCAGACAUCCUUCAGCACUCGGCAUUUGGCGACAUCCUCAAUUCACUAAAGUCUCUCUCUUUAUCAGGAGAGCCCCGGCCUGACUACGGUCAGGAAGGUUGGGAUGUGGACAACGAAGAAAUUCAAUGCCCACCCACCACCCACUUUGUAGCCACUGUCGAAAGCUUAAAUGACGUGCUCGAUUUCGACUCCGAAGACAUCGACAGUAUGGACGAUGAUGUAGGAGACAACCAUGAACCAGCACCUAUAGGAUACUUGACAGCCACCUCAUCCCACGAUGUAUACAUGGUGGAUACACCUAAAGGAAGUGACUAUAAGGAACAACGGGACACUACGAAGGAUAAAUCCCUCGAAAAGCAGUCAAAACGGCAACGUAAACGCCGCACCAAGUCCCGCCUCAACAAAGACGGCAGCCACACAGACCCAGCCAUAGAGCAGGGCGAACCGGUGGACAACGAACAUGCUAUCGAGCAACCGUCCGAACAGGACAACUUGGAUAAACAACCCAUCCCCGGCGAAGAUAACAGUCCGGACGAUCUCACGCCGGACAAGUUGUUGGAGCAGAAGAACCUCCACAAAAGGCUCAUCACCACUAUGCGUAGCCUGAAAAAACAGAAGCGGAAGCUCAAAACAGCGGAAGAUGCACUCAGAAUCAGAUGGAGCAAAGUACUCAACACCGCAGAGAAAUACGGCGACAGUCGCCAAACAAAGAGCUACCCGAAGCGCAAACUACUGCCCGAAUUCGAUGAGGAGGCCGUAGAGCCCCCGCAAUCAAAGAACAAAGAGGCCGCCCGGUCGGAUAAACGACCACAUGGCAAACAUGGAGCGGCAAGUGGCGCCACACACAAGCCGGCACGCGAUCCGCAUAAGGAUUCACAUCAAAAGGAUGGCCCAGUUAGGUCCAUCUAUGGGCCGAGAAAGCAAGCUCUUCCAAGCAAUGCAACACGCCAAAUAUCCGAACAUCACGGCACACCCAAAUAUAGGGGUGCCGCACACCCCCUGUGUUUCACCGAUGAGGUGCUGGAUCACGAAUUCCCAGCGGGAUUCAAACCCUUAAACAUAGAGGCAUACGACGGAACAACAGACCCUGGAGUCUGGAUUGAGGAUUACAUCCUCCACAUACACAUGGCUAGAGGAGAUUAUCUCCACGCCAUAAAAUAUUUACCCCUCAAGCUCAAAGGGCCAGCCCGGCAUUGGCUCAAAAGCCUCCCUGAAAAUACCAUUGGAAGUUGGGAAGAGCUCGAGGAUGCUUUUCGGGCAAAUUUUCAAGGGACUUAUGUCCGCCCUCCGGAUGCAGAUGAUUUAAGUCACAUAACUCAACAACCGGAGAGUCAUCCCGCAAAUUCUGGAACAGGUUCCUCACCAAAAAGAACCAAAUAGUCGACUGUCCGGACGCCAAAGCCUUAGCAGCUUUCAAACAAAAUGUCCGAGACGAAUGGCUCGCCAGACACCUCGGCCAGGAGAAGCCGAGAACAAUGGGUGCAUUAACAAGCCUCAUGACCCGCUUUUGCGCGGGAGAGGAUAGUUGGCUGGCAAGAUGCAGUACCAGCGACCCAAGUACAUCCGAAGUCAGGGAUGGAAAUGGAAAACCACAACGCAGCAAGGACCAGCGCCGGACAAAGGGAAACAACCCGAAGAGCACAGCAGUCAACGCCGGAUUCAGAAGCUCCCGACAAAAUCAUAAAAAAGUGCCCCUCAAGGAUAACAACGACGAGCUAUCCAACCUAAACAAAAUCUUGGACAAAAUAUGCCAAAUCCACAUUACUCCCGGGAAGCCUGCAAACCAUACCCACAGAUAUUGUUGGGUCUUCAAGCAGUCCGGCAAACUCAAUGCCGAACACAAGGGGCUCGACACACCAAGCGAGGAUGAUGACGAACCCCACAAGCAGAGCACCGGAAAACAAAAGAAUUUCCCACAAGCAGUCAAAACAGUGAACUCACUUCAAGUGACAAAAGGGAAAAACAGAGCGGCGCCCACAGAAACACACGCCGCAUGGUCUAUCCCAGCAGAGUCCCAACGUUGGUUGUCAAAACCAAUCUCCUUCGAUCAUCAGGACUAUUCCGGAAUUAUCCGAACGCAGGAUGGACUGCCUUGAUAUUAGAUCCUAUAAUCGACGAACUCCAAUUUACACAAGUCCUAAUGGACGGAGGUAGCGAUCUAAACCUGCUAUAUCAGGACACAAUCCGCAAAAUGGGGAUAGACCCAACCAAAAUUCGCCAUAGCAACACCUCCUUCAAAGGGGUAAUACCAGGCCUAUAUGCCCAUUGUACGGGCUCCCUACUGCUAGAAGUUGUCUUCGGCUCAUCCAACAACUUCCGCCGCGAAAAGUUAACCUUCCAUAUUGCCCCAUUCGAAAGUAGCUAUCAAGCACUACUGGGACGUGAAGCUUUCGCCUGCUUUAACGCAAUACCGCAUUAUGCAUCUCUUACACUUAAAAUGCCCGGUCCACGCGGCAUCAUCUCAUUAAAAGGGAGUACCAAGUGUUACUCGAGCACGGAAGAACGUGAGACUGCCUUGACAGCCCCACACUAAUCCGGCUCUGCUAAUCAAAGCACCCGAAUAGGUCAUUCGGACCCCGGACAUGGCUAGACGAGUCCGGCGUAAUAAUUAAACACCUACUAGCGGCAUACCCCUAUACAAGGGGAUGCACGCAUGUACAACAAGAGACAAUAAAGCUCAAUUUUAUUCACUUUUCGAACCGUACUCUGUUUAUUUAAAAUAAAGUACAUUUUCUGCAUGAUCUUUUUUUCUUUUCAACUAAGUUCUUCUCUUUUACAGAUGAACACCGUGCUACACCCGUCCAGGAUACGGCACAAUGGAGACACAGGCGCACACAUGCAGUAGGGACCCGUUGCAAGGAUUCUUUUCAGAUUAAGACCCUGCGUAAACCUUUUUUAUUGUCUCUUGUUGAUACACACCCCCGGUUUCUUGCUAUAACCGAGGAGGAGGCUGGCGUUUUGGCAUCGGCCGCACCAGAAUUUUUGCGCGUACCUGAACACCAGGGGCUUAGGGCAUUAUUCUGCCCGUUUUCAUAAAGACCGAAUACCUUAGGGAGUGUUCGGCGUCUCGAGUUAGGCCUUAUAUGCAUCAGCUCCGAAUCAUGUCUUUGGUCAAAUGUUGGGUUUGCCCGGCUCCUAUGUUUUGCUGCCUUACAUUCCGUUCUAUCGGCUAACGCGGCACCAGGAGAACUACUGCGAUUGUGCCCUGGUUCGGCCAGGUGAGCACCUCAGUAGAGAAAGCCGAAAACUGACUGUCAUGAUAUAGCGUGAGACUGGUCAACCACUCGAUGACCCACCGGAAUGUUUAGAAUUCCCCCACAUUAAAGAAGGACCGUUUCCCGGUCAGGCACAUACGUGCCCCGAAUUUGGGAGAGCGUGGUGCCCCUAGGGGCUAUAUAGUAGCCCCAUCAUCGAACUCCUAUGGCUAAGUGAAAGUGAUAAAGCAUUAUAGUCCGGUUGCCUAGUUUGCUACGCUAUCACCUCCUUACAGGACCAAGAUGUUGGAUUAAGUGUGAAAAUGCGCCUUUUUGCAAACACCCCCUCAUUAUGUGCGUGGGGGUUGAAGACGAAGACUGCCAUCUUUCAGGUUAUAUACACACAUACAUCAACGGCCGCACAGGAGGUGUUUUAAUACUUGAACGCACAAGUAUAAAAAGCUCUUAUAUUAUAUUGAAACAUUGUUUUCACAAAUCAUACAUGUCAUUAAAACAUAAUAUCCUUCGAGCACUGCGUCUCUAUUAAACGAGCGCCCUGCAGGACUUCCUCAAAAUAGUGCUCGGCAGGUACUCGGCUUCUAUCCGAAUCUUGGGAUGCAACGUCGGUGGCCUUCAUCUCUGUCCAGUAUGUCUUGACACAGGCAAGAGCCAUCCGCGCACCCUCUAUGCAUGCUGACCGCUUCAUUGCAUCGAUAUGCGGCACCGCACCAAGGAACUGUUGCACCAAGCCAAAAUAACUCUUCGGCUCGGGCCUGUUCGGCCACAAAUGAGUCAUGACAUCCUUCAUGGCAAGUCCGGACAACCUAUUUAGCUCAGCCCAUUCGGCUAAACGAUCGGUUAAUGAAAGUGGACGCUCCGUACUAUGGAACUGCGACCAAAAAAGCUCUUCCAUUCCGUGAUCCUUUUGACCUCGGGAGUGUUCGGCCGCGUCUGCGGCACUUGCCGCCAAGUCCUGAUAAGCAUCCUCCGCACCCCACUGCCAGUCCAAUUAAGCGUACUUAGGAUCCGUGAAUUUCCUCCACGGCAGAAAGGGCUUUCCAGCCGCAAUAUCUCCGGCCUGACGUAGCUCCUCCUUCAUAGCUCUCAUCGCAGAGCGAGUGUCCUUGGCCUCGGUGGUGGCCUUUUUCAGGUCCUCUUCUUCCGCUCGAUCUUCUUUUUCAAGAAGCUCGCAACGGUCAGUAGCAUUCUUCAAUUUCACGGCCAUCUCGGCCAUUUCUUUCUUGCUUCGGGAGUGAGCAGCCUGUUCGGCUUUUAGCUCCGCGGUCGCCUUUAAGGCAGUCGCAUCACUUUUUCUGUCUUGCUCCUUGGCUCGGGCGUGCUUCGCCCGAAGGUUCUCCAUAGCAGCGGCACCAUCUGCAUUAAGCAUACAUGUUGUAAGGCAUGGGCGUCAAGCUCCCUUACCAGGUGUCCGCGGAGAAGUUGCAUACCUUGUGACUCGUCAAGCCGCUUAUUAACAAGCGUGAUGUCUGCAUCCGCCACAUCAAGUUGCCGCUUCAGUUCGGCAUAUUCAUCAGCCCGGCUAGCCACCGGACGCUUUGCCACCUGCAUAGGAAGAGCGCAUAUUAUACCUGGGGUUAUGAUCCUCGGCGCGCCGUCAUUUUUGACACCGCACCAAGUCUCAGGGGCUACUAUCUAUACAAGGCGCAUUUUAUAUGCAAAACUGUGAGAAGGUACAUCAUUUUGCGUACCUCAAAACCCAUCAGUAAACUUACGACGGCUUCAUGCAAUCCGCUCUCAGCGGAUGAAAUCCUUUCAAUCACCGUACUCAUUAACGUACGGUGAUCUUCCGAGAUAGACGCUCGCCCGAGUAGAUCCUUCAGCUCCUCCGACCGUACACCCGUUGGUGCCGGACUCGUCCAGUGGCCUUUCUCGAAGGCCGGACACGGAGGGCUUUGAGGGGACAUACGACUGCCUUCUGGCCCCGCCGGAUUCGGAGAAGCCCUCCGCGAUGACACCUCAGGGUCGUCCGCCUCGCAUAAUGGUACGGCAGGCAGAGGCGUUUCGCUCUCCAUCAUCUCCGGGCCGAGAUCCCUCGAAGACGAGCUCUGCUGUGAAGGGCUGAGAUCCGAACUACAAGGUAAACUUUCGGUUACCUUCAGAAUAAAAACGGGGAUGUCUCUCUUUUAAAAAAACGCCCCCCUUUACUUACGGCUUGCUGGAGGGCUGAUCUCCUCGGGGAAAUAGUGCGGCCGGGGCAUCUCCCGCCGCAGGACCCUCUGGCGAAGAUUUCUUCCCCCGCUUCGAGGCUUUGGUCUCCGGAUCUUCAGAAGCGGUCCUCUUCUCCCCUUGGAGGGAGGGAUUCUCGAUCCCCCCUUUCUUGAUAGCCUCCUUCACGGAGGUAGUAGUUCCCUUAUUCCCCCCUUCGCCUUCUUCAAAAGGCACAGCCUCUAGCAUCUUGGUUAAUACAGGAUCCGGCGUGGUCUCAAGGAGGGGGGCCGGACACCUGAUCAGUUUUGCUUUUGCUAUCCACUCCUGUUUAAAGGAUAGCUCUUUUAAGGGCAAGUUUAUGAUAAAUACGCGGAUAGCAUGUCCGGGUAUAGGACUACUUACUUGAGUAUCCAGGCGAUUGCAGCUCAGACCUGCGUCCUCGGUUAAGUCCGGACACAUUGCUUGUGAUCCGAAGAACAGUUGGUACAUCUCCACGGGCGUUGCGCCCAUAAAAUGUUGGAGAGCUCGUGGUCCCUCCGGAUUAAACUCCCACAGGCGGAGGGGGCGACGUUUGUAGGGCAAGGUGCAACGAAUCAGCAUGACCUGCGCUACUACGACCAGAUUGAUCUCUCUCUCUAGGAGGUCUCGAAUACGGCCCUGCAACAGAGGUACGUCCUUGGACGGUCCCAAGUCGAGCCCUUUAUUGACCCAUGACGCCCGCCGCAGUGGAGGACCCGAGCGGAAGGCAGGUGGCGCCGCCCAUUUGGUGCCCCUGGGAGCGGUGAUAUAAAACCACUCAUGUUGCCAUAAAUUGACCUCCUCUUGAAAAGAGCCCUCGGGCCAUGGAGCGUCAGCAUUCUUGCUUAUAACAGCCCCUCUGCACGCUGCCUGAUGCCCCUUGAUCAUCUUCGGCUCCACUUUGAAGGUCUUGAGCCACAAUCUGAAGUGAGGGGUAAUGCGGAGGAAGGCUUCACAUACGACAAUGAACGACGAGAUGUGGAGGAUGGACUCCGGAUCCAAGUCAUGGAAUUCUAGCCCAUAAUAAAACAUGAGCCCCCUCACGAAGGGGUCCGUCGGGAAGCCUAAACCCCGAAGGAAGUGAGACACGAACACCACGCUCUCACCAGGCUCGGGAGUGGGAAUAACCUUCCCUUGGGCAGGCAUCCUAUGCGAAAUUUCGUCAGUUAGAUACCUUGCGUCUUUCAGCUUUAGCACAUCUUCUUCCGUGAUGGAGGAAGACAUCCACCGGCCAUGCAGGUCGGAGCCGGACAUCGUUGAAGGUCCGAAGCGCCUAACUCUGGAGCUUUGGGUGUUUGAACUCGAGGCGAGGGGCGGAUUCGAUUGAGAUUGAAAGAAAGGAGCGGGCCUUGGUCUCGUUAUAAAGAGGUUGAAUACCAAGAGCCCUCCCCGUGACCGUUCGGGACUCGCCUUUGAUGGAGGAGGCGUGCCAACGGGCACGACUGGGUUACCCACGCCCGUAUUGAUGAGGAUACCGGAAUAAGGGGGGCACGAUCUCCGCUCCGAUAAGACUUGCCGAAGAAACCGCCUCGCUAAACGCGCUGAGGUGGGACAGUAAAAACGAUUCGUAUAAAGACCUGGCCGUGGUGUGAUGUCACACCGCGGAAUACGUCAGCAGAUCUGUGCAAAGGUUAUUCUCUCUACGGUGGUAUGUAGAACUUGUUUUGCAGAGCCGGACACAAUCCUUGUGUUCAAAAUCUUCUAUGAAGUAUUCGGAGGAGGAACCCGCCUUGCAAUGCCGAAGACAAUAUGCACGCAGGACUCAUCGUUAUUGAAGCCUGGUUCAGGGGCUACUGAGGGAGUCCUGGAUUAGGGGGUGUCCGGAUAGCCGAACUAUCACCGUUGGCCGGACUCCUGGAUUGUGAAGAUACAAGAUUGAAGACUUCGUCCCGUGUCCAGAUGGGACUUUCCUUGGCGUGGAAGGCAAGCUUGGCGAUACGGAUAUGUAGAUCUCCUACCAUUAUAACCGACUCUGUGUAACCCUAACCCUAUCCGGUGUCUAUAUAAACCGGAGGGUUUUAGUCUGUAGGACAAACAACAAUCAUACCAUAGGCUAGCUUCUAGGGUUUAGCCUCUUUGAUCUCGUGGUAGAUCCACUCUUGUACUACCCAUAUCAUCAAUAUUAAUCAAGCAGGAGUAGGGUUUUACCUCCAUCGAGAGGGUCCAAACCUGGGUAAAAACAUCGUGUCCCUUGUCUGCUGUUACCCUCCGCCUAGACGCACAGUUCGGAACCCCCUACCCGAGAUCCACCUGUUUUGACACCGACAACAAGCCACUCCGGAAGCAAAGAAGAGGGCAUCUUCUUCAGUUUCCAAACCACAAAGCUACGGAAAAAGAAAACUCAGGCAAAAACCUCGAAAAACAAAAUAAAAAGAAAGGGACAAAAAUUAGGCUGUCACAAACCUUACCCCCUUAAAGAAAUCUUGUCCUCGAGAUUUGGUUGCUCAGGGAACUAGUAUGAAUAUUCUGACUUAAGGAAACCGUUUCCAACUCGGGUAUCCUUUUUCCUUUAUUGUUGUUCCCAACUAAAUUUUUAUCUGACUGGCCCUGGGUGGUUUGCUUUGUUGUAUCCACCUUCUGACAGAUCUUACCUUGCUUGUUCAUGCUUAUAUAGGCUCCAAUUUCUUUUUAGAUCUGCUGACUAGCUGAGUGUUAUUUGAUCAUCACGACUGAAAUAUAUGUCCGUCUCACAAAUCCAAAAGUGAUUUCCGCUGGGUGUGCCACCCGGCACUGACAACCUUUCAUGUAAUGAUGAUCAGAUUUUUCUGAUGAAAACUCAAGCUCUGACUCAUUGCAUUGGGUUUCUCCACUAAAUGCAAGUCCUUUGGGUUCCAAACAGUGAGUUAAAACAUAACCGUUUCCUGACAGAUUCUGACUCAUUGCAGAAGUUUUAGAAUCAUCUUAACUGGUUCCACUGUCGUGAGUAUCAUGUCCAUACCAAAUAUUUGAUUGUCUCCUGUCGUGGCCAGCUUUAAUGGUUUGGCCUGUAGGAUAAUAUCUGCAGACUUGACUGAUGGUGGUUCUGACGGAAAACUUUUGUUCACGACAGGCUACCCAUGAUGAUUUAUAUAAGUGAGGACUUAGGCUUCCAGACUGUUAUUCCUCAUGCUGAUUACUCAUGUUGUAGGCAUAUCCAUGUGGAUCAAUACUGACUUAGACUGUCCGGGGGAUAUGCACCAUGGGGGUUGUAUACAAUUUUCAUACAUGCCUCACUAGUCUUGCUCCUUCAUUAUUGUUUUCUUGGUCUGGAUCUUUGGCUGAAAGAGCUGGGCCAUAUUGUUUCUUUGUAUGACCAUAGGUAUUGUCGGUGCAAUUUUUCGGCAAUUUUAGUUUAUCCUCAUUUUUCUGAUAAGGUAACCCAUUAAAUGGCAGGUUCAACACCUCUCAAGUUCUGAUUGUUGGGAAAUGAUCAUCCAAAACCCUUGCAAGAAAUCAGCAAAUAAAUCAGUAGCCACCAGAACGGUCUUUACAAUUCAGAUCUGGGACAUUACUGAAAUAACUCAACCACGGCUCAGGACGGCCGAAAAGCAGCUCAGAGCAUGAGACCGGGUCGAUAAGAAGAAGCUAGCAGCUCCCUAAAAUAGCCAAAAAGCAGCUACAGGGAUACUAUCACAAAAAGAAACUCAACAGUUGUACGAGACGGCCGAAAAGCAGCUCGGACUCGUGACAGUCGUUGAAGAAAGAAACAAAAAUCGUCAUCCACCCCGGAUAGCUAGAAACAGCUCAAAUCACAGGUGUGGUGCCAUCAUUGGCGAAAAAAAGGGACAAGGGCUCAUCAGGAUCAUUUUCCAGUUUCACGGGUACUUGUAUUGAGCUCAUUGAUGUCGUCAAUCCUCAUACUCCUUUGUCACACAGUGGUGUAUAUUGGCUUCAUUCUUGUAACCAUCCUCACGUGGUUGUCAGAUCCUCAUCCGAGUGACUUGUAAGAUCUUUAUGGUAUGCUCAUUACAUAUAUAUAUGAGGACCUGAUUCUGAGACAGACGUGUAUUCUGACUGAUUCUUGAUUCUGACCAAAAUGUUGCGGAUCUGAUUCUUGGGAUUCACUGCUAUAUGCUGUCAAUUUACAGCAUACUACCUUGUACCAAUGUCUUACUGAUGAAUAUUUGCUGGCUUGUGCUCAAAACUUUCAUCGGACAGCUUACUGAAGAAGACUGAAUAUCGUGCUUCAGAAGCUUACCCCCUUAAAGACUUUGUUAUGGAAAGACUCGGUACCUUAUGUUGGAAGCUUUUGCGGUUGCUUACUGAAGAAGGCGGAGUACCUUGCGCGAGAAAUCAUCCAUAUAUCAUACUGAGGAAGAUAGCUGAAUCUUGCCUUGGAAGCUUCUCUGGUAUCUUGCGAGGGAAGACUGGGUUGCUUACACCAUAAACUUCUUAUUGUGACAUGCGGACCGAUUCCCACAUAUAUAAACAUCUGAAUAUUUUUGCUAUUGAUUUCUUGUAUGAAACGGGGUUUUACUGGACUAUCCUCCUUUCUGAGUAUAUGCCAUACUUUUGCUUGCUUCUAGGUACAUCGAGUUCCAAAAUCAUCCUCAACGAAAAAUUAAACUUGUAUAUGAGCCAUACCUUUGAUAUUAUUCUAUCAACCUUGCACACAAUUUAUCUUCUUGCUGAUUUAAUCAUUUUGUUGUGAUGAGUGCACGUUAAUGCAAACUUGAUACUGACGUUCCAUCCAGGAUUUCUUUUGCACUCAAACGAGAUAUUCCAAUUUUCAUUGCAGUCUGCUGAUAACUCCAUUCUGUUUAGCUGAAUUUCCAAAUAUAUGCAUUUCUUGCUGACUCUUCGGGUCCGGUGUCGGCUGAUGAGCAACUUUAAUAGGGGAAAACUUUGUAACACCGAAGGCCCAAAGAAAGGAACAACAGAAACGACUAAAACAAAAGCACACAAGCAUUCUACUAAUAUAAUUAAUCAAUCAAUCAUCACAUAUUACUGCUACUCACACAAUAAUAUGCAUGCACAUCUAAGCACACAAAUCUCGCGGAAACUCUGGUACUACGAUCUAAUAUGCUGUGAUGAUGUGCACGAGGACGAAUAGAUGUGUGGAAGAAUUGGUGUAAACAGCGCUACACCAAGUGCCUGCUUAGCCAGAUAGCAACCUGGACUAGCUCGGAGGCGAGGACGUACUCGGUAAUCAUGCAGUGGGACACGAAGGUCGCAACCACAUUAUUAUCAAGCGGACGGAAAAAGAUAUGUACUCGUCCAAGAAAUAGGAUUGCGGGGAAAAACUGAGGCUGCUGACAUUGCCCUUUCUUGAUAACUAAGAUCAUUAAGGGUUGCCAACACGACAAAAUAAAAGAACGAUCCGGGAUAGAAGCAUGUCCAUCACCGAAAUGAUAGACGGGACUGGAAGAAAGACAUCGGUGCGAUACCUGAGCACCAUUUUUUUGCAAACAGUGUCGGGAUCACUUGGCAUCACUCUGCUGGAACAGAAUUGACACCAAACACCGAAAGAAAAAAGGACUGGGGAAAUGCAAAGGUUGAGCUUCAGUGGAUCCGAACCGAUGCCAGCUACACUCACCAGAUAAACCGUUAUCACAAAUACUAAGGCUAUAUGCAUGCUAUGCAACAAACAAAUGCAUCAAUCAAGUGCAAUCAAACCAACUGGGGUCUAUACUACCGCUUUCUAACAUUCACGUGGUCUAGGGCGUCCUACAGCCAGACCUGCUCUGAUACCAAGCGUUGUGGCACCCCGUCUCAGAGGAAACCGGAACGCCCCGUAUUCCAGCCCAGAGAUCAAGGAGAAGUCUUCUGGAAUACGGCACUACUUAGCAUAGAACAAACCAGCUUUCUAUAUUACACGAAUAUGAAUACAAGGUCUCCGAUAUUACAAUGAAUAGCAUCGGUACGGCGACACUACGCCAUCCUCAGUUGCUCCAUGCAAGCAGCAGAACAACUCGAAGCAGCGGAAAUAUUUCUAGCAGCGGAACAACAACGACGGUGGUGAAACUCCACUCCGCAUGGACUCUGGCUGGAACGCUUAUCCUAGCUCGCACGAAUGGAAACCACGACAAGCAAGCAAUAAAAUCCGGCAUGACCUGCAAACUAGCAUGGCACGCCUGGUCAGUACAUUGAAUGUACUUGCAAGCUCACAAUAAUUCAGAAGCAUUCAAGACAAACAACAGCAUGGCAAUUACAGGUUAAACAGGAAUUAUCAUGAUAUCAUCAUGGCAUCAACAUGAACAUGAUACAGCUAACACAACAUGAACAUAUUAAUCCAAUAAUACUAUCAUGCAACAUGAUGACACUAUAGGCACCACUUAUUCUCCUCGGUUUACAUCGUAACCAUCACAUGCAUCACUUACCAACCUCGGACAUCACAUGAUCAUCUCAGGAUCAAAUCAAGCUUGGUAUGAACAAUACCGUAGUAAUCGUUAGUACAUUGUACCCACACUACGGAACCCAUGGCCUCGCACUCCCAUUCGGGUGGACCAAUGGCAUUUCGACAAAACCGUCCUACUUCCAUGACACUCUCCCGGCCACUCCAACUCACUCCUCACUAAGCUAAGUCAUGGGUGGCCCCGUGCCUACCUCCAGACACAACGACCACCAUCGUGGCCCGUCCCACUCUGGGACAAGGAUCCAAAAACUAACUCAACAAUGGGCACACAAGGCUUAUGUCCGCCUACCUGAUCGGGGUAGCGCGCGCCCAUAACAUUCCCUCGUUGGAGGCACCGGCGAGAGGCACAACAAUAGACCCAAUUAGGACCGUCCCAUACCGGUAAGCGUGGUUGCACUGGUCAGCAUUGAUUCAGCUGCACCAUGACUCAGCCAACAGUUGUUCAAGUUCAAUUUAAUCCGGUUAACUUGAAUGCAAAUAUGUUGAGCCAUGAUAAAAUAACAUGAUGCCAACUAUGAACAUGAUAUCAACAUCAUCAUGAGGGUAUCACAUAACUAUCCACCAUAUCAACAAUAACUCAUAUCCACUGAACAUGGCAUACUGACUAGCAUGACCAUCAUCAACAUCAACAUGUACUACUAGCAAUCAUAAACAUAUGACAGGUAAUACUAGCAGGUAUAACAUGAUCACAUAGUACAAGACAACAUAGCACAAAAGUGAACAUUCAAAUCUAAACAUCACCGGAACAAUGAUAACCAUAUCUUUUCAACAAGCAAACAUUUAUUAAAUAUUCAAGUUGAAAACCAUGGCUACUGCAUGACUAUCAUGCAAGUGGGUAUUGUGGCUUGCCUGGGGAUGAAGAAGGCACCGGCGAGAAGUGCGGUGAACUCGCGGAACGAAUCGCCGGAAAACAUUCUCUCUCGGAGGGGGCUGAUUAAGGGCAAGGGCAUAAAUGUCCUUUUCACAGUGUCAAACCAUAGUGAAAAUGAAACCAACAGAACGGGCUCGACGAAACGAAGAAGUGAGCGUUGGUUUCACCUUAAACGGAGUUACGGAUAAAAAGAUAUAAGGGUUUUACUGUCAGGGACCUAUCUAUAAAAAUUUAUUUUACAGUCUGGGCCAAAACAGAAAAAUGGAAAGCGUAUUCGGGGGGAUACGCUUCCACUUAUCCAGCGUGGCAGUGGCGGGGCCGGGGCUGGUCAACGCCUGAGGGACUGAUGGGUGGCCCCCACCUUAUCCUUCUCUCUCCUCCUGUCCUCCUUCUUCUUCCUCCCGUGCCUGGCCACGACAGAGAACAGAGGAAAAGGCAGGGGCGCUGCCGGCGCUGGCCCCGCCGACUCCGGCCGCUCCAGGCCAAGGCGAAGGCACCGGCGACUUCAGGGUGGCGCGCCGCCUCCAUCCCAGGGUAGAGGGAUCGCUGGGGAGGGGUAUGGACGCGGCACUGCGUGGUGGCAGGAGUUGCAGACGGCGGCGGCUAAGAUUGGGGAUGGCGACCAUAGAGGCUCCAGCGACGAGCGAAUGGGUUGGGGAGGCCCUAUGGGAGGUGGGGAAGCCACUGGUGGUGGACGAACGGAGGGGGAGACUCGGCGUUGGGCGAAUUUAAGCCGGAGUGGGGCGGCGGCCAUCACUAGUAGAAAACGAAGCUUUAAUACCGGUUCAUAAGGGCCUUUAGUGCCGGUUCUGCAACCGGCACUAAAGUGUGGAGACUAAAGCCCCCCCCCCUUUAGUACCGGUUCGGCAUGAACAGCCACUAAAGGCCCACCACGUGGCGUGAGCUCGCGUCGUGGUAUGGAGGACCUUUAGUACCGGUUGGUGUUACCAACCGGUACUAAAGGUAUAUUAUUUUUUGAAUUUUNNNNNNNNNNNNNNNNNNNNNNNNNNNNNNNNNNNNNNNNNNNNNNNNNNNNNNNNNNNNNNNNNNNNNNNNNNNNNNNNNNNNNNNNNNNNNNNNNNNNNNNNNNNNNNNNNNNNNNNNNNNNNNNNNNNNNNNNNNNNNNNNNNNNNNNNNNNNNNNNNNNNNNNNNNNNNNNNNNNNNNNNNNNNNNNNNNNNNNNNNNNNNNNNNNNNNNNNNNNNNNNNNNNNNNNNNNNNNNNNNNNNNNNNNNNNNNNNNNNNNNNNNNNNNNNNNNNNNNNNNNNNNNNNNNNNNNNNNNNNNNNNNNNNNNNNNNNNNNNNNNNNNNNNNNNNNNNNNNNNNNNNNNNNNNNNNNNNNNNNNNNNNNNNNNNNNNNNNNNNNNNNNNNNNNNNNNNNNNNNNNNNNNNNNNNNNNNNNNNNNNNNNNNGAAUUUUUUUUUUUUUGAAAUUUUCGAAAAAAUAUUUGGUUUUUUUUCGAUUUUCAAUUUUUUGAAUUAUUUGAUUAUUUAGUCUCUAAUUGCCCCUCUUAACUACUCAAGUGUGGAUCACUCAUUCCAAAUCGUCUAACUUCCCGACCGGUCACCCAUCCUCUCACUCCCCCAGCCUGAGCACGCUUAACUUCGGAGUUCUAUUCCCCCUACUUUCCAAGUCUGCACUUGUUGUCUUCCUGACAAUUCUAAGCUGUAAAUCCUAUUAACCCUUAGCAGUUUAGCUUGAGCAUUAGGUCACACAUUUCACCGUUUGAGUUUGAAACUAUUAUUCUAAAAAACAGUAAUUAGUUAGUAACACUAAUAUUUCUUGAAUAAGUUUGACCAUAGUUUGACCACAAUUUGACCAUAGUUUGACCAGAUUUGACCAAAAUUCAAAAAAUUGAAAUAAUUACUUAUUAACACUAAUAUUCCUGAAUAAGUAUGUAGUAACAUUAAUACUUCUUGAAUAAGUAGUUUGACCAUAGUUUGACCAGAUUUAACCAAAAUUAAAAACACUUAAAUUUGAGCAUAUCUUUUUCUCCUUUUGGAAUUUGAGGAUUCUAAAAAAUUGCAAACAUGACGUAUGCUGUCAAAAUCGGAUGCGGUUUCUCGUGCUGAACUCUUUGAUAUAUUAUACAUUUUUUCCGACAUCGUAUGCAAAAGUUAUAGCCGUUUUACAUUUUCCCUACACUUUUUGCAAAACAUAUCCAAAUUUAAGUUUUUUAAUUUUUGUAACUAGUAGAUGUAGUAAUAUAACUACAUCUCAAAGAAUUUUAUUUUUUGAAUUUUUUAUCAUUUUCUUUUGUAUUUUCCAAAACUGAAAUGGCGAUACACACGGGGGUAGAGUUUGAAAAUUGCCCUUUAGUACCGGUUUGUGCCACGAACCGGUAUUAUAGGUCAAACCCCUUUAGUACCGGUUUGUGCCACGAACCGGUACUAAAGGUGAUCGCCGGGCCCCGGCCUGACGCCAGCCUGCCACCACCCCUUUAGUACCGGUUCGUGGCACGAACCGGUACUAAAGGUUCAAAACGAACCGGCAUUAAUGCAUAGCCGUUCGAACCGGCACUAAUGGUACCAUUAGUACCGGGCCAAAAUAGAACCGGUACUAAUGUGUCUCACAUUAAGUCCUUUUUCUACUAGUGCAUGGCAGCUAUGGGGGUCGAGGAGAGCUCCAGAAGCUCAGGCGAGGGCAUGGGAUGGCUCCUGGGGAAGUGUUGAUGCGAGAGGUGAGCUCGGGAGGGCUCGGGGAUGGCUUAAAUAGCCGCGGGGAGGAGCUGCCGCGCUGUCACCACCGUGGACGCGUGUCCAGCGCUGCCGACGCGUGCUCACGUGCAUGAACUCGGGGGAAAACGAUGGGGAGGGCACAGGGGAGAGCUCUCACGAGGCAGAGGAGGCCAAGGGGCGCAGGGAGGAAUACGACGGCGAUGGGAAGAUCCAAAAUGCCACUGUACGCUUGUGUUCACGCGGCGGCGAGCGUCAGUGAGCAAGCGGGCGGAGGGGGAGAGGGGUCCAGGGGAACGGCGAUGAUGAGAGGAAGCCAAGGGACAAUCUCACGAGCACGAAAACAGCGAGAGGAGGAGCGGGUCCAGCACAAAAAGUGCUCUGGACGCGGCCACUACACACAGAGCGCACCAACAGGCAUGCCAGCUGCAUGGUCACCACGUCAACAUGGGCAUUAAAUGAUCUACAGCACCCAAAACGUUGUCUAGCUGAUAGUCCUUCCAAGGUAGGUUUGAUCUGUGGUGGUAACUUGGUGAAAACAGCUAGGGUUAAAUAGUUAGUGAGCUCUGAAGUUUACUGCAGUAAACUUUACCAACUCAAUGUGAUCAACAGGGAGUUACUUGAAGCCAAAGAAGUUUUCUGGGGUGUUUAGGCUAGGAAGGACCACAGUCCUGGGGAGUUUUAGGAGAAAUGGACUAGGCUUUAAUAUAGUUGCUUUGCAACUGUCACAAUGGUCCAGAAAUGAAGAUUAUGAUGGUGCACUCACAUGAAGUGUCCACUUGAGCUCAAAUUGAGCAAGGCUUAGUCAUUUGGUCAUAUCAAGAUGCUGUAGAAAGCUCAUGCCAAAUAUACAAACCAAAAUAGCACUUGCUUCACAAACAUCUCUGCUGACCAGAAACUUGGAAUAAUUAUAGUGGUCAAAUGGACCAAUUAAAUGAAGCCAAACUGGAUGGAGAGAUGUUUCAUGGGUAGAAGAAUGAUCUGGUAAUUUAUCAGGAUUUUUGAAGCAAUGUAAAAUACACUUGCUUCACAACCUGAAAAUAUUGCCAGAAACAAAGAUUUGCUCCUGUGCUCACGUAGAUGAUUGGAUGGGGCUGAAAAUGGGUGAAGGAAAUUAAUAUGAGCACAUUAAGAAGUGUGCAAAAGUUCAACUCAUUUGGGUACUCCUAGCUAGUACUUCCUUCACAAAGCCUUCUGUCUGACAAAAACUUUGAAAAAUCACUAAGGAAGAUUGGCUAGUCAAAUAAAUUUGAACUUGUGCAUGAGGAAAUUAUUUGGACAUAUAAACAUGCCCAAAAAGGUUGGGAGUCAAUAGGAGAAAUAUAAAUGACACUUCCUUCACAAAGUGCCAUUCAGGGCAGGAUAGGAAAAGGAAUAUUGGGGAAUUAUUUUUGAACAUGGCAAUGAAAAGCUUUGCCAUAUUUGAUCAAGAUAUGACCCAAACAAUUUAUGAGAAUUAUUUGGGAAUUUUUGGAGUGAUGGAAAUAUAGGUUGCUUCACAACCUAGGGCAAUUUGAGUUAUUCCUUUUAUAGAAAAGGAAUAUUCCCAAUAAAAAGAAUAUUGGGAUUUGAGCUAUGAUGGAAAUGACAGGAUCUAGGGAAAGAUUUGGGAAUGACAAGCCACUCUGGAAGCAAAGAAGAGGGCAUCUUCUUCAGUUUCCGGACCACAAAGCCACGGAAAAAGAAAACUCAAGCAAAAACCUCGGAAAAACAAAAGAAAAAGAAAGGGCCAAAAAUCAGGCUGUCACAUAAAUCAGAGAACAUAUAUGGAUAAAAAGUUUCUAAAAAUCUAACUUUUGCAUAUAUGUAUACUUUAAAACAUCAUUGCAAUUGAAAAAAUACAUACAUACAUACAAAAACAUGUAAAAAAAUACGUACAUACAUAUAUGAACAUACAUAAAAAAUACAUAUAUCUAAAAAAUACAUACAUACAUAUAUGAAAAUCUAAAAACAUGUAAAAAAUAGCAUGUAUAACUAAAAAAAUAGCACGGCGGCGGCGGGGCCGGUAGAGGCACGGUGCUCACAGAGGGAGGAGCGCGCGGCGGGCGGCGUCGGGGCGAGCAGGGGCAAGGGGAGUGGCGCGGCGAUGGCGUCGGGGCAGGAGCGNNNNNNNNNNNNNNNNNNNNNNNNNNNNNNNNNNNNNNNNNNNNNNNNNNNNNNNNNNNNNNNNNNNNNNNNNNNNNNNNNNNNNNNNNNNNNNNNNNNNNNNNNNNNNNNNNNNNNNNNNNNNNNNNNNNNNNNNNNNNNNNNNNNNNNNNNNNNNNNNNNNNNNNNNNNNNNNNNNNNNNNNNNNNNNNNNNNNNNNNNNNNNNNNNNNNNNNNNNNNNNNNNNNNNNNNNNNNNNNNNNNNNNNNNNNNNNNNNNNNNNNNNNNNNNNNNNNNNNNNNNNNNNNNNNNNNNNNNNNNNNNNNNNNNNNNNNNNNNNNNNNNNNNNNNNNNNNNNNNNNNNNNNNNNNNNNNNNNNNNNNNNNNNNNNNNNNNNNNNNNNNNNNNNNNNNNNNNNNNNNNNNNNNNNNNNNNNNNNNNNNNNNNNNNNNNNNNNNNNNNNNNNNNNNNNNNNNNNNNNNNNNNNNNNNNNNNNNNNNNNNNNNNNNNNNNNNNNNNNNNNNNNNNNNNNNNNNNNNNNNNNNNNNNNNNNNNNNNNNNNNNNNNNNNNNNNNNNNNNNNNNNNNNNNNNNNNNNNNNNNNNNNNNNNNNNNNNNNNNNNNNNNNNNNNNNNNNNNNNNNNNNNNNNNNNNNNNNNNNNNNNNNNNNNNNNNNNNNNNNNNNNNNNNNNNNNNNNNNNNNCGCGGGCGACGGCGACGGCGGGGGCGGCGGGCGGCGUCGGGGCAGCCUAGCGGCGACGAUGUGCUCGGCAUCGUCGGGGGCAACUGUGGUAAUGAACUCUGCAAAAUUGCUAAGUGCUACUUAUAUACCAGAAGCAUUGGUCCCGGUUUGUGGCACCAACCGGGACCAAUGCCCCCUUUAGUCCCGGUUGGUGCCACCAACCGGGACCAAAGGUCACUUUUCAGCAGCCCAAAGGGCGGGAAGCAGAGGCCAUUGGUCCCGGUUGGUGCCACCAACCGGGACCAGUGGCCUUGCACAGCGGGGUGGUGGUGGGAGUUUAGUCCCACCUCGCUAGUUAGAAGCGCCCGGCACCUGUUUAUAAGCCCCAUUGCCUCUUCCCUCUCGAACUCCUCUGAACUGCAGGCCUAUGGGCCUAAACUGACACUAAUAUGCCUGUGGGCCUGUUGGGCCUUCUGCAGGCCUGAAUCCUGGCCCAUGGAUGGGUUUCUAGUCGUAUUCAGGCCGUGGUGGCCCAGUAGGUGGCAAAUUAUUUAUUUGUUCCCAGUUUUUUUGUUUUCUUUUUUGCUUUAUUUAUUUUGUUUUGUUUCUACUUACAACAAAAUACUUAUUUAUUUUAUUUUAUUUUGUUUAAAAUUACUUAUUUAUUUUAUUUUAUGAUAAUUCUUNNNNNNNNNNNNNNNNNNNNNNNNNNNNNNNNNNNNNNNNNNNNNNNNNNNNNNNNNNNNNNNNNNNNNNNNNNNNNNNNNNNNNNNNNNNNNNNNNNNNNNNNNNNNNNNNNNNNNNNNNNNNNNNNNNNNNNNNNNNNNNNNNNNNNNNNNNNNNNNNNNNNNNNNNNNNNNNNNNNNNNNNNNNNNNNNNNNNNNNNNNNNNNNNNNNNNNNNNNNNNNNNNNNNNNNNNNNNNNNNNNNNNNNNNNNNNNNNNNNNNNNNNNNNNNNNNNNNNNNNNNNNNNNNNNNNNNNNNNNNNNNNNNNNNNNNNNNNNNNNNNNNNNNNNNNNNNNNNNNNNNNNNNNNNNNNNNNNNNNNNNNNNNNNNNNNNNNNNNNNNNNNNNNNUAUUAAAGCUUCUAACAAAAAAAGUUCUUUAUGAAAAUUCUUUUUGCUUUUAAUGAUUUUGAACGGAAAAUACUUUGAUAAUUUUAGUUUCUUAAAUUUUAUUUAUGUUAUUAAAGUUUAUUUUAUUUUAUUUUGUUUCUACUUAUAUAUUUUAUUAAAGUUUAUUUUAUUUUGUUUCAAAUUACUUAUUUAUUUUAUUUUAUGAUAAUUCUUUUUGCUAUUAAAGUUUGUAACAAAAAAGUUAUUUAUGAACUCUGAAACAAAGGGAUUUCAGACGGAAACUCGUCUCUUACAAAGGGAUUUCAUUUGUGUUAUCAGGGUUUCAUACGGAAACUCGUCUGUUACAAAGGGAUUUCAUUUUUUUGAACUUAUUUGAACUCCAUAGUUUUUCUGUGUUCAAAAUGCACCAUUCAAAGCCACAUCAUCAAUUUUCAACCCUUUCUGACUUCAUUUGUUAUUUUUCAUGCAUUUACUGAUUAUUUUGAGCUAUAAGACCAUGAAAUUGAAAAGCAUUUGAAAUGAACUCUGAAAAGGUUGAAAGUUGGCAUGGUAUCAUCAUUUCACCCACAUAGCAUGUGCAAGAAAGUAGAGAGGGUUACGACAAAAACUGGAUGCACUUUGUGUACAAAACGGACAAUCUCUUUCGAAGUAUCAGGGUUUCAUACGGAAACUCGUCUGUUACAAAGGGAUUCCAUUUUUUUGAACUUAUUUGAACUCCAUAGUUUUUCUGUGUUCAAAAUGCACCAUAUAAAGCCACNNNNNNNNNNNNNNNNNNNNNNNNNNNNNNNNNNNNNNNNNNNNNNNNNNNNNNNNNNNNNNNNNNNNNNNNNNNNNNNNNNNNNNNNNNNNNNNNNNNNNNNNNNNNNNNNNNNNNNNNNNNNNNNNNNNNNNNNNNNNNNNNNNNNNNNNNNNNNNNNNNNNNNNNNNNNNNNNNNNNNNNNGAUUUCAUUUUUUUUGAACUUAUUUGAACUCCAUAGUUUUUAUGUGUUCAAAAUGCAACAUUCAAAGCCACAUCAUCAAUUUUCAACCCUUUCUGACUUCAUUUGUUAUUUUUCAUGCAUUUACUGAUUAUUUUGAUCUAUAAGACCAUGAAAUUGAAAAGCAUUUGAAAUGAACUCUAAAAAGGUUGAAAGUUGGCAUGGUAUCAUCAUUUCACCCACAUAGCAUGUGCAAGAAAGUAGAGAGGGUUACGGAAAAAAGCUGAAUGCACUUCGUGUACAAAACGGACAAUCUCUUUCGAAGUAUCAGGGUUUCAUCAUGAAACUCGUCUGUUACAAAGGGAUUUCAUUUUUUUAACUUAUUUGAACUUCAUAGUUUUUCUGUGUUCAAAAUGCACCAUUCAAAGCCACAUCAUCAAUUUUCAACCCUUUUUUGACGUCAUUUGUUAUUUUUCAUGCAUUUACUAAUUAUUUUGAGUUAUAAGACCAUGAAAUUGAAAAGCAUUUGAAAUGAACUCUGAAAAGGUUGAAAGUUGGCAUGGUAUCAUCAUUUCACCCACAUAGCAUGUGCAAGAAAGUAGAGAGGGUUACGGCAAAAACUGGAUGCAUUUCGUGUACAAAACGGACAAUCUCUUUCGAAGUAUCACGGUUUCAUCAUGAAACUCGUCUGUUACAAAGGGAUUUCAUUUUUUGAACUUAUUUGAACUCCAUAGUGUUUCUGUGUUCAAAAUGCACCAUUCAAAGCCACAUCAUCAAUUUACAACCCUCUCAUGAAUAGAUAAGUGACCAAAUUAAUAAAAGUUCAUCAUCACAUUAAAACCAAAGUACAUACAUAGUUCUCAUUGAACAACAUAUAGCUCUCCAGAGCAUCUAAUUAAACCAUACAUUGAAAUUAUGUAAAACAUUUCAAUGCAACAACAAAUGCGAUCAUAAUCACAACCAAGGUAACAACUGAUCCAACUGCAUAAUGAUACCAAGUCUCAGUAUGAAUGGCAUAUUUUCUAAUCUUUCUAAUCUUCAACCGCAUUGCAUCCAUCUUGAUCUUGUGAUCAUCGACGACAUCCGCAACAUGCAACUCCAAUAUCAUCUUCUCCACCUCAAUUUUUCUUAUUUUUUCCUUCAAGUAAUUGUUUUCUUCUUCAACUAAAUUUAACCUCUCGACAAUAGUGUCGGUUGGUAUUUCCGGUUCAACCACCUCCUAGAUAAAUAAAAUCUAUGUCACGUUUGUCGGCAUAAUUGUCAUAAACAAUAAAUGAACCAAAUAGUUAUCAAAAGAAAAUAUAUACCACAUCCGAAUCAUAGACAGGACGAGGGCCGACGCGGGCGGAUACCAAAACCAUCGCACUAUAUAAUAACAAGUAAUAAUAAAAGUAAGAAAAUUAGACAAGUAUCUAUCUGAAGUAAGAAAUUUUUUUCCAGAAAGAAGAUAAGAACAAGAGUCUCACCACGGUGGUGCCGGCGACGAGAUCAGUGUGGGCGGUCGACGGCGGUGAAGACGGGGACGGGAUGUGACGGACCGCUAAACCUAGACAAAUCUCGGGGAAAAUGGAGCUCGGAGGUCGAGUUUCGAGAGGAGAAAGAUUAACUAGUGUAGCUUGGACAUUUCAUCGAACACCUCAUGUGCAUAGGAGGUGAGCUAGAGCACCCAAAUGCCCUCCCUUCGUCGGCCAGAAAAAACAGAGCACUGUGGAGUGCUCUGCUAUGGCGAUGGGGUAUAUAUAGGCAACUCAUUUGUCCUGGUUCAUGGUAGAAACCGGGACUAAAGCCCAGCAUUCUGUCAUGGUUCAAGCCACGAACCGGGACCAAUGGUUGUGGGCCAGGAGCGAGGACCAUUGGUCCCGGUUCGUGCCUGGAACCGGGACAAAUGGGUCCAUACGAACCGGGACCAAUGCCCACGAGGCCCCGGCCGGCCCCCAGGGCUCACGAACCGGGAUGAAUUCCCCCAUGGGUCCCGGUUCGUGAUUGAACCGGAACUAAUGAGUUGGCCAGGCCCGAACGAAAGCCAUAUUUUCUACUAGUGCAUGGACUCAUGUGACGAUGCAGGUGCAUAGAUCAUUGAUGGCGAAGAAGUGCUACGCCAGGAGUAUACGAUGAGUGGCCGGGGUGUCAGGCCCAGGUGUACCGGUUUCCGGUUUCCGGUUUCCGAGCGACAGCCAGUAGUUAGUUUAGGUUCACGCUAGUGCGAGAGAGGGAUACAAACUCAUGUACUGCAUAGUUCCGCUCUCACUCAUAGUGAUAGCUCUUCUCGUGUAUAUCAUUGUUUAGAUGGAUGACGAUGUAGUUGCAAGAACUUGUGUCGCUAUUUUUGAGAUGAUGACGAGAGACCACUUUGUGUUGGAUGAUGAUUAUGAUGAUAACAUGAUUUGAUGUUAUGAUUACAUUUGUAUGUGUAUGAUAUGUUAAAGAUUAUUGUAUAAAGCUUGUUCAAAUACAAAACAAAUAUGUAGAAAAAAACAAAAACUAAUAAAACUAACAGUAGCGAGGGGAGUAGAGUUAGCAACAGUGCGCCCUUACCAGUAGCACGCCCUAGAUUAAAGCGCUGCAGAUAUUAUCAGUAACGUGUUGUGCUAAAGCUCGUUGCUGCUAGCCAUGUAUAGCAGUAGAGUGGGUCAGCACGCGCUACUGAUACAUGUUAGCUGUAGCGCCGUAUCAGUAGCGCGGUGCCCCACGCUACUGAUACACCUAAUACGCGCACUACUGCUAGGCUUUUCCCUAAUAGUGAAGUACUUCCAGUGAUGCAAGAUUAGCAGAACGAAGAAGUGGGAAAACAAUUGCCUAGCUCGACGAACAGGCGAAGUAAUCAUGCCCCCUGCUCAAGGUGUCUAGCGAUAUCGUCGCUAAUCAUCCGGGGCUACUGCCCGGUACCAAUCUUGGUGAUUACUGAGCGAUGAUGUAUAGAUUGAAAUGUUAGAGGUAGUAGAGAUCUUCAAAUACGAGCGCGGGAAGCCUCUCCUCAAACCUAAUAAUCCUCCUCUAACAACGAUGAUGCGAAGAUUGCAUGAAUGGUACAUGGAUACCUGCAGGGAGCCCGGGGUCGACAGUAUGAUGGUGAGAAUUCAAGAUGAGCACGGCCUCAUUGGAGUUGAGUUGAUGCCUUUUGAAUUUGUGGAGUUAUUUCAAUUAUUCAAUCAGGACGCCCUCGUCAAACAACUCAUGACUUGCUACUGUCUGUAAGUAUUAAUUCUUUAGUUAAGUCUCUAUAGCUCAGCUUGUUCAUUGCAUGUAUAUAUAAUUAUCCUCACUAUAUUAUGCAGGCUGAAGAUCAUCGAAUGCAAAAAAGAGCAAAUAUAUGACAUUGGGUUCAUUAACCCAAAUACCGUAAAUGAAUGGUCGGUUAAAUUUGAAGACACAGAUACUGAGAAGAACUUGCUACAAUCGUUCCUUCGACAUCAAAACAAAGCUAAAAUGCUCUUUCCUUACAACUUCAGGUGAGUCUUAUUGUCUUGUGCAUAUUCGGUUUCGCGUACUCGAGGUUAAGUAAUGUAAUUGAUGAGUUAUGUGUGCGCAGCUUCCACUUUAUUCUGCUACAGAUUAAACUUGAUGAGGGAGUAGUAACUGUCUUAGACUCGAAACAUAAAGAUCCCCAGGAUUAUGCGGACAUGACUGCAAUGCUCCAAAAGUAAGUUCAAUCAUUAUCGCAUCAUAUCGGCAACUUUCGUUCAUUUCCUGAUAUCAAGUAAUCAUUUUCUUUGCCUGGCAGGGUUUGGAAAAAGUUCACCGGAAUAGUUUCGGGUCUGCAGAAGGAGCUGCGAUUUGCACACCCCAGUAGUACUAGCUAGUUCCGCGCAUCUCCCAUUGAUUCUACUUUCAUCAAUACCAUUUAUCAUGCUUGAUUAUCAGUUUGAUUGAACUCUAUUUCUCAUAAAGUGCUUGUGGCAGGAAGGCAGGAAUAAUUUAUGUGGAUACUACGUUUGCGAGUUCAUCCGCCACUCGACCUCUGAGCGGGGCUACUCUAACAAACAAUAUGAAGUACGUAAACAAUAUUCACAAUAUUAUUUUAUUACCAUCAAUAGAUGAAUGAAACUCAACACAAUUGAUCAUAUUAUUUUAUUACCAUCAAUAUUAUUUUAUUCACAAUAUGUAUUGACCCCCUUCUUUAAAUUAGAUGCGGGAGAUGUGGGAUGAACUCCCACCACAUGAUCGCACAUGAGCAAUUCAAGAGGAAUUGGCGGGAUUCUUUCUUGACCACGCCAUACAUAAAGACGGAGAAUGCCAUGUGGAAAUUGAAAAUGAUUUUGGAUGUUAGGGAUUGUAAAAGAUGUUAUAUUGUAUAUAUCUAGUAGCGUCGGAUAGAUAUACGAAAACUUGUUGUUCGACCAAUCUCGGAGAAAGAGAGGUCACUUCUCUCUGUAUAUGUUCAUGUCGGUCCUGUGUAAUUAAUGGUUCCUUCAUUUGCUUACUAGCUAGCGUGUCGAGUUCUCUCUAUAUGUAUAGUAGCUAGCGUCGACCAAGCACGGAGAAAGAGAUGUCACUUCUCUCUAUUAGCUAGCUAACACAAUAUGAAACCCNNNNNNNNNNNNNNNNNNNNNNNNNNNNNNNNNNNNNNNNNNNNNNNNNNNNNNNNNNNNNNNNNNNNNNNNNNNNNNNNNNNNNNNNNNNNNNNNNNNNNNNNNNNNNNNNNNNNNNNNNNNNNNNNNNNNNNNNNNNNNNNNNNNNNNNNNNNNNNNNNNNNNNNNNNNNNNNNNNNNNNNNNNNNNNNNNNNNNNNNNNNNNNNNNNNNNNNNNNNNNNNNNNNNAAAAAAACAAAAACCCCAACGCCUGCGAGCUGCUGACGCGUGGCUGCCUAUUGGUCCCGGUUGGUGUUACCAACCGGGACUAAAGGUCCUCCUGCCUGGGCGCCCCGCAGCGGCCACGUGGAGCCCCUUCGGUCCCGGUUCAUAAGCAAACCGGGACUAAAGGUUUUGGGCUUUAGUCCCGACCCUUUUGUCCCGGUUCCAGAACCGGGACUAAAGGCUCUCUCGAACCGGGACUAGUUUCCUGUUUUCUAUUAGUGUUACAUGAGAAAUGAUAAGUAACAAGACUGAGAACUUCAAGACAGAUAAAUGAAGAAUUAUAAGAAUAUUGAGGAAAUAAGCUGAGGACUCAAUAUUGACUAAAAAGUAAAUGACUGAUGAAAACAACUGACACUAACUACAAAAUAAGAAACUAUGACUGAAACUGACAAUGAAUGUAACUGGAAAAAAACUGAAAUCGACAGCUCCCCCGAAAAACUGAACCAACAAUGUUGUCACAAGGCCUAGAUCCCUCAGGUACAUAGUUUCUCCCGUGCAACUUUGGUGAUGAGCACAAGAACUAAAAUUGACGCUCUGAGCCAUCGUUAACUGAACCCAAAAAAUCGCACAGUGAGCAGCUCCGGCACUGACUGAUUUUUAGUGAAACUGUAUUAUUUUUAGUUCUUUUAUUAUCAGUCUUCAGCUGUUAAUACGUUGCCAAACUUGCAGCUUCCAUACUAGAAUUUGUAAAAACUUUCAAGGAAUCCAAAAACAUAGCAAAAGGGGAAGACCCUCACAAAUCAGCAUUUCUUUUUAAAAAAGAGAGUUAUCUUUUCUCAUUUGUUUUUAUCAAAUCUGGCAGGACCAUAGAUGAAGAGCUAGCUAUUCUUAAACAAACAAUACAAUGAAAUUCACUCCACAUAAAUAACGCGUGGAUAACACCAUAUAAUGAGAACGGAUUCGGAUUACAACAUCCAGGUAACAUGUCACUUCUUUAUGGCAAUGAGAACGACGAAUCACUCGGCUAAUAAGGCGAGCAGCAGUCCACACUUCUACUAGUAGUUUUAUACUCUACAUUGGAGUGAAUUUCUUUAAAGAUAACACUUUUUAUUGGCCGGCUUCAAACACUGUGCUAGAUAAGAUUAGCUACUAACUCCAAGGAUAUCAGCAAACAUCUCUUUCCAUCCAUCCCAAUCCAGAUACAUCCAAGUGGCAAGCAUUGUAGGCAGUCCAUAUACCAGGCAUUUAUUCAAUCUUUCUCUUGCACGAUAGAAGCAUUGUAGGCAGUCCAUAUACAUAAAUUUAGAUAAAUUAGGAUUAAAAAUAUAUUGUCUACAUUCUCAUCAAAGAGAUCGUCAUCUCCAUCUGCCACAUCAUAAUCACUUCCGUAAAAUUCAGAGUCGGCCUCUUCAUCUUCUUGCCCCUCUACUUGACUAUCUCCUUCCGCUGCUUCAUGUGCUUGUUCUCCUUCCUCUUGCUCUUCUUGAUGUGCUUGUUGUUCACUAUCUGCUGCAGCAUUUCUAGUUGAAGUUCCUUCUCCCCAUGUAGCUCCUCAUGGCAAUUUAAUUACCACAUCGCACCAUAUGUGAUCCUUCUCAUCUAGUACAAGCAAAUAAAGUGUCUUUUGUUCUCUACUUGCACUGUUCAUUGCCGCAAUUACUUGAAAAUUAUCCACACAGACCAGACCAUCCAAAAUACUUGUAAUCUCAGGCAUGCACCAGUACACAUGUAUGUUAGGAUCUGCUGUGUCAUAUCCAAUCUUCUCCAAGCAAUCGUUCAUAACUUGUAUUGACCAAUUGUCAGUAUGAUAAUAAUCAAACACAUCGUGUGUGCAACCUUCAUAUUUCCUUCUAUCACCUAGUCCAGUGAAAAGUCCAUCGUGCUCAAAUUCUACUGAGAACAUAUGUGUAAAUUCCUCUGAAGUAACUGCAAAAAAUGGAAAUUCACAUUAAAUUUGUACACCAAAAGACACUGUUUGUUGCAGUACACAGUAAAAAUUGAUCUCAAGUACUUAUUUAAGUGUUCAAUUCAUUUGCAACAUGCAGUCUGCUUGUCAUGCAGACCAUCCAAAGUAUUAUUUUUAGUGUUCGCUUCUACGAAAAAAUGUGAACAAAAUGAUCUCAAGUACUUCUUUUCCAAUAUCUGAAGUUUACAACAGGUAUAAAUCAGUUUAUACCUGAACCUUAUACUUCUGAACACCUUUCGCAUUUGUCUGGGCAUUAGUGCAACCAGUCUACUUAUCAUAAUCAUGUUCGUUCCCUUGAAUCAUAUCACAUCUGAACAACAAAAUCAGUAUCACUAUGCUUCCCUGAAUAAGUUUUCUGAACUAAUUUCCUCUAGCUCUGUUUUCUGAACUAAUCUCUCCUAAAUCCAACCACCACAUCUGACGGACCUAGCCAAAAUCACUGUCAAGGAGAUGUAAUGCGGCUGCAAGACACCAUAGCCAACAAAAGAUAACCGAUCUUUGCACAUGAAUCAUGAAGAACAUGAACUGAUCGUGCACGAAGAGAAAACUUAAUGAAAACGAGGCGCUAGGCUCUCGAGGGAGGCCGCUAGGUAUAGGACAUACCAUACUCCGGAGGGUAGGCGCCAGGUUCCCGAAGGAUCGGCUCCAUGCCGCCGUGAUCGCCGUCGGCGAACUCCGCCGCGAUCGCCCUUGGUCUUGCUCCAGAUGGAAGGCAAAACGAACAACCAAGGGGUUUGGGAAGGGUUAUCAGACUUAUGUGCUACUUCGUGGUAACAUGGGGUCGUUUUUAGAAGAUUUCAUUAUGCCCUGUAGCGAAGGACUUCCUGGAAAUAUAUUCAACUAAUUAAGGGGAUUUCUGUAAGAUAUUCACGCAGGCAGCGUGAAGCUUGAUGAUGUGGCGUGCCAAGUAGACAGUUUAGUACCAAAAUGUUGACGCAUUAGAAGUUAAGUGACUAUUUAUCUGAUUUUUUUCAAGUUUAUGUAUGUAUUUGUUAACGACGUGCAAGUUCCUGUACUUAUGGUGAUAUUAACUCUACAAAAUAAGAAACUAUGACUGAAACUGACAAUGAAUAUAACUGGAAAAAACUGAAUUCGACAGCUCCCCCAAAAAAACGGAAACAACAAUGUUGUCACAAGGCCUAGAUCACUCAGGUACAUCCGUACAUAGUUUCUCCCGCGCAACUUUGCUGAUGAGGAGACGAAUUAAAAUUGACACUCUGAACCAUCAUUUAACUGAAACCAAAAGAUCGCACAGCGAGCAGGACGUUUGGGAAUCAAUUUUUGUAGAUUUAAACCGAUCACUUGUAGCAGCUCCGACACUGGCAGAUAGCUACAUCGGAAAAAAAAUCGUCAGCGGACGACUUGACGAAAGGGCGAAGACGACAAGAUGCGAAUUUCUUUGAAAUUAUGACAGGUUGGUAACAAAGCGAGAACGACAGAGACAAUGAAAGGCACUGAGCUUAGAGGGGGGACACAGAGAGAGAAGUGGCUUGCUGUACAUAUCUCGUGAGCGGUGGUUCCGGCCCGCCGGAGCACUAAUCGCUCGUGGAGGGCGCCACGCGAGAUCCCCAUUGGCCACCUCUCAAUCUCCUCCAUAUGUCAUUCCACUCGCCAUUCGCCGGCAGCUUUGCCUCCCUUCUUCUAUCCGCUGCCGGCCACUCUCCUUCCACCACCUCAACCCGGAAACCCACCUAAUUGUCACAUACCCGACUAAGCCCCCCUCUCUGGGUUUUGCUCCCCCGUCCCCUCUCCCCUCCCUCUCCCUUGACAGGUAUGUGUGAAUGUUGUAUCAUCUGNNNNNNNNNNNNNNNNNNNNNNNNNNNNNNNNNNNNNNNNNNNNNNNNNNNNNNNNNNNNNNNNNNNNNNNNNNNNNNNNNNNNNNNNNNNNNNNNNNNNNNNNNNNNNNNNNNNNNNNNNNNNNNNNNNNNNNNNNNNNNNNNNNNNNNNNNNNNNNNNNNNNNNNNNNNNNNNNNNNNNNNNNNNNNNNNNNNNNNNNNNNNNNNNNNNNNNNNNNNNNNNNNNNNNNNNNNNNNNNNNNNNNNNNNNNNNNNNNNNNNNNNNNNNNNNNNNNNNNNNNNNNNNNNNNNNNNNNNNNNNNNNNNNNNNNNNNNNNNNNNNNNNNNNNNNNNNNNNNNNNNNNNNNNNNNNNNNNNGUAUUAUUUGUAGUUCUUUUAUUAUUAUUCGUCAGCUGUUAAUUUAAAAAAAAAACUUCGAGGAAUCCAAAAACAUAGCAAAAGGGGAAGACCCUCACAAAGCAGCAAUUUUAUUUUAAAAAGAAAGAGUUAUCUUUCCUCAUUUGUUUUUAUCACAUCUGGCAGGACCAUAGGUAAAGACUUAGCUAGUUCUAAACAACAAUACAAUGAAGUUCACUCCACAUAAACAACACCUGGAUAACACCAUAUAAUGAGAAAUAGAUUCGGAUUACAACAUCCAGUUAACAUGUCACUUCUUUAUGGCAACGAGAACAACGAAAUCACGCGGCUCAUAAGGCUAGCAGCAGUCCACAAUUCUACUAGUAGUUUUAUACUCUACAUUGGAGUGAAUUUCUUUAAACAUAACACUUUCUAUUGGCCGGCUUCAAACACUGUGCUACAUAAGAUUAGCUACUAACUCCAAGGAUAUCAGCAAACAUCUCUUUCCAUCCAUCUGAAUCCAGAUACAUCCAAGUGGCAAGCAUUGUAGGCAGUCCAUAUACCAGGCAUUUAUUCAAUCUUUCUCUUGCACGACAGAAGCGCCUACAGAGGAGAUUAAUUACCAAACAAGAUACGCAUCAGUAUAAUCAAAUUAGGGAGAGCGGAUCAAUCUGCAUGUAUAAUUUUGUGGAUCAUACCAUAGGGUGUCACUGGGAUUGGGCUCAAUGUGUCCGAAGAGAUGGUGGAUAAGCUCCCUGUUCUCUCGGAAGUACUUGUUACUCGAGGGGAAUCUGCUGUCAAGCUCAGCGAGCUGGUAGAAGAGGUCGUGCUUCUUGGUCUCGAUUUCAACUAUCUGACUAUGGCCCCAUGCUCUCUUGGCGUCGAGGUCUAGCGCAGGCUUUGCACAGGGUUCCUGGCACACAGAUCGAAGAUCACUUUAGCAGGGAUUACCAAGUAGCAGCAGUACUUAAUUGCUCACAUAUGCUACCUCCGUCCCAAAAUUUUUGUCUUAGAUUUGUCUAGAAUUAGUGUUAGAUACAUCCGUAUCUAGAUAAAUUUAAGACAAGAAUUUUGGGACGGACGGAGUAAGUAGUUACGAAAAAGAAGCUGUAAAUCUCGGAAAAAGAUUUAUAAUACUAGAACCGAAUAUAUGAUAUAUUCUACAACCUCCAUCGAUAUCCCGAAUUACAGUAUCUACAUACAUCUAAUCCGAGUCAACUAAUUCAGGACGGAGGGAUGUGCAGCGGUGAUGAUGAACAUAUACAUAUACAGAAGUUGUGGAUCUUGGGUGGUAUACCUUCAAAGCGGUGUUGCCGCCGUCGCCGCCCGAGGACAUAGAUCUUUGAGGAAAAUACGCAGGUCGGUCGCCGUUGAUAAGCCUUGGCAUCAGCCGGCGACGCUCACCCUCAACCAGCGGCGAGACGACGGCUUUGUAAACGGACUUGGCUCGCUGGCCUCCGGUGAGCCUCCUGGCCGCAAAUCGCAUCGCCGCCGCCAUAGCCUUGAACCUGCGAUUUGCCUUUUGUUUUUUAUAGGGUGGGAAAUCGAGCGAUGUUUGCUGCUUCGAUUUUCUUUGCCGGUCUCUAGGGUCGGGUCCCUCUUAUAUCACGUUUGGGCCGAGCCUUUCCGUCUCCAACUCCUCCAGCGCCAGAUUUUUCUUUUGCUUUAUGUGUUUUUUUUCUUUUUUAACACACGCAAGCGCUCAUACUUACACGAAUACACUCACCCCUAUGAAAACACACAUCCCACCUCUAUGAGCACCUUCAAAAGACUGAGAACCAUCCAAGCACAGGUAUAAUGUGAGCACCAGGAUUUGAACCCUGAUGGACUGAAGAUACCACUGUUCCUCUAACCAUCCAACCACAGGUUGGUUCGCGCUUUUUUUGUGUUUUGGGAGAGAGUAACCUCCAACGCCAGUAACGUCAAUCCGGAGCGCACAUAGCACGUUCUUGUUUUUGACUUAUUUAUUUUUUUGCGAGAAAUAGCAUGUUCUUAUUAAUUGGGAUUAGGGUUUCCACCGGCCGGCGCGCUUCAUGGAUCAGCCAUCGUACACAGUUCAUUUUCUUGGAGAUGAAUUUUUACCAUACCGUUUGUUAUUCAUGCAUCGCACACAGUUCGGUCAAAUGGUGUAUGGAAAAAGUUUCUAAGAUAGUAAGAUUGGUGAUCAGGUGUUCCUCAAACUUCACCCAUAUGCUCGGUCCAGUGUGUCCCAUCGUGCAAAUCAGAAGCUUUCUUUCAAAUAUUAUGGACCCUAUCAGAUUCUUUCCAAAAUUGAUUGUGUCAUUUAUCGUCUGGCUCUUCCCAGUGACAGAUGCAUACACCCGGUCUUCCACGUUUCUCAACUUAAGUAGGCCAGAACUCCUAAUUACCGAAAUAGGCUUUCACCCCGCUUUAUAAAUAAAGCAAACGCCAAGAGCAACACAUACAAGAACUAGUUCAGCACACUCACACACACAAGUCCCACAGGAAGAAGUACAUAGGUGCAUUCUUCAUUGCGAGAUGUUGAUGCUAAUUCACAGUGCCUCUGCGUGUGUUGUACCAUCGGGUUCACCAGCUUGGCAAUCGUGCAAAUACCACACAUGUUGAUUGAAUGGAACAAAAGAGGACCUAUCUUAUCUUAUAUCUUAUCUUAUAGUAUAUAUAUAUUUACUAAUUAGAGGCACCUUUAAAGCCUUCUCAUUAAUCCACAUCAUCAAAAUUAAUUAAACUGUUGGAUUAGUUAAUUAAUGGCAGAGAUAAAAAGAAUUUACGUAACACAAAUUGUCCCAUAAAAAAAGACUUCUGACACAUUUAAUAUUGGUGAAUGAAACAAAACAAAGAGAGCAUCCACCGUUGCCUUAGAAUAAAUCGCCUCCUUUUGUCAAAAAAAAAUCGCCUCCUUCCAUAAAAAAAUCUAGCAUUGAAAAGGAAAAAAAAUUGUAGAUUCGUUUUUUCUCUACUACUAUUAAACAAGCAAACAUAUUCAUCGCUAAAUGUACCCAGCCUGAUCUACACAUAACACUCCCAAUCAAUUAUAGCCUCACGAUGCGAAUCAUAGUAUUAUAUCUAGCCGUCCAUAUACACUAAUCGUCAGCCAAGAGUGCGUUUAGCGAUUUGAGAGAGCGGACGAAAACUCUGCCGUCUCGAUCCGCAGCCGCGGCCCCAACAAUCACGCACGAGAAAAGGAAGCAGAUCCAAUCGAAUCGCCUCACCCUCAACCGACCGCUGCACCUCCGGCUUAUGGCGUGAGCCUUUUCUCCCUCCUCACCAGAUUUCGUCUUCGCCAUCGAGAGGUGUUAAGGGAGGCGCCCGCGACGCAACGGCGGCGGGGAGAAGCGGCGCAUUGGCGGCCAGCAGCGCAUGUGCAGCACAUAGCAGCGGCGGCUGUAAGGCCACAGCGGACGAGCAGGUGGUGCGGCUGAGGGCGUGAGAAGGGAGGCCGGGCGGCGCCCGAGGCGGAGCUCGGCCGCGAGCCUGGCACGCAGAGGGCAGCCCCGCGCGAGCGCCCUGCAGCCGCAUCGCCGAGCGGCAACCCCGCCGCCACACUACUGCACGAGGGCAGCGCCACCGCAUCGCCGAGCCACAGCCCGGCCGUUCCCGGCCGGAGGUCGCCGACGCCUUUCCCAGCUUUGCGUCGGCACCCUGAAUCCCUGAUCGGACGCCUCCCUUUUGGUUAACAUGUUUCUAUGAAAUUGAACAUUUCAGUAACAUUCUGAUGUGUAUUCACAACUUCACAUUAAUUCAGAAACUGUAUGUAUGAAUCGACUGCAUCCGAUGUUGUGCUUCUCAUGUUCCCUUGAAAGAUCGCUGGAUGGAAAGAUGUUUUUGCUUUCAGGAUUUCUGGUGUGUGUACGACCCUCUAAGUAACUCUUUUUCAUCUCAUGCAGCAACAGAGGCUUAGAGGAAGGCGCUGCAGCGUGGAUGCACAUGGGAUGCUGCAGGUUAAAGUCCUUUUAGUUUGUUGAUAAUUUGUCAGACGUAGAUGGUAAGUUAUAUGGUAGAAAUAGAUUUUAAUUUGUGUAUCGUGUGGAUUCCAAAACUAAUCUGCUUGUACUCCCUUGUAUAUAAAUUUGCAUGAUGAAUCUUUUUGCAAUAUACAUGUGCCAAAGAGGAGGAGAGUAUCAAAGGAUAAAGGAGUCAGGAAGGACCGAAGGAGAAAAUAUAUGUGAGCUUAAUUAAUGCUUCCUAAUCAGUAUGCUUUUCAUAUUGCCGUUUAUAUUGAACUAAUAUAGUUUGCUUUUGAUUAAGGAUCUUGACAAGGCACCUAGCAGUUUUUGAUUUUCUGUAGCUUUUGUUGAUCUUCUCCUUGUUUGGAUUAAAUUUCUCAUUGAUUUCCUAUCCUUUGCCGGAACAUGAACCUGAUGAUGACCCAUAGUUGGAUGUAUGUGAGAGGUAGAGGUGUUAGCUCAUAAGCAUAUCAGAAUACAACAUGACGUGUAUAAUUAUUCAGUUAUGCCUCAACAGUCAGACCAAAUUAAACGACAGACUGCAAUUAUACGAAGACCCAUUACAUACUCGACCAGCCCACCUGUCAUCGCGAGACAAGUUAAAAGUGAAGCAACUAAAUGUUUGCGUCGAAUGUUGUUACUAUUGGUUUCUUCAAGGGUAGUAACUUUUACCCAACAUAUGUCAUUUUUUUAGGUUAAUUGACUAGCCCCUCUUUUUAUAAUGGUCCAAUCAAUUAAGAGAAAAGGGGAAAGGAAAAUGUAUGACACAAGGGCUAUCAAUUACAGAAUGAAUCACAUAGCCUGCAACAUUUGCAUCCCUGGCCCUAUCUAUGAUCCAACAAGGGCUAUCUCUAUGGGCUGAACAAUUACCGCAGAGGACACACUCAAAUUCAAAGUUUAGAGCCUGAUGAGCAAUGUUGUGAGAACUUGUUGAUGAUCUGCCUAUUUUCCGCGAAAUUUGGACGUGUUGGAUGGUCCAUGUGAGGUUCUCCAAGAAAUUUUUUCCUCAUUUUUCUGUUCUGGUAGUAUGAUGGAUUUUGAUUAGAUAAGAACCUGCAGUUUCUUUGGUAAGUUGGGAUUAAGAGUUCCAUAUAUAUGCGCCAAGAGAGUAUGUAGGGAAAUCAUGAUAUGACCUUGCUUGAGUUAGUAUUUUCUUGUGCAUUUCAAUACCUACUAUUAACUAUAUUGUUUUUCCUUCCUCAGGAUCCACAAAUUGUCAAGCACACAUGCUACAACCAUCAACUUCUGGGAUAUUAACUAUCUAACUUGGCAAUGUUCACAGAAUGGUUUCCAUCAUCUAUGCGAUUCUGUUUCCAUUAUAGUUGUUUGUUUCUCCAAUGAGUAUGUCUACUGCACACGAUAAGAUAUCUAUUCAGGCUAUGUCACUGCAUCCAAAGGAGUUGGUACGCACGAGUUUGUUUUCCUAUUAUGUACAUUGCUGGAAGCCUGGAACCUUUAAAAAAAAUAUUACCUUAUAAUUCAGUAUUUCAUAUGCCAUCUGAUGAUACAAGGUCUGCACAGGAAAAAUAAAUGGCACAUGCCCUUUCAGAAAACAAACAGAGGAUUUCUGGGCGAACCCUCACUUUUAAUGCAAGUUCACUGGAUGACUACCAUAUCUUUAUGUAGCAUUUGAUUGCUUGGAUGAAGUUGAACGGGAGAUCCCCAUCAGCUUUUGGAAGGCAUGAUUUUGUUUGGUUGGUUUGGUGGACAAUACAGGUAUAUAUCCUAUUAAAACUAAUAUAGCUCCAACCAGGGCAGAACCAAGCGGUAAAAAAACUGAGUGAGCCGAGACAUUUCUUGAUGCGACUGGUUAAGCUUAAAUUUCCAUGUGAUAUUCAUUUCUUAUGUAAUAAGGAGUUCCAUGCAAAGUUCUGCACCGAGCAUGAGCCAGGAAAGUUAAGUAGAACAUGGUCUGAUGAUCCAUUGACAAGGAAAUUUAAGCGAACACAACUGUUGAUGGGUGGCUCUGCUGUCCCCAAUGCUCCUGCUCUUGGAUCAUUACCCAAGCAUAUCUUUGUAUACACUAACAAACCGUGGGCUAGGCAAUAUUCGGUUCAAGAUGACCUGGAUUAAUGAUAUUUCCGUUAUCAUUUAUUUCAUUAAUGAAGAAGCUGUAGUCGAUUCCAAUACAUUUUAAAGGUAGUUAUUUUUUUAUUGGAACUAGCAGUUGUACCAAACAUUUUGUGCCUUAGUAAGAAUUUUUGGUGUUGAGAUUUUGCUUUAGAAUAUUGGCUCACUGACAUUGAGGCUGCGUUUGGCAGCAAAGUUUUUUCAAGAUUUUUUGAGAAUACUGCGGUUUCUAAAAAAAUCAUGGUUUUGAAUACUUUGCUGCGUUUGGCAUCAGAAAAAACCGAAGUUUUGUAAACCACAGUAUGCAAAAAAAAAAAAACAGAGUAUGCCUGAAACCAUGGUAUUUUUGCGGUUUCUAAAAAAGAGGUCCCGACCUCUUUUAUUAAAACAGAACGGAGAGAAAUCGUCGGGAGAUCGCAGUUGACAUUGCCGUCUACGUCGAGACAAGAAUACCAACCGCGACCCGAUCCUAUUUUCCCUCUUUCUGUUAUAUGGUAAACUCCUGGUUCUAGCCAAUCCCAUCCUAUUUACGAGUAGUAGGUCUCUCAGGUUCUUCUUCCAGCCGGCGUCCCGUGCAAGUCCGGUCUCUUCUCUGCAGCGCCAUAAGCGAAUCAAGCGGGAUAUAUAUAGGUGGAUUAUUUGAAACCUUCAAUGCCAACAGCCCAUGCAUGCAGGUCAGUAGGUGCAUCAGGGGUAGUCUACAGAUCCUAGCAUCUAGGUCGGGCAGAUGUGUGCAUGGCAGCUGCAUGCAGCCGGCCGCCGUUUGCAGCCGCUAAUUACUCUCGGUCAAUCAAUCAUCCACCCUAAAAUACUUGGUCAAGACUUUGUGAAAACAACACCAACCAAACACAUGGGAAACUGAGAAAAACAUUAUUUUUAAAAAACUAUAGUAUUCAAUGCCCAUCCAGGAGAAUACUCUGGUUUUCAAUUACCACAGUUUUAAAAAUACUUUGCUGCCAAACUAAGUAUGUUUAUGUGACGCUUUUUUCAGUCAUAAAAAAAUCAUCUUCCUUAUUAACAACCAAUGAGAAGACCUAAUGGAUGGAGUAAUAUAUAUUGUGGUCUGUAUGCAACAACAUGGUCAUAAUUGUGUUUCGCCUUUGAAAAUGCAACUUGAGCGACAUCAAAGAAUUGUGUUUCUAUUGAACACUUUUGUGAAACAUUUAUUUUGUAUUUGUGGAAAUCUCAUUGGCUCACCGUAUAAGACGUGCAUUGCACGUGCAAGUUUACUAGUUGACAGAAAAAUUAUAGAUCUGUUUGAUUAGCAUUGAGAAUCCAUUAAUAAAAUAUUCUCCCGUGAAGAAAAACAGAAAAAGCAUCCAUCGGUUCCUUGAAAAAAGGACAUCCACGUUGGUAACCGAAGAUAUUUUUCCCUCGGCAGAUAUGCUGGACUAAUAUGUGGUCCAACGUGAUAAGUCAAAAAAAAAACAAAUCCAUAAUGAGAGCUAAGAAAAAAGAGUCCAUGCAUGCUACGAUCUUCCCCUGCAAAAAAAAAAUGUACGCUACAAGUCAUACGUGAUUUAUGUCCAACAUAUAUUUUAAUUUAAAAAAUAUAUACCAUAACGAUUUCUUUAGCAGGUAUCUGCUUGCAUGCUCGAGAGUCCAUCUACUCCCUAUGUACGUGAUUUAAUUUAAAUCCCUAAAAAAACGUGAUAUAAGUCCAACGUGGUAAGUUCUUUUAAAAAAAAGUCCAACAUCAUAGAGCAAAUUGCACUACUUCUGCACGUUUGUUUAGAGAAAAAAUGAGUCCACUACACAAAGGCAUGUACAAAAGAAUUUAAGGGCCGACUCAAACAAAAGGGCAACGUCUUCUGCCAUUGAAACGUGGUUCAAACAAAAAAGAUGUAAGUUUUUUUUGACAAACAAAAAAAACUUAUUGGUAAACGGAAUUAAUUCUAUAAGGGCCCAACAUGAGCCAAAACAACUGGAUUGGUUAGUCUUCUCUAUACUCACGAUGCAGGUUUCACUUUUCGUGGUUCAAGGACGAGUUUAAUCCAUUGUUUGCAAUGCAAGUCGAAAAGAAAUAUUUGUUUGAUGACCCUUAAUAUGUCAUCUAUAAAAUAUUCUCGGAUUAAAAUAGGAAAAUUAUUCAUGCAAAAAGCAGAAGGAAACACAUCUCUCCCUCAAAGAAAAAGGAAAAAUAUCUCCCUCGACUCCUAUACAUGGCCGCUGACUCCUCUCCUUCACUUAUCCUCUCAUAUCUACAUCCCUAGCGCUAGAUUUUUCAUGACGAAGGAUAUCCCCAUCACCAUCAAGUGCACUCUCCCACCCGCAUGGCCAUCGGCGAACCACAAAGGAGUCUAGAGCCAGGUGUCGCAAGGGAUGAUGAGCGACCCCAAGCGAUGAUUGAUCUUCCUCUUUGUCAGGAUCGUCGUGUCUCCCUUCCUAAAUGAACUGCCUGCUUCAAGAUUUAUCCAUUGCCGAACCUACAACAAACGGGAAGCACAAGAUUUAUCUGUUCGAUGUCGUUGAGUUCGUCGUUGGUUCUCCAAGUCCAGAUGCAAGUAAAACCUAUCAUAAAAUUCGUUGAAUGUGCUGUUUGAGUUUUAGCCCAUCGGACUCAUGACGAAUCCCAAUAAAUUAUCUUGAUAUGAUGCGCCCCAUCAUGUGAAAAAUUGCUAAUUACAUGCCUUUUUAUGAGCACACUUCGCCCAAUUAUGUUAUAGAGGAGCGAACCAGAUUCAACUGCAUCCAAUGCCACCAUGUGCAAGGUAGUGGUGUGGUGACGCAUAUUUAUACAAUCAUCUGAAGCAUCGAUUAGUAUUAUGUAUUUUUUAACAGAUAUACUGCUUUGCCUGAUAUUGAUGGUAUUCCUGAAUUACAUGGUUUCACAUGAUUCUUUGCAGGGGUGCAGAUUGCUAAUACGUAUUUGCAUAUAUAGUAUGUUUAUGGAUAUCUUUUUUGUUAUUAUAAAAAUAGAGAAAGUUAGUCAUAAAAACAUAUACAAAUACCUAGAGAUAUUACUAUAGUAAAAUAAAAUGUAUGAAUUAUGCGCCCCAAAGAUUGUCUAUGCGAAAUAUGGAUAGUGAAUAUAAAAAACCCCAUUCAUGCUAAUAAUAAAAGAAUUUGUUGGCAGAGACAAGAACUUCUAAUUUGAGUAACCUAAGGUAUAAUUAGAAUAUACAAAAAUAUAUUAUUUAAUAUGUAUAUUAUUAGAUAUGAUAUCACGUAUGUUGAUAGAAAGACAUGCAAGCGUGUGUCUAUUAUUGUGUAUAGACACGGACUCUAUAUAAUUCUAUGACCCUAAGUCCAACCAAGGUAUAUACUAUCAAGUGUUAUUAUAAUAAUCUAAAUCAUAAUUCAUAUUAUUGGAUGCAAAAAUCUAAUCAUAAAAUAAUGAAUGAAAUGUAGCUUUGUUGGACCCUAUGUUGAACCAAGGUACACAUGCAUGUGUUAUAAUAAUAAUCUACAUCAAUAUAUUUAUAUUAUUGUAUGACAUUUUGAAUUUUCACAACUUUAUUAUAUUUAAUAUUAAAAUGGCUAGCCCGUGCAGGUGCACAGGUUUACGACUAGUGCAGCUAACUGGGAAGAUUUUGACCCCCUGAAAAAUCAAUAUUUCCCUUGAGCUCCUGCUUGGGGGCAAGCCGUUUCUGAAGAUCACGCAAGAGACGGGCUAGAAUCCUACAAGGCCGGGCCAGGCCAGACGCCUACCAGCAUGGCUCACUGAUCUGAAUUGGGUCCAUUAAGACUUCCGAUAUAUAUACUCACACCUUAUCUUGUACUCCCUUCGCCUGAAAAAGCUUAUCCCAAGCUUAUUCUUCGAGUGGUUGUAUCUAGCAUCAAGUUAGUGUUAGAUACAUCCAUUUGAGGGACAAGCUUUUUGGGACGGAGGGAGUAGCCGGUAGGAAUGGACGGAUGGCUGAAGGGCUAGCGUCUAUAAUCGUUGUAUUAGCUACAAGCUGUAAGGGUGGUUCGGAGGAAACAGCUUAAUUCAAAUUCGCCAUGAAAUCCAAAUCGAUAGCUCGAGCUUGCUGAGAGGAGAGUACCACACAGUAGCAUAAAGUAGAGCGAUGGAUAUGCCUCUAAUAUCUACAGGUGCCUAUAUAGAGCUGCCUGUCUGCCAUUGUUUGCUCUAAUCAAACAACCAGAAGUAACGACAACAUAUCACAAGUAAUGUAAGGUAACCGGUGCUUGUUUUGUCUUUGUCACAGAAAAAUUAACCCUCUAUGUUAUUCAUACUACCAGUGCUCUCAUCGCUGCAGAAUAUAAGAGAAAAACUGUUUAACCUGAGGGAAGAAAAAUAACCCAAUCUUGACUUGCAUCGUGAAGCAGCUCACAGGAGAAGCCAAAGUCUAGUCUACUGCAGAGAAGAAGCAUGAAAACUUGUCCAACAGCAUACAUACAUACAUACAUAUAGCAGCGCACAAUACAAGCAAAGAUAGAAAGGAAUGCUUCAGCUUGUUGCUCCAAACCAAACAAGCAUUUGUAAUGCAAAGCAAUACAAGAAGAAUAACCAUGCCAAGAAAACAAACAUCAAAUCAAUGGAGGAAAAAGACCCCCUCGCAAUUGUAUUACCGAGCCAAAAUCAUCGCCCCCAUAAUCCUGGUGUAGUGUUCAAACCAAUAUUUUAAAUAGCACGCUAUUUCGCCGUUAUAACGCGGUUAUAGCAUAUUUGGAAGGAAGACGUUACGUUUUGGCAAAAUCGGACGCUAUAACAUUGUAACAUUGUAACGUUAUAACGUGCAGACCAUGCAAAACUGAAAUAAGCACAGCCCAGCAGGCCCAGCAGGCCAAAAUCAACCCACGACCACUAGCUUUCUCACUCCUUUUACCAGAUUCUCCCACUAGCUUUCUCACUCCUUUUAUCAGAUGCAUAUAUUGCUUGCUCCUAUGAAAAAUUUAGUUGCUUAAAUACUUUAUUUCUAGCUAUAUUUGAUUUUUCUUUUGCAAACGUUAUUUUGAAAUAUAGCACGCUAUUAGCGCGCUAUAACUUGUGUAGCAUUUAGAGAAGGGCCUCGCUAUAUUUUGUAGCGCGUUAUUUAAAAUAUUGGUUCAAACACACACCACCACCAAUUCAUCAUUCAUGCAAGUGGUAAAAGGACAGAACGCACCUCCCAGCGAUUCAAACUAUCCUGAUUUGUACAUCUUCAGGCAAAUAAAAAAUUCAACCAAUGAAGCCAUGGACGGAUUUUGAAAAAAUAAUACUCCCUCCGUUCACAGAUUCAAAGGAUGUUCUAUGACAAAAUAUUAUGACCAAAAAUGGAAAAUUAUUUCUAGGUGGGCCGGCCGCGCACCUGGAUGACGUUCUUUUAGCCUUCCUUUGCAAAAGCAAAAUUGUGGUACAAGUGAGGCUGAGAAUUCUUUGGGUGAGACUUCGGCCGCGCUCAGUAUACGAUGGUUAGUUGGCCCAGGCGAGAUGCUGGGAAGUUUGAGCGACCGUGCACGACCACUGGAGACUUUGCAUGUACAGAACGAUCGAUCUGGGUACUUUAUGGACCUAAAAGUAAACUACCAAGAAUAUUUUCUUAUAUGACCAUGGGUUUUCAAAAUUGUUCAUGGAUUCAAAGAAUGUUCGUUCAAUUCAAAAAAAAAAUCAUAAAAUAAAAUAAUAAUUAGUGGAUUUGAGAAUAUUCAUGAAUUGGAAAAAUAUUUGCAAAUUCAAAAAAACUUGAUGAAAUUAUUAAAGAAAUUCAUGAAUUUUUAAAUGUUCACGAUGCAAAAAAUGUUAGAACAGACCUAAGUCAUUUUCACGAAAACAAUAAUAAUUUUUUUUCAAAGCAGAAAACAAUGAUAAUAAUAAUAAUAAACUAUUAGAAAUAACGGGCAUAGGCCAUGUAGAGUUUUUGAAAUCUAAAACUAGGCUCAUGAAUAAAUUUUCUGAAAUCUCAAAGUAGGCUCAGGAAUAAAUGGCAAGUGGUACCACCCCGAAAGUUGAGGAGGUGUGAGACCUCUUUAUAUAGUGGGUUCUCUACACCACGCUUCGUGAGGUGUGAAGGAGAGAAGAUUUUUAUAUCAAAAUCGACCGAUUCGACGAGGCGAAGACAAUUCAUGUAAAAACGUUUUUCAUAUGAGGCCGCCUUAACUGUGUUUCGUACCAUGCCAAAAUCUGAUGUCAACACCAUCCAUGAUGGCGAGUUUCAGAGUCCUCUAACCACUAUGAGCUUCAUCAAUCGAUGUCCUGAAGAACUAGACAUUGUCGCGUUUCAUGCUCCUCGUGUUCUAGCUCCACAAGCGAACGCCAACAGAACAAAAAGAUGGAUCCAAAAAGAUUAACGUCGAUGGUGCUCUAUCAGGAUAUGGCAAGCUAGGUGCAUCCGCUGCCGUCUGCAGGGAUUCAUUGGGGCGGUUCUUGGGAGCUUCAGCUGUAACUUUUGAAGGACUCAUGGAUCCGGCCAGCUUGGAGGCUCAAGCAUGCAAUGAGGCCAUAUCUCUUGCCCUGGACCUGUAACGUACGCAAAGUUGUAGUGGCUUCUGAUUGCCUCGAAGUGGUGAACAACAUCAACAAAGGAGGUUCUCCUGUUUAUGGGCUAAUUCUUAAAGAGAUCGCUCACCUUAAGAGAGAGUUGGAUGAAGUUAGUACUCCCUCCAUUCCUUUUUACUCCGCGUAUAAGUUUUGAUCAAAGUCAAACUACACAAAGUUUGACCAAAUUUAUAUUAAAAAAUAUGAACAUCUACAAUACUUAAACUAUAUAAUAUGAAAAUACAUUUCAUGGUGCAUCUGAAAAUGUUGAUUUCAUAUUGUGAAUGUUUAUAUCUUUUUAAUAUAAAGUUAGUCAAACUAUGCAAAGCUUGACUUUGACCAAACCUUAUAUGCAGACUAAAAAGAAACGAGCAUCGGGAGUCGAAAAGCUCAUAUACCCUUGCUAAAGCAGUAUCUUCUUUACAAGCUGGGGGCCAUGUGUGGCUAGGGUUAGUCCCUUUGAAUUCACCAUGAAAUCCAAAGCGGUAGCAUAAAGCAGAGCAAAAUAACCCUCUAUAUUAUUCAUACUACCAGUGCUCUCAUCACUACAGAAUAUACAACGAAAACUGUUCGUCUGAGUUAACCUGAGGGAAGAAAAACAACAGCGUCGAAAACUUGACUUCCAUCGUGAAAGUUAAGAUAGCAUGAAAACUUGUCCGACAGCAUACAUACAUACAUACAUAUAGCAGUGCACAAUACAAGCAAAGAUAGAAAGGAAUGCUUCAGCUUGUUGCUCCAAACCAAACAAGCAUUUGUAAUGCAAAGCAAUACAAGAAGAAUAACCAUGCCAAGAAAACAAACAUCAAAUCAAUGGAGGAAAAGACCCCCUCGCAAUUGUAUAACCGAGCCAAAAUCAUCACCCCCAUAAUCCUGGUGUAGUGUUCAAACACACACCACCACCAAUUCAUCAUUCAUGCAAGUGGUAAAAGGACAGAACGCACCUCCCAGCGAUCCAAACUACUCCUGAUUUGUACACCUUCAGGCAAAGAAAAGACCCCCGAACCCACCUCCUAUAUGUUCCGCACGGUGAAAAAAGAGUCUCCUGUUACUUCACCCACCUACUUGGGCGCAGCGCCACGGUAAAAAGACAGAACCCACUCAGGUUGAACCUACACUACAUGUAUUCGUUUCCACACUCUCAUCUAAGCUCUUCAGUUGUGCUCUGCCAAAACCAGGUAACUCUCAUGUUUUCUACAGCAACUAUUACCAUGUCCAACGCCCCUCCUACUUCUUCGGCGCCGCUUCAGGGCCCUGCCCAGCAGCACUGCCCUUGCUCUGACUCUUCUCCUUGUCCUUGUCCUUGUCCUUGUCACCUUUCCUCUUGGAAUGUUCGAGACGGUCCAACUGCUGCCUCUUUAACUCAGAGAGCCUCUUGGCCUUUGCUGCUGCUGCCGUCUUUGCUGCUGCUGCCGUCUCCUCUAUAUCCCUGGCGCUCUUCCCCUCCACAGGCUUCUUGGCCGUGCUCUUCCCCUCCACAGGCUUCUUGGCAGGGCUCUUGGUGGGUUCCUCGUCGGCGGGCUUCUUGUAGCUGUAGAAUGGGUUGCAGAGGUCCUUGACGCUCUGGAUAAACGUGGCGCUGGGGUCUUGGCACGGCUGCCCCUGGAUGUAGGAAAGGACACUUGCUCUUGCAUGCUCAUACCCAUCCCUGAAAGGUUCAGAGCCAUCCUGCUCCCUGAGCCGCUUGAGCUCAAAGUAGCCGAUGCGGCAGACACCAACUGCUGUAACUCCAGUGCCCACAAUCUUACCGCCCUUGAUAAGCACCUUGCGGGCCAGGUCUGGUAGCUCAAGCCAUUGGUCAAUAGCCUGUUGAACCAAGAAAACAAUCGACAUUGUCAAACAUAACAUCUUAUAUUAUGGGACGGAGGGAGUAUCAUUUUAAUUCAUACAACAAUAUGAAACAUCUAGCAACCGAUGUGGAACAAUAGCAACACAAAGCAACUUCUGGACAUGAUAACCUGUCAGAGUAUAUAUAUAACAAAACAUGUAGCUACCGUAGCAAGCAUGGCUGGCAGCCAGAGUGAAAAGACCUACUAAAGACACCCCUGGUGACGAUUCUGAAAGAGCAAUAACAUGCACAUCCCAGACCUCCGCCUCUAGCAACAAUGGCGAGUUGGAACCAACAUAGGCAUCAUGCAUGAAACACCACAUCAGGUUUAUACAACAUAGGCGUCCCCAGUCAUUUAUAUACUUGUACCUCCGUCUCAGAAUGUAAGUCGUUUCUGUAGGCUAGUUUAGCAUAGCCUACAAAAACGUCUUACGUUUUGAGAUGGAGGUACUAGUUCCCAAACAAGGCACGCCUUGACAGAAUUAAAGAGCUGCAAGUUUAACGAUGGGUCGACAAGUAUCCGGGAAAGUAGCGCUCGGCAUGGUAACUAGAGUAGAGGACCUAUCUGUGGCCCCCACUGGUAAUGAUGAACUAACAGUAAAAGUAAAGCCAGCCAGGUAAAAAAAAAGUUGCGAGCAGAAUUUGCACUCGAGGUCUGACCAAGAGGCCGGGUUUAGAGAGAACAUACCUGGAGACCCUUCUUGAUGCGCCCUGUGAUUGAAGGCCUGUUUCGAUAGCAGGGUCCUGCGGGUUCUUUUUGCACAGAUAUUGUGGUGCAGACCUGAUGAGACAAUAAAUAAAGUGAAAAAAGGAUCCUUGUCGUCAAACAAUUUAGAAUAAGUAAAGGUGCACAAUAUUAAGAGUCCCAGGUGAAUUAUCCUGGUCCUCAUCAACAUUUGUCAUCAAACUUCAUGAAUCAUCUUCGCAUUGUAUACCAAUAACAUGCGGGCACACAGCAUGGGCACCCUAACCUACCAACAUGAAAGACCCCGCAUUAGAGCACGAAGCCCUCCCGACUUUGUCAUGAGAUGUCAAAAAGGCAACAGAACUGAGGAUCUAUUUCCUCUGGUGAUUGUCAUGCAUCAAUAGACUGCCAAGCAAUGAUGAAAUGCAGGUAGAAGAAGAAGGCCUGAACCCGAUGAACCUACCCUGCCCAAACGAGGUCCCCUGCUCUGCUUGGUGACUCCUUCACCAGUUCAAAAGUGUUAUUCAAGAAUUGGGGACGAAAUGUAUUUCGCAGCAAAACAAAUAAAUCCCGUUCCUCGCCUAAGAGACCCAAUUCCGUUCCUGACGGAGACCGAGAUUUACUUCCAACCGUCCCCAGCGACCUACCCAAACCCGAUCAACCUACCAUGAAUGAUGAAAUGAGAUGAAAACCCGAUCAACCUACCAUGAAUGAUGAAAUGAGAUGAAAACCCGAUCAACCUACCAUGAAUGAAGAAAUGAGAUGAAAACCCGAUCAACCUACCAUGAACGAUGAAAUGAGAUGAAAUGCAGGUAAGAGAAGAAGGCCUGAACCCGAUGAACCUACCCUGCCCAAACGAGGUCCCCUGCUCUGCUUGGUGACUCCUUCACCAGUUCAAAAGUUUUAUUCAAGAAUGGGGACGAAAUGUAUUUCGCAGCAAAACAAAUAAAUCCCGUUCGUUGCCUAAGAGAUCCAAUUCGGUACGGCGUUCCUAAGGGAGGCAGCAGGGAAGCCCAACAAAGUUACGAUCCAGCCUAAUUUAUGGGGGAUUCGGUACUCCGUCACCACAGAUCCAGCACAAGAACAUCGCUACCUGUAGGAAACAAAAUCGAUUCGUCGUCAUCAACACGAACCAACGACAUGUGUGCACACAAUUUCUUCCCGCCGUUGCAUCAAUCAACCAAGAAAGGAAAAAAAAAACAAUCGUCCCGUCCCCAGCUUCGUCGUUCCUCACGGCACGGGAUUCAACUAGAGAAGGCGUAGCCCGGGUGUUUGAUUCCACCCGGAACAGUGGCGGUUUUCCCCACGGGAGAGAGAGAGAGAGAGCUAGCCGCGAGAGGCGGAGGAAUUUGCAUUUCGCAGCAAGAAUAAAUAAAUAAAUCCCGUCCCGUUGCUCGCCUAAAAGACCCAAUUCCGUUCCUCGCGGAGGAAGCACAAGGCUGCGAUCCAGCCCCUAACUAUCGCGGAUUUGGUCAUCCAACAUCACAGAUUGGUUGAGAUGGAGCUACAGAAAGAAGAUGUACCCCUGUAAUUGGUGAGUAGAACACCCGGUACGGCAUCGGCUUCUCCCAGGGGAGCCGAAGCCUGCCGUCGGCCCGCGCGGCCCGGAACCUGUGAGCGAGCUCCCGGAGCUUGUCCGCCAUCGGGCCUCUCCUCGCCGGUCGCGCCUCCGCUCCGCUAGCUAGGGUUUGGUAGGGUGGAGAAUGCGGAGGGGAAGGGAAGGGAAGGAAGCGGGUGGGGGUUGGGGUUUGGGUUUGGGUGAGUGUGGCGGGGUGGGGUGGGCGUUUUCUCUCUUCCUUCCCUCCGCCCGCCGCGACCGCGAGGCCACCAGAGAGAGAGAGACACACACACAGCCGGAGGGGGCCGGGCUGGGCUGCACGGGCCACGUUCGACGGGCCUGGCAACUUUCGUGCUUCAGUUUUUUCUUUUCUUGGCUCGCCUUGGGAGUGGCCGCGCCACCACAUCUUGUGGCUGUGCCGCCACCUCUUCUGGCUGCCUGGUAUUCAAAUCAUGUUAAAUUUUCAUGGCAUUCAAAUAACUUUUAUUUUUUGCACUUUUUAUUUCGCCACAUGAACAGUACUCGUGCCACCGCCUGUAAAUUUCGUGCCCCGCCAAGGGCAUUUUAGUAAUUUCACAUGCAGGCAUAUAAAUGAGAACCGCUGCCGUGGAGAAACCCUAGUCGUCGCCCGCCCGACCUAACCCGCGUCCCCCCGCCUACCCAACCUCCCUCCCUGCUCGUCCACGCGCGCGCUCGCCUCCGGCCACCUCCGCCGCCAGCCCUCCUCUCCAUGUCCCUCCUCCACGCGCCCAGCGCCCGCGCGCUUGCCUCCCGCACCAACCGCAGCCGCUCCGUCGGGGCUCCCUGCUGCCAUGGCCUAGCGCACCCUCGCCAUCGACCUCCCCGACACUUGAGGUGCGGCAGCGGGGGAGCCAGUUCUCGACCUCCAUGGAGGAGAAGGGCCCAGCGGGCUCUUGCAGACAAGAGAGGCUGGCGGUGCUCAUCGAUUAGGCAAAUGGAGGGCAUCCGAGUUUCUUCAAUUGAUCCGGCCAAGGCCACGGUAGCGUACGCGAAGGCUAGAGGUAAACGGCCCUCUGGAGCUACAGAUGUCGACAGGUAGCAGCCGUGCCCCUCCUCCUCGCCUUCUCUGCUCCCCUCCUCCUCUCCAAUCUAGGUUGCGCAUUUGCGUCCUGGGCAUCUUCCUCUCCCAGUUUUUACUCCUUUGAUUUCUCGAUUAUCGGAUCAUCUAAUUCAAUUCCUCAAUUUCUGGUUACUUGUGAUGAGUAGAAGAAGAAUUUUGACGAAGGAUUUGAUAAAGAAGAACAGGUGAAUUCUCUCUCUCUCUCUCUUGAAUAUAGUCAGGUUUGUUCCUGCAUUUUGAUGUUUAUUUAUUUUUGUGUAAUAGAGAACAUGUCAUGAUUUUGUACUCCUAUUACCUACUGACAAAAGCUACAUUUGUAAAUGAAGGCCUCAGAAGUGUUUGUUUUUACCUUGUGGUCUGAUAGAUCAGUACAUGGUGUUAGUCAUAUGAACAGAAGAUGUUGGUCAUGCCUCUGUAUGAGCUAGCUGUAAUGAUAUUUUUCAUCGAAUAUGAGGAUUCGUGUUCAUCUUUGAUAUGGUUGUUAUCACCACGAUAAAGUAUACUAGACCAUGAAGGCGCGCGUUGUUGCGCCCGUCCAUAUUUGAUGUAAUAAAAGAGAUUGUUCUGAAAAGAUAUGUUUGUUUCGAAAAAAUUCCAUAGUAUGUUAUAAAAAUGAUAAGUGUGAUGGUAGUUGAUUUUAGUUUGUAUAUCAUGGUUUUUAAUUUUGUCAAAAUUCCCUUCAAUUUGGUUCCUAAAUAGCCUUUUUCUGAAAUAUUUGUGUCUGCGAAUAAAUAUUUUGGUAAAUUUGUUUUUUUUGUACACAGGUGAGUAUUAUUUGUAGAUUGAAAGAACCGAUAGAUAUAUUUUAUGGGCUUUGAUAACGGACCUUAAAAAAGUCAUUUGGAUGGGUUUACAACGAAUGAUGAUGCUUUAUACUAUAAAUAAGUGCCAACUCGGUGGUUGGUGUGAUUUGUCAGUCUUUAAUACAUAGAUAUAAAAUCCUAUUAUGUAGUUUUAUUAAAGAUGAAUGCAAAAGGUUGUCCUAACCGUAACUAAUAAUUUUGGAUGAAAUUCUUAAGAAGAUUGAUGGAAGAAGAGCAGAGUAUAGUUGCUGGUUGCAUGAAGGUCAUUAUCAGUGCAUCGUACAUACUGUUAUUAGCACAAAAGAAGAAAACAUGUCUGGUAGACUUGUGCAGGCCGUUGGGCAGAUGGCAAACACUGAAGUGGAUGCUAAGGAAGACAACCACAGGUUUUCUUAUUCAGGCAAACAUUAAUCUUUUGAUCUGCGAAGGCACGAAGAUGCUUGUUCUCUUCCUUUUUUUUGAAUCUUAUGUCUUCAAGUGGCAUUCUGUUCCGGGGCACCCAUGUUCAGUUUCUUCUGGGUAGCAGACUUCUUCCCAUCUGUUGAUGUCCUGCAGUUGGCACGUGAAGUGUGAGUUCAAGUCAUUUUGCAGAUGUUACAUCAAUCAGUAAUGUGAUGAAUUGGCAGCUGGGGAACAAACCUCUUGGUAGAAUUUCUCUUUCCCUUGGUUCCACUAUCUUUAGUAGUUUCUGGGGAUUAAUGAGGGGCAUUUGUGCCUCAGGAGUCUAACAGUUAAGAGGAGAAUAUUGUAAGGUACAACAUGGAAAGCCGAGGACGAUACUAUAUAGGAUAAAAUUUAGAUACCAUGGUUAGAGGUGGAGAUAUGUCUGUUGUGGCAGCUCGGGAGUGGACUGAGAUUUCGUCAGUUUGAAUGGGGUUGGAGUUUUCGCCAGUUUCCGGUUUAUUCUAUUUUACAAGUAGACAUAUGAGGCAAAUACCAAUGGUAAGAUAACAGCGUGAGAAGAAAACUGAAGGAAUACUGACCAGCUUGUUGUUUUCUUUGCGACUCAUGCAGAAUGUUCUUCUGUAAUAUCCUGCUUAAUUAGAUCAAGAAAUUAUGAUAGUGAAUGACAUGUAUGAUAAUCUAAAUACUUGCAGUACAAAGGAAUAUUUACCUUGAGGGUUGGUACUGAUGAUUGGCUAUAUGCUUUUGUUUGAACCAGGAGACAGUUGGUUGAACUCAAAGACAUUUGAUUUUUGGGGGACUGCUAUCAUGCUAUUGACCUAGAAGGGUAGCUCCCCAAAAUGAAGGCUUUUCUCAUUAACGCGAAACCUAUGCUGGAUAUCAUCAGUCAUGUAAGAGUAGUAUUUGUUAUGAAAUGCACGCUCAUCCUCUACACUGCAAUGCAAAAUGAUUGUAAUGAAAAGAUACCUAAGCUGAUGCCUUAUCAAAUGCAGUGUACCAUUCUGUAUCAUCACCUAAUAACCCCCGAGCCGCAAGCUUCUUUAGACAUACUGUAUGUGAUAUUAUUGAGGUAAGCAAAUCCGCAAAGCUACAUGACAAUCAAAAGCAUCCUAAGAUAGUAACGCUCACCAGCAGAUGGAUGGACAUAGUAUACACGGCCUAUUUUUUCACCAGUUUCGCACCUUUUUUUUCCAGAAUUUGUCAGUCCGUUCCAAUAUCCAUUCACUUGGGAAAUUGCGAUAUGUCAAUUGUUGAGCUUCUGGAAACUUUUGGUUUGCAAUAAACCAUUCACUAAGCAUAGUUUUCUUAAACUUUUCAGCAUUAGAUACAAUAGUUUCAAGAUUUUCUUUUGAUUUGUAAGUAAUAGUAAUCAUGUCAAGUAAAUGGAUGUCUAAUCUUUCAACUGUUGGCAUUUUACAGUGUAGGGGAAAUUCAUACAAGCACCACAAGGAAUCAUGAGGGACCAAAUGCCUGCAGUCUAAAUAUUCUUGUAUGGCAGUAUAGAAGAUGAUUAUCAAGGUAAGGAAAAUGCCGUAAAGCAGCACACGUGGAGGUGAAUUAACAUACCCUUUUUGGCCGUCUAAUUGAAUUGUGCAUAUUAAGUGGGUCGUUAAUCCUUUCCCGCUUACAUUGGGGCAGGACUCUACUUGAUCCGCUAGCGCAACGUGGCUGGCGCACAUCGCUUCCAUGGUCUUGUAAUCGAGAACGUUUCGGCAUUUUUAUUCUACUUAGGUUCAGCACGUGUCACUAACAGAUUAUACAAAAUCUGAAACCAAGAGAAGGAAAGUAAAGAGAGAAAAUGGAUGUGGCUGGUUGGAAUGAAAAUCAAACAAAUCACAUAGAAUUAACAACUAACAAAGAAAAACAUAGUAGAUGAUGAUAAGGCAACAGUAUGUAAGAACAGAGUCAGCUGUGGAGCCUGUCCAGAAGCCAUGCUUGCAAUUGGGUGUAACCAACACAGCCACGAGCUAUUCCAACACGGAAAUCCCAAUGAAUGAGCACUGCGAACCUGCAACGAAGGAGGGAAAUUCCAAAUUAGAACCUGCAAAAAAAAUGUAGGAGAAUUAGAAGGAGUAAGAUGAAUAGACAGCAAGAACAGACCUAGGCAACAGGCAUGGUGAAGAGACGACACAGAUGGCAGGAAAAAAGGGAUCCUGCAAGGCAUAAUAUAGAAGGAAGAACGGGAGAUUGGGGUAACGCACGAACACCAAAUUAAUCACCAUCAUCACCCCUGAGGUUAACUACCAUCAUCACCAUUAUGUCAGGAGGCGGACAGUGGACCUUUGAGGCAGCAGUUCCAGCUUCAGUUACGGAAGGGUAAGGGGCGUGAGGUAGAGCUGCAAGGCAUGGAGGACGAUGUAGUACGAGGACAGCCGGCGGUGGAAGCCGAUGGGGCGGGCGGAUGCCGCAGCCGCCAUAGACGGACGCUGCAAGACAGGAAGUUUUAAAACAGCAAGAAAGGGUCUAAGGAAGAAGUUUAGAACGGGUGGACCGUACCGUCGCGGGGGCGGUCACGCACGCCCACAGCAGAUCACCGGCGCACAUCGAGAGGAGGAAGGAAGGGCGGCAGGGAGGAACAGAGGAGCUGUCGUUCCGGGUGGGAUACAACCAAAACCUGGGCUACUUGGGCUGUUACCGUACAAGAGGGAAUAACUGGGCCUUCAUGGCCCAAUUACUGACAGCAAACAGGAGGUCGCUCCGCGGAGCAGCGGCCCGCGAGACGGUACGUGACAUGCGCGGGCGACCAGGAACGCCCGACUUCGAUCUGUAUCGCACGUUUAGGGAUCCGACGGCUGCGACAGUCAAAUCGCUGUGGUGGCUCGUAGCUAGCUGUGUUAUACUGUUUUUUAUUAAUGGAAAUCCAGGCUUGCAGAUUAAUAUAACUUCAGAUGCUUGGUUUUGGGAAGGUGAUAGAAACCUGUGGUUGUGCUUAAGAUUUUGUUCUUUAUUGUUUCCCUAAAUUUUGGUGUUUCUUGGUGAACCCUGGGCAGGCGGCAUUUUGGUCUCCUACUAAAGCUCCUCGCCGGCUUGGCCACUCUCCCCUCCAAUUGCAGGUACUCCCCGGCUCCUCUCCGUGGCCUCUCUCUACCCCUGACCUAUCUCUCUUCCCGCCCUUCUCUGUACCAGUAUGUGAUGCAUAAACUCCUGACUUUAAUUCCUACUUUGGAAUGAUGAUCAGAAAAUGCAACUAGGGUCUGAGUUCUGAAAUGACAUGUUGUCCAUGUUCUUGGCAUCUUGCAUGCUGAGACAAAAUAUUGGCAAGCAUUACCAUUAUGAUCCUCCAUCGAUCAUCAUGGUAGAAGGAAAACGUAUUAGACAUGGUAUUUUCAAGCUAAGUAUACCAGCAACCGAUGCUGGACCUCGUGAUGCAUAUAGUUUGCAUAUUUCUAUUCAUCCAAUUCCUUCAUCCAUUUUUCCUUAUUUUUCUGUUCGCUCAUUAUUUCUAGCAUAUUCCUAUCAGUAUUUUUCAGCUGAAGGAUAUAUGCUCUGAUUACCAAACGAAUGUGCAGGCAACGCCCAUUUGAUUUCCCUGGACAAAUAUCCUUUUUUGAGCUUAUUAUUCACAAUUUAUAGUAAUAUGCUAUUAUGGGCUUUGCUCCAGCAUGAUAAGGAGGAAAGAACUGCAGGGUAUAUUGUUCGUUGACAUUCAUGAUCAGUUACACACCAAGCCUAUAUUUUUGCUGCUUCUACAUGUUGCUAUGAUGGUCAUUCAGCCCAUUUUCUUAUCGCAUGACCUUGAAAAAGAGCUUAUUUAGUUAAUGAUUUUCACUUACUAAAAUUCAGAGAGCUCUUGCUGGGUACGGAGCUGUUGAUUACUCAAAACCUGUUGAUGUAUUAGUUUGUUUUUAGAGAUCUCUUGGUUUGGCAUACUGGCGCUUUCGCUGAACUUGACAAAGUAGCUUCACAACACAAUGUGUAGUUCAGUGUAGAGUUUUGUAUGAAAUCGUGAAAGCAUUUUGUAUUCCUUAUUUUUUUCUUUUCAUACGAUGUUAUGAAAUUGGUUACUAAUUUGCAAGACAUAUGCAUUUUUCAUUAAAAAAACUUGGGAAGUGUCAUGGNNNNNNNNNNNNNNNNNNNNNNNNNNNNNNNNNNNNNNNNNNNNNNNNNNNNNNNNNNNNNNNNNNNNNNNNNNNNNNNNNNNNNNNNNNNNNNNNNNNNNNNNNNNNNNNNNNNNNNNNNNNNNNNNNNNNNNNNNNNNNNNNNNNNNNNNNNNNNNNNNNNNNNNNNNNNNNNNNNNNNNNNNNNNNNNNNNNNNNNNNNNNNNNNNNNNNNNNUUAUUUUGGUGUGCAAGAGAGUAGUUAGUUAGAAGCUUACGUUCUUUAUGUUUCUGGAUUUGGUGCAGGUUCGAGGAUGUAAACCUACCUGAUAUAUUCUUCAUGGGGAUUGAGUAUUUCAGUGAUAUAUCUGAGAAUUUUAAAGAUCUAUCUGCUAGCAGGUACUGUACUCACCAUAAUUGUGUGUGUGUGUGUGUGCUCCAGCUCAUUCAGUUGCAUGUCAAUUUGCUAACAAACCUCCUACGGCUAUAGAUUUCUUUGUAUAGUACAUACAUAUUAUUGACUUUUUUUUUCCGAAAUCUUAUUCCUUUUUGUUAAGCUGCAGGCGGAGUUCAGACUCUGCUUUUGCUACAAAAGAAUCAGGUAUUGCUAUGUCCUAAACAGCGUGUGUCAUAUAUUUUAUAAAGAAGGUCGUGUAAUAUUUUGCUUAGGUUCUUUCAAAUAUUUGGAGUUCACAUGCAUAUGUUGCUUGUGUGUGCACACAUUGUUAGCAGAACAAUUUUUCAUGGUGUUUAGUAUGAGCGGCAUUUACUAUCUAGAAUGUCCUGAUGCUGGCUGGGCUUCCUUAUUUUUAUUUUAGAGAGGAGCUUGGCUUCUUUUUUAUGAUGCAGUUAUGAUACCAUAUGAUUGUUAAGUUCCAUUCACACUUCUUUGAUGCUUUUGUGCUUUUGAUUUGGUGUGGAUUAUUUAGAACAUGAUCACUGGUGUUGUUUGUAUUCAACCAGUCUUUUCUUUUCGUAGUUGCAGUAGUUUUUCUAUAUCAACUGCGUCCUCUUAUUAGUGACUUGAAGUUAGAGGAGAAGGUUUGAUUUUAUUUUCUUAGGUUUUGAAUUCCUUAAUUUACCAAGGCCAGCAAAACUGCUGCACCAGAAGAGCAUGUGCUCCAGUCUGACAAAGCAGCCAAGGGCCUAUCUCCUUUUACCCUUCAAUUUAAUUGUCUGUAUAUAUACAUCUUUGCUUCCUGAUCCAUUUUAUUUUGCGACUUAGGCCACCCCUGAUGCCCAGGCUGAUGCUUCUUCGCUUGAUGCUGAAGAAAGGGAUGACCAGAUUCAGAUGCCCAAGAAAAAGCAGGUUCCGCAUCUUCUCUUAUAUCUUUAUCUAUGUACUUAACUUCGCUUGAUGCAGGCGCGUGUCUGGUGUCCCUGCUAAAAACCGACAAUUACCUAAGAAUUUGCAACAGUUAAACCCUGAAUUUGCAGCGGUUAAAACCUGAAGCUACUUCUACUUUUCCUAUGAAGGAUCACAACUACACUGAAUACAGCAAACCUGUUCCCAUAUCGUGUGGAAAACUACUUCAUUCUUCUCUAUGUGUUUUCUGAUGCAUUUUUGGUAGUGGGAGUGGGAUAUGGAGAGGGAGAGAGAGCAUAUCCAAAUGGAAUGGAUGGGAACAUGAUAUUUGCAGAUCUGAGAAAGAAGAGAUAGGACCAAGAAAAAUAGGUUUCUCCAUCCUGUUAAGUUUCCUUGCUUGUUUAGCAUUUGGUGAAAAAUUUAUGGGCCAGUGCAUUGGCGCGGCCAGCCUACCUGUGUACAGAAUCUAUGCUUAAAUUUUGUAAAAAAUAGUGCUUUCUUGCUUACGGUUCUUGUGAUGGUUUGUGCUGAAAAAUCUAUGAGCUGAUGCAUUUGUGCAAUCAGCCUGCCUGUGUGCAGAAUCUUUGUUUAGAUUUUGUCAAAAAGUUGCUUUUCUGACUAUUUUUCUCAUGGUGGUUUAAUCCCAUAGAUAAAUUGUGUGUGUGUGUGUGUGUGUCUAUGAUUGUUGUGUCCGGUUUCUAUCUAUGCAAUUAUCCGAUGCAUGUCUAUGUAGUUAUUUGGAGUAUACUUACUUACAUAUGGGUUAGAGCAGCAGAAUCAAAACCGAAAAUUGUGAUGCUAGAAUUGGUUCAAUGUUGUUUCCCUCCUGUGGUAGUGACAUAUUUUGUAACAUUCUAUUCAAAACUAGGCGGGGACGUCUCUUGGUAUGGAAACUUUAUUUUGUACCACUUGCAUUAUGAACUGUAUAACUCCUUUUCUUUUGUAUAUAUUACCAGUAUAUUUUCAGCUUGCACAUAACUGUUGAUUGUCAAAGUAAGAAAUAAAUUAGCAAUAACUGCCAUGAGUUUGAAUUUCCCAUUACAUGUCCAGAGUUUUGGAAUUUUACCUAACCUUGGAUAGUUUCCUUAUAUCUCCUUUUCUUUCAUGUGUGUGUAUAUAUAAAAUGCUUAGUUCUUAUUAUUUCACAUGUUUAAGAGAUAAAGGCACAUCCAGGGAAAGGUUUUGAUGUAAUUAUAUGUACAUUUAUUUAUGAUGGUUCUUCCAACAUGAUCAUGUCAGAAGAAUUUUUCCUUGUUUUGUUAUGUUUCACACUAUUGUCCAAAUGGAUGUGCCUUAUUUUCCUAAUUAUCUUAUACCCUUAUGCCCAACGCUUCUCACCAAGAUCCGUAAGUGUGACCGAUGAACCAUGUUACAAAGGAAGUAGUCUGACAUCCGUUGAGUAAUUUAACCAUGCAAUUUAUGUUAUGAACAAGUUUUAAAAAUAGUCUUGGUGAAAAGUGUUGUUCUAUAAAUAGCUUUCUUCCAAUUUUUAGUUUUGCUGAUUUUUAAUGUGUCAGUUUUGAUCGAAAUUUUAGUUUGGUUGACGCCACCUUCUGUUCAUUCCUUUUGUAUACUUAACUGAAAGCAGAACUUGUUAAGCGAGGAUUGGCUACCGUGGUCUUAUUUGGGCUCUCAGUAGUGAGUACCUAAACUGAUGCAAUAACAACUUAUUGCAUUUCUAUAAUCCGAUCUGAGCUUAGUGUUUUGCCAGUUUGCAUGUAAAUGCGGUAAAAGAUCUCACUUUAUGAUAUUUGGUAUAUACAAUAUGCUUCAAGUGCAAUAAUAUACAAGUGGAUUUGAGGACCAAAUGGAGUGAAAGGAAGGCAUGAUUAAAUUUGCAUGCACUUUCUAUUGUUACAGAUCCAACCUAGGUUUGAUAUUGAUCUUGCCUCACGUCAUGCUAAUCUCUCUUGUAUAACAAGACAUACUUAUUCGAUGAUUUGGCUCCUCUUUACUAAUUUAUUAUUGUUUUUUGCUCAUCUAUAUAGGUUAUGAUAUGUCAUUGCUCAGCUUAUGAAAGGAACUGAUGACUAGGGUACCAUAGCAACAAACUGGACAGAGUUCUUCCAUUUGAAAAACAGAGGAAAGAUACAUGCUUUCCGUCUUCAGACGCAAGGCAAAGAGCGUCCGUCUAAUCAUUCACUCCUGAGGACACCAUCGUAAACCUUUAGUGUCGCCUUGCAUUCCAAAAUUCAUGUUUACAGUGCUUUUGUGCCAUGUGUGGUAUGCUCCACAUUGGUUUGUCUUUCCUUGUGUUACCUCUUAGUAUAGGUAUUAUGGAUCGUCAGUCUGACUGUAAGUAUCAAUGAAGAUAAGCUUAUCUUUCAUUCUCUUUCAGUCGAAUUAAGGUGCUUACAUAUGCCCUACAAUACCUACAUAAUACAUGCUCCUAAUUGGCUUCUUGCGCCAUUGGUGUUACAAGAGUAAAGGUUUAUCUAAUGAGGCCUUGUCGCGGCGCUGCAAGUGUUGCCCCCUCCUCCCCAAGGACAAGGUGAAGGAAGGUGCCUGUGUGGUUCUUCUGCAGCUCGCAGUGAGGAUUGCUGUGUCCAACCUGCACAAGAAUGCCAAGAAGUCCUUCUCGGAGACGUAAGCCACGGUGCAUGUUUCUGUCAUGAUUUCCUUCGGUUGGAUUUCGUGGAUUUAGGUGUUAAAAAUUAUGGGUUGUGGAUGCAGAAUUAAGGACAUGUACCUGCACUACAACGAGAGAUCUGGACUGCUUCUUUGUGGCUUCCAAACUUGAAAUAUUUGUUUGGAAGUUAGUUUAGUUUUCUGUUGUGGAUUCGCAGCUUCUCACAUGUACCGUCCUCUUAGACCUUUAGAUUUCCAAAGAAACUAAAGGAAGAUAUGGUGGUAUGUUCUUAAUAGUACAGCUUAAAGCCUUCCAUGCUUUUUAUUUUCUCUGAAAUUUUCUCUUGAAGAAUCAUGUAUCUAUGUUAGAUCCGGUGAGAAAAGACGGCUUCCAAGCAGAGGAUGCGUGAGUGUUGGCCACAUUUGGUUUUCGACUUGGGUGUCUAAAUAUUCUCACAAUACUUGGCUCCAUCUCGACCUUUGCACAAUUGGCGCAACGAGCCAUCUAGUACCCGUAAACACUAGGUGGGGCGUCCUCUUCAAUGAAUGCAUGCCGCUUCAUGGAAGAAAAUCUAGGCAACUCCCACGCAACUUAUGAUCUUCAUUAAAUAUAAUGGGUACAUUAAGAUGUGCAGCAUAAACACCACCAUAAAUAUCACCGCUAGUUACAUUCUUGCUCAAACGGCAUGUAACAAUGGCUCAAAUAUUAUAAGGCUGGUCAUAGUGGGGAGUAACUUAGACUAGUGUCAUGCAUAUGACACUAGUCUAAGUUACUACCUUCAUAAUGCAAAAUAACAUAAUAGUAGUAUCAUAGAUGGCUUCAUUUAUUAUCUCGUAGACUCAUCUUGUCUUGGAAAGUGCUAUGUUACAGUAACAUAUUAUGUUACUAUAUUUAAUUAAUUAUUUGCCACAUAAGUAGAAUUUUCUUGAAGUGCGCUAUGUUACUAGCUAAGUUACUCCCACUAUGACCAGCCUAAGUAUUAGUGUGGGGAUUAUACUGUGGGCACUUAUCUGCAAGAAAGCGAACAGACCUUCUCUUUCCACGAAUUGAUCAAACCCCAAUUUAAUACCUGCUAUUUCUAUAAAGGUCUCACAUGGCCAUUGACAGUGUCGAGUAUCAGCUCUUCGAGUAAAAUGUUGUAUCCUAGUUCAUGAUAGACGGUUCUUGUGGUAAUGUGACUUGAGGAACCUCUAGAAAAUAAUAUCUUCAUUCUCUCCAUUUUCUGAAAAACAAAUUAGCAACUCAUAAAAAGUGAACAAAACUUAAUAUAUUUGAUAGCAACUACUCCCACAAGGUUCUGGUGCCUAAACCAUGCAUCGAAACUACAUAGAACCAAAUAAAUUUGACAUGCAAGCUCAUUUUCAUGGUCACCUACAAUAGCAAAAUAAGCAUGGUAUAAAACACUAGAGGGAAACCUAAUUGGAUCAAUGGAGGAGUUACAUACCAAGGAGCAAUCCCUCCAAAAAGUUUCAAGAACGGAGCUAUGAGCAAAGGGAUCAAAAACUGUUCAUAGACCAACAAAAACACGAGUUGGGGAGUAAGAAGAAAACAUUCUGGAGGAAGAAGACAGGGGCCACAGGCACUAAAUGAGUGGGUGCCCGUGGACCCUACAAGUUCGCAUGGCGCGUCAUGGGAGUUGCCAGGCCACCACCUCUUUGUGGCCCUUGUGAUGCAUAGAGCUUUCCCCCUCUAGUUCUGCCAUUCUACAGUAUAGUCCACUGAUAUACCCCAUUUCUUUGAUACCGAUGCAUAUGUAGUAUAGAUAUGACGUAAGUCUUGCGAGUACUUUGGACGAGUACUCACCAUUGCUUUGCACCCCUUCUCUUCUACCCAGUUGCUGCGAUCAAGUGAUGGAGUCCAGGAGCCUAAGGAUCCCGAGGAUGAUUCUACGUGGAGUUCGACUUCGACGAUUAAUUCGGAGGUCCCAGGCAGGAGGCCUUGUGUCGGUGUCAAAACCGGCGGAUCUCGGGUAGGGGGUCCCGAACUGUGCGUCUAGGCGGAUGGUAACAGGAGACAAGGGACACGAUGUUUUUACCUAGGUUCGGGCCCUCUCGAUGGAGGUAAAACCCUACUCCUGCUUGAUUAAUAUUGAUGAUAUGGGUAGUACAAGAGUUGAUCUACCACGAGAUCAGAUAGGCUAAACCCUAGAAGCUAGCCUAUGGUAUGAUUGUUGUUCGUCCUAUGGACUAAAACUCUCCGGUUUAUAUACACACCGGAGAGGGCUAGGAUUACACAGAGUCGGUUACAAUGGGAGGAGAUCUUCAUAUCGAAUCGCCAAGCUUGCCUUCCACGCCAAGGAAAGUCCUAUCCGGACACGGGACGAAGUCUUCAAUCUUGUAUCUUCAUAGUCUCGGAGUCCGGCCAAAGGUCAUAGUCCGGCCAUCCGGACACCCCCUAAUCCAGGACUCCCUCAGUAGCCCCUGAACCAGGCUUCAAUGACGACGAGUCCGGCGCGCAAAUUGUCUUCGGCAUUGCAAGGCGGGUUCCUCCUCCGAAUAUUUCAUAGAAGAUGUUGAGCACAAGGAUAGUGUCCGGCUCUGCAAAAUAAGUUCCACAUACCACCGUAGAGAGAAUAAUAUCUGAACAAAUCUAAUCUGCUGACGUAUUCCGCAGCGUGACAUCAUGCCACGACCAAGCCUUUAUUCGAAUCAUUUUACUGUUCCACCUCAGCGCGUUUAGCGAGGCGGUUUCCUUGGCACGUCUUGUCAAAGCAGAGAUCGUGUCCCCUUAUUCCGAGAUUCUCAUCAAUACGGGCGUGGGUAACCCAACCGCGCCAUUAACCGCGGCGCUUGGGAGAUAAGCGAGUUUUAUUAGGCUAGUGGGGGCUUAUAGUUUCGACUGCCCAUAUAAGGGGAUAAGGAUCCACCAUUUCCAUUUACGCCUUCUUCCUCCUUUGCUUAUCCAUCCCUUCGCACUCGAGCUCCAGCGCCCAAGUCCGCACUUCCCACCUCAACCUUUCUCCAAUCAUGUCUGGUGCGGGAGGUAGAUGGAUGGCCUCCUCCGUCACGGAGGGGCAAAUCAAAAAGUUGAGGAAGGCCGGAUACUUGUCUGACGACAUCGUGCACCGGCUUCCAGAUGAGGGGCAACUCAUCCCCACCCCUGGGCCCCAUGAGAGGGUCGUGUUUCUCCCCCAUUUCCUCCGCGGACUGGGCUUUCGUCUUCACCCGUUCGUCCGGGGGCUCAUGUUCUACUACGGCCUGGACUUCCACGAUCUGGCCCCGAACUUCAUCCUCAACAUCUCAGCGUUCAUCGUCGUGUGUGAGGCCUUCCUUCGCAUCCAGCCUCACUUUGGCCUAUGGCUGAAGAUCUUCAGUGUCAAGCCGAAGGUCGUGGGCGACCGUCAAGCGGAGUGCGGAGGCUCCAUGGUGGGCAAGAUAGCCAACGUUACAUGGCUUGAGGGCGCCUUCGUAGAGACCAUGAAAGGGUGGCAGUCGGGGUGGUUCUAUAUCACCGACCGCGUGACCCUGAAUGGGCAGCGGCCCCCGAAUUUCGAUCUGGCAUCCCCACUCGGCUCACAUCUUGGAAGGAGAUGGGCCUGUUGUGGGGUAGUCCAUAAGAGGUGACCGGACUCCAAACCUGCGUCCGAGACCUAGUGAACAAGGAGGUUAAGCUUGUCAACAUAGUCCAGGUCAUGCUCUUCCGCCGGAUCCUUCUGUGUCAAUGACGGGCCUUCAACUUGUGGGAGUUCGACCCGGCCCAGCACCAGACUCUGUCCCGGCUCUUCGACACAAAGCACGAGGAUGCUUGGAAGGUGCUAUUCAAGAGCUCCGAGGUCUCCCCACCCGUCACCGAGGAUCGCGGAUUCUGCGCCAAGCGCCAAGCCACCGAAGUAAGCUCGCUUUUAGUCCUUCACGGGACACUUGAUUUUCAUAGUUUGAUUCCAUGUAGGAUCUAAACUCCUGCUCCUUUGACAGGACUGGAAGAGGACAUCCGGACAGUUUGACUGUCCGGCCCCUUUGCCCGAAGGCCCAGCAGACGCACACUUGACGAAGCUACUGGUCCCGACACCUCACGUGGUACCGGAGAAUAAGGCCAAGAAGAAGGCCACAGGGACUCGAAAGAGUUCCCGGCGCCUGGUGGUGUCGGAUUCAUCGCCUGGCAACCCCGAAGCACCCUCCGCCUCUGAGGACGAGGAGGAGAAAGAAGAAGAAGCCUCUCCCCUUCAGCGGGGGGAGGAAAAAAAAGGAAGGCCGCCCAACUGGGGAGGCCGGAGGGUCCAAGAAGGGAAGGACCCUUCUGCCGGACUACGCCUCCGAUGCCGAAGACGGCGGGGAGGAAUGGCCAUCCAGGGUCAAGCCCCUGGCUAAAUCGUAAGUAUCCGGAUACCAGAAUAACUUAUGGCGCUCCUCUAAUGUAUGGUACCUUUUGACGCCGAAUUCAAUCAUGAAGUCCGCCCAAGGCUCAGCUCGGUGAUUCGUCGAGCGGCUCCCUGGAUUCGUCGGAUGUGAAUAGCGCUUCGCUUCCGACGGCCUCCUCCCCUCUCCCUACGGACGACGUCGAGGUGGAGUCCCAAAAGGGACUAAACCAGGAGGAGGUGGUCCUGGAGGCGCCGCAAGGCGACCUCCCGGACUCCAGGCCCAAAGGGAGUAAAGCCCCAGAGGGAUCUAAGUCUGGCCCUGGGCCGGACACCGCUCCGGGACCAUCAACAGUUCCAGAGUCCGGUAGGCGGCGCCUUCGCAAGAAAGGCACGCCUGCGACGCCGGCGGCCUCUGUCCAACCGGAGACGCCGGACAAUUUGCUGGAGGUGCUUAACGGCGCCUCCAUCAACGAGGAGCACCGCACUGUUAUGAGUGCGGUGAUUCAGAAGGUUCAGUCCGCCAAGAGCGGGCUGACAGAAGCCUGUACCAGCCUACUAAUAGGCUUCGAGGUAUGUAUUCAAAACAUAUAAAAAUGUUACCGCAUAGACAAUAGCCCCUGAUGCUCAGUUCGGUGUUCGAAAGAAAAGCCGGACUAAGGAUCUAAAAAGAUAUACGCAGGAGCCUAACAUAAAUAUGUCAAUAUGGGAAUGCAGGCUGCGCUGCUAACCUCUGUCGCACUGACUGCGGAGGUCGACGCAUUGAAGCAGAACCUCGAGCGGUCCGAGAACGAGCUCGGCCGUGCCAAGAAGCAGCUCGAGGACAAGGAGGGUAUGUAAUACCGUAUGUAAAUGUAUAUAGAAAUACCUGGUUGCAAAUAAUGACAGGACCAACGUGAAUGUUGCAGGGGCCACAACUCAGGUGGCAACCCUGAAGGAAGCGCUUUCCAAGGCCGCAGAUAAUGCGGCCAUGGAGCGCUCAGAGCGAGAGAAGCAAGUGGCGCAGGCGGCGGAGGUGCGGCAAGAGCUCGAUGCUCUUGUGAAAAAACAUGAGAGGUUAGAGCUUGACUCGAAGACUCGAGAGUCCGAUCUUGCCUCGGCACUUGAAAGCGCCAAAUCUGCCAAGGCCGAAGCACAAAAGGCCCUCCAGGAGAUUGAGGCGAUGAAAAAGAUUGCAGCGGGUAAGGCAUUCUUUAUGCAAAGCAAGCAUGUGAAAGUAAAUUACCUGUUACUUACCCGAAUCCGGAGCUCUCCAGGAGCAUUCGCAGAUCUGCCCCGUAGUGUAUCCGAUGCCGCCGCAUUCUACCGGGCCGAGGAAGGAAGCUCGGCGGAGAAAGUGUUCUGGUCCCAGUAUGCUGAGGCCGGACACCCUGUGCCCUUGAGCGACCAGCUAAAGCAGCUGGUCGAGCUUCAUAAGGUAGCCGAACAGGCCAUGAAGGGCCUGAUAGGCCGGCUGUGGCCUGGUGAGGUCUUGCCUUUGAGCUACUUUGGGCUAGUGCGGCGGCUGGUGGAUGCCUAUCCACGACUUGAAGUCAUCAAGCAUUCCGUGUGUAUCGAGGGCGCCCGUAGGGCUUUUGCCCGUGCUAAAGUGCACUGGAGCAAGCUAGAUGCUGAGAAGCUGGUGAAGGAUGGGCCACCGGAGGGGAAGGAGCAUCGCAAGCCUGAGAUGUAUUAUGAGGUCGUCCUGAAGGGUGCCCGUCUUGUGGCGGAGGAAUGUACCAUGGAUGUAAUUUUUGAGUAAACUCGCUCGUGUUUAUCCUGUGCGCUGAAAACUUGUUCAGAUGCGCUAAGCAACGCUUUUUGAAUUUAAAAUAUUACCUUCUGUGCGGCCGUUUAUGAAAUCUGAGAGAUGCAGUCGUCGGCUUCUACCCCCAUGCCAAGAGUGCUGGGGUGUUCGGGAUAAACCUGAGCGCUCUUGUUCCCAUUCUUGGGUCCAUCUAGGGAGGCGCUCAGCACAAUGAACAAGGCCAUCGGACUUAUAAUGCUUUAUCACUCUCACUUAACCGUAGAAUUCUACAAUUUUAAAUUUUGGCGAAGCCCCUAGUAUUCGGAAGACCGAGUUCGGGGCGCUAUCCACGCCUAGGCCAGAUAAAUCCGGCUCCUCGCUCUAAGCGGCAUAAGUCUUUAGGGACUCGAAAAACCUCUCGAACAGCGACCGGUCUUCCGCACUAUCAUGGCGGUCAAUUUUAGCUUUCUCUACUGAGGUGUUAACCCAGCUCAACUGGGGCACAAUCGCAGUAGUUCUCCCAGUGCUACCUUAGCCGACUUUGCGGAACGUAAGGUACCAAAACAUGGGAGCCGGGCAAACCCAACUAUUGACCCAAGACAUGAUUCGGAGCCGAUGCAUAUAGUGCUAUAAGUUCGGGGUGCCGCACUCAUGAGAGUGUUCGGUCUUCUCACACCGUAUUAUGGGGUACUUAAGCCCCUGGUGUAUUGGCCGUACCAAAGUGUACAGUUGCAUAAUGUCAUGACUGAACAUUUUUGUAUAAAAAUAAAUGAAUACAAUAAUAGAUAAGAGCUAUGUAUUGUUUAUUAAAAAGGGCUGCUAUGAAAGCAGAACGAUACAAAUAGUGCAAUAAGCAAGAGAUGGGAUCAUUUGGCAUGUCCCCCUCCAGGGGCAAGCUGCGAGACUUUAAGUAAAACAGGUAUUUAGCUCGUUAUAGAGACCACCUGGACAUUUGACGUGGCUUGUUGUCUCCCUGGCUGUUGCAUCAUGUGUUCGGCGAGUGUAUUGCCGGACAGGCCUUCCGAAUAGUUGGGUCCUGAAAGUAUAUAUAUAAAAAAGGAAACGGUAGAAUAGGGAGCCCCUAGUGCGGUUGAGCCGCAUUCUGGGCGUGCCGUGGUUGUGCCCCUCCCCUUAUGCCCAUGGUAUUUCCAGAGCGUAAUUAUGUACGCGUGGUACCACUAUCGCCAUCUGGCGAGGGCUGGGGUUGGGGCCGCACUGCUAUGCUUGCUCAGAACGUGCCAGCCGGUUUUGUUGUAGGUUACUUCGGGCGCGCUUGACGUUGUUCGGACGUUUAACAGCCGGAUUGGAGAAUUGCCUUGAGAGGCUACUUUGUACUUCCGCCGCCAGGGAUGCCGUGUGCUCCUCCGUUCGGAGAGAGCGUUCGGUGUUCCCAUUGACCGUAAUGACUCCGCGAGGGCCUGACAUCUUGAGCUUGAGAUAUGCGUAGUGCGGCACCGCAUUGAAUUUUGCGAAUGCGGUUCGUCCGAGCAGGGCGUGAUAGUUACUGCGGAAUGGGACUAUGUCGAAGAUUAACUCUUCGCUUCGGAAAUUAUCCGGGGAUCCAAAGACCACUUAGAGUGUAACUGAGCCUGUACAGCUGGCUUCUACACCUGGUAUGACGCCUUUAAAGGUCGUCUUUGUGGGUUUAAUCCUUGAGGGAUCUAUACCCAUUUUUCGCACUGUAUCCUGGUAAAGCAGGUUCAGGUUGCUGCCGCCGUCCAUGAGGACUCUGGUGAGGUGAAAUCCGUCAAUGAUUGGGUCUAGGACCAAUGCGGCGAAUCCGCCGUGACGAAUGCUAGUGGGGUGGUCCCUUCGAUCAAAGGUGAUCAGGCAGGAGGACCAUGGGUUGAACUUUGGAGCGACUGGCUCCAAUGCAUAGACGUCCUUGAGAGCAUGCUUCCGCUCCCUUUUGGGGAUAUGGGUUGCGUAUAUCAUGUUCACCGUCCACACUUGCGGGGGGAAGCCCUUCUGUCCUCUGUUGUUCGGCGGCCGGGGCUCCUCCUCGUCAUCGCUAUGCAGCCCCUUGUCUCUGUUUUCGACACUUAACUUGCCUGCCUGUUUGAACACCCAACAAUCCCUGUUGGUGUGAUUGGCUGGUUGUUCAGGGGUGCCGUGUAUCUGGCACGAGCGAUCGAGUAUCCGGUCUAAACUGGAUGGGCCCCGAGGGUUUCUUUUGAAUGGCUUCUUCCGUUGACCGGGUUUAGAGCCUCGAAAUCCAGCGUUAACUGCCGUAUCCUCGGUAUUAUCGCCGUUAAUGCGGCGCUUGUGCUUGUUACGGCGUGACCUGCCAUUGUUGUCCUUGGCAUCUGAGUUGCCAGGGCUCUUGGUUAUGUUAUUGCUGCGAACUAGCCAGCUGUCUUCUCCCGCGCAAAAGCGGGUCGUUAGCGUCGUGAGGGCUUCCAUAGAUUUCGGCUUUUCUUGUCCUAGGUGCCGGGCAAGCCAUUCGUCUCGGAUGUUAUGCCUGAAGGCUGCAAGAGCCUCUGCAUCCGGACAGUCGACUAUUUGAUUUUUCUUGGUUAGGAACCAUGUCCAGAAUUGUCUGGCCGAUUCUCUGGCUACUGGAUUAUGUGGCUUAGGUCAUCGGCGUCUGGUGGUCGCACAUAAAUGCCCUGGAAGUUGUCAAGGAAUGCGGAUUCCAGGUCCUCCCAGCAACUAAUUGACUCUGCUGGCAGGCUGUUAAGCCAAUGCCGAGCUGGUCCUUUAAGCUUGAGCGGUAGGUAUUUGAUGGCGUGUAGAUCAUCACCACGGGCCAUGUGGAUAUGAAGGAGAUAAUCCUCGAUCCAUACCGCGGGAUCUGUUGUGCCAUCGUAUGAUUCGAUGUUUACGGGUUUAAAACCCUCGUGGAUUUGAUGAUCCAUUACUUUGUCUAUGAAGCAUAGUGGGUGUGCGGCGCCCCUGUACUGGGCUAUAUCGCGAUGUAGCUCGGAUGAGCUUUGUCUGUUGUGUUCGGCCUGGCCGUAUUUAUCAUAUCCGGCGUGCCGGUUAUCGUCACGUGACGUGGGGCGCCCACGCGAUCCGUAGAUCGAUCUUGUUUGCCUUGCCUUAUCCUCCAAUAUGUCUCGCAGGUCUGUUGUGUUUCCCCGUGCUCUGGUAUUUUUGGAGCGGCGCCGGGGUGCGGCUUGAGUUGAGGGCCAAAAGGCCUCUCUGUCGCGGCCACGGGGUGGCCGAUCGGGCGCAUCAUACGCUGGUGAUGUAGGUUUAGUUGCUUCCUAUUCUAGUUGGGGUAGAAGCCUGCGUGUUGGGUAGCUCUUGGAGGGGCGUUCAAGUUUAUACUCUUCGGCCGCCAGGACUUCAGUCCAUCUAUCAGCUAGCAAGUCUUGGUCAGCUCUAAGAUGUUGCUGUUUUUCUUGAGGCUGCUUGCCGUGGCCAUAAGCCUGCGUUUGAAACGCUCUUGUUCGACGGGAUCCUCUGGCACGACAAAUUCGUCGUCGUCGAGGCUUGCCUCGUCUUCGGAGGGAGGCAUAUAAUUGUCGUCCUCGACCUCCUUGUCUGCCGCUCUCUCAUGAGGGCUGGCUUCUCCGUCCUCCUGCGCUGAAUCUUGCUAGAGGGGGUUGUCUUCGGCACUGUCCGGGGUGUUGUUGUCUCCAGUGCCAGACUCGCCGUUUUUGCUUUGGCGGGAUUUAGAGCGGCGCCGCUGACGUCGGCGCUUGGGUUGCUUCUUGGAGGGGUCAUCCUCCGUUUUUUCAUCGCCAUCCCCUGCUUUAGGGGUGUCCACCAUGUACAUGUCAUAUGACGAGGUGGCUUUCCAGUGCCCUAUAGGUGCCGGUUUUUGGUCGUCUCCUUCAUCGGCGUCCAUAUCAUCGAUGUCUUCAGAGUCGAAGUCGAGCAUGUCGGUUAGAUCGUCGACAGUGGCUACGAAGUGGGCGGUGGGUGGGUUUCAAAUUUCUUCGUUGUCCGCAUCCCAACCUUGCUGACCAUAGUCCGGCCAGGGCUCUCCUGACAAAGAGAGAGACUUUAGUGAACUCAGGAUGUCGCCAGAGGGCGAGUGCUGAAAGACGUCCGCGGCGGUGAACUCCAUGAUCGGAGCCCAAUUGGGUUCGAUCGGAAGGGGUGCGGAAGAUUCGGAGUCCGGAAAGGAGUCCGGCACCUUGGAGUCACAGGCCUCACAAAGGACUAGGCCGGUAUCCAUCUCGAUCGCCAUAGAAAUUGCGGCUCCUAGGGUGGCGUCCAACCGUCUGUCCCCGACUGGCGUGGUCGGCUCCGAGCUAGGGGUCGGAGCGGACACCUGAGCGGCGCUCUGGGCGCUGUCCGACGGCAGAGCUAGAUCAUGCCCAUCGUGACAGUGCGGCGCGCUCGCCCGUGGCUCGAAUCCGUCGAAGAUCAAGUCCCCGCGGAUGUCGGCCGUGUAGUUUAAGCUUCCAAAUCUGACCUGAUGGCCAGGGGCGUAGCUUUCGAUCUGCUCCAGAUGGCCAAGUGAGUUGGCCCGCAGUGCGAAGCCGCCGAAUACGAAGAUCUGUCCGGGGAGAAAAGUCUCACCCUGGACCGCGUCGUGGUUGAUGAUCGAAGAAGCCAUCGGGCCUAAAGGUGACGACAUAGAGGAACUCUCAAUGAAAGCACCAAUGUCGGUGUCAAAACCGGUGGAUCUCGGGUAGGGGGUCCCGAACUGUGCGUCUAGGCGGAUGGUAAUAGGAGACAAGGGACACGAUGUUUUUACCCAGGUUCGGGCCCUCUCGAUGGAGGUAAAACCCUACUCUUGCUUGAUUAAUAUUGAUGAUAUGGGUAGUACAAGAGUUGAUCUACCACGAGAUCAGAGAGGCUAAACCCCAGAAGCUAGCCUAUGGUAUGAUUGUUGUUUGUCCUACGGACUAAAACUCUCCGGUUUAUAUAGACACCGGAGAGGGCUAGGGUUACACAGAGUCGGUUACAACGGGAGGAGAUCUUCAUAUCGAAUCGCCAAGCUUGCCUUCCACGCCAAGGAAAGUCCUAUCCGGACACGGGACAAAGUCUUCAAUCUUGUAUCUUCAUAGUCUGGGAGUUUGGCCAAAGGUCAUAGUCCGGCCAUCCGGACACCCCCUAAUCCAGGACUCCCUCACCUUGCCUUUUUGAUCUAGAAUCGUUGUUUGUUUUCGCCUUCUUAAGGCACCUUUGUAUUUCUCUGUGGACAGACCUAAAUCUUGAUGUAAUAACGUGUCUUGCGCCCCUGGCUUGUUAUUUAUUGUUUCUUUGUUUAAAUUUGGGUCGUCGAGUUGUGUUGUGACAUUAUACCGUGAGUCACCGAUCUUGAUCGUGCUGAUGGGGAACAUUGUAUGAACAUAAAAAAAAUUCCUAUGAAACACCCAAGAUCCAAUCUAGGAGAUGCAUAGCUAUGAGUGAGGAGUGCGUAUACAUACCCUUGUAGACCGAAAGUGUUAGCGUCGUAACACAGUUGAUGUAGUCGUACUCUUCAUGAUCCAAUCACGAUCCAAUCUGAUCUAGUGCCGAAUGGAUGACACCUCCGAGUUUAGCACAUGUAUGACUCAGUGGCGUCCUCUCCUUGAUCUAGCAAGCGAGGGAGAGGAGGCAGAUGAGAUCGGAACCAACACAACGGCGUGGUGGUGGUGGCGGCAGUGGAAUUCCGGUAGGGCUUCGCCAAGCGCGUACCGGUGAAACGUGGGAGGAGUUGGGAGAGGUAACGGGCAAGGGUCGAAGGGGGGCUUCCCCCAAUGCCUCCCCACCUUUAUAUAGGUGUGGUGGGGGCUGGUGGCUUUCCCUCCAAGGCCCUAGGGUCGUUGUCCAAAGGGGGGGGGGAGGAAAUUCCUCCUUUCCUUCCCCACCGAUCGCUAUCCCCUUUUUAGGGAUCAUGAUCUUAUCCCUUCGGGAUAUGAUACUAUUCCUUUUAAGGGAGGAUCUUGGUGUAUCUAGAAUAGGGGUGUGGGGACUUUCCCCACUACCCACUUUCAUGUGGGCCCCCCAUGUAGGUGGGCCCCACUCUGGAACCUUCUAAAACCAUCCUGGUACAAUACAAAAAAAACUCAAACUUUUUCCGGAACCCCGAUAACAACUUUCCAUAUAUGAAUCUUUUCCUCCGUACUAUACCGGAGCUCCUCGUGAUGCCCGGAUCCCAUCCGAGAUUCCGAACAACCUUUGGACUUUCCACUAUUAAUAUCUCAACACUACCCUAGCACUACCAAAUGUUAAGCGUGCGACCCUACGGGUUCGGAACAUGCAGACAUGACCGAGACUCCUCCCCGGUUAAUAAUGAAUAGCGGAACCUGGAUGCCCAUAUUGGUUCCUAUAUAUCAACAAAGAUCUUUAUCGGUUGAACCAUGAUGUCAAGGAUUCAGUCAAUCCCAUAUGCAAUUCCCUUUGUCCGGCGAUAUGUUACUUGUCCGAGAUAUCAUCGGUAUCUCCAUACCUAGUUCAAUCUCGUUACUGACAAGUCUCUUUAAUCGUUUCGUAAUACAAGAUCACGUGACUAAACUCAUUAUUCACAUGAAGCUUCUUAUGAUGUUGUUGAAGGAACUAUGACCUAGAGGCAAUAAUAAAGUUGUUAUUUAUAUUUUCUUAUAUCAUGAUAAAUGUUUAUGGAAGCGCAACCUAGGGCCUGAUACGUCUCCAAUGUAUCUAUAAUUUUUGAUUGUUCCAUGCUAUUAUAUUACCCCUUUUGGAUGUUUAUGGGCUUUAUUUACACAUUUAUAUCAUUUUUGGGACUAACCUACUAACCGGAGGCCCAGCCCAUAUUGCAGUUUUUUUUGCCUAUUUCAGUAUUUCGAAGAAAAGGAAUAUCAAACGGAGUCCAAACGGAAUGAAACCUUCGGGAGCGUGAUUUUUGGAACGAACGUGAUCCGGAGAGCUUGGAGUGCAAGUCAAGAAGCUUCCGAGGCCCCCACGAGAUAGCCGCCCCCCCUAUAGGGCACGCCUCCUAUCUUGUGGGCCCCUCGGGCGGCCAUCGGCGUACUUCUUCCUCCUAUAUAUACCUACGUACCCCGAAAACAUCCAGGAGCACCACGAAACACAAUUUCCACCGCCGUAACUUUCUGUAUCCACGAGAUCCCAUCUUGGAGCCUUCGCCGGCACUCUGCCGGAGGGGGAAUCAACCACGGAGGGCCUCUACAUCAACAUCCUUGCCCCUCCGAUGAGUUGUGAGUAGUUUACCACAGACCUACGGGUCCAUAGUUAUUAGCUAGAUGGCUUCUUCUUUCUUUUUGGAUCUCAAUACAAUGUUCUCCCCCUCUCUUGUGGAGAUCUAUUCGAUGUAAACUCUUUUUGCGAUGUGUUUUGUCGAGAUCCGAUGAAUUGUGGGUUUAUGAUCAAGUUUAUCUAUGAAUAAUAUUUGAAUCUUCUCUGAAUACUGUUAUGUAUGAUUGAGUUAUCUUUGCAAGUCUCUUUGAAUUAUCAGUUUGGUUUGGCCUACUAGAUUGGUCUUUCUUGCCAUGGGAAAAGUGAUUAGCUUUGGGUUCAAUCUUGCGGUGUCCUUACCCUGUGAAAGAAAGGGUUGCAAGGCACUUAUUUUAUUGUUUCCAUCGAGGAUAACAAGAUGGGGUUUAUAUCUUAUUGCAUGAGUUUAUCCCUCUACAUCAUGUCAUCUUGCUUAAUGCGUUGCUCUGUUCUUAUGAACUUAAUACUCUAGAUGCAGACAGGAGUCGGUCGAUGUGUGGAGUAAUAGUAGUAGAUGCAGGCAGGAGUCGGUCUACUUGUUACGGACGUGAUGCCUAUAUACAUGAUCAUGCCUAGAUAAUCGCAUAACUAUGCGCUUUUCUAUCAAUUGCUCGACAGUAAUUUGUUCACCCACCGUAAUACUUAUGCUAUCUUGAGAGAAGCCACUAGUGAAACCUAUGGCCCCCGGGUCUAUCUCUUAUCAUAUUUGCUUUCAAUCUACUUUUAUUUGCACCUUUAGUUUUUGCAUCUAUAUUAUAAAAUACCAAAAAUAUAUUUAUCUUUUUUUUGGAGAAUUGACAGUGGGAGAGCACUCCCACUGUUGUUUUAUAUAUCUAUAUAAAUGGGGUGUUUACAUAGACAUAUACAAUGCCAAACACAAUCAACCAACUACCACCCCCUCCCCAUGGCUUAGGGAGGAGGCAAACUACCAGUCUUCCACAGAAGGGGGCAAGAGCAAAGAUUCAGCAAGGAUCAACCUAGAGUAUUACAAAGGUUUACAAAUGAGCCUCGAUGGGCCUCCUUGAUUCCAUAUUGGAGCUGACUCAGGUCGUUUUUGAAGCAUGAGAACCAGGACCAAAUAUCAGGGUCAACUCCUCGGAAGUGCUUGUUAUUCCUCUCCUUCCAUAAGCUCCACGCAGCAGCGAGAAAAACUUCCAUGAAAAAAGGGCCAGGCCAUGAGUCUCUAUUUAAUCUGAUGGCAGCGAGACGGCUAUCAAAAGGGGGCCAAUGAAUGCCAAGCUUGGUCCAGCAGGUCCUGCUAAAAUCACAAGUGAAGAUCAUGUGGUCCACCAUUUCUUCAAUUGGCAGCCCGCAAAGGAGGCAAUCAAAAUCAUCACCAAUGUUGUAGUGCCUCCGUUUCAACAUAUUACAUGUGUUGAGCCUAUCCAGGAAAAGCAGCCACCCAAACACCUUCAGUUUCAUCGUACAUUUUGAUUCCGAUAGGUGCUUGAACAUGGGAUUGGUUUGAGCAUCUCGAAAGAAGAAAGAAUAGUAGUCCUUAGGUCGAAACUCGGCCGCACCCCACAUGUAGUGCCAAACAUCCAUAGUUGACGUGGAAGGGCAGAUUUUGGUUAGCGUUAGCUGCAUGUCUCGGAUUUCGUCCAACGCGGUUGGAGACACAGGGAGGUGAAAGGUUUCAUGCAGAUCAUUGGAGGCCCAGAAGUCAGCAACCGAGAUAUCUUCAUGCAGCGCAAAAGAGAAGGCACGUGGGUGGGAGUCUUGCAGCACAUCACGCGCCCAAAGAUCCUUCCAAAGUAGGGUUGUCCUUCCAUCCACCAACUGGACACGAGACACUCCCCUGAAGGUUGGUGUCAAUUUUAGAACAUCGCGCCACCAGAAGGAGCCGCCCUGGUCCACUGCAUGGGGUAUUUUGUCGACGUAGAGAUUGUCCCAUAAUAGGUGAACCCAGGGCACAUCCAUUUUAUUGUAGAAUUUAUGGAGGAAUUUUAGGAGCAGGGCUUCAUUAUGGAUUUUGAGAUUGAUCACUCCUAGCCCACCUUUGUCUUUGGGACGACAGACCAUGUCCCAAGCCGCAAGAGAGUUGCAUUUGUCACCUUGCUCGGUUCUCUUAGUCCAGAGACAGCGUCUUCUGAUUUUGUCUAGGAUUUCAAGAAGCUUGGGCGGGAAUUUGAGUGUACACAUGGCAAAGGUGAGAAGAGACGUGACUGAGGCAUUCAGCCAGGUUAAUCUGCCACCAUAGUUCAUCAUAGCAAUGGUUGACGUUAGGCGCCUUUCCAAUCUGCAAACAAGAGGCAUGAGGUCUUGGACUGUAGGCCGACUGGUACCCAGUGGCAGGCCAAGAUAGGUGAAAGGCAACGUGCCCACAUUACAGCCAAAAAUCCUAGCAAGAACAUCCGCAGAGGAGGUGUCGAGGUUGAUCGGUACCAAUGUGGACUUGUGAAAAUUGAUUUUCAAGCCAAUAGAGGUGGCGUAAUCCGAUAAGAUCUCCUUGAUCAAAGAAGCUUGACGGAUGCACGCAGGCAAGACUAUCAAAGUGUCGUCGGCGUAUUGAAUAACGGGGUAGUUAGAUUGUCCAACACAAAGAAAGGGGAGCUCGAUUUUGCCUUGUCUGAAUGCAUCAUUUAUGGCAAACUGCAAUAAAUCCGCAGCGAGCGCAAAAAUGAGGGGGGACAGGGGAUCGCCCUGUCGGACACCACAGCGGCAUUGAAAUUGUCUGCCUGGCACCCCGUUGAGAAGGACAGAAGAGCGCCCAGAGGAGAAUAAACAUUGGAUCCAACAGAUCCAUUUGUCGUUGAAGCCCAUAUGAUGCAUAAUCUGGAUCAUCGGGUCAUGAGCAAUUGUGUCAAAGGCCUUUGCAAAGUCAAGUUUGAGCAAAACUAUCUGUCUGCCCGAGUUGUGACAUUGGUGUAAAUACUAGUAAGCCCAGGCAAGGCAAUCCUGUAUAGUCCUCCCCUUAAUGAAGCCAUAUUGGUUGCGAUGAACUAAGUCCAAGAUAGAAGAUUGUAGCCGAUCUGCUAGAAGUUUUGCAAUCAGCUUGAGGCAGCAGUUCAACAGCGUGAUCGGUCUGUAGUCAUUAACUAUUUCCGGGGAGUUGAUUUUAGGGAUCAACGUGAUGAGCCCAUCAUUGAUGCUGUUAAUGUCCAGGGUGCUAGCAUAAAAUUGAGCGCAGAGAUCAUAAAAAUCGUGCUUGAUGAUAGGCCAACAUGCUUUGAGAAAAGCACCACUGAAACCAUCAGGGCCAGGUGCACGAUCUGGAGGCAUGUCAUUAACAACUUGGUCAAUUUCUUUUUGUGUAAACGGCUCGGUCAGAGCAUCAAGAUUAUCAGAUCUUCUGAUGAGGUCGGGCAGAGAGAAUUUCAUCUCAGAGGCUGAAGUGGAGCCCAGAUGAUUUUUAUAAGUGAGGAUUGACAACCCCUUUAUUGUGUUGGUUGCGAGCUCUCAGUUUGCUUGUGUAGGUGCGUGGGACUUUUGAGGAGUCUCCUACUGGAUUGAUACCUUGGUUCUCAAAACUGAGUGAAAUACUUACGCUACACUUGCUGCAUCACCCUCUCCUCUUCGAGGAAAACCAACGCAAGCUCAAGACGUAGCAAGAAGAAUUUCUGGCGCCGUUGCCGGGGAGGUCUUCGCUCAAGUCAAGACAUACCAAGUACCCAUCACAAACCCAUCUCCCUCCCAUUUACAUUAUUUGCCAUUUGCCUCUCGUUUUCCUCUCCCCCAUUUCACCCUUGCUGUUUUAUUCGCCCUCUCUUUUCGCUUGCCUUCUUUUGUGUGCUUGUUUGCUUGUUUGACCUUAUGGCUGCGCCUAAGGGUCCUGACCACCUUCUUAGAAGGAUGGAUGAGAUUGAAUCAAAUAUUAGAAGCUUUAUGAAUUUGCAAUUUGAGCAUAAUAAUUUCUUUAGAAAAGAGCUUAAGGAACAAAAGAGUUUUUUUGGGGUUUAUGAAUAAAGAGCUUGACGAUAUGAAUAAAGAAUUCUAUGGUGUUAACUCUCAAAUUACCCGGCUUGAAAAUGCUAUAGCCAAAAUUUCUGACAAGCAAGCCACCUUAGUCAAUAAGAUGGCCGCUAAACCAGAAAAAUUCCGUGAAAAUAAUGAUGAGGAUCUUAAAGUUAUUGAUGCGUCUCUGAUUAGAUCUAUGUUUUGCAAUAUGAAUUUUUAUGAUUAUGGGACUGAUGAUGAAUCAACUUUGCCUAGAAGGCGUCCCAAAAAUUCAGAGUCUUUAGAUCUUAAUGUUAAAUUUGGUAAAAGUGAGAUUGGAGAAUCCUCAACUUCUAAUAAUAUUGAACCUUCUAUCUCAGAUUUCAAGGAAUUUGAUUAUGAUAAUUGCUCUUUAAAAGGUUGUAUUUCCUUGUUGCAAUCCGUUGUUAAUUCUCCUCAUGCUUAUAGUCAAAACAAAGAUUUUACCAAACAUAUUGUUGAUGCCUUGAUGCAAUCUUAUGAUGAAAAACUUAAUAUGGAAGUUUCUAUACCUAGAAAACUUAAUGAUGAGUGGGAACCUAUUAUAAAUAUUAGAAUUAAAGAUUAUGAGUGUUUUGCUUUGUGUGAUUUGGGUGCUAGUGUUUCCACAAUUCCGAAAACUUUAUGUGAUAUUCUAGGUUUCCAUGAUCUUGAUGAUUGCUCUUUAAAUUUGCACCUUGCGGAUUCCACCAUUAAAAAGCCUAUGGGAAGAAUCAAUGAUGUUCUUAUUAUUGCAAAUAGAAAUUUGGUGCCUGUAGAUUUUAUCGUUCUUGAUAUUGAUUGCAAUCUUUCUUGCCCUAUUAUUCUUGGUAGACCUUUCCUUAGAACGAUUGGUGCAAUUAUUGAUAUGAAGGAAGGGAACAUUAGAUUCCAAUUUCCCUUAAAGAAAGGCAUGGAUCACUUUCAAGAAAGAAAGUCAAAUUACCUAAUGAAUCUAUCAUGCGUGCUACUUAUGAAUUUAGUGCCAAAGAUGGUACUCGUUAGAUCUAUCUUUGUUUUUAUGCCUAGCUAGGGGCGUUAAACGAUAGCGCUAGUUGGGAGGCAACCCAAUUUUCUUUAUGAUUUUUUGUUUUUGCUCCUGUUUAGUAAUAAAUCUUGCAUCUACCUUCUGUUUAGAUGUGUUUUUAUCUUUUAAUUAGUGUUUGUGCCAAGUAGAACCUAUAGGAUAACCUACGAUGAUAGUUGAUUUGAUUCUGCUGAAAAACAGUAACUUUGCACGCACGAAUAUAAUUUUGUUAAAUCACAGCAACGUGCUUUUACGUUUAUUCUUUUUGCUUCUGUUCAAUAAACAAAUUUUCCAGGACUUCCUAUUUUAGUAGGAUUUUUAGAGUUCGAGAAUUUUGCGUUAGUUACAGAUUGCUACAGACUAUUCUGUUUUUGACAGAUUCUCUUUUUCGUGUGUUGUUUGCUUAUUUCAAUGCAUCUAUGGCUAGUAAUUCAGUCUAUGAACCAUAAAGAAGUUGGAAUACAGUAGGUUUAACACCAAAAUAAAUAAAUAAUGAGUUCAUUGCAGUACCUUAUGUGGUGGUUUUGUUUUCUUUCACUAACGGAGCUUAUAAGAUUUCCUGUUGAGUUUUGUGUUGUGAAGUUUUCAAGUUUUGGGUAAAGCUUUUAUGGACUAUGGAAUAAGGAGUGGCAAGAUCCUAAGCUUGUGGAUGCCCAUGGAAACCCAAGAUAUUCAAGGAUAGCCAAAAACCUAAGCUUGGGGAUGCCCUGGGAAGGCAUCCCCUCUUUCGUCUUCGUUCAUUUGUAACUUUACUUGGAGCUAUAUUUUUAUUCGCCACAUGAUAUGUGUUUUGCUUGGAGCGUCGUGUAUUAUAUUAGUCUUUGCUUUUUAGUUUACCACAAUCAUCCUUGCUGUACACACCUUUUCGUAGAAGCCUAUUUGAUUAGAAUUUGCUAGAAUACUCUAUGUGAUUCACUUAUAUCUUUUGAGCUUGAUAGUUUUUGCUCUAGUGCUUCACUUAUAUAUUUUAGAGCACGGUGGUGUAUUAAUUUUGAAGAAAUUGCUAGUAUCUCAUGCUCCACUUAUAUUAUUUUGAGAGUCUUUUGAAGGAAAUAUGCCCUAGAGGCAAUAAUAAAGUUAUUAUUUAUUUCCUCAUAUCAUGAUAAAUGUUUAUUAUUCAUGCUAGAAUUGUAUUUAAUCGGAAACAUGAUACAUGUGUGAAUACAAAGACAAACUUAAUGUCACUAGUAUGCCUCUACUUGACUAGCUCAUUAAUCAAAGAUGGUUAUGUUUCCUAACCAUAGACAUGUGUUGUCAUUUGAUUAAUGGGAUCACAUCAUUAGGAGAAUGAUGUGAUUGACUUGACCCAUUCCGUUAGCUUAGCAUUUGAUCGUGUAGUAUGUUGCUAUUGCUUUCUUCAUGACUUAUACAAAGUUCCUACAACUAUGAGAUUAUGCAACUCCCGUUUACCGGAGGAACACUUUGUGUGCUACCAAACGUCACAAUGUAACUGGGUGAUUAUAAAGGAGCUCUACAGGUGUCUCCAAUGGUACAUGUUGAGUUGGCGUAUUUCGAGAUUAGGUUUUGUCACUCCAAUUGUCGGAGAGGUAUCUCUGGGCCCUCUCGGUAAUGAACAUCACUAUAAGCCUUGCAAGCAAUGUAGCCAAUGAGUUGGUUACAGAAUGAUGCAUUAUGUAACGAGUAAAGAGACUUGCCGGUAACGAGAUUGAACUAGGUAUUGGAUACCGACGAUCGAAUCUCGGGCAAGUAACAUACGGAUGACAAAGGGAACAACAUAUGUUGUUAUGCGGUUUGACCGAUAAAGAUCUUUGUAGAAUAUGUAGGAGCUAAUAUGAACAUCCAGGUUCCGCUAUUGGUUAUUGACCAGAAUCAGUUCUAGGUCAUGACGAGGAGUCUCUAAAUGGUCGAGACAUAAAGAUUGAUAUAUUGGACGACUAUAUUCGGACACCAGAAGUGUUCCGGGUGUUUUCGGAGAAAACCGGACUGCCGGAGGGGUUACCGGAACCCCCCGGGGAAGUAUUGGGCCUUAGUGGGCCUGAGGGGAGAGAGAGGGCAGCAUCCCAGGAGGUGGCACGCCCCCUCCCAUGAGGAGUCGGAAUUGGACUAGGGGAGGGGGGCGUGGCCCCUCUUUCCCUCUCCCUCUCCCUCUGUUUCCUUCCCCCUUCUCUCUUCCUAGUUGGACUAGGAAAGGGGAGUCCUACUCCUACUAGGAGGAGGACUCCCCCCUCCUUGGCGCGCCCCAAGAGCCGGCCGGCCUCACCCCAUUGCUCCUUUAUAUACGGGGGCAGGGGGGAACCUCUAGACACACAAGUUGAUCUUCGUGAUCGUUCCUUAGCCAUGUGCGGUGCCCCCCUCCACCAUAUUCCACCUUGGUCAUAUCGUUGCGGUGCUUAGGCGAAGCCCUGCGUCGGUAGAACAUCAUCAUCGUCACCACGCCGUCGUGCUAACGGAACUCAUCCCCGACACCCUGCUGGAUCGGAGUCCGGGGAUCAUCAUCGAGCUGAACGUGUGCUGAACUUGGAGGUGCCAUACGUUCGGUACUUGGAUCGGUCGGACCGUGAAGACGUACGACUACAUCAACCGCGUUGUCAUAACGCUUCCGCUUACGGUCUACGAGGGUACGUGGACAACACUCUCCCCUCUCGUUGCUAUGCAUCACCAUGAUCGUUGCGUGUGCGUAGGAAUUUUUUUGAAAUUACUACGUUCCCCAACAGUGGCAUCCGAGCUAGGUUUUAUGCGUAGAUGUCAUAUGCACGAGUAGAACACAAGUGAGUUGUCGGCGAUACAAGUCAUACUGCUUACCGGCAUGUCAUACUUUGGUUCAGCGGUAUUGUGAGAUAAAGCGGCCCGGACCGACAUUACGCGUACACUUACGCGAGACUGGUUUCACCGUUACGAGCACUCGUGCUUAAAGGUGACUGGCGGGUGUUUGUCUCUCUCACUUUAGUUGAACCGAGUGUGGCUACGCCCGGUCCUUGUGAAGGUUAAAACAGCACUAACUUGACGAACUAUCAUUGUGGUUUUGAUGCGUAGGUAAGAACGGUUCUUGCUCAGCCCGUAGCAGCCACGUAAAAUUUGCAACAACAAAGUAGAGGACGUCUAACUUGUUUUUUGCAGGGCAUGUUGUGAUGUAAUAUGGUCAAAACGUGAUGCUAUGUUUUAUUGUAUGAGAUGAUCAUGUUUUGUAACCGAAGUUAUCGGCAACUGGCAGGAGCCAUAUGGUUGUCGCUUUAUUGUAUGAAAUGCAAACGCCCUGUAAUUGAUUUACUUUAUCACUAAGAGGUAGCGAUAUUCGUAGAACCAAUAGAUCGCGUAAUGACAAUGAUGCUAUGAUGGAUUUCAAGGUGUCGCGCCGGUGACGAUGGUGAUCACGACAGGUGAUUCGGAGAUGGAGAUCACAAGCACAAGAUGAUGAUGGCCAUAUCAUAUCACUUAUAUUGAUUGCAUGUGAUGUUUAUACUUUAUGCAUCUUAUCUUGCUUUGAUUGACGGUAGCAUUUUAAGAUGAUCUCUCACUAAUUAUCAAGAAAUGUUCUCCCUGAGUAUGCACCAUUGCGAAACUUCUUCGUGCUGAGACACCACGUGAUGAUCGGGUGUGAUAGGCUCUACGUUCAAAUACAACGGGUGCAAAACAGUUGCACACGCAGAAUACUCAGGUUAAACUUGACGAGCCUAGCAUAUACAGAUAUGGCCUUGGAACAUGGAGACCGAAAGGUCGAACGUGAAUCAUAUAGUAGAUAUGAUCAACAUAGUGAUGUUCACCAUUGAAACUACUCCAUCUCACAUGAUGAUCGGACAUGGUUUAGUUAAUUUGGAUCACGUGAUCACUUAGAUGACUAGAGAGAUGUCUUUCUAAGUGGGAGUUCUUAAGUAAUAUGAUUAAUUGAACUUAAAUUUAUCAUGAACUUAGUACCUGAUAGUAUUUUGCUUGUCUAUGUUUGUUGUAGAUAGAUGGUUCGUGUUGUUGUUCCGUUGAAUUUUAAUGCGUUCCUUGAGAAAGCUAAGUUGAAAGAUGAUAAUAGCAAUUACACGGACUGGGUCCGUAACCUGAGGAUUAUCCUCAUUGCUGCAUAGAAGAAUUACAUCCUGGAAGCACCACUGGGUGCCAGGCCUGCUGCAGAUGCAGCUGACGAUGUUAAGAACGUCUGGCAGAGCAAAGCUGAUGACUACUCAAUAGUUCAGUGUGCCAUGCUUUAUGGCUUGGAACCGGGUCUUCAACGACGUUUUGAACGUCAUGGAGCAUAUGAGAUGUUCUAGGAGUUGAAGUUAAUAUUUCAAGCAAAUGCCCGGAUUGAGAGAUAUGAAGUCUCCAAUAAGUUCUAUAGCUAUAAGAUGGAGGAGAAUAGUUCUGUCAAUGAACAUAUACUCAAAAUGUCUGGGUAUAAUAAUCACUUGAUUCAACUGGGAGUUAAUCUUCCUGAUGAUAGUGUCAUUGAUAGAAUUCUUCAAUCACUGCCACCAAGCUACAAGAGCUUCGUGAUGAACUAUAAUAUGCAAGGGAUGGACAAGACUAUUCCCGAGCUCUUCGCAAUGCUAAAGGCUGCGGAGGUAGAAAUCAAGAAGGAGCAUCAAGUGUUGAUGGUCAAUAAGACCACCAGUUUUAAGAAAAAGGGCAAAGGGAAGAAGAAGGGGAACUUCAAGAAGAAUAGCAAACAAGUUGCUGCUCAAGAGAAGAAACCCAAGUCUGGACCUAAGCCUGAGACUGAGUGCUUCUACUACAAACAGACUGGACACUGGAAGUGGAACUGCCCCAAGUAUUUGGCGGAUAAGAAGGAUGGCAAAGUGAACAAAGGUAUAUGUGAUAUACAUGUCAUUGAUGUACUAAUGCUCGCAGUAGCACCUGGGUAUUUGAUACUGGUUCUGUUGCUAAUAUUUGCAACUCAAAACAGGGACUACGGAUUAAGCGAAGAUUAGCUAAGGACGAGGUGAUGAUGCGCGUGGGAAAUGGUUCCAAAGUCGAUGUGAUCGCGGUCGGCACGCUACCUCUACAUCUACCAUCGGGAUUAGUUUUAGACCUAAAUAAUUGAUAUUUGGUGCCAGCAUUGAGCAUGAACAUUAUAUCUGGAUCUUGUUUGAUGCGAGACGGUUAUUCAUUUAAAUCAGAGAAUAAUGGUUGUUCUAUUUAUAUGAGUAAUAUCUUUUAUGGUCAUGCACCCUUGAGGAGUGGUCUAUUUUUAUUGAAUCUCGAUAGUAGUGAUACACAUAUUCAUAAUGUUGAGGCCAAAAGAUGCAGAGUUGAUAAUGAUAGUGCAACUUAUUUGUGGCACUGCCGUUUAGGUCAUAUCAGUGUAAAGCGCAUGAAGAAACUCCAUACUGAUGGACUUUUGGAAUCACUUGAUUAUGAAUCACUUGGUACUUGCGAACCGUGCCUCAUGGGCAAGAUGACUAAAACGCCGUUCUCCGGAACUAUGGAGCGAGCAACUGAUUUAUUGGAAAUCAUACAUACUGAUGUAUGUGGUCCAAUGAAUAUUGAAGCUCGCGGCGGGUAUCGUUAUUUUCUCAGCUUCACAGAUGAUUUGAGCAGAUAUGGGUAUAUCUACUUAAUGAAACACAAGUCUGAAACAUUUGAAAAGUUCAAAGAAUUUCAGAGUGAAGUGGAAAAUCAUCGUAACAAGAAAAUAAAAUUUCAAUGAUCUGAUCGUGGAGGAGAAUAUUUGAGUUACGAGUUUGGUCUACAUUUGAAACAAUGUGGAAUAGUUUCGCAACUCACGCCACCCGGAACACCACAACGAAAUGGUGUGUCCGAAUGUCGUAAUCGUACUUUACUAGAUAUGGUGCGAUCUAUGAUGUCUCUUACUGAUUUACGCAAUCAUUUUGGGGUUAUGCUUUAGAGACGGCCGCAUUCACGUUAAAUAGGGCACCAUCAAAAUCCGUUGAGACGAUGCCUUAUGAACUAUGGUUUGGCAAGAAACCAAAGUUGUCGUUUCUUAAAGUUUGGGGCUGCGAUGCUUAUGUGAAGAAACUUCAACUAGAUAAGCUCGAACCCAAAUCGGAGAAAUGUGUCUUCAUAGGAUACCCAAAAGAGACUAUUGGGUACACCUUCUAUCACAAAUCUGAAGGCAAGAUUUUCGUUGCUAAAUUCAGAUCCUUUCUAGAGAAGGAGUUUCUCUCGAAACAAGUGAGUGGGAGGAAAGUAGAACUUGAUGAGGUAAAUGUACUUGCUCCCUUAUUGGAAAGUAGUUCAUCACAAGAACCAGUUCCUGUGACAACUACACCAAUCAGUGAGGAAGCUAAUGAUAUUGAUCAUGAAACUUCAGAUCAAGUUACUACUGAACCUCGUAGGUCUACCAGAGUAAGAUCCGCACCAGAGUGGUACGUUAAUCCUAUUUUGGAAGUCAUGUUACUUGACCAUGGUGAACCUACGAACUAUGAGGAAGCGAUGAUGAGCCUAGAUUCCGCAAGAUGGCUUGAAGCCAUGAAAUCUGAGAUGGGAUCCAUGUAUGAAAACAAAGUAUGGACUUUGAUUGACUUGCCCGAUGAUCGGCAAGCCAUCGAGAAUAAAUGGAUCUUCUGGAAGAAGACUGACGCUGAUGGUAAUGUAAUUGUCUACAAAGCUUGACUUGUUGCGAAAGGUUUUUGACAAGUUCAAGGGGUUGACUACAAUGAGACUUUCUCACCCAUAGCGAUGCUUAAGUAUGUCCGAAUCAUGUUAGCAAUUGCCACAUUUUAUGAUUAUGAAAUUUGGCAAAUGGAUGUUAAAACUGCAUUCCUGAAUGGAUUUCUGGAAGAAGAGUUGUAUAUGAUGCAACCAGAAGGUUUUGUCGAUUCAAAAGGUGCUAACAAAGUGUGCAAACUCCAGUGAUCCAUUUAUGGACUGGUGCAAGCAUCUCGGAGUUGGAAUAAACACUUUGAUAGUGUGAUAAAAGCAUAUGGUUUUAUACAGACUUUUGGAGAAGCCUGUAUUUACAAGAAAGUGAGUGGGAGCUCUGUAGCGUUUCUGAUAUUAUAUGUAGAUGACAUAUUGUUAAUUGGAAAUGAUAUAGAAUUUCUGGAUAGCAUGAAGGGAUACUUGGAUAAAAGUUUUUCAAUGAAAGACCUCGGUGAAGCUGCUUACAUAUUGGGCAUCAAGAUCUAUAGAGAUAGAUCAAGACGCUUAAUUGGACUUUCAUAAAGCACAUACCUUGAAAAAGUCUUGAAAAAGUUCAAAAUGGAUCAGGCAAAGAAAGGGUUCUUGCCUGUAUUACAAGGUGUGAAGUUGAGUCAGACUCAAUGCCCGACCACAGCAGAAGAUAGAGAGAAAAUGAAAGAUGUUCCCUAUGCUUCAGCCAUUGGCUCUAUCAUGUAUGCAAUGUUGUGUACCAGACCUGAUGUAUGCUUAGCAAUAAGUUUAGCAGGGAGGUACCAAAGUAAUCCAGGAGUGGAUCACUAGACAGCGGUCAAGAACAUCUUGAAAUACCUGAAAGGACUAAGGAUAUGUUUCUCGUUUAUGGAGGUGACAAAGAGCUAGUCAUAAAUGGUUACGUCGAUGCAAGCUUUGACACUGAUCUGGACGAUUCUAAAUCGCAAACCGGAUACGUGUUUUUAUUAAACGGUGGAGCUGUAAGUUGGUGCAGUUCUAAACAAAGCGUCGUGGCGGGAUCUACAUGCGAAGCGGAGUACAUAGCUGCUUCGGGAGCAGCAAAUGAAGGAGUCUGGAUGAACGAGUUCAUUUCCGAUCUAGGUGUCAUACCUAGUGCAUCGGGACCAAUGAAGAUCUUCUGUGACAAUACUGGUGCAAUUGCCUUGGCAAAGGAAUCCAGAUUUCACAAGAGGACCAAGCACAUCAAGAGACGCUUCAAUUCCAUCCGGGACCAAGUCUAGGUGGGAGACAUAGAGAUUUGCAAGAUACAUACGGAUCUGAAUGUUGCAGACCCUUGACUAAGCCUCUUCCACGAGCAAAACAUGAUCAACACCAAGACUCCAUGGGUGUUAGAAUCAUUACUGUGUAAUCUAGAUUAUUGACUCUAGUGCAAGUGGGAGACUGAAGGAAAUAUGCCCUAGAGGCAAUAAUAAAGUUAUUAUUUAUUUCCUCAUAUCAUGAUAAAUGUUUAUUAUUCAUGCUAGAAUUGUAUUUAACCGGAAACAUGAUACAUGUGUGAAUACAUAGACAAACUUAAUGUCACUAGUAUGCCUCUACUUGACUAGCUCAUUAAUCAAAGAUGGUUAUGUUUCCUAACCAUAGACAUGUGUUGUCAUUUGAUUAACGGGAUCACAUCAUUAGGAGAAUGAUGUGAUUGACUAGACCCAUUCCGUUAGCUUAGCAUUUGAUCGUGUAGUAUGUUGCUAUUGCUUUCUUCAUGACUUAUACAAAGUUCCUACAACUAUGAGAUUGUGCAACUCCCGUUUACCGGAGGAACACUUUGUGUGCUACCAAACGUCACAACGUAACUGUGUGAUUAUAAAGGAGCUCUACAGGUGUCUGCAAUGGUACAUGUUGAGUUGGCGUAUUUCGAGAUUAGGUUUUGUCACUCCGAUUAUCGGAGAGGUAUCUCUGGGCCCUCUCGUUAAUGCACAUCACUAUAAGCCUUGCAAGCAAUGUAGCCAAUGAGUUGGUUACGGAAUGAUGCAUUAUGUAACGAGUAAAGAGACUUGCCGGUAACGAGAUUGAACUAGGUAUUGGAUACCGACGAUCGAAUCUCGGGCAAGUAACAUACCGAUGACAAAGGGAACAACAUAUGUUGUUAUGCGGUUUGACCGAUAAAGAUCUUCAUAGAAUACGUAGGAGCCAAUAUGAACAACCAGGUUCCACUAUUGGUUAUUGACCAGAAUCAGUUCUAGGUCAUGUCUACAUAGUUCUCGAACCCGUAGGGUCCGCACGCUUAACGUUACGAUGAUAGUUUUAUUAUGAGUUUAUAAGUUUUGAUGUAUCGAAGGUUGUUCGGAGUCCGUGAUGUGAUCACGGACAUGACGAGGAGUCUCGAAAUGGUCGAGACAUAAAGAUUGAUAUAUUGGACGACUAUAUUCGGACACGGAAGUGUUCCGGGUGUUUUCGGAGAAAACCGGAGUGUCGGAGGGGUUAUCGGAACCCCCCGGGGAAGUAUUGGGCUUUAGUGGGCCUGAGGAGAGAGAGAGGGCAGCAGCCCAGGAGGUGGCACGCCCCCUCCCAUGAGUAGUCCGAAUUGGACUAUGGGAGGGGGGCGUGGCCCCUCUUUCCCUCUCCCUCUCCCUCUCUUUCCUUCCCCCUUCGCUCUUCCUAGUUGGACUAAGAAAGGGGAGUCCUACUCCUACUAGGAGGAGGACUCCCCCCUCCUUGGCGCGCCCCAAGGGCCGGCCGGCCUCCCCCUUGCUCCUUUAUAUAUGGGGGCAGGGGGGCACCUCUAGACACACAAGUUGAUCUUCGUGAUCGUUCCUUAGCCGUGUGCGGUGCCCCCCUCCACCAUAUUCCACCUCGGUCAUAUCGUUGCAGUGCUUAGGCGAAGCCCUGCGUCGGUAGAACAUCAUCAUUGUCACCGCGCCGUCGUGCUGACAGAACUCAUCCCCGACACCCUGCUGGAUCGGAGUCCGGGGAUCGUCAUCAAGCUGAACGUGUGCUGAACUCGGAGGUACCGUACGUUCGGUACUUGGAUCGGUCGGAUCAUGAAGACGUACAACUACAUCAACCACGUUGUCAUAACGCUUCCGCUUACUGUCUACGAGGGUACGUGGACAACACUCUCCCCUCUCGUUGCUAUGCAUCAACAUGAUCCUUGCGUGUGCGUAGGAAUUCUUUUGAAAUUACUACGUUCCCCAACAUCUUUUAGAACAGCAUGGUAUUUUCUAUGAUCAUAAAGUUGGUCCUAGAAUGAUGAGCAUCCAAGUUGGGUAUAAUAAAAACUAUCAUAGAAAGUGAAUUGGAUGCUAUGAUCAAUUUGAUGCUUGAUAAUUGUUUUGAGAUAUGGAGGUAGUGAUAUUAAAGUCAUGCUAGUUGGGUGAUUAUGAAUUUAAAGAAUGCUUGUGUUGAAGUUUGUGAUUCCCGUAGCAUGCACCUAUGGUGAACCGCUUUGUGAUGAAGUUGGAGCACAAUUUUAUUUAUUGACUGUCUUCCUUAUGAGUGGCGGUCGGGGACGAGCGAUGGUUUUUUCCUACCAAUCUAUCCCCCUAGGAGCAUGCGCGUAGUACUUUGGUUUUUGAUGACUUCUAAAUUUUUGCAACAAGUAUUUGAGUUCUUUUGAUUAAUGUUGAGUCCAUGGAUUAUACGCACUCUUUCACCCUUCCACCAUUGCUAGCCUCUCUCGUACCGUGCAACUUUCACCGGUACCAUACACCCACCAUUUACCUUCCUCAAAACAGCCACCAUACCUACAUAUUAUGGCAUUUCCAUAGCCAUUCCGAGAUAUAUUGCCAUGCAACUUUCCACCAUUCCGUUCAUAUGACACGCAUUACUUUUGUCAUAUUGCUUUUUGCAUGAUCAUGUAGUUGACAUUGUAUUUGUGGCUAGGCCACCUUCAUAAUUUUCAUACAUGUCGCUCUUGAUUCAUUGCAUAUCCCGGUACACCGCCGGAGGCAUUCAUAUAGAGUCAUAUCUUGUUCUAGCUUUGAGUUGUAAAUCCAUAAAAGUGUGAUGAUCUUCAUUAUUAGAGCAUUGUCCUAGUGAGCAAAGGAUGAUGAAGACUAUGAUUCCCCCACAAGUCGGGAUGAGACUUCGGACUUUACAAAAAGAAAGAAAAAAGAAAAGGCCAAAGAGAAAAAAAGAGAGAAGGCCAAAGAAAAGAAAAAAGAAAAAAAGGAAAAGAAAAAAAAUAAAAAAUGAGAGAAAAAGAGAGAAGGGACAAUGCUACUAUCUCUUUUUCCACACUUGUGCUUCAAAAUAGCACCAUGAUCUUCAUGUUAGAGAGUCUCAUAUGUUGUCACUUUCAUAUACUAGUGGGAAUUUUUCAUUAUAGAACUUGGCUUGUAUAUUCCAAUGAUGGGCUUCCUCAAAAUGCCCUAGGUCUUCGUGAGAAAGCAAGUUGGAUGCACCCCACUUAGUUUCUUUUGUUGAGCUUUCAUAUAUUUAUAGCUCUAGUGCAUCCGUUGCAUGGCAAUCCCUACUCACUCACAUUGAUAUCUAUUAAUGGGCAUCUCCAUAGCCCGUUGAUAUGCCUAGUUGAUGUGAGACUAUCUUCUCCUUUUUUGUCUUCUCCACAACCACCAUUAUAUUCCACAUAUAAUGCUAUGUCCAUGGCUCACGCUCGUGUAUAGCGUGAAAGUUGAAAAAGUUUGAGAUUAUUAAAGUAUGAAACAAUUGCUUGGCUUGUCAUUGGGUUGUGCAUGAUUAAAUACUUUGUGUGAUGAAGAUAGAGCAACAGCCAGACUAUAUGAUUUUGUAGGGAUAACUUUCUUUAGCCAUGUUAUUUUGAGAAGACAUGAUUGCUUUGAUUAGUAUGCUUAAAGUAUUACUAUUUCUUAUGUCAAUAUGAACUUUUAUUUUGUAUUCAUUUGGAUCUGAACAUUCAUGCCACAAUAAAGAAAAUUACAUUAUGAAUUAUGCUAGGUAGCAUUCCACAUCAAAAAUUCUCUUUUUAUCAUUUACCUACUCGAGGACGAGCAGGAAUUAAGCUUGGGGAUGCUUGAUAUGUCUCCAACGUAUCUAUAAUUUUUUAUUGUUCCAUGCUAUCAUAUUACCCCUUUUGGAUGUUUAUGGGCUUUAUUUUACACAUUUAUAUCAUUUUUGGGACUAACCUACUAACCGGAGGCCCAGCCCAUAUUGUUGUUUUUUGCCUAUUUCAGUAUUUUGAAGAAAAGGAAUAUCAAACGGAGUCCAAAUGGAAUGAAACCUUUGGGAGCGUGAUUUUUGGAACGAAUGUGAUCCGGAGAGCUUGGAGUGCAAGUCAAGAAGCUUCCGAGGGCCCCACGAGAUAGGGCCCCCCUGUAGGGCGCGCCCCUUGUCUCGUGGGACCCUCAGGCGGCCACCGACGUACUUCUUCCUCCUAUAUAUACCUACGUAACCCGAAAACAUCCAGGAGCAGCACGAAACACAAUUUCCACCGCUGUAACCUUAUGUAUCCGCGAGAUCCCAUCUUGGAGCCUUCGCCGGCACUCUGCCGGAGGGGGAAUCAACCAUGGAGGGCCUCUACAUCAACAUCCUUUCCCCUCCGAUGAGUUGUGAGUAGUUUACCAUAGACCUACGGGUCCAUAGUUAUUAGCUAGAUGGCUUCUUCUCUCUUUUUGGAUCUCAAUACAAUGUUCUCCCCCUCUCUUGUGGAGAUCUAUUCGAUCUAAACUCUUUUUGCGGUGUGUUUGUCGAGAUCCGAUGAAUUGUGGAUUUAUGAUCAAGUUUAUCUAUGAAUAAUAUUUGAAUCUUCUCUGAAUUCUUUUAUGUAUGAUUGAGUUAUCUUUGCAAGUCUCUUCGAAUUAUCAGUUUGGUUUAACCUACUAGAUUGGUCUUUCUUGCCAUGGGAGAAGUGAUUAGCUUUGGGUUCAAUCUUGCGGUGUCCUUACCCUGUGACAGAAAGGGUUGCAAUGCACGUAUUGUAUUGUUGCCAUCGAGGAUAAAAAGAUGGGGUUUAUAUCAUAUUGCAUGAGUUUAUCCCUCUACAUCAUGUCAUCUUGCGUAAUGCGUUCCUCUGUUCUUAUGAAUUUAAUACUCUAGAUGCUGACAGGAGUCGGUCGAUGCGUGGAGUAAUAGUAGUAGAUGCAGGAAGGAGUCGGUCUACUUGUUAUGGACGUGAUGCCUAUAUACAUGAUCAUGCCUAGAUAAUCUCAUAACUAUGCACUUUUCUAUCAAUUGCUUGACGGUAAUUUGUUCACCCACCGUAAUACUUAUGCUAUCUUGAGAGAAGCCACUAGUGAAACCUAUGCCCCCCGGGUCUAUCUCUUAUCAUAUUUGCUUUCAAUCUAAUUUUAUUUGCAUCUUUACUUUUUGCAUCUAUAUUAUAAAAUACCAAAAAUAUAUUUAUCUUAUCAUACUAUCUUUAUCAGAUCUCACUUUCGCAAGUUGCCGUGAAGGGAUUGACACCACCUUUAUUGCGUUGGUUGCGAGUUCUCAGUUUGUUUGUGUAGGUGCGUGGGACUUUUGAGGAGCCUCCUACUGGAUUGAUACCUUGGUUCUCAAAACUGAGGGAAAUACUUACGCUACACUUGCUGCAUCACCCUCUCCUCUUCGAGGAAAACCAACGCAAGCUCAAAAUGUAGUAGGGCCUCUCUAGCGCGUUGCCAUGGCAGCUGAGGGUGGCUCUUCGCCACAUCUGGGAAGGAAGACCGAGAUUGAUAUGGAAAAGAUGCUCAAGAACAUGGAUUUGCUUGAGGAGGAAUACUCCUUGACGAAGAAUUAGGCGACUUUGUCAUCAGGAAGGUUGAUGCACAGAAGUUCGUAGAAGAGCUCGUGAGCUACAUGAUACGUCUCCAACGUAUCUAUAAUAUUUGAUUGUUCCAUGCUAUUAUAUUACCCGUUUUGGAUGUUUAUGGGAUUUACUUUACACUUUUAUAUCAUUUUUGGGACUAACCUACUAACCGGAGGCCCAGCCCGAAUUGCUGUUUUUUUGCCUAUUUCAGUGUUUCGAAGAAAAGGAAUAUCAAACAUAGUCCAAAUGGAAUGAAACCUUCGGGAGCGAUCUUUUUGGAACAAACAUGAUCCAAAGGACUUGGAGUGGAAGUCAAGAAACAAAGGAGGCGGCCACGAGGGUGCCCGACACUCCCCCUACAGGUGGGCACGCCCCCCACCCUCGUGAGCCCCUCGAGCGUCCACCGACCUACUUCUUCCUCCUAUAUAUACCCAUGUCCCCGAAAACAUCAUAAGCGACCAUGAAAACCUAUUUCCACCGUCAUAACCUUAUGUAUCCGCGAGAUCCCAUCUUGGAGCCUUCACCGGCGCUCCGCCGGAGGGGGAAUCAACCACGGAGGGCCUCUACAUCAUCUCCAAGGCCUCUCUGAUGAGUUGUGAGUAGUUUACCAUAGACCUUCAGGUCCAUAGUUAUUAGCUAGAUGGCUUCUUCUCUCUCUUUGAAUCUCAAUACAAAGUUCUCCUUGAUCUUCUUGGAGAUCUAUACGAUGUAAUUCUUUUUGCAGUGUGUUUGUCGAGAUCCGACGAAUUGUGGGUUUAUGAUAAGUUUAUCUAUGAGAAAUAUUUGAAUCUCCUCUGAAUUCUUUUAUGUGUGAUUAAGUUAUCUUUGCAAGUCUCUUCGAAUUAUUAGUUUGGUUUGGCCUACUAGAUUGAUCUCUCUUGCAAUGGGAGAAGUGCUUAGCUUUGGGUUCAAACUUGCGGUGUCCUUUCCCAGUGACAACAAGGGCAGCAAGGCACGUAUUGUAUUGUUGCCAUCGAGGAUAAAUAGAUGGGGUUUAUAUCGUAUUGCAUGAAUUUAUCCCUCUACAUCAUGUCAUCUUUCUUAAUGCGUUACUCUGUUCUUUAUGAACUUAAUACUCUAGAUGCAUGCUGGAUAGCGGUCGAUGUGUGGAGCAAUAGUAGUAGAUGCAGGGAGGAGUCGGUCUACUUGUCACGGACGUGAUGCCUAUAUACAUGAUCAUGCCUAGAUAAUCUCAUAAUUAUUUUCUUUUCUAUCAAUUGCUCGACAGUAAUUUGUUCACCCACCGUAAUACUUAUGCUAUCUUGAGAAAAGCCACUAGUGAAACCUAUGGCCCCCGGAUCUAUAUCUUAUCAUAUAAGCUUUCAAUCUACUUUUAUUGACAACCCCUUUAUUGCGUUGGUUGCGAGUUCUUGUUUGUUUGUGUAGGUGCGUGGGACUUCUUAGGAGCCUCCUACUGGAUUGAUACCUUGGUUCUCAAAAACUGAGGGAAAUACUUACACUACUAUUGCUGCAUCACCCUUUCCUCUUCAAGGAAAACCAAUGCAAGCUCAAGACGUAGCAAGAAUGAUUUCUGGCGCCGUUGCCGGGGAGGUCUUCGCUCAAGUCAAGACAUACCAAGUACCCAUCAUAAACUCAUCUCCCUCGCACUUACAGUAUUUUCCAUUUGCCUCUCGUUUUCCUCUCCCCCACUUCACCUUUGCCGUUUUAUUCACCCUCUCUUUCCCAAUCUCCUCUUUCUUUCGCUUGCCUUUUGUGUACUCGUCGUUAUGGCUAGUCCCUUAUCUGCUCCUAUGUCUCCCAAGUUUGAAGUUCUUCACUUUAAGCAAAGGCAAGGAGAAAACUUAAAAUAUGCUUGGUAUAGGAUGAUGGAAUCUUAUCAUAACUGCACCCUAGAGGUGAGUUUUAGAAUUCUACUUUGCAAUUUUUAUGUUGGGUUAAAUAUGUCUCAUAGACAACUCUUGGAUUGCAUUGCCAAGGGAAAUUUUAUUGAAAUUCAUCCCAGUAUUGCAGAUGAAUUAUAGAGGGAAUAGUGGGAACACUACCCCAAAAGGGGGGGCCACAUCCUACCCAAGAAGAAACACAAGUGUUUGAAAAGAUUUGCGAAGUAACAAAAAUCUUAAAAAAGUCUCUUGAACCUCUUAAGAGUGUUAGCGGAAAUCUUCACCGCAUGAAUAUGUUGAUUACUCUUUGCAAUAAGCGGUUGGAUUCUUUAGAUCUAAAAAUUUCCGAGCAUGAAGGGAAACGUAAAGAACCUCCCGGAUUCGAGCAUGACUCCGCUAAAAAACUGAAAAUUAAAGAUGGCACUACUUAGAUCUAUUCUCGCUUUUAUGCCUAGCUAGGGGCAUUAAACGAUAGCGCUAGUUGGGAGGCAACCCAAUUUUUUUUUUGUUUUUGCUUCUGUUUAGCAAUAAAUUUUGCAUCUACCUUCUGUUUAGAUGUGUUUUCAUGUUUUACUUAGUGUUUGUGCCAAGUAGAACCUAUAGGAUAACCUAUUGUGAUAGUUAAUUUGAUUCUGCUGAAAAAUAGAAACUUUGCACGCACAAAAAUAAUUUUAUUAAUUCACAGAAACGUGCUUUAGCGUUGAUUAUUUUUGCUGUAGAUCAACAUACAAAUUGCCCAGGACUUCCUAUUUUGGUAGGAAUUUUAGAGUUACAUAAGUAUUCGAGAGUUACAGAUUCCUACAGACUGUUCUGUGUUUGACAGAUUCUGUUUUUCGUGUGUUGUUUGCUUAUUUUGAUGCAUCUAUGGCUAGUAUGUAUGGGUGUGAACCAUAGAGAAGUUGGAAUACAGUAGGUUUAACACCAAUAUAAAUAAAGAAUGAGUUCACUACAGUACCUUAUGUGGUGAUUUUUCUUUCUUGCACUAACGGAGCUUAUGAGAUUUCCUGUUGAGUUUUGUGUUGUGAAGUUUUCAAGUUUUGGGUAAAGAUUUGAUGGAUUCUGGAAUAAGGAGUGGCAAGAGCCUAAGCUUGGGUAUGCCCAUGGCACCCCAAUAUAUUCAAGGAUAACCAAAAGCCUAAGCUUGGGGAUGCCCCAGAAGGAAACCCCUCUUUCGUCUUCAUCUAUCGGUAACUUUACUUGGAGCUAUAUUUUUAUUCGCCACAUGAUAUGUGUUUUGCUUGGAGCGUCUUGUAUGAUAUUAGUCCUUGAAUUUUAGUUUACCACAAUAAUCCUUGCUGUACACACCUUUUGGGAGAAACCCACUUGAUUGGAAUUUAUUAGAAUACUCUAUGUGCUUCACUUAUAUCUUUUGAGCUAGAUAGUUUUUGCUCUAGUGCUUCACUUAUAUCUUUUAGAGCACGGCGGUGGCUUUAUUUUGUAGAAAUUGUUAUUCUCUCAUUCUUAACUUAUAUUAUUUUGAUAGUAUCUUAGAACAGCAUGGUAUUGCUAUGGUUAUAAAAUUGGUCCUAGAAUGAUGGGCAUCGAAGUUGGGUAUAAUAAAAACUAUCAUGGGAAGUGAAUUGGAUGCUAUGAUCAAUUUGAUACUUGAUAAUUGUUUUGAGAUAUGGAGGUAGUGAUAUUAGAGUCAUGCUAGUUGGGUGAUUAUGAAUUUAAAGAAUGCUUGUGUUGAAGUUGGCAAUUCCCGUAGCAUGCACGUAUGGUAAAAGUUGUGUAACAAAUUUGAAACAUGAGGUGUUCUUAGAUUUUGCAUCCUUAUGAGUGGCGGUCGGGGAUGAGCGAUGGUCUUUUCCUACCAAUCUAUCCCCCUAGGUGCAUGCGCGUAGUGCUUGGUUUUUGAUGACUUGUAGAUUUUUGCAAUAAGUAUAUGAGUUCUUUUUGACUAAUGUUGAGUCAUUGCUAGCCUCUUCGUUACCGUGCAUUGCCCUUUCUCACCUUGAGAGUUGGUGCAAACUGCGCUGGUGCAUCCAAACCCCGUGAUACAAUACAAUCUAUCACACAUAAACCUGCUUAUAUCUUCCUCAAAACAGCCACCAUACCUACCUAUUAUGGCAUUUCCAUAGCCAUUCCGAGAUAUAUUGCCAUGCAACUUUCCACCGUUCCAUUCAUCAUCAUGACACACAUCAUCAUUGUCAUAUUGCCUUGCAUGAUCAUGUAGUUGACAUCGUAUUUGUGGCAAAGCCACCAUGCAUAAUUUUUCAUACAUGUCACUCUUGAUUCAUUGCCCAUCCCGGAACACCGCCGGAGGCAUUCACAUAGAGUCAUAUCUUGUUCUAGUAUUGAGUUGUAAUUCAUGAGUUGUAAAUAAAUAGAAGUGUGAUGAUCAUCAUUAUUAGAGCAUUGUCCCCAAAUAAAAAAAAGAAAGGCAAAAAAAGAAAGGCCAAAUAAAAAAAGGCCAAAUAAAAAAUACCCAAAAAAUAUAUAAAAUAAAAAAGGGGCAAUGUUACUAUCUUUUUUCCACACUUGUGCUUCAAAGUAGCACCAUGUUCUUCAUAUAGAGAGUCUCAUAUGUUGUCACUUUCAUAUACUAGUGGGAAUUUUUCAUUAUAGAACUUGGCUUGUAUAUUCCUACAAUGGGCUUCCUCAAAUGCCCUAGGUCUACGUGAGCAAGCAAGUUGGAUGCACACCCACUAGUUUCUUUUGUUGAGCUUUCAUACAUUUAUAGCUCUAGUGCAUCCGUUGCAUGGCAAUCCCUACUCCUCAUGUUGACAUCAAUUGAUGGGCAUCUCCAUAGCCUGCUGAUUAUCCUCGUCAAUGUGAGACUUUCUCCUUUUUUGUCUUCUCCACACAACCCCCAUCAUCAUAUUCUAUUCCACCCAUAGUGCUAUAUCCAUGGCUCACGCUCAUGUAUUGCGUGAAAGUUGAAAAAGUUUGAGAUUAUUUAAGUACGAAACAAUUGCUUGGCUUGUCAUCGGGGGUGUGCAAGAUGGGAGCAUUUUUGUGUGACGAAAAUGAAGCAUGACCUAACUAUAUGAUUUUGUAGGGAUGAACUUUCUUUAGCCGUGUUGUUUUGAGAAGACAUGAUUGCUUUGAUUAGUAUGCUUGAAGUAUUACUAUUUCUUAUGUCAAUAUGAACUUUUAUUUUGAAUCAUUUGGAUCUGAACAUUCAUGCCACAAUAAAGAAAAUUACAUUGAGAAUUAUGCUAGGUAGUAUUCCACAUCAAAACUUCUGUUUUUAUCAUUUACCUACUCGAGGACGAGCAGGAAUUAAGCUUGGGGAUGCUUGAUACGUCUCCAACGUAUCUAUAAUUUUUGAUUGUUCCAUGCUAUUAUAUUACCCAUUUUGGAUGUUUAUGGGCUUUACUUUACACUUCUAUAUCAUUUUUGGGACUAACCUACUAACCGGAGGCCCAGCCCGAAUUGAUGUUUUUUGCCUAUUUUAGUGUUUCGAAGAAAAGGAAUAUCAAACGGAGUCCAAACGGAAUGAAACCUUCGGGAGCAAUCUUUUUGGAACAAACGUGAUCCAGAGGACUUGGAGUGGAAGUCAAGAAACAAAGGAGGCGGCCACGAGGGUGCCUGGCGCGCCCCCUACGGGUGGGCGCGGCCCCCACCCUCGUGGGCCCCUCAAGCAUCCACCGACCUACUUCUUCCUCCUAUAUAUACCCAUGUAUCCCAAAAACAUCAGAAGCGACCACGAAAACCUAUUUCCACCGUCAUAACCUUAUGUAUCCGCGAGAUCCCAUCUUGGAGCCUUCGGCGGCGCUCUAUCGGAGGGGGAAUCGACCAUGGAGGGCCUCUACAUCAUCUCCAAGGCCUCUCCGAUGAGUUGUGAGUAUUUUACCACAGACCUUCGGGUCCAUAGUUAUUAGCUAGAUGGCUUCUUCUCUCUCUUUGAAUCUCAAUACAAAGUUCUCCUUGAUCUUCUUGGAGAUCUAUUCGAUGUAACUCUUUUUGCGGUGUGUUUGUCGAGAUCCGAUGAAUUGUGGGUUUAUGAUAAGUUUAUCUAUGAGAAAUAUUUGAAUCUCCUCUGAAUUCUUUUAUGUGUGAUUAAGUUAUCUUUGCAAGUCUCUUCGAAUUAUCAAUUUGGUUUGGCCUACUAGAUUGAUCUUUCUUGCAAUGGGAGAAGUGCUUAGCUUUGGGUUCAAUCUUGCGGUGUCCUUUCGUAGUGAUAGCAAGGGCAGCAAGGCACGUACUGUAUUGUUGCCAUCGAGGAUAAAAGAUGGGGUUUAUAUCUUAUUGCAUGAGUUUAUCCCUCUACAUCAUGUCAUCUUUCUUAAUGUGUUACUCUGUUCUUUAUGAACUUAAUACUCUAGAUGCAUGCUGGAUAGCGGUCGAUGUGUGGAGUAAUAGUAGUAGAUGCAGGCAGGAGUCGGUCUACUUGUCACGGACGUGAUGCCUAUAUACAUGAUCAUGCCUAGAUAAUCUCAUAAUUAUUCGCUUUUCUAUCAAUUGCUCGACAGUAAUUUGUUCACCCACCAUAAUACUUAUGCUAUCUUGAGAGAAGCCACUAGUGAAACCUAUGGCCCCCGGGUCUAUAUCUUAUCAUAUAAGCUUUCAAUCUACUUUUAUUUGCAUCUUUAGUUUUCCAGUCUAUAUCAUAAAAUGCCAAAAAUAUAUUUAUCUUAUCAUAUUAUCUCUAUUAGAUCUCACUUUCGCAAGUGGCCGUGAAGGGAUUGACAACCCCUUUAUUGCGUUGGUUGUGAGUUCUUGUUUGUUUGUGUAGGUGCGUGGGACUUCUGAGGAGCCUCCUACUGGAUUGAUACCUUGGUUCUCAAAAACUGAGGGAAAUACUUAUGCUACUAUUGCUGUAUCACCCUUUCCUCUUCAAGGAAAAUCAAUGCAAGCUCAAGACGUAGCACUACAUAAGACUACAUGGGCGCAUGGGCUGGCACUCGAAUGGGUAGAAUCGAGGGGCACACUUGCAGGUCACUGGGGGAGUGCCUAGCCCAUGAAAAGCAAAAAUGUCAGGAACAACAUAAGUGUCAGGAAAAAGGGGGGCUAUCUCCCCGCCGCCAAGGGGUGUUGUCGGUGUCAAAACCGGCGGAUCUCGGGUAGGGGAUCCCGAACUGUGCGUCUAAGGUCGAUGGUAACAGGAGAUAGGGGACAUGAUGUUUACCCAGGUUCGGUCCCUCUCUAUGGAGGUAAUACCCUACUUCCUGCUUGAUUGAUCUUGAUGAAUAUGAGUAUUACAAGAGUUGAUCUACCUCGAGAUCGUAUGUUGUGGUCUAAACCCUAUAGGUAUGAUGAGUAAUGUCAUGAUGAUCUAUCGACUAGCCUGGCCUCUGCUUAUAUAAUGUACCAGAGGCCUAGGAUAACAAGAGUCCUAGUCGAAUACGUCGGUGGAGAGGAGUCCUUGUCUUGAUCACCAAGUCUUGUGGAAUCUUCCUCGUGUAUACAUCGGCUGUCCGAACUGGCCCAUGAGCAAACGGCCAUGGGGGUCCUCGGCCCAGUCCAACUGAUCAGGAGAUGAUGUGGUGAGUACCCCCUAGUCCAGGACACCGUCAGUAGCCCCCUGAACCGGUCUUCAAGUUGGGGACGCUCCUCGAUCCUUCCGAACUGUUCUUCAUCUUUGGUCGCUGGUCUUGAAAAUUGGUUCAACAAAUCUUCUCAUCUUCGAUCUUGAGUGUCGCCGAAGUAAAUCCGAAGAGUUUACACAUCGGGUAUCCGAGGAGCCCCUUUAAGUUUCCGGCCUUUAUCAAUGGCUUGUUAUUUUUAUGCCACACCUCGGGUUUGAAGUUGCUCCCGGGCGGUAGUGUCCCCUUGCGUCCGAGCUCCAACGCCGAACUGUAUUCGAGGUAUCUUAUGCAGCCGAGCACCAACGCCGGACCGCUUUCGAGCUCCAACGUCGGAGUGUAUCCGAGCUCCAAUGCCAGACUAUGUCCAAGCUCCAACAUCGGACUAUAUCCGAGGUGUCAUAGAUCACCUUGGUUCAAAAAAGUUGAAGGAGUUUAGCCGAGCUUAAUGCCGGAAAUGCCCUCUAUGGAGCCAGCCACUGGCGUCCAAGCUUUAUGCCGGACUACUUCUCUGCCGAGAUAUAUAGCCAGUAGCCCUCAAGGUGUGUAUCGGUCUAAAACCCGAGAUGCACCUGAAGGAUGACAUAAGACCGCUGAUCCCAGUAGCCCCUGAGACUCAGGUUGAUUCGCAAAAUCGACCUGAGAUCAACUCGUAGCUUGGCAGAAUACUUCGGGACACAAAAGGCGAUGUGCAAAGUCCUCGAGACUCAGGUUGGGUGCGGCCGACCAACGUGAGGAUCAUAAUCUCCUCGAAAACUAUAAUGCACUUAAAUUUUCUGCACUGGAUUGCCAAUGCAGUAGCCCCCAAGACACUGGUCGGGUGGCAACACCAGAUCAGGGGAUCGAUGUGCCCCUUUAAUAUUAGUUAAUAAUGAGCACAAAGCCCAGUAGCCCCCGAGCCUUAAUGUGGGCACGGGUGGCCAAAUUAGGGAUCGAUAUUCGUUUGAUAGAAAAAAUAGGUUGUGUUUAACACAUACUUCUCAAAAAGAGAAUAAAGAUCUCUUAAAGGAGCUAGAGCCAGCGAAAGCUGGGCUUGUCAAGGUUGGCCCCAAGGGGCUUAAUAGAUAGGAAAUUGAUGCCACUUGGGAUUUAGGAGAGCUUUAUGUAAGUUGCUCGGUUGUCUCAGCGAGAUUGUGCCCCUUGGUCUUUAAAAUAUGGGCUGCAAUAAAUCGACUUUACUCGCAUUUUAUGAUCCUAUGUAUCCAAGUAUUUUACAUCAUUAAUGCUCGGAUUCGCAUUGUACAAAACUUUGUUGACCAACCAUCGGCUUCAACCUCCUCGACCGGCAGUCGGGGAGUGUUUUUCCUUCUUUAUAAAACCUUUAUAAGAGCAAAGAUUUACGACAAACAAGGCAAUCCGGUCAUACGGUUUUAUAAACAAAGGUACGCGGAGAGAUAUGUUAUAUUACUUUUUAAUGUAAGAAACAUCUUCCAAGGAGAAUAGUCCCGCUAUCGGUUCCUUUCUUUGGAUUUUCAUGCUGAUCAUGACCAUGAAACCUCAGCUCCGAUCAAUGUGGGAGCAAAAUAUUGAGGAUUUAGUUUGGGGAAAGUUCCCGAACUAUGUGGUCUUUAGUGAACCUAAUUUUUCACUUCCGUCGUUGCCGACCAAUUAUAUCCUUUAAGAUGGCUAGCUUUCGGCUUCACCCAGUCUGAGGUACUAACCCGGAUGACCCGGUAGUAACAAUCACAGAGGUGCUCCCUUUAUUGCCUAGCCGAACAAUCGGGAACGUAGGGGUAAGCACAGGUUCCAGGCAACCCAGGUUGGCCAAAAUCUCAAGUCAAAUUGAUGCAUAUUUACGGCUUUAUAACAAUGAUUACGGAAGGCAGCCCUCGGAAUACAAAUGCCGAUGAUAUAUUUAUUUUGACUCCGUUGCGACCGUUUAUCAGUUGAAAGUGGCCCAUCGUCGGCUUCCACCCCCUUGUAGAUGCUACAGGGUGUUUCUGUAAUAACAAAACAACCCUUAACCGACGUCUCGGUGCCCGAAGGAGGUUGUGUUAGCGGAAAUGAGGCAAUCAGAUAUGCGGGCUUUAUAACUUUCACUUAGUCAUAGGAGCUUUAAACUGGGGAAGCUAGCUAUGAGCCCCCGGUUAGUGUUCGGCGACAGCCGAGGUCAAGCUGUAAACACUUAGGCCAAUGUUAUGAACAACCCAUCAUUUAACAUGGGGUGGCCUCUAUCGAUCUUAUAGUAUAACAUGGUCAUCGGAUUGUUGACCAGUUUGUGCUUAUUGUGACAGUCAGUUUUCGGCUUUCUCCACUGAGGUGCUUUAACCAUGCUAGCUGGAAGCACAAUCCCAAUGGUUUUCCCUUUGCACACCUAGCCGAAUAAAGCGGAACGUAGGAGGCAAGCACGGGAGCCGGGCAACCCAACUAUUGACCGAAGUCAUAAUUCGAAACCGAUGCAUAUAUAGUAAUAUCCGAGAAUUUUUUGCCGAAUCUCUAAAGGUGUCCGGAGUUGCACUGCGAGACUUAUGCUGGAAACACACAAAUAGUAUAAAAGUGCCAUAGGCUUGGAAAACCAAAAAACUGCAGUAAAAACCUGACGUCUGAACUAGAUAAAGUGUUUAGUGUCAAUCCGAAAAUUGGAAAAGAAAAUUGUGCUUCUUUCGUGCUUUAACAUGACACAUCUGAUCUCAAGACUUCAAGCGGGUCAGCCUACGGCUUCAAGCUCCUUAUCCCAAAGGCGGAGUACUUCUCUGAGGCCAGUUUAGUGAACUAAACUCGAGUGGCUUUUAUAGAGAAGACAGGCUAUCCGGCUAUUGACCAUACACUCGAGUCAAAAAAAGAGUGAUAGAAAAAGACUUUGCAACGACUAAGAAGAACACUUAUUAUAAAACAGCUCAUACUAAUUUAAGAGCCCCCAAGUGACUUGGGUAAAAGAAUUUUAUGUAUAAUGAUUAUUGUAUAUACCGAAGUACUUAUAUCAUAUUUGUGUUCACCCGAACUUUAAACGCGUCUUAACCGACCGUCGUCUUCUCCCUCUUCGGUCAAGGGCCGAAAAGUAUUAUGUACUCCACCUGUCGAGAAUAUCGACGGUGUUUCCGAUAACCAGGCAAUCAGGCCAUAAGUCUGUAACAGACAAAGCGCGCUCAGAGAACUUAUGCUAUAUUACUGUCGAAGUGUAAGAAGCAUCUUCGAAGAAAAUAGUACCCCCACCGAUACCUUUCUUCGGUUUCUCAUUGUUACUAUGAUACUUGUGCAAUAGAUGUUUUGUACUCAUGAGUUCCAUUGUGUGCCGACCAUGAUUGAAAACAAUAAGAGCACUAGCUUUCGACUUCACCUAGUCUGAGGUUCGAGCUCGGAUGACCCGAUCGUGACAAUCGCAGAGGUGCUCCCUUUACUCCCUAGCCGAACAAUCGGGAACGUAGGGGUAAACACAGGAGCAAGGCAACCCAGCUUGCGGAACACUUAAGUCAACAUGGUGCAUAUUGUGGCGUAAUACACGAACAAGGAGCGAAGCCAUACAAGUAUAAUCAUAUGCAAGAGGAAAGGCUUCAUAAAGGAAGCCCCCAAAUAAAUGGGGUAUUUGAAUUCGUGCGACACCAAACAAAGUUUCGACAAGGAAGUUUUUCACAAACAACUUUUUGCCACAAAAAAUAUAAUGCUUGGUCGAACCGAACACAAGUUAAAAAUUUAAAACUUUGAGCAUGAAAGCGACUUAGCUGGUUAAUGUGUUCGGCAUUGAUGACAUGGUCCGAGCUUGAUGCGGGACAAGGUUCCAUCCCUCAAGCUGGUCUCGAGGUGAAGGAGCAAAGAGCUCGGCACUUGAUACGUCUCCAAUGUAUCUAUAAUUUUUGAUUGUUCCAUGCUAUUAUAUUACCCCAUUUUGGAUGUUUAUGGGCUUUAUUUUACACUUUUAUAUCAUUUUUGGGACUAACCUACUAACCGGAGGCCCAGCCCAUAUUGAUGUUUUAUUGCCUGUUUCAGUUUUUCGAAGAAAAGGAAUAUCAAACGGAGUCCAAACGGAAUGGAACCUUUGGCAUCGUGAUUUUUUGGAAGAAUAUCAUCCUGGAGGCUUGGAGAUCAAGUCAGAAGAUACUCGAGGAGCCCAGGAGAUAGGGGCGCCCCCCCCCCUACAAGGCGCGGCCCCCUGUCUCGUGGACCCCUCGAGCACCCCCCGACCGACUUCUUUCGCCUAUAUAACCUUACGUACCCUAAAACCAUCAGAAAUCAAGAUAGAUCGGGAGUUCCGCCGCUGCAAGCCUCUGUAGCCACCAAAAACCUCUCGGGAGUCUGUUCCGGCACCCUGCCGGAGGGGGAACCCAUCACCGGUGGCCAUCUUCAUCAUCCCAGCGCUAUCCAUGAUGAGGAGGGAGUAGUUCACCCUCGGGGCUGAGGGUAUGUACUAGUAGCUAUGUGUUUGAUCUCUCUCUCUCUCUCUCGUGUUCUCUCUAUGGCACGAUCUUGAUGUAUCGCGAGCUUUGCUAUUAUAGUUGGAUCUUAUGAUGUUUCUCCCCCUCUACUCUCUUGUGAUGAAUUGAGUUUCCCUCUUGAAGUUAUCUUAUCGGAUUGAGUCUUUACUUUGAGAACACUUGAUGUAUGUCUUGCCUUGUUUAUCUGUGGUGACAAUGGGAUAUCACGUGCCACUUGAUGUAUGUUUUGGUGACCAACUUGCGGGUUCCGCCCAUGAACCUAUGCAUAGGGGUUGGCACACGUUCUUGACUCUCCGGUAGAAACUUUGGGGCACUCUUUGAAGUACUUUGUGUUGGUUGGAUGAAUCUGAGAUUGUGUGAUGCAUAUCUUUUAAUCAUGCCCACGGAUACUUGAGGUGACAAUGGAGUAUCUAGGUGACAUUAGGGUUUUGGUUGAUUUGUGUCUUAAGGUGUUAUUCUAGUACGAACUCUUCUAUAGAUCGAACCGAAAGAAUAACUUUGAGGUGGUUUCGUACCCUACCAUAAUCUCUACGUUUGUUCUCCGCUAUUAGUGGCUUUGGAGUGACUCUUUGUUGCAUGUUGAGGGAUUGUUAUAUGAUCUAUCUAUGUUAUUAUUGUUGAGAGAACUUGCACUAGUGAAAGUAUGAACCCUAGGCCUUGUUUCCUAUCAUUGCAAUACCGUUUACACUCACUUAUAUCAUUAGUUACCAUACUGUUUUUAUAAUUUCAGAUUACAAAUACCUUUAUCUACCAUCCAUAUUGCACUUGUAUCACCAUCUCUUCGCCGAACUAGUGCACCUAUACAAUUUGCCAUUGUAUUGGGUGUGUUGGGGACACAAGAGACUCUUUGUUAUUUGGUUGCAGGGUUGUUUGAGAGAGACCAUCUUCAUCCUAUGCCUCCCACGGAUUGAUAAACCUUAGGACAUCCACUUGAGGGAAAUUUUCUACUGUCCUACAAACCUAUGCACUUGCAGGCCCAACAAUGUCUACAAGAAGAAGGUUGUGUAGUAGACAUCAAGCUCUUUUCUGGCACCGUUGCCGGGGAGGCUAGGUAAGCGGCACUCACUCACACCCCGUCAACUAAGCUCUUUUCUGGCACCGUUGCCGGGGAGGUGAGUGCUUGAAGGUAUAUCUUUAGAUCUUGCAAUCAAAUCUUUUUGUUUCUUGUUUUAUCACUAGUUUAGUUUAUAAAAGAAAACUACAAAAAAAUGGAAUUGAGUUUGUCUCAUACGCUUCAUCUUUUUAAUAUCUUUCGUGAGUUUGAUGGGAAGGAAAAUUGUGCUCAAGUGCUAGAAGAAGAAUGCUUUAAAAUGCUUGGUACUAAAUCUUUGAAUGAUGAGCAUGAUUGCAAUGUUGUUAGUAUAAACUCCUAGAAUAUCCUUAGUACUAAUGAUGAUUGCUCUAGUCAUGAUGAAAAUAUAUCUUAUGAGCAUGUCAACUUUUGUGGAGUGCAUGUUUGCAUGAACACACCAAAUAAAGAAGAUAUAUGUUGCAAGAGGCGUAAGUAUUUAGAAACUAAGAAGUUGCAAGAAAGGCUAGAUAAGAGUGCGGAGAAUUUAAGAUAUCUUUCCCGUUGUGAAUUUUGCAAUAAACAAGAUCAUUUACAUCUCCAAUGCAAAUUGUUUCAUGAUCGGAUCGUGUACAAAAAUUGUGAUGAUUUGAUCUCCCUUUAUCAUUACAAUGAACUUAGAUUGCUUUUGGGUUGUGAAAAGUUGAAACGUUUAACUAAGCCUAUUCCAGAAUUUAAUCUUAAGCAUUUUCUUGAUAUUGAUUUGGAAAAGAUUUAUAUGUUUUGUGCAGAGAAUUGCAUUGAAAAUCCUUAUAUUGCCAAUUACCUAAAGAAAAGAAAGAAAAUAUAAGAUGAUGAGAAUACUAAUGAAAGGGAAGAGACUUCUCAAUAUCCUCCUAUUAUUUGUCAUGAUGAAUCAGGUAAUGAGGAGGAGCUUUCUAUUCAACCAAUCUCAUCAAUAAGGAGCUCAAAGAGGAAGGUUGAACCCACACAUAAUAUGAAGAAGAAAAAGUAAAUAAGAAGCAACAAAGGUAGAAAGGUAUCCCUCCCAAAUGAUGUUUCUCCUACUACUCAUUGUGAUGAUGAUAAUUGCUAUACUAUUGGUGCUAUCAAUAUUUUUAAUGAUGAGAAUGAUUAUGCUUAUGAUAUGAAAGGGGCCAAGCUUGGGGAAGCUAUGUUUGAUGAGAAUGAAAUAUUUGAAAAUAUAUUUGCUGGAAUUAAUGUUUGUCCCAAGCUUGGGGAUGCUAUGUUUAAUCAAGAUGAUAUUUUUAGCAUCCCAAGUUUUGAUAUGCAAAGUUGUUAUGAUGAUAUCAUGCCUCCUACCUAUGAUAAUUAUAUUGAUGAAAGUGGGUUUGGAAGAGUGUCAACUCUAGGAAUUAGUGAUCCCACUAUUUUGGAGGAUGUUGAAUCUUAUUUUGAUGAAUACUAAAGUGGAUUUGGAAGAGUGUCAACUUUAUUUAGUGAUUCCACUAUCUUGGGAGAGGUUUCAAUCGAUUAUGAUGAGAACGAAGUUGCUACUUAUGAUGGUUAUUGUGAUAAAACUUAUACUAUAAAAAGUAGUGAUGAUUAUAUUUAUAAAAAUUGUCAUGAUUAUGAUUACCCUUUUUCCGAACAUUACUCUUUUAAUGUGGAAACAAUUUUUAGUGUUCAAGUCUCUUAUGAUACUCCCACUAUUCCGAAUAAGAAGAAUUUUGCUUAUGUGGAGAGUAGUAAAUUUUCUAUGAUCGUAGAUCAUGAAAAGAAUGCUUUAGGUGCUGGUUAUAUUGUUGAAUUCAUUCAUGAUGCUACUGAAAAUUAUUAUGAGGGAGGAACAUAUGCUUGUAGGAAUUGCAAAAAUGUCAAGUUUCCUCCCUAUGUGCUUAAAUUCUUGAAGCUAUGCUUGUAUUACCUUCCUAUGCUAGUUGAUUAUUGUUCCCAUAAGUUGUUUGCUCACAAAAUCCCUAUGCAUAGGAAGUGGGUUAGACUUAAAUGUGCUAGUCAUAUGCUUCAUGAUGCUCCCGUUGUGUUUCAAUUCUUAUCUUUUACGUGAGCAUCAUUGUCAUCAUCAUGCCUAGCUAGAAAGGCAUUAAAGAAAAGCGCUUGUUGGCAGACAACUCAAUAUUUAUCCUUACUGUUUUUGUGUGUUUACAUGAUUAUGCUACUGUAUUAAUAAUGUUUUAUAUCUUUUGUUUCAAUAAAGUGCCAAGUAAGGCCUUUAGGAUGGCUUACGGUAAUAGUUGUGUUGAUCCUGCUGAAAAUAAGAAACUUUUGCACCCAGUAAAUUAGUUUUGUUAAUUCACAGAAACCUGCUCUUGAUCUGAUUCUUUUUUAUAUGGAUUGGUACACGAAUUUCUUAAGACGUCCUAAUUUGGUAGGAGUUUUGGAGUUCCAGAAGUAUACGUUUGAUGCAGAUUACUACAGACUGUUCUGUUUUUGACAGAUUCUGUUUUCUAUGUGUUGUUUGCUUAUUUUGAUGCAUCUAUGGCUAGUAGUAAGUGGUAUGAACCAUAGAGAAGUUGGAAUACAGUAGAUAUUACACCAAUAUGAAUUUCGAAUGAAAUCUUCACAGUACCUAAGUGGUGGUUUUAAUUUCUUAUACUAACGGAGCUUACGAGUUUUCUGUUGAGUUUUGUGUUGUGAAGUUUUCAAGUUUUGGGUAAAGAUUCGAUGGACUAUGGAAUAAGGAGCGGCAAGAGCCUAAGAUUGGGGAUGCCCAAGGCACCCAAGGUAAUAUUCAAGGACAACCAAGAGCCUAAGCUUGGGGAUGCCCCGGAUGGCAUCCCCUCUUUCGUCUUCGUUCAUCGGUAACUUUACUUGGAGCUAUACUUUUAUUCACCACAUGAUAUGUGUUUUGCUUGGAGCGUCAUUUUCUUUUGUUAGUAUUUGCUUGAUGUUAUUUAUAAUAAUGUUUUGCAUCUUUAGUUUCAAUAAAAAAAAGUCAAGGAUAGCCUUUGCCAUGCUUAUUCUGCUAGCAUACAUGUUGCUGUUUGAAAACAGAAAGUUUACCGCUGUUGCAAAAAUUCCCUAGAAAAGUCAGAGAAUGAUAUAAUGAUGAAACCUUUUGAAUAUUGAGCUAUGAUAAAUUUAAUACAGUGGGAAUUUUAUUUCAUAAUUUUUGGAGUUAGGGAAGUAUGAUGACUCUUGCAUUCCUUACAGACUGUACUGUUUUGGCAGAUUGCUGUUAUGUUUGCAUUGUUUGCAUAUGUUUGCUUGUUUAAUAAUUCUAUUUGAGGAUAGGAUUAUUAAAUAUGCAGAGGAAUUUAGUAUGCAAUGUUGAAUAAUAAUUUUAGUGAUUUUUUACAGUAGAAAAUGAUAAGGUUUUUUUGCAUUGGUUUAUACUAACCUAUCUCACGAGUUCUUGUUGAGUUUGUUGUGAAUGAAGCUUUUGAGAAAUAGAGAAAACAUGAUAUGAGAGGAAUUAAGGAGACACAAAAGUUCAAGCUUGGGGAUGCCCAAGGCACCCCAAGAUAAUAUUCCAAGAAGUCUCAAGCAUCUAAGCUUGGGGAUGCCCCGAUAGGCAUCCCACCUUUCUUCUUCAACAACUAUCGGUUAGUAUUGGUUGAGCCUAAGUUUUUGCUUCUUCACAUGAGUUGUGCUAUCCUUGCAAUGUCAUUUUAUUUUGUUUUGCUUGCUGUUUGAAUAAGAUACCAAGAUCUGAAAUUCUUAAAUGAGAGAGAGUCUUCAUAUAGUUACAUAAUUAUUUAUCUACUCAUUGUUCUUCACUUAUAUCUUUCGGAGUAGUUUGCUCUAGUGCAUCACUUUUAUCUUCUAGAGCACGGUGGUGGUUAUAUUUUGUAGAAAUUGCUAGUCUCUCAUGCUUCACUUAUAUCUUUUUGAGAGUCUUUUAGAACAGCAUGGUAUUUUCUAUGGUCAUAAAGUUGGUCCUAGAAUGAUGAGCAUCCACGUUGGGUAUAAUAAAAACUAUCAUAGAAAGUGAAUUGGAUGCUAUGAUCAAUUUGAUGCUUGAUAAUUGUUUUGAGAUAUGGAGGUAGUGAUAUUAAAGUCAUGCUAGUUGGGUGAUUAUGAAUUUAAAGAAUGCUUGUGUUAAAGUUUGUGAUUUCCGUAGCAUGCACGUAUGGUGAACCGCUUUGUGAUGAAGUUGGAGCAUAAUUUUAUUUAUUGAUUGUCUUCCUUAUGAGUGGCGGUCGGGGACGAGCGAUGGUCUUUUCCUACCAAUCUAUCCCCCUAGGGGCAUGCGCGUAGUACUUUGGUUUUGAUGACUUCUAAGUUUUUGCAACAAGUAUAUGAGUUCUUUUGAUUAAUGUUGAGUCCAUGGAUUAUACGCACCCUUUCACCCUUCCACCAUUGCUAGCCUCUCUUGUAUCGCGCAACUCGCCGGUACCAUAUACCCACCAUUUACCUUCCUCAAAACAGCCACCAUACCUACCUAUUAUGGCAUUUCCAUAGCCAUUCCGGGAUAUAUUGCCAUGCAACUUUCCACCGUUCCGUUCAUAUGACACACAUUACUUUUGUCAUAUUGCUCUUUGCAUGAUCAUAUAGUUGACAUUGUAUUUGUGGCAAGGCCACCCUCAUAAUUUUCAUACAUGUCGCUCUUGAUCCAUUGCAUAUCCCGGUACACCGCCGGAGGCAUUCAUAUAGAGUCAUAUCUUGUUCUAGCUUUGAGUUGUAAAUCCAUAAAAGUGUGAUGAUCUUAAUUAUUAGAGCAUUGUCCUAGUGAGGAAAGGAUGAUGAAGACUAUGAUUCCCCCACAAGUCGGGAUGAGACUUCGGACUUCACGAAAAGAAAAAAAAGGGGAGAAAGGCCAGAAAAGAAAAAAGAAAGGCCAAAGAAAAAAAGAGAAAAAAAAAGAAAAUAAAUAAAAUAAAAUGAGAGAAAAAGAGAGAAGGGACAAUGCUACUAUCUCUUUUUCCACACUUGUGUUUCAAAAUAGCACCAUGAUCUUCAUGAUAGAGAGUCUCAUAUGUUGUCACUUUCAUAUACUAGUGCGAAUUUUUCAUUAUAGAACUUGGCUUGUAUAUUCCAAUGAUGGGCUUCCUCAAAGUGCCCUAGGUCUUCUUGAGCAAGCGAGUUGGAUGCACACCCACUUAGUUUCUUUUGUUGAGCUUUCAUAUAUUUAUAGCUCUAGUGCAUCCGUUGCAUGGCAAUCCCUACUCACUCACAUUUAUAUCUAUUAAUGGGCAUCUCCAUAGCCCGUUGAUACGCCUAGUUGAUGUGAGACUAUCUUCUCCUUUUUGUCUUCUCCACAACCACCAUUCUAUUCACCAUAUAGUGCUAUGUCCAUGGCUCACGCUCAUGUAUUGCGUGAAAGUUGAAAUUGUUUGAGAUUAUUAAAGUAUGAAACAAUUGCUUGGCUUAUCAUCGGGGUUGUGCAUGAUUAAAUACUUUGUGUGAUGAAGAUAGAGCAACAGCCAGACUAUAUGAUUUUGUAGGGAUAACUUUCUUUAGCCAUGUUAUUUUGAGAAGACAUGAUUACUUUGAUUAGUAUGCUUGAAGUAUUACUAUUUCAUAUGUCAAUAUGAACUUUUAUUUUGUAUCAUUUGGAUAUGUACAUUCAUGCCACAAUAAAGAAAAUUACAUUGAGAAUUAUGCUAGGUAGCAUUCCACAACAAAAAUUCUGUUUUUACCAUUUACCUACUCGAGGACGAGCAGGAAUUAAGCUUGGGGAUGCUUGAUACGUCUCCAACGUAUCUAUAAUUUUUUAUUGUUCCAUGCUAUUAUAUUACCCCCUUUUGGAUGUUUAUGGGCUUUAUUUUACACUUUUAUAUCAUUUUUUGGACUAACCUACUAACCGGAGACCCAGCCCAUAUUGUUGUUUUAUUGCAUGUUUCAGUAUUUUGAAGAAAAGGAAUAUAUCAAAUGGAGUCCAAACGGAAUGAAACCUUCGACAUCAUGAUUUUUUGGAAGAAUAUCAUCCUGGAGGCUUGGAGAUCAAGUCGGAAGAUACUCGAGGAGCCCAUAAGAUAGGGGGCGCCCCCCUAUAGGGCGCGGCCCCCUGUCUCGUGGACCCCAGCACCCCCCGACCGACUUCUUUCGCCUAUAUAACCUUACGUACCCUAAAACCAUCAGAAAUCAAGAUAGAUCGGGAGUUCCGCCACUGCAAGCCUCUGUAGCCACCAAAAACCUCUCGGGAGUCUGUUCCGGCACCCUGUCGGAGGGGGAACCCAUCAUCGGUGGCCAUCUUCAUCAUCCCGGUGCUAUCCAUGACGAGGAGGGAGUAGCUCACCCUCGGGGCUGAGGGUAUGUACCAGUAGCUAUGUGUUUGAUCUCUCUCUCUCUCUCUCGUGUUCUCUCUAUGGCACGAUCUUGAUGUAUCGCGAGCUUUGCUAUUAUAGUUGGAUCUUAUGAUGUUUCUCCCCCUCUACUCUCUUGUAAUGAAUUGAGUUUCCCUCUUGAAGUUAUCUUAUCGGAUUGAGUCUUUACUUUGAGAACACUUGAUGUAUGUCUUGCCGUGUUUAUCUGUGGUGACAAUGGGAUAUCACGUGCCACUUGAUGUAUGUUUUGGUGACCAACUUGCGGGUUCCGCCCAUGAACCUAUGCAUAGGGGUUGGCACACGUUCUUGACUCUCCGAUAGAAACUUUGGGGCACUCUUUGAAGUACUUUGUGUUGGUUGGAUGAAUCUGAGAUUGUGUGAUGCAUAUCAUUUAAUCAUGCCCACACAUACUUGAGGUGACAAUGGAGUAUCUAGGUGACAUUAGGGUUUUGGUUGAUUUGUGUCUUAAGGUGUUAUUCUAGUACGAACUCUUUUAUAGAUCGAUCCGAAAGAAUAACUUUGAGGUGGUUUCGUACCCUACCAUAAUCUCUAUGUUUGUUCUCCGCUAUUAGUGGCUUUGGAGUGACUCUGUGUUGCAUGUUGAGGAAUUGUUAUAUGAUCUAUCUAUGUUAUUAUUGUUGAGAGAACUUGCACUAGUGAAAGUAUGAACCCUAGGCCUUGUUUCCUAUCAUUGCAAUACCAUUUACGCUCACUUUUAUCAUUAGUUACCUUGCUGUUUUUAUAAUUUCAGAUUACAAAUACCUUUAUCUACCAUCCAUAUUGCACUUGUAUCACCAUCUCUUCGCCGAACUAGUGCACCUAUACAAUUUGCCAUUGUAUUGGGUGUGUUGGGGACACAAGAGACUCUUUGUUAUUUGGUUGCAGGGUUGUUUGAGAGAGACCAUCUUCAUCCUACGCCUCCCACGGAUUGAUAAACCUUAGGUCAUCCACGUGAGGGAAAUUUGCUACUGUCCUACAAACCUGUGCACUUGCAGGCCCAACAACGUCUACAAGAAGAAGGUUGUGUAGUAAACAUCAGCACUCCGAGGUGGCGACAUAGCACGGCCAAUGUAGGCCGACAGUGUGACGCCGAAGUCCCCGGCGUGGGUUAAUGAAGUGAUGACGAAGCCCCGGUCCAGCCGAGGUGACUUGAUACAUCGGUACGACGAGGUGACAGCACUGUCCGACCCGGAUCAUUUACCUAUGCACAGAAAAUAGUGCAAGCCGGAGAUAAUAGGAAUAAUAAUAAAUCAAAAAAAUGUUGCAUGAUUAAUAAUUUCUGUGAAGUGAGUAAUAAAAGAAAUAUGGCCCGUGUACCGAACACUCGAUGAGGUAGAGUUCUCUCAAUGAUGCCGAAGUCCCCGAGGCAACCAAACAUGCCGGUAUGGCAAUUCGACCAACAAGGUGAUCACACGAGCCGAUUUAUGCCGAUUGGGACGAUGAUGUCUGCAUGCGGAAGUGAUCGCGUGAUGCAGUCGAAGCCGAUCACCUACACACAUAAAUAGCACGGUCCAAAAGGAACAAUAUAAAUAUAUAUAAAAUCCUUGCAUAAUUUCUUUUCACAAAAAUAAUUUAUUUAAAGAGAUGUGGCCUGACACCGAAGUCAAUGUCGAUGCAAGGCAUCGGCGUGACACGGUGAAGGCGUGGCAAAGCCUAAAUUCACAAGCCGGUCCGAGUUUCUAAUGCAGCGUUCGCCGAACGGUAUACAGAAACUGACCGAACCACCACGCGACCGUUGUUAAUGCGGCCACCCUUUGACAGACCUGUGUACAGAUGAUGGAACAAACCAGAGUAAUAAUUCCUCAGGUAAAAUAAACCCAAGCAAGAAAAAAUUAUUAGGAUUAAUAGCAUCUGGUUUAUCUUUUGCAGCAAUAUGAAGAAAGGUUAAUCCCAAAAUUGGGACUUGAUCUGCACACCCAUUGCAUGAUGGGCGAUGAUGCUGAUAAAGGUUGGCUCGCCGAGGCAAAGCCCCCGGUCUAGCAAACGUGACGAAGCUGGUCGGCUGGUAACGCCGAAGUCUCCGGAGUAGGUUGAUGAAGAGAUGGCGAAAGCCCCCGGUCUAGCCGAGAUGACGGAGCAGGUCAGUAAGGAGACGUUCUAGCUGCCAUGUAAACCGAGGUGUGAAUCAUUUGGUGUGAUGGACAUCAACUUGAAGAAGCAACAGUGCGGCCAUGCCGACGCUGGUCAUAACUUGUGACACGGUCAAUGCCGGAUAGAUGAAGUGACCGAGCGGCGAUGUCGGCGCGCCUGACCAGUGGGGCGAUGGUGUUGGUGAUGAUUUAGCCUUCGCGAUGCCGAACUCUUGUUCGGCUUGCCGAGCUGAUGAUCCGAUAAGGUUAGGCUCGGCUCGAUGAAGCGACGAUCUGUCUAGCGCAGGUCGGCUGACGUGGAGCAAUGUUACCGGACUGGUUUGACACCAGCGUGACGAUGAAGAGUAUCUCCGAAAAGGAGCAAAAUUUGUGAGCAUGUGUUCGGAAACAAAACACAAUACCCUAUAAAGAGAUUCUUCCAAAAAUAUAUAUUCCAAUAUCCCGUUCAUGAAGAAAGAUGAACUCAGGUCGGAUUCGUAUUCGCGCAGAAAACAGAUUCAAAAAGUGAUGCACUAAUCGAAAUGUUCCCGAAGUUUGAACGGUCGGAUCGAGCUGAAAGUUUGUGAGGUGGUAGAUAUAGGAAUUCCACAGCCGAUCAACAGUUGGAUCUUCCAAAGGACGUCCGAGCUAGACGCUGGACACCAUGCUCCAAACUCGUCCAGGUUCCCGUCCAGAUUUGACGGGGCUCCAGUAUAUCGGAGAUCGAUGGAGAUUACUCAAUCGGAACGCGACGAAAUUUUACAGUGUUGUUGUAGACUCAAUUCCGCAUAAUUCCACCGAAGGAAUCAUCAAAGCGAUGCUCGAGGAGGUGGUGGUAGCGGAUACAAGUUUGCUGUUCGGAAAAACAGCACGGUCGCCCGAGGGCAAUGUUGACGUUGAGCCCCCGAGCUCCAUGGAUGAUUCCUCCAUGAUCAUGAUAGAGAUCGGAGUUGAUGUUGAUGAAGGCCCUCGUUUGAACAUGACGAUUGGAGGCAGGGCACAGUCCUUGGUUAAGCCAAGGUGACUAGUCAAGGCGGUGAUGAAGAUGCCGACUUCACAGUUGAUCUGCAGGAGAGCCAUUGAUCCUUCCGCCGACCACACAGCGGAACUCUCAAUGAAAGCACCAUUAUCGGUGUCAAAACUGGCGGAUCUCGGGUAGGGGGUCCCGAACUGUGCGUCCAAGAUCGAUGCUAACAGGAGACAGGGGACAUGAUGUUUACCUAGGUUCGGGCCCUCUCUAUGGAGGUAAUACCCUAUUUCCUGCUUGAUUGAUCUUGAUGAAUAUGAGUAUUACAAGAGUUUAUCUACCUCGAGAUCGUAUGUUGUGGUCUAAACCCUAAAGGUAUGAUGAGUAAUGUCAUGAUGAUCUAUCGACUAGCCUGGCCUCGGCUUAUAUAAUGUACCAGAGGCCUAGGAUAACAAGAGUCCUAGUCGAAUACGUCGGUGGAGAGGAGUCCUUGUCUUGAUCAUCAAGUCUUGUGGAAUCUUCCUCGUGUAUACAUCGGCUGUCCGAACUGGCCCAUGAGCAAACGGCCAUGGGGUCCUCGGCCCAAUUCAACUGAUCGGGAGAUGACAUGGUGAGUAUCCCCUAGUCCAGGACACUGUCAAGUGUCACUCUCAAGGGUGGGAGCGUUGCCCCUCCAUUCCAUCUCCUCUGGGUUUGGGGAUGGAGAAACACUCAUGUCUGGGUUGGUUUUCCUAGGGGAACCCAGAAUCAAGUGCUAAGAUUCGGCCAUAAAACUUGACCGAGCGCGAAAAUCAAAAUUGAUUGAAAAUUAGGAGAAUAAUUUAUUUUAAUAAAAGAUGUGCUACAAAAGAAAAAAGGAAAAGAAAAGCAGUUCCUUGACAUUGGCCACCAGAAAGUGUAAGUGUAUAUCUCCACUGUUUCCACCAUUCUAAUUUCCUCUAAUAUAUCAAUCUUCAUCAUAACAUACACGGGAGACUGGACAAUGCAUUAAAAGCUCAAUUCCAAACAAUAACAUGAUCACUCCAUUUCAUCAUGAUAUUAAUGGAGAGCUAGGCUUACAAUAUCCACUCACACAUCUUACAUUCUUAAGAAGUUGAUCCCCACUACAACCAAUUCUCUCAACAUGCAGCCCCUCCACAUCAUCAUCUAGCCACCUCAGCAAUUUCCACCCAUGUCAUUUUAUCUCUUCGUUUUUUUCUUCAGGUUCACAUAGCAUCGGUUGGUUGCAUAUUCCACCGAAGGGUUUUUACUAGCACGUGGCUUCAGUUACUGUUGUGACAACCAACAAGAGAUCUCGACAUCCUACGAGAUGACCCCUCGGUGCUCCACAAUCCACGCCCUCCCGUUUGGAUCUAUAUUCUUCAACCAGCAGAAGCCAAAGCAAACGUCCCCAAAAUCCAGAAAAUUCCAGAAAAUGCCCAAAACUUCUAAAAUUCAUAUAAAUUCAACCGUAACUCCAAAUGAGAUAAAUUAUAUAUGAAAAAUGAUCAGAAAAAUCCAAUCUAUCCAUCUGUACCAUUUUCAUGCAUGUUAGAACAACUUAUGAAUACUGUUUAGGACAAUUCAAUUAAAUGGCAUUUAAAUAACCACAUGUGGAGUUUGAACUUGAAUCUUGGAUUCAAACCAACUUCAUUUAAUCUGGUUUUAGUUGCAUUAGCAUAAACCACAGCAUAUUGCCAUGUCACAUUCAUGCAUCAUAUUGUUGCAUUGCAUUGAUUGUGUUUCUUCUUUGUUUGUCGGUGCUUGUCCCCUCUCAGUAGACGUGUACCGACGAUGUGAUCGAUGACACCGAUGAAGAACUAUACUAUCUUCAGAAGUGCCAGGCAAGCAAAACCCCCUUGUUCAUUCCGAUACAAUCCCACACUCUCGCUCCCGCUCUCUUUUACUGCAUUAGGACAACAACGAUUCAACUGUUACAUGUUGCGGUAGUUGAACCCCUUUCCUCUGCAUGACCUGUCAUUGCCACAGUAAAUAGAUGAAACCCACUAGCAUGAGUAGGAGUUGUCUGAGCCCUGAUGUGCCUACUCAUUCAUGCUUGUUUGUCAUGCCUGCUACUGCUUAGAGUUGAGUCAGGUCUAAUUCAUCGGCGAUGAAUCGGAGGCGUGUGAACAUGUCCUACUGUGUGUGAGCUAAGUGUGUGAACACGAUUUGGUAAAGGUAGCGGUGAGAGGCCAUGUAGGAGUACAUGGUGGGUUGUCUCAUUGAAGCCGUCCUUAGGAACUGAGUUAUGUAUUUGUGAUCCAUGAACAGUUACUACCACACAUUGGGUUCCGGUAACUCGACCCCUCUCGACUUAUUAAUCAACAUGAUCUCUGUCCAGGAGUUGCAACUAGUUUCUGGUAUUUGUAGGUAGUGUUAGUAGUCUACCAAGUGGCACCCGGUACAGGUGGGCUUGGGACAGACUAGGCACAGUGGCCCCAUGUACCAAGUGGCACCCGGAUGGUGGACUUGGGAACCCUGCACACAUCAUUUGGGGCCGUGAGUGACACCCCGGACGGAUCUCCUUGCGGAUGGAACCCGAAUAGGCGAUAAACCUGGACGAGAGACUUGUGUGGUUAGUCAGGUCGUGGCCGACUCCCUCGCCAGGCUUCCGCUUGAAGGUUGCCGAGAUACACGAGGUGUACAUGGCGGUAAGUGGCGAGAGCGUGUGUGAAGAAGUACACCCCUGCAGGGUUAAUAUGAUCUAUUCAAAUAGCCGUGUCCGCGGUAAAGGACUUCUGGGUUGCCUGUACAGUUCAUAGACAAGUGAAAGUGGAUACUCUAAAAUACGCAAGACAAGCGUGAGUGCUAUGGAUGGCGUUCUCGUAGGGAGACGGGAGCGGAUCCAUAGUGGUGUAUUGAUAUGGUGAAUAUGUGGACUCGUGUGCGCCACCUCAAAAGAGUUACUUGCAGUCGUAGUUCAGGAUAGCCACCGAGUCGAAGUUGGCUUGCUGCAGUUAAACUCCACCACCCCCUUUGUUGAUAAUGAUGCCUAUGUAGUUAGUUCUGAUGUAAGUCUUGCUGGGUACAUUUGUACUCACGUUUGCCUAUUUUACGUUUUUGCAGAGAGAUUUCAGUCUCGCUAGUAGUUACGCGUGGACUUCGACGUUUAGCUUGUUACCUCAACUACGAUCUUGUGCCCUCUGCAGGAUCUAGUAGAUAGUCAGGCUUCUCAGCCUUUUUCAUUUGUAGAUGUCUGUACUCAGAUGUGUUAAGCUUCCGCUUGUGCUUGACUUGUGUGCUCUGAAUGCUGGGUCAUGAGACUCAUGUUUGUAAUAUCUCGCUCCUUGGAGUCUAUUGAAUAAUACUUGAGUUGUAGAGUCAUGUUGUGAUGCCAUGUUGUAUUUGCACAUAUCGAGCAUAUUGUGUGUAUGUUAUUGAAAUGCUUGGUAUGUGUGGGAUCUGACUAUCUAGUUGUUUAUCCUUAGUAGCCUCUCUUACCGGGAAAUGUCUCCUAGUGCUUCCACUAAGCCUUGGUAGCUUGCUACUGCUCCGGAACAGUCAGGCUGGUUGGCAUGUGUCCUUCUUCGUUCCUUUCUCUGUCCCUUCGGGGAAAUGUCACACGAUGUCUACCGGAGUCCUAUUAGCCUGCUACAGCCCGGUUUACCGGAGUCCUGCUAGCCUAGUUGCUACAGCCCGGAUUCACUCGCUGAUGACCGACACGUUCGUUGCUGGGUCAUGUAUGCCUGUCCCUGUAAGUUAGUGCCACUUUGGGUUCACGACUAGCCAUGUCAGCCCGGGUUCUUUGUCAUAUGGAUGCUAGCGGCACUAUCAUAUACGUGAGCCAAAAGGCGCAAACGGUCCCGGACCAGGUAAGGUGGCACCUGUGGGAAUAUCGUGCGUGAGGCCGCAAAGUGAUAUGAUGUGUUACAUGCUAGAUCGGUGUGACUUAGGAUCGGGGUCCUGACAGCUUUGGUAUCUCAUGAUGAUAAAUUGUUGAGUUAAGGUAGUCUGUUGCCUCGACAUAUAUGUUGGAGCUAGUAUUAUGACCCUAGGUGUCUAGAGUAUCAUCUAGUAACUUAGCCAUGUUUUCUGUUCCCAGUGUGAUGAUUCUGGCCAUCAUUCUCGAAAGCAUCCUGUGAUGCCAUUUAGUUAGUAGGCAUUCUACUUCUGGGUUUUGAACCCGAGAUUCACCCUACUUACUUCAUGUUGAUAGUAAUUUCUAGCUCCCUUAGGUUAUUAGUAACCUUUGCGUUAGUCCUUGAGGUCCGUGGUAUUUCCUUCUUCCAAAUACUAUGAACCGUUUUGGAUGUAUCGAUGUUGCUUUGUAAUACAAAGCAGGGGGAAACCCUUUUUCGCUAUGAACUGUUUAUGGCAGAAGUUGUUUGAACCAAAAGAUCACAACCAGAGUGCUCUUGACGAGUUCUCGAUUCUAUAUUGUGACUCUGCCAGUUCAACCUUUCUGUAUGGGUUAUCCGGAAGAAAUAUGUUGAACUCGUUCGACAUGCAAAUCCAUGCAUCCACAACUUAGUAAAUCGUAUGUUCUUUCGAGUUCUCCCUCCUUAGUUGUCUUCUGACCUUCGUCUAUCAAUUGAUAGUCAAGAGUAUGUGUGCACCCGUUCAUCGAUGCCUAUUACCCUUGUGGUCCGUCAAGCCAUUCUAUUCCGGAAUGACUAGGAGAAGCAAACUCCAGAACCUCAUCCAUAUCCAGGAUUGGGUCAAAGUAUUUGUGCUCCGCAGAUCAAAUUGCUAAUCCAGCCUUUGUUCUGCUCUACCUUGCAGUAUUACCAUCUUUAUGUUAAGAUUAUCAUGGGAAUUGCACACCAUCCUAUUAACUCUUGAUACAGUGAUACUUCCCGCCCUCAAUAGUCGUUUCUCGGCUCCCGUGUUGUUCCAACCAGAAUGCCGACAGAUGAACUAUGAUGUGUGAAAUCUAUACUCCUAGCAACUCUGUUGCUUGGUAAUUAAAUGGACAAUAACCUCAUUCUAGCGUGUUUGUUAUUGAAUCAUCACCGUAAGGUUUAUUGUGCUACCUAGUCCCUAUUUCCGGUGCACUCUUCGGUCGGUGAGUUAGGAUUUUGUCAAUUCCUCGCUCAUUUGAUCAUAUCGUCUUGCUUGAGAAGCAAGAUUGUUCUCGAGUUUAGUAACAUAUUGGUGGUUCGUGAUUUUCUGAAUAUCUUCUCAGAAGUAUCACCAGGUUGUCACCUGACCGCUAUGUUGAGCUCGUGAGCAAGUUGGUUUUUCUGCAAACCACCCCUUCUCCAAGGAUCUGUGUUGGAUACCCCUGAGCUAGUUGGUUAAGCUAAACAACAACUUGGAGAGUUGGAAGAUAAAAACCUGUCCAACUUAGUUCAUUCCAAGGGAUAUCUUUGUGUGUGCGUAUUGAAGGAAGAUGGUAUUUUCAUCGAUUGACCCUCGUGAUCGGUUAAUGGAUCUAUCAUCUUAUCCAAUCCUUGAUUUGGGUAUGGGUUAUCGUCAACUCAAAUCAGAACCAACGAUGUUCGUAAUGUUGUCUUACUCGUGGAUUUUUCUCGAGCAUACACCGUUAUAUUUUUUGGUUCUGACCAAUGCUAUCACUUGAUCUCAUAAUUAUGGAAUUCCAUUUAUAUGGAAAUCUCGAUGAUUUGUUGUUGAGCCCAUCAGCAUCAUUUUUUCUUCUCCAUGAUUCAUGUUGAACAUCUAAGUUAGCAUUGGAAACUUGUGUAAGCAUUUUCUUCAUGCCCCGUUCGUGAAACAUAUGUUCGGAUGUAAGAAGUGACUUCCUCCAGUUCAUGUGCAUUUGAUGUAAGUUGCCGCCGUGGAUUCGAGAAAGUCAAUGUUGUUUCCUUUGGAAUCAUCCCAAGUCGGUCAUGCAUACGUGUGAAGUAUUCUGUGGUUUGAAGACUUGCAACCUUCAUUCUAUAUGUAUCCUUAGCACACCAAGCCACUGACUGAUUUGUUCCAGGAGAAGGAGUUCCUUUUAAGAGCUAACCUGGGCUUAAUCAAGGACUCCGUUAUCCGCAAUGAUGGUUUCCCACCUAAACUCGGUAGUGUUUCAUUGUAAGACUGCCAGGUGAUCAUGCUUGUCUGGGACAACGUGUUCACGUGUUUCUAGCAGAACCAGCUCAUGUUUUGGAGCUUACUAUCGUAGUUCAUUUCCCGAGAAUCUCGCAACGUCAUCUCGUCGAUUUGUGUUGCAAACUUUCAUUUUUCUUUCUAGACUCGAUGAGUCUGGAAUAUCCUGACACCAACCAGAUCUGAAUCUCAGGCAGAUAUGAUGGUUGGAACGUUUUCUCAAGAACUAUAAUAUUGGUCUCUGUGUAACCCGGUAAAGUGGAUGUCGUGGCUGACACACCCAGCCGGAAGACCUAUUAUUGUAGUAUCUUGAUUGAAGAAGUUGGCCACAUCCCCAUAAGGAUUUCGCAGGAUUUACCUCUGUAGUUGUUCCUUAUGGAUUUUUGUGUUCCCGAAGUCCGACCUUUUACUUGAUGUUCUAGAUACCAAACCAUUUCAAUGAAUGGGAUACGCUCCACAUCAAGGAGAACAUUAGAAGCGGAGUGCUAAAUGUCUCUCGGUCGAUCCUCCAGAUUUUGUUUCCUUGGCGUCGUCAAGGUAAAAUCUGAGAAAGUGUUGUCCUUCCCUGCACCUGCAUCCUCCAUCGUUAUUCAUCAUGGUAGUACGUUGUGGCCAGGAUCCUUGGCACGGAUGAUGGUAAGACCUUGAUGAAUAUGGAAAUGCUCAAAUUCUUGAGAGCACGCUCAGUCACUGGGUUAUAUUCUCGGUAUCAACUGGAAUGUGCCUUCUAUUGUCGAGUUGUUCUAUAACCAUAGUUUCCUUUCCGAUCUGAGUAUGCAAUUUCUUCGAACUCCGUCAAACAAUCAUUUGUAAAUUGCCUUACCCUGGUAAGAAGAGUUUCAAUGAUCUCUAAAUCAAAGGUAAUUCUUUUUGCCACUUAAGGGGAUAUCUCUACGAGUCACCUUCCCUAAGGUGCCCCGUUAUGGUAUCAUGGCAACUCAACUGCUCGCUACGUUGACAACCGUUCACCACCUUCUUAAGUGUGGAAUUGUUGUCUACCUAGUGAACCCUCAUCAUCCGUUCCACUCCAUCCCUCUAGAUGUGUGCUUAGUGUCUCAGCUUGAGAGAUGUUGCUAUGUCUCAUUCCGUGAGUUAAUCUUGAGUUGUUCGAUCUUCGAGAAGAUCGGUCCUUCUAGAGUCUCCUUCUCCUCUCAUUGUCAUGUUGGCUGGAGUUCUCAGAGCAUGACGACGAGACAAAGAUGGUGUUUGAAUCAACGUUCAUUUGAAGUGCAACCUGGAUCGUGAAGAUUGUGUUAGUUGUGUCCCUUCUGUCAUCUUACCCUACGCUUGAAUCUCGGGACGAGAUUCUUAUUUAGUGGGGGUGAGCUGUCACAUCCCUAGUUCUGGUAUGCACUAGGCUAGCCCUUCAUGUGAGCAUCAUAUUUAAAUUUCUGAAACUUGAAUUGAGGAUUGUUGAAGCCUCAAAACUUUAAUUAAAAGCAGGGCAAAGAACCCUGUAAAUUGCAUUCAGUGUUCCCAAAAUGGCCUUAAAUAAUGUUGGUUAUAUUUGGCAAAGGUUUUUGCACCAAACCAAAAAUAAUGAGCAUUUUUGAGGAAUAUUUUGGGCACUGAAUUUAAAUCAUUAUUUUAUUUGCAUUUGGAAUUAUAUCCAUAACUUGUAUAGAAUAUAUUUCCAAAUACCCUGGAACAUUUUAUGUGCUUUUGAAAAGUCCAUUAAGCAACAUAAAAAUAUUCAUGGGAAUUUUGUCACUGUUUUUGAUUUUUUUAUUAGAAACAGUGGCAAAAGGAAGUAAAUUAAACAAAACAGAAGAAAAAUUAAAAAAGACUAGAGGCCUACCUAACUUACCUGUGCAGCCCAACCCUGUAGAAGGCCCAGCCCACCUGGCAGCCCACUGGCCGGCCCAGCACUGUGCUGGCCCGUGCCAGCCACCUGCUUCCUCUCGCCAGGCAGGUAGAGAGGAGCGCGCCUGCGCACGCCGAGCUUGCCACGCAGCUCCCUGGCCGCCUGCCCCGCUUGGACAGUGUGGCGACGCCUCGAAGCCACUCCUCGGCGCUACCCCGACCACGCCGACCCCCCAUUCUGCCCCUGGCUCUCUCCCUCGUCCUCUCCCACUAUGGCCCACGCCCCCGUAAGCCACCGUCGCCGCUCGUCGCUACCACCGACCUCCCCGCGCCCAUCCGGAUAUGCCACGAGCUCCACCUCGACCCACGCGUCCUCUACACCAAGCCAGGCGCCGCCAGGAGCUCCGUGACGACAUCCCCGACCCCUUCUUCCUCCUCGGGUCGCCGGAGAUCCCCUUCGCCGCCCGCUCGCUCCGACGCUUCCCCGAGCCAAACGAGUCGCCCAUCCAACUCCCUGUGAGCCCCUCCGUCAUCUCCCCCUCUCCCCUUGGUCGAUUUCUCGCUGCAACACCGAUGACCGCGAGUCCCGUAUGCCGCCGACGAGGCUCCGGUGACCAAAUGGUCCCGUGCGUGCCUCCGUUGGGUUCGGGAGCUCUCGUAGAUCACGUAGGUGCAAACCGCUGGUCUUCCCGCGCGCCAUGUCGUCGAUUUCGUUGACACCCGAGCUCCGGCCGCCGCCCAACUCGCCGCUGCCGCCGCUGCAGACCACCUAGCGCCCUAUCUCUGCCACCGCUAGAUGUGCACGAGCCCCAGCUCGCCGUAGAACCAAACCGCGUCGCAAGCCGUGCCCUGUGGGCGAUUCCCGAGCCACCCCGCCACCGCGGCACCUCGCCGGCGAGUCAACCCCGGUUAAACGCCGGCCCAACUGCAGAUUAGGCGCUAAUCUAAUAGUCUUAGGUCACUGACAAAUGGGCCCCACGCCCUUAAUUAAUCACAGGAUAUCUCCCUGCUUAGUUUAAGCUAAUGUCGUGGCCCACCGGUCAGUUUGCCUGGCCACGUCAGCAUUGACCGGGUCCCAUGCGUCAGGUUUGACUCUGGUCAACCCUGUUGACUUGCUGACCUCAUGCAGGCGUCAUGCUGACGCAGUAAAGUAUUUCUGGAAUUAAAAUAAAUCAGAAAAUGAUUUAUAAAUUUCAGAAAAUACCCCAAACUUCUAAAAAUCAUAGAAAAAUAACCGUAGCUCAGAAUGAAAUAAUUUAUAUAUGAAAAAUGAUCAGAAAAAUCCAAUCUAUCCAUCUGUACCAUUUUCAUGCAUGUCAGAACAACUUGUAGCUGCUGUUUAGCACAAACCAUAUAAAUGGCAUUUUAAUAUCCACAUAUGGAGUUUGAAUUUGAACCUUGGAUUCAAACCAACUUCAUUUAAUCUGUUUGCUAGUUGCAUUAGCCCAAAUCACAGCAUAUUGCCAUGUCAUGAUCAUGCAUCAUAUUGUCGCAUUGCAUUGAUUGUGUUUAUUCUUUGUUUAUCGGUGUUUAUCCCCUCUCAGUAGACGUGUUCUGACGAUGUGAUCGAUGACACCGAUGAAGAGCUAUACUAUCUUCAGAAGUGCCAGGCAAGCAAAACCCCCUUGUUCAUUCCGAUACAAUCCCACUCUCUCGCUCCUGCUCUAUUUUACUGCAUUAGGACAACAACGAUACAACUGUUACUUGCUGCGGUAGUUGAACCCCUUUAUCCUCUGCAUGACCCGUCAUUGCCACAGUAAAUAGAUGAAACCCACUAGCAUGAGUAGGAGUUGUUUGAGCCCUGAUGUGCCUACUCAUUCAUGCUUGUUUGUCAUGCCUGCUAUUGCUUAGAGUUGUGUCAGGUCUGAUUCAUCGGGGAUGAAUUGGAGGUGUGUAAACAUGUCCUACUGUGUGUGAGCUAAGUGUGUGAACACGAUUUGGUAAAGGUAGCGGUGAGAGGCCAUGUAGGAGUACAUGGUGGGUUGUCUCAUUGAAGCCGUCCUUAGGAACUGAGUUCUGUGUUUGUGAUCCAUGAACAGUUACUACCACACAUUGGGCUCCGGGCACUCCAAGCUCUCUCGACUUAUUAAUCAACUUGAUCUCUGUCCAGGAGCUGCAACUAGUUUCUGGUGUUUGUAGGUAGUGUUAGUAGUCUACCAAGUGGCACCCGGUACAGGUGGGCUUGGGACAGACUAGGCACAGUGGCACGGUGUACCAAGUGGCACCCGGAUGGUGGGCUUGGGAACCCUGCUCACAUCGUUUGGGGCCGUGAGCGACACCCCGGCUGGAUCUCCUUGCGGAUGGAACCCGAAUAGGCGAUAAACCUGGACGAGAGACUUGUGUGGUUAGUCAGGUCAUGGCCGACACCCUCGCUGGGCUUCCGCUUGAAGGUUGCCGAGUACAUGUCGUGUAAACGGCGGUAAGUGGUGAGAGCGUGUGUGAAGACGUACACCCCUUCAGGGUUAAUAUGAUCUAUUCGAAUAGUCGUGUCCGCGGUAAAGGACUUCUGGGUUGCCUGUACAGUUCAUAGACAAGUGAAAGUGGAUACUCUAAAAUACGCAAGAUAAGUGUGAGUGCUAUGGAUGGCGUUCUCGUAGGGAGACGGGAGUGGAUCCAUAGUGGUGUAUUGAUAUGGUGAAUAUGUGGACUCGUGUGCGCCACCUCAAAGAGUUACAUUGCAGUCGUAGUUCAGGAUAGCCACUGAGUCAAAGCUGGCUUGCUGCAGUUAAACCCCACCAUCCCUUUGUUGAUAAUGAUGCAUAUGUAGAUAGUUCUGAUGUAAGUUUUGUCGGGUACAUUUGUACUCACGUUUGCCUAUUUUAUGUUUUUGCAGAGAGAGACCUCAGUCUCAUUAGUAGUUCCUCGUGGACUUUGACGUUUAGCUUGUUACCUCAGCUACAAUCUUGUGCCCUCGGCAGGAUCUGGUAGAUAGUCAGGCUUUUCAGCCUGUUUGUAAUAUCUCGCUCCCCGGAGCCUAUUGAAUAAAAUACUUGAGUUGUAGAGUCAUGUUGUGAUGCCAUGUUGUAUUUGCACAUAUCGAGCAUAUUGUGUGUAUGUUGUUGAAAUGCUUGGUAUGUGUGGGAUCUGACUAUCUAGUUGUUUAUCCUUAGUAGUCUCUCUUACUGGGAAAUGUCUCCUAGUGCUUCCAUUGAGCCAUGGUAGCUUGCUACUGCUCCGGAACACUUAGGCUGGCCGGCAUGUGUCCUUCUUCGAUCCUGUGUCUGUCCCUUCGGGGAAAUGUCACGCGAUGAAUACCGGAGUCCUGUUAGCCCGCUAUAGCCCGGUUAACCGGAGUCCUGCUAGCCCAGUGCUACAGCCUGAAUUCACUCGCUGAUGACCGACACGUUCGAUGCUGGGUCAUGGAUGUCUGUCCCUGUAAGUUUGUGCCACUUUGGGUUUACGACUAGCCAUGUCAGCCUGGGCUCCUUAUCAUAUGGAUGUUAGCGACACUAUCAUAUACGUGUGCCAAAAGGCGCAAACGGUCCCGGGCAAAGGUAAGGCGACACCCGUGGGGAUACCGUGCGUGAGGCCGCAAAGUGAUAUGAUGUGUUACAUGCUAGAUCGAUGUGGCAUUGAGUCGGGGUCCUGACAGCUUUGGUAUGAACGAAACGUCAUGAAUCCCUCAUAAACUGGCCUCCCCGUCUCCCAUCCCCACCAUCUCAACCCCCGAGGCCCCGACGAAGCGACGAAUGCAAGUGAAGCCAGCCUCCUAUAGGGUUUAUGGUGGUCGUCCUGGGGCAGAACCGGCGGGUAUGAUGGCGAUGGCGGAGCAGCGACCAGAUCUCAAGAAGAUCGAUCUAGAGGCUGGGUGGGGCAUCAAUAAUCUCAUCAACAUCCUCGAGGGCAAGCCAGCGCCGCAGCUCAGCUUCGAGGACUAAAUGAGGAAUACACGUAAGUCGACUCCUCCCUCUGGAGAUGCCUUGGCUAGGCCCAAUUAAUUCGUACUAGGCCCGAUUUGUUCCCCUGUUUUUCUCUAUUUGUCACACAUCCUGAUAUACAACAUCUGCACUACUUGCAGCAGAUCUACGACAUGUUCCUUAGUCUUUACAUACUGGCAGGGGUAUCAUCUCGGUUGUGUUGGGCAUUUGUCUGAUUCGAGUAUGUCCGGUGGAAUUUAUGCAAGAGCACAUAUUCAUUGUUCAAGUAUUACAUUACCAAGUAAUUUGUUCCCGUUGAAUAGCUCUAUGUGCACCCAUUUGUAAGUAGCCUCUCUCAAUCUUUUUUUUUUGCCGCAUCAUAAAUUAUCUUGCUUCUUUCAGAAAAUCGUACUGAAGACUGUCUUCUUUCGUGCUUCUGGUCACUGUCUUCUUUCAUGCUUGAGGUGGACUGAGUUACAUAUCUUGAUGUAUGCACAAGGCAUCAUAAAUUAUCUUACUAUACUUUCUAAACAGCGUACUGAAGACUGUCUUCUUUCAUGCUUCUGGUCACUGUCAUCUUUCAUGCUUAAGGUGGACUGAUUAUAAGCAUUACGUCCUAGGUGGUAAAUAAAAUAACUCAACCAAUUUCAAAGUGAUGUGUUACUUGGUGCAGUCCAACUCUGAAUGUUUUCUGCUUUUUAUUUUCUUACUGAAGGUUAAUUCCCACACACGUUACAGUCUGAAGGUACAUGCAAAAAUUAUGUUUCUGAGUAGAUAUACAUGUUUUACUACAUAUCAUAAUGGCUCGCUUCCUUUUUAAUUGAAAUUCCACAAUAGUUCCUCUAUACUAACGUCUACAUAUCAUGAUGGCCGGCUUCCUUUUUAACUGAAAUUCCACAAACGUCUGUGUAAGUGUUCCAUGUAGUAGGUUUUAGGAUAAGAGCAUAUAUUAUGGAUGCAUAAAUAGAAUAUUCUCCAGUUUCUUUUGUUUGGUCGAUGGCAGAUCAGCAAAACUGAAUAGUGUUGUAGAAAUUCUGAACUUUUUUGCAGGGACAGAAAUUAUGAACACUAUAGUCUCAUAAGACAAGGAGCUGGAGCUGCAGUUUACCUUUGAGUUCUAAAUGAGGAAGAUACAACAUGGUCGACCUUCUAGCAUGGCAAUGAUAGUGUUUUUUUGGGGAGCUGACUCUGCAGCUGCUGAGGAAGCCAUCUAGGUUGCUCCUUUCUAUCGGUGGUAAGCUUAUGAGUGGAGACAUUGAUGACGAUUCUGGAAUUGGAGGUGUUGUUGUCCUCUUGACCUGUUCUUGCAAUAUACUUGACCAUGUCAAGUAAUUUUGCGCUCAGUUCCUCCUGGACCGGUUUCUCUCUGCUUCUCCAGUAACAUGUGAGGUGACUGGUGCAGCUUGAAAUAGCCAUUUCAAACUCAUAAAUUAAUGGACAUCUGAGGAGACACACGAUGGGCUUUAUAAUACCAUUCUCGAUAUGAAUCUCGCCAUCAACUCCUUACCUAGCACGUCGAUGUAGUAUUUCUGAUGCUGACUUAAUGAUCAUUGUCUUCUUCAGGUCGAAGGUCUUGAUCAUCGUAUAUUCAAAGUUACAUUGGACACAUUCAUAGUUCCUGAUGGAAUGAAUUUUCUUUCAUCUGACUUUUCAUUUAUUCUAUUGCUAUACUAUUAUCCAUUAGUUGACAUCCCAAAAAUGUCGUUUUGUUUGAUUUUGAGAGUUGCAGGUUAGUGAUUGUUGACUUUGACGCAUUGGUAGUAGAUUUGAAGUUCAAUUAAACUAGGUGACAUUUCUGUACAAGUUUUCGCGUAUGUGGCAACAUUUUUUUGUCUCCUAUAGUUAUUUUCUUCUGGAAGAUAGUUAUGUGUUACUUGCAUUUUGACGUUACUCCAAGAAUAAGAAUAGUUGUUCAGCUCAGAUAACAUGAUAACCACACGUACAUGGAUCCAACAUCCAAAUUUGUUACUUUUAGCUAUAUGCUGAUCAUGAUGCACUCUUUUCAUGUAUGUAAUAGGCAAGUUUCGUCACUUAAAGACUUCUUUGUUUCGAAUUUUUUGUAUUAGCUCAUCAUUCCAAUUCUUUGUAUUAACACAACUGUUACAAUUUGAUGCAAGCAAUUCUUUUGUAUGCACUCAUUUAAAAGAUAUGCCUUCCCCACAAAAAGAGAAAUGCUUUGACGCACAUGCAAGUCACUAUUUUUCUUUACAUGACGUAUCUCUCCAAAUUAGAAAUUUUAGCACAAAAUAUCCCGCAGCAACGCGCGGGGAUUCAUCUAGUUUAGAUGAAUAAUGGUGAACCAUUCACUUCACAAACUUACAAAGGAUCCAGACCGAACAAUACUAUAGUGCUAGAGUAAAUAUGUUAACGUCAUUUUCUGUUGGCCAAAUGUCGGGAAAUUGCAUUUUUUUUUAACAACGCUGAGAUAAAUUAAAAUUUUCCGAACAGUGUAAAAAGCUGCACCUCUGAAAUCUACGGAGGGGUCUGCAUCUAGGCUCCAUGCAAGUUGUCUGGGGCGAGGUCAACAUAAAUUCUACUGGGGUUAGAGCAUCUCCAACAGCCGCGCUAAACUAGCGCCGCGCCGCAAAUUUGUCGAUUUUAGCGCGCGCAACGCGGCGGGUCGCUCCAGCGGGCGCGCAAUAACGGCGCGCGCGCUAUACCGAGUUGGGCGCGCUGUCGGAAAUGUCAUCCCGCGCGGCGUAUUUCGGGCGCCUGCUACAGCACGCGGCACACUCGACCGCUCGCACCGCACUCUCUCCUUUCCUCCUCCUACGCCCCGCGCGCGCCGGCGCCGGCGCCACCCAUGGACGCGCACACCGGCACCCCGCUCUCCCCGCUGUACANNNNNNNNNNNNNNNNNNNNNNNNNNNNNNNNNNNNNNNNNNNNNNNNNNNNNNNNNNNNNNNNNNNNNNNNNNNNNNNNNNNNNNNNNNNNNNNNNNNNNNNNNNNNNNNNNNNNNNNNNNNNNNNNNNNNNNNNNNNNNNNNNNNNNNNNNNNNNNNNNNNNNNNNNNNNNNNNNNNNNNNNNNNNNNNNNNNNNNNNNNNNNNNNNNNNNNNNNNNNNNNNNNNNNNNNNNNNNNNNNNNNNNNNNNNNNNNNNNNNNNNNNNNNNGCGUUGGCGUCGCCACCGCCGGAGCUCCGCCGAGGACCGGCCUCGCGCGCAGCCUCUUCUUGCCGCCGCGGAUGACCACGGCGACGGGUGGCGUCGCGCCGGCGCCGUCCCGUGCCGCCGCCGCACCUUCGAAGCUCCCCAAUGCGGCGCGGCCAAAGAAGGGCAAAACUUCGGCGAAGAAAAACAAGGCGGCAGACGGCUCCGGCGGCACGAAGGCGAGGGGAAAGAAGCUUGCAGGGCGUUCGACGGCCGCGGCGGCUACCGAAGCGCCGGCGAGCUCACUCGUUGAGCCGGCCGCCGACGCGCAUCAUGUGUUCGACGAAAUGCCCCCAAGGUGAAAAAAAUUCGAACUUUUAUUUUCUUCUUGUUUUUCAAUGCAUCAUCACAUAUAGAAAGCUUAUUUGCAUUGUUCAAAAAAAAUUGUAGUCUCAAUGAUGAUGCAUACAUGUCAACUAUGGGUGUUGGGUCCAACAAUUCGCAUUGGUCUCAAACCAAUGACAUCCAUUUGGAAGACCAUGAGUUUGAGGUGGACGAGGAGGGUGAGGGCAUUGUCGAUGCGCCGAAAGGAAGAGCGGGCAAUUACAGCACCAACGAUGACAAGUUACUAUGCAAUACUUAUUUGCAAGUGUCAAGGGAUCCAUCCAUUGGAGGUGAUCAAAGUAGAGAUGCGUAUUGGGGGCGAAUGAAAGAAUACUUUGAUGCUCACAACAUGAGUGGAAUUGACCGCUCAGAGAGAUCACUUCGGUCCCGAUGGUCCACAAUCAACUCGGAUUGUCAAAAGUGGGCGGCCGCACAAAAGUCAGUUGACAAGAUUAACCCAAGUGGCACAAAUGAGGAUGAUAGAGUAAGUGGCAUCUCAUAUAUGUUCAUCUCAUACUUGUUUUUGGUGUCCGAAGUGCUAACUUGUUUUGUUUUUCUUGUAGUUCAACAUUGCACAAAACUUGUUCAAAGAAGAGACGAGGAAAACCAAGAAGGGGAAGAUCAAGAAAGGAAGGUUCUUUACCUUGUCUCAUUGCUAUGAAGUGUUAAAGAAUGAUGAGAAAUGGAAGAAUCGUGAUGGUUUGGAUGAUUUGCAUUUGAGCAACAAACGCAAGGUGGAUGAUGAUGAGGAGGAGGAUGAUGCAUCAAGUGAUGACGGCAAGAGAAGCCCCACACCCAACUCGGUUUCAUACUCAAAGCCAAAACGACCGGAUGGGUGCAAGAAAGACAAAACCGAAAAGAAGAAGAGGAAAGGAGAUGAUGAGCUCAAAAAUGCUAUGGAAGCUAUUGUGAAGGCAAGAAAAGAAGCCAAUGAGGUGAGGAAAAUGGCAAGGAACCAAGAUGCCGCGGCCAAGGAGAGGAGGUUGGCGGCCGAGGAGAGGAGGGUGGCCGCCGAGGAGAGGAAAGUGGCAUUGGAGGAGAGGAAGGUGGGCAUGAAGGAGCGAUCUAGGUUGUUGGAAUGGGAGAAGCACUUGUUCUUCUUGGACACAUCUUCGUUCAAUGGUGCGCAAAAGGAAUAUGUCAACCUUGCUCGUGAAGAAGUCUUGAUCCAAAAAAGAGCCAUGAUCCGCACAAUGGGUGGCGGUGGCCUUGGCGGCAUGGGUGGCGGCGCCAUGGGAGGCAUGGGUGGCUUCGGCGCCAUGGGAGGCAUGGGUGCACCUCCGGCCGUCAUGGGAGGCAUGGGUGGCUUCGGCGCCAUGGGAGGCAUGGGUGCACCUCCGGCCGCCAUGGGAGGCAUGGGUGGCUUCGGCGCCAUGGGAGGCAUGGGUGGCUUGGGCGCCAUGGGAGGCAUGGGCGCACCUCCGGCCGCCAUGGGAGGCAUGGGCGCACCUCCGGCCGCCAUGGGAGGCAUGGGUGGCUUUGGAGCACCCUCUGACACUAUGGCCGCCAUGGGAGGCAUGAGUUUCGCUACUCUUAUGGGAGGCAUGGGUGCACCUCCGGCCAUGGGUGGAAUGUCUUUUGAUGUGCCUCCUCACACACAUUCCCGUGAAGAUGUCGUUGAAGAUCUUGCCAACACCGUCGGAGCUUCACGUGAUGCGAUGCGUGAUGAGGAUAGGGAGGAAGAUUCAUCUUUGGAGGCGGAAGAAUCGUCUUCGGAAGAUGAGGACGAAGACGAGGAAGAUGUUUGAUGUGUCUUUCAUUUAUAUGUCUUGAACUUUACUUUGCAUUUUGAACUUGGUUGGAUGAACUUGUGGGUAUGAACUUGUGGGCAUGACUUGGUUGGAAGAUGUUUGUGACAAAUUUCACAUGUUCAUUGCAUUUUGAUAAUUGUUUCAAACCCAUUUUGUAGCUAAGUCGCGCGCGCUGUAUUUUUGCGCGCUGCUGGAGCGGCGCGCGCGCUGCAUUAUAGCGCGGCUGCCGGAGCCAGCGCUCGCGGCCGCGCUAAACCAAGCGAAGCGCGCGCGGCAAACAGGUUUUUUGCGCGCGGCGCAUAGCGCGACUGUUGGAGAUGCUCUUAGUUUCGCUAUGGAUUUAGGCCCAAAUUUGUUUACGGCUUGAAAAAUAAGCAACCCCCUUCAAAAGCUUCUCCCAUAAGCCGCCUUCACUAUGCGUUGGGGCUAGGGCUGCAAACUAGUCGAGUUCGAGCGAGUUGGUCUAGGCUCAACUCAACUCAUACUAAAAUUCGAGCAAGCUCAAAAUGUGCGAAGUUCAAGGUUGAGCUGUAGAAAGUGGCCUGUGCUCAGCUUGUCACGAUCUCAGAUCGAUCUCGAGCUAGUUUUGAGCUCAAUGAUAUGAUUUUUAAAAUUAUUUCAAGGCAAAUUUCAAAGCAAGAUAGACCACAACUAAAAAAUUAUAUAAAAUAUGACUUAUUCUUUCUCAUCUUACGACUAAUAUUUAAUAACAAGAGAUCCUGGAUAGAAGUAAACGAAGGUGUGUCUGCUCUCAAAUUUUGGCCAAAAUAAUAGGAUAUUGAACACACAGUUGGCCACGUGUCAUAUUGGCCAUGCUUAAUUUCCAUGUUUGCUAGUACGGAAAAUGAAGAAAAAAAUCAUACUUAUAUGUCAAUGAAUGAUCCUAAUUCUUCGUAAUAGACAUGAAGAUUAUUCAUAAUAUACUUAUAUGACAUCGAGUUAUCGAGCUAAAAUCGAGCGAGCCAAUACUGGUUCAAGAUCAGCUCGUUUGUCCAUCAAGCUACAUAAAGUGCUUGUACUCAGCUCAUUUCUUUUCGAGUCGAUCUCGAGUCAAGCUAAAAUACGAAUCGGUCUCGAGCAGCUCACGAGCCUCGAGCUUUUCUUGCAGCCCUAAUUGGCGGUAUGGACUAAUUAUCGCAUAACUAGCCUAUAAGCCCCCAACGAAUAGAGGAGGCAGCUUAUAGAGAAGUUGUAAAGGGGGCGGUUUAUUUUUUAAGUUGCUAAAGGAACUGCAGUUUAGGAAGUGCAGCCUCCUGAAAUAAGAUACCAAAAAAAUAGAAGUGCAAUUCCUUGACAUUUCGCCAACAAAAAGUGUACUUUAACAAAAUUUACUCGAGUUACAAUAUCCGGACUCAUGACAUAGUGAAAUCUAGUCUAGUGACCAAUUCCAAGUGCAAAGGCAAACAUACUUCUCCAACUCUCCCAAUUCAUGUACAUCCAAGUGGCCAUCGCUGUAGGCAUUCCAUAUAGCAGACAAUUGUUGAGUCUUUCUCUUGAACGAGCGCGGCACCUACAAGGACCCAGAGAUUGUAGAAAUUAUAUAUUUUUUUUAGGGGAGAUUAUAGAAAAUUAGAUAUCAAUUCUGAGAUAAUAAAGUCGCCCUUUAUCAAAAAAUAGAAAAUUAGAUAUCAGUGUAGAUGCCAACUAAGAGAGCAAAUCAUUACUCUUUGUGCACUAAAAUUCUUUCGGAUUAUGAUCAUACCAGAGGGGAUCGCUGGGAUUAGGAUCAACGUGUCCGAAGAGAUGGAAGAGGAGCUCCAUGUUUUUUCCCGUGUACCUACGAUAUGGGUGCCUCUUCUCCAACUCAGCGAUCAGGUAGAAGAGGUCCUGCUUCUUGGUCUCGAUCUCGCAGUACUGCCGAUACGCCCAUGCUCUCUCUGGGUCGAGCUCUGGCGCAGGUUCUUCACAGGGUUGCUGGCGGACAGAUCGGAGAUGAGUUCUAAUUAACCGGUGGAAAAAAAAAGUUGCAGAUCUUAUACCAUCAGGGCGGCGUUGCCGUUUGCUGGGUGGGCAGCGGUGGCGGCGCCGGAAAAGUCUUUGCAGCCUGCGCCGCCGGAGGACAUGGAUCUGAGAGGAAAACAGGCAGGUCGGCCGCCGUUGAUAAGCCUUGGCAUCAGCCGGCCAUGCUCCUGCUUGACCAGCGGCGAGACGACGGCUUUGUAAACUGCCUGGGGUCGCUGGCCGCCGAGGAGCCUCCUCACCGCGCAUCGCAUCGCCGCCGCCAUCAUCUUGAAUCAAAAGGCGAAUCGAUUUAUGUAUUGUUUCUGCUUCGCUUCUCUUGCCAGUCGGGGUCGAUCCCUCUUAUCACGGCUGGGGUGCUCGGCUUCCGUCUCCGACACCUCAGAGCUAAAAACGGAGGUGUAUGUCCGACUAGUACUCUAACUAGUAACAGAGUAGGAUAUGUAAUAGGCUGAUUAUCUUGGGUGUGUCCAGGGCACAUUUAGAUAUGCUUUACUUAUUACAGAUCUAAAUAAGUGAAUCAAACAUAAAGAGGGGGAAAAGAGAAAAAAUAUUAUCCACACGAAUCUUGACAUAAAAUUAAUGAUAUCGAAUUUAGAGGUGCAAUACUUAUGGCACAACUAAAUGUGCUUUAGCAAAACUGUUCUUUAUAUACUUAGAGCCGCUCCCCUCCCGAGCGGCUCUGGAGGCCCCCUCCCCCCGAACCCUAGUCUACACACAAGCCGUGAUCCCUGGCCGCCGCUGCUGCCGUUGACUGCGGCGGCGGCGGCGGCGCCAGUCGGUGCUCUCUACGGCGCUUCAUGGGAGGAGGUGGGUCGCAGUCGGAGGGCAAGGGUGGCGCGGCCGGCCGGCCGGGGCUAGAUGUCCUUCAGCGGGAGGGCGGUGAGGAAACGGCGGCGCACCGCCGGCGGCCGUUCCGGUCACGUUGGUGGGCGUUUGGGUUUGCAAUAUGGGCAUCGAUCUAGGCCUCUCGUGAACUUCGAUAUGGACCAAUUGACCCAACGUGGGCAGGUGCUGUGGGAUCUGGUUGUUCGCCGUCUCUAUGAAGCCGUGCACGGUGCUGCCCUCUUCUCUGAUGUUGUCCCGCUGGAAGGCGACUGGAGGCGUGGAGGCCUGCUAGUCUUGCGUAUAAAGGAGGUGGUCCUGGGGUUUCUCCCACACCAAGACAAAGAUCUGCUUACUGUCUGCUUCUGGCCUGGAGUGGCGUGUUCCGGAAGGCUCUGCUGACGAACUCCCUUGGGCGCCUCAUGCCUGGAGAUUGCUGGAUCGGAUGAAAUUCGGUCGCGCGCACUCGUGUUUUUUCUGACCGUUUGGUUUCAGGGGGAGCGUUGUCAAGCUCUGUUGUCUGUUACCAUCAUGGGACACGUCUUUGUUGUUCUAUGUGAAGUCAGAUGCGGAGAAUGUUAGGACAGCCAGGAUAUGAGGACUAGCAAUGGUGGUUUGAGUCUUUGUGGCGAUGAGGAACUAGCUUGGUGUUAUAUGACUUGAAGCAGCAGCAUGGUACGUGGGGGUGAUAGCACAGAAGAAGUUCAAAUUCUUAUCUUGCAGGGUGAAAAUCUAAGGUCUAGUCUUAAUUGAUUAUGCCUGGCAAUGGCCUUGUUGAAGGCAUUGUUUUGCGAGUAAGGAUUUUCUUCAGGGUAAAAAUCUAUGAUCUAUGAUCGGGCGACGACGGCUUAUGCAUUUUUCCGUUCUUGGAGGCGUCGCUUUUGGACAAGCUAGACUUCUGGUGCUGUUCUGGUGGUGUUAGGUCUGCUGCUGCUAUAAGGAAUUGAUCACUUUAACAGGACUUUUCAUUUUUGCAAUUGUCUGGGUUUUUUUGGGUUGUGUGCAUCCGUGACCUGUUAGGGCUUUGCGUUGUUGUAGAGUUUGUGUAUAAUUGGUAUCUUCGCGAUACUAAUAUAUGUUCCUUUUCAAAAAAAAAUUAUAACCCUCGAUGUAAGCAACUGGAGUACGGAAAAGCAAUACAGAUAACAUCAGGCUCGAGACGGGCCCGUUGCAAUACAUCUGCUUGUUACGCGUGUGUUCCAUCGAGAGAAGUCGCUACGUUCCGUAAAAUCGAAUCGAUCCUUUGUAGUAAAAAGUCGCCGGCCAGUACGUGCUAGCUACCUACUACUCCCUGCGUAAACUAACAUAAAAAUGUUUAGAACACCUAUCCUUUUCGUAAACUAAUCAAAAAUGCUAGACAUACAAAGACUUACACGCUUUUACACGCUCCUUUUAUCUAACAACCAAUCACAAACCUCUUCCCCCUGAUUUUCAGGAGGGUGGGCCGUCCCGCUCACCUAUUGACCAAUCAAGAUUAACCAUCCUGUAAAAACUUGUAAAUUGUUUGUACGUGUAGCAUCCUAUAAGAGCGUUUAAAGAUAUUAGUUUACGGAGGAAAGUAUCAAUUAAGCUGCCUGCUUGGCUGCUUGUGAGGCUAGCUUGCCUGUACGUUGCUUCGGUUUCUGUGCAUACGGUUCCAAAACCAACACUCCAACGCCACACCGCCUAUAUUCGUUCCCGUUCGAACCAACUCCUCUCUCGUAGCAGAGAGUGCCCCGACCCCUCGUGGCACGCUCCGCCGCCGGAGCUUGCAGCGACCCGGCAUCAUAUUGUAGCGUGUGCAUCUUACUUGCAAAUUUUUUUCCUUAUCUGCGUACCUUAGUGCAAUUAAUCUGUUGUUGUAUCAUUAUGGCAUAAAAUAAAUUGUACCACCAUCUUGUGCGUCGAGGUGGUGUACAAAUAGAGCAAGAAAUGAUCAAUUCAUGUACAUGAAAACUCAAAGACUUGCAUUACAGUUUUAGGAACCUAAGAAUAGAAGCAAAUAAAACUAAAAUAAAUGGUCGGGAACAGAGAAAACCACUUUUUCUUCAGUCAUUCUGUGAUUGAGUGGCUCUACCUGUGCUUGCCUGAAGAUUAGAGAAAGUGGCUCCACGACAAACAGAUAAUGCCACAUUGAACAGUCUUGUAUGCUGAUAUGUGUCGCCCAUGAAGACAUUCUUGUCGAAGGCACUAUUGGGUUCCAUUAUGGUCCUCGGGAGUUGUCACAGCAAAUAAGUAUGAGCUAGCACAUAUGCCCGUGCGUUGCAACGGAAGAAAAAAAAAUUAAUAUGCAUAUAAAGUUAGUGAGAAUUAUAUGUGCAAGCAAAAUCUUUUUUGCACGUGAAAAAAGGAACAUUUAGUUUUUCGGUUUCGCCGGGUGUGAAGUAAUCAAUCCGCUAUUUUCUUUAUUCAUUGGUCAAGGGCAUUUAAGAGUUUUGUUACGUCAUCUUACGCCAGAGAAGGACCAUGAAUUAUUCAAUCUACUUUUCCUUACAAUCGAGGAGAUUUUAAGUUAUGAAGUUUCUGAAUAUUGCAGUAAACAUGACCCAUUUUCUAAAUCCAGGACAUGUUUUUGAAAAUUCUGUACACUUUCAGAAAAACACGAAUAAAAUUUGAAACAGGAAGAUCUUUUAAAAUACACAAACAUUUUCUGAAAACACCAACUUCUUUAUGAAAACAUGGACAUUAUUUGAUUUGUGAACAUUUUAUUAAAACUGAAACAUGUGUUGAAAAUUCAUAAUAUUUUUCAAAAAUGUGUAUCUUUUAUACACGAACUUUAUUUUAAAUUGUGAAAAUUUCACUAAACCAAGAAUAUUUUUCGAAUUUGGAGCAUUUUUUAAAAUGUCAUUUUACUUUUAGAAAUCACGAACAAUUUUGCAAAAUGAUAAAUGUUUUUGAAAAAAUGAGAAACCUUUUUCAAGUUUCGAAUAUUUUUCAGAACAACAACAAAAUUUUAGAAUUCUGAACAUUUUCAAAAAAAAUAUUCUGAAUUUUUUUCAGUAUUUUGAAUUAAUGAGAUAAAUUCUAUAAGAAAAAUAAAUUUGGAAGGAAAAAAUAGAUAGGGAAAGCAGAAUAAAAAUAUAAGUAACACACAGAAACAAAGAAAAAAUGGGCCAGCCCAUUAUCGGUUGUCCUGUGUGAAGCUCUGACUAUUGGUUGCCCUGUGCGCAAAAUAGAAUUUUCCUAGCUGCAUGGGCAGAAAAAUUAGUUGGCUGGUUUCACUGGGCCACAGCGUGUGGCCCAUGUACGAAAUCCUGGAAAAGCCUUUUUUCUAGCAGACGAAAAAAAUAAGAAUUUAGUACCACCUCAGAUAGAAAAAAUAUUUUUCGGUGGUGAACGGAUGAAAAAAAUGGCGAAAUGCACCUUUCAUUAAAGCAGAUGAUUUUUUUAAAGGAUACAGUUGUAUGGAUCAUGGAAUAAUAUUGACGCAGAGAACAAAAAAUUAUUUAGGAGAACAUUAAUUCGAAAUUAAAGUAGAAUAUGUAAAUGAUUGCCAAUAUACUUGAGAAAAAGGAUUUUUUUUAUUAUUGUUGCCUCACUGUUAUCUUAUUUACUGUUGCUAUUUAAUUUAAAGAGUCUAUAUGAUUGGUGACAAUUUUCAAAUUAUAUAAGCAAAAGAAGAGAAUGACCAGCGUGUUACUUAGGCAAACUGCAAAAUAUGUGAUUAGUGUACUUAGUGAUCUAAACACUCUUAUAUUUCUUUAUGGACGGAGUAUAUCAGAGCAGGAUAAUCGUUAGAGAUGAAAAGUAUAGCAUAGACAAUAACGUGAGUAAGGGAUCAUGCUUUUUGUUGUCUCACGCUUGUUUUAGUUCAUGCUGCUACUUGAUCCAAAUAGUUUACAUGAUUGCUGACAGUUUUCAAAUUAUAUAAGCAAAAGAAGAAAAGGGCUAGCAUGUAACUAAGGGGAACUGCAUAAUAUGUAUGGAAACAGUAUAGAAGCAUAAAGAAAAAUUACUCAAGAGAAUAUAAAUUGGUAUCUCUAGUCAACAACAGAAAUAUUUGACAGGACUCUAAAAUGUGCUGAAAGUACGUAGAGAAUAUGUGUGAGAAAAUUUGUCAUAGUAUAUCGAUAGCGCUUUUAGGCCUAUAUGUUCAUUAGUACUGUAUAGUUUGAUCAAGUUAGGAUCAUAACAUGGAUGAUUUUCUUUUGAACAUUCAAAGACAGUAGGAGAGGCUCCUACUGACAUGGAUGAUAUUGUCACAAAGAAGAAAGGACACAGAGAACAAAAAGGCCAAGAAUUUUUUAUUACCUUGUAUUUACGUGUGUCGCCUUUAUAUUUGAUCCAAAGAUUGUAUAUGAUUUCUCACAAUUUCAGAACUGCGUGAAUAAAAAGAUGUUCAACAUUGGUAAUUUCGUAUCAGUCAACUAUUUGUAGCAGAUGGCUUGAAAAAGAAGAUGUAUAAAGAAAGAUGGAAGAAAAUGCAAAAUAAGAGAAGAUCCAUGGCUAUCAGUUUGUAAGCUCAGAACGAAAUAAAGUAAACAGAUAAAUUGGAUCCAUGGUUAGCAAAUAUAUGUAGCCAAAGAUCUAAAAAAAACAGUAACUUUGAUCUAUUGUACCAUCAGUGGCACUUGCUCAGACCGCAGAAUAGUGUGCCCAUUCCUUGGUUGUUCAUGUCUUGACCCACAAUUUGAUGUUUAACAACUCCUUUGAGAUCAACUUGAUCAAGACAACAAUAUUUUUCAGGCAUUCUGAAGAAGAGAUUUCACUAUGGAUAUAUAACUACUACAAAAAUAUGACAAAGAGAAAAUAUGAUUCAUCCUGGAGAAUUGAAUUGCCCCUUCAGACCUGCACAAUAAAAAAAACUUGCAACAUCAUGUGUCAUCAAAAUGUUUAGCAGAAACAUAUCCAAUGUAAAAUCCAUCAAAACCAUAGUUGUGAAAUAAGAUGCUUUUCUCGUUAAACUUUGCAAUCAAGGAACCUUCCAAAAUUUUUGGAAAACUUAGCGGCAUUACAAUAUAAAAAAUAACAGUAAAUGAGCAAGCAAGUAAAUAAAUCGACAUAAGAGGGUAUCAAACAAAUUAUAAUAAGAGUAGUGCUACAUUUUCGCAAAUACACAUUGUUGGGAUUGCCCAAGAGGAGGAAGAAGACUCAUGUACACAAGCUCAAGGAAAAAAGAAGAUACACACACUUUGGCACACGCACAUAGUGAGCUUUUUUUGGUUCGUUUGUUUGAGACUUCAAGACCUUAUGUUGAACUUAUGUGCUUUUUAAUAAAGGUGGCCGUAUGCAUCGCUCUAAUGCAGAGGCCCGGGUUCUCCCCCUUUUUAAAAAAACAUAGUGCCUAUUCUCUUGUAUUUCUUCUCCAUCCAAAUGAACCCAAUUACAAGGGCUUAAAUAGCCACCCAACACAGCUAGCUACUACACACCCACUCACCCACUUCCUAGCAUGUACAGAUAGCGCAGAUAGCUAGUCGUGGUCAAGCCACUAACGGCUUGAUCCACACACACGUAGCUAGCUGCCCACACAACUCGGCUAAUGCAUGAUGCAUCCAUUCUUAUCUUAACUAAGGGCAUGUACAGUGGUUGACAAGAUAGUUUUAUCUUAAGACUUGCAUGUAAUUUAGAGAUAACAAAGAAAAACGUCUACAAUGAGUCAUCUCUUAGCCUUAUCUUCAAUAAUUAGCUAUUCCUAAAAACAUGGUGAGACAUAUUAUGCUAAGAGAUCAUCUCUUAUCUUCUCUUAAAUAAGAGAGGACAAACCUUUUCUUAUGAGUUCUCUCUCCUUCACCUCAUCAUUUAUUCUACAUGGCACUCCUAAGAUAGCACCAUUGUAUAUGCCCUAACUACUCCUGUUACACGCAAGGUUCACGCAACGGCCACACGACUUGGCCAUUUUACCAUGCAUGUAGCCUCAUACGACACAUCUGACCGGUGAAUGUAUCUGGUGCAUCAACAUUUGUGGCGCUACUGGUACACCGGAUGCCAUAUCAUAUUUUAAAAAAUCUGAAAAAAAAAUUAGUAUGUUAACACAAUAUCAAUGUAUAAUGUCACAAAAAAUCGUAUAAAAAUGUGAAUGUGCUUAAUUGAUGUAGUGUGAGUGUAAAUUCGUAUAAAAUCUGAAAAAAUUCUAGCAUGUUAACACAACAUCUGAAAUUUUGUGGCAACCUAAAUUAAUGUAGUGUGAGUGUGCUUAAUUUUUUUCAGAAUUUUUUGACCAAGCACAAUGUGAGUUCGGUGUACCAGUAGCACCACAAGUUCCGGUGCACCUGAUAUUUUCCCCAUCUGACCACUAAUACAUGUGCACGCAGGCCACAUCUCUCUAUGAUUACUUGGUCACCUAACAGACAGUAGGUGACUACGGCCGCUCAUCUCCUGGCUUGCCGAUCUGUUCGCGUGCACCCGCUCUAUCUCUGUACUGCUGAUCCGGCCGCUACACCAUCCGGCCGCUCUAUUUUCUUUGUACUUGGCUGACUAAUGCAAAUCUACAUGGUUGUUACACGAUGCAACAAACUAAGCAUGAUCUAAUCCUAAAUACUUAAUACUAAUAACAAGAUUAGUUCCAACAAUGACUAAAUAGAUGGACAGAGUAAUGUCCAGAAAGGAAAUAUGUACAUGCCAAAAAUCUGCUAGCUUCUGAUAGUUAAAGUGUAAUCUAGAAAAUAGAGUAACUAAAUAUAAGUGUAUAGCAUAUGAAUUAUAUUUUUGACUACAAUAAGAUCAAUACAUAAGUACUCGCGGCUCUCCGUUGUUAGAGACUGAAGCUGAGAGUAGAUCAAACAAAAAGGUAGUACAAUUUUACAUUGGUGAAAUAAACACAUCCACAAGUGCAUAAGCUGAUGGAUCAGCGAGAGGGUCAGUACUUUCAACAGAGAUCAAGCUGUUUAUAGAAGAGGCAGAAGGUUUAUGAGAAAUUCCCUUAAGACAGAUCCAAGUGUGAGUAUCUCGCAAGCCUCUUUUGUGAAACUCUUCCACAAAUUAAUCUACAGAACAACCAAAUGUUGGAAGUUACACUACAUUUGUUAAUUCGAGACAGGAAAAGAAAGGAACACAAAGGUCAGUUUAUCAAUAGCUUACAUGCUACAAUCAGACCAAACAACUCUCCACUGUUGACAUCUUCUAAAAAGUCACUAAAGUUCAUAUUAAAACAUGUGUAACGACAUAUAGCCUAUCACUGUAAACUUAUCAAGCUUCAUAUGAUAUCAUAUCAGCUAUUUCAUGUCACUUAGGAUUACAUGUAAGCGUAACAGCAGAAUGAAUAUGUUUACAACGUACUCCCUCCGUCCGAAAAUACUUGUCAUCAAAAUGAAUAAAAGGAGAUGUAUCUAGAACUAAAAUACAUCUGGAUACAUCUCCUUCUAUCCAUUUUGAUGACAAGUAUUUCCGGACGGAGGGAGUAGUCUGUAUAUCACUCUACUUAAAAUAUGUAUAUAUAGAAACACAUUAAUAGACCAUACUAUAUCAUAAAGAAAAUGCAUUUGGGCUCAAUCAGAUUUGACUGAAAAUAAUCAGAUAAGAAUCACUAAAUUAAUAUGUUAGUUCAGAAAAAUAAUAUAAAUUUGUUCCAAAACUAUGCCAAAAUGAUAUAAAUAUCAAUACCUCUUCCUAAGAAAGGACAUGAUGAUCAUAGUUUAUAAACUCUCUGCCCACCGUAUUCGAUGUACAUGGGGUAGUGUCACACAAACCUGCGCACACACUAUUUGUCCUGGGUCUGGCUCAUUUAUUUUUCUUCUUUUUUUAACUGUGAAAAAAUGGGUGCACGAAGUAGGAUUCGCACUCCAAACCUCUUGGAUUACUUUCACCCACUAUAACCGUUGGGGACGUAGCAUGCAACUUUUAAAAAUUUCCUACAAUCACGCAAGAUCUAUCUAGGAGAUGCAUAGCAACGAGAGGGGUAGUGUAUAUUCAUACCCUUGAAGAUCGCAAAGCGAAAGCGUUUAUCAACGCGAUUGAUGUAGUCGUACACCGUCCCGAUCAAGUAUCAAACGUACGGCACCUCCACGUUUAGCACACGUUCAGCUCGAUGACGUCCUCGCCUUCUUGAUCUAGCAAGACGGGUAAAGUAGUAGAUGAGUUCCGGCAGCACGACGGCGUGGUGACGGUGUUGGUUAAGAACAAUCUCCGCAGGGCUUCGCCUAAGAACUACGGAAACUAUGACGGAGGAUAAACUAGAGGGGAUGGGGUUGCCGGCAUACGACUUGGUGUUUCUUGAUGUGUCUUAGGUGCUAGCCCCGCCCCUCUAUUUAUAUGUUGAGCCUUGGGGUCGAAACUUGGAGUAAAAGCCUCCACAAAGUCGGUUUCACCCGAAAGACAAGAGUCCUUCUCGGACUCCAGGGCCAGACGCCAGGGUUCCCGGCGUCUGGCCCCUGGACUCCGCAAAACUUCCUUUUGCGCUUUUCAAAAACCUUGUGGGCUUUCCCUUUUGGCCCAUAUAAAGUGUUCUCGUACCCAAACAUUUCGGGAAACAUCCGGAACCCCUUCCGGUGAAUUCCGGAACCCUUCCGGAGAUCAAACAUUAUUAUUCCAUAUAUCAAUCUUUAUCUUCAGACCAUUCCGGAGUUCCUCGUCAUGUCGAUGAUCACAUCUGGGACUCCGAACAACAUUCGGUUACCAACAUACAUAACUCAUAUAAUACUAUAUCGUCAAUGAACGUUAAGCGUGCGGACCCUACGGGUUCGAGAACUAUGUAGACAUGACCGAGACACCUCUCGAGUCAAUAAUCAAUAGCGGAACCUGGAUGCCCAUAUUGGCUCCUACAUAUUCUACGAAGAUCUUUUAUCGGCCGAACCGUUAUGACGACAUACAUUAUUCCCUUUGUCAUCGAUAUGUUACUUGCCCGAGAUUCGAUCAUCGGUAUCUUCAUACCUAGUUCAAUCUCAUUACCGGCAAGUCACUUUACUCGUUUUGUAAUACAUCAUCCUGUAACUAACUCAUUAGUCACAUUGCUUGCAAGGCUUAUUAUGAUGUGCAUUACCGAGAGGGCCCAGAGAUACCUCUCCGAUACUCGGAGUGACAAAUCCUAAUCUCGAUCUAUGCCAACCCAACAAACACCUUCGGAGACACCUAUAGAGCAUCUUUAUAAUCACCCAUUUACGUUGUGACGUUUGAUAGGACACAAGGUGUUCCUCCGGUAUUCGGGAGUUGCAUAAUGAUGUCAUACCUAAACGGAAGUAGCAAAUGAAGUAGUCUGGAUGAAGGAGUUCAUAUCCGAUCUAGGUGUCAUUGAAGGAAAUAUGCCCUAGAGGCAAUAAUAAAGUUAUUAUUUAUUUCCUCAUAUCAUGAUAAAUGUUUAUUAUUCAUGCUAGAAUUGUAUUAACCGGAAACAUGAUACAUGUGUGAAUACAUAGACAAACAUAGUGUCACUAGUAUGCCUCUACUUGAACUAGCUCAUUGAUCAAAGAUGGUUAUGUUUCCUAACCAUAGGCAUGUGUUGUCAUUUGAUUAAUGGGAUCACAUCAUUAGGAGAAUGAUGUGAUUGACUUGACCCAUUCUGUUAGCUUAGCACUUGAUCGCUUAGUAUGUUGUUAUUGCUUUCUUCAUGACUUAUACAAAGUUCCUGCAACUAUGAGAUUGUGCAACUCCCGUUUACCGGAGGAACACUUUGUGUGCUACCAAACGUCACAACGUAAUUGGGUGAUUAUAAAGGUGCUCUACAGGUGUCUCCAAAGGUACAUGUUGAGUUGGCAUAAUUCGAGAUUAGGUUUUGUCACUCCGAUUGUCGGAGAGGUAUCUCUGGGCCCUCUCGGUAAUACUCAUCACCUAAGCCUUGCAAGCAUUGUAACUAAUGAGUUAGUUAUAAGAUGAUGUAUUACGGAACGAGUAAAGAGACUUACCGGUAACGAGAUUGAACUAGGUAUUGGAUACCGACGAUGGAAUCUCGGGCAAGUAACAUACCGAUGACAAAGGGAACAACGUAUGUUGUUAUGCGGUUUGACCGAUAAAGAUCUUUGUAGAAUAUGUGGGAACCAAUAUGAACAUCCAGGUUCCGCUAUUGGUUAUUGACCGAGAAUAGUUAUAGGUCAUGUCUACAUAGUUCUCGAACCCGUAGGGUCCGCACGCUUAACGUUACGAUGACAGUUUUAUUAUGAGUUUAUAAGUUUUGAUGUACUGAAGGUUGUUAGGAGUCCCGGAUGUGAUCACGGACAUGACGAGGAGUCUCGAAAUGGUCGAGACAUAAAGAUUGAUAUAUUGGAUGACUAUAUUCGGACACCGGAAGUGUUCCGGGUGUUUUCGGAGAAAAACCGGAGUACCGGAUGGUUACCGGAACCCCCCCCCCCGGGAAGUAAUGGGCUUUGAUGGGCCCUAGUGGAGAGAGAGAGGGGCCGGCCAGGGCAAGAGGCGCGCCCCCUCCCCUUGAGUCCGAAUAGGACAAGGAAGGGGGCGGCGCCCCCCUUGCCUUCCCCCUCUCCCACUCCUUCCUUCCCCUCCUUCUUGGAAUAGGAAAGGGAGGGGGCAAACCUACUUGGAGUAGGUUUCCCCCUCCUAGGGCGCGCCUCCCCUUAGGCCGGCCCCCUCCUCCUCUCCCCCUUUAUAUACGAGGGAGGGGGGCACCCCAUAGACACACAAGUUGAUCUACGGAUCGUUCCUUAGCCGUGUGCGGUGCCCCCCUCCACCAUAUUCCACCUCGGUCAUAUCGUCGUGGAGUUUAGGCGAAGCCCUGCGCCGGUAGAACAUCAUCAUCGUCACCACGCCGUCGUGCUGACGGAACUCAUCCCCGACGCUUAGCUGGAUUGGAGCCCGGGGAACGUCAUCGAGCUGAACGUGUGCUGAACAUGGAGGUGCCGUACGUUCGGUACUUGGAUCGGUCGGAUCGUGAAGACGUACGACUACAUCAACCGCGUUGUCACAACGCUUCCGCUUACGGUCUACGAGGGUACAUGGACAACACUCUCCCCUCUCGUUGCUAUGCCAUCACCAUGAUCUUGCGUGUGCGUAGGAAUUUUUUUGAAAUUACUACGUUCCCCAACAGUGGCAUCCGAGCCUAGGUUUUGUGCGUUGAUGUUAUAUGCACGAGUAGAACACAAGUGAGUUGUGGGCAAUACAAGUCAUACUGCUUACCAGCAUGUCAUACUUUGGUUCGGCGGUAUUGUUCGAUGAAGCGGCCCGGACCGACAUUACGCGUACGCUUACGCGAGACUGGUUUUACCGCCGUGCUUUGCACACAGGUGACUAGCGGGUGUCAGUUUCUCCAACUUUAGUUGAACCAAGUGUGGCUAUGCCCGGUCCUUGCGAAGGUUAAAACAGCACCAACUUGACAAACUAUCGUUGUGGUUUUGAUGCGUAGGUAAGAACGGUUCUUGCUCAGCCCGUAGCAGCCACGUAAAACUUGCAACAACAAAGUAGAGGACGUCUAACUUGUUUUUGCAGGGCAUGUUGUGCUAUGAUAUGGCCAAGACGUGAUGCUAUAUUUUAUUGUAUGAGACGAUCAUGUUUUGUAACCGAAGUUAUCGGCAACUGGCAGGAGCCAUAUGGUUGUCUCUUUAUUGUAUAAAAUGCAAACGCCCUGUAAUUGCUUUACUUUAUCACUAAGCGGUAGCGAUAGUCGUAGAAGCAAUAGAUGGCGUAAACGACAACGAUACUACGAUGGAGAUCAAGGUGUCGCGCCGGUGACGAUGGUGAUCACGAUGGUGCUUCGGAGAUGGAGAUCACAAGCACAAGAUGAUGAUGGCCAUAUCAUAUCACUUAUAUUGAUUGCAUGUGAUGUUUAUCCUUUAUGCAUCUUAUCUUGCUUUGAUUGACGGUAGCAUUUUAAGAUGAUCUCUCACUUAAUAAUCAAGAAGUGUUCUCCCUGAGUAUGCACCGUUGUGAAAGUUCUUCGUGCUGAGACACCACGUGAUGAUCGGGUGUGAUAGGCUCUACGUUCAAAUACAACGGGUGCAAAACAGUUGCACACGCGGAAUACUCAGGUCAUACUUGACGAUCCUAGCAUAUACAGAUAUGGCCUCGGAACACGAAGACCGAAAGGUCAAACGUGAAUCAUAUUGUAGAUAUGAUCAACAUAGUGAUGUUCACCAUUGAAACUACUCCAUCUCACGUGAUGAUCGGACAUGGUUUAGUUGAUUUGGAUCACGUGAUCACUUAGAUGACUAGAGAGAUGUCUGUCUAAGUGGGAGUUCUUAAGUAAUAUGAUUAAUUGAACUUAAAUUUAUCAUGAACUUAGUACCUGAUAGUAUUUUGCUUGUCUAUGUUUGUUUGUAGAUAGAUGGCUCGUGCUGUUGUUCCGUUGAAUUUUAAUGCGUUCCUUGAGAAAGCAAAGUUGAAAGAUGAUGGUAGCAAUUACACGGACUGGGUCCGUAACUUGAGGAUUAUCCUCAUUGCUGCACAGAAGAAUUACGUCCUGGAAGCACCGCUGGGUGCCAGGCCUGUUGCAGGAGCAACACCAGAUGUUGUGAACGUCUGGCAGAGCAAAGCUGAUGACUACUCUAUAGUUCACUGUGCCAUGCUUUACGGCUUAGAACCGGGCCUUCAACGAUGUUUUGAACGUCAUGGAGCAUAUGAGAUGUUCCAGGAGUUGAAGUUAAUAUUUCAAGCAAAUGCCCGGAUUGAGAGAUAUGAAGUCUCUAAUAAGUUCUACAGCUGCAAGAUGGAGGAGAAUAGUUCUGUCAGUGAGCAUAUACUCAAAAUGUCUGGGUAUAAUAAUCACUUGAUUCAACUGGGAGUUAAUCUUCCGGAUGAUAGCGUCAUUGACAGAAUUCUCCAAUCACUACCACCAAGCUACAAGAGCUUUGUGAUGAACUAUAAUAUGCAAGGGAUGAACAAGACAAUUCCCGAGCUCUUCACAAUGCUAAAGGCUGCGGAGGUAGAAAUCAAAAAGGAGCAUCAAGUGUUGAUGGUCAACAAGACCACUAGUUUCAAGAAAAAGGGCAAAGGGAAGAAGAAGGGGAACUUCAAGAAGAACAGCAAGCAAGUUGAUGCUCAAGAGAAGAAACGCAAGUCUGGACCUAAGCCUGAAACUGAGUGCUUCUACUGCAAGCAGACUGGUCACUGGAAGCGGAACUGCCCCAAGUAUUUGGCGGAUAAGAAGGAUGGCAAAGUGAACAAAGGUAUAUGUGAUAUACAUGUUAUUGAUGUGUACCUUACUAAUGCUCGCAGUAGCACCUGGGUAUUUGAUACUGGUUCUGUUGCUAAUAUUUGCAACUCGAAACAGGGACUACGGAUUAAGCGAAGAUUGGCUAAGGACGAGGUGACGAUGCGCGUGGGAAAUGGUUCCAAAGUCGAUGUGAUCGCGGUCGGCACGCUACCUCUACAUCUACCAUCGGGAUUAGUUUUAGACCUAAAUAAUUGUUAUUUGGUGCCAGCGUUGAGCAUGAACAUUAUAUCUGGAUCUUGUUUGAUGCGAGACGGUUAUUCAUUUAAAUCAGAGAAUAAUGGUUGUUCUAUUUAUAUGAGUAAUAUCUUUUAUGGUCAUGCACCCUUGAAGAGUGGUCUAUUUUUAUUGAAUCUUGAUAGUAGUGAUACACAUAUUCAUAGUGCUGAAACCAAAAGAUGCAGAGUUGAUAACGAUGGUGCAACUUAUUUGUGGCACUGCCGUUUAGGUCAUAUCGGUGUAAAGCGCAUGAAGAAACUCCAUACUGAUGGGCUUUUGGAAUCACUUGAUUAUGAAUCACUUGGUACUUGCGAACCGUGCCUCAUGGGCAAGAUGACUAAAACGCCGUUCUCCGGAACUAUGGAGCGAGCAACUGAUUUGUUGGAGAUCAUACAUGCUGAUGUUUGUGGUCCAAUGAAUGUUGAGGCUCGUGGCGGGUAUCAUUAUUUUCUCACCUUCACAGAUGAUUUGAGCAGAUAUGGGUAUAUCUACUUAAUGAAACACAAGUCUGAAACAUUUGAAAAGUUCAAAGAAUUUCAGAGUGAAGUGGAAAAUCAUCGUAACAAGAAAAUAAAGUUUCUACGAUCUGAUCGUGGAGGAGAAUAUUUGAGUUACGAGUUUGGUCUACACUUGAAACAAUGCGGAAUAGUUUCACAACUCACGCCACCCGGAACACCACAACGAAAUGGUGUGUCCGAACGUCGUAAUCGUACUUUACUAGAUAUGGUGCGAUCUAUGAUGUCUCUUACUGAUUUACCGCUAUCGUUUUGGGGUUAUGCUUUAGAGACAGCCGCAUUCACGUUAAAUAGGGCACCAUCAAAAUCCGUUGAGACGACGCCUUAUGAACCCGUAGGGUCCGCAAGCUUAACGUUACGAUGAUAGUUUUAUUAUGAGUUUAUAAGUUUUGAUGUACCGAAGGUUGUUCGGAGUCCCGGAUGUGAUCACGGACAUGACGAGGAGUCUCGAAAUGGUCGAGACAUAAAGAUUGAUAUAUUGGAUGACUAUAUUCAGACACCGGAAGUGUUCUGGGUGUUUUCGGAGAAAAACCGGAGUACCGGAGGGUUACCGGAACCCCCCCGGGAAGUAAUGGGCUUCGAUGGGCCCUAGUGGAGAGAGAGAGGGGCCGGCCAGGGCAAGAGGCGCGCCCCCUCCCCUUGAGUCCGAAUAGGACAAGGAGGGGGGCGACGCCCCCCUUGCCUUCCCCCUCUCCCACUCCUUCCUUCUCCUCCUUCUUGGAAUAGGAAAGGGAGGGGGCAAACCUACUUGGAGUAGGUUUCCCCCUCCUAGGGCGCGCCUCCCCUUAGGCCGGCCCCCUCCUCCUCUCCCCCUUUAUAUACGGGGGAGGGGGGCACCCCAUAGACACACAAGUUGAUCUAUGGAUCGUUUCCUUAGCCGUGUGCGGUGCCCCCCUCCACCAUAUUCCACCUCGGUCAUAUCGUCGCGGAGUUUAGGCGAAGCCCUACGUCGGUAGAACAUCAUCAUCGUCACCACGCCGUCGUGCUGACGGAACUCAUCCCCGACGCUUAGCUGGAUUGGAGCCCGGGGAACGUCAUCGAGCUGAACGUGUGCUGAACACGGAGGUGCCGUACGUUCGGUACUUGGAUCGGUCGGAUCGUGAAGACGUACGACUACAUCAACCGCGUUGUCAUAACGCUUCCGCUUACGGUCUACGAGGGUACGUGGACAACACUCUCCCCUCUCGUUGCUAUGUCAUCACCAUGAUCUUGCGUGUGCGUAGGAAAUUUUUGGAAUUACUACGUUCCCCAACAGUCAUACCUAGUGCACCGGGUCCAAUGAAAUUUUUUUGUGACAAUAUUGGUGCAUUGCCUUGGCAAAGGAAUCCAGAUUCCACAAGAGAACCAAGCACAUCAAGAGACCUUCAAUUCCAUCAGUCAUCAAGUGUCGGAAGGGGACAUAGAGAUUUGCAAGAUACAUACGGAUCUGAAUGUUGCAGACCCGUUGACUAAGCCUCUUCCACGAGCAAAACAUGAUCAGCACCAAAACUCCAUGGGUGUUAGAAUCAUUACUUUGUAAUCUAGAUUAUUGACUCUAGUGCAAGUGGGAGACUGAAGGAAAUAUGUCCUAGAGGCAAUAAUAAAGUUAUUAUUUAUUUCCUUAUUUCAUGAUAAAUGUUUAUUAUUCAUGUUAGAAUUGAAUUAACCAGAAACUUAAUACAUGUGUGAAUACAUAGACAAAACAUAGUGUCCCUAGUAUGCCUCUACUUGACUAGCUCGUUAAUCAAAGAUGGUUAAAUUUCCUAACCAUAUAUAUAUAUAUGUGUGUGUGUGUGUGUGUGUUGUCAUUUGAUGAAUGGGAUCACAUCAUUAGGACAUGUAUAAGUCAUGAAGAAAGCAGUAGCAAUGAAACUGUAACGAUCAUAAUGCUAAGCUAACGGAUCGGUCAUGUCAUCACAUCAUUCUUCUAAUCAUGUGAUCUCGCUCAUCAAAUGACAACACAUGUCUAUGGUUAGGAAACUUAACCAUCUUUGAUUAAUGAGCUAGUCAAGUAGAAGCAUACUAGGGACAUUAUGUUUUGUCUAUGUAUUCACACAUGUAUUAAGUUUUCGGUUAAUAGAAUUCUAGCAUGAAUAAUAAACAUUUAUCAUGAAAUAAGAAAAUAAAGAAUAACUUUAUUAUUGCCUAUAGGGCAUAUUUCCUUCAAUAACUAACUAGGACAGCUCACUUGUUGUGCCUAAUUACUUAUUUCAUUCUUUUUGUUCAGCAUCUUCUCGGUCUAGUUUUUCUUCCUUUUAUUUGGCCUUUUUUCUUCGAUUUUAUUCAUUUUUAUUUUUUAUUUAUUUGUUUUUAUUUGUAUAUUUUUCCUUUCAUUUAAAUUUGUGAACUUUUUCUUUAAUUCGUAAAAUUUUGCAAAAACUGUGACCUUACUUUUUAAUCCAUGAUUUUUUUUAAAAAUAAAGAAUUUUCUUUAUUUUUGCAAACUUUUUCCAAAUUCAUGAACUAUGUUCAUUAAAUUCAUAAACUUUUUUCAAAUCAAUAAACAUCUUUCCAUUUCACAAACUUUUUCCAAAUUUUCGUGAAUUUUUUGUUCAACUGGAGAAUUUUUUUUUCAAAUCAAUGACAAUUUUCAUUUUCAUGAAGUUUUUGUCAUACUUUAUUCAAAUCAUGAAGUUUUUUACAAUUGUGAACAUUUCUUUAUCUCAGGGUGGGCGGUAGAAACCGAAAACUCGGUUUUACCAUUCAGUUUAUUUUAAUUUUUAGUUAGCAAAAUAUAAAUAAACCAAAAUAAACAGGCAAAAGCAGGUAACCGAUAAUUUGGUCAACCGGCUUAUUCUGCUGGGUGUUCAGUUUACACUGAGCAAACUCGUCAAAUGAGUUGUUUUGUAUUAUGACACUCGUCAAAAUAUAGGAAAGGUUUGUGCCCCCAUAUUCGUAGCUCGGCGGGGUGGGACAGUAUUGGGCGCUAUGGGCGGCUGGGCGCACGCAUGACCGAAAGGUUCACGCAGGUUUGGGUCUUCGUGGCCGGAUCCCAUGUGACGCUACUUUGUGUGGGCUUGGCCGCUUGGGCCCUUAGCUCUACUCGCUACAGUAAUAGUUUCUGUUUUUUCGUUCAUUCAUUUUUCUCGUCUUGAACUUUAUUAUUCUUUUUGAAACCUGUUUAAAAGUGUGAAAUAUUGUUUGGAAUACUAAGAAUGAUUUUUUUAUGUUGUUUACAGUUUUAUGAAUUUUUUUGUAAUUUAAAAAAUGUUUCAAUUUCGAUUUUUACAAAAAUCUAAGAAAGUUUUGCAUUUAAAUUUUUUAUAAAAUUUUAAAAGUAUGUUCACCACCAAUUAUUGAGAAUUUGUUACAAUUUUUAAAAAAGUGUUCAGGUCUAUAAAAUUUUCAUACAGAAUUUAAAAUUCCAAAAUUGUUGACAAAUUUCAAGAAAUGGUUAGGAUAUAAAAAUAUACUCAUGUUGAUUGAUAAGGACAGAAAAUGCAAAUAACCGAAGCAUUCAAAUUAUGAAAAAUAACAUGCUCAUGGACUGUCUAGCCUAGUCUAGCACACUCCUCUCAGCUGGUGAUUUUUUCAACAAUGGAUAAAUGAUCCCAACUUCUUGCAGCUGCUUGGCACGGACAAAUGAGGUACCCAUGCCAGGUGUGAACCACUUUCGACACCAUUUGCAUAUUUCGAAACGUCCAGCCAUUUAUCCGCAAUCCCAACUUCUUGCAGCUGCUUUGCACGGACAAAUGAGGUACCCAUGCCAGAUUUGAACGGCUUUCGACACCAUUUGCAUAUUAUGAAACGUCCAGCCAUUUAUCUACUCCUCUUCAUCAAGAGAACUGCAUAAAAUGCAAAGCUUUUGUCAUGGAAGCUGUUGGGAAAAAACUUUCAAAUGGACCCUUCUCACCCUAUCUGAACACCAUCCUUGCAAAUGGUUUAUUUUUCGAUAUCCAUGAAAUGCUCCCAACUUUUUGCAAGAAGGUGGGCAUGCUCAUGGUAGGAACCCAUGACAGGUUUUGAACAAUUUCUGACAGAGUAUGCAAGUUGCGACAUAUCCGGGCAUUUAUCGGCCUUUUUUCACCGGAAAAACUCAGAAAAAUGCAAAACUUAUUAAAAACCCAAAAAAUGACAUGACGCCUUGAAUUAGUCACACAAGACCAUGGAAAAAAUUAGGGUCAUUUUAAGGAUGUUGAGAAACAACAUGCUCUCAGAUCGAACCUUCUAACCUAGCCGAACACCCUUCGUUCAACAUGGUCUAUUUUUAAAAAUCCUUGAAAUAACUCCAACUUUUGCAAGCAGGUGGGCAUGCCCAUUGUAGGUAUCCAUGUAUGGUUUGAACAAUUUUUCUGUCAGUGUAUGCAAGGUGCGACACGUCCAACCAUCUAUAGGCCUUUUUUACAAGGAAAACUCUAGAAAAUGCAAAAAAAAAUGAAAACCCAAACAACUUGGCAUGGUGCCUUUAUAUGGUCAUACAAGGCCAUGAAAAAGAAUUGGAGCCAUUCCAAAGAUGUCGAGAAACAACGUGCUCUCAGACAGAACAUUCUAGCCUACUCGAACACCCUCCGUCCAACAUGGUCUAUUUUUUGGACAUCCUUGAAGUGAAUCCAAUUUGCAAGCACGUGGGCAUGCCCAUUGUAUCCAUCCAUGUCAGGUUUGAACGAUUUCCUACACCAUAUGCAAGUUACGACAUGUCCGGCCAUUUGUCGGCCUUUUUCACCGGGAAAACUCCAGAAAAUCCAAAAUUUGCCGAAAACAAAAACGAAUUGGGAUGGUGCCAUCGAUUGGUCAUAAAGGGCCAUGGAAUUUUUUUGAAGCUAUUUGACGGAUAUUGAAAAGUAAUGAGCUCUCAAACUGUUGAACCUAUUGUUUUUUAAACAUUCUUGAAAUGAUCCAACAUUUUGCAAAUAGCUGGGCAUCCCGUGGUAGAUAUGAAUGUCAGGUUUGAAGGAGAAAUAUAUUUAAAAUCAUAAUUUUAAUAGUAAAUGCUUUCUAAAAUCAUUUAAUAAAUACUUGAAGGAAAAAUGAAUUUAAAACACUUACCUAAAUAAAUAUUUUAUUAUUCCAGAAAAUAUUUCAAAUGUUUGGACAGCUUUCAAAAGAAUAAUAAACUUGGAAAAGGGGAAAAUGAGUUAACGAAAAAAAAGAAAAACGAAAAAUAAAAAAAAUGUUUAGGCCUUCGCCCAACUAGGCGACACCAUCGCUCCUAUCGGGCGCCUGUUGGGCCGGCCAAGCGCUCGUGGAUUUGAAAAAAGUUCGCUGAUUAAAAAAUGUCCAUGUUUUCAAAAUCUGUUCUCAAAAGGAAAACUGCCAAAAAACACAAACAGAAAAAAGAUAAUUUUACGAUUGAAAAAGUUUCAAAUUUUCGGACAAACUUUAUGAAAUUUGAAAAAAAAUCGUAAAGUUUUAAAAAAUCACAAAUUUGAUAAAAGUUCAGGAAUUUGGGCAAAGUUUCAAAAUUUCAGAAAAUUCAUGCAUUUGAAAAAUCUGGAAAAAAUAAAAAAAAGGAAAAAGAAAUGGAAAGAGAAAACAAAGUAAAAGAAUAUUAAAACCAAAGAUAAAACGGCCAAAAUAGCUCGAUAGAAAAAGGAAACCAGAGUAUUUUGUUUUAGUGUUAUAUUUGACGCACUAUAAAAGAUGGAAAAAUGAGAACUUAGACAUAGGAGGUGAGUUAUCCCAGGUGGUUAACGUGUGUGAUAAUGAAUCCUGAUGUUGUGAGUUUGAGUCUGACAUAAGGCGCUUGUUUUUUGAAGGUUGCAAAAAAUAAAAUAAAAAAUAAAAUUGGGCUGAGCCCAGGUCAGAGAGGGUGUGUACAGUGAGGAAAUAAAGAAAAACAAAAACAAAAUAAAACCAAUGAAAAAGGCCAAACAAAACCAAAAAAAGAAAAAAACUAGACUGAGAAGAUGCACAACAAGAAUAAUAAAAGAAGUAACUAGGCACAACAAGUUUAUAGCCGUUGGUACAGUUCAGUCACUAGGUUGGCACAGAUCCGUCACCAUGCAUCUGUAUCCUAGCGGCAUCUGCCCCCUGUCCCUGCGUCGUACAACUGUCAGGUGGGCCAGUGGACGUCCUUUUAAUUGGAAAUACGAGACUAAAUACUGGGCUGUGUGGGAAUCGCGAGGCAAGCUUGUGGUCCAGAUAGCAGGAGCAUCUAGACCCGGGAGCCGAAUUGCAUUUCCGAAGUUUGUUGCCCUAGUUUGUUACAGUAGGUGGAAGUAAACUAGGAGGUUGGGAGUUCAAAUCCUACAUCUUGCACCUAUUAAUUUUUUCAAGGGAUCCCAAACUUUAUUAAAAUUAAACAAUAUUCAACAUGAUACAAAGAGGGUCAUCGGGGGAUAGAAGCCACACAUUGCGACCCUGAGGAAUCAAUAUAGCAAAUUCUACAAUAUUAUGUGCCUCUUGAUUCUAAGCUUGGCCUUCGAACAUUAAAUCACAGCUGGCAAAUCAUACUCUUCUCAUGUUUAUCUCUUUCACAAUAGUGAUAUGGGGUAUCCCAACCCCUUUUUGAUGCCAUAACAAUUGGUUUGCAGCCGUAGGCAAUUACCAAACUUCAGCGCACAAUGACGAUGUUUCAGAGCUUUAUUUUGUUUCAUAAAAUGCAAGCACUCAUAAGCAAUAAUGAUGUUGCCAGUAAUAAGCAUCCCUAGAACGAAGGCAGACUUCUACGUAGAAAUAAUAUAUGGGUUAAAAAAGAGGGGUUUUUAGAUGCAAUCUUUUAUAGAACAUUACAUAGGCUGAUUGGUCGGAACUGGGUUAAAGAAGAGGUUUUUUUUAACCUUUGCGAUAAAAACUAGGUAGGUAUUAUUGAUGCACUCUACACUCUCUACGCCUUCCAUAAUGCACAAUAUUGCUUUAGUUACUUCAUCUCCACAUAUGUCCCAAUGCUUCUGAAAGAAGUGUGGCGGGUAGCCGUCCAACACCUGAGCUUUCAUAGGAAACAUUUGAAAUAGGCUGCUUUUACCUCACUGGUGGUGUAUGCGACAUUUAAAGAUGUGUUCAUAGAUGUUGUCACCUUAGGUGACACCGCGUCCAACACGUUAUGCAUGCUGGUAACACCUUCUGACGUGUAGAGACUUUUGUAGAACAUUAUUGCCAUGCCCUCAAGCUCAGUUCUAUUACUGAUCAUGUUACGUUUGGCAUUCUGCAUGGAUUUUAUGGGGUUUUCCCUUCUCCUCAUAGUAGCUCUAAGGUGAAAAUAGCGGGAAGUGUUUUUGUCACAUAUUUUGUAUGGUUAAAAGUGAAGGAAAAGGGCUAGGCCCGGGACGGAGGGGUGUGACAGGCUGGCGGAUCGGCUGUGCACGUCCACGUAUAGCUCAUACAUGCCACACAUGAAGGUGGGUAUACCUUAUGGUCAAAUGACAUAGUUCUCUUAUACGGUUUGUGAGGGAGGUGUACCGAAGCAAGGCUCUAUGAAUAUAGCAUGAAACAAAAACAAAUUAUAGAUACGUUUAAGACGUAUCAGAAUUUUGAUGCUAGGAUCAAAUUCCAAAGUUACAAGAUAGCACCUACUUGGCUAAUUUUUAAAGAGUACAUAAAGCAUAAUAUGUAGUGAUGUACUUUGAACCAGACAAUCAUGUGAGGAAUUGUCUAGUGAUUGAUAAGAGAAAGUAAUUAGAGGAUCAACCUUGAGCGUAGAGUUACCCCCUCCCCGCGUAUCGUGUACCAAAUCUGAAUAUGAUAUACAUAUCUUUACCAUAUAUUUAUGUAUUAACUGUAGAUCUAAGUGCAUAUCUCCAUGGCCUGCCAAGAUCCAAGAGUUAUAUCGUGAUAUAUAUCUAUUACGAAACGUAUAUCUACAAGAUAUGUUGACUAUUGGUGAAUUUAUCAUGUAUAUAGUAUGCAUAUCCAGGAAGCAUGUAUUACUAGUAUGUAGCUUUAUCUGGUCUUAAUUUCAUUUUUAUACAUUUAUUAUUUUCUCUCCUAAAAUAAUCCCUAAAAAAGAGAUUUUGCUUGGUUAAUUCAUCCCAUUAUUAUCAUAUCUUGUAGAAUCAUUUUUAUAGCAUAAUUAGUGGUAAAAAAAUGCAGUCAACGUGUCUAGGUUCAUUGUCCCAUUAACUUUCAUAUAUUUUUAGGAGGCAUUUACUAUUCGCCAAAUAUAUUAAAUUUCCUAUUUUAAUAUAAUUUAUUAGGAUAAAUACAAGCUUCAUGUCAUGGUAUCUAUAUAAAGUGAGUAUUUGCUUGGACCUAACACAAACAUACAACUGAACGUAGUAUUGCAUAGUGCAUUCUACUGCUCUAUGUGAAUUUAGGUGAUGGCAAAUAAUAGCACUCUCCAAGUCUUUGUUGUUUUUCUCAUUGUGCAAGUCUUAUUGCUCAUGAUGAUUGCAGCACCGAUAGCACAGGCAGCUGGCAGGCUUAUGGGAUACAACCCAGUUUGCUGCCCUAGGGACAUCUAUUGUUGUGGGCUCGGUGGCGUGAUGGCCAAUGGGACCGCAUCCUCCAUGAAGCCUUGAUAUGUGGUUCUUUUCUCCUCCGAUAAAUAAGCUAGGACAUAUAAAAUAUGCUCUCGCGUGUGGUUUGUUGUUCCACAUAUAUAUUUUUUGUUGCUAUUUUCAAAAAAUGUUAUUAUAUAAGCUAUUUUUAUAAUAAAGUGGGAGGAGAUUAUUACCUAUGUUGUUUGCAAUGUGCCGCAAAGAGAUUAAAAUUGUGUCAAAUUCAAUGUUUUUAGAGGAUUAUAUCAUCCUAUAUUUUCAUGGUUAACUACAUGUUAUAGUCAUAAAUGGACUAUUUGUUGUUGAUUCCAAUGUAUUGCUAAACAUAUUAGUUAACCCAUCAAAUAAAGUAUCAGUUUGUUGCAGAAAUGGAUCAAAUACCAUAUAAUUCAUUACUGUCAUUCCAUUGUAGCAUAAUUGAUGCAAAACCAUUGAGAUAAUGUUAUUCACCCAAGGGGGUUCUUUUG
Molecule: long non-coding RNA, 441861 nt
Filed under: Triticum aestivum (bread wheat)
Lineage: Eukaryota; Viridiplantae; Streptophyta; Magnoliopsida; Poales; Poaceae
Description: long non-coding RNA (TAES_LNC011724)
Rfam family: MIR1120/MIR1122 microRNA precursor family (bases 426488-426622)
Source: RNAcentral